AUUAACUUGAAUAUUUUUUUAACUAAAAAAAUUGUUAUCUAGUUCGUGAUAUAACAAAUACUAACAUAUCAUCAAAUUGAUUAAUAAAUUAAGUGCAAAAAAGAAAAUGCAAAAAUUUAAUCUUUAUAGCUCAUAGAAAUAUAAUAUUAUAUACAUGUGUGUAAAAAACAACAUAUGACCAUAAUAUUAUCCACUCAUUAAACUUGCUGCACUAUUAUUUCUCAAUCUCUCCAUCUCUCGACCUUCAAGAACAUUACUACCAUAAUCUUCUUCUUGAAUUCAACCUCCAUUUCCUCAUCAUCAACAAUGCGACCAAUUUGCCUUGAUAGCCUUUCAACUCCUCCCACUUUCCUCCCUUUUGCAGACACUCUUUUUCUUUUUCUUUUUCUGUCUUUAAUAGCUUCAAUGGGAACAACCUCAUCUGACGACAAGUCCAUUCUUCAACUAGGACAGAGUUGGUAGUAGAUAUUCUAGUACUCUCAAACGAUGCCCAAACGGGGUCACCAGUGAUUGUUGUAUUAAAAGACAUUCUAUUUAAUUUUCCUCUGACUCUUGGUCGAUACCUUUUGUACAAAAUCUAUUUACUUCAGGAAUUUUAUACAUAUGUCGAUAUCAUAUUAAAGUGAAUUCAGAUCCUAUAUUAUUGACAUUAAAAUUUAGCCGAAUAGUAAAAAAUUUCCCUUUUUGUUUGUCACACAACUAUAUAGUCCCAUUUUUGGUUAUAAGCUCACGAUAUGCAAGGGAAAUGAAGAUCUAUUAAAAACUUCCCCAUAAUAUUAAACAUUAAACAAUAUCAACAUUUUGUGCAUAUGGUGCCUCGUCAACAAUUUGAUGUUCAUUUUGUUGCUCGGAGGAAUAUGACUACCUAUUAAUUAAUUAGCAAGAAUUGCGUUGCGAGUCCAUGUUUUUUGUCGUUUGGAUGGAGGAUGUGCUAUCUUUUUAUUGUAGAUGCUUUGUAAGGCUUUUGAUUUAAUGAUUGAAUGCAGUCAAUUAACAAAAGCUUACAUACAGUAUUAUGUAGUUGCUGAGAUGUCUAUUCUUGAUAAAGUCGAUUUAUUUACACCCAAGCCAACGGAAUCAAAGCCUUUUCGUUAAUAAUAUACACGGUAAUUGUUUUUGUUAAAUUGAUUUCUGGCUAACAAGAUCUUUGAAAGCAUUUAUUAAAGAAACCACUGACUCAUAAGAAAGCCAUGAUUAAAUACACAGCCAAGCAUGUGAGCUCGUUUUUCAAUCUCUUUGAUCACUCAUAAGCUUCUCUAUACCACUCACUGUAUCAUCCUUUUAAGUCAAUUUUGACUGAUCAUCAGAGAUCAUGCACCCCACCUUGAGAUGAUUGAUCACCAAUUUGGCAUUGUAACGUUGAUCACCUCUAAUUGGCCAUGCUAAAAUUGGGACCUCACAGCCAAUUGCUUCUACAGUUGAAUUUUAUCCACAGUGAGAUAAAAAUCCACCUAUUAAUUGAUAACUCAGUAUCAAUAAUUGUGGCACCAUUCCAUCUAUUAUCAAACCCUUUUUACCGACUCUACUAUCUAAACCACUACAAAAAUAAGCUGGUUAAAUGACGUGGAGGAUCCAAUCUAUUUACAUCAGUUUGAAUUACCUAAAUAAUCGGUGGAUUUGAUGCUUCUAAAUCAUUGGCUAAUGUUGAAUAAUCAUUUAAGGUGGGACCCAUUUCGGUACCAAAUGACAUGUAUAACACGGAUCCACAUGAUUUCAAAUCUAACCAUUGAAUGAUCUCAUCUUCGGUCAUGUUAGAACUUCGCCGGUUGGUUCUCAUCUCACAAUCACGAAGCACUGAACCAGCCGAUUUGUAAAAUUGUUCAGGUAACAAUUGGCCCACUCCCCACACUGGCAUCAACACCAUCGAUCCCUCCACUUGCUUCAUCCAGUGUGGUUGAUCACUCGGUUCUGAUGGGCCUAUUUAUUCUGAACCGGGUGCACCUCACAAAGGUUGUGGACCACCAGGAAGGGACCCGUGAGGCCUGCGUUUAAGAUCCGAUUCGAAUAAAGCAAUAUCCUUGGGUAACCCAAGAAGUAAACGGGCCUCUCCCGGUUUGACAUCCUGGAUGCGAGCCUGCCACAUGGCACACUCCACAGCUGCUGAGCAAGCAUCAGAAGUGAAGAACCCAACAAUGGGAACUUCAAAAUUCUUGAAAACAUCAGCCGUCCAGCCCAUCAUAACGCCGAUGACUACGCAAACAGGUCGGCUUUCGGGUUCCGGGUUGAAAGGAGGUUUCGAAGGCCUUGAAGCAUUUGGCUGUGCAUGACAACAUGGUGGUGAGAAGGAGGUGAUGGUAGUGGUUGAGAUGGGGAGGGUAUUUCGGUAAUUUCAAAUAGAGCGUAUUGGUGAAGAGAGGAAGGGGUGAUGCUGGUGGUAGAAACGUGAGAGGGAAUAAUGAGGGUAGAUUUGUAACAACGAGAAGUGAUUUGCUUGCAUAAUUCAAUGCAUGGAAACAGAUGUCCCUGACCGAAGAAUGGGACAAUCCAAAUCUCAGCCUCAGCAGCAUUCGCAACAGAGCUUGACAUCUUUUAUGAAUUAUUUGAGACUUAAUUGUUAUUGACUGCUUUUGCCAUCUUUCAUAAAACAUUCUUUGUUAUAUAUAAAGAGAUGACUUGAUGGAGAAGCAAGUGUUUUACUUUUAUAGUUUUACUAGUAGUUGAGCUCUGAUUUUGAUAAUUUGAUUGUUAGUUUUAGUUGGUUAGUUAUGAGAAAGCAUCUUUCACAAAAUUCAUUCCAGUUUCAACUAAAAUUAACAAUACUGUUCAAAUUAAUUACUGGAUCAACAAAUAGUCAUAGGCAAAUCUAUCCCUAGCGCUAGAUCUUGAACAUAAUUAUUAUCAUAAUCUCCCCUUCCCCCACCCCCCACCCCCAAAAAAAAAUUUACUAAAUAUCUUUUGUUAUAUAAUGAACAAGAUAAGUUGACGGAGAAGGGUUCUACUUUUACUAGUAAAUGAGCUUUGAGUAGUUAAGAAGGUUAGUUUUAGUUAGUUAAAUAUCUACCAUCCGAAUCAAAGUUCCUUAGACUAUUAUUCAAGUGAGAUGCUUGAGUAACAUAUACUUGUGUUAGUUGGUGCCUAACAAUUCGUGUGAUACAUGAAACCAACCACUAUGAAAUCCAAAUGAAGCUGGUAGGAUUAGAUUAAUUUAAAUGAAAAUAAAAAUUUGUUUAUGCUAUUUAUUAAUCUUAUAAUGUUGAAACUUGAAAGUUAAUUCUUCAACCUGUCAAUUGGUUCAUGACAUGGUUUAAUAUUCAAGUAAAUAAAUUUAUCGUUUAAAAUUAAUUUUUCAUGUGGUAAAAGCAAUACAAAAUAUGGGGUGGAGAGAAUAAUUUGUAGGGUAUACCCCCACCAUUUAUUUAAUUUCAUUAAAAAAAAAGAAAAGAAAUAAAGGCUUGUUCAACAUUCAAUUAAAAUUAACAAUUCCAUGAUAAAAUUACUUGAGAAUAAAAAUUAAAAAAAAAAAAGUAACACAAAAACGAGGAAUUUUUGAGUAACUGAAGAACCAUAGAUGUUUUUUGGUCAUGAGCAAUUUUUGAGUUGAGACAGAACUUGUAUAAAAAAAUAGUUUUGAAUAACUUCUUUUCUUUUUUCAUAAAUAUAGAUAUAAAAUUUUAAAGUCACCAAACACAAAACCAGGAAAAUGGAAAGGAAGCCCCUGUUUCUCCUCUGUUGCAAGAACAAAUUCGGUUUCUACAGGAGUACCUUCUAAAUGCACCAUUUGUAUUGCUUUGUUUCCACGUAAGCUAACGGAAUUUUUAAUGAAAUUAAAUAAAUACAAUCUCACUGACCGAAAAGUUCUGUAGCUGUUUCAAUUCAAUUGCAUACAUUGACGAAACAUUAAAUACGGAAAAAACAAAAAAGAAGUAAUAGGACAUGGGGAUUUCGAGAACUUCUAAAGAGAGAAAUCUAUUUAUAAGCAUUGAAAAUUAGCUCAUUAAAUUUGACAGAAUAAUAUACAAUCUCACUGUUGGCCAGAAAAUAAUAGUAAGAACUUGUGAACAUAUAUAAUCAAUUGUUUAUUACUUAAGCUCUUUUUCUUCGUUAUUUUGAAUGGGUGCAAAGAAGAGAAGUUUUGUACCCAAAUUCCAACUCGAAUUGUGUAGGCUGCUUGCAAGAGCUUCAUUAGAUUUUUAUUUGUCUUUUAAUAGUGCUACUCGAUAAAUACAGCUAGCUACCUGUCUUUUUUGUUACUGGACUAUAGAUCAAUUGACAGUUGAAGUUAUAUUAAUUUGUUGUACUGGAAUUGAAGCUUGUAUCUUAGCCAUUUCGUGAAGUGUCAAAUAUAUUUUUAAUUUCCUUAAAAUUGUUCAAAAUAUGUUUACACUUUUAAAGUCACUAUUAUACAUGAGUGCCCUAAAAUAGGAGAAGGCGAUUUGCCUGACAUUACCUGUUUCCUGUCAAAUCUAGCAGGUUUACUGAUUAGAUUUUAACAAGUCUCUUGGCAAAGUUUGCUAGAAAUGGAAUCAAAUUAUUCUAUUUAAUCUUACUGUCCAUACCCUAAUAGUUCUUGAUUUGCAUCACUGCAUCGUUCUAUAAUCUGUGUGCGUUGGCUUAUAAAGGCUAGCAAGGCUGACCAUUCGUAGCAUAGUUUUUUUUUUUUUUUUUUUCCACAAUGAAACUCCUAUUGAUUUGACUCAGUAUUUAGAGGCGUUAACGAGGGCACUAUACUAGACAUGGAUUUCUACCGCUUUUGGUUGUACAAUUGUUGUAAUCCUUGGCCAUCAAAUCAUUUUUACGUAGCUUUCUCAGAGUUCAUGCCAAGUGUACAUUAAUGUUUUUAUGUUUUGGAUGCAAGUGGGAUUCUAGUUCUCUAUGGCAGUUGAAGAGGUAAAUGGGCAUGGAGCUAUGCUCUAUCAUAGGCUUCGGCCGCUACAAGAAAUUUGAUUUCUUAAGACGAUAUUUUUUACAACUUUAAAUUUGGUCACAAAAUUGUAUUUAUUGUGACAAAUUUUUAAAAUCGUAGUUAAUAAUCUUGUCGUAACUUAUAUUGUUUUUUGUAACCAAUUGUUUUUAUUUUGAGACUUGUUCAUUGGUCAUUAAUUAAAUUUUUUUAUGACAAAAAUUAUUUUAGUCACCAAAAGAUAUAUUUUUUUGGCGCAAAAUCUUCCCUCCAAAAGUGAUUAUUUUGAGACAAUAUUUCACUAUUUAUGACAAAAUAAAUAGUCACGAAAUAUAAUGAUAGGCGACCAAAUUAUUUGGUAACUAAAAGAAGGGUGUAAAAUUGACUAAACAAUCUAUGACACAAAAUAUUAGUAGCCAAAAUUAUUGUUCUUUUGGCUAAUUUUAAGACCAUUUUUUUUUGUCAUAUAUAAUUACCUACCAUGACAAAAUUUAAAAAUAGUUGUUGAAUGUUUUGUCUUGAAUAAUUUUAUAUUUGAUAACCAAUUUUUUUUUUUCUUUUUGAGACAUAUUACUUGGUCCCUAUUUCAACUUCUUUUUGACGAACUUUAUAAUAGUCACAAAAGACUUUUUUUAUUUUUGGCAUAAAAAGUCUGUCCAAAGUUAGCUCUUUUGGGACAAUAUAUAAUCUUUUAUGACAAAAUAUAUAGUGGCGAAAUAUAAUUAUUUUUUACAAAGUUAUUUCGUAACUGAAAAAGAGGUGUAAAUAUAGUUAACCUAUUUGUGACAUAAAAUAUUAGUCUCCAAAACUAUUAUGUUUUUAGCCAAUUUUAAGACCCUAUUUUGUUGUCAUGGAUAAUUACCUAUUUUCAAAAAACUAAGAGAUAGCAAUCAAAAGUUUGUCUUGAUUGACAUUGUAUUUUAUGAGCAAAAUAUUUUGUUUCAGUGACACUUUACUUGGUCUUUGAUUAGACUUGUUUGUGAUGAUCAAUAGAAUUAUAUAAUAACCACUAAAUUUUUUUGGGUUAAAUUUUUAUAGAUACUAUUAAUUAAGUUGUUGACGAAAAUGAUCGAACUAAUACUAAUAUGGGAUACCAUCAAUAGCCGUAAUACUUAUGAAGCGAGAAAUUAUAAUAUGUAGUGAUUUAUUUAGAAUUAUUUUGACUACUUUAUUGAUUUCCAAAACAUAAAAUUCUCAACCCAAAAUUCCCCGCAUUGUGUUUUAUUUUGUCUCCUCACUCAGUUACUCUUUUAGCUAAAGUUGCUUUGGAAAAGUUGGAAUCUUUUGUUUGGGUGGAAAAUUUCCCACCAGAGAUUAGACAUGUAUUCACCUAGUUGAAGUAAUGAAAGUUUUACUUUCCCAUAAAAAAAAAAACUCACGGCUUGACAAAAAAAAGGAAAAAAAUUCUCACAGCUUGAUGGUCUCCUCUCUUUAAAAAUAAAAAUCCCUAGUUACUCUGCUCAAACUCGUUAAUAUUUGUUUCCACCACCUAAGCAGCCACUAGUAUCUUUUUUUUUCGCAAUUCACUUUUGCUGUGUUUCGUGGUUUGGAUGGAGAUCAUGACAAUAAUUGAACGAUGGUGAUAAAUAUCAAAGAAGGAGCUUACAUGCCCUAUAUAUCUCUCUUUGGAUGAAUAACGAAGGUGAACUUUCAAAGUACAGAGAUUUACAUGUUUUAAUUGUCAUUUACAUUGCUGCAUGCCCAUUGCUUGAUAAAAUACCGCAACAAACACGCAUUCUCGAUUUUCUCAUAAAUUUAUUUUCUUAGUCUGAAAAAAAAAUUGAAUGUUCAGAGAAUUUUGAAGGUUUUGGUGUAUGCAUUAAUAUUUUGAUUCUAUUUAUGUUGUUUAACUAAUGAAGAUGAUACAUCUAGCCUCUUUUUGCCCCUUGUUGUUUUUAUUCUUGUGCUUUAUAUACGGUUCAAGUGUGAUACACUUUAGUUUUUCUCAAGUGUUUGUUAGUAUUUCCCCAAGCAAAAUUUGUCACAGACUUUGAGUUCAAAAGUUGAAAUCAUAACUAACAUACUUCGAUUUUUUAUUUUCCUUUUUUCUUCGGGGUCCCAUAUAUCUUUCUAUAUGGCAUUGCUUGAGAAAUUGGUGUACUUAGAUCGUAAUAUUCUGUAGAAAUAAGCUAAUAUUUCAUUAGGUACAUUGUUUAAUAUGAUAAGUACUGUAUGGAAGUUUUACAGAUAAGCUCCUUGUAUAUUAUGCAUUAUGUUUUUAUCAUAUUGUUGCUUGGAACUUUGAAGGAUUGGCCACAGGGCUUUAGUCCUACAAGGACAUUUUAUAUUGGGAAAUUAUCAUUCGUAUACCCUAUAGAUGCUCUGUUAUAAAAAAUACUACAACACUUUGAGGGUGUAUCAAUCGUCCACAUUAAGUUGACAAAAUGUAUCUGUUGUCCACCAAACCGUUACUUGCCGUUUAAAUAGGAUAACGACAGAGGGGUAAUUUGGUCUUUUCAUAUGAUACAAGUGAUAAUUUAAGGGUAUACAAGUGAUACUUUUCAAGGGUAAAAUUGUCAAUUCGCUAUAAUUCCGUUAACUUUCAAACGGUAGCUAACGGUUUGAUGGUUGGUAGAUAGCUUUUGUCAAUUUGGGGUGGACGAUUGAUACACCCUCAAAGUGUUGAAGAACUUUUUAUAACAGAGCUUCCUACANNNNNNNNNNNNNNNNNNNNNNNNNNNNNNNNNNNNNNNNNNNNNNNNNNNNNNNNNNNNNNNNNNNNNNNNNNNNNNNNNNNNNNNNNNNNNNNNNNNNNNNNNNNNNNNNNNNNNNNNNNNNNNNNNNNNNNNNNNNNNNNNNNNNNNNNNNNNNNNNNNNNNNNNNNNNNNNNNNNNNNNNNNNNNNNNNNNNNNNNNNNNNNNNNNNNNNNNNNNNNNNNNNNNNNNNNNNNNNNNNNNNNNNNNNNNNNNNNNNNNNNNNNNNNNNNNNNNNNNNNNNNNNNNNNNNNNNNNNNNNNNNNNNNNNNNNNNNNNNNNNNNNNNNNNNNNNNNNNNNNNNNNNNNNNNNNNNNNNNNNNNNNNNNNNNNNNNNNNNNNNNNNNNNNNNNNNNNNNNNNNNNNNNNNNNNNNNNNNNNNNNNNNNNNNNNNNNNNNNNNNNNNNNNNNNNNNNNNNNNNNNNNNNNNNNNNNNNNNNNNNNNNNNNNNNNNNNNNNNNNNNNNNNNNNNNNNNNNNNNNNNNNNNNNNNNNNNNNNNNNNNNNNNNNNNNNNNNNNNNNNNNNNNNNNNNNNNNNNNNNNNNNNNNNNNNNNNNNNNNNNNNNNNNNNNNNNNNNNNNNNNNNNNNNNNNNNNNNNNNNNNNNNNNNNNNNNNNNNNNNNNNNNNNNNNNNNNNNNNNNNNNNNNNNNNNNNNNNNNNNNNNNNNNNNNNNNNNNNNNNNNNNNNNNNNNNNNNNNNNNNNNNNNNNNNNNNNNNNNNNNNNNNNNNNNNNNNNNNNNNNNNNNNNNNNNNNNNNNNNNNNNNNNNNNNNNNNNNNNNNNNNNNNNNNNNNNNNNNNNNNNNNNNNNNNNNNNNNNNNNNNNNNNNNNNNNNNNNNNNNNNNNNNNNNNNNNNNNNNNNNNNNNNNNNNNNNNNNNNNNNNNNNNNNNNNNNNNNNNNNNNNNNNNNNNNNNNNNNNNNNNNNNNNNNNNNNNNNNNNNNNNNNNNNNNNNNNNNNNNNNNNNNNNNNNNNNNNNNNNNNNNNNNNNNNNNNNNNNNNNNNNNNNNNNNNNNNNNNNNNNNNNNNNNNNNNNNNNNNNNNNNNNNNNNNNNNNNNNNNNNNNNNNNNNNNNNNNNNNNNNNNNNNNNNNNNNNNNNNNNNNNNNNNNNNNNNNNNNNNNNNNNNNNNNNNNNNNNNNNNNNGAGGAUGAAAUUUGCAAAAACCUUGUUCAUAGCUAUGGUAAUUAAGCAAAUUGAGUCUUCUUUUUUUGUUGUUUUUUAUUCACUUUUUCCUGUCCUUAAAACAAAUAAUGAGUUUUCUUGUUUUUAAUAUUUCUUAUAAACUUUAUGUUGUUUGGUAUAAAAUUAGGUAAUUGGAAAGGUCUCAUGUUGGAUGAAAUUAUCAAUUAUGUGCAGUCCCUACAGAAUCAAGUGGAGGUAACAUUGCUACUAAAAAACCUUAUUAACAUAGUUAUAAUGAAUUAAUCUUCUUUAAUAUAUUGCAAUAUUUUUUACUAUUUCUAGGUCUUUCUAUGUUGGUUUUGGAUCAUUGUAGUUGCUGAUUGUGAUUUAUUGCCGCCUAUGGUUGCUGACUUUUGUUUACUGCAGCUACUUUAUUAAAGCAAUUUUGGAUAUUGAAGUUUAUGGCCAACUUUUAUUAGAUACUUCUGACCUUUAUCGAUAUAUUUUCUGAACCUUUACACUUAAGAUGUGUGUGUGUUUUUUUUAAGUAAUUUAAUCCUUACUAACAUUUUCUAACAAAAUCAAUUACAGAAAUGAUUAGGAAAAAACAAGCAAAAUCAUUGUAAAGUGUCUUCUGCGCACCGUGGUUGCUCAAGUCUCAUGUGCAACAUGUGAAUGAAAUAGUACUUGAAAUAAUAGAGACUUUGUUUUAUGACUCUUAUAUUUACAUUUCUUUGCAAGGAACCAUACUUAAUUGUACCUAAUAGAAGAGAUAUCUUUUCACUAUAUAGUCUUAGUAUAAAAAGAUACCUCUUCUAUAAGGCACAAUUAACGGGACAUGUCUUUAUACUAAGACAUCAUUCAUAUUUAUCACACAAUAAUAGAAACUGCAACGGUAGCUGGAAUAUUAUGAAGUCAAAAUUGAGAACGACAUUAAAUCAUGAAUUCUUUAUGUGUUUACUCUAAUGCCUGACGGUAUUUAGUUCAAUUAACACAGAUUCGAAAUCCAAAUGAUUGAAGAGUUGUAUGGGUUCAAGUUCAGUAUUUAAUUACUAUAUAAUUAUACAUAAAUGUGGAUUUUGCAAUCUUGAACCCAUUUAAUUACUAAAAAAGGAUGACGAAUAGAAUUGGUGGAAAUUGACCACAAUCAUCUCUCUCUCUCGGCUUGCUCAAAUUUGGCCGAUCUGUGCGCUUGCUUAAGCUUGGCCGAUCUAUGCUUGCUCGAUUACUCUUCCUAUAUUCAGUCAGAGUCAACUGUUUGACAAGAGUCGAAGUCCAAGGUUCUUUUUUACAGGAUUUGAGCUACUUCUUUUAUUCUUCUUGCAUGUUCACUGAUAGCGGGUGGAAUUUGAGAUGUUCACUGAAGCUUUGAUGUGGUGUUCUGAUAGCGGGUGGAAUUUGAGAUUCUCCUUUCUUCUCUAUAUGAAGGUGCUUGUCAUGUGUCAAGAAAAAUAAAAUUAUUUACAAAAGAUUAUUUUAAGGAGAUUUAUUAUUAUUCGUGGAUCAGGAAGCUCAAAAAGUUUUCUUAUGUAGAACAUAAAAUGAUUUAAAUUUUGCCAUGGUAUAUCCUUUUCUUUGAUUGUGUUGUGGUUUUCCAGUUCUUGGAGAUGCAGAAGAAGUUUAUUUUGUUUUAUGGUAUCUUAUUUAUUUAUUGUUUUCACGAGGAAAUAGCUGUGCUUUUGGAAAUUAAUAUGCUGUGUUGUAAAUGUUGUGUGAAAUCCUUUUAUUGGUGUCUAUGUAAAGUGUUUCAGAUUUCAGACCUGAGAGUUAAUCUUCGCGUACCAGUUGGCUUUUGGGUUUAGUAUUGCUGCUUUUAACAUAAUUGACCUAUGGCCCAAAUCAUUUCUUAGGGCGAAGCAUAUGAAUGAUACAUAUUAUCUUUUUUUGGCCUUAUGUAUUGUUAUUUGCAGUGUGAUUUGGUCUAGCUUAAGAGCUUAAGCUUGCAAGUUGGAUUUGUCUAACAGGGAACAAUUUAAUUUGUUCAUCAUGAUGUUUAUAUCCAUUUUGUACUACUAUCAAUUUCAAUCAUGCCUAAUUUUUAUAUGUAUUUCUUGUGGACUCUCAGGUUCAGUGCACAAGAGGAUGAAGACGAUGGACACCCAAAUUUGAUGUGGAGAAUAAGUAUUGCAAAUGGUCCUUGAUUUACUUCUCCAAUUGACUUGAAUUGGUUUGACGCAAUUUAUAGUGUAUUUUUGUCAUCUUUGUAUGACUGGCAGGUCGUCCUGAUUUGGUACAUGACUGGACUCAGGAAUUGGACUCAUAUUUUUCAAACCAGAAUGCCAACAAUCAAGCAUUUUCUUUUGAAAGCACUGGCGUCUUCUUCAAUGCCAAAAAGGUUAGAGAUUUUUUGUAUCCUGUUUUGUAUUUGAUCAGUUUAGCAUGUGGGUGGCAAUCAAGAAAAGUUAUUCUAACAUUUUUGUGUUCCCGAAAAACUGCUGAUGAUGUGUAGUGCAGGAAAUGAAUUGUUUGUGACUUCUUUUUAUUCGUAUUCUUUCUUUUUUCUUUUCUCCCCAACAGGAUUAUGUAUUUCUGAAGAGCUUCUUGAAGUUGAUUACCUUGUAAGCCACUUUCUGUACUCUAUGCUCAGGAUGUGAUUUUGCCAAGCAUUAAAAUGGUUUAGGUCAGAACCAUCAUCUAAAGUUUACUUAAUGCAGCCGAGAAGCUGUAGUAGAGCAAUGAAGGCUGUUGGUGUUAUGAAGGCCAGCUGUGAAGAAAUAUUUGAACUUGUAAUGAGCAUGGAUGGGACACGAUACGAGUAUGCUUCUUUUCUAUUUUUUAAUUUUAGUUAUUUUAACAUAAUCAAGACUAUAUUGGCUGUCUCUGUAAGCUGAGUAUUAUAUUUCCUCUUGUAUGCUGUGAAAUUCACAUUGUCUCCAGUCCCGAUUCUGUAUGUGCCUUUUUGAAUAUAUUUAAUUAAUCUGCAUGGUGCUUUCUAAAGAUUAUUACAAACUUUUGUUGCUUAAGUAUAUGAAGAAUGUGGAAAUGAAAAUAGCUUUUGAAGUUUGAUGGAUUGCUUCAUUAAUAAAGAAAGACUGGGACUCAUUUUUAUAACUUUUCUCCACUUAGCUAAUGGUAUUUGAUGAAGACAAAAUAGAUGUAGCUAUCUGUAUUUUUUGUUGCUGAACUAUAGAUCAAUUGACGGUUGAAGUUAGUUAUAUUAAUUUGUUGUACUAGAAUUAAAGCUUGUAUCUUAGCCAUUUCAUGAAGUGUCAAAGACGUUCAUGUUUUUUAAAAAAAACAUGUUACACUUUUGAAGUCACUAUUACAUAAAAGAGUGUUCUAAAACAGGAGAAGGCGUGCUGCCUGAAAUUACCUGUUUCCGAUUUUAACAAGUCUCUUGGCAAGGUUUGCUAGUAAUGUGUUCAAAUUAUUCUAUUUAAUUUUACUGUCUGUACCCUAAUAAUUCUUGGUUUGCACCAUUGCAUUGUUCCAUAAUCUCUGUGCGUUGGCUUAUAAAGGCCAGCAAGGCUGAUCAUUUGUCAAAUAGUUAUUUCCAUGAAAUUCCUAUCAAUUUGACUCAGUAUUUAGAGGUCUUGAAGAGGGCAGUGUACUAGACGUGGAUUUCUUCCUCUUUUGGUUGUACAAUUGUUGUAUUUCUUGGCCAUCAGAUCUUUUUUAUGUAUCUUUCUCAAAGUUCAUGCCGCACGUACACCGUUUUUCAUGUUUUGUGCAGGUGGGAUUGUAGUCUUUUGUAUCGCAGCUUAGUUGAAGAGGUAGAUGGUCAUACGGCUAUUCUCUAUCAUAGGCUUCAGCUGGACUGGUUUCCAAUGUAAUAGUCUCUUGAUUCAAUCAUCUCAUUUAUGCUUUGGUCAGAAUAGAACAUUUAUUGUUUUCUUCUUUCCCCUUUCAUGUCUUCUGAUAUAAUAUGUGAGGAAAUUACCUAAAAUUUCUGUAUCCCAAUGUAAUUGUUGGAAUUCAGAAAUAAAAUAAAUACACCGUCUUGUUUUUCCCUCGGUUCAGUCCUAAGUUCUCUUUGGGCCUUCUGCAAGUUUUUAAACAUACUGUGACAGUAAAAAAUCUAGUGAUUGAGAUCAUUUUGAUGAAUUUAAUUUUAAUUCUUAGCUGAUACUUUUUCUGGAAUUUUUUUUCUUAUGUUUCCUCAAUAUGACUUAAAUAUAGGGCUUAGUUUGGUUUAGAAGUUCGUCUAAAACCUUCUCCUUGAUUCCAAAAAAAUUCUCUAGAAAGGUCUCAGAUGGAUUUUAGGGGAGUUCUGUGGCAAAUUUGAAAAGUUCAGGGGAAGGGUCUAAUGAAUUUUAAAACCACAUGGGUUAUCUGUUUUAUUCAGAGGAUAGUGGAAUUCCCUGAAAUUUAUCAUUUUUAUUUAAAUAAUCUUCCUACUUUCCUCUGCGGAAUUUAUUUACAUUUAUGAAUUCAUUUGGUUGCAGGUUUGUUUGGCCCCGCGGCCUUUGUUAAGUACGUUAUUGGCGUUGAAAUGACGCUGCGAGUUAUGGUAAGGUUCUUGCUUCCCCACUUCUUGAAAUUAAAUCUAUCUUUUCUGGCACUAGAAGUUUCCAUAAGCUGUGUUUUGUUAUCGCGCAGUUGUGUUAUUUCAUUCUAGGGAGCAUGAGAACUGUGGUCCACAGCCAGGAUAUGUACGAGCUCACGUGGAGAGUUAGUUUUCUGUCCUUUACUUUGGUUGAUGUAGAGAAUUAACAAGUGACUAAGUCAUGCCAAGUUGCACCACUUGCUUCCUGUAUUCUGAUUUCUCAGGUGGUGGAUUCAACAUUUCCCCACUCAAACCUCAAAAUGGUAGGCCCAGAACACAAGUACAGCAUCUUAUGCAGAUUGAUCUAAAAGGGUGGGGUGUUGGUUAUGUGUCAAUGUUUAGCAACACUGUCUUCUUCAGAUGUUAAAUAGCAUUGCUGGUAAGUUUCUUGCUUUCACAUUUUAUUUUGCGCUGUUAUGGGUUAAUAUGUUUCUGUUGGGUGGCCAUUUUAAGUCAUAUUUUUACGUGUUACUGUAUUUUCUUCAGUCCUUUUAUAGGGAACACACACAUACACGUAUGUAGAGUCACCUUUUAAUGAGGGAUCUACCAUUUUAAUAAAAUGAGGAAUGAGCUAAAAGAUAAAAAUUCACGAACUCCAAUGCAAUAUGUGUGUGUGCGUGUGCACACCUUUUCUAACUCUUGUUCUUAGUUAGAUAUUUUUCGGGAUUUCAGGCAAAUGAAAAAAGAGAUUAAGAGAAAGAGAAUAGGUGGAUGAUAACUUAAAUAUUCAUUUUUAUAUAUUUUGUUAAUGUCCUCUUUAAUGGAUUUCUAUGGAAUUAAUCUUUUUUUUUCAAUUAGUUGCAGCCCUAGAGGAAAAGUAGGGUGAUCAAAUUGAUUUAUCUCAUUUUUUUUUAGCAAUUUGCGACAUAAUGACCGUGAUAAUGCUUGUGACUGCUGGAAACUUUCUGAUGGAAAUAACUUCAGAGUUCGUAGCAAGCAUUUUUGUUAUGACAAAACAAAGGUUCCCGCGAAUUUUGGUUGUUGUUAGGCCACAAGUGCGUUUCACAUAUGCAAGGCGCAAGGGUAAUUCCGGAAAUACCAAUCGUGGCUGACGUGUCAUCAAGUAGUAUAGAGAGAAGAGUUUGUUAUGCAUUUCUGUUAGUGAUAAGUUGAUGGUAUUCUGUUUUGAUAAUUUGUUAGAGUUUUCUAUUAUUCUAUUUGGGCGUAAAAGUGAGGAGGUUAUAUGGAGAGGAGCUGUUUUUUGGGAAGGGGAUCUAGAGAAUUAUUUUGUAGUGAGCUUGCUCAUUUUGGGAGAGAUACCAAGCCUCUCGAAUGCUUGGGUGUUUUGGUUUAUUUCUGCAGAUAAAUACCAGUUUUCCUACUUCCAACAACAUUCUGUUCUCUACUGUGUUGUUUAUCUAACCAUUUCAGUUCAGGGCUUAUCAAAUUGGUAUCAGAGUAGUCACGUACCUAGAAAAUGACUGGCAAAAAUGUUGCUCAACGAAUGGAUUCCAUAGAGGAGGCGAUGGGUGCUGCGUAGGAGGAGUUUCAACGGGAAAUGAGAUCGUUGAAGGAUGAAAUAUAGAUGAUGAACAAACGAUUCGAACAGUUCAUCAAACUUCAAGAGGAUACGGGAGGUUCGUAUUCGAAUAAAAGGGAAAAGAUGCUCAGCCCCAACUUCGGCGGGUUGAGCUCAAGCGGAACUAGCCAUGAUUUCCGAUUCCGGAAACUUGAGAUGCCACUGUUCGAUGGCUCAAAUCUGGAUGGCUGGAUCUGAAGGCUGAACGAUAUUUUUCCGUAAAUCGGUUAUCCAAUGAAGAAAAACUUGAGGCAGCGAUAAUAGCUUUCGAGGGAGAUGCCCUGUUGUGGUAUCAAUGGGAGAAUAGGAAGAGAUCCAUGAUGGUUUGGGAAGAGAUGAGGCUACUAAUCUUGAAACAAUUCCGAGUAAUCCAAGCCGAUUCUCUCCAUGAACAAUGGCUAGCCCUUACUCAAGAUAGCAGUGUGCGAGAAUACCGCCGGAAAUUCAUCGAACUUUCGGCGCCGUUGGAGAACAUUACAGACGAACUAGCUCUGGGAAAUUUUAUCAAUGGGUUGAAGCCUGAAAUUCGGGUCGAGGUUCGGAUCAUGGAACCCAGUAAUUUGGGCCGGGCCAUGGACUUAGCCCAAAAGAUUGAGGAGAAACUGUGGGUGACCAAGGCCCACAAAGCAGACGGUGGGUUUCAUCGAGCAGGAGGGUCAACGCGAGGUGUGAACUUCCAUUCUGAAGCUUCGCAAUCUUCGUUUGGGGCAAAUCAUAACACGGCCCGAUUUUCGGGAGAGGUUAGGAGGUUGUCCGAUUCAGAAUUACAGAAGAAAGAGAGAAGGGACUAUGUUAUCGAUGUGAUGAAAAGUGGGCACCUGGGCAUCGCUGCAAGAAGAAAGAAUUGACUGUCCUUCUCACCUACGACAUGGACGAAGCAGAGCAGGAAGAGGAAGAAGGUUCGGGUGAAGGCGAUCCCGAACUGGAAACGGCCGAAAUUAAUCAAGGGAUAGAGGUCUCUCUUAACUCGGUGGUUGGUCUGACUACACCAAAGACGAUGAAGCUUAAGGCGUCUAUCGGGGAGCAAGAGGUGGUGGUACUGAUUGAUUCAGGUGCAACCCACAAUUUUAUUUCUCUAGAUUUGGUUAGUAAGAUGCAGAUACCCAUUGUUAAAACUGAGGCUUAUGGGGUGACUAUGGGUACUGGAGCGGCUGUAAGGGGAUAAGGUUUAUGUCGGGGAGUGACUAUUCAUCUACAGGGAAUAGAUAUUGUAGAGGAAUUCUUGCUGCUUGGGUUGGGGAGCUCGGAUGCUAUAUUAGGAGUUCAGUGGCUUGAAACUUUGGGGAUGACACACACAAAUUGGAAGACACAAGUGAUGAAGUUCAUGCUCGGAAAUGAAUCUGUUACUCUACGAGGGGAUCCUUCCCUUGGCAAGACUUUGGUUUCAUUGAAGGCAAUGAUGCGCACCAUUAAGCACGAGGGAGCUGGAAUUCUGGUGGAAUGUAAUCAAUUUGAAGGUCUGUGCGAAGUGAGCCCUGAGGUGCCACCGAAUCUAAACCAAGUCCUAGCAGAAUAUGAAUUGGUUUUUAACAUGCCCAUGGGCUUACCACCUACUAGGGGACAUGAGCAUUCCACUUUGCUCAAAGACGGCAGUCAACCUGUUAGUGUCCGACCAUACCGCUAUCCUCAUGCCCAGAAGGAUGAGAUUGAAAGACUGAUUCAGGAGAUGUUAGAUGCGGGAAUAAUCCAAGUCAGCAAUAGUCCAUUCUCGAGCCCAGUUUUGUUGGUUAAAAAGAAAGACAGAUCAUGGCGUUUUUGUGUGGAUUACAGGGCUCUCAACAAAACGACGGUACCAGAUAAGUAUCUCAUCCCUGUCAUUGAUGAACUCCUAGAUGAGUUACAUGGUGCCAGAAUUUUUUUCCAAGCUAGAUUUAAAUUUGGGCUACCAUCAAAUCAGAGUCAGUAGUCAGGAUGUUCAUAAGACUGCUUUUCGAACGCAUGAUGGACACUACAAGUUUCUCGUCAUGCCUUUUGGACUAACGAAUGCCCCGUCGACUUUCCAAUCCUUGAUGAAUGAUGUCUUCUGGCCUUAUCUUCGGAAGUUUGUUCUAGUGUUCUUUGAUGACAUUCUAAUUUACAGCCCUUCAGUGGAAUCCCAUCAGCAGCACUUGGCUCUCGUCUUGGGAAUAUUGCAGGCCAACAGCCUUUAUGCCAACCGAAAAAAAUGCGAGUUUGGAAGAACUCAAGUGGCAUAUUUAGGCCAUAUCAUCUCUGGACAAGGGGUGGCAGCGGAUCCAAGUAAAAUCCAAGCCAUUAACUUGUGGCCAACGCCCACUAAUCUGAAAGCGUUAAGGGGAUUUCUGGGAUUGACGGGGUAUUAUAGAAAGUUUGUGGCUGGGUAUGCUAGAAUCGCAUCGCCAUUGACUGAUCAGCUCAAGAAAGAUAGGUUUGGGUGGAGUCCAGAAGCUGCAGCGGCAUUUGAAGAACUCAAACAAGCUAUGUCUUCAGUCCCUGUGUUGGCAAUGCCUGAUUUCACAAAGCCAUUUAUUGUUGAGAAUGAUGCAUCUGGUUUUGGGUUAGGAGUUGUUCUACUACAGGGGCAACAACCAGUAGCUUACUACAGCCAAGUUUUGGGGCCCCGGGCUCGUCUUAAGUCCAUAUAUGAGAAAGAACUAAUGGCCAUAGUGUUUGCAAUCCUGAAAUGGCGGUCGUACUUGCUGGGAAGGCGAUUUAUUGUGCGAACAGACCAACAGAGCUUAAAAUUUCUUUUGAAGCAGAGGAUUGUUGGAGUUGAAUAUCAAAAAUGGAUCACCAAAAUCAUGGGAUAUGAUUUUGAUAUUCAAUAUCGUAUUGGGGCUGUUAACAUAUAUGUUUCCAUAAUAUUGAUUUUGAUGAUAACAAAAAAGAUUAAAAAUGAUUAAUCUUUUAAGCUCAAAUUAUUUUUUAUACAUUUUAAAUAAAUCAUUAUUUUUAUAUUAUAAAGGUUUUAUAUUUAAUGGAAAAAUGAUUUUAUGAAAUUGGUUGUUUUUCAAGUUUAUGAUUUAAUUGAAAGAGUUUUUGAAAACUUUGAAAUCAACAAGUAUUGCUUGAAAUUUUAGAGAAUGACUUAUUUUAAAAGUGUCAUAGCAUUUUGGGCUAUAUCAUAAUUUCAGAAAGUUUUGGGAUUAACAAAGCAUUACUUAGAAAUUCUGAAAUUGGACCUAUUUGUAAACUUUCAUAACAUUUUGGGCCAUACUGUAGUUUUAUAAAGUUUUGGGGUCAAACUAUAAUUUUAAAAAAUAGUGCACUGUGCAGGUUACUGUACCAAUCACUGUAGCAAAUGGCUAACCGUUUAUUUAAAAACGGCUAACCGAUAAUUUCCAGAAAGCAUGUUCUGCAAAGUAUUGUUAAAAUGAUGAUUCUGGAAACUAACGGUGAACCGUUUACUGAAAACGGUUAACCGAUUAUUUCCAGAUUGUUAACCUUGAACCGUUUAGUAAGAACGGUUAAACCAAAUUUGUUUUGCAGGUCUCUGGAAAUUAACGGCGAAAGGGUAAGCCUAAACGGCUAAUCGUUUAUUUAAAAAUUGGCCCAACGGUAACUUUGACCGGCCUAAACGGUUAACCGUUAAUGGUUAACGGCGAACCGUUUUCGAGCAAACAGUCUAUAACGGCUAGUUUUUCAGCUCCAACUAUAAAUAAGCUCAAUCCAAUUCAAACAAGAAGAAUUCCAACGAUCAUCAUUGAGCAAAAUAUUGAGAAUAUAACUUUCAUUGAGCUUUAAAUCCUUGUAUUCAUCUCAUUCAUUCACACAUUGAGCUUUCACUUGUGAUUAAACACAUUGUGUGAGAGAGAUUUAUUUGUAAUCCUUUUUGUAAAAUCAAGUUAAAAGAUUGUAAGUGUUGGGAUACACUUGGGUUAAGAGAUUGGGGAUAAUCUCUUGUUGUAAAGGUCCAUUGACACCUUGGAAGUCAAUUGUAAGCGUUUGAAGCCUUGGGAGGCUAGCUUAGUGAAAUCCUCAAGCUCGGUGAGCUUGGAGGCAUGGACGUAGGCGGGGAUUGCCGAACCACGUAAAAAUCAUUGUGUUUGUUUUCUCUUCCCUUACUCUUUUAUAUUGUGAUUGAUUUAUUUGUUAUUGCUUUAAAUUAGUUUUGGAUUUGCAUUGAGUUUUGUUUUAGAAUUGAAUAAUUUUUAAUAUCCCAAUUCACCCCCCUCUUGGGUUGCCUAGUUAGUAUUUCAUUUGGUAUCAGAGCGAGGUGUUCUUGUGUAGACUUAACCGUCUAGAGUUAAAGAUCCAUGGCAACCUAUAGUGACUCAACCUUUAGGGAAGGACAAUCCACAAUUAGACCACCGUUCUUCGACGGUAAUGACUACCCAUAUUGGAAAACUAGGAUGAGAAUUUAUUUACAAGCUUUAGAUUAUGAAAUUUGGGAAAUUGUUUGUGAUGGUCCAUUUAUGCCUUUGACUAAAAACGAAGUUGGGGAAGAUAUUCCAAAACCUUCACGGGAAUGGAAUGAAUUGGAAAAGAGAAAAGCUUCUCUAAAUUCCAAAGCCAUGAAUGCCUUGUUUUGUGCACUUGAUAAGAAAGAGUUUCAUAGAGUGUCUAGUUGUGAAAGUGCUAAUGAAAUUUGGCACAAACUUGAAGUUGUUUAUGAAGGCACGAAUCAAGUGAAAGAGUCUAAAAUUAGUAGGUACACUCGGCAAUAUGAAUUGUUCCAAAUGGAACAAAAUGAGAGUGUGUAUUCUAUGAAUACUAGAUUUACGGACAUAGUGAACACUCUAGGAGCCCUAGGAAAGACCUUUUCAAAUAGCGAGAAAGUUAAGAAAAUCAUUAGGUCGUUACCUAAGAAAUGGAGACCAAAAAGGACUGUCAUUGAGGAAGCUCAAGAUUUGAAUAUCUUACCUAUUGAUGAUUUAAUUGGUUCUCUUAUUUCUUAUGAGGAAGACAUGGCAGCCGAAAGAGGCAAUGAGGAGAAGAAGAAAAGCAUUGCUCUCAAAGCCUCGAAACAUGAGAGUGAUGAGGAAAGCGAGCUGGAUGAGGAGGAGAUGGAUAUGCUGGCUAGGAGGUUCAGAAAACUUUUUAAGAAAUCCGAUGAGCGAAGAAAAUUUAGAGACCUCAAGAACCGAAAGGAGAAGAAGGAAGUAAUCAAAUGUUAUGAGUGCAAGAAGCCUAGCCAUAUAAGAACGGAAUGCCCUCUUCUCAACAAGCUGAAGAAGAAAGCAAUGAUAGCCACAUGGGAUGAUAGCGAUGAGGAAACAAGUGAUGAUGAAGAGCAUCAAGAAAUGACAAAUCUAGCUCUCAUGGCAAUUGGAGAUGAAUCGAAUGAUGAACUUGAUGAGGUAAAUGAUCUUUUUACUUAUGAUGAAUUAUAUGAUGCUUUUAAAGAAUUACAUGAUAAUUGGAUAAAAAUUGGUAAAAAGAAUGCAUGUCUUAAAAAGAAAAUGGUAGAGCUCAAAAAUGAAAAUGAAUCUCUAUGUGCAAAGAUUACAUGCCUAGAAUUAGAGAAUAAAACAUUGCAUGAUAGAGUUGCAUUAUCAAAUGAGAAACCUAGUACUUCACAUGAGCAUCUAGAAUAUCACAUAGAUGACUUGAAAAAUGAAAAUGAAAUGCUUAAGAAGAAGAGCAAUGAGUUAAAUGAGAUUGUUUUAAGAUUUACAAAUGGACAAAAGAUGUUGGAUAACUUGAUUAAUUCACAAAAAAUGUGUGUUUGAUAAAGGAGGACUUGGUUAUAAGCCACAUUUGAAACAAAAGUAUUAUAGGAACUACUUUGUGAAGAGUACAUCUACUAACAAUCAAGUUGUAUGUCAUUAUUGUAAUCAAAACGAUCACAUGAAGCUUGGUUGUCCUAUUAAAAGAAAAGUAUAUUAUGGAGUAAAAUGUGUUUUGGUUCCAAAAGGAAAAAUUGCUAACACUCAAGGACCCAAGAGUAUUUGGGUACCAAAGGGCACAACGUGAAUGUUUUCUUUGUAGGUACCACAAUCAAGGAAUGGUGGAGAGUUCCUUGAUGAAAGCUUGUGAGGAUAAUCACUUGAGUAUGAUCUAGGAGAAAAAGAUGAGGCAAGAUGAUUUAAUUGUUUUGGUAACAAUUUUUGCCAUAUUAAUUUUGUUGAAUGAAUCAUGAUAAAUGAAUUUGCGAAAAUAUGCUUGUAUGUUUACAUGAUGGAAUUAUCAUUGUGUAUAACAUUGAGUGAUUUAUCAUGAUGCCUUUGUUUGAUUUUGAUGAUUGUAUGGUCUUUGAUUUCAUCUUCUUAAUUGUCUAUCAUCAUUGUCCAUCUCUUAUAAAUGUGUGAAUUCAUAUGCCAUUAAUUGUGUUAUAUCAUCAUUCAUGUAUAAAAUUGAACUUAGAAAUUAUGAGGAAAAAGUAGUAUCCUUCAUCUUUACAAUCAGUACAAGGAUCCCUUUUAAAUAGAGCAAUUAUAACAGAAAAGGAAACUAAUUAAGAGCUAAUAUUUGACAGCUAUCAUCUAUAUUUACAGAGGAAAGGAUCCUACAAUAUCUCUAGGAUUAAGGCUAAAUUCAAGGCCUAAUUUCCAACACUCCCCCUCAAGCUGGUUUGAAGAUAUCUUCCAUAGCCAGCUUGCUAGUCAACUUAUCAAAUUGCUUCUUGUGCAAUCCCUUUGUUAAUACAUCAGCUAACUGUUCAGUUGUUGGAAGAUAUGUCAUACAUAUUAUUCCAGUGUUGAGUUUCUCCUUGAUGAAGUGUUUAUCCACUUCUAUAUGUUUUGUUCGAUCAUGAAGAACUGGAUUAUGAGCUAUAGAAAUAGCAACUUUGUUGUCACAAUAGACUUUCAAAGGAGUUGAGAAAGUAAAUUUCAGUUCUUCAAGAAUUCUUUUUAUCCACAUAACCUCGCAGAUUCCAUGGGCAACAACUCUGAAUUCUGCUUCUGCACUACUUCUAGCAACCACAUUCUGUUUUUUACUCCGCCAUGUAACUAGGUUCCCACCAACAAAGGAACAGUAGCCAGAUGUUGAUCUCCUGUCAGUGACACUUCUUGCCCAGUCUGCAUCUGUGUAGACUUCAACUUGAAGAUGUCCAUGUUUUUUGAACAUUAGGCCCCUCCCUGGAGUUCCUUUUAGGUAUCUUAAGAUCCUGUAGACUGCCUCAAAAUGCUCUGCCCCUGGUGAGUGCAUAAACUGACUUACCAUGCUGACUGCAAAGGCGAUAUCAGGUCGCGUAUGAGACAAGUAGAUCAACUUCCCUAUGAGUUUUUGAUACUGUUCCCUAUCCUUUACUUCUUCAACCUUAGCAGGUUGUAACUUCAAGUUAGGAUCAAUUGGGGUCUCUACCAUCUUACAACCAAGCAAACCUGUUUCUCCAAGGAGAUCAAGAACAUAUUUCCUCUGAUUCACAAAUAUACCUUCCUUGGAUCUUGCAAAUUCCAUUCCAAGGAAAUACUUAAGGACUCCCAAAUCCUUAAUUUGAAACUUCUUUGCAAGUCUCUUCUUGAGGGCUGCUAAUUCUGUUUCAUCAUCACCAGUUAAAAUGAUAUCAUCAACGUAAACAAUCAAAAUUGCAAUUUUACCGUCUUUUGAGUGUUUAUAAAAUAUUGUGUGAUCUCCUUGACUCUGCAAGAAGCCAUAACUGAUAACUGCCUUUCCAAAGCGUUCAAACCAUGCUCUUGGUGACUGUUUGAGACCAUAUAAUGACUUUCUUAAUCUGCAGACUUUAUCACUACCAAGACUCUUCUCAAAUCCUGGUGGUAGACUCAUGAACACCUCCUCUUUAAGAUCACCAUUGAGAAAUGUAUUUUUAACGUCAAGUUGGUGUAAAGGCCAAUCACAAUUCACUGCAAGAGAUAACAAAAUUAUGAUAGAAUUUAUUUUAGCAACAGGAGUAAAAGUCUCAUGAUAGUAAAUCCCAUAAGUCUGAGUGAAGCCUUUAGCCACCAGCCUCGCCUUGUACCUCUCAACGCUUCCAUACGCGUUACAUUUUAUCCUAAACACCCACUUACACCCAACUAUUUUCUUGUCUCUGGGUGGAUCAACUAUCUCCCAAGUACCACUUCUCCUCAAGGCAUUCAUCUCCUCCAUGACUGCUAAUUUCCAAUUCGGGUCAUCCAGUGCUUCCUGUACAUUUCUUGGAACAAACAAGUGUGAAAUCCUAGAUGUGAAAGCUUUAUGGUUUUUUGACAGUCUUUGAUAGGAAAGAUAAUUUGCAAUAGGAUGUUUGGUGCAGUUUCGAACACCUUUCCUAAUAGCUAUAGGGACAUCAAGAUCAGAAAUAAUUGGUGAAUUAUUGGAAACAAUCGAAGGAAUCAAAGCUGGAGUUGGGAUUUGAUUACCUGAAAUUUCAGUGCCGGAACUCAGUUUUUCAAAUUGGGCUUGUGUAGGAUUGACAUUCAAGUCUUUACUUCUCAGAUGAAAUCUCUUCCUAGUAUAAACCUGAAGUUCAGAAUUUAGAUCAUGUUGAUCUGUUUGUAGUACUUCUCCCCCUGAACGAGAAUCCCUUGUACUAGGCUCUAAAGAACUUGUUUUUCUCAACUGAUCAUUAUCAGAAAAGUGUGGUCCUUGAAUAGGACAAAUAACAUUUGGAAGUGGGAUAGAAAUGUCCCAAAAAUUGUCUUCUACUCCAUUUGUCUCCCCCUGAAGAGAAUUUUUUAUGAAAUAAGGAGUUUUUUCCAAAAACGACACAUCCAUACUCACAUGAAAUGUUUUUGUUUGAGGGUCAAAACACUUAUACCCCUUUUUGUUCGAUGAAUAACCCAAAAAUACACACUUUAUAGCACGUGGGUCAAGUUUUGAACGAAAUUGACUUGGAACAUGAACAUAGACAGUACACCCAAAAACUUUGACGGGUAAAUCAGAAAACAACCUUGUUGCAGGAAAAAAUUCUUUAAGGCAAUCAAGAGGUGUUUUGUAUUUUAACACCUUGGUAGGCAUCCUGUUUAUUAAAUAAGCUGCUGUUAAAACCGCUUCACCCCAUAAAUACUUAGGAAUAUGCAUGUAAAACAUUAUGGCACGUGCUACCUCAAGUAAAUGUUUAUUUUUCCGUUCUGCAAUGCCAUUUUGUUGAGGGGUAUUCCGACAUGUAGAUUGAUGAAAAAUGCCUUUAUCAUUCAAAUACUCACCCAAGUGCUCAUUGAAAUAUUCUGUUCCAUUGUCAGAAUGUAAAAUACCAAUUCUAGUUUGAAAUUGAUUUUCAAUCAUAGUGUAAAAAUUUUCAAAUAAAUAUUUUACGUCAGAUUUUUUAUGCAUGAGAUAAAUCCAACAUAAACGAGUAUGGUCAUCAAUAAAAGUAACAAACCAUUUUUUACCGGAAAGGGUAGUGACCUGAGAAGGACCCCAAACAUCACUAUGAAUCAAAUAAAAAGGUUUGGAGGCCUGGUACUGUUUUGGCAAAUAAGUAGAACGAUGAAGUUUUGCAAAAGUGCAACAUUCACAAUAAAAAGAAGAGCAAUCAAUCCCUUUAAAUAAUUCUGGAAAUAAGUAUUUCAAAUAAAGAAAACUAGGAUGUCCUAGUCUAUAGUGCCAUAGCAUUAUUUUUUCUCGAACAGAAAUUGAACUAGUACUAAUAAAGUUCUGAGCUUUUUUAUUACUAAUAGGUACUUCAUCAAAGUAGUAAAGACCUUCAAUCAUCCUAGCACGUCCAAUCAUCAUCCCCGAGUUCUGGUCCUGAAAUUCACAAUGUGAUUCAAAUAAGGUAAUACGACAAUUAGAAUCUCUAGAUAAUUUACUAACAGACAAAAGACUGCAGGCUAAUUUAGGGACAUGAAGAACAAAAUUGAGAUUAAUUUUCUCGGUCAGUUUGAUAAGUCCUUCUCCUGCAAUAGGUGAAAAACUACCAUCGGCAAUUCUAAUUUUUUUAUUUCCAGAACAAGGAGAAUAGGUAUUAAAUAAAUGAAAAGAACUAGUCAUGUGAUCAGAGGCUCCAGAAUCUAUGAUCCAUGGAGAAGAGUUUAAACAAGAAAGGGCUAUAGGAUUUCUACCUGUUUUUGCCAAAGAAACACUAGGAAUACCAGACGAGAAGUUGGAUUUUAUCAGCUUCAGGAGUUGAUCAAUCUGCUCUUUGUUAAAGUGGCCUGAGUUGGCUUCAUUGGCCGAAGGAAUCCCACGAUUCUUCUCUCCUUGCUUGCUGCUUUUCCAGUUUUCAGGUUUGCCAUGAAGCUUCCAACACUUCUCACGUGUAUGGCGAGGCUUGUGGCAAUGAUCGCACCAGGCCUGUGACUUAUCAUCAGACCUGCGCUGAUAAUUUGCAGUCUUGUAGGCUGCUGCAUCAGUAAUUAAGGCAGAAUUCUCAAUUGACUCACCGGCACUCCUUUUCCUGAGCAUUACGCUCCUUCGACUUUCUUCUCUUCUGACUUCAGCAAAGACUUCGCCAAUGGGUGGUAGAGGAGGUCUGCCAAUAAUCCUCCCUCGUACUUCAUCAAACUCAACAUUGAGGCCGGCAAGAAACUUGUAAAUACGACUGUCUUCCACGGUUUUCUUGUGGUGGUUGCAGUCAUCAGCGGAUUUCCAUUCAUAUGUGUUGAAGAGGUCAAGAUCUUGCCACAACCUUUUCAAAGAAUUGAAAUAUUUGGUGACAGAAUCAUCACCUUGACGAAUCUCUCCCAACCUUAAAGUUAACUCAAAAACCUGAGAUUGGUUGCCCAGGUCAGAAUACAUCUGACUAACGUUGUCCCACAAUUCUUUAGCAGUAGGAUAGCACAUAUAAUUGGAGCUUAUAUCCUCCUCCAUGGAGUUGACCAGCCAUGUCAUAACCAUGGAAUUUUCAGCAUCCCAAGUGGCAUACAGCGGAUCAUCAUUAGCAGGAACCUUCUUGUCACCAGUGAUGUAACCAAUUUUUCCUUGCCCACGGAUAUACAUCCGGACAGAUUGCGACCAGCGGAGGAAGUUGUCGCCAUUUAAGCGGAUGGUGGUGAUUUGAACAGAAUGAGAGUUGGAGUGGUUUCGCAGGGUCUCAGAUGUUUUUUCUGGAAUGGCAGCAGCAAGGGUUUGAGUGGUUUCAGACGUGACUUCUGACAUGGUUGCAGACACGAUUCCCUAUGCUCUGAUACCAACUUAGAAAUUAUGAGGAAAAAGUAGUAUCCUUCAUUUUUACAAUCAGUACAAGGAUCCCUUUUAAAUAGAGCAAUUAUAACAGAAAAGGAAACUAAUUAAGAGCUAAUAUUUGACAACUAUCAUCUAUAUUUACAGAGGAAAGGAUCCUACAAUAUCUCUAGGAUUAAGGCUAAAAUCAAGGCCUAAUUUCCAACAAUUGACAUUAUUGUUUGAUACGAUUUCAUAUGUUUGGUCUUGUAUACAUUUAUGCCUCAUGCAUUAAAAUGGCUUAUAAAACAUUUUUGGAUCAAUUAGUUAGUAUUUCAGGGGCAAGUAAUCGAGUAACGGAUGCACUCUCACUCUUAACAGAACCAGCAGAGUGUUCAGCUUUGGCGAUUCCUCAGUGCCAACAUUGGGAUUCCUUAAAGGUUGAGUUGGCAGAGGAUACCUUUCUGAAGAAACUAAGGGAAGACAUAACUUCGGGUACACAAUCUCACGUGGGGUUCUCAGUUGAGCAUGGAGUAUUGUUCUACAAGAGUCGGCUGGUUAUUCCUCAGACUACUAAGCUUCUUUUUGCUCUCAUAGGAGAGUUUCACACCACUCCGAUUGGGGGACAUUCGGGAGAAACAAAAACUUACCAACGCUUAGCAGCAGAAUUGUAUUGGAUAGGUAUGCGCAAGGAUGUCACCAGAUUUGUACGGGAAUGCACCAUCUGCCAGCAGAAUAAGUACUUGGCCACUACUCCCGCAGGGUUACUUCAACCUAUUCGACUACCAGCCCAGGUUUGGGAGGAAGUCACACUUGAUUUUAUUGAGAGGUUGCCUCGUUCUGAAGGGUGGGAUGCCAUCUUAGUAGUGGUGGACAGGCUGAGUAAGUAGGCUCACUUCAUAGGAUUAAAACAUCAUUUUUCUGCUGUUUCGGUUGCUGGAAUCUUUGUUCGUGAAAUUGUUAGGCUUCAUGGGAUACCACGGUCAAUUAUCUCUGACCGAGAUAGGAUAUUCUUGAGCCAUUUUUGGAGUGAAUUGUUGAAGCUGCAGGGAACUACUCUCAAAAGAAGCACCGCCUAUCAUCCACAAUCUGAUGGACAAACAGAAGUUGUCAACCGUUGUUUGGAAACGUAUCUAUGCUGCUUUGCUUCUGGAAAACCUCGAAGUUGGGCUCGCUCGUUGGCAUGGGCUGAGUAUUGGCAUAAUACUUCCUUCUACUCUUCUACACAUUGUACUCCAUUUCGUGCUCUCUAUGGAAGGGAUCCACCCCCUCUUAUUCGGUAUGAGCAAGGAGCUGCUUCGGUAUCUUUGGUAGAACAGUUAAUGGAGGAUCGUGAUGCCAUACUGGACGACCUGAGGAUGCAGUUGCUUCGUGCCCAGCAGCGGAUGAAGCUGCAAGCUGAUCAAAAGCGCCAUCAUGUAGAGUUCAAUGCAGGUGAUUUGGUAUUUCUGAAACUAAGACCUUACCGGCAGCGCUCCCUCGCUCAACGUAAGUUUGAGAAAUUAGUUGCACGUUACUACGGUCCAUUUAAGGUUCUUCAGCGUGUCGGGAAGGUGGCAUACAAACUAGAACUGCCUCAAACAGCAAAACUCCACCCUAUCUUUCAUGUUUCGCAGUUGAAAGAUAAGGUUUCAAACAACAAACUACAUACUAGUUUUCCUACUUCCAACAACAUUCUGCUCUCUACUGUGUUGUUUAUCUAACCAUUUCAGUUCAGGGCUUAUCAGUUGUUUCUUAUGGUAUUUAUAUAUCCGACAUAUUCUAGUUCGACAUGUAACGAUGUAGUUUGGUUGGUUCUUCUUGCUUUUUGUGCAAUUUGUAACUGCAGAUACGUGUGGGAAAACAUUUAAUGGAUCUUGUUGCUGUUGAUUAGUUCAAAGACAAAGAGAAUGGACCAUGUAGCUAGGCGUCAAGGCUGUGAUGCACAAGUAACUAUUCUUUUCUUUUUUAUUUUUCCUUUUCCAUUGACGGAUUAGAAGAAAAUACUGCCUGUGAGAUACUACAAUAUAAAUAACUUCUGGUGGUUCAUUGAAUCUAUAACACUCUGAGCCCUAUUCUAAAAUAUGUAGGUUGCUUCCAAAAAAGGGCUUUUCUCACUGAUCUUUAAUCUUCAAGUAAGCUUGUUUCAUUUCAGAAGGUAUUAAGUUUCAAACUUAUCGUUUUGGGAGGUUGUAUGGUUGUAACGUAAGCAUCUGCAGGUUCCUGGUUCAACAAAUUAUAGUAUGGUAUUUUAUUUUGUCACAAGGGAAUUAAUUACAGGAUCCCUUUUGCAAUGGUUUGUUGACGGCGAUGAUGAAUUUCGCAAUGAAACUUAUCCCAUCCGUUCCUAAGGUAUCCGUCUUGGUCUUCAUGUAUUAGGACUAUGUUAACUAAUACGUACCCUCCGCUGCAUAGUACACUUUAAUUUGUACAAAGAAGGCAUGCAUUUAGGUGUAAAUGUAUUAAUGGGUUGUACCUUCAAACUUCAUUUCCUUUUUCUACCGAUUUGAAUUUGUUUUGCAUUUGUUCUUGAUUUUAAGCAUUGAAUCAUGCAGGGGUCAUGGAUCGUGCGCCAGAGUGAUGGAAGCACCCCUUGUUUAUUAGGAAAAGCAGUUGAUUGUAACUAUAUCCGCGGUCCUAAGUACUUAGAAGUAAAUGCUCUUCGAAUUUCUAUAGUACAUGGGAUGUGUUCCCUUUCGAAUAGCUUGUUCAAUACCAUUAACAUGGUUUAACAUUGUUCAUCUUUCUGCAGAUUGAUGUUGGCAUGUUCUUCUACUGUUGCUAAUGGAGUUUUGGGCCUUGUAAUUGGUGUAAUUACGGCAGUGGUGGUUGACAUGGCUUUCCUUGUACAGGUAUGUAUGAUUGUUUUUUUCCUCUACUUCUAAAUGGACACAAGGGAAAAGACAUGAUUUUGAGAUAUUGUACUGCAAUUUGCAUAUUUGCAUACUUGAAUGUUCUCAGAAUGGUAUAAUGCUUCGUGUAUGCAGGCAAAUACUACAGGUGAAUUACCGGAGCGGCUGAUUGGAGCUGUACGUGUUUCUUAUAUAGAACUCAAGUCUGCUAUUGUCCCAAAGUUGGAACCAGAGACAUCAUGACUGUGUUUUCAUUUCACCUCAACUGUUUGUUUUUAAUUUAAAAAAAAUCAUUUGUUUUAGGUAUACAUACAUGUAUUUUGAUCCCGUUUUCAUUGUAAUUUCUCAUUUACUUUGAAAGAAAGUCAUUGGUGUUUUCGAAUGGGAAUUUUGCAUUAAAAAAUAAAGAAUACUUAAUAGGAAAUUUCAUGAUUCUUUAGUUACUAUUUUUGGAAUGAGUGUAAUAGUAUUAAAGUUGGUUUCUACUCGCAAACAAGUGAACUACUCGAUCCCCAACUGUGACCACGCUAAUUGUCAUUGUUUAAUAGCUACUACUUUUAAAACUCAACAACUAACAAAAAUACUAAUAAAAAAAUGAUUUUCUUAUGAUGCUGUGAAAACAUUUAUGGGUUCACUUAUUUCCACAAGAUCUAUAACAUGGUCUUGACUUCACGAAAUUCUUUUAAUUUAAAGGGUGCUGGUAUGAGAAAAUCAGUUUUACGGAUUAAUUCCUUUUAAUAAUGGUCGAGUUAAUUUUACUAUACUCAUAAAACUAUUCUUAUUCUGAUAAUGCCACAAAUGUUAUGCUGUUUUCUUCAGCUAAUGAUCUUCUAUCAGGACUAGUUAGAAAUCAAAUGCUUAAAACACCAAUUGAAUGAAUGAUGCAGAAGUUUAAACAGUAUCUAAUUGAAAAUUGCCUGAAACAUGAAACAUCAAUUCAAGUCCUUCCUUAAACAGAGAAUGCAUCAAACAAAUCCAAAGUGUCUUUCAAGUCUGUAGCAUGACUAAAAAAUUGUAAAUGCGUUCAGAACCAAAUUAUUCAAGUACAGGAGAACGAGCAAGUUGAAUCAUGUACAAGAGGUUGACCUAGUUCUAGAUAGCUUCUUCACUGUACCUGAAGGGUUGGCUCAAUCUUUUCUUUAGAAUUCUGCACAUUUUGUAAUUACUCGUGUAAGCAAGCAUACAUUACAAUCAUAAUAAUAAUAAAGCAAGAGUAAUGAUACGACCACAACCUCUUGUGCACAAAUAAUAUUGUACAAACUAACAUGACAUAAUAUGAUUGAGUAAUGAUACGACCACAAUCUUUUGUGCACAAAUAAUAUUGUACAAACUAAUAUGAUGUAAUAUGAUUGAUUAAACAAAAACAUAACAUAACCCUUAUAAUUUAUUUAUUAUUAUUUUAUAUUUUCAAUCAAGCAAUCAUAUUAUGCCACGUUAAUAGCUAUAGAAAUAAUUUGCUAGAUAGUGCCAACACUUCAUUGAUACUCACCAUUUCAUUGAACAAUUUUUUUAUGGUGUCAUUGAGGUUGCCUUCCCCACAUCCUUCAUCAUCAUCUUUUUCUUCUUCGGUGACGUUCACUUUGUUUAGCAUUGGUGUGUCUAAGACUCCUUGAGAGAAGAUCUUCAUUUUUGGACACUGUCUCACAACUACUUGUUUCAAGGACGGGAAUUCAAGAGCGUAAUUACCCAAACAAAAGCUUGUUAGGAUUGGCAAACAAUCAAGUUCCAAGUACUUUAAUUCCUUGAAAACAAUGCAAUCUUUCGUUUUUUCUCCAACCUGCGAUUGUAUGAUUUCUUCUAUCAUUUUGCAAUCAGCUAUCUUUAUUCUUUGAAGAUUCACUAGAUUUUUAGAUGCUGAGAGCGUCAACGCAUUUAUCAACCCGUGACACUUCGAUACUUGUAGUCCCCACAGAUUUUCCAAAUGCCACGAAGGUGGUACUAAUUUUUGUAACUUACUACAUUCUGAUAUUUCUAGACUUCCCAAGUUUGCAAACGCUUUGUUGGAUUCGUCAUUUUCCUUCCAGAGAUGCUGCACUUUGUGUAAUUUAGACAGCUUUAACUCCCUCAAUUUAGGGAAUGCAACCUGAAAAUCAACAAAAUUAAGUUGUAAAUUAAAAUAUGUAUCCAAUCUCUGCAGUCUUCCCCUGCAUAUUUUAUGGACAAGAUUAAUCACGACAUUUUAUAUUUUUUUUUCCAAAUUAGUAUGCUUUGCAGUAGGAUCCCAAAUAUAAGUAUCAAAUCGAUUACCCUUUGAAACACAUAAAUGAAAUCUGAUACUAAAUCCAAAUGAAUUAGCUAGGAAAACAGAGAUGCGACAAGCAUAAUUGAAAUAUAGUUCAUCACCUCAUGUUACCAGUCAUCGAAAUAAUUUAAGACAUUUUUAUAAUUCAUACUAUAAAGUUAGUUAAUAACUACGGUUAUAUUGUUAAAUCAGAUAUAAAUUAAGACGACGUGCAAAAAGAUGAGUCAUUAAAUUUGAUUUGAUUCUAAUGAAAUUAUAUCUGUGCGAAUGAAAGUGAAGGGAAAAAUAAUAAUAAUGAUUACCUUUUCAUUGAAGAGAUGUUGUAUUUGAUUAGCUACCAAGAUGUUCUCUUCUGAUUUUAAUUUUUGAGCUUCCUUAUUAUCUGCUGUCAUGUGCAGUACAGAUGUAGAAUUGGAUAUGAAUGUUUCCAUAUCAGGGCAAUUCUCAAUAGUUAGAUAUCUCAACUCAGGCAGUUCAAUUAUAUUCCCAGUGAAGUUGUAGAAUCUUUUGAGUUUUGGAAGAUCAAUGAGCCUUAGCCAGGAAAGCCUAGGAAACAGGGGGCCUAUAUGUUCUUCCUUAGCAUUUAGCUCUUCCAAAUGAAGCACCUCUUCUAGUGAAUCACAAUUCCUCACUUCUAGGUACCUUAAAUUGUUCAAGCAUCGUAGCAGAUUGGCAGGAAUAGCACUCGACAUAUUCGUGCAGUCAUCCACCACCAGCUCUCUUAAAUUGUUGAAGAAGCUGACAGGCAGUGCUUGGCCAUGCCAUAUUUCUUGCAAGCGUGGAAAAUGCGAGAGUUGCAAAUCCUUUAUAUCACGAAAUCCAAUCUGCACAAACCAAAACAAUUGCACUGGAUAUAUACAAAUUUUUUUUUAAAGGCAUUAUAUAUAUACACAUUAAACUUACAUGUUUUGUGUUUUAACUUUUAAAAAUAUAUAUACAAGGGAGGUGUAUAUGCUUAAAUGUGCAAGUGCAGGGGAGAUGCAUGAACAAUUUGGGUGAAUCGAUUAACACAUACCAUUUCUUCAUAACACUUUUGUAUAGUGGAAUUAAGGUUGCCUUCCCAAUGGUGCGGUUCACCCUCUUCCUUUUUACUCACUUGGACUUUGUAUAGCUUUGGUGUGGAUAAGAUUCCCAGAGAAAAAGUCAUCAUGUCCGGACAAAGUGUCACAAAAACUUGUUCCAGUGAUGGGAAUUCAAGAGUGUAAUUCUCCAAACAAAAGCUGGUAAGCCUUGGUAAAUCAUCAAGUAUCAAAACUUUUAAUUUGCUGAAAGCAAUACGAUUCUCCUUCACUUCUUGUCCAACAUGUCCUACGAUUUCUUCUAAUUUUGGGCAACCCGAUACUUUAAGAUUCACUAGACUACUAGGAAUUCCAACCUUAUUAUGAAAUGUCUGUGUGCAUGUGUGUGUGUAUUAAAAAAGUAAAAAUGUAAGAAUAUCAUUCAACUAGAUUCAAAGUAUGGUUAAUCAUACAAUUAUACAUUUUAUGAACAUAACAAAUUAUGAAAUGUCUACUAGAUAUUUUUUGUCAAACAAAAACGGAACAAGAUAAAUAAAUAAAUAAAAGCCACAUAAACAAAGAUAAUAAAAAUGCAUUUACACUAUUUAGUAUUAGGAACGUAGCAAGAAUUUAAGGCAAUUUCUAAAUAUUUUAGACUUAUUUUGCAUCUUGACGCCAGUUUUUAAACAAAAUUUGCAAAUUUCAACUAUUCCUUUUGGGAAAAAAAAUCAACCAAAAUGCCGCUUUUUCCCUUUUUCCUUGGUCCCUUUUUUUUAUGUAUAUUUAAUUUUGGAAACAAAAUUAAAGUGGAUCUUUAUUAAGUACUUGCAGACUCGAGGAAAUUUCUUUACAAUCAAGGAUCAGUUGUAAAUAAUCAUGAAUUUGUGGUUAAUUAAUGGCAUAAUCAGUUCGAACUAAACAAGAGAUAUUAAUUAAAUUUGAAGACUUUUCUUUUCUUUUUUUUUUCUUUUUCCAAUCAAAAUGUGAAGAAUUAAGGAAAAGAGAAAUAUAUAGAUGAAUUUGUGAACCUAUAAGAUGAGUGACUAUCCUUUAAUUUUUGAUAAUUGUACUUAUUAAGAUAUGAGCAGAAACAAUUAAAUUGAAUUAUAUUAUGCUGUUGAAUCGUGAUUAAAAAAAUUAUAUUGUUGAUUCUAAUGCUGGCAAACCUAAAAACUGGACUUAAAAUGUAGAUUUGAGAGUGGUGGUUCGAAGUACAAUACUUGAAAUAAAUAAUCAGUGGCUGAAUAUCAUUUGUAACCCAAAAAUGGUUAAAAUAUUGUUGGAUGUAAUUUGAAAAAAAAAAAAAAAGAUUCGAAAUGAAUACAACAACCUUACCAAUGGAGGAAAAAUAUUCAUUAGGUUAUCACACCUAGAUAUCUCCAAAUUCUUCAAUUUCCUGAAAGACUCCAAAGCAAGCUGGUGGUGCCAUAUUGUUCUCAGGUUAGCCAUCCACGCAAUAUCUAAUACCUCCAACCUAGGAAGUAGUACCUGGCAGUUAAAGAUUAAAUAACUAAUUAAUCGGCAUAAUCUAUUGAUAACCAAAUUAGAGGCGGAUAUUAACUAAAUUUGAAGACUCAAGGAAAAGACAAAUUAAAUAUUGUGGCUAAAAUUAAUUAAAAAAAAAACCUUUUCGUCAAAGAGAGGUGGAGAUUGCAUUUCAGAAUGAAGGGUGUCUGCUGGUGAGCUCGUAGAGAUGAAUCUUAACAUAUUAUUGCAACCAUGGAUCUCCAGGUUUAGCAAAGAAGGGAAUUCAACAACUAAAUCUGAAUGAAUCUGUCCCGUAUUGGCAAAACUUGUUAGUUCUGGAAGCCAUUCUAGCUUGAGGGAGUGUAGUUUAGGAAAAACCUUUAAUUCAAUCAACUUUCCUUCAUCUCUUUCUGACCACCCCGUGGUGUCGACUACCCCUUCCAUUGACUCACAAUAGCUUAUCUCAAGAUGUUGGAGUUUCGCAAGACUAUUAACCAUAGAAUAUGAAAACAGAUACUUCAGACAAUCACAACUCCACACGAUGACCUUUGUUAAGUUUUGACAACAGUACAUUCCUUGAUUAUGAUCGGCCCAUAAUUUUUUCAUGUUUCUUAAGUUCCUGAUAUUCAAUUCCUCUAAGCUCGGAAGAAUAAUAACCUGCAAAGAAAACCCGUACAUUUUUGUUCCUUCAAGUACAACCGUCUAGUAUAAUAUUUUUUGAUGAUCGAAGAUUAAUCGUGAAUCCGUGAUAAUAAAUUAAUCAAUUAAUUAUUGAACAGAAAAUUAUCACCUUUGGAGCAGGGUCAUCAUCAGCAAUGAUUUCGUUAAAUCCCAAAGAAGAAGUUGGUUUCUCCCUGUCGGGUCCUAUAAACAAACAAAAACAAUAUACAUAAUUAAUCUUUGUUCUUUUUUUUUUUUUGGUCCAAAAUAAUUGAAGAGAAGUCCAUAAUCCCACCAAUACUUAACUUCAACACUUACCAAAAAUCAUUUCCAGAUCAUGGCAAAACUCCACUUCUACCUUUUGAAGCCGCAGUAGGUUUUUGGCUAUGGAGAAUGAGAAAAGAUGCUUCAAUUUGUAACAGGAAUAUACUUCUAUAAUCCUUAAGUUGCUGAAAGAUUGAUCUUCUGUGAGUUGGCUGUCACAUAUUGUCUCCAAAUUGAUCAAACGACGAAGAGACAAUGACUCCAGCAAGGGGAAGACUUUGCGACGAACCCGUCCAACUGAACGGACAAUAUGCAAAAUCUCAGAACAACUUUUUACAGAAAGAUGCUUCAAUCGUGGAAAACCUUCCCCAUCAUCUAAUUCACCCUUCAGUUCUUCUAGAUAGAGAUAUUCAGUUCUCUUCAACAACAGUUUCAUCCUGUAAUUCUGCAAAAGAAUGCCAAACUUUUCUAGCCCCUGGAGCUUCAUCAAUCUUGAUAAUCCAGAUUUAACGGACCGGCUGCUCCACCACGUAUUUCCUAUACAUAUCCUAUAGCUUUGCAAUUCCACAGAGACCAAAUCCUGUGGUAGAAUUUCGGCAUCCCGAACGUGUAUCUCCAAAGUAGUUAGCUUUGACAACCCCUUCAACUCAACAAGACUGGCGUUACUUCCUCCUUCAACCUUCUCCCACUGUGAAAAGCUGUUACUCAUAUAUAGUUCUUCUAAUCGAGAUAAUUUUGAUAUGACAUUUGGAGCUAUCACCACAAGGCUGCUACAAUUGCUCAAAUCUAGCAACUGUAAUCUCGUCAAUUGUCCAAUUACAAGUGGCAACUCCUUAACAUCAGAAUCUCGAAGGCUGAGAAUCUCUAAUUUCUUUAGCUGUCCAACUAUUGCUAUAUCUUUUAGUCCGCAACCAUCUAAACAAAAUGUUUGAAGGUUAAUGAGGCGACCAAGUGAUGAAGGUAAUGAAGAGAAAGGAAUUCUAGUAAGACUUAACACUUUGAGUUCUUCUGUCCCUUCAAAAAAGAGGUCUGAAAUUUGCAUAGGGCCAUAACCCUUUCCAAACAACAAAAAUAACUGGAGAUUGGGACAUUGCAACCUUUCAGGGAGCUCUUGGAUAUCUCUAUGAGGCAAUGAAAUAGCAAUUGGUCCUUUCUGUUUCGUCUCUUCCAUCUUUUUCUCAACGUCAGCAACAUUUGGAAUAUUAAACAUGCGCUUCUCUGCGGCAAUUGAUACGGCAACAACAUGAAUGACGUCAUGCAUUUUAACUUCAUCUUCAGCAUCACCGUCCAACAAUAAGCAUGAAGAUUUGAGAUUGUCGAUCAACCGAUGCACUCUACUCCUUGCUUCUUCCAAUGUGUAAACAUUUUCAAACAAACCCCAACCCACGCCAUAUCUCAAUAAGUCAGAAACUUCUAUGGCAUCACCUUCACUGUACAGACCACAAAGACGGAACAAAGAUUUUGCCUCCGCACUUUCCAAGAAGUCAUAACUCAAUAUUAUGGAGGUGUACACAUUUGCUUGCAUGCCAUGAAUUUCUCUUGCAUCCGAUCUUCUUAGCUGAUUCAAUGCAUCUUUCCAAAAGUCAAGCUCCUUAGUUUUCAGAGCAUUUGCAACUGUACUCAGUGCAACAGGCAAACCUCCGCAUCUUUCAACGAUCUCAUUUGCCAUACUUUGAAAAGCAGAUAUUUUAGUUGAAUCACCCACUAUCUUCUCAAAUAACUGCAAUGCUUCUUCUUUUGAUAAAGCAUCGAUCCAGAAAAUUUUCUGACAAUUCAUAUCAUUGCACAAUAAAUCUCGACUUCUAGACGUCAAUAUUAUUGUGCAUCUUCUCUGAUCAUCCUCUCUAUCUUUCUCAUCAACAUCUCCAGAAGGAAUUCCAACCGCAUCCAACUCAAGUUUUGUCCAAAUAUUAUCCAAUAUAAUGAGGACCCGCUUCUCUUGCUUCAACCUUUCACGCAGUCGAGAAGCUCUAUGGUGUAUACUAUCAUUCAAGUCAAAUUUCAUGCCUAAAUCAGAAGCGAGCUUGUCUUGAAUUUUCUGGGGAUCUGGGUUCUGUGUUACCUCAGCCAUAACGACCUUAUCGAUCAACUUAUCUUCCAUCACUUUCUUAGCAACUUGCUUGACUAGCGUGGUUUUACCCACGCCGCCCAUGCCGUAGACCCCAAUUAUGUUGAGCUUAUCAUCCUUCAACGCCUCCAUAACAUCCUGAAAUACUUUCAUUCUUGAAUCAAAGGCCUCGUUAUCUUUCCCGUCAUUAAGUCCUGUGCUCUUUGGAGUAGGACGGUAGGAAACAUUAGAGAAGUUGCCUUUUCCCACGAGACCAGCGGCAGCUUCUGCGGCCUUUGCUGCUUGUUUACUAAGCUUGUAACGGGACAUCAAAUUUGGGCACAAUCCUUUGAAGCAGAACUUCUUAGCUCUUUCUUCAUCAUCAAUGAUGGAUUUUGCAACCCCUUCACUUAUGAAUUCAUCAACGCUAUGUAGCCAGUCUGUGACACCCUCAUAAAGCUCAUCCCCUUGUAGCCUAGCAUGAUUAACUGGUUGCUGCACCGUUUCUCUUUUAUAUCCCAGCUGCUUUACUUGAUCUUUUAGAUCAUCUAUGUAGCUCUGGUACUUGAACACAUAAGAUAUCUGCCGUAUAAUCGGUUUGAACAAUGACUUUGCACCUUCUGAUACGAUGCUGGAGAAAGCUGCAAGACCCACCUCUGCCAUUGCCUGCUGCUUAACAAAUCUAAUAAAAUGUCAAAGAAAGGAAUUCAAAUAAAUUAAAAUGAACUAGAGGGAAAGACAAAAAAGGAAAAGGCAGUAAACAGUGUCGCAACAUUGAUCUUGAAUCAACUGAAACAUGAACAGAGCAUUUUUUCUUCUUUGUUAAGGAUCAGAGUUUUUGCUAUUAACAAAACCUACUUCAAGCGUCUUAAAAAAAAAAACUGUAAAUUUACCAUAAAUGAACAAUAACUACAAAACUCAAGCAAAACAAGCCACAGAAUUUUUAUCUUGGAAAGUGGAUGGAAUUAAGAAAGAAAUGCUAUAAAGAUCAAGCAUCAGAGAUUAUGCUAUUAAAAGAAAUUAAUUGAAGGUUUUAGAUCAAGUGCGCCUAUUUAAUUAUGUGGGGUCAGAAAGUUGAUGAGCCUCUGUGAUCGCCUUGAAUAUUUAAGAGCAAUUUCAAUGAGCAAAAAAUUUCUGUUACCUGCAGAGGAAUGUGAUUAUAGAGAGCUUAUAGGGUAAUGACAAUGAUUUGGAAAAGAAGAAGACUUAAUCAUGCAGCCCUUAAUAUUUAUUAAAUGACUUGUGAUCAUUUCUUUUAUGAAUAAAAUGCCAAUAGCAAAAAGAGAAAAAAGGGCGAAAUUUACUAAGUCUUAUUUUAUUUUUAAUUUCUUUUAUUUCCAUUCGCCGAAGAGGGAAUCUCUCCCUCUUUUUGUUUUUUUUUAAGGGGAAUCUCCUUACCUAAUAUGACAUAAUGAAAGCAAUCUGUAAAUAGUCAUAUAAUGUAAUAAUUAAAAAUACCCACAUAUUUAUAAUAUUAAUGAUGGGAUCCAUGUGUUUAUACUAAUUAAAUUGGUGGACCAGAAUUUAUUUGACCGUACUUGUUUUCUAUUUAAUUAAGAUUGAAACGAUAGAGAAAAAUUGUCGUAUUGAUUGUUUCGAUUGUGGAGUUCCAACACUGAAAGUGAAGAUUUCAUCAACUUUCUCACAUGGACACGUACCGUCAUGCAUAUUGCAUUAUUUUCCUAGAAAAGCAAGAUUAAUUCUUUUAAUAAUUGUGAAUUCAGGAAAACAGGUGGAUAAUAACUAAAAUAUUUAUUUUUAUAUUUUUGAUAAACGCACUCACUAUUAAUAGAAUUCAUUAGAUAUCAUAACUUAAAUAACUUUUUGUGAUUGAUUGAGGGUAUCUUUUACUUCCCAAUAAUUAACUUCUAUGUUGAUUCUCAGAAAAUUAAUUUUACGAAUAAUUUAGUAGGGUGUUUGGUAAAUGAUGAUUAUUUGACAAUCAGUUUUCAAAUAGUCUACUAUACAAAUUUGAUAAGUGAAAAUUGAAAGUGUAAUAUUCAUGUGCAAUGAUAAAAAUGUACUUGUUUGCUUAUUUGUAGCUUAUUUAGAAUAUUAUUAUUAACAUCAUUUUUUUAUUUACUGGAUUUUUAAAGAGUAUAUUCUACUUUCUUUAUUACAUAUCUAUAUCAUUUUUUUAUUAACUAUUUUAAUUUGCAAUAAAACUAACUUUAAUAUUUUUUAACUAAAAAAUUCAUGCUAACAUAUUAUUAAAUUGAUUAAUAAAUAAGUGCAAAAAGAAAAUGCAAAAAUUUAAUCUUUAUAUAAACUUUUAUGUACAUAAAACUAUUGCAAUCAAAGUAGUUCAUAAAAAUAAAAUAUUCUAUACAUGUGUGUAAAAAAAAAAUAUAACUACAAUAUUGUCCACUCAUUAAAUUUGCAGCACUAUUAUUUCUCAGUCUCCCCAUCUCUCGACCUUUACCUUUAGGAACAUUAACACCAUGAUCUUCUUCUUGAAUUCGACCUCCAUUUCCACAGUAUCAACAAGGCGAUCAAUUUGCUGUGACAGCCUUUCAACUCCUCCCACUUUCCUCCCUUUUGAGGCCGCCCUUUUUCUUUUUCUUUCUUUGAUAGCUUCAAUGGGAACAAACUCAUCUAACGACAAGUACAUUCUUCAACCACAGUAGAAUUGGUUGUUGAUAUUUUACUACUCUCAUAUGGUAUGUAAACAUGGUCACCAGUGAUUGUUAUAUUAAAAAAAAAUUCUAUUCAAUUUUUCCUCUGACUUUGUGUCGAUACCUUUCAUGCAAAAUCUAUUUGCUUCAGAAAUUUCUUCCGUAUGUUGAUAUCAUAUUAAAGUGAAUUCAAGAUCCUAUAUUAUUUUGCAUGACAUCAAAGUUUAGCCGAAUGGUAAAGAAUUUCCCUUUUUGUUUGUCCCACAACUAUAUAGUCUCAUUUUUGGCAAUAAGCUCACAAUAUGCACGGAAAUGAAGAUUUAUUAAAAACUUCCCUAUAAUAUUAAACACUAAACAAUAUCACUAUAACCAAAGUUGGCUGGUGUGAGUGGUUCGGCACUCUCACUCCUUAAGAGAGGUCAGGGGUUCAAGCCCCGCUCUCGUAUGGAGUCACCACUUUGGCCAGCACUUUACCCCUUAUGGGCCGACCCGGUGCGAGCGGGGAUUAGUCUGGGUUGUGGUACGGGCUUAAAGGUGCCUCCCACAGUUGGGGCCCACUCAGGACCACCUCGUGGUUCAGACCAAAAAAAAAAAAUAAACAAUAUCACUAUGUUGUGCAUAUGGUGCCUCGUCAACAAUUUGAUGUUCAUUUUGUUGCUCGGGUGAAUAUGACUACUUGGGUUGCGAGUCCAUGCUUUUGUCGUUUGGAUGGAGGACGGGCCAUCUUUUUAUUUUAGAUGGUUUGUAGGACUUUUGAUAAUUAUUUUUCUAAAACUGAUUUCUGGUUAAUAAGACCUAUGAAAGCAUUCGAAGAAGCCACCGAACUCAGAGGAAAGCCAUGGUUAAAUAUACUGCGAAGUAUGUGAGCUCGUUUUUUAAUCUCUUGAUCACUCAUAAGCUUUUCUAUACCACUCACUAUAUCAUCCUUUUGAAUCAAUUUUGAUUGAUCAUCAGAGAUCAUGUACCCACCUUGAGAUGAUUGAUCACAAAUUUGGCAUUGUAAUGUUGGUCACCUCUAAUUGGCCAUGCUAAAAUUGGGACUUGACAACCAAUUGUUUCACUGUUGAAUUCCAUCCACAGUGAGAUAAAAAUUCACCCGUUGAUUCAUGUCCCGCUCUCUUAUGAAGUCACCACUUUGGCCAGUACUUUACCCUUUAUGGGCCAACCCGGUGCGAGCGGGGAUUAGUCUGAGUUGUGGUACGGGCUUAAAGGUGUCUUCCACAGUUGGAGCCCACUCAGGACCACCUCGUGGUUCAAACAAAAAAAAAAAAAUCCACCCGUUGAUUGAUGACUCAAUAUCAAUAAUUGUGGGGCUCAUCCAUCUAUUAUCAAACCCGUUUCACCGACUUUAUUAUCCAAACCACUACGAAAAUAACUGCCUUCUACUGGUUUGUUCAAAUGACGUAGAGGAUCCAAUCUACCUGCACCACCUUGAAUUACCCAAAUAAACGGUCGAUUUGAUGCUUCUAAAGCAUUGGCUAGUACUAGGUACUCAUCUAAGGUCGGAUCCACUUCAGUACCAAAUGACACAUAUAACACAGAUCCGCGUGAUUUCAAAUUCAAUCAUUGAACGAUCUCAUCUUCCGUCAUGUUAGAACUCCGCCGGUUGGUUCUCAUCUCAUGAUCAUGAAGCACUUAACCGGCCAAUUUGUAAAAUUGUUCAGGUAACAGUGGGCCCACUCCCCACAUCGGCUUUCUCAAUUCAUUGGCUAAAUAAUUAUAAAUGGUCCCUCAAGACCAUCACACGUGUUGAACAUCAACGCCAUUGAUCCCUCCGCUUCCUUCAUCCAGUGUGGUUGAUCACCGGCCUCUGGUGGACCUAUUUUCUCGGAACCAGGUGCACCUCUCAGAGGUGGUGGACCACCAGGAGGGUGCCCAUGAGGCCUUGUUUAAGAUUCGAUUCAAAUAAAGCCAUAUCCUCGGGUAACCCAGGAAGUAAAUGGGCCUCUCCCGGUUUGACAUCUUGGAUGCGAGCCUACCACAUGGCACACUCCACAGCUGCCGAGCAAGCACCAGAAGUGAAGAACCCAACAAUGGGAACUUCAAAAAUCUUGAAAACAUCAGCCGUCCAGCCCAUCAUAACGUCGAUGACUGCACAAACGGGUCGGCUUUUGGGUUCCCGGGUUGAAAGGAGGUUUCGAAGGCCUUGAAGCAUUUGGUUGUGCAUGACAACAUGGGGGUGAGGAGACGAAGGAGGGUAUUUUAGUAAUUUCAAAUAGAGGGUAUUGGUGAAGAGGGGAAGGGGUGAUGCUGUGUUGAAUCAAAAUAGAGUAAAAACUCUAAUUGAUCAAGAAGAAGAAAAACACUCUUUAGAAUAAUCUCACAAAAUUGCAAAAGAGAAGAACUCUUAAGAAAACUUUCAAAUGCUUAUAAUAAAGCUUUGAUUGUUAAAUUAUAAAACUCAAAUACAAAUAAGGUAUUUAUAGGUUACAAGAAACAAUCUAAACCACUCAUUAAAAUAACCACAAACUAAUUUAAACCAUUGAAAUUAAACAUGAGAAAAAUACCUAAUUUUCACCUAACUAAAUUGAUGUAAGCAAUGACAUCAAAUUAAUUUGGGUGUGGACUUAUUUGGGCUAAUAUUGACUUCUCAACACUCCCCCUCAAUGUUAGCCCAAUUCUUUGAAUCACGCCAAGCUGACGACGGAAAUGUUCAAACUUUCCAACACUCAAGCUUUUUGUAAACAAGUCCGCAGUUUGCUCAUCUGUCUUGACUUGCCUCAUCUCAAUCUCUUCUUGCAGAACUUUUUCCCUAACAAAGUGGUAAUGCACUUCCACAUGUUUAGUUCUUGCAUGAAAAACAGGAUUCUCCGCCAGCCGAAUUGCCGAUUGGUUGUCACAGUACAACAGAACUGCAUAAUCUACUGGUUGAUGUAGAUCAUUCAUUAGUUGUAUCAGCCACGUGCUUUCUUGAGCUGCCAUUGCUGCUGCUCGGUACUCUGCUUCCGUAGUUGACAAGGACACAGUCGGUUGUCUCUUGCUACACCAAGAAAUCGUUCCAGAUCCAAGGGUAAACAUAUACCCAGUAGUUGAUCUGCGAGUAUCGUGAUCUCCUGCAUAGUCAGCAUCACAGUAGCCAACUAGUUUGUAAUUUCCACCUUUCUUGUAUAGAAGACCAUAGUCUAUUGUACUCUUCACAUAUCUGAGUACUCGCCGAACCGCUUCUAAAUGAGACUUCUUCGGAUUUUGCAUGUAUCGACUCAUCACACCAACUGCAUAAGAAAUGUCAGGUCGAGUCAAGGUUAAGUAGAUUAGACUACCCACUAAUUGUCGAUACAUCGAUGCAUCUUCCAGGUCUUUGCCUUCAUGUGCACACAUCUUGGCAUUUGGUUCCAUCGGCGUUGAGAUCGGCUUACAUUCUAGCAUCCCAAACUUCUUCAACAAAUCUUUGGCAUAUUUCUGUUGACAAAGAAAUAUCCCUUCUUUCAUCUGAUCAACCUCUAGCUCAAGGAAAUGCUUAAGUUGUCCAAGUUCUUUCAUUUGAAAACGAACUGACAAGUUCUCCUUUGUUCGGAAAAUUUCUUCAAUAUCAUCUCCAGUGAUGAUUAGAUCAUCUACGUACACGAGCACAAUAGCUAUCCUUUCUCCAUUAGCUUUAGCAAACAAGCUGGAGUCUGCAGAUGUUACUGAAUACCCACUUUGAGUUAGAAAUUCAGCAAUCUUGCCAUACCACGCCCUGGGUGCUUGUUUUAGUCCGUAGAGAGCCUUUUGCAGCUUACACACAUACUCAGGAUGACCUCGGUUCUGAAAACCCAUCGGUUGAAUCAUGUAGAUCUCCCGAUCCAGCUCUCCAUGGAGAAAGGCAUUCUUCACGUCCAUCUGCCACAAGUUCCAGCUUUUGUUGGCUGCAAGUGCAAGUAAGACUCGGACGGUUGUAAGUUUUGCCAUUGGACUAAACGUUUCGUCAUAGUUUAGUCCAUAUUGUUGAGAGAAACCACGAGCUACCAAUCGAGCCUUGUACCUCUCGAUUGACCCAUCUAGACGGUGCUUUAUUUUGUAAACCCAUCUGCAGGAUAUGGGUUUCACAUCUUUUGGCUUUGGCACGAGUUCCCAGGUCUGAUUUUGCUCAAGUGUAGUGAUCUCGUCUUUCAUAGCUGUCAUCCACUCAGAACUCUGUGAUGCUUCUUCGAAUGUCUCAGGUUCUAUUCCAGUUGCUUCUUCAACUAUGGCUGCAUUAGCGUAUUUGGGAUUUGGCCUUCGGGUUCUUGUUGACCUUCGUAAUGGAGUUGAUUCUUCCGUUUCACUAGGCACACCUUCUUCAUCUGGUUGUCGAUACACCCCAGAUUGCCAAGGAUUUAGAGUUACUCUUCGUUCGCUAUCACUAUCGCAUAGAUCCCCAGCUGAGCUUAGAUGAAUUUGGACAGUAUGCUCCCCCAUCUUUUGUUGUAGCAUGUCUUCGAAUUCUUUCGAGUCUGGCAGCACUUCUUUUUCUGAGGUCCACCAUGAGGAUGCUUCAUCAAACACCACAUCUCGUGAUGUGUAGCACCUUUCAUUUACUGGAUCACAACACUUCCACCCUUUUCGCUGGUUGUCGUAUCCUACAAAGAUACAUCUGACAGCUUUCUUAUCGAUCUUGCUACGUAGAUGGUCAGGAACAAAUACAUAGCAUACACAGCCGAAUACUCGAAGAUAGCUAACUGUAGGUUUCUUGUUCCACAAUUUCUCAAAGGGUGAAACAAACUCCAACCUUGGUUGAGGAAGCUUGUUGAUGACAUGAGCUGCAGUUCUCAUACCUUCGGCCCAAAAUCUUCCAGGUACAUUCUUCGCAUGUAGCAUACUCCGGUAAAUUUCAGCAAGAUGCCGAUUCUUCCUCUCUGCUACACCAUUUUGUUGUGGCGUAUUAGCACAAGUAUACUGAUGACGUAUUUAGCAUUCCCGUAGGUAUUGAGAAAACUCUCUCGAGCUAUACUCACCCUCGUUGUCUGUGCGCAAGCAACGAAUCUUUUGCUCCACUUCUCCUUCGACUAUCUCUUUGAACUCUUUGAACUUUGAGAAUGCUUCAGAUUUUUCUUUCAUGAAGAAAGCCCAUACAUAUCUGGAGAAAUCAUCAAUGAACGUAACCAUAUACCACAUUCCGCCAAUUGAUGGUUGCUUAACGGGUCCAAACACAUCAGAGUGAAUUAACUCUAAUGGUUUAUUUGCUUUAAACUUCGACUCCUCGUAUGGCAAUUGAUGUGCUUUACCAUAUUGACAUCCCGCGCAAACAAUAUUUGUUCUCACGUCAAGUUGAGGAAGUCCUUUAAGCAUCGACUUCUUCACCAUCACACUUAGCUUGGAAUAAUUAACAUGACCUAGCCGCAUGUGCCACAGAUCUGCCGUCUCAUUCCUUCUUGUCUUGUCUACGUAUGCAGACUCAGCUGACAUCACAUAAACUGACUCCAAUUGUCGUCCCUCCAUCGUAGGCUUUUCUGAGAUCUUUAAGUCUCGGAAUACCUUCACAUUUUGUGGACCAAACAAGACAUAGUGGCCUGAUGAUGUCAAUUGAGCUACGGAUAGCAAAUUUUUCUUCAUUCCUGGAACAUGGUAGACAUCUUGAAGUGGCACUUGGUUGGGACUAUAUCGAGGUGUAACGAUCGCUUUACCGAUGUGAGCUAUCGGUAACCUUGAGUUGUCAGUUGUUACCACCACACGAUUUCCCUUGUACUCAGAACAAUUUUGCAACUUCUGUCUAUCACCCGUCAUGUGAUUUGAGCAGCCUGAGUCUACGAUCCAAUCAUUCUCGUAGUUAAUCUUUUCUGGUGUUGUUACCGUGAGAGCUAAUUCUUCUUCCUCCAUAGCGAGUAAUGCUUCGGCAUCCCAGUUAUCUUCACUAUCUUCUUUAGAACUAGAAGUAGCAAUAUUGCUUUCGGUAGACUUCUUUUUGGACCAACAAUCUCUCUUCAUGUGGCCCUUCUUCCCGCAAUUGUAACAUUCGCCAUCAAACUUUCUAUUACUGUCGCGAUUCUUCGAAGCUCCCCCUGGACGAGAGCCAUUCCCUCCCUGAUGACUUUUUGUCUGUUCACCAGUCUUUCUAGAUCCGCCUUUGUUGUGCUGUCUUGAACCACCUCUGCUUUGGUUGGUGUAAAGCGCUUCCUCUUCACCCUUUAGUGAGACUCCUCCCAUUUUCUUGGCCAUAGCUUCUUGGCCUGUCAGCAAAUUUUCAAACUCAACAAGUGAUGGUUGUGUCGGCCAUCCUUGCACAGCGGCUACAAAGCUUCGGUAUUCGGGUCUCAAGCCAUGGACAAUUAUUCUUUUUAUCCUGGCUUCCCCAAUAGCAGCUAUUGGAUCUAAUUCUGAAAUUUCACGGCAUAUCGACUUCACCUUGUGAAAGUAUUGGGCAAUCGCCAUGUCGCGUUGCGCCAUUGAUAGAAGUUCAUUCUCGAGAAGUUGCAAUUUUGUAUCGUUCCUCUUCGAAAAGAGUGUAGCGAAGGUGUCCCACGCUUCCUUCGGUGAUUUAGCAUCCCGAAUGUGCUCCAACAUUUCUUCUUCUAUUGUGGUCUUUAAAGCAAACAUUGCUUUGCCUGCUUUAAUUUUCCACUUCCGCAAGACGCCGUUAGCAUCUUCCGCUGCCGGUUGUGUAACUUCACUACCACCGACAACCUCCCACAAGUCUUGACCUUGAAGGUAAGACUCUAUACACGUUGCCCACGUGUUAUAGUUUUGGUUGUUGAGCUUUUUGAUUCCUCCAACAACUUGAAGAUCACCCAUCGUAUCGGUAUCGACAAGACUUUGACUACACCGAACAAGCUUGAGUGACUACCGUGCAGAGUAAUACACUACUCUUGACACAAAGAAGCUCCCUCUCAAGGUUUGUGAUAACCCCAGCAAUAAUCUCAAGAAAUCUUUUCUGAUGUGGAAGAUCAGUCAAAACUGCAACCACAGAGCAUACUCGGAAUUUCAAGAGACUUUACAACCAAUGCUCUGAUACCAAAUGUUGAAUCAAAAUAGAGUAAAAACUCUAAUUGAUCAAGAAGAAGAAAAACUCUCUUUAGAAUAAUCUCACAAAAUUGCAAAAGAGAAGAACUCUUAAGAAAACUUUCAAAUGCUUAUAAUAAAGCUUUGAUUGUUAAAUUAUAAAACUCAAAUACAAAUAAGGUAUUUAUAGGUUACAAGAAACAAUCUAAACCACUCAUUAAAAUAACCACAAACUAAUUUAAACCAUUGAAAUUAAACAUGAGAAAAAUACCUAAUUUUCACCUAACUAAAUUGAUGUAAGCAAUGACAUCAAAUUAAUUUGGGUGUGGACUUAUUUGGGCUAAUAUUGACUUCUCAACAUGCUGGUGGCGGAAAUGUGAGAGGGAAUGGUGAGGGUAGAUUUGUAAUUACGAGAAGCGAUUUGCUUGCAUAAUUUAAUGCAUGGAAAUAGAUGUCCCUGACCAAAGAAUGGGACAAUCCAAAUCUCGGCCUCAGCAGCGCUGCAGCAGUAGCAACAGAGCUUGACAUCUUUUUGAAUUAUUUGAUACUUAAUUGUUACUGUUUGCUUUUACCAUCUUUCAUAAAACACUCUUUGUUAUAUAUAAAGGGAUGACUUAAUGGAGAAGUAAGUGUUUUAGUUUUACAGUUUUACUAGUAGGUGAGCUCGGAGUUUGAUAAUUUGAUUGUUAGUUUUAGUUGGUUAGUUAUGAGAAAGCAUCUUUAAGAAAAUUCAUUCCAGUUUCAACUAAAAUUAAUAAUAUUGUUCAAAUUAAUUACUCGAUAAAUAAAUAAUUAGAGAUAAAUUUAUCCCUAAUCUCACAUUUAUAAAAUAAGGAUUGAAAUAAGUUUUUGUGGGUUCGAACUCAAGCCCUCAAGUCGAGCGGCUGGAUCUUGACUACUUUGACUUAAUUAUUAUUAUUAUUAUAUAUAUAUAUAUAUAUUUUUUUUUUCAUUCUGUCACGGAACAUCUUUUGUUAUAUAAUGAAGAAGAUAAGUUGACGAAGAAGAGUUCUACUUUUACUAGUAGAUGAGCUUUGAGUUGACAACGUUAGUUUUAGUUAGUGAAAUAUCUACCAUCCAAAUCAACGUUCUUUAGACUAUUAUUCAAGUGAGAUGUCUGAGUAACAUACGCUUGAGUUGGUCGGUGCCUGGCAAUUCGUGUGAUACAUGAAACCAACCGAUAUGAAAACCAAAUCAAGUUGGUAGGAUUACAUUAAUUUAAAUUAACUUUCAAGUUCUAAUAUUAUAAGAUAAAUAAAUAGCAUAAAAUAAUUUUUAUUUUCAAGUAAAUAUGUUUAUCGUUUAAAAAUUAUUUUUUCUUGCGGUAAAUGCAACACUAAAUAAGGAGUGAAUAGGGUAAUUUGUAGGGUAUACCCCCACCUUUUAUUUCAUUUCAUUAUUAAAAAAUAAAGGCUUGAUUCAACAUUCAAGUAAAAUUAACAAUUCCAUGAUAAAAUUGCUUGAGAAUAAGAAUUAAAAUAAAAAAAGAAAACAGCAACUCAAAAACGACAUACAAAUACCGCAUAGAGGUUUUUCGUCGCAAGAUAUUUUUGGGUUGAGCAACACUUGUAUAACAGAGCAUACAGACUGAAUGACGGUGAGAAUAAGAAGGAAAACGGCGCCACACACCGAAAUGCCAGCCCAUGGAGUAUUGAAGUAAUUUUGUUUCAAGUUUGCCCUCCAUUUGUAGCACGUUCUUUUGCAGUGAUCAUUCAAUCCUUUGCAUAGCCCAGAAAAAUAGAAGCUAUCAGACAGCAGAGUAGUACCUCUAGAAAGGUUAUUUAUAAGCAUUGACGCAGUCUCUUUAUCCGGCAACCGGUUCUCAAUGAUUCCGUUCUGAACAAGCAACUCGACGUCCUUCGCUGUGUUCACGAGAUGAUGAAUAAGGAACACAUAAUCAUUUAUGUAAUUCUCUGAGUAAUGCCGUUGUUCAAAGGCAAUGAGAUUACGAAAUAAGGAUUCCGUUUCCAGCUGUAGCUUCAGUUUCGGAAUAUGCAAUGUCCUGUUUUUGAAUUCUAUGGCGAACAAAUCAUUGCUCUUGCUCAAACUGAAGUGGACUCCAGCUUGGUGGAGAUCAGUCACACUUGGUGCGGUUUUGCCUUUGUGGUAUUGCUGACCUUCUUGUUUUUCCUGAUUCCUCGAUGAUGGUAGAUGACAAAUCCUUAGAAAAUCAAGGAAAUGCUCGACCCUAACCUCAGUGUAAGGAGGGAAUUUUUGCUGAUUACCUUGUACUGCCUCUAAACCCUUGAAAUACUCGUAUGUGACUGUGAUGAUGGUUGGAUUUUCAUGUUGGUCGGGGAUUUCAAUAGCAAAAAGAUCCUCAAGAAUGAAGAAAGGAAGCUGAUUCUCAAGCAACCACAUAUCAUACCAUAUAUCCUCUAUUAAAUAGGGUUUAAGAAAUAUAUAAUCAUCUUUUUUUUGAAGUUGACGGAAAUGAUGCCUCAAUAAGAGUUCAAUGAUGAAGGCAGCAUCCAGCAGAAUCAUUUCAACAAAUUUAUCACUACUUAGUUCGACUUUUUCUGCAUAAGAACCUCGUAAUUCUGCUUCUCUGAGCUUUAUAAUUUGAACAAACUCGUCAAAGCUUAUUUUGGUCCGUUGAAGAAAGUAACGCAGGUACCGCUGUUUAUGUUCUUCCAUGAACUGUAAGUUUGCUUUGCCAUGGUGAAGAGGGCCAAUUGAGACUACCUGAGCUGUAUAUGCCUUUUCAUUUAUCUGACGUAAUCGCUCCGGAACUCUGUAGAUGCAGCAGUUUGAGGGCAAUGGUGAUAAUUUUUCCAACUUAACUUGCAAGCACUCUUCCAUGUUAUAAACUGAAAACAUGGCGCGAAAUUUGAUCAAUUCACUAGUUUAUAUAAUAUUCUUGAACCUCAUCUUAAGCAAAGCAACAAAAGCCUUCACUGUUUCUUAACAACUUUAUUGCUCUAACACAUAGCAUAACAUUUUUAAAUUUGCAUAAAGCACAAUAGUACUUUAGUUUGUAACAACAGCACAGAUAAUAAAUAGCAUUUUAUAGCUUUAACAAAAGCAUACAAAAUUCUUAAACCUUGUUUCAAGCAAUUCAUUAAUGCCACAAGGAUGUCUUUUUGCUUCCUACAGUUUUUAUUGAAAUUCAUAUAUUCUUCUUUAUCAAAUUAAGUAAUUUUCCUUUUUCAAAAAAUCAAGAAGGUUUCGACUGCAUGGAAAUACAGCACACAAUUACUACUAUUCCCGGAGUAAGAAAUUCAUAAAUGCAAUAUAAACAUACAUUUUCAUAAGACAUCAGAAUCAAAGAAUCAUCAAUGCAUCAAAUCUGUACACCCAAAAAAGUUGAAAGCACCAAGAGAAAAUUAUACCGCAUGGACCCUUUACAACCCUUAUAACGAGUUCAGACAGCUACAAUGUGCAAUACAAAAUUUCCCAAUACUAUUUAGAACAAAGUCUAGAAAACAAAACUUAUAUAUUGUACAAAAUCAUGAAAACCAGAAAUGACAAAAAACCUGCAAAUGUAAUUUUUGGGUUUCUUCAACAUAUCUUCCAUCCAAAUCAAACAAGAAUCGAUAAAUCAACAACAUUCAUCUUUAAAUGACAUAUUACCACAAUAAAAUUGUCAACCAAGCCUCAUAUAAACCUUUUUUGUGUUUUGUGGUAAAUAUAUUUGUUAUUCUCUAAGAAUACUAGGGAAAAAAGAAACCCACUUUCUUAAUCAAGAAUCAAAUAAUAUAUAUUUAUCUAAGCUGAAGUAAGUCUUCGGUUUGAUGAAAUAGCUUGCAAUGUGAUUUAGAUUGGAAAGGAAGUUGAUUUUUGCUGGUUGAGAGAGAGAGAUUUGAGACUUAAGAGUGUUGCUAAUCUUCGAUCGUGUAAACAAGGGUAACUGGGUCAUAGUUCAAAAUAAGGGUCCAAAAUUUACUAAAGCUAUUAAGGAGCCCAAAACUCAUAAUGGCUUGCCCAAAAUAAAUAAAAUUUUCGAGCAUUAAGUUUUUGUUUCUUCUUGAGAUUUCCUUGCCGUACUUACCCAUAUUUCGAUAUUGCCUCCAAGUAAACUUAUAUAUAUUGAUUAACAAUAUAAACAAGCACUAUGAAGUUUUAGGCAUGAAAGAACAUUAGGAUUGAAAUGAAAACCAUCUAUUUAAGUAACAAAUUCUUCUGAUAAUUUGAUGCUUAAUUUAGAGCAGAGAUGACAUAUCAAUCACGUUAUGAUGUGGAAGUUAUGAUUAUAUUCAUCUUAAGAAUAAGAUCUUUCAGACACUGGCAGAUUAGUAUAAAAAAUACUCAGCAUAAGACCUACAAACUAGAAAUCACGCACCAAUUAUUGAACUCAGCACAUAAGUUGAUCUUUUAUAAGCUAUAAAACAAAUCUGCUAUAACAUAAGAAAGUGGGAUUUAUCACCAGACAAGUAUUUUGGUGAAAUUCAAGCUGACGGAAGGAUAUCCAAAGCAACCUCCUUAAGGGAAGGCAUCACUUCCUGCUGAUGCAAACAUGUAUAUUUAUUACUCACUUUCUUGAGGACCUUCUAGGAACCUGGGCAGCACCUAACAGAAAGUGGAAAAGAAUAAAAUGUAAAAUAUAAGUUAAACAGCAGGAAAACAGUGAGUGAUACUAGGCAAGCAUUAAUAUGUUGCCGCAGGAAAAGUGUCAGUAACUAGCUAGCAAACCUGAAAAGGGUUCCUCCAUUGUGACCCUUAAAAUUGUGAAUGUAAAAUAUGGUCUCCAUCACAGGAAAAAGUGUUUUGGAUAGUGCAGCCAGCUUAGGGUAGAAGAAUGACGGAUAAUCUUUAGCUCAUUUAAGGAAAUCCUCUCUGAUCCUUUCAUUGCACAUUCCAAAACAACUCUACUACAACCAAGUUACCAAUUCUUUUUGUUAAGUCAUUGUUAUUUGUUAAAAAAAAAAAAUCUUCCUUGCAACAUUUUAUUGAAAGAUAUAACAUGAUCAUCCCUACUAAUUCCCUUUUAGAUUUCUGUGAGUGAAUUUCAAAUUAUUGUAUUCAAAAAUAGAAGCAAAAGACCCACUUUACUUUCAAUUUCUGCAACAAGAUACCAAUUGAAGGACCAAAAAGUUGUAAACAACCAAUUCAAUGGGUGGGCAUCUAGAAACUGCUAUAUAGCAUCAAGAUCAUACUAAAUUUACAGAAAGUACGAUAAUAAUGAAAGAAUGGUGAAGGAUACACCCAGACCUUAUCCGGUCAAGUUCUCCAUUGAAUAUAAUCAGUUUCCGGGCAGUAUUGAAGACAACUUCUUUGUAAAGCUCUUCAACGACAAGCAUUUCUACAAGACAAAAGAAAAGCAAAAUUAAUUACCUUAAGGAAUGAAUAUCAAUGAGAAGACAACGUGUAAGACUACCAUUGACAUUAAAAUAUGGAUACGCGACUAGAAACAAUUCAUCUUCCGGCUUCACACGGUCUGCCUUUUUAACCUUCUCAGUGAAUCCAAAAUCCUCAAAGAAUGAAGGUUUUGUUAGAUAGUCCAACUUAAAUGAUGAUCCUUCAAAGACCUAUUUUCUUGCAAAUUUGACUUCAUUUGCCUCUGGGAAAAACUAAAAACCAAAUGACAGACCAAGAUCACAAAACGAAUCAUGAACAUAGAUAUCAGAUAAUCAGAAAUGGGCAUUAAACAGACUACUAACAAAUAGGAAAUGCAUACAGAAAACAUUAUUCAUACACCUUAUGCACAUGAAAUAUAUAUGCAGUGGGAUCCUCUUGUGAAUUUAGUUUAUAUCCUAAAAUGAGACAAUGAACAAUUGGAUGCCAUCUAAGGGCUAACAUUUGUUUGAUUAUUAUAUGAAAAAAAAAAACAAAACAGAGUUGAUUGAUGGCCUUUGAUGGAUUGCCUACACUCCUAAAGUGCAGAGAGCCUGAUUAAUUGCUUUACCUGCCCCCCACACACACACUUGAUUUUAUUAUCUCUCUUUUCAAAUAUAUAAUCAUUGCCUGUCUUUCAUCCUGAUCCAGCUCUCCUUCCAGGCACCAGCUGUGUUUUCUUCAAUUCAGUGAAGCAUUCACUUUCAGGUAAGAAUAAACUUGUCCUUCCUCAAAAAUCAGCUUCUCACCAUGAAGCUUUCUUUUUCAAAACAAUUACUAGUCUAGCAUAAUGCAUCUAAUUGAAGACAACUCAGAAUUGAAAAAGCCAUACUUUAAUGUCUGCUGUUGGGACCUCAAGACCAGGAAAAAAAAGCUUCUUUCUAACUGUUGGAUUAACAAGUAGAAAUAGCUUUUUUCUGAAGGACCCAACAUUGCAUUGAAAAAUUCAACAAAAGGACUGGCGUCAUAUUUAGUCCUGCUAGAAUUUUGUGCACUUAACACAAUGGUUAAUAAUUGGCCCAGCAGACACUUUGUCGAACUACUGGCAAACCUUGACUGUGGAAAUGCAUAUUUCAAAUGUUGGCAGACUCUAGCUUCUUGAUGUACUGUUGAUAAAAAUGCCUAUUUCAAAAGUUGGCAGGCUCAAACUGCCGAGACUUUGGUUUCUUACAUUUCAAACCCACAAAUAAAACUUUGGCAGAACCCCAGAAAGAGCUACACCUCCCAAAUUUGAUGACAUAUGAAGAGACCAUGCCUAGUGCUUGGUUCGGCAAAUGAGUAAGUUUGAAAUAAAUUGAGGGAAACCUUUCCCACAGAGAGUCAUUUUGAAGGUUACAAUUUGAAGACUUUGUCCCCUGUCGCCCGUAACCUUCUUUGAUCUCUUUUCUUAGUCAUGAAUAAUCAAACAUGUGUUAGUGGUUGGAUGCAAUCCACUCGCUGACAUCUCAUGUCCACAAUCAAUCAACCAUAUUUUAAUAGAAAUGGAAACAUUUUAAUUAAAAAAGAAUGAGAUAGGAACAAAAUCAAGCUUGGCAGACAUGGGUCUAUGAGAUUUUAAAGAUGCUUGGUGAAAGUCGUAUUCAAGAGUUCAACAAUCAGUUCCAUCACCUAUGGCAAAGUAACCACCGCAACUAAAGCAAUUACAAAACAUCAAGAAGCUUGAACUUGGCAAGAGGUCUCAUUAACAGUAUACCUCAGAAAUUAAGACAGAAUUAAAGUGCAAGCUUUUGGAUUUAUUUAAACACUGAAAAUAAUAUGGGUAGAAGCUCCUAUGGUCACAGCAAACAAUUACAAAGCACAAAACCCAAAAAACAGAUAUGCAAAAAGCUGCAAAAGAACAUUAUUAGCAAUUGACAUCUGCUUUUGCUCAGACAAAGGUUCUCAUAACAAAGGACUUAGUGAUUAUCUGUCAUAUGUUUAUGUUAAGGGGAAAAAAGAAGUUUGUUUUAGUCAAUCUCAUGUCUAUUGGCAUUCAUAAGGAGCCCAAAAAUAAAAGAAAAAAUAAAGAGUUAGUAGGUGUUUCUUGCAACACAAAGAAAAUUUAUCAUCCAUGAAAAACUUAGUAUGGAAAAAGCUAACUCAUUUAUCUGCCAAUGCAGAAAAACUUGUUGUCUACCCACUAAGGACCCACCAUUGGCAGGUCUGAUGGAUCCCAUGGAUGGGAACCACAAAUAUUUUAUUCUAAAUGACAUGGGUAUUGCACCCAUAUCAUUUAAUUUGUAGAUUCCACUGAUGGAACUCAUCAAACUUGCCAAAUGGCAAGUCCUCCGUGGGUAGGCGCAUCACUUCAGCAUCCUUCUCCACCGAUGACCAAAUCUGGACUCAUUUAAAAAGAAUACAAAGCAAACUAACUGACAAAAAUUGCAUAUAGAGGUCUAGGAGCCAAAUCAAUGUUGUUAACUCAUCCAAUUAAUACAUUCUCUUAGAGGUCAUACCUUGGUAACUCAUUUCAAAAGAAAUUAAAAGAAAAAUGACUGCACAAAUUGUACUGAGCUCAAGAAGACCUGUUCAAGGUGUUCACUUGUCCAACUAAUAAAAGUCAUCAAGGAUUGUAUCAGGGACUUGGGACCAAUCCUGCCUUAACGAGAGAAAGGGAAUUUAGGAUGAAGAAGAUAACCUCUUUUCCUAGAGCAAAUUAAGCUGGUAAAAUCUUGGCAGUUGCACUUGGGGCAGAAAUUAGUUCCACCUUGGUUUACAGGACAGAAAUUCGUCAUAUGCAUGUAUUUAUUUAUAUUUUAUACACAUACGCAUACAUGUACACACAAACACUACCUUCACUUUGAAGAAAAGAUUAAAAUAACACUGCUCACAUACACAAUACUUACUAUUCUAGUUCGUGUGACUUUCUCCGGAGUCACAAAUAGGUCAAAGAAUUCGCGUAUUAACCGCAUACUUCCAGUCAUUUCUAUUCCUCCUUCACCAUCACCUUUCCCACAAUUACAAAAAGUGAGAGGUAGUAACCAACAUAUUUGGGUUGUUCUUCGGUAAGGGGUGGGAGGUAAGGGUUAGUUGUGGAGGGCACCUGGUACAGAAUCAAGGCCAGCUGUUGGGAAUUUGAUCUCCUGUAACAUAUACUUGUUCAUCAUAAACUAUAUACUUAUUCUGCAGUCGAUGUGGGCAUAUAGCUCUUCAAUUAUCCAGUAAUAACUCACCAUCAACUUCCUGCCAUCCUUCAUGGCUAAUUCAGCAGCUAUUUUUGCCUGUUUAAAGGGCAAAAGCCCAAACUAAGCAGAUGCUCCUACUCCGAUACUUAUUAUCUAACUACUACAGAACAGAUGAUACACAUCAAGUUGUGUCAAGAGAGACACCAAGUUGUGUUUUCCAAGAGGUUCCAAAGAGGUUUUGUGUUAGAGUGCAAUUUAUGCACUAGUUUUGAAUUGUUUACUUCCUUAAUAUCGAUGUUUUGCACUUAAUAAUAGUGAUUUACUUGUGUUUUAUUUUUAUAGGUGCAAUUAUAUUGAUUGGUGCAAAAAUUGAGCUACAAGACGAUGUUUAAGGAUGAUUGUUCUCUUGGAGAAAUUAUGAGCGUCAGAAGAACUUUGUUGAUAAGGCGUGGGCGCGUGCUGUCAACUACGGACCUGCAGUUUUUAGUUUAACGUGUUUUGUAUUUUUGGUUAUUUUUAUAAUUACGAAUUUAAUAUUUCAGAUAUUAGUAUUUUAUUUUAAAUAGAACUCUAGAGGAGAAGAGAGAGAGAGUAUUUAAGGGAAGAAUCUAUUGUGAAAAAAGGGAGAUUUUUGGAAAAGAAAGAAACCCUAGAUCUAAAUUUUUCUCUUCUCUCCAUGAAGAACUAAAUCUAUUAUUCUGUUUGAAGGUUAAUGAAGCUUUUAUUCAUCACUACUGUGAGAUCUUUCUUAUGCUUUAAUUGUUUUAUUGCUUUUUGGGUAUUUGUUUAUUCUCUGAAUUAUUUUCAUGAUUAUGUUUGUUAAUUAGAUAAUUGGCUACUAUUUAAUUAUCAACUUAAUCUAUUGUCAAUUAAAGGAUUCAUCGUAUGAAGAUUUUAAUGUUUGUGACAAAUAACAUAGCAGAGAGUUGUGUUGUGAGAAUAAACAAUCUAAUUUAAAUGAACCAUCGUAUGUGUUUGUUGAUUAGGAUUUGGGUCUCUCUGGUUUUUCAAGCUGUCAAUUGAUUAAAUCCUAUGAUCGUAUCUAGGGUUAUCUAUUGAUUAGGGAAAUAACCAACGGUCAUACCUUGGUUAUCGACUAAUUAAGGAGAUAUUGGCUAUUAGAGGGUCUCAGUAGCUAUAACCGGUCUAUUCAUAAGUAGUAAUAAUUUAUAUUUGAAUCAAUGAUCAGUAGUCGAAUCAAGCUGAGUUAAUUCCUUCAACCAGAGCUUUCUCCAAUUUGAAUUACAACUUUAAUUUGCAUUCUUGUUAUUUUAAUUUGAUUGUUAUUAUUGUCACAAAACCCUCAUUUUAUAUUUUACGUUUUAAAAGGAUUUAAAUAAUUACCGAUCUCUGUGGACACGACUUUGCUCAAUCACUAUACACAAUUUAUUUAGAGUAGGUAUUUAUUUUUGUUGGCUUCGACAACCUUCAAAUUUUGGCGCCGUUGCCGGGGAUUGGUGUCAUUUAUUUAAUCCUUUUUACGUUUUACUUGGUGUAUGGUUCGUUCUUCUUGUACAGGUACACUUUCGUUUGAUCCUUAAAUUGAGAAGACAGCUCGCCAGCUGAGACAGCAGACGAAGCGAGCUAAGCAACGACACUCAUCGCCUUGCUUUCUGAAACAGAUACGGUGCCUGAUUUAGUUGAAUCAUCAAGCGAUUUAGAAGAACAAGUGAUGGAUAGAGCUGCACCUGUAGAAAGAACUCUUAGAGAGUUAGCCGAACCAGACUUGAAUCAGCAACCACUCUACAUUCAAUAUGUAGACUUGGAGGUAAAUUUUGAAUUAAAGUCUGGUCUUAUUCAUUUAUUACCCAAGUUUCAUGGUUUUGCAGGUGAAGAUCCUCAUAAACAUCUCAAGGAGUUUCAUGUUAUGCGUUCAAGUAUGAGGCCACAAGGCGUGACUGAAGAGCAAAUUAAGUUGUGUGCUUUUCCUUUCUCUUUAGAUGGGCUAGCUAAAGACUGGUUGUAUUACUGUUAGAGUGCAACUUAGCAUAUAAUUUUUUAGGCAAGAAAGAUCACUCAGGAGUUUUCUCUAAAACUGAAUUUUAUUUUAUCUGGUGCAUGUUAAAUGAUGUGAGGCCUAAUUUAGGUUUUUGGUUAGCAGAUCAAUUUCAAAGUGUGCUUAAACGGUAUAGGACUUUAUUUCUUGGUCCAUACAUUACUCUGUUAGCUAUAAACCUAUGUGUGCUUGAUCCUGACAAUAAUGAUUUGCAUCCUGCUUGCAAAAAAGAAUUUUUGGAUAUGUUUAUGUUUGAAAGAACAGGUGUGGUCGAAUUCAAGGAGCGGAGAUUUCAGUUUACUAAACCAGGGCCCACUCAACCUCCGAAGAAGCUUUAUGCUAGGAGUGGUGCUACCUCUGAUGACGAGUUUGACGACGACACUGCUGCCCCGCCAACUAUUCCUUCUACAUCCGCACCACCUUUGAGCAUUCAGUUAGAGAAAAUGGAGCACAAGCUGAAUAAGAUGGAGCAAAAUUUGGCCACAUACUUCGAGAAUGUGGGAUUUACCUCACCAUUUCCGCCAAGCCAAUAGACGUUAUGUGGAUCAAAGCUCACAAUUCAGGGAAGUUUUUUUUGCCUUUAAUCUUUUAUCCUUACGCUUUAAUUUUUAUGUGAGCUUUGAUUAUCUUACAUUGGGGACAAUGUAAGUUCUUGGUGUGGGGGAGGGAUUUUUGCAUUAUUGAUGUCUGGAAUUAUUAUUUUCACUCUACUCAUCUAUUUUCACUCUACUCGUCCUUAAAUGAUUUUGGAGUUAGUAUGCUUCAUAUAUUAUUAAUUUCCUUUUCCUUUCUCUCUCACUACUCUUUUCCCAUCUAUCUCAAAUUAUUUACAUCUAUUUUUUUUUCUAUCAUACUCUUUCAUCACUUACAUUUUAUCUUUCAUUUUUUUACUACAUACAUCUUUCUCGCUUAUUAUUUUUUUACCUUUCUUUUUAUAUCUCACUCAUACCUUCUUCUCAUUCUACACCACUCUUGAUGGUUGAUUCAUUUGAAGAGUGUACAUGAUUUGAUGGCAAAUUUACCAACUUUGUGAGGAUUUGAGCCUGUGAGCAACCACUUUGCUCUAAUUAUUUUUGUUAUGUGAAUAUCAAUCUUAGUUUGUAUAUUCUAGAACUUGCUUUGUUAAGCAUGUUGAAGCCACAUUACGGGAUUUUAUGCAUUAAAAUGAUAAGGGCAAACCAUUUACCAUUUUUCUAUUCUCGCAUUUUCUUUUUUCUCUACCCGAAGACCUUUAUUUGCUACCUUUGUUUGAGCCUUAACCAUUACCCAUCUAAUUCUUUCCAUCUACUUAACCAUUUUUCUUCUUUUUGAGCCUAAUUUAAGGAGAUAUUUGGACUCAUUGUGUGGAUAUAUUUUGUUGCUUUUUCUACCUUGUAUUAAAGUUUCUCAAUUAGAUCAACAAGCAUUAUGCUUGAAUUAAAUUGUGCAAGGUUCGUUUCUUUUGUUUGAUUAAAAAAAAACAACAAAAAAAAGGAAAAAGAAAAAAAAGUGAAAAAAAAAUCGAAAAAAAAAAUUGAAAAAAAAGGUUUACAUUCUUGGUGACUUGAGUAGAAAUAAGCAUUUUGAUAUCAUAAGUUCAUUCAAUGAGUUCAUUCUUCUCAUUUUGAUCUCUUUUUCUUUCAUAAACCUUUCUUUUUUAUUUAACCUAUUUAACUCCAUUACAACCCUUUUAAGACCCUUAAUUUUUUGCAUUUUAUUUAUGUUUUAUGGAUUGAGAUGUGAUAUAUGAGCAAGCUUAUGGUAAUAGCAUUCUUUGAUUUGAUUUGAGUGAAUAAAUGACACCCUAAACACUUUGAGUGCAUGGAGUGAAGUCAAUGAGAGGGCUAUUAAAUCUUGUUGCACUUGAAUUUUGAAUGGAUCUUCUUGGUGGUUGAAUGUUCUUAUUCUAUCUUAUGAGAUUCUAUGCUUUAAAAUCCUUGCCUCUCGAAUGUUGAUCGACUUAAAUUCUUGAGGUAUGCUUGCUUAAAAUUGUUUUUGGAUGAGUUGAGAUGAAAAUUGAGUGGAGAUUUGGGAUUAGUCUUGAGUUAUAUGCUUGAGGACAAGCAUCAUCUUGGUGUGGGGAAUUUGUUAGAGUGCAAUUUAUGCACUAGUUUUGCAUUGUUUACUUCCCUUAAUAUCGAUGUUUUGCACUUAAUAAUAAUGAUUUACUUGUGUUUUACUUUUGUAGGUGCAAUUCUAUUGAUUCUUGAUAAAAUUGAGUUAUACGAUGAUGUUUAAAGAUGAUUGUUCUCUUGGAGAAAUUUAGAGAGUCAUAAGAACUUUGUUGAUACGGCGUGGGUUCUUGCUGUCAACUGCGGACCUGCAGUUUUUAGUUUAACAUGUUUUGUAUUUUUGGUUAUUUUUGUAAUUAUGAAUUUAAUAUUUCAGAUAUUAGUAUUUUAUUUUAAAUAGAACUCUAAAAGAGAAGAGUGAGAGAGUAUUUAAGGGAGGAAUCUAUUGUGAAAAAGGAUUUGGAUUGGAGAAAAAGAAAGAAACCCUAGAUCUAAUUUUUCUCUUCUCUCUAGGAAGAACUAAACUUAUUUUUCUGGUUGAAGGUUAAUAAAGCUUUGAUUCAUCACUACUGUGAGAUCUUUCUUAUGCUUUAGUUGUUUUAUUACUCUUUGGGUAUUUGUUUAUUCUCUGAAUUAGUUUCAUGAUUAUGUUUGUUAAUUAGGUAAUUGGCCACUAUUUAAUUAUCAACUUAAUCUAUUGUCAAUUAAAGGAUUCAUCGUAUGAAGAUUUUAAUGUUUGUGACAAAUAACAUAGUAGUGAGUUGUGUUAUGAGAAUAAACAAUCUAAUUUAAAUGAAUCAUCAUAUGUGUUGAUUAGGAUUUGGGUCUCUCUUGUUUUUCAGGCUGUCAAUUGAUUAAAUCCUAUGAUCGUAUCUAGGGUUGUCUAUUGAUUAGGGAAAUAUCCAACGGUCGUACCUUGGUUAUUGACUAUUUAAGGAGAGAUUGGCAAUUAGAGGGUCUCAAUAGCUAUAACCGGUCUAUUCAUAAGUAAUAAUAAUCUAUAUUUGAAUCAAUGAUCAGUAGUCAAAUCAAGCUGAGUUAAUUUCUUCAACCAGAGCUUUCUCCAAUUUGAAUUACAACUUUAAUUUGCAUUCUUGUUAUUUUAAUUUGAUUUUUAUUAUUGUCAACAAAACCCCCAUUUUAUGUUUUACGUUUUAAAAGGAUUUAAAUAAUUACCGAUCUCUAUGGACACGACCCUGCUCAAUCACUAUACACAAUUUAUUUAGAGUAGUAAUUUAUUUUUGUUGGCUUCGACAACCAUCAAUUACUUGCCACCUGGAUCGAUUACAACAUGGAAUGGUUUGAAGAAGCAGUUCCUUGAGAAGUACUUUCCUGUUGUAAGAGCUGCCAACAUCAGAAAAGUCAUUUGUGGGAUCAGACAACUUCUUGGGGAGACUUUGUAUGAGUAUUGGGAGCGAUUCAAACAAUUGUGUGCCAGCUGUCCUCAGCAUCAGAUUUCUGAUCAACUUCUUAUUUAAUAUUUUUACGAAGGACUGUCAUUGAUGGACAGGAGUAUGAUAGAUGCUGCUAGUGGAGGUGUGUUGGUGAACAAGACCCCUACUCAAGCAAGGGAGUUGAUUGCAAAUAUGGCUGCCAAUGCACAACAAUGUGGCAGCAGGUAAGAUCUCACUUCAAGGAAGGUGAAUUAGGUAAAUAUUUCUUCUGUUGAACAACGUUUAGAUAAACUUACUUCUCUUGUGGAAAAGUUUGUUGUAGGUAAUGUGCAACAGGUGAAGACUUGUGGCAUUUGUUACAAUAUGGGUCAUUCAACCGAUAUGUGUCCUACAUUUCAAGAAGAACCCGUUGAACAAACCAAUGCAGUUAGAGGAUUUCCAGGCAUGCCUUAGAGGAGGUAUGAUCCUUAUACACAAACAUACAAUCCGGGAUGGAAGGAUCAUCCCAACUUCAGCUAUGGAGUUAGACCAUCAUGAUUCCCGCAACAGUAUCCACCAAGACAACCAGCACCUCCACAGUCAAACUCCAAGUCAGGUAUAUCUCUUGAAGAAAUUGUUAAAUCACUUGUGACUAACACUCAACAAUUUCAACAGGCAACUACAGCAAGCAUUCAGAAUUUGGAGAACCAAAUGAGUCAAUUGGCGACUACAGUGAGCCGUCUGGAGUCUCAAGUAUUAGGGAGAUUGCCUUCACAAUCUGAGGUGAAUCCAAAGUAAAACGUUAGUGCUGUCAUCCUUAGAAGAGGGAAGGAGUUGCAAGAUCCCAGUAAGAAAGUGACAAAGCAUGUAGAAGAUGAGUUUGAGAAGAAUGAAUUGAUGCCUAAAUCUCAAGAUGCGCAACCCACCAAAGCGAAACCCCUACCUAUUGUGAUACCUCCUCCUUUCCUAAGCCGGUUUGCAAAAUCCAAGAAGGAGGAACAAGAGAAAGACAUCCUUGAGACAUUUCGCAAGGUUAAGGUAAAUAUUCCUUUAUUAGAUGCUAUAAAACAAAUACCUCGAUAUGCUAAAAUCCUUAAGGAACUAUGCACCUCCAAGAGAAAAGUAAGAGGAGAUGAAAAAGUUCACAUGGGGGAGAAUGUUUCAGCAAUUCUCCAAAAGAAACUACCUCCUAAGUGCAAGGAUCCAGGUAUGUUUACUAUCCCUUGUAAAAUUGGUAGUGUUAGAGUUGAAAAUGCUAUGUUAGAUCUAUGAGCUUUUAUUAAUGUCAUGCCUCGUUCCAUUUAUUCAUCUUUGAAUGUUGGGCCAUUAAAAGAAACUGGCGUGAUAAUUCAACUAGCUGAUAGGUCUAAUGUAUAUCCUGAUGGGGUAUUAGAAGAUGUUUUAGUACAAGUUAAUGAGUUGGUUUUUCCUGCUGAUUUUUAUGUACUUGAUAUGGAAGAGGAUAACUCCUCUAAUUCUGUCCCAAUUUUGCUAGGAAGACCUUUUCUUAAGACUGCUAGGACUAAAAUGGAUGUACAUAAAGGGACUCUCACUAUGGAGUUUGAUGGAGAGGUUAUAGAAUUCAAUAUGAAUGAUGCCAUGAAAUAUCCUAGUGAAGAACAUUCGGUAUUUUCUGUGGAUGUUAUUAACCCUAUAGUGCAGGAAGUUUUUUACAAGAAAAAGACGAAGAUAUUUCAUGAUAGAAUGAUUUUGAGAAAGGAGUUCUUUGUUGGUCAAAAAGUUCUUCUUUUUCAUUCUGAGCUUAAACUUUUUCCGGGUAAAUUACGUCCUUGCUGGGUUGGACCUUUUAUUGUUACUAAUGUUUUUCCUCAUGGUGCAGUUGAGAUUCAGAGUUCGACCUCUGACAAAGUUUUUAAGGUUAAUGGUCAUCACUUAAAACCUUUUUAUGAAGGUUUUUCGGUGAAUAUUGUGGAGAAUGUGGCUCUCGAGAGUCUCAAUUAUGGAGAUUGAUGCAUAAACGUGUCUAGCCAAAGACAUAAAACAAAGGCGCUUUUUGGGAGGCAACCCAAAUGAUUUAUUUAUUUUGGUUUUUGUUAUAUCUUCUUUUAGUUUUGAUUCAGAUUAUUUUUUGAAAAAAAAUAAUGUGUUUGCUUAUUUUGGUCAGAAGAAAAUUUUUGAUAAGGCGUGCUCACGUCUUAACUAAUAAGUACUUCUGUGAUUUUUAAAGUAAAAUGGUUUUAAGGCGUGCCCACGUGCUUAUUAGAAAAGUACUUCUGAAUUUUUUUUUAGUGUCUCAAAGUGAUUCAUCACUAAAAAAAAAUGAAAAAAAAAAUUAUUUAUUUAUUUAUUGAUUUGAAAAUUAAAAAAAAAAGAAAAAAAGAGUUUUUUUCUUCUUUUUCUUCUUUUCUUUCUUAUAUAUAUUUAUUUAUUUUAAAAAAUAAAAAAUCACUAUUCACAAAUCCCUAAUUCAAAAAUUACUGUUGAUUAUCGUUUUCCAGCAGCGCGCCUCGGCUCCAGCCUUCACUGAGCAACCAGCAGCAGCAGACGAGCACGCUCAGCCCCAGCCGCAGCGCGCAGCAUCAGCCCUAGCCGCAGCACACAGCAUCAGUCCCAACCGUAGCGCGCAACGUAACGCAACCAGCGUCACCAGCGCAGUAGAACCAACCCCAACCCGUGCAUCAAGCUACAGCCGAGCAGCAAUCGUCCGCAACCCGCCUACGCACUGUAUUCCAACCGGGUAAAUCGAAAUCCGUGAGUGCAAUUAUUAUAACAAUGCCGAAGAGGAAAGCAUCAACUUCCAAGUCAUCUAAAAAGACACCCGUCGCAAAGAAGUCCAAGAUUGCCGCUCCCACUACGGUUCCAUGGAACACAGUUUCAGAUUCACGCCAAGCCGUGAGACAAAGAACGAAACAUGGAAAGGGCAUGAGUGUUUUACUACUUGCGGAAUCCAAUCUUGGAGGGGGCCUCGCAUUCACGACUCAACAAGAGAAAGAAAGGUACAAAGAUAUUUCCAAGCAAAAAAUACUUCCAGCUAAGUAUAUUCAUUACCCGACUCUUGAAAAAUUGAAUGUUAAGGAUAAUUUUGAUUCUUUGAUAGAUAAGAUUGGUUUGCGUAAGUUUGUUGAUGUUGAUUGUUUGAGUUAUGUUGAGUUGAUUAGGGAGUUUUAUGCUACUUUUCAAUUUAAUAUACCGUAUGAUUUUACUUUGCAUACCCCGGAUAUUAUAAAGUUUAGGUUAAUGGGAUGGAGUUUUUCACACUCGAUCAUAGAUUUUAACCUAGCUUUAGGAUUCAUUGAUGAUGAUUAUUCUUCUAGUGAUGCAUAUUUAGGAACAACUUGUGACUUUAGCGAAAAUUUUGAGCCUUAUGGUCUUUGGCGUAAUUUAUCUGUUGAUCACAAUGCCUAUAACCCAAGUAAAUCAAUGAGUUCUUUCUUACGUGACCCUGUUUUGAAAUGUGUGCAUCGAUUCUUAGCAUAUAAUUUUUUAGGAAAGAAAGAUCACUCAGGAGUUUUCUCUAAAACUGAAUUUUAUUUUAUCUGGUUUAUGUUAAAUGAUGUGAGGCCUAAUUUAGGUUUUUGGUUAGUAGAUCAAUUUCAAAGUGUGCUUAAACGGUAUAGGACUUUAUUUCUUGGUCCAUACAUUACUCGGUUAGCUAUAAACUUAUGUGUGCUUGAUCCUAACAAUAAUGAUUUGCAUCCUGCUUGCAAAAAGGAAUUUUUGGAUAUAUCUGUGUUUGAAAGAACAGGUGUAGUCGAAUUCAAGGAGGGGAGAUUUCAGUUUACUGAACCAGGACCCACUCAACUUCCAAAAAAGCUUUAUGCUAGGAGUGGUGCUACCUCUGAUGACGAGUUUGACGACAAAACUGCUGCCUCACCAACUAUUCCUUCUACAUCCGCACCACCUUUGAGCAUUCAGUUAGAGAAAAUGGAGCACAAGCUGGACAAGAUGGAGCAGAAUUUGGCCGCAUACUUCGAGAGUGUGAGAUUUAUCCCACCAUUUCCGCUAAGCCCAUAGACGUUAUGAGGAUCAAAGCUCACAAUUCAGGGAAGUUUUUGCCUUUAAUCUUUUAUCCUUACACUUUAAUUUUUAUGUGAGCUUUGAUUAUCUUACAUUGGGGACAAUGUAAGUUCUUGGUGUGGGGGAGGGAUUUUUGCAUUAUUGAUGUCUGGAAGUAUUAUUUUCACUCUACUCAUCUAUUUUCACUCUACUCAUCCUUAAAUGAUUUUAGAGUUAGUAUGCUGCAUAUAUUAUUAUUUUUCUUUUCUUUUCCUUCUCACUACUUUUUUCCCAUCUAUCUCAAAUUAUUCAUAUCUAUUUUUAUUUUACCAUAUUCUUUCAUCACUCACAUUUUAUCUUUCAUUUUUUUUCUACAUACAUCUUUCUCGCUUAUUAUCCUUUUUACCUUUCCUUUUAUAUAUCACUCAUACCUUCUUCUCAUUCUACACCACUAUUGAUGGUUGAUUCAUUUGAAGAGUAUACAUGAUUUAAUGGCAAAUUUACCAACUUUGUGAGGAUUUGAGCCUAUGAGCAACCACUUUGCUCUAUUUAUUUUUGUUAUGUGAAUAUCAAUCUUAGUUUGUUUAUUCUAGAACUUGCUUUGUUGUGCAUGUUGAAGCCGCAUUACGGGAUUUUAUGCAUUAAAAUGAUAAGGGCAAACCGCUUUCCAUUUUUCUAUUCUCACAUUUUUCUUCUUUUUCUCCACCCGAAAACCUUUAUUUGUUAUCUUUGUUUGAGCCUUAAACAUUACCCAUCUAAUUCUCUCCGUCUACUUAACCAUUUUUCUUCUUUUUGAGCCUCAAUUUAAGGAGAUUUUUGGACUCAUUGGGUGGAUAUAUUUUGUUGCUUUUUCUACCUUGUAUUAAAGUUUCUCAAAUAGAUCAACAAGCAUUAUGCUUGAAUUAAAUUGUGCAAGGUUCGUUUUUGUUGUUUGAUUAAAAAAAAAGGAAAAAAACAAAAAAAAAAAAGAAAAAAAUGUUUACAUUCUUGGUGACUUGAGUAGAAAUAACCGUUUCGAUAUCAUAAGAUUCAUUCAAUGAGUUCAUUCUUCUCAUUUUGAUCUCUUUUUCUUUCAUAGACCUUUCUUUUUCAUUUAACCCAUUUAACCCCGUUACAACCUUUUUAAGACCAUUAGAUUUUUGCAUUUAAUUCAUGUUUUGUGGAUUGAGAUGUGAUAUAUAAGCAAGCUUAUGGUAAUAGCAUUCUUUGAUUUGAUUUGAGUGCAUAAAUGACGCCCUAAACACUUUGAGUGAAUGGAGUGAAGUCAAUGAGAGGGCUAUUAAAUCUUGUUGCACUUGAAUUUUGAAUGGAUCUUCUUGGCAGUUGAAUGUUUUUAUUCUAGCUUAUGAGAUUCUAUGCUUUAAAAUCCUUGUCUCUUGAAUGUUGAUCGACUUAAAUUCUUGAGGUAUGCUUGCUUAAAAUUGUUUUUGGAUGAGUUGAGAUGAGAAUUGAGUGGAGAUUUGGGAUUAGUCUUGAGUUAUAUGCUUGAGGACAAGCAUCAUUUUGGUGUGGGGGAAUUUGUUAGAGUGCAAUUUAUGCACUAGUUUUGAAUUGUUUACUUCCCUUAAUAUCGAUGUUUUGCACUUAAUAAUAGUGAUUUACUUGUAUUUUAUUUUUAUAGGUGCAAUUCUAUUGAUUGGUGCAAAAAUUGAGCUACAAGAUGAUGUUUAAGGAUGAUUAUUCUCUUGGAGAAAUUAUGAGCGUCAGAAGAACUUUGUUGAUAACGCGUGGGCGCGUGCUUUCAUCUACGGACCUGUAGUUUUUAAUUUAAUGUGUUUUGUAUUUUUGGUUAUUUUUAUAAUUACGAAUUUAAUAUUUCAGAUAUUAGUAUUUUAUUUUAAAUAGAACUCUAGAGGAGAAGAGAGAUAGAGUAUUUAAGGGAGGAAUCUAUUGUGAAAAAAAGGAGAUUUUUGGAAAAGAAAGAAACCCUAGAUCUAAUUUUUUCUCUUCUCUCUAUGAAGAACUAAACCUAUUAUUCUGGUUGAAGGUUAAUGAAGCUUUGAUUCAUCACUACUGUGAGAUCUUUCUUAUGCUUUAAUUGUUUUAUUGCUUUUUGGGUAUUUGUUUAUUCUCUGAAUUAUUUUCAUGAUUAUGUUUGUUAAUUAGAUAAUUGGCCACUAUUUAAUUAUCAACUUAAUCUAUUGUCAAUUAAAGGAUUCAUCGUAUGAAGAUUUUAAUGUUUGUGACAAAUAACAUAGCAGAGAGUUGUGUUGUGAGAAUAAACAAUCUAAUUUAAAUGAACCAUCGUAUGUGUUUGUUGAUUAGGAUUUGGGUCUCUCUGGUUUUUCAAGCUGUCAAUUGAUUAAAUCCUAUGAUCGUAUCUAGGGUUGUCUAUUGAUUAGGGAAAUAACCAAUGGUCAUACCUUGGUUAUCGACUAGUUAAGGAGAGAUUGGCUAUUAGAGGAUCUCAGUAGCUAUAACCGGUCUAUUCAUAAGUAGUAAUAAUUUAUAUUUGAAUCAAUGAUCAGUAGUCGAAUCAAGUUGAGUUAAUUCCUUCAACCAGAGCUUUCUCCAAUUUGAAUUACAACUUUAAUUUGCAUUCUUGUUAUUUUAAUUUGAUUUUUAUUAUUUUCAACAAAACCCCCAUUUUAUAUUUUACGUUUUAAAAGGAUUUAAAUAAUUACCGAUCUCUGUGGGCACGACCCUGCUCAAUCACUAUACACAAUUUAUUUAGAGUAGGUAUUUAUUUUUGUCGGCUUCGACAACCAUCAUUUUGUUUCUUUAUGUAAUUUUUAGACUGCUCUGACAACUCAUCUUAAAGGUGCCACUCAUCCAAUAUGAUAUGGUGACAGUAGUUUAGAGUUUUAAACUAAAUGCAGAGCUAAUAGUAUUUUGGAAAUAUAAUCAUCCUAAGAUACUAACAAAAACAACAACUUCGGUGUAGAGAGAAAAUGAUUUCACAAAAGCAGAUGUUUUGAUUUAAGUCUCCAAAACCCCCACCAAAGAAAUGUUCAACGGAUAUAGAAAUAUGAUCCACAUAUCUGUAACUUAAACUGUGAAAUUUGUUGAUGCUGUUCUAAAAUUGCCACAAUCUAUCUACCCCAUGAAUGUUAUUGGAUAAAACAACAAGCAGGACCCAAUGCCUGUUUUCUAAUAGCUUCAAAAAGGCCAAAUUGGUUUUGAAAUGUCUCCAGCUUUUCAUUUAACAAGUUUAAGGAUCCCUUCGGCAUUGCAAUUGGGGAGCUCAGAUAUAUAAAAGUCUGGUAAACUCUUACAGCCGCAGCUUUUGAGCAAAAAUAAUUUUAUCUCAUAAUAUUUUGACAAAAAACUUAUAUCACCUUUUAUCAGUUUUGUAAAAAAUAUUAUUUAUAAGUCAUAUUUACCAAACACAAUCAACUUUUACAUCACAAUUAUAGCUUCUUUUUUUUCACCACACAUAUACAGUUAAAAUCUACAAGAACUCGAUAUCAAAUAGAUCCUAAAGCUUAAUCUAAUAAAAAGGUAAAUAAACAAAUGCAGAAGCCAGCGUACUUGAUCAAGACGCUCUGAAUAGUCACUGGGAAAGGGAAUAUCGACGUUAAUGGGGUUAUUGCCAUCGCUUGAAACCGAAUUGGUGAGACAAUUGCGUUUUCUUCUGUACGGAGAAAAUGUGACGAUUCUUUGACCACUGAAAAUUUCGAUUCUACAAUUUACCUGCAAUUAGUGACAAUUAUUCCGUUUAGAAACAAUUUUAAAAAAAAUAAAAAGUAAUAAUUACAAACUCAGAGUAUACCUGUGGACGUGGAAUUGAAGAAACUGGAAUAGGAAGCGUAGGGAGGGCAAUGGCUGUAUUGGAGGAUAACGGCAUUUUGAACCUCAAAGUAAAGAGAGAGAGAGAGAAGAAACGCUUCCCUUUCAAAUACCGCGCUCUUUUGUACCUGGGAAUUUAACUAAUUCAUGCGAAUAAAAAAAUUUAUAAAUUUGGUAAAUUAUUUAUUAAAAAAUAUUGAGAGGUUGUGCAUUAUUUUAUUAGUAAUGACAUGGUAAUAAUCAAAUUAGUUAAAUUAAAAUAGUUGUUGACUCAGUAAUUUAUUUUUAUUAUUUUUAUAUAUUUAUUUAAUUAAUUAAUUAAUGUUAUAUCUAUUUAUAUAAAAAUGUACAGUUCUAUCCUCACUCUUAUUUUAUUUUUAUUAUUUUAAAAAAAAUGGUCUGCGUUAUUAAGGUUAAGGGUGACAACUGGGAUUAAUAUACGGUUUAUUCGAGUGCUUAAAACCUAAUAAAUAUCCACUAACUCAUAUAUAGUAAAAAUAUAAUUAUUUUAAAAAAAAUUAAUAUAAACUAAACAAAUUGAUUGGAUUUUGUUUCUCAAGGUACAUCAUUAGAACGUUACUUUUAACUGAACAAAAGCACACAUAACUAGCACAUUCGCCACAAAAGCCUCGGCUUAGUGGUCGGCUUAUUAAUUAUCCUAAUUAAAUCAUGGUCAUAAAUUUGAGUCCCGGCAGGAAUUAUUAGGCUAGGUAGCUUUUAUAGACUACACUAUAAAUACAUGUAUUUUAAUUCUCGCGGGUAUUGCUUCUAGUAGUUAUCCAUCCGAGUAUAGUGCUUUGUAGCUUUCUUCACGACCUUCCCCAAUUUCAAUGAUUGUUAAUCAAUCUUCAUAGAAAAUGUGAUAAGACUGUAUUUAGAGAAAAGCUCAAUAAAUGAUUUUUAUAGGUCAUCAUUUCAUUUAAUUUUCCGUUAUAUAUAUAUAUUCACCUUUCUCAGAGGCCAAGAAGUCUUCGACAGAAAUGUGAUCCUUGAGCUUCUCCCAAGUUUCAAUUAAUUCGCUUUGAGUGAGGAUAUUUUCUGGUGGCCUCAAAUACAAUGUUUUGUUCAGUACUCGAGGAGCAUUUAUUGUCUUAAUAGUAUUUAUGGCAACAUCAUCGAUAUGCACAGUAAAAAAAAAGAUAAUCAUUUUGUUUAAUAUGAACAUAAAUUGUCAAAUUCUGAAUCAUAUUAUAGUGAACGAUAUUGUCGUAUGGUGUGUGUAUGUACUAUCUAUAGUUUUAAUAUUAUUAAUAAGGAGUUAAAAGUCUUGAUUUAAUUUUAAAUUGUUAUUCCUCUAACUUCACCGUCUCCAUAGAUGCAGACUCUAUCUUUUGAAGGGCGGGGGUAGCUAUAUUUGAGAGAGGUGUCUGGGGAACCAACCAGCAAAAAAUAGCUAGCAGAAACAUAAAUGACAAGGAUUUGAGCAGCCUUGAUUGCCCUUCUCACACAUGCGCUCUGUGUUCUCCCUCCAGCUCUCACUCACUCACGCCCAAAUCUCACCUCACUCACGUAUCUCUCCUUUCUGACCGGUGGUUUUCUCUCUCUCGCCGUGGGUCUCUAGGCUGGCGGGGAUUUCUCGACUUGACUACUAAAACAUAAUCCAAAAACUAUCUCGACUUGACUACUAAAACAUAAUCCAAAAACUACUAAGAUAUAUAUAUAUUACUAUGAUAUACACAAUAUGAAGAAACUGCAGUUAUAUUUCAAAUAUUUUAUGAAGGAAGAGGCUGUAUGGAUUAUCCAAAGGUGCUGAAAUUAAGAGACCCACGCCAACCGACAGAGUGAGUGAAUAUAAGGGGGUUAUUGGGUAAAAAUCACAUAACGCGCAAGCGAAAUUUUAGAUUAUAUUUUUUAAUACUCUCCGAGUCUCUCUUUCUCUUUCUUUUUUGGUUUGAACCACGAGGUGGUCCUGAGUGGGUCCCAACUAUGGAAAGCACUUUUAAGCCCGUACCACAACUUAGACUAAUCCCCACUCGCACCGGGUCGGCCCGUAAGGGGUAAAGUGCUGGGCAAAGUGGUGACUCCAUACGAGAGCGGGACUUGAACCCCUGACCUCUCUUAAGGAGUGAGAGUGCCGAACCACUCACACCAACCAACUUUGGUUAACUCUCUUUCUCUUUUUCUUUUUUUAAAUAAAUGUCAGUAUAAAAUUAGAAAAUUUUAGAUAUAAAAUUUGGCGAUGACCAAACAAAAAUUGCAGGGGAAACCUUGAUAUCAUUGAAAUACUAAUCAUAGACACUGCAGUAUAAAUAACUUCUUGUGAUCUACUCAACUUUAACACUUUAAUCCAUAUUCUAAAAUUUGCAUGUUUGUUAGGAUUUUUAUUAUUGAUACUGUUGUAUCAAUAAAAUUAUAAUUUAUUCAUAUGGAAUGAAAACAUCAAGAAAGGACCUCUGAAGUUUAUUAUAACAGAAAAAAAUGGUCCAUAAGUCUAUUUAUUAUUUUAUUUAUUCAAUACAAAUGGCCAACUUUAAAAAUGGUAAAAGUCACACAAUGCACAAGUAAAAUUUUAGAAUUAAAUUUUUUAAUUCUCUUUGAGUCUCUCUCUCUUUAAAAAAUAAACCUCACUGUAAAAUUAGAAAAAUUUUAGACGUAAAAUUUGACAAUCACCAAAUAGAAAACAUAGGCAAAUGAAAAUGGAGGAGCCCUAUUUUCAUUAGAAUAUUGAUCAUAGAUACUAUAAUGUAAAUCAUUUGUUGUGGUUCAUUCAACCUGUCACACUCUAAGCCAUUUUCUAAAAUUUGUAAGGUUUAUAGGAUUUUUAUUAUUGCCAUCAUUGUAUCAAUAAUAUUAUAAAUUAUAUAUUCUAUUGUAAUGAAAAUUUGUGCAAUCUUAGGUAUGUAUUAUAUUAAAUUGUGUGGAUUAAUUAAGAAUAUUUUUGGAGACAAAAGAAGUGUGUGUAUGUAAGAAUAAUGAUAAAAAAUUUCUAAAUAAAGGUGAUUGCUUCAUUGACAAGUACAUAUUUAUAUUCCUCUAUUAGUAUUUGGGUUGUAAACUCUGUUUAUAAAGUGAAUAUAUUGUGGUAAGCGAUGUGGGAAAUAUCGGAUGCGAAAUAUUGAGAGAUCAUUAACGCAUAUAUUUAUUGAAGAUGCAUAUAGAGGAAAGAGUGUAGAUCCGGCCGUAACACUUAUGAAGCUUUCCCUAAGUAUUCUCAUGCUUGCUUAACUAUUCCGAAGUAUUUUUCAUAGUGUGCAUAUUUACUUUAUGGUGUCUUUAUUCGUCUCAAAUGAUUACUACAGUUCUUUUGGGAUGAAAGGUCAUUUAUUUUGUUAAUUUUAAACAAUAGAAAAAAUAAAUAAUGGUAACGAAAGACUAAUUGUGAUAUUGAAGCGUACGGACUUUAACUCAAUCCAAAAAUUAGUAGGACCCACAUAUAUUUGAUGACGCUGAAAGUUACAUCAAUUGUAACUUAGAAACAUCCAAAUAUUAGACAAUAAUACACAAUAACAAUGCAUAUAAUUUGGGUUUGAUUUUUAAAAAAUUAUUUGAAUAUCACUUAUCCUUAAGAUAUUAAUUUGAAUAUAUUUUAAUAGUAAAUAAUAAAAAUUUGUUUAGUUAUUAUUUGUAUUUCAUACAUUGCAUGUUAGAUUUGUUUGAAUUUUAAGUUGUUGCGAAUAAAUAUUUAUGUUGUGAAAGUCGAAUUCAAUAGCUACAAAAGCAGAGAUAAUUGUAUUUUAUAUAGUUUUUAAGAAUACAAGGAUAAGAUCAUAACGCAUGAGAUAACGGUAUUUUAUAUUAAAAGACCAUAAUGCAUGUAUUUGAGCCAUUUAUAUUGAAGACACAUAUAGAGGAAUGAGUGCAGAUCCGACCAUAACUAUUGUGAAGCUUUCCUCAAGUAUUCUCAUGCACCCAAACCUUAUCUGGUCAAGGUUUCUGAUUGAAUAUAAUCAAUUUCCGUGCAGUACCGAAGACAGCUUCUGUUGGUAGUUGAAUUUGUGGGGAAUGACAAAUGUAGAGAAAUACAACAAUAAUGGUGGAACUUUAUUACGUAAAGUAAUGUGUUUACAACUAACUCUGUAUGUAGUAAGAAAAAUAAUAGUAAUAAGUAAACUUGCAAAAAUUUUGUGUGCUUGAAGGCACGUUACAAAUGUCGCUUUCCUUAAGACGUUAUUUGCCCCCACCAAUUGAGUGAUGCACAUGGGUUAAGCAAAUACGCAUCCAGGAUACAAUGAAGCACUUGUUUGUUUGCUAGUGUUGUGCAUCAACGAAAGCAAACCAGAAUACUCUUGAAUGUUGCAAGCCUGCCAAGAAACAAUAAAUUGUUCCUGCAGAAAACAAUAUAUUGGAUUGUGAAUGCACAAAAGAAAUGGGUGUUUUGUGUUGAAAUUCGUACUAGAAAGGAAUGCUAAGAAAAGAGUGGUGUAGGAUCAUUGAUUUCAUGUCUAAAUGGCUUAAACAUGACCCCUAUUUAUGGAUAUACUUGUGCCCCCUCAUUUGGGUUGUCAUCUUCAUGAUACCCCUUCAUUCAUGGCCAUUGGAUCUAUAUUUAAUUUUAAUCAAUGGUCCAAAUUGAACCAUCACCAUUUCAAAUGAAAUGUCACCAUGAAAUGAUGCAUCUCUAAGUGAAAUGUUACCAUGAAAAGUUAUAUCAUUUAGUAAAAAGAUACAUUUUCUAUAAGACAUAAUUAAAUAGACAUGUCCUUACAACAAGACAUCAUUUAAUUAGACAUGUCUUUAGUGAAAUGUACUUUUUCUAUAAGGCAGAAUUAAUAAGACAUGUCUUCACCAUAAGACACAAUUUAUUUUGAAAAUUUUCCAACAGCUUAUCUGUAAAGCUCUUCAACCACAAGCAUUUCUACAAGGCAAAAGACUAGGACGUGUUGGAAUGAAUAUCAAUAAGGGAAUGUCUUAUGAAUUUGGUUUAUAUCCUAAUAUAAGACAAUCAAUAAAUAUUGGAUGCAAUCUAAGGGCUAACAUUUGAUUGAUCAUUGUACGAAAAAAAAAGGUACAAAAAUACAAAACAGAGCUGAUUGAUGGCCUUUAACAGUCAGUUCUAUGACAAAGUAACCACCACAACAAAUGGAAUUAUAAGACAUCAAGAAACUUGAACUUGGCAGGAGGUCUCAUUAGCAGUAUACCUCAGAAAUUAAGACAGAGACUUUAAAAUGCAAGCUUAUGGAGUAAUUUAAGCACUGAAACUAAUAACAGUGAUGCAAAAAAAGGUGCAGAAGUACGGUAUUAGCAAUUGACCUCUGCUUUUGCUUGGACAAAGGUUUUCAUCACAAGGGACUCAUUAGUUGCCCUUGCCUCACACGAUUGGAUGCUAAGGGGAAAAAGGAAGCUUCUAACGGCAUUCACAGAGAACCUAUAAAACUAAAAAAAAAAAAAAUCAUCCAUGAAAAGGCUACUAACAAAAAAACUAACUCUUUUAUCUGCCACUGACCUAAUCCGCACUCAUUUAAUUAAAAAAGAAUUAAAAGCAAAACUAAAAGAUACAAAUUGCGUACAAGUCUAGGAGCCAUAUCAAAGGCGUUAUAUAACUUUUCCAAUUAAUAAAUUCUCUUAAGGGCCAUACCGUGCUCAUCAUUUCAAAAGCAAUUAAGGAUAAGAACUUUCAUCAUUAAUUGAUAUGGCCAGUGUAGAAAAAAUGAAAAAGCCCUCCAAGAUCAAAGCACAAGGAUCAGUUUAGAAUUACACUUUUUAAAUUUUGGUUAAUAAAUAAACGUUUAUAUGAAAAUAGAAAAUCUUUUUGGAAUAACCUUUUUUUUUCUUUUUUUAAUGAAUGUGGAUAUAAAAUUUUAAAAUCGCCAAACCGAAAAGAAAAACAGGGGAAUGAAAAGAGAGCCCACGUUUCUCCUCUCUUUUGUUUUUAUUGUUAUCAAACAGGGGAAUGAAAAGAGUGCUCUGUUUCUCCCCUGUUUUGAUUUUUUUAUUACUAAACAGGGGAAUGAAGAGAUCAGCUCUUGUCGCAAGCGCAAAUUUUUGUUUCUAAAUGCAGUUGGUUGUAACUAUAUUCGCAGUCCCUAGUACUUAGAAGUAAAGGCUCUUGGAAUUUCUAUUGUAGUACAUGAGAUGUUUCCCGUUCAAAUAGCUCGCCCGAUACCAUUAGCAUGUUCAUCUCUCUAUAGAUUGAUGUUGACAUAGAUGUUAUUCUACUUUUGCUAGUGGAGUUUUGGGCCUUGUCGUAAUUGGUGGAAUUACGACAUCGGUGGCUGACAUGGCUUUCCUUGUACAGGUAUGUAUGAUUGUUUUUUUUGCACGUCUAAAUGGCACUGUUGAAAAGCUUAAAAUUGAACUGAUAAUUUUGUUUGGAAGCUCAGAAAAUUCAUGAGAAAGUGAAAUAGAAUAUUCUGGAUUUCUUUUCUUUCCAUAACAUACAAAUGACAAACGUAGCAGUAUUUAUACUCGUUGCUUACAUCAUAAAAACAGAAUUAAAGCAAGUUAUACAACUAUAACAUAAUAAAAACCGUGCUUAACUAAUUGGCUGAGCUAGCAUAUACUUCUUUAACUAACACAUGCUUAUCGUGCAGCUACUCUUUAGUUCACACGUGCUCAGUGUGCUUCCUUAACAGACACAAGGGAAAAGACAUGAUUUUGAGAUAUAACGCUUGAAUGUUCUCGGAAUGGCAUAACGCUUUGUGUGUCUCGGACCUGUUAAGAAUAACAUAUGCUGAGUCAGCUGCUGAGUCAUCAAGCCACGCUGGAAGUUAGUUUUGCAGUUAGUUAGAGAGCUUAUCAGCUUCCCUCCAAAAGUUUGUUAUGUGUAUUAGAAUCUGGGCUCACGAGUUUUGUGAGAUUGUAACCUUAAGAAGAUUCUCACACUACUAUAAAUUGUAUUGUGACUCAAUUAAUAAAAUAAGUUGAAGCUUUGCAUUUUCUCUCAGUCAAAAUUUUCUCUCUGUUUUUCUAACCAAACAAGAUCUACAGAGCAUCUUGUAUUUUAACUUGGUAUCAGAGCUUGAAUCCAAUGGCCUUAAUCGGUUCCAAUCAACAGUCAAGCAACACUUCCAUAACUUCUUUCACCUUCACAAAUCCAAUUAAGCUUGAUCGUGCAAACUAUACGAUCUGGAAACAAUAAGUACUUUCUUCAAUUCGUGGCAAUGGUCUUGAAGGCUAUAUUGAUGGAUCAAGGAUCUGUCCUAGUCAAUUUCUUUCUCCAGAGGCUAGAUCUGAAGGUUCUUCUUCUUCUAACAUCGAAGGUCAAGAGAAUCCAGAGUAUGCAGCCUGGAGACGUCAAGAUUAGCUCCUGCUCAGCUGGAUUCUGUCGUCCAUGAAUGUAGAUAUUCUCAGUCUUGUGGUAAGCUCUAAGACUUCUUUUGAGUUGUGGAAAAAUCUAGAAAAAUAAUUUGGAUCUGAAUCUAUGGCUAAGAAGGUUCAUCUAAAAAUGCUUUUGAGUAACCUGCGAAAAGGAUCUCUAACCAUGUCUGAGUAUUUUACAAAGCUUAAGUCAGUUACAGAUGGUCUUGCUUUAGUUGGUAGCCCUGUGCAUGAUUCGGAUUUAGUCACUCAUCUUAUUACUAGUCUAGAUCAGUCAUAUUAUCCUGUAGUAGUCUAUAUUGAGGCAAACAUGUUGAAAAUGGAUCUUAGUGAGGCUUAUGCUAUGCUUCUCACACAUGAAGCUAGACUUGAGAAUAAUAAGCUUCAUGAUAGUAAGGAAACCAAGAACAAUUAUGCAGCAAAUGUAGCUCAGGCUGGAAAUUUUUCAAAGAAAGGUAAUAACAAUAAUCAAAACAACUGGAAGGCUGGAGGAAACAAUUGGAAUAAUAACUCUGGUGGAAGAGGUGGUUUUGGUGGUAAUGGAAGAGGUGGUUACCAAGGGUUCAAUCCAGGAAGAGGAAACUAGAAUAAUAAUAAUUUCAGAGGUGUUGCUGGUGGAUUUAAUAGUGGAUUUCCUGGUCCCGGUGGCUUCAAUAACAAUUAUGGCAGAGGUGGUUUCAACUCAGGAGGUGCUGGAAAGAAUUUUGCUCAGGGAACUGGUGCUGCUUGUCAGAUAUGCUUCAGGUUUAAUCACACAGCAGCUGAUUGCAGAGACAGGUUCAACCGAAAUUUUAUCCCAAAUUUUCCAGCUCCAGCUCCAAAUCACUUCUGUAAUCAGCAUCAAGGACCAAGAGCAGUCUUCAUAACAACAUCUGAAGGAGCUGCUGAUCAGGGAUGGUUUCUGGAUAGUGGUGCAACUCACCACUUAACCAACACAGUUCAGAAUCUGAGUGAUGGUAAAAUCUAUUUUGGCUCAAACUUACUUACUGUUGGUAAUGGCCAAGGUCUUAGAAUUACUCACAUAGGUUAUACACAACUUCACACUUCUUUUGGCACCUGUUUACAACUACAUAAUAUUUUGUGUGUCCCUCAAAUUACCAAGAACCUCAUUAGUAUUUCCAAACUCCUCACUGAUAAUGAUAUAACCAUUGAAUUUUUCUCUGAUGUUUGCUUUCUAAAGGACAAGGUGAAGGGCACUCUGUUGGCUCAGGGGAUAGCCUAUACAAGCUACUAUCAAAAGAGGAAUCUCUCUCUUCUUCCACUUCUGUUCUGCCAGUGUCUCAUCCUAGUUCUAUGAUGUCAACUCUUUCCUGCAAUAAUGUAGUUACUUCUGUUCAAAGUUCAAAUAAUGACUUCUGUUUUAAGUCUACAUUUCCUGUAAGCUUUCAAACUUCAAGUUAUGUGUCAGCAAAUAUGUUGCACAAUAGACUUGGUCAUCCAAGUAAACAUGUCAUACAAACUAUUCUCAGAAACAAUUGUUUAAUGUCAGCCAAUGUUAGUAAAUCAAAUUUUCUUUUCUGUGAUGCCUGUCAAUUGGGAAAGUUACAUCAAUUACACUUUCCUGCUACUGAAAUCAAAACAAAAAACCCCUUAGAAUUAAUACACACAGACUUAUGAGGACCAGCACCAGUUUUAUCACUAGAUGGCUAUAGAUACUAUAUUUCCUUUGUUGAUGACUUCACCCGAUAUUGUUGGAUCUUUCCUUUAGUUUUAAAAUCUGAUGCUCUUACUACUUUCAAAAACUUCAAGAGCUUAGUUGAGAAACAAUUCAGUCUGCCUAUCAAAAUUCUGCGGUCUGAUAUGGGAGGUGAAUUCAAAGCUUUUCAGUCCUUUCUUCAACAAGAAGGUAUCCAAGCUAGAUUUAGUUGUCCCUAUACUCACCAUCAAAAUGGUGUUGUUGAGAGAAAAUAUAGACACUUAGUAGAAACUGGAUUAACACUCCUUACUCAAGUAAAAAUGCCUAUUUCUUUCUCGUGGGAGGCUUUCCAUACAGCCUCCUAUCUCAUUAAUAGAAUGCCUACCACUACACUGAACAACUUAUCUCCCUAUCAAAAGCUUCAUAAUCAGCCACCAAACUAUCAACUUCUCAGAGUUUUUGGUUGUGCUUCCUAUCCUUUUCUCAAGCCUUAUAAUGAUCACAAGCUUGAUUUUCAUUCCCAAAAAUGCUUGUUCUUAGGUUACAGCCCUCUUCAGAAAGGAUAUAGGUGUCUAACAAAGUCAGGUAAAGUAUAUGUUGCUACUCAUAUUGUUUUUAAUGAAUCUGAUUUUCCCUAUUCAGAGUUGUUCUCUUCAUCUGAGUCUUCUUCCAAUUCUCUAUCAUCAUACUCUCCAUCUAUUUGUAUCCUUAAUGACAGUGGCUUGCAUCAAUCAUCAGCUACAUCUCCUACUUCAGCAAAGUUACCAACUAUACAUUCACCUCAACAUCCUCACCAAGCCCCACACUCUCCUUGUCCCUCUCCAGUCUCAGAUUCCUACAGCUAAUCAUCACCACAUUCUUCAUCACAUAAUGCUUUAGCCAAUCCCUCUGAUGAAUUACAACCAUCAUCUCAACCUGUCAUUUCAACUCAUCAGAUGGUCACUCGAGCCAAAUCUGGUAUUUUUAAACCAAAGACCUACCUUACAGCUACCCAAGACCUUGAACCAGUGAGUGUUAAAGCAACCCUAAUUGAUACAAAGUGGAAAAUGGCUAUGCAAGAAGAGUAUAAUGCCUUGCAGAAGAAUGGCACCUGGACAUUAGUUCCAGCUGAAACAGCUACAAAACUUGUUGGCAAUAAGUGGGUUUUUCGAGUUAAAUAUAACCCAGAUGGCAGCAUUUCCAAGUAUAAGGCUCGGUUGGAUGCAAAAGGUUUUCAUCAAACCUAUGGAGUAGAUUUCUUUGAAACUUUUAGUCCAGUUGUUAAACCCUGCACUGUUCGUAUUGUUCUCAGCUUAGCAGUCAUGCAUUGUUGGCCAGUUCGGCAAUUAGAUGUUAACAAUGCCUUUCUUAAUGGCAUGCUUACUGAAGAUGUGUUUAUGCCUCAGCUAGAAGGCUUUAUCAGCUCUCAGUUUCUCAAUCAUGUCUGCAAAUUACAAAAAGCCCUUUAUGGUCUUAAACAGGCUCCAAGGGCUUGGUAUGAUAGAUUGAAAGGGUCUUUAGUUCAGUGGGGUUUCAAAUCUUCAAAGUCAGAUACUUCACUGUUUUUCAAGCAUAUUGGCAAUAAUGUUCUCAUCAUCCUUGUUUAUGUAGAUGAUAUCCUGAUAACAGGCUCUAGUGAUGUUUAUAUUUAAGAGGUUAUCAGUCUACUUAGCUCAGAAUUUGCACUUAAAGAUUUAGGAGAUUUUAACUACUUUCUUGGGGUAGAAGUGACUCCAUCUGCUGAAGGAUUACAUCUAUCUCAAACUAAGUAUGUUGGUGACAUCUUAAGAAAAGCUCAUAUGCUUGAGAGUAAAGGUUGUAAUACACCUAUCAGUGUUGCUGAUAAAUUGCAGAAGGACAAAGGCUGCUCAUUUACAAAUCCCUCACUUUACAGAAGCAUCAUUGGUUCUCUGCAGUAUCUGACACUGACCAGACCAGAUAUUGCAUUCACUGUAAACAAAUUGAGUCAGUUUUUAGCUGCUCCAACUAUCUUGCAUUGGCAGGCUUGCAAGAGGGUAUUACGAUAUCUACAAAGCACAUCACAUUUUAGACUGCAAUUCUUCAAGUCAGGUUCUCCAAGUCUCAUAGCAUAUUCUGAUGCAGAUUGGGGGUCUGAUCCAGAUGAUAGAAGAUCUGUUGGAGGGUAUUGUGUUUAUCUUGGAUCCAAUCUUGUGUCUUGGUCAUGUAAGAAACAGAACAUUGUUUCCAGGUCAUCUGUUGAAUCUGAGUAUAGAGCAUGGCCUUAGCUACAUCUGAGGUUUUGUGGAUUACAUAUCUAUUAAAAAAGCUCAAAGUAUCACUUCCCAAACCUCUUGUUCUUUACUGUGACAACAGCAGUGCAGAAGCUUUGGCUAGCAAUCCUAAGUAUCAUUCCAGAACUAAACAUAUAGAACUGGAUUUACAUUUUUUCAGAGAACACAUUGCCAACAAGGAUCUCUUCAUUGAACAUGUGUCUAGUUCUGAUAAGCUAGCUGAUGUGCUUACCAAACCUCUGAGUUUUGAUCAUUUUGCCUAUAUGCAAACUAAGGUCAAUGUCUGCCCAUGACCUUGAGCUUACGGGGGCAUUUUAAGAAUAACAUAUGCUGAGUCAUCAAGCCAUGCUGGAAGUCAGUUUUGCAGUUAGUUAGAGAGCUUAUCAGCUUCCCUCCAAAAGUUUGUUAUGUGUAUUAGAAUCUGGGCUCACGAGUUUUGUGAGAUUGUAACCUUGAGAAGAUUCUCACACUACUAUAAAUUGUAUUGUGACUCAAUUAAUAAAAUAAGUUGAAGCUUUGCAUUUUCUCUCAGUCAAAAUUUUCUCUCUAUUUUUCUAAGUAACCAAACAAGAUCUACAGAGCAUUUUGUAUUUUAACUGGAGCGGCUGAUUGGUGCUGUACGUGUUACAUUUUUACUUUUUUAACUCAAGUCUGCUGUUGUCCCAAAGUUGGAACUAGAGAUAUCAUUUCACCUCAACUGUGUUUUUUUUUUAAUUAAAAAAAUCAUUUGUUUUAGGUAUACAUACAUGUAUUUUAAUUCUAUUUUCCUUGUAAUUUCUCCUUUACUUUGAAUGAAAGUCAUUGGUGUUUUCGAAUGGGAAUUUUGCAUUAAAAAAUUAAGAAUAGUUAAUAGGAAAUUUCCUGAUUCUUUAGUUACUAUUUUUGGUAUGAGUGUAAUUAGUAGUAAAGUUGGUUUCUACUCGCAAACAAGUGAACUGCUCGAUUCCCAAGUGCUAUUAACCAGUUUCCAACUUUUUAAUAUACACUAAUUGUUCCUGUUUAAUAGCUACUACUAUUAAAACUCAACAGCUAACAAAAAUACUAAAAAAAAUGAUUUUUUCUUAUGAUGCUGUGAAAAAAAUUACGGGUUUACUUAUUUCCACGAGAUCUUGUAUAGUGUUCUUGUAUAGUGGAAUUAAGAUUGUCUUCCCGAUGGUGCAAUUCACCCUCUUCCUUUACAGUCACUUGCACUUUGUGCAGCUUUGGUGUGGAUAAGAUUCCCAGGGAAAAAGUCUUCAUGUUCGGACAAUGUGUCACAAAUACUCGUUCCAAUGAUGGGAAUUCAAGAGGGUAAUUCUCCAAACAAAAGCUGGUAAGCCUUGGUAAAUACGACUCUCCUUCACUUCUUCUCCAGCAUGUCCUACGAUUUCUUCUAAUUUUUUGCAGUUCCAUACAUAAAGAUUCACCAGACUAGUAGGAAUUCCAACCUGAAAAUAAGCAGAGUGUGUGUGUGUGUGUGUAUAUAUAUAUAUUAAAAAAGUAAAUAUGUAAGAGUAUCAUUCAACUAGGCUCAAAGAAUGUUUAAUCAUACAAUUAUACGUUUUAUGAACAUAACAAACUGUGAAAUAUCUACUAGAUAUUUUUUGUUAAACAAAAAAGGUAACAAGAUAAAUAAAUAAAUAAAAGCCAGAUAAACAAAGAUGAUAAAAAUGUAUUUACACUAUUUAGUAUUAGGGACGUAGAAAGAAUUUAUGGCAAUUUCUAAAUAUUUUGGACUUAUUUUGCAUCUUGAUAUAAGUUUUUAAGCAUAAAUUUGCAAAUUUCAACUAUUCCUUUAAAAAAAAAACUCAACUAAAAUGCCUCUUUUUCCCUUUUCCUUGGUCCCUAUUUUUUAUGUAUAUAUAAAAAUGGAAAAAAAAAUUUUGGAAAAGACUUCCCAGUACUGUCAACAAGGGAUUGCUGUAAAGUGGAUCUUUAUUAAGUACUUCCAGACUCGAGGAAAUUUCUUUACAAUCAAGGGUCAGUUGUAAACAAUCAUGAAUUUGUGGUUAAUUAAUGGCAUAAUCAAUUCUUAACUAAACUGGAGAUAUUAAUUAAAUUUGAAGACUUUUUUUUUUUCCAAUCGAAAUGUGAAGAAUUAAGGAAAAGAGAAAUAUAUAGAUGAAUUUGUGAACCUAUAAGAUGAGUGACUAUCCUUUAAUUUUUGAAAAUUGUACUUAUUAAGACAUGAGCAGAAACAAUUAAAUUGAAUUAUAUUAUGCUGUUGAAUCGUGAUUAAAAAAAUUAUAUUGUUGAUUCUAAUGCUGGCGAACCUAAAAACUGGACUUAAAACGUAGAUUUCAGAGUGGUGGUUUGAAGUACAAUACUUGAAAUAAAUAAUCAGUGGCUAAAUAUCAUUUGUAAACCCAAAAAUGGUUAAAAUAUUGUUGAAUGUUAUUUGAAAAAAAAAAAAAAGAGAUUCAAAAUGAAUAUUCUUACCAAUGGAGGAAAAAUAUUCUUUAGGUUAUCACACCAAGAUAUCUCCAAAUUCUUCAAUUUGCUGAAAGACUCCGAAGCAAGCUGGUGGUGCCAUAUUUUUCUCAAAUUAUCCAUCCAGUCAAUACGUAAUACCUCCAACCUAGGAAGUCGUACCUGACAGUUAAAGAUUAAAUAACUAAUUAAUCAAUUAAUGGCAUAAUCAAUUGAUAAAUAAAUUAGAGGCGGAUAUUAACUAAAUUUGAAGACUCAAGGAAAAGACAAAUUAAAUAUUGUGACUAAAAUAAAUUUAAAAAAAAAAAAAACCUUUUCGUCAAAGAGAGGAGGUUGCAUUUCAGAAUGAAUGGUGUCUUCUGGUGAGCUCGUGGAGAUGAAUCUUAACAUAUUCCAGCAACUCUGAAUCUCGAGGUUUAGCAAAGAAGGGAAUUCAACAACUAAAUCUGAAUGAAUAUGUCCCGUAUUGGCAAAGCUUGUUAGUUCUGGAAGCCAAUAGAGCCGCAGGAAGUGUAGUUUAGGAAAUACCUUUAAUUCAAUCAACUUUCCUUCAUCUCUUUCUGACCAUCCCGUGGUGUCGACUACCCCUUCCAUUGACUCACAAUAGCUUAUCUCAAGAUGUUGGAGCUGCAAAAGGCUAUUAACCAUAGAAUAUGAAAACAGAUACUUCAUACGAUGACAACCGACCACGUGCAGCUUUGUUAGAUUUUGACAACAGUACAUUCCUUGAUUAUGAUCGGCCCAUAAUUUUUUCAUGUUUCUCAAGUCCCUGAGAUUCAAUUCCUCUAAGCUCGGAAGAAUAACCUGCAAAGAAAACCCGUACAUUUUUGUUCCUUCAAGUACAACCGUCUAGUAUAAUAUUCUUUUGAUGAUCGAAGAUUAAUCGUGAUAAUAAAUUAAUCAAUUAAUUAUUGAACAGAAAAUUAUCACCUUUGGAGCAGGAUCAUCAUCAGAAAUGAUUUCGUUGAAUCCCAAAGAAGUUGUUGGUUUGUCCAUGUCGGGUCCUAUAAACAAACAAAAACAAUAUACAUAAUUAAUCUUUGUCGUUGUCUUUUUUUUUCAAAAUAAUUGAGGCGAAGUCCAUAAAUCCACCAACACUUAAUUUCAACACUUACCAACAAUCAUUUCCAGAUCAUCGCAAAAAAACACUUCUACCUUUUGAAGCCACAGUAGGUUUUUGGCCAUGGAGAAUGAGAAAAGAUGCUUCAAUUCGUGACAGUCUGAUACUUUUAUAAUCCUUAAGUUGCUGAAAGAUUGAUCUUCUGUGAGUUGGCUGUCACAUAUUGUCUCCAAAUUUAUCAAACGACGAAGAGACAAUGACUCCAGCAAGGGGAAGACUUUGCGACGAACCCGUCCAACUGAACAGACAAUAUGCAAAAUCUCAGACCAACUUUUUACAGCAAGGUGCUUCAAUCGUGGAAAACCUUCCCCAUCAUCUAAUUCAUGAACAACAUUCUGAACACCCUUCAGUUCUUCUAGAUAGAGAUAUUCAGUUCUCUUCAACAACAGUUUCAUCCUGUAAUUCUGCAAAAGAAUGCCAAACUUUUCCAGCCUCUGGAGCUUCAUCAAUCUUGAUAAUCCAGAUUUAACGGACCAGCUGCUCCCCCACUUAUUUCCUAUACAUAUCCUAUAGGUAGAAGUGUUCUAGCUAUUAAUUUUAUACAUAUCUUCUAUAGGUGUAUUCUAAUUAAUUUCAUACAUCAGAUUUUUAGAUAAAAAUAAAGAAGUAAAAAAAAAAAAUCUUCACAUCAUCUUAAGAAAUUCAAAGCCAUGAUACCACAUCCAAUCACGAGAAUCCAUUUUCCUAUGAUCACUGACCUUUAGGUGCGGUGCUUGGUUUGAAGAAGGGAAAGGGGGUGAGGAAAGUAAUUUGAAUUCCUUUCUUAUUUCCGUUGUUUGGUCGGUCAUAAUAUAAAAGAAUUUAAUUUUCAUUAAAAUUUAAUAUAAUCAUAAUGUGGAAUUUAGAUUUCUCAAUAAAGAGUGAUGAAUCUUGGUUUGGGUCUGUUUUGAGUUUAUUUUCAUUUAUUUGGCUAUGUUUUGAUAGCGAAUUUUGAUAUGUCAAUAUAACGUGUAAUUGUUUUGGGUUGAGCUGGUAAUUAUGCUGGAUUAGAUUGGUUUGGUUUUGGUGCUUCUCUGAUGGAACACUGUUUUUUUUAGAAAUUUUGAAUGUAAUAUGAGACUACAUUUAGUUUAAUUGAACACUGCAUCUAGUCUAAUUACUAGAAGUGCGGCAUUUGGUUUGGUUUAUCCUAUAUUCUCCAGAAUUUCACUUGCAUCUGGUUUUGUUGCAUAUGUUUGCUUGCAUUUGAUGGCAGUAGCAGACUGUUUGGUUUUGUGACAUUUGAUGGCAGUUUGGUCUGUUCUUGGUGUUGGUUUAAGAUUGUUCCUGUUGUGCUGAUGUUAAUUGCAGGUGCUUGAAUCAGCUAGGGUUGCUGGUUUAUUCAGAUGGUUGACUCAGGCGUUGUUACUGGUUAAUUCAGGUGGCUGACUCAAGUUGUUCAUUUAAUGUUAGGAAGCAAAUUAAGAAUUAAUGAAGUAUUCAUUAAACUAUAAUUAUUGUAGUUAUUUUAUUUCAUAACUGAAUUAUAAUCUAUGAUACUUGUGAACAAAUUAGAGAAUUUUUAUAUAUGAAUUAUAUAUAUGUGUAUGUACAUUUUGCUAAUAAUUUAAAGAAUAUAUUUCAAUUCCCACAAAAAAAUGGCUCCAAUUUCAAUAAUUCCCGCCAAAUAAUUAAAUUUUUUUAAUUUACCACCAAAAUAUAUCUUAAAGAAAUUUUAGUUAUUCUUGCUAGAUUUAACAAAAAUGAUUUGUAGGAUUAACAUUUAAUUAAAAUAAUUAAAUAAUUUUAUUAUUCCAAUUAAAUAUGUCAUGUUUAUACGACAGACAAUAUUCAUGAAUGGGAAGUAUUAGUUACGUAUUUUUCCUUGGGAUUUCAGGCAAAUGAAAAAAAGAUUGAGAAUGAUUUCAAGAGGACAGGUGGAUGAUAAGUAUUCAUUUUUGUAUAUUUGUCUAAUGUCCUCAUUAGUGGAUUUUUAUGGUAUUGAUCUUUUUUUUUUUUUUUUUAAUUUUCAAUUAGUUGCAGCCCUAGAGGAAGAGCAGGCUGAUCAAAUUGAUUUGUCUUGUUUUUCGGGCAAUCUACGACAUGAUGACCGUGAUAAUGCUCGUGACUGCUGGAAACUUUCUGAUGGAAAUAACUUUAGAGUUCGUAGCAAGCAUUUUUGUUAUGACAAAACAAAGGUUCCCCCAUAAUUUGUUUGUUUGUUAUGGUAUUUAUAUAUCCUGCAUAGGCUAGGUAGACAAGUUAUGAUGUACGUGUUUCUCAUAUAGAACUCAAGUCUGCUGUUGUCCCAAAGUUGGAACCAGAGAUAUCAUGACUCUGGUUUCAUUUCACCUCAACUGUGUUUUUUUUUUUAAUUAAAAAAAUAUUUGUUUUAGGUAUACAUACAUGUAUUUUGAUUCUAUUUUCAUUGUAAUUUCUCAUUUACUUUGAAUGAAAGUCAUUGGUGUUUUCGAAUGGGAAUUUUGCAUUAAAAAAUGAAGAAUAGUGAAUAGGAAAUUUCUUGAUUCUUUAGUUACUAUUUUUGGUACGAGUGCCAUUAGUAGUAAAGUUGGUUUCUACUCGCAAACAAGUGAACUGCUCGAUUCCCGAGUGGUAUCAACCGGUUUCCAACUUUUUAAUAUACACUAAUUGUUAUUGUUUAAUAGCUACUACUAUUAAAACUCAACAGCUAACAAAAAUACUUAAAAAAAAUGAUUUUUCUUAUGAUGCUGUGAAAAAAAUUACGGGUUUACUUCUUUCCACGAGAUCUAUAACAUGGUCUUGAUUUCACGAAAUUCUUUUAAUUUAAAGCGUGCUGGUGUGAGAAGGUCAGUUUGACUGAUUAAUUCUUUUUAACAGUGGUCGAGAUAAUUUUACUAUACUCGAAAAUAUUCUUAUUCUGAUAAAGCCAUAAAUGUUAUGCUGUUUUCUUCGGCUAAUGAUCUUCUAUCAGGAGAGGUUAGAAAUCAAAUGCUUAAAAGACCAAUUGAACGAAUAAUACAGAAAUUUAGGCAGAAUCUAAUCGAAUAUUGUAUGAAACAUGAAACAUCAAUUCAAGUCCUUUCUUAAACAAAGAAUGCAUCAAACAAAAUCCAAAGUGUCUUGCAAGUUUGUAGCAUGAGCAAAAAAUUGUAAAUAUGUAGAACCAAAUUAUUCAAGUACAGAAGAACGAGCAAGCUAAAUCAUGUAUAAGAGAUUGGCCUGGUUCAGGAUAGCUUCUUCACUGUAGCUGAAGGGUUGGCUCAAUCUCUUCUUUAGAAUUCUGCAGAUUUUGUAAUUACUCGUGUAAGCAAGCAUACAUUGCCACCAUAAGAAUAAUAAAGCAAGAGUAAUGAUAUGACCACCACCUCUUGUGCACAAACAAUAUUGUAUAAACUAAUGCGACAUAAUAUGAUUGGUUAAAUAAAAACAUUACAUGGCCCUCAUAAUUUAUUUAUUUAUUUAUUAUUAUUAUUAUAUAUUUUCAAUCAACCAAUCAUAUUAUAUCACAUUAGUUUCUAUAAAAUAAUUUGCUAAAUAGCACCGAAACUUAAUUGAUACUCACCAUUUCAUUGAACAAUUUUUUUAUGGUGUCAUUGAGGUUGCCUUCCCAACAUCCUUCAUCAUCAUCAUCUUCUUCAUCAUCAUCAUCUUCUUCUUCAUCAUCUUCAUCAUCAUCAUCUUUUUCUUCUUCGGUGACGUUCACUUUGUUUAGCAUUGGUGUGUCUAAGACUCCUUGAGAGAAGAUCUUCAUUUUUGGACACUGUCUCACAACUACUUGUUCCAAGGAUGGGAACUCAAGAGCGUAAUUACCCAAACAAAAGCUUGUUAGGCUUGGCAAACAAUCAAGUCCCAAGUACUCCAAUUUCCUGAAAACAAUGCAAUCGUCCGCUUCUUCUCCAACCUGCGACUGUAUAAUUUCUUCCAUCAUUUUGCAAUCAGUUAUCUUCAUUCUUUCAAGAUUCACUAGACUUUCAGAUGUUGAGAGCGUCAAUAAAUUUAUCAACCCAUGACACUUCGAUACUUCCAGAGUCGCAAGAUUUUCCAAAUGCCACGAAGCUGGUACUAAUUUCUGCAACUUACUACAUUCAAAUAUUUCUAGACUUUUCAAGUUUGCAAACACUUUGUUGGAUUUGGCAUUUUCCUUCCAGAGAUGCUGCACUUUGUGUAAUCCAGAUAGCUUUAACUUCAUCAAUUGAGGGAAUGCAACCUGGAAAUCAACAAAAUUAAGUUGUAAAUGAAAAUAUGUAUCCAAUCUCUGCAGUCUUCCCCUGCAUAUUUUAUGGACAAGAUUAAUCACGGCAUUUUAUAUUUUAUUUCCAAAUUAGUAUGCUUUGCAGUAGGAUCCCAAAUAUAAGUAUCAAAUCGAUUACCCUUUGAAACACAUAAAUGAAAUCUGAUCCUAAAUCCAAUAUGAAUUAGCUAGGAAAACAGAGACCUAACACGCAUAAUCGAUAUAGUUCAUCACCUCCUGUCACUAGGCAUCUAAUUAAUUUGAGACAUUUUUUUAAUUCAUACUAUAAAGUUAGUUAAUAACUACGGUUAUAUUGUUAAACAUGUAUAAAUUAAGACGACGUGCAAAAAGAUGAGUCAUUAAAUUUGAUUUGAUUCUAAUGAAAUUAUAUCUGUGUGAAUGAAAGUGAAGGGAAAAAUAAUAAUAAUGUUACCUUUUCAUCGAAGAGAUGUUGUAUUUGAUUAGCUACCAAGAGGUUCUCUUCUUAUUUUAAUUUUUGAGCUUCCUUAUUAUCUGUUGUCAUGUGCAGUACAGAUGUAGAAUUGGACAUGAAUGUUUCCAUAUCAGGGCAAUUCUCAAUAGUUAGAUAUCUCAACUCAGGCAGUUCAAUUAUAUUCCCAGUGAAGUUGCAGAAUCUUUUGAGUUUUGGAAGGUCAAUGAGCCUUAGCUCAAAAAGCCUAGGAAACAGGGGGCCUAUAUGUUCUUCCUUGGCAUUUAGCUCUUCCAAAUGAAGCACCUCUUCUAGUGAAUCACAAUUCCUCACUUCCAGCCAUCUCAAAUUGUUCAAGCACCGUAUCAGAUUGGCAGGAAUAGCACUCGACAUAUUCGUGCGGUCAUCCACCACCAGGUGUCUUAAAUUGUUGAAGAAGCUGACAGGCAGUGCUUGGCCAUGCGAGAGUUGCAAAUGGUUUAUAUCAAGGAAUCCAAUCUGCACAAACCAAAACAAUUGCACUGGAUAUAUACAAUUUUUUCUUUCUGAAAGGCAUAGAUAUAUGUACAUUAAACUUACAUGUUUUCUGCUUUAACUUCUAAAAAUAUAUAUACAAGGCAGGUGUAUAUGCUUAAAUGUGCAAGUGCAGGGGAGAUGCAUGAACAAUUUGGGUGAAUCGAUUAACACAUACCAUCUUUUUGUAACAUAUGUUUAAAUGUGCAAGCGCAAGGGAGAUGCAUAAGCAACUUGGAUGAAUCGAUUAGCACAUACCAUUUCUUCGUAACACUUUUGUAUAGUGGAAUUAAGCUUGUUGCCUUCCCAAUGGUGCAGUUCACCCUCUUCCUUUUCAGUCACUUGCACUUUGCAUGGCUUUGUAAUGGAUAAGAUUCCCUGAGAAAAAGUCUUCAUGUCCGGACAACGUAUCAUAGAAACUCGUUCCAAUGAUGGGAAUUCAAGAGUGCAAUUCUCCAAACAAAAGCUGGUAAGCCUUGGUAAAUCAUCAAGUAUCAAAACUUUUAAUUCGCUGAAAGCAAUACGAUUCUCCUUCACUUCUUCUCCAACAUGUCCUACGAUUUCUUCUAAUUUUUGGCAAUCUGAUACUUAAAGAUUCACCAGACUACUAGGAAUUCCAACCUGAAAAUAAGCAAAAGUGUGUGUGUAAGAGUAUCAUUCAACUAGGUCCAAAGUAUGUUUAAAACAUACAAUUAUAUGUUAACAUAACAAACCAUGAAAUGUCUACUAGAUAAUUUUUGUUAAACAAAAAAGGCAACAAGAUAAAUAAAUAAAUAAAAGCCAGAUAAACAAAGACAAUAAAAAUGCAUUUACACUAUUUAGUAUUAGGAGCGUAGAAAGAAUUUAAGGCAAUUUCUAAAUAUUUUAGACUUAUUUUGCAUCUUGAUGCCAGUUUUUAAACAAAAUUUGCAAAUUUCAACUAUUCCUUCUGGGAAAAAAAAAAAUCAACCACCAACAAAGUGUUGGCUCCAUUGGCAAUGGAGUCCCCUUAAGUGGUUUGACUGGGUUUGCUCCCCAGUUCGAGUCGCAGGGAAGUCGCCUUUGUUGGGAGAACUUGUGCCUCCCGGUUCGAGCGGGGACUUCUAGUCUGGGUUGUGGUACGGGCUUAAAGGUGCCUUCCACAGUUGGGGCCCUCCCCAGGAUACCUCGUGAUUAAUAUAAAAAAAAAAAAAAAAUCAACCAAAAUGCCGCUUUUUCCCUUUUUCCCUUUUUCCUUGGUCCCUUUUUUUUAUGUAUAUUUAAUUUUGGAAACAAAAUUAAAGUGGAUCUUUAUUAAGUACUUCUAGACUCGAGGAAAUUUCUUUACAAUCAAGGAUCAAUUGUAAAUAAUCAUGAAUUUGUGGUUAAUUAAUGGCAUAAUCAGUUCGUAACUAAACAAGAGAUAUUAAUUAAAUUUGAAAACUUUUCUUUUCUUUUUUUCUUUUUCCAAUCGAAAUGUGAAGAAUUAAGGAAAAGAGAAAUAUAUAGAUGAAUUUGUGAACCUAUAAGAUGAGUGACCAUCCUUUAAUUUUUGAAAAUUGUACUUAUUAAGAUAUGAGCAGAAACAAUUAAAUUGAAUUAUAUUAUGCUGUUGAAUCGUGAUUAAAAAAAUUAUAUUGUUGAUUCUAAUGCUGGCGAACCUAAAAACUGGACUUAAAAUGUAGAUUUGAGAGUGGUGGUUCGAAGUACAAUACUUGAAAUAAAUAAUCAGUGGCUGAAUAUCAUUUGUAAACCCAAAAAUGGUUAAAAUAUUGUUGGAUGUAAUUAAAAAAAAAAAGAUUCGAAAUGAAUACAACAACCUUACCAAUGGAGGAAAAAUAUUCUUUAGGUUAUCACACCACCAUAUGUCCAAAUUCUUCAAUUUGCUGAAAGACUCCGAAGCAAGCUGGUGGUGCCAUAUUUUUCUCAAACUAUCCAUCAAGUCAAUACGUAAUACCUCCAACCUAGGAAGUCGUACUUGGCAGUUAAAGAUUAAAUAACUAAUUAAUCAAUUAAUGGCAUAAUCAAUUGAUAACUAAAUUAGAGGCGAAUAUUAACUAAAUUUGAAGACUCAAGGAAAAGACAAAUUAAGUAUUGGGACUAAAAUUAAUUUUUUUUUUAUUUUAAAAAAAACCUUUUCGUCAAUGAGAGGAGGAGGUUGCAUUUCAGAAUGAAUGGUGUCUUCUGGUGAGCUCGUAGAAAUGAAUCUUAACAUAUUACUGCAACUAUCAAUCUUGAGUAUUUGCAAAGAAGGGAAUUCAACAACUAAAUCUGAAUGAAUAUGUCUCGUGUUUGCAAAGCUUGUUAGUUUAAAAAGCCCAUAGAGCUGCAGGGAGUGUAGUUUAGGAAAAACCUUUAAUUCAAUCAACUUUCCUUCAUCUCUUUCUGACCACCCCGUGGUGUCGACUACCCCUUUCAUUGACUCACAAGAUCGUAUUUCAAGAUGUUGGAGUUGCAAAAGACUAUUAACCAUAGAAUACGAAAACAGAUACUUCAAAUGAUCACAACCGUCCACGAUCACCUUUGUUAAAUUUUGACAACAGUACAUUCCUUGAUUAUGAUCGGCCCAUAAUUUUUUCAUGUUUCCUAAAUGAAAGAGAUUCAAUUCCUCUAAGCUCGGAAGAAUAACCUGCAAAGAAAACCCGUACAUUUUUGUUCCUUCAAGUACAACCGUCUAGUAUAAUAUUCUUUUGAUGAUCGAAGAUUAAUCGUGAUAAUAAAUUAAUCAAUUAAUUAUUGAACAGAAAAUUAUCACCUUUGGAGCAGUAUCAUCAUCAGCAAUGAUUUCGUUGAAUCCCAAAGAAGUUGUUGGUUUCUCCCUGUCGGGUCCUAUAAACAAACAAAAACAAUACACAUAAUUAAUCUUUGUCGUUGUUUUUUUUUUCAAAAUAAUUGAGGCGAAGUCCAUAAAUCCACCAACACUUAAUUUCAACACUUACCAACAAUCAUUUCCAGAUCAUCGCAAACAAACACUUCUACCUUUUGAAGCCGCAGUAGGUUUUUUGCCAUGGAGAAUGAGAAAAGAUGCUUCAAUUUGUGACAGGAUUGUACUCCUAUAAUCCUUAAGUUGCUGAAAGAUUGAUCUUCUGUGAGUUGGCUAUCACAUAUUGUCUCCAACUUGUUCAAAAACCAAAGAGACAAUGACUCCAGCAAGGGAAAGACUGUACAAUGAACCCGUCCAACUGAACCGACAAUAAGCAAAAUCUCAGAACAACUUUCUACACGAAGAUGCUUCAAUCGUGGAAAACCUUCCCCAUCAUCUAAUUCAUGAGCAACAUUCUGAACACUCUUCAGUUCGUUUAGAUGGAUCUCUUCAGCUUCUUUCAGCAACAUUUUCGUCCCAUAAUUCUCCAAAAGACUGCUAACAUUUUCUAGCCCAUCGAGCUCCACCAUUCUUGAUGUUUCAGAAUUAACGCCCCACAUGCGCCACGCUUCUCCUAUACAUAUCUUAUAUCUUUGCAAUUCCACAGAGACUAAAUCCUGCGGCAGAAUUUGGGCAUCCCAAAAUUGUAUCUCCAAAGUAGUUAGCUUUGACAGCCCCUUCAAUUCAGCAAGACUGGCGGUACUUCCUCCUUCAACCUUAUCCCACUGCGAAAAGCUGUCACCCAUAUAUAGUUCUUCUAAUUGAGAAAAUUUUGAUAUGAGAUUUGGUGCUAUCACUACAAGGCUCCUACAAUUGCUCAAAUCUAGCAAUUGUAACCGCGUCAAUUGUCCAAUUUCAAGUGGUAACUGCUUAAUGUCGGAAUCUCGAAAGCUAAGAAUCUCUAAUUUCUUUAGCUGUCCAAUUGCAGCUACAUCUUCUAGUUGGCACCAGUCUAAACACAAUGUUUGAAGGUUAAUGAGGCGACCAAGUGAUGAAGGUAAUGAAGAGAAAGGAAUUCUAGUAAGGCUUAAAACUUUGAGUUCUUUCGUCCCUUCAAAAAAGAGGUCUGAAAUUUGCAUACGGCCAUUACCCUCUGCAGACAACAAAAAUAACUGGAGAUUGGGACAUUGCAACCUUUCAGGGAGCUCUUGAAUAUCUCUCUGGGGUAAUGAAAUGGCAAUUGGAUCUUUCCGUAUUGUCUCUUCCAUCUUUUUCUCUAAGUCGGCAACAUUUGGAAUAUUAAACAUGCGCUUCUCUGCGGCAAUUGAUACGGCAACAACAUGAAUGACGUCAUGCAUUUUAGCUUCAUCUUCAGCAUCACCGUCCAACAAUAAGCAUGAAGAUUUGAGGUUGUCGAUCAACCGAUGCACUCUACUCCUUGCUUCUUCCAAUGUGUAAACAUUUUCAAACAAACCCCAACCCACACCAUAUCUCAAUAAGUCAGAAACUUGUAUGGCAUGACCUUCACUGUAUAGACCACAAAGACGGAACAGAGAUUUUGCCUCCUCACUUUCCAAGAAGUCAUGACUCAAUUUUAUGGAGGUGUACACAUUUGCUUGCAUGCCAUGAAUUUCUCUUGCAUCCGAUCUUCUUAGCUGAUUCAAUGCAUCUUUCCAAAAGUCACGCUCCUUAGUUUUCAGAGCAUUUGCAACUGUACUCAGUGCAACAGGCAAACCUCCGCAUCUUUCAAUGAUCUCAUUUGCUAUACUUUGAAAAGCAGAUAUUUUAGUUGAAUCACCCACUAUCUUCUCAAAUAACUGCAAUGCUUCUUCUUUUGAUAAAGCAUCGAUCCAGAAAUUUUUCUGAGAAUUCAUAUCAAUGCACAAUAAAUCUCGACUUCUAGACGUCAAUAUUAUUGUGCAUCUUCUCUGAUCAUCCUCUCUAUCUUUCUCAUCAACAUCUCCAGAAGGAAUUCCAACCGCAUCUAACUCAAGUUUUGUCCAAAUAUUAUCCAAUAUAAUGAGGACCCGCUUCUCUUGCUUCAACCUUUCACGCAGUCGAGAAGCUCUAUGGUGUAUACUAUCAUUCAAGUCAAAUUUCAUGCCUAAAUCAGAAGCGAGCUUGUCUUGAAUUUUCUGGGGAUCUGGGUUCUGUAUUACCUCAGCCAUAACGACCUUAUCGAUCAACUUAUCUUCCAUCACUUUCUUAGCAACUUGCUUGACUAGCGUGGUUUUACCCACGCCGCCCAUGCCGUAGACCCCAAUUAUGUUGAGCUUAUCAUCCUUCAACGCCUCCAUAACAUCCUGAAAUACUUUCAUUCUUGAAUCAAAGGCCUCGUUAUCUUUCCCGUCAUUAAGUCCUGUGCUCUUUGGAGUAGGACGGUAGGAAACAUUAGAGAAGUUGCCUUUUCCCACGAGACCAGCGGCAGCUUCUGCGGCCUUUGCUGCUUGUUUACUAAGCUUGUAACGGGACAUCAAAUUUGGGCACAAUCCUUUGAAGCAGAACUUUUUAGCUCUUUCUUCAUCAUCAAUGAUGGAUUUUGCAACCCCUUCACUGAUGAAUUCAUCAACGCUAUGUAGCCAGUCUGUGACACCCUCAUAAAGCUCAUCCCCUUGUAGCCUAGCAUGAUUAACUGGUUGCUGCACCAUUUCUCUCUUAUAUCCCAGCUGCUUCACUUGAACUUUUAGCUCAUCUAUGUAGCUCUGGUACUUGAACACAUCAGAUAUCUGCCGUGUAAUCGGGUUGAACAGUGACUUUGCACCUUCUGAUACACAGUUGGUUAAAAAAGCCAGACACGCUUCUAUAGCCAUUGCCGGUUGCUUAACAAUAUAUAUCUAGUUUUUGGCUGUUGAAAAAAAAAAUGGAUUCAAAUAAAUUAAAUGAACUAGCGGGGAAGAAAAAGAAAGAAACGACAACAAACAACUUUUUAGAAAAAGGUUUCAGGGGCCUGAAUGGAAAACCAACAAUUUUUUGAGGAAAGAAAACUUUUUUGGAAGAUGGAUGCAAAUUAACCAUUAAUAAUACUGCAUAAGAACACAGAAGUUAACAAUAAACAGUAACUUAAAACUCAAGAAAAUUAAAUGACAAGAUUAAGACAAACAAGAGAUAGUUUUUGUCGGACAUUAAGAAACAACUGCUAUCAAGAUCAAAGAUUAGAAAUUAUGCUAUUGAAAGAAAUUAUUAAAGUAAUUAGAACAAACGCACCUCUUCAAUUAUCUAGGAUCACAGAGUUUAUGAGCUUCACUCUUGGCCUUCGAUUUAUAAGAAAAAUUUUAAUGAGCAAAAGAUCACUGUUGACUGCAGAAGAAUGUGAGUAAGCAAUACAAUUGAAUUGUAAAAGAACAAGACUUAAAGCGUGCACCCCAACAGAACACAUGUUCAUUUUUAACAAAGUGAUCAAUAACUAUAUUCGUUAUUUAAUUGAUAUUGUAACCAAUUCUAAGAGAAUAUAAUAAUCAGCAAACAAACAACAUUGAUCUUAUGCCUACUGAUAUUUAAACAGAGAAUUCUUUCUUCUUUUUCUCUUCAUGGAUUAGAGUUUUUGCUAUUAACAGAAUGGUUUCAAGGGUCUGAAUAAAAUCCCAGACUUUUUUUUAACUUUGUUUUCUGUGGGAAAAUGGAUUCAAAUUAACCAAAGCCAAUAAUAAGAUCACAGACUUUAACAAUGAACAAUAACUUAAGCAAAACCAAUGACAAGAUUAAAACAAACCAGAGAAAUUUUUUCUCGGAAAGUAGAUGAAAAGCAAGUAAGAACUGCUAUUAAAGGAUAUUAUUAAAGGAUUUAGAACAUGUAUACCUCUUUAAUUAUAUGGGAUCAGAGAAUCGAUGACCUCCACUAUUCGCUUCGGAUAUUAAGUAAGAACUGCUAUUAAAAGAAUGAGUUGAUGAGAGUAAUAACAAUGAAUUGCAAAAUAGGAAGACUCAAUCAUGCACCCCUUUUAUACCUGAUCAUAUUAAGAAGUCGUUAAAGAAUAACGACUAAAUUAGGAAUUAAUUCUGAAGUUCAGAAUCAAGAACAGAGACGAAGCUUUAAUAAAGCAUGCAGUGAGAUACAAGAAAUGGAUCUGAUAAAAUACAUUAAAAAAAUUUGUUCAACCUAGUUAAGCUGAUGAAAGCACUAGUUGUUGGCUCUACGUUUCAUAUGUUCUAAUGAAAUAAUUAAGUUGAAGUUUUCAACGAAUAAAUACCUGUUUCGCUUGAAUAGCUUUGGCAUAUACAUUACUUGUGUCCUGUGAAAUUGAAAAGGUUAUUGAUUUACAAAGCUUAUUAGUAGAGAAAAGCUACGUAAGAUGCCUGAUAAAAGAUAAAGCAAGAGCUUGAAUGAAGAAUGACAUUUUAGAAAGAAACUAAAGUGUAAUCAUCAAAGUAGGAUCAAUAAUGUACCACUUUCCUUGCAAAUCUGGUGGGUUUUCUGAAUAGAUUUUUACAUUAUUCUUCUAUUUAACCAUUUUGGCUUUACCCUAAGCAUUCUUGGUUGGCAUUGUCCUGUAAUCUGCGUGCCCUGGAUACGUGAGAGGGAAUGAUGAGGGUAGAUAUGCAAUUUCAAGAAGCGAUUUGCUUGUAUAAUUCAAUGCAUGGAAAGAGAUGUACCUGACCAGAAAAAAAAGGGGACCAUCCAUAUCUGAGCUUGACUUUUUAGAUAGAUAAAUAUUCUUAUUACUGUUGAUAAUGGAGAAGGGUUCUACUUUUACUUUGCCAUCUUUGAUAUAAAACAGCAUGAUUCCUUUUUUUCAAACACUUGCCUAAGUCUAUUUUUUAUUUUUCUUAUUUUCAGAAAGAGAUUAGCUUAAUUUAAAUUAUAUUCAAGUACAAAGUGUUAUACACUCAUAAAACGACAAAUAGGCAUGUAUUGAUCACGCGCAAUCUGUUUUUUUUCCCCCUUUUUUUUUUAAUCCAGUCUUCUUAUUUAAAAAAAAGAAUUUAUUUGCUUUAUUUUAAAUUAUUUUUUCAUGCGGUAAAUGCAAUACUGAGUAAUGGGUGAGCAAAAUAUUUACAGGCACACCCCCUUUUAAUGAUUUCGUACUAAAAUUAAAAAUUGACGAUUCCAUAAUAAAGUUCAAAGAGUAACUGAAGACCCAUAAAUGUUUUUUGGUCAUGAGCAAUUUUUGAGUUGGGACAGCACUCCUAUGAAAAAAAAUAGUUUUUUUUUUCUUUAAGCAUGAGCAUAUUAAUUCUUUUUUUAUAAAUCAACGUGAAUAUAAAAUUAAAAAAUAGUUUUGAAUAACUUCUUUUCUUUUUUCAUAAAUAUAGAUAUAAAAUUUUAAAGUCACCAAACACAAAACCAGGAAAAUGGAAAGGAAGCCCCUGUUUCUCCGCUGCUGCAAGCACAAAUUCGGUUUCUACAGGAGUACCUUCUAAAUGCACCAUUUGUAUUGCUUUGUCUCCACUUGAGCUAAUGGAAUUUGAUGAAGACAAAAUAGAUAUGAGUCGUGCUAUUCACACCCCUCGAUAAUUCUUUCAAAAUCCCUUUUCUAAUUAUACCCCGUUAAUACCCUUGUUCGCUAUGAAAAUAAAGCAAAUGCCUGUAUAAAAAGCUGGCUCUAAUAAUCUACUUGAAUUUACAUCAGAAAAGAGUGGACUUUGAGAAAUAAGAAGUCAAUAUGGAGAAUUUUACCAAAAUAAUCCAUUUUUAUAUACAGGGAAUGGUAUUUUCUGAUAUAGGGAGGAGUGGAGAAAUUAAAUUCAGCAAAAUAAAGAACCUCCAUCGAGAAGCAAAAAUGAUGAUAUCUUUGUCGUGAAGAGAUUUCUGCCUCAUACAAAUUUUUUAUUCUAGAAUGCUUGAAACCGAAAAGUUCUGUAGCUGUUUCAAUUCAAUUGCAUACAUUGACGAAACAUUAAAUACGAAAAAAACAAAAAAGAAAUAAUAGGACAUGGGGAUUUAGAGAACUUCUAAAGAGAGAAAUGUAUUUAUUGUUGGGAAAAUAUGCUCUUUAAAAGCAUAUGUGUUUAUUUAAUUGUAAUAAACUAUUUUUCUGAUUAAUAAAAUAAAUGAGGCAUUUUAUUCAAAUAUCUUAAUUGCAUUAAUACUUGUAUUAAAGUCCAUUUAAUCAUAUUAUAUGUAUUUAUGUGAUCACCAUGUGGAUUCACAGAAGACAUAAAUACAAGUUAUCUUAUGAUUAAAUAAAUUUAGUUCGCAGUUGAUAAAUAAAGUUGGGCACUUUAUUUAGGUAUAGACUGUAAUAAAUUCAUUGAAUGAUUUGUCUUAAUUAUGUAUGAAUUUAUUGAUGUAGUACGACUACAUUGAACAGGAUCACAUAUGAGAUUUAAUUAACUUUGUAAUAACUGUCAGACUUAUUAAAUCUCAUAGGCAUUGAUUUUACUGUAAUCUUAAUCUUGAGUUAAUUAUGAUUUCAUGAUUGUAAUUGUUAUUCCAUUUGAGUUACCAAUGGGCAUGACACAUACUUGUAGUCUACAUUACCCGGUAUCUUGGUGGGAACAAUUAUGAGUAUUGGAGUUAUGGAUUAACAAUAUAGAAUUUGUACAACACAUCUCUUGAUGGGUUUUCGGUACUUGAUCAUAGAAUUCUCUGGCCAGAGUGUGUCAACAUAUUUAGUAUGUUGAAAAUGAUCAUUAGAGAAAACCAGUAAGGAUCAAGGAAUAAGAUGUUAUUAAAUUGAUUGGACAGUUGAGAUAUCAAUUUAAUUAACGAUGUGGUACAAAGGAUUGUGCAGUAAAGAAAUCAAUGUGGCUUGGGACGAAUUAUUAUUCGAGCAUACAAUUAUGGAAGUCAGUUCCAAUCUUUUAGUGGAGUAGAUUUGGAAUUAAAUAAUUAGGCUAGUUUAAUUACAGGUAGGGAUGGCAAUGGGGAGGGGAGGGGAGGGGACCAAUCUCCCUAUACCCAUCCCCGAUAUUUUAUUAUGUCCCCGUCCCCUCUCCGUCCCCGUCAGAAUUGCUUAAGUGAAUCCCCAUCCCCUCCCCGAAUAAUAACAGGGGAUCCCCGAGGGUCCCCGGUUCCCGAAUAAUUAAUAGUCUAAUACAUUUUUUUUUAUUUUCGAUUUUAAAUUAAUCAUAUUAAAAUAAAAAAUUCAGAUAAAAAUAAAGUUCAAAAUAUAUCUUGCAUUAAUAUUGAUCAAUUUCAAAGUCACAUUCAAAAUAUAAAUUAUUAAAAUAAUUAUCUUUGUCAAUGACUCAAUCUUCAUAAUCCUACAAUAAAAAGAAAAAAAAUUAUUUUUAUAUCGGUAAUAAAAUAAAUGUAGAUACUUAAUUAAUAUUUUUAAUAAAACUAUUUACUUCCUGCUCCUCCUGUUCUUCCUCGAGAAAUGUGGCAAAUUGAGAGUUAGCCUCAGAUUUCAAACCUAAAACAAUGAAAAUGAUAUGAGUAACGUAACUUAUAAGCGCAAAUAUUAAUAACUGUAUAAUAUAAUUACAAUGUAAAAUAAAUUCAUACUGCUAUUGUAAGCUCGUAACCAACUUUAACAGCACAUUAAGGCCUCCAAUGUGCUUGGAUGAAGUUUGUUACGGUGUGGGCUCACAAUUCUAGCACUAGUGCGAAAAGCUGAUUCAGAAGCAACUGUUGUAAUUGGAAUUGCCAAAAUAUCUCUAGCAAUUCGAGCUAAUGUAGGAUACAAAUUAGGAUUAGAACUAUUGUAAAUUAUAAUUAGGCAGCUCUCUCCUGUAUCAUUGUGGUUUGGAUUAAAAAUUUAAGACUUUAAUUAGUUAAUUAAGUUUAAAAGUUUAAUAAUAUAACUAUUUUAAUAUUUAUUAUUUUUAACAAUAUUUAUAAUUUUGUUAUUUAUUUAUUAGUAAUUUUAAAAAUAAAAAUAAAAAUAAAAAUUAAAAUGGGGAAAUGGGUAGGGGAUGGGGAUUCCACCUCAUCCCCGUCCCCUCCCCGAAUAAAAAAUUGGGUAAAAAAUUUUCCCCGUCCCCUCCCCGAAUAAAAAAUUGGGUAUAAAAUUAUCCCCGUACCCUCCCCGAAUGGGGAAAAUCCCCGAGGGUACCCGUCCCCGUGGGGAUUUUUGCCAUCCCUAAUUACAGGCCUAAUUAUUGUAGCCACUAUUGUAUGUUCCCAAAUGAUCCCCGGGUUAGCUCAUUUAAUUGAUUGCACCACUGCUGGACUAAUAAGCAAGAUAACUAGCUAUUUGGGCCAAAAGCCUAAAUAUAUCAUUUAGUGGGAGGCUCCAUUUAAUAAGCUUAUGUGUAAGGGGCCUUAUGUUAUUUUACAUGGUGGGUCCCCUAUUAAAUGAAAAGUAACGUGAGUUUUAUUUUGGGGAAUCCUUGGAGCCUAGGGUUUUCACUAAAGGGAGAUAUAUAAGGCUUAUUUUCCCAAAAAAGAAAAAGAGAAGCCACUUUAUACAGAUCUGAGAAAAAGAUUUUUCUCUCCAUUGUUGAGAGAAAAAUUUUCUCGUGCUAGUUGCUUUGGUAGUGAUAAAGGCGCCCACACGUCAAGUGCAGAUCGAACCUGAGUCAUAACCUGGAAGAUCAUUGGAAACAGUUCGUGAUCUAACAAGCGUGGUGGUGACGGAUCGUGAUCUAACAGGAGUGGUGGUGGUGGAUCGUGAUCUAGGAGCCUAAAUCACUUCAGCGGUAAAAGCCAACUCAGAUUUUCAAGGUACGAUUUCUAGAAUACAAAUUCUUAUAUAUUAUAUGAGAGCGAUCUUCAAAAGGUUUUAUAAAAAUUCAAAAACCUAAUUUUUCCCCAACAUUUAUAAGCAUUGAAAAUUAGCUCAUUAAAUUUGAAAGAAUAAUAUACAAUCUCACUGUUGGCCAGAAAAUAAUAGAAGAACUUGUGAACAUAUAUAAUCAAUUGCUUAUUACUUAAGCUUUUUCUCCGUUAUUUUGAAUGGGUGCAAAGGAGAGAAGUUUUGUACCCAAAUCCAACCCGAAUUGUGUAGGCUGCUUGCAAGAGCUUCAUUAGAUUUUUAUUUGUCUUUUAACUUAACUUCCUUCGUGGUUAAAAUUGUAAAAACAAAUGCGGUUUUAAUAGAAUUAUUGAGGAGUGCCAAUAGUGCUACUCAAUAAAUACAACUAUCUGUCUUUUUUGUUACUGGACUAUAGAUCAAUUGACAGUUGAAGUUAUAUUAAUUUGUUGUACUGGAAUUGAAGCUUGUAUCUUAGCCAUUUCGUGAAGUGUCAAAUAUAUUUUUAAUUUCCUUAAAAUUGUUCAAAAUAUGUUUACACUUUUAAAGUCACUAUUAUACAUGAGUGCCCUAAAAUAAGAGAAGGCGAUUUGCCUGACAUUACCUGUUUCCUGUCAAAUCUAGCAGGUUUACUGAUUAGAUUUUAACAAGUCUCUUGGCAAAGUUUGCUAGAAAUGGAAUCAAAUUAUUCUAUUUAAUCUUACUGUAUAUACCCUAAUAGUUCUUGGUUUGCAUCACUGCAUCGUUCUAUAAUCUGUGUGCGUUGGCUUAUAAGGGCUAGCAAGGCUGACCGUUCGUAGCAUAGUUUUUUUUUUUUUUUUUUUUCCCACAAUGAAAUUCCCAUUGAUUUGACUCAGUAUUUAGAGGUGUUAACGAGGGCACUAUACUAGACAUGGAUUUCUACCUCUUUUGGUUGUACAAUUGUUGUAAUCCUUGGCCAUCAAAUCAUUUUUACGUAGCUUUCUCAGAGUUCAUGCCAAGUGUACAUUAAUGUAUUUAUGUUUUGGGUGCAAGUGGGAUUCUAGUUCUCUAUGGCAGUUGAAGAGGUAAAUGGGCAUAGAGCUAUGCUCUAUCAUAGGCUUCGGCCACUACAAGAAAUUUAAUUUUUUAAGACGAUAUUUUUUACAACAACUUUAAAUUUGGUCACAAAAUGAUAUUUAUUGUGACAAAUUUUUGAAAUCGUAGCUAAUAAUCUUGUCCUAACUUAUAUUGUUUUUUGUAACCAAUUGUUUUUAUUUUGAGACUUGUUCAUAUAUUGGUCAUUAAUUAAAUUUUUUUAUGACAAAAAUUAUUUUAGUCACCAAAAGAUAUAAUUUUUUGGCACAAAAUCUUCUCUCCAAAAGUGAUUAUUUUGAGACAAUAUUUCACUAUUUAUGACAAAAUAAAUAGUCACGAAAUAUAAUUAUAGGCGACCAAAUUAUUUGGUAACUAAAAGAGGGGUGUAAAAUUGACUAAACAAUCUAUGACACAAAAUAUUAGUAGCCAAAAUUAUUGUUCUUUUGGCUAAUUUUAAGACCAUUUUUUUGUCAUAUAUAAUUACCUACAGUGAUAAAAUUAAAAAAUAGUCGUUGAAUGUUUUGUCUUGAAUAAUUUUAUAUUUGAUAACCAAUUUUUUUUCUUUUUGAGACAUAUUACUUGGUCCCUAUUUCAACUUCUUUUUGACGAACUUUAUAAUAGUCACAAAAGACUUUUUUUUUUUUUUUGGGCAUAAAAAGUCUGUCCAAAGUUAGCUCUUUUGGGACAAUAUAUAAUCUUUUAUGACAAAAUAUAUAGUGGCGAAAUAUAAUUAUUUUUUACAAAGUUAUUUCGUAGCUGAAAAAGAGGUGUAAAUUUAGUUAACCUAUUUGUGACAUAAAAUAUUAGUCUCCAAAACUAUUAUGCUUUUAGCUAAUUUUAAGACCCUAUUUUGUUGUCAUGGAUAAUUACCUAUUUUAAAAAAAACUAAGAGAUAGUAAUCAAAAGUUUUGUCUUGAUUGACAUUGUAUUUUAUGAGCAAAAUAUUUUGUUUCAGUGACACUUUACUUGGUCUCUCAUUAGAGUUGUUUGUGAUGAUCAAUAGAAUUAUAUAAUAACCACUAAAUUUUUUUGGGUUAAAUUUUUAUAGAUACUAUUAAUUAAGUUGUUGACGAAAAUGAUCAACCAAUACUAAUAUGGAAUACCAUCAACAGCCGUAAUACUUAUGAAGCGAGAAAUUAUAAUAUGUAGUGAAAAAGUUUUCACAGUAGUCCCUAGUAUUUAGAAUUAUUUUGACUUACUUUAUUUACUUCCAAAACAUAAAAUUCUCAACCCAAAAUUCCCCGCAUUGUGUUUUAUUUUGUCUCCUCACUCAGUUAAGAGUAACUCACGGCUUGACAAAAAAAAGGAAAAAAAUUCUCACAGCUUGAUGUUCUCCUCUCUUUAAAAAUAAAAAUCCCUAGUUACUAUUUGUUUCCACCACCAAAGCAGCCACUCGUAUCUUUUAUUAAGCAUAAUAUUUUUCUUAAAACCUAAUUGAUCAUUCUUUAACGUCUCCAGGAUUAUAUAUGGCUCGCUAUUUUUCUCCUUCAAUUGAAUAGAAGUCUAGAAUUUUUUUUUUUUUCGCAAUUCACUUUUGCUGUGUUUCGUGGUUUGGACGGAGAUCAUGUCAAUAAUUGAACGAUGGGGAUAAAUAUCAAAGAAGGAGCUUACAUGCCCUAUAUAUCUCUCUUUGGAUGAAUAACGAUGGUGAGCUUUCAAAGUACAGAGAUUUACAUGUUUUAAUUGUCAUUUACAUUGCUGCAUGCCAAUUGUUUGAUAAAAUAUCGCAACAAAUACGCAUUCUCGAUUUUCUCAUAAAUUUAUUUUCUUAGUCUGAAAAAAAUUGAAUGUUUAGAGAAUUUUGAAGGUUUUGGUGUAUGUAUUAAUAUUUUGAUUCUAGCCUCAUUUUGCCCCUUGUUGUUUUUAUUCUUGUUUUUUAUAUACGGUUCAAGUGUGAUACACUUUAGUUUUUCUCAACUGUUUGUUAGUUUUUCCCGAAGCAAAAUUUGUCAGACUUUGAGUUCAAAAGUUGAAAUCAUAACUAACAUACUUCGAUUUUUUAUUUUCCUUUUUUCUUCGGUGUCUUUCUAUAUGGCAUUGCUUGAGAAAUUGGUGUACUUAGAUCGUAAUAUUCUGUAGAAAUAAGCCAAUAUUUCAUUGGGUACAUUGUUUAAUAUGAUAAGUACUGUAUGGAAGUUUUACAGAUAAGCUCCUUAUAUAUUAUGCAUUAUGUUUUUAUCAUAUUGUUGCUUGGAACUUUGAAGGAUUGGCCACAGGGCUUUAGUCCUACAUGGACAUUUUAUAUUUAAUAGCUGGUUAGGCAUUUUAUUUGAUGUUAUUUGGACUUGUAGGUCUUAAAAGUUUUGUUCAAUAAUUUUAUAAAGCUUAAUUUCAUAGGUGCUGAUUAGGCAUUUCACGAGGAAAUAGCUGUGCUUUUGGAAAUUAAUAUGCUGUGUUGUCAAUGUUGUGUAAAAUCCUUUUAUUGGUGUCUAUGUAAAGUGUUUCAGAUUUCAGACCUGAGAGUUAAUCUUCGCGUACCAGUUGGCUUUUGGGUUUAGUAUUGCUGCUUUUAACAUAUUUGACCUAUGGCCCAAAUCAUUUCUAUAGGGCGAAGCAUAUGAAUGAUACAUAUUAUCUUUUUUUGGCCUUAUGUAUUGUUAUUUGCACGGUGAUUUGGUCUAGCUUAAGAGCUUAAGCUUGCAGGUUGGAUUUGUCUGACAGGGAACAAUUUAAUUUGUUCAUCGUGAUGUUUAUAUCCAUUUUGUACUACUAUCAAUUUCAAUCAUGCCUAAUUUUUAUAUGUAUUUCUCGUGGACUCUCAGGUUCAGUGCACAAGAGGAUGAAGACGAUGGACACCCAAAUUUGAUGUGGAGAACAACUAUUGCAAAUGGUCCUUGAUUUACUUCUCCAAUUGACUUGAAUUGGUUUUACGCAAUUUAUAGUGUAUUUUUGUCAUCUUUGUAUGACUUGCAGGUCGUCCUGAUUUGGUACAUGACUGGACACAGGAAUUGGACUCAUAUUUUUCAAACCAGAAUGCCAACAAUCAAGGAUUUUCUUUUGAAAGCACUGGCGUCUUCUUCAAUGCCAAAAAGGUUAGAGAUUUUCUGUAUCCUGUUUUGUAUUUGAUCAGUUUAGCAUGUGGGUGGCAAUCAAGAAAAGUUAUUAUAACAUUUUUGUGUUCCCGAAAAACUGCUGAUGAUGUGUGACUUCUUUUUAUUUGUAUUCUUUCUUUUUUCUUUUCUCCCCAACAGUAUUAUGCAUUUCGAAGAGCUUCUUGAAGUUGAUUACCAUGUAUGCCACUUUCUUUACUCUAUGCUCAGGAUGUGAUUUUGCCAAGCAUUAAAAUGGUUUAGGUCAGAACCAUCAUCUAAAGUUUACUUAAAGUUGACGGAUUAAUUCCUUUUAAUAAUGGUCGAGUUAAUUUUACUAUACUCAUAAAACUAUUCUUAUUCUGAUAAUGCCACAAAUGUUAUGAUGUUUUCUUCAGCUAAUGAUCUUCUAUCAGGACUAGUUAGAAAUCAAAUGCUUAAAACACCGAUUGAAUGAAUAAUGCAGAAGUUUAAACAGUAUCUAAUUGAAAAUUGCAUGAAACAUGAAACAUCAAUUCAAGUCCUUCCUUAAACAGAGAAUGCAUCAAACAAAUCCAAAGUGUCUUGCAUGUCUGUAGCAUGACAAAAAAGUUGCAAAUGCGUUUAGAACCAAAUUAUUCAAGUACAGGAGAACGAGCAAGUUGAAUCAUGUACACGAGAUUGGCCUGGUUUGAGAUAGCUUCUUCACUGUACCUGAAGGGUUGGCUCAAUCUUUUCUUUAGAAUUCUGCACAUUUUGUAAUUACUCGUGUAAGCAAGCAUACAUUACAACCAUAAUAAUAAUAAAGCAAGAGUAAUGAUACGACCACCACCUCUUGUACACAAACAAUAUUGUAUAAACUAAUACGACAUAAUAUGAUUGGUUGAACAAAAACAUUACAUGGCCCUCAUAAUUUAUUUAUUUAUUUAUUAUUAUAUAUUUUCAGUCAACCAAUCAUAUUAUAUCACAUUAGUUUCUAUAAAAUAAUUUUCUAAAUAGCACCAAAACUUAAUUGAUACUCACCAUUUCAUUGAACAAUUUUUUUAUGGUGUCAUUGAGGUUGCCUUCCCAACAUCCUUCAUCAUCAUCUUUUUCUUCUUCGGUGACGUUCACUUUGUUUAGCAUUGGUGUGUCUAAGACUCCUUGAGAGAAGAUCUUCAUUUUUGGACACUGUCUCACAACUACUUGUUUCAAGGACGGGAAUUCAAGAGCGUAAUUACCUAAACAAAAGCUUGUUAGGCUUGGCAAACAAUCAAGUCCCAAGUACUUUAAUUCCUUGAAAACAAUGCAAUCUUUCGCUUCUUCUGCAACCGGCGACUGUAUGAUUUCUUCUAUCCUUUUGCAAUCAGCUAUCGUCAUACUUUGAAGAAUUAUCAGACUUCUAGAUGUUGAGAGCGUCAACAAAUUUAUCAACCUGUGACACUUCGAUACUUUCAAAGCCUCAAGAUUUUCCAAAUGCCACGAAGCUGGUACUAAUUUCUGUAACUUACUACAUUCAAAUAUUUCUAGACUUUUCAAGUUUGCAAACGCUUUGUUGGAUUCGUCAUUUUCCUUCCAGAGAUGCUGCACUUUGUGUAAUCUAGAUAGCUUUAACUCCUUCAAUUGAGGGAAUGUAAGCUGAAAAUCAACAAAAUUAAGUUGUAAAUGAAAAUAUGUAUCCAAUCUCUGCAGUAUUCCCCUGCAUAUUUUAUGGACAAGAUUAAUCACGGCAUUUUAUAUUUUAUUUCCAAAUUAGUAUGCUUUGCAGUAGGAUCCCAAAUAUAAGUAUCAAAUCGAUUACCCUUUGAAACACAUAAAUGAAAUCUGAUACUAAAUCCAAUAUGAAUUAGCUAGGAAAACAGAGAUGCGACAAGCAUAAUUGAUAUAGUUCAUCACCUCAUGUUACCAGUCAUCGAAAUAAUUUAAGACAUUUUUUUAAUUCAUACUAUAAAGUUAGUUCAUAACUGUAGUUGUAUUGUUAAUUCAUAUAUGAAUCAAGAUGACAUGCAAAAAGAUGAGUCAUAAAAUUUGAUUUGAUUCUAAUGAAAUUACAUCUGUGCAAACAAAAGUGAAGGGGAAAAUAAAAAUAAUAAUAAUAAUCACCUUUUCAUCGAAGAGGGGUUGUACUUGAUGAGCCAGCAAAAAGUUCUCUUCUGAUGUUAAUUUUUGAGGUUCCUUGUUAUUUGUUGUCACAUGCACUACCGAGUUGGAUAUGAAUGUUUCCAUAUCAGGGCAAUUCUCAAUAGUUAGAUUCUCCAACUCAGACAGUUCAAUUAUAUUCCCAGUGAAGUUACAGAAUCUUUUGAGUUUUGGAAGAUCAAUAAGCCUUAGUCUGUUAAGCCUAGGAAACCGGGGGCCUAUAUGUUCUUCCUUAGCAUUUAGCUCUUCUAAAUGAAGCACCUCUUCUAUUAAAUCACAAUUCCUCACUUCCAGGCAUCUCAAAUUGUUCAAGCAACGUAGCAGAUUGGUAGGAAUAGCACUCGACAUAUUCGUGCAGUCAUCCACAGCCAGUUGUCGUAAAUUGUUGAAGAAGCUGACAGGCACUGCUUGGCCGUGCCAUAUUUCUCUCAAGCGUGGAAAAUGUGAGAGUUGCAAAUGCUCUAUGUCACGGAAUCCAAUCUGCAUAAACCAAAACAAUUGCACUGGAUAUAUAUAAAUUUCUUUUUUUGAAAGGCAUUAGAUAUAUAUAUACAUUAAACUUACAUGUUUUGUGCUAUAACUUCUAAAAAUAUAUUUACAACGCAUGUGUAUAUGUUUAAAUGUGGUAUAGUGGAAUUAAGCUUAUUGCCAUUACUUCGAAGUGGUGUUCGUAACACCAUUACUUCGCAAAGUGAAUCGAUAAACACAUACCAUUACUUGGANNNNNNNNNNNNNNNNNNNNNNNNNNNNNNNNNNNGCCUUCCCAAUGGUGUUCACCCUCUUCCCUUUCAGUCACUUGCACUACGUAUAGCUUUGGUGUGGAUGAGAUUCCCCGAGAAAAAGUCUUCAUGUUCGGACAAUGUGUCAUAGAAACUUGUUCCAAUGAUGGGAAUUCAAGAGUGUAAUUCUCCAAACAAAAGCUGGUAAGCCUUGGUAAAUCAUCAAGUUCCAAAAGUUUUAAUUCGUUGAAAGCAAUACGAUUCUCCUUCGCUUCUUCUCCAACAUGUCCUAUGAUUUCUUCUAUUUUUGCACAGUCUGAUACAUCAAGAUUCACUAGACUAUUGGGAAUUCCAACCUGAAAUAAAGAGUAGCAUUCAACUAGAUCAAAGUAUGUCAAAAUCAUACAAUUGUUUUAUGAAAAAUAACAAUUUUGAGGAAUUGAAAGAUAACUAAUUUAAUUUUUUUUUGGAAAGACUAAUAAUGAAUGAAUUAAUGAUUAAAUAAUAUUAUUAGUUAUAUCUAUUUAAUAUUAAUGUUAUCAAAUAUAGAUUUUUCAUAAAAAAUAAUUCUUAACUAUAUAAUUAAUAAUUAGAGAGAUGUUAAUAAGCUUUUUGAUUUCCUAAAAUACGUAAUUUAAAAAAAAUUAGAAUUAUUAAAAAAAUUCAAAAAAUGAGGCCUUCACAAAAUAUGGGACCUUAGGCGACCGCCUUGUUCGCCUAUACCUAAAGCCACCCCUGCAUGGGACUGUAAUAGAGUGAAUAUUUGAGGAAAUUUUUUAAUCAACGGUCGACUCAAAAUGACCAUCAUGAAUUUGUGCUUAAUCAAUGGCGUAAUCAAUUCAUAACUAAACCAGAGAUAUUAACUACAUUUGAACACUUUUCUUUAUUUUUUAUUUUUAAAUCGAAAUCUAAAGACCCAAGGAAAAGAGAAAUAUAUAUGAAUUUGUGAACUUAAAAGCUGAGUAACUAAGUAUCUUUUAAUUUCUGAAAAUCUUAUUUAUUAGGAUAUAAGAAAAAAAAACAAUUAAAUUGAAUUAUAUUAUGCUGUUAAAUCGUGUUUAAAACAAUUACUUUAAUGCAGGUGAACCUAUAAAUUAGAUUGAAAAUGCAGAGUUCAGAAUGGUGAUUUGAAGUACACUACUUUUUUGCCCUCCAGAAGUUUGAAGUAAAAUACUUGCAAUAAAUAAUUUGUGAAUGAAAAUUAUUUGUAAACACAAAAAUGAUUAAAAUAAUUGUUGAAUGUUACUUGAAAUAAAAAUUCAAAAUGAAUAUAGCAAUCUUACCAAUGGAGGAAAAAUAUUCAGUAGAUUAUUACACCCAGAUAUCUUCAAUUUUUUCAAUUUGCUAAAAGACUUCGAAGCAAGCUGGUGGUGCCAUAUUUUUCUCAACUUAUCCGCCUCACUAAUAUGUAAUACCUCCAGACUUGGGAGUCGUACCUGAAGUUAAAAAUUCAAUGCAAUUAGAGAUGUAUAUUAAUUAAAUUUGAAGACUCAACGAAAAGAGAAUUUAAAAAUUCAAUGAAAAAAAACCUUUUCAUCAAAGAGGGAUUGAGGUUGCAUUUCAGUGUGAAUGACGUCUUCUGGUGAGGCAAAGCUACUUAGUUUUGGAAGCCAAUGGAGCGACAGGUAGUGUAGUUUGGGAAAAACCUUAAAUUCAUCUCUUCCUCCUAACGUCGUGGUGUUGACUACCCCUUCAAUUGACCGGCAAUUACGAAUCUCAAGAUGUUGGAGUUGCCCAAGACUAUUAACCAUAGAAUAUGAAAACAAAUACUUCAGACGAUGACAACUCCACACGGUCACUUUUGUUAAAUUUUGACAACAAUAUAUUCCCUGAAAUUGAUCGGACCAUAAUUUUUUGAUAUUUGUUAAACUGACAAGUUCCAGUUCCUCCAAGCGUGGAAAAGUAACCUGCAAAGAAAAACCAUACAUUUUUGUUCUUUCAACUACAACUUCUAAUAUAAUAUUCUUUCGAUGAUUGAAGAUCAAUCGUGAUAAUAUAUUAAUUAAUUAAUUAUUAAACAGAAAAUUAUUACCUGGUGAACAGGAUCAUCCUCUGCAUUGAUUUCUAUGAAUCCCUGAGUUGUUGGUGGUUUCUCCAUGUCGGGCCCUAUAAAUGAACCAAAACAAUAUACAAUAAACAUCCGUUGUUUUUUUCACCAAAAAAAAAAAAAAGAAAAAAAGAAAGAGUCAAUGUCAAUAAUCCUACCAAUAAUUAAUUUCAACACUUACCAAUAAUCAUUUUCAAAUCAUCGCAGUCUUCCACUUUUACUUUUUGAAGCCGCAAUAGGUUUUUGGCCAUAGAGAAUGAGAAGAGAUACUUCAAUUUUCGACAGGAAUCUACGUUUAUAAUCCUUAAGUUGCUGAAGGAUUGAUCUUCUCUGAGUUGGCUGUAGCAUAUCGUCUCCAAAUUAGUUAAAAACAUAAGAGACAAUGCCUCCAGCAAGGGAAAGACUUCGCAACGAACCCGUCUAACUGAACCGACAAUAUGUAAAAUCUCAGAACAGUCUGUUACGAGAAGACGCUUCAAUCGUGGAAAACCUUCCCCAUCGUCUAAUUCAUGAACAACACUUUGAACACCCUCCAAUGUUUCUAGCCAGAGAUCUUCAGUUCUCUGCAGCAACAUUUUUGUCCCAUCAUUCUCCUUAAGAAUGCUAACUUUUUUUAUCCCCUUGAGCAUCAUCAAUCUUGAUGCUUCGGAUUUGACGAGCAAUGGGUCAAACUCAUCUUCGGGCCCAUCUCCUAUACGUAUCUUAUAUCUUUGCAAUUCCACAGAGACAAAAUCCGGCGGCAGAAUUUCGGCAUCCGGAACUUCUAUCUCCAAAGUAGUUAGCUCUGUCAACCUCUCCAAUUCGACAAGACUGGCAUUACUUCCUCCUUCAACCUUCUCCCACCCUGAAAAACCGUUACCCAUAUACAAUUCUUCUAAUUGAGAUAAUUUUGAUAUGACAUUCGGUGCUAUCACCUCAAGCCACCAACAAUUGCUCAAAUCUAGCAAUUGUAACCGCGUCAAUUGUCCAAUUUCAACUGGUAGCUGGUUGAUAUUGGAAUAUGCGAGGCUGAGAAUCUCUAAUUUCUUUAGUUGUCCAAUUGCCGCUAUAUCUGCUAGUUCGCACCAGUCUAAACACAAUGUUUGAAGGUUAAUGAGGCGACCAAGUGAUGAAGGUAAUGAAGAAGAGCCAAUUCCAGGAAACUGUAAAACUUUGAGUCCUUCCAUCCCUUCAAAAAAGUGGUCUGAAACUUGCAUAGGGCCAUUACCCUCCGUAUACAACAAAAAUAACUGGAGAUUGGGACAUUGCAACCUUUCAGGGAGCUCUUGAAUAUCUCUAUGAGGUAAUGAAAUAGCAAUUGGAUCUUUCUGUAUUGUCUCUUCCAUCUUUUUCUCCAAGUCAGCAACAUUUGGAACAUUAAACAUGCGCUCCUCUGUGGCAAUUGAUACGGCAACAACAUGAAUGACGUCAUGCAUUUUAACUUCAUCUUCAGCAUCACCGUCCAACAAUAAGCAUGAAGAUUUGAGGUUGUCGAUCAACCGAUGCACUCUACUCCUUGCUUCUUCCAAUGUGUAAACAUUUUCAAACAAACCCCAACCCACACCAUAUCUCAAUAAGUCAGAAACUUGUAUGACAUUACCUUCACUGUAUAGACUACAAAGACGGAACAGAGAUUUUGCCUCCUCACUUUCCAAGAAGUCAUAACUCAAUUUUAUGGAGGUGUACACAUUUGCUUGCAUGCCAUGAAUUUCUCUAGCAUCCGAUCUUCUUAGCUGAUUCAAUGCAUCUUUCCAAAAGUAACGCUCUUUAGUUUUCAGAGCAUUUGCAACUGUACUCAGUGCAACAGGCAAACCUCCGCAUCUUUCAACGAUCUCAUUUGCUAUACUUUGAAAAGCAGAUAUUUUAGUUGAAUCACCCAAUAUCUUUUCAAAAACUGCAAUGCUUCUUUUGGUGGCAAAGCAUCGAUCGGGAAAUUUUUCUGAGAAUUCAUAUCAAUGCGCAAUAAAUCUCGACUUCUAGACGUCAAUAUUAUUGUGCAUCGUCUCUGAUCAUCCUUUGUAUCUUUCUCAUCAACAUCCCCACAAGGAAUUCCAACUUUUUCGAACUCGAGUUUUUUCCAAAUAUUAUCCAAUAUAACGAGGACCUGCUUCUCGUUCUUCAAUCUUUCACGUAAUCGAUCUGCUCUUUCGAAUUUAUUCUCAUCCGAGCCAAAUUUCAUGCCUAAGUCAAAAGCAAGUUUCUUUUGAAUUUCCUGAUGAUCUGGGGUCUGUGUUACCUCAGCCAUAACGACCUUAUCGAACACCUUAUCUUCCAUAACUUGCCUUGCAACUUGCUUGACUAGCGUGGUUUUACCCACGCCGCCCAUCCCGCAGACCCCAAUUAUCUUGAGCUUAUCAUCCUUCAACGCCUCCACAACAUCUUGAAAUACUUUCAUUCUUGAAUCAAAGGCCUCGAAAUCUUUCACUUGCAUAUGUUCUGCCCGCUUUGGAGCAGGACGGUAGGAAACAUUAGAGAAGUUACCUUUUCCCAUGAGACUAGCAGCAGCUUCUGCGGCCUUUGCUGCUUGUCUACUGAGCUUGUAACGAGAAAUCAAGUUUGGGCACAAUCCUUUGAAACAGAACUUCUUAGCUCUAUCUUCAUCAUCAGUGAUGGAUUUCGCAGCUCCCUGAGUGAAUUCCUUGACGCUAUUAAGCCAGUCUGCAACAUCCUUAUAAAUCUCAUCUCCUUGUUGAGUAGCCUGAUGAACGGGUAUUUCCACCCUUUCUCUUUUAUAUCCCAACUGUUUCACUUGAUCUUUUAGGCCAUCUAUGUAGCUCUGGUACUUGAACACAUAAGAGAUCUGCCGUAUAAUCGGUUUGAACAGUGACUUUGCAUCUUCUGAUACGAUGCUGGAAAAAGCAGCCAGACCCACUUCUACAACCAUUGCCUGUUGCUUAACAAUAUAUGUAUAUAUAUGAAUAAAAUGAAUAAAAAUGUCAAAGAAAGGAAUACAAAUAAAUUAAAAUGAACUAGAGGGAAAGACAGAGAAAGAAAAGACCGCAAACAACAUCGCGAUAUUGAUUUUGAACCAACUGAUACCUAAGUAGAGAAUUUCUUUUUCUAUCUUAAGGAUCAGAGGUUUCGCUAUUAACAGAAAGGUAUCCUUUAAGGAAAGUUGAUGGAAAUUAAGAAAGAAUGGCUAUCAAGAUCAAGUAUUCUGCUACUAAAAAUAAAUGAUAUGACUUAAGAAAAGUAAAUGAUAUGAUUAAGAAAAACCAGAGAAUUUUUUCCUAGGAAAGUUGAUGGAAAUUAAGAAAGAACCGCUAUGAAGAUCAAGUAUCAGAGAUUCUGCUACUAAAAGAAUAUUACAGGUUUUAGAACAAGUGCACCUCUUUACCUGUCUGGGAUCAGAGUCGAUGAGCUGCUGUAUUCACCUUGAAUAUAGAAGAAAUAUUACAGGUUUUGACUAAAGAGGAAUGUGAGGAACGAGUUGAUGAGAGUAAUAACAAUGAAUUUCCAAAAGAAGACGACUUGAGCAUUAAGCAUGCACCCCCUUUAUCAAUCAAAUAUUGGUACGUAUGUACGUAGGGACCAUUAUGCGUAUAUGAAGUCCAUUAGUUGCAAUCAGAAACCCUGGCCCAAUUUAAUUGGCACUCGAUUUUUGAUAAGAAGAAGGCAAGGAUAAGGACAAAGUCAAUCAAUCACCAACAGUAAUUACUUCAAUCUUUGUCAAUCUACUUAAAUUGUCGAUCAACAUGAAAAUUGUUUAAAUUGAUAUUUGUAAAUCAAUCAAUUUUCUAGUUACUAUGAUUAUAACGUUUCACCUUUCAUAUUGGAUUUUAUCUUUUCGAAAGUUUUCAAAUAUGAGUGUCAAUAAUUAUUGAGACUCCAAGCCGUGCUCUCAAGAUCGUGCUGACAAAUCACUAUUGACUUUGUUUAUGCAAAAUUCAAAGAAAAAAAGUUAUGGUUUUGUAUUGCCAGCCCUGCUACUUUUUGUUUUUUUCAUUUGUAUUAUUUACGAAUUAUUUUUUAACAGAAACAUGAGAACUCAUCAUCGUACAAAAUUGCAUGAAAAAAUCUUCAAAUUUAUAAAAGUAAAUUUCGUUGACAGAUUGUGGAUAUGUUAGAAAGAAUAAGGAUAAGAAUGAGUUAAGAAAUAAUAUAUAUAUAUAUAUAGAUAGAGAGAGAGAGAGAGAGUGAAAGUAAACAAUGUUUUGGUACAUUUGGUAUUGUUUUCAAAAUAUUUUGAAAAGAAAAAUUUUCAAUUAUCCACCUAGGAAUUAUCUUAUUAUCCAAAAAGUUAUAAAAAUUUAAAAAUAUUUAAUUUUAUACCCAUUAUUACAAUGUGUAUCAACUGUUUACUAAAAAAAUAAAGUUACUCCUAAAACAUAAUCACCACUACAAUUUUGUGUUCGCUUCUAUUUUGUCACUUUGAACGAAUAACUUUAUAUUUUUAACAGAUGUUUCAUACAAAUUGCAUACAUUGGAUGUAAAAUUAAAUAAAUUUAAAUUUUUAUAAUAAUUUUAAUAAUUGAAUAAACUUUGAGUAAAUGACUGAUAAUUUCUCUUUUAUAAGCUACAAGAAGUUAAAAAGAAAAAAGAAAAAAUAGGAUGAUAAUUUCUCUUUAAUAUGCCUCAGAUGAUUUAUUGUUUCGGGUCUAAGAUUUUAAAUAUUCAACUUAAAAGAUUAAUAUAUUAUAAAUUAAUUAAUUAAAUAAUCAUUAAGCAACUAAAUUGGGUCCCCUGGAUGUCAAUUCCUUUAUUAUUGACGCAACUAUUUUUUUAUGGCAAAUAAUUAUUAAUGCACUUACGGAACUUUUGCAUAUCUACACAGCGAUUUUAAAUAUUACUGGUAACUGCUGAGAAAUGUGCGAGAAAGAAGUUGAUGAGAGUAAUAACAGCGACUUGCAAAAGGAAAAGACAGAAUCAUUCAGACAUUCACCCCUUUUUGUAUCACGUACUUGGUUACUGUUUCCCUGUUGACGCAUGUAUAAAUUUGAGUGAUUUUUCUGCACUUUUUUGGCUGUUGCUUAACAAUGUGUGUGUGUGUGUGUGUGUGUGUAUUUGCUGUUGAAAAAUUUGGAUUCAAAUAAAUUAACUGAAAGAUUAGAGUUUUGACUAUUAACUGAAAGGUUUCAAGGGUAUGAAUGAAAAGCAACAUUCUUUUUUAGAAACUAUUUUAGAGGAGAGAUGCAAAUUAACAAAUGCUAAUAACAAGAACACAGAAGUUAACAAUGAACAGUAACUUAAAUCAAGAAAAUUAAAUGACAAAAUUAAGACAAAUAGGAGAUAUUUUUUCGUGGACGUUAAGAAAUAACUGCUGUCAAGAAUAAGGAGAUUAUGCUAUUAAUAGAAAUUAUCAAAGGAUUUAGGACAAGUUCACCUCUUUAAUUAUCCGGGAUCAGAUAGUUGAUGAGCUUCUCUAUUUGAUCUUGAAUAUUUAAGAAUAAUUUUAAUGAGCAAAAAGAUCACUGGUAACUGCUGAAAAAUAAGUGAGAAAAGAGUUGAUGAGAAUAAUAACAAUGAAUUGAAUAAAAAAAGGACUUAAUCAUGCACCCCCUUUGCAUAUCAUGUAUAGAAUAAUUACAUGUAUUAUUAUAAUUUUGGGUUCGAUAUCCUUGUAUUAGUGUCUAAGAUUUUCAUGAAGAAUUAAACUUGAAAUGACCAAAAGAGGAAGCUGCGGUGUAUUGUUGGACCCAAUUAAGUUGAAGAAAGCACUAGUUCACAACCUUACGUUUGGAUAUAUUCUAAAGAAAUAAUUAAACAGCAAAUGAUCAUCACAUGCACUUUAAUGAUUUGAUCUAUUGUUUUCAAAAGAAAUUGCAAUUAACAGUUUUUGUCAAAAGUUCGCACUGUGUGAAACUAGUGUUAAUAUAAUUUAAAAAAUUACUUUCAAUAGCAUAUGGAAUAAUUAUAAUAUUAUUAAUACCUAAGAUAUAUUUAUAUUUAUUAUAAAAAAUUCAGUUAAAUAUUUGUGUUAACUAGAAUUUAUAAUUAAUAUAAUAUAUCUUAGGUAUUAAUAAUAUUAUAAUUAUUCCAUAUGCUAUUGAAAAUAAUUUAAAUUUUUAGACGUUUAUUUUCAUAUUAAGUUUUUAUUUAUUAUAAAAUUUAGUUUAAUAUAGUAUAAGCUUGUAAAGUAUUAAAAUAUUUUUUUUCAUAUUUUUUAAAAAUAUUAAAAUUAUUUUAAUAUAUAUAUAUUAACAUUGAAGCCAAUUUUUUGAGUUAAUAGAGCUAGUAGGUGUUACACUAAAAAAGAGUAUCUUAGUAUCUCUUAUUGAGUGGGAGAGCCAAAUGAAUCGAAAAAUUCAUGUUUGGUUCGGGAAGGGAUCAUCGAAGUUUUGAGAUGAAUGGAAAGAUAAUCUACUUUCAUUAAGUGAUUUAUUAGAUAAUCGCAAACUGAGGAUUUUGAAUAGUAUUCAAAAUUCAGAAGAAAUGCAGAGAGGGGCCAUUGAACGGCCGGAAAAAGCCCGGCCCGGUUACAAAAAAUCAAAAUAGAAGCAGAUCAAUAUUGAAAAUAUAUAGAUCUAUAUAAUCAUUUUUUCAAAUAUCGAGAUGUAGCUAUAAAAGAAAAAAUAAAUUAAAAAAUUUUAAAUUUUAAAUUUUAAUAUGGCCAUCGUAGGGUUAGAAUCCCCGCUCCAACCCGAUUUGGAGAUGUGCUUGGUCUAUUUAUGUUUUGGAAAAAGAAAAACCAAAGAAAAAAAAUACGCACCCGACCAAAUCAAGUAACUCAUCAAAUAAAAAAUAAAAAAGGAAAGAAAUUUAAUGACUUGCGUGCAAUUUUGGAUCUGAAAUUAAAAUUACAUAAAAAUUCAGGCUUACGUACCUUGAUAUUUACAGCUUAUUUGAUGGCCUCAACAAGUUUAAGCAGCAUCAAAAUGUUGUGGCUCCUUCAAUGACAACAUCGACUUGUUUGACAGCUCCAACAAGGCUACGAUGAUCAGAAAAUGAGCCCUCAAUCAACCAGCGCCUUGCUCUUUGUCAUUUUUCCUCUUGUUAGUUUUCUUCUACAUAUAAUUAUUACACUGGGAAGUAUACACACACCUCUUUUCUUUUUAUAGUACCUUACUAUUAUAUCUUUACAAAACAAUAUCACCCUAAGACAUAUAUGUAUGAAAUAAAUAUAUAAGGAACUGACGAAAUAAAAUUAGAUCUAACACUAGUUUCAUGUGGUGUGUGAACUUUUGACAAUCCUCUCAUACCCCAACAAAAACUUUGUCAUAUUACGAAAGUUAUCACGACCAUAGACUUUUCAAUUGCAUAUUGGAAUUGCAAUGUCAUUUUAUUAUAGUAAUGUCAUUUCCAUUAUUCAUAGUGGCAGACAAUGGACAUCACGGGACACGGCGAGAAGUUAUCACGACCAUAGACUUUUCUAAUUUAUGAAAUAAAUGAAAUUAGAUCUAAUUCUAGUUUUAAGUGGUGUGAACUUUUGACAAUCCUCCCAUAUCCUAACAAAAGCUUUGUCAUAUUGCGAAAAUACCUUUCCAAUGUUUCAAUUGCAAUGUCAUUGCCAUUAUUCAUAGUGGCAGACAAUGGACAUCACGGGACAUGGCUAGAAGUCUAUGUUACGGCUUAUGUAAGUAACAGUAGCCAAUGGGGAACUUCCACAGGGGCUAUAGGAGAGAGAAAGAGGUCCCAAUACAAGUGUUAGAGUGCAAUUUAUACACUAGUUUUGCAUUGUUUACUUCCCUUAAUAUCAAUGUUUUGCAUUUAAUAAUAAUGAUUUACUUGUGUUUUACUUUUGUAGGUGCAAUUCUAUUGAUUUGUUAUAAAAUUGAGGUAUAAGAUGAUGUUUAAAGAUGAUUGUUCUCUUAGAGAAAUUUAGAGCGUCAGAAGAACUUUAUUGAUAAAGCGUGGGCGCGUGCUGUCAACUGCGGACCUGCAGUUUUUAGUUUAAUGUGUUUUGUAUUUUUGGCUAUUUUUGUAAUUACGAAUUUAAUAUUUCAAAUAUUAGUAUUUUAUUUUAAAUAGAACUCUAAAAGAGAAGAGAGAGAGAGUAUUUAAGGGAGGAAUCUAUUGUGAAAAAGGGGGGAUUUUAAUUGGAGAAAAAGAAAGAAACCCUAGAUCUAAUUUUUCUCUUCUCUCUAUGAAGAACUAAACUUAUUUUUUCUGGUGGAAGGUUAAUGAAGCUUUGAUUCAUCAAUACUGUGAGAUCUUUCUUAUGCUUUAAUUGUUUUAUUACUUUUUGGGUAUUUGUUUAUUCUCUGAAUUUGUUUCAUGAUUAUGUUUGUUAAUUAGGUAAUUGGCCACUAUUUAAUUAUCAACUUAAUCUAUUGUCAAUUAAAGAAUUCAUCGUAUGAAGAGUUUAAUGUUUGUGACAAAUAACAUAGCAGUGAGUUGUGUUAUGGGAAUAAACAAUCUAAUUUAAAUGAAUCAUUAUAUGUGUUGAUUAGGAUUUGGGUCUCUAUGGUUUUUCAGGCUGUCAAUUGAUUAAAUCCUAUGAUCGUAUCUAGGGUUGUCUAUUGAUUAGGGAAAUAUCCAACGGUCGUACCUUGGUUAUCGACUAGUUAAGGAGAGAUUGGCUAUUAGAGGGUCUCAAUAGCUAUAACCGGUCUAUUCAUAAGUAAUAAUAAUCUAUUUUUGAAUCAAUGAUUAGUAGUCGAAUCAAGCUGAGUUAAUUCCUUCAACCAGAGCUUUCUCCAAUUUGAAUUACAACUUUAAUUUGCAUUUUUGUUAUUUUAAUUUGAUUUUUUAUUAUUGUCAACAAUUCCCCCAUUUUACGUUUUACGUUUCAAAAGGAUUUAAAUAAUUACCGAUCUCUGUGGACACGACCCUGCUCAAUCACUAUACACAAUUUAUUUAGAGUAGGAAUUUAUUUUUGUUGGCUUCGACAACCAUCAACAAGGUGAUGGAAAUGGGAAAGUUCGAAGCUGUUACUUUCAGCUUCUGCACCGUAGCCAUGUCCCACGGGACAAGGCUAGAAGUUAUCAUGACCAUAGACUUUUCUAAUUUAUUUUUUCCUUUCAAAAAGGGACAAGGAUAAGUUUGGGAGAAUGAUUAUAUUUUUAAUAAAAGAAUUCUUUUUUAUUAUAAUACUUUUUGUCUUUAUUAAUUUAAAAAUAUUAACUCUUAUAUUUUAAUAAAUAUAAAUAUAAUAUUAUAAUAACAUAUAACAAUAUAUACAAAAAUUUAAAAAAAAUUAAGAUUUUAUUAAAAUAAAUUUUAUAAUAAAUACAAAUACAUUAUUAAUAUAAUUUUAAUAAUUUGCAUUUUAAAAAGUAAUACUGAUAUUAAUUUUUUAAAUAUUAAUUUUUUAAAUUAUAUUACUCUACCAAAAAAAAUUAAACUAUUAAAUUAUAUUGAUAUUUAUUACAAAAUUUGCAAUUAAUUCUUAUUAUAUUUUUAAUUGGAAUUUGUUCCUGUGAUAUAACAACAAUUGCUACAGUUUUUUUCCCUAAAUAAAGAUGGAGUUAUAAAUUAUUUGUGUAAGUGUCAUGAAAGUAAUAGUUGAAUAACAAUAAUGGGGCUUUAGGCAAUUUUUUCAUGAGGUCUUCUUGCAAUUUCAACACUUAAACAUACUUGUCCUUGAUCCCAAUUUAUUUACCCCAUUUGGGCCCACGAUGAGAUAAAUAUAUUCCUGUGAGAUGAAAAACAUCAGGAGAAGAAAAUGUUUUAUUAUAAUAAAAAAACAAGUGGUCCAUAAGUCUAUUUAUUACUUUUUUUAUUCAAUACAAAUGGCCAACUUAAAAAAUGAUAAAAAUCACAUAACGCACAAGCAAAAAUUUAGAUUUACAUUUUUUUAGUUCUCUCCGUGUCUCUCUUUCUCUUUUUUUUUUUUAAAAAAAAUAAAUGUCAGUGUAAAAUUAGAAAAAUUUUAGAUAUAAACUUUGGCGAUGACCAAACAAAAAUUGCAAGGGAAAGAAAAUAGAGGACCCUUGAUAUCAUUGAAAUACUGAUCAUAGACACUACAAUAUAAAUAACUUGUUGUGAUCCACUCAACUUGUAACACUUUAAUCCAUAUUCUAAAAUUUGUAUGCUUGUUAGGAAUUUUAUUAUUGACAUUACUGUACCAAUAAAAGUCUAAUUUAUUCAUAUGGAAAGAAAACAUCAAGAAAGGACCUCUGAUUUUUAUUAUAACAGAAAAAAGUGGUCCAUAAGUUUAUUUAUUAUUUUAUUUAUUCAAUACAAAUUGCCAACUUAAAAAAUGGUAAAAAUCACAAAAUGCACAAGUAAAAUUUUAGAAUUACAUUUUUUUAAUUCUCUUUGAGUCUCUCUCUCUCUCUUUAAAAAAUAAACCUCACUGUAAAAUUAGAAAAAUUUUAGACAUAAAAUUUGACAAUCACCAAACAGAAAAUGUAGGGAAAUGAAAAUGGAGGAGCCCUAUUAUCAUUAGAAUAUUGAUCAUAGAUACUAUAAUGUAAAUGAUUUGUUGUGGUUCAUUCAACCUGUCACACUCUAAGCCAUUUUCUAAAAUUUGUAAGGUUUAUAGGAUUUUUAUUAUUGGCAUCAUUGUAUCAAUAAUAUUAUAAAUUAUAUAUUCUAUUGUAAUGAAAAUUUAUGUAAUCUUAGGUAUUUAUUUAUUGUAAUAAUAAAAAAUUUCUAAAUAAAGGUGAUUGCUUCAUUGACAAGUACAUAUUUAUAUUCUCUAUUAGUAUUUGGGUUGUAAACUUUGUUUAUAAAGUGAAUAUAUUGUGGUAAGCGAUGUGGGCAAUAUCGGAUGCAAAAUAUUGAGAGAUCAUUAACGCAUAUAUUUAUUGAAGACGCAUAUAGAGGAAAGAGUGUAGAUCCGGCCGUAACAAUUAUGAAGCUUUCCCCAAGUAUUCUCACGCUUCCUUAACUGUUGCAAAGUAUUUUUCAUAGUGUGCAGAUUUACUUUAUGGUGUCUUAAUUCGUCUAAAAUGAUUACUUUAGUUCUUUUGGGAUGAAAGGUCAUUUAUUGUGUUAGUAUUAAACAAUAGAAAAAAUAAGUAAUGGUAACGAAAGACUAAUUUGUGAUAUUGAAGCAUACAUGCUUAACUCAAUCCAAAACUUAGUAAGUUAGCUCAAGAGUUAAGAGUUGUCCAAAUCUUAUAUGCUGAACCCAAGUUCAAUACUCAAUUGAUGCAGGAUGUUAUUCCUAACACCGCCCCUCAUGCGUAGGAUUGGCAAAAAAACUCGAGUCAGUCCCGCCUAGACCUGCAAGCUUUAUUUAUGGCCAGCAUGAUGAAGUUACAGAUAUUAACCUAAAAAUUUGAAACUUACUAUGAAUGGCCUUGGUUAAAGACUUUUGUAACUUUAAUUUAUAACAAGUAUGUAUACACACACACACACAUGUUUAGAUUGCAUUUGGAUGACUUUUUUAUCAAUGCAAACAAUAUCAAAUUUAUCGGAUUAAUUUGAAUCUGAUCUAUAUCCGAUUUUGCCCGCCAUANNNNNNNNNNNNNNNNNNNNNNNNNNNNNNNNNNNNNNNNNNNNNNNNNNNNNNNNNNNNNNNNNNNNNNNNNNNNNNNNNNNNNNNNNNNNNNNNNNNNNNNNNNNNNNNNNNNNNNNNNNNNNNNNNNNNNNNNNNNNNNNNNNNNNNNNNNNNNNNNNNNNNNNNNNNNNNNNNNNNNNNNNNNNNNNNNNNNNNNNNNNNNNNNNNNNNNNNNNNNNNNNNNNNNNNNNNNNNNNNNNNNNNNNNNNNNNNNNNNNNNNNNNNNNNNNNNNNNNNNNNNNNNNNNNNNNNNNNNNNNNNNNNNNNNNNNNNNNNNNNNNNNNNNNNNNNNNNNNNNNNNNNNNNNNNNNNNNNNNNNNNNNNNNNNNNNNNNNNNNNNNNNNNNNNNNNNNNNNNNNNNNNNNNNNNNNNNNNNNNNNNNNNNNNNNNNNNNNNNNNNNNNNNNNNNNNNNNNNNNNNNNNNNNNNNNNNNNNNNNNNNNNNNNNNNNNNNNNNNNNNNNNNNNNNNNNNNNNNNNNNNNNNNNNNNNNNNNNNNNNNNNNNNNNNNNNNNNNNNNNNNNNNNNNNNNNNNNNNNNNNNNNNNNNNNNNNNNNNNNNNNNNNNNNNNNNNNNNNNNNNNNNNNNNNNNNNNNNNNNNNNNNNNNNNNNNNNNNNNNNNNNNNNNNNNNNNNNNNNNNNNNNNNNNNNNNNNNNNNNNNNNNNNNNNNNNNNNNNNNNNNNNNNNNNNNNNNNNNNNNNNNNNNNNNNNNNNNNNNNNNNNNNNNNNNNNNNNNNNNNNNNNNNNNNNNNNNNNNNNNNNNNNNNNNNNNNNNNNNNNNNNNNNNNNNNNNNNNNNNNNNNNNNNNNNNNNNNNNNNNNNNNNNNNNNNNNNNNNNNNNNNNNNNNNNNNNNNNNNNNNNNNNNNNNNNNNNNNNNNNNNNNNNNNNNNNNNNNNNNNNNNNNNNNNNNNNNNNNNNNNNNNNNNNNNNNNNNNNNNNNNNNNNNNNNNNNNNNNNNNNNNNNNNNNNNNNNNNNNNNNNNNNNNNNNNNNNNNNNNNNNNNNNNNNNNNNNNNNNNNNNNNNNNNNNNNNNNNNNNNNNNNNNNNNNNNNNNNNNNNNNNNNNNNNNNNNNNNNNNNNNNNNNNNNNNNNNNNNNNNNNNNNNNNNNNNNNNNNNNNNNNNNNNNNNNNNNNNNNNNNNNNNNNNNNNNNNNNNNNNNNNNNNNNNNNUACCUCUUUUAACGACAAGAUUCGUAGUAGAUGAUAAAAAGAAAAUUAACUUCAAAUUUUUUCAUUAAAUGUAAAUCUGAUUGAAGUAGUUUAAAUUUUUCUAGUAGACUAAUAUAUAUAACUUAAAUAAUUAAUUUCAUUAUUAAUUUUUAAAAUGUUAACUAAUAUAUUUUUAAUUUAUUAUAAAAAUUUUAAAUAAAUCCUUGGAUUAAAUAGAUUUUACAAUUAAUGUAAUACUUCUGAUUUAUUAAUAAUAUUAAAAUUAUUUUAUAUGAUAUUCAAAAUAAUUUAAACUUAUAUAUAUAUUAAUAUUAUGUCUAUUUAUUAUAAUAUGGUUUAAUAUUAUACGGGAUUGUAAAAUAUUAAAAUAUUUUUCAAUAUCCAAUUAUUUUAAUAUGUAUAUAUCAUUACAUUUAUUUUAGUAUCGUAUUUAUAUUUAUUAUAAAAUAUAAAAUUAAUAAAAUUAAAGAGUAUUGCAGUAAAGUAAAAAAAAAAAGUCUUAUUAUCUCUUAUUCACAAUAUGAGAUUCUACAAAAUUAUUUCCCGAAACGGGUGUCCUUUUCUUAUUUUCAAAAGAAAAAAUAAAGUAAGAAUAAGUCCAUGGGUUUCAAAAACUUCUAGUCUUAUCCCGGGACUACAUUGUCUGCCACUAUAACUAAUGGAAAUGACAAUACAAUUGACAUUGCCUUUCGCAACAUGACAAAUUUUUGGUGGGAUAUGGAAGAAUUGUCAAAAGUUCACGCCAUGUAAGAGUUUUUGGUGGGAUGUGGGAGGAUUGUCAAAAUAUCACACCACGUGAUAUAACCACAAUUGCUAUGGUUUUUAUUUUUUAAAUAAUGAUGGGAGUUAUAAAUUAUUUAUAUAAAUUUGCGUAGAAACUAAUGUAACAUAAAAGAAGUAGCUGAAUAAUAAUAUUUGGUGCUUUAGGUAAUUUUUAUAUGAGCCUUUCUUUUAUUUAGCGGCUCUAGUGCUUAAACAAACUUGUUCUCGAUCUUAAUUUACUGACCCCAUUUAAGCCUAUGAUGACAUAAUUAAACAUAUUCUUUUGUGACGAAAACAUCAAGAGAAGACAUCUCAUGUUUUAUUAUAACAGAAAAGAAGUGAUCCAAACGUCUAUUCGUUAUUUUAUUUAUUCAAUAUAAAUGGUCAACUUUAAAAAAAUGAUAAAAAUCACACAACGCUCAAGUAAAAAUUUAGAAUUACAUUUUUUAAAACUCUCUGAGUCUCUCUCUCCUGCCCCCCCCCCCCCCUCUUUUUUUUAAAAUAAACCUUAGUGUAAAAUUAGAAGAAUUUUAGAUAUAAAAUUUGGCAAUCGCUAAACAGAAAAGUAGCGGAUUGAAAAUAAAAAAGCUCUAUUAUCAUAGGAAUAUUGAUUAUACAUAAUAUAAUAACUUGUUGUGGUUCAUUGUAGCACUCUGAGCCAUACUUUAAAAUUUACUGGUUUGUUAAUGCUUUUAUUAUUGACAUUAUUGUGUCAAUAUUACUAUAAUUUAUUCAUUUUAUUGUAAUGAUAAUUUGUGUAGUCUUAGGUACUUAUUAUAUUAAAUUAUGUAAAUUAAUUGAGAAUACUUUUAGAGACAAAAGAAACACGUGUAUGUAGGAUUAAUAAUCGAAGAAUUGUAAAUGAAGGUGAUUGCUUCAUUGAGAGGCAUAUUGAAUAAUUAUGGAGGUUGCACUAUUUCGGAAGCACAUAUUUAUACUUCCCUAUCAGGAUUUGGGGUAAACGAAGUGCUUUAUCUAUUGCAGUAAGCAAUGUGGGCAAUAUCAGAGGCGAAAUAUUAAAAGAUUAUAACGCAUAUAUUUGAGCCAUUUAUAUUGAAGACACAUAUAGAGGAAAGAGUGCAGAUCAGGCUUUCCUCAAGUAUUCUCAUGCUUCCGCAACUGUUCUGAACUAUUCUUCAUUGUGGGCAGAUUUACUUAAUUACCAACACUAUGAUUCAAUACUUCAAAGGUUGAGGAAAUGUCAAAAUAUGAAAUGAAAAUACUUAAAUACCCUUCUACCUAACAAAACUUGGUACUUCUAACUGCACUCGCAGAGAAUAUAUAAAAUUAAAAAAAUAUAUAUUCAUCCAUGAAAAGCUUCGUAACAGAAAAACCAUCUUUAAAAAAAAUAAAAAUAAAAUUAAAAAAAAAAAACAGAAAAACCGACUCAUUUAUCUGCCAAUGAACCAAUUGGGACUCAUUUAAAAAAGAAUACAAAGCAAAAGUGAAUGACACAAAUUGCAUAGAUAUCUAGGUAUAAUUUGUCCAAGUAAUAAAUUCUCCUAGGUCAAAAGCAAUUAACGAUGAAAACUUUCUUCAUUAAGGUUCUGGCCUACGUAAAAAAACAGAAAAAACCACCCCAAGGUCAAAGCACAACGAUAAGUUUAGAACUGCAGUUUUUAAUUUUUUUUAAUAAAUCAAUGUGUAUCAAAAAUAGAUAAUAAUUUUGGAUAACUUUUUUUGAUAAAUAUAGACAUAAAAUUUUAAAAUCACCAAACAGAAAAACAGGGGAAUUAAAAGAGAGCCCUUGUUUCUCCUCUGUUUUGUUUGUUAUCAAACAGUGAAAUGAAAAGAUCGCAAGCGGAAAUUUUGUUUCUGCGUUGUAUCUUCUCAAUGCUGCAUGCAUUCAAAUUAAACCUUAUAUAUGCUAGCAAACUAGCUACUCUGCAUGUAAGUUCUCGAUAAGUCCAAAUAAUAGAAUAAUUGUAAAAUGUUAAAAUUCAGUAAUUAAUUAUACAUAUUUAUUUAUUCAAAAAUUAUUAUUAUUAAUUAUUGUCAAUAUAUAUUAAUAUUCUGAUUAAUUGUAAAAAAUUUAUCAUUCAUAACAAUAAUAAUGAUGAUGAUGAUAAUAAUAAUAAUAAUUCAAAAUAUAUUAAUUAAUUAUAAUAAUAUAUUAAUUAUUUAAUAAUAGUAAUAAAUGUAAAAUGUAUAAAUUGAUUAGAAUAGUUAUAUUAAUAAAUUAUAAACAUAUAUUAAUUAAUCAUAAUAAUUUUUUAAUUGAGGACAAAAUAGACAUUUUAUAGUUUGUGAGAGGGGGUAAAAUGGUCAAUCUUGGGAACGGGGGAUUGAUUCCCACCACCUUCCUUGGGAAUCAAUCUUCCAUUCCUCAUUCCUAAAUUUGGGUGGCCCCAUAAUUCUGAUUUGGAUCCCUGCCUCCAUCAUUAAUGAUUUCGAUUUCGGAUUCCGAUUCCCCAAUCCAAGAAGUAAAGGCACCAUUAUUGUUAAUUGGUUCAAACACACAAAGAGAAUGUACCAUGUAGCUAGGCGUCAAGGUUGUGUUGCACAAGUAACCUUUUUCUUUUCUUUUUAUUUUUCUUGUUUUCCUUAACGGAUCAGAAGAAAUUGGUGCCUUUGAGAUACCACAAUGUAAAUAAGUACUUGUGGUUCAUUGAAUCGGUAACACUCGGUACCCUAAGGUUGCUUUGGAAAAAAGGCUUUUCUCACUGAUCGCCAAUAUCCAAGUAAGUUUGUUUCAUUUCAGAAGGUGCAAAGUUUCAAACUUGUUGUAUUGGGAUGUAACAAACUUUGGCCUCAUAUGCCUGCUGUGACGUUAGACUGUUCAUUUUGAUUGUUUCCUACCUUCCACUUACGCCAUUGUAGCACUGUAUUAUUCACCAUUUUAACUGUUUAAAUGAAAUUUUAUUUUUGUCAAAAAUAAAAUGACACCAUUAAAAUUUAGAAAAAUAAUAAUGUAGAUCCCAAAUUUUUAAAAAAGAAUACCAAUAUUCCCCUUGACUACAAUACCCUUAGUAGGUGGUAAUAAAAAAAAAUUGGCUUAAAAUUUUUACGAAAUGUAAAUAUGAUUUAAAUAAUUUAAAUUUUCCAGUAGACUAAUAUAUAUAAUUUAAAUAUUAAUUUUUAAAAUUUAAAUUAAUUUAUUUGUAUUUAUAAAAUAGUUGUAAUUAUUUUAAAAUUUAACUAAAUCCUUAGGUUAAAUAGAUUUUACAAUUAAUAUAAUAUUUCUCAUGUAUUAAUAAUAUUAAAAUUAUUUUAUAUGAUAUUGAAAAUAACCUAAAUUUUUAUAUAUUUAUUUGAAUAUUAUGCUCUAUUUAUUAUAAUUUGGUUUAAUAGAAUACGAGAUUGUAAAAUAUUAAAAUUUUAAAUAUUGAAAUUAUUUUAAUAUGUAUAUAUUAUUAUAUUUAUUUUAAUAUCCUAUUUAUAUUUAUCAUAAAUUAUUAGAGUUAAUUUUUUUAGUUAAUAAAUUUAAAAAAUAUUAUAAUUUUAAAAAAAAAGUCUUGUUGUCCGUUAUUCACGAUAUGAGGUUCUACAAAAUUAUUUCUCCAGGCGGGUGUCCUUUUUUUAUUUUCAAAAGGAAAAACAAGUUCAGGGCCUCAGGGGUUUCAAAAAAUUCUGGUCCUAUCUACCACUAUGACUAAUGGGAAAUGACAUUGCAAUUGACAUUGCUUUCCGCAAUAUGACAAAUUAUUGGAGGGAUAUGGGAGAAUUGUCAAACGUUCACACACGCGAGAGCUUUAGGUGGGAUAGGGGAGGAUUGUCAAGAGUUCACACCACGAGAAACUAAUGAUAGGCCUAAUUUCGUUGUCAGUUCUUUAUUUAUUUAUUUUAUUUAUUUCAUACAUUAUUGUUUUUAUAAAGGUAUAAAAGUAAAGUAAAAUACCAGGGGUGCUGUUAAGUUACAACUUAUGUAACUUGCAAUUUUUUCAAAAAUAAUGUAAAAAAUUUAAUAGGUGGUGGGACCCACAUAUUUUUUAAGAGACUUAAGUUACAACAGUUGUAACUUAACAAAAUCUAAAUAUUAGACAAUAAUGCAUAUAAUUUGGGUUUGAUUUUUAAAAGAUUAUUUGAGUACCACCUAUCCUUAUGAUAUUAAUCUGAUUAUAUCUUAAUAUUAAAUAAUCAAAAUUUGUUUAAUUAUUAUUUGUAUUUCAUACAUUACAUAUUAGAUUUGUUUGAAUUUUAAGUUGUUGCUAAUAAAUAUUUAUGUUGUCAAAGUCAAAGUCAAUAGCUACAAAAGCAGAGAUAAUGGUAUUGUAUAUAGUUUUUAAGAAUGCAAGGAUAAGCUGGAUAAUUGACUUAAAUUCUAAUGAUUAAAAGAGCAACUAUCCCUUAAGUUAUAAUGUCAAUUUCUUUAAUUAGAAAUUUUUUUUUUCAUGUGAUAUAACCUCAAUUGCUACAAUUUUUUUUAUAAUAAUAAUGGGAGUUAUAAAUUAUUUAUAUAAAAUUUGGGUUGAAACUAAUGUAACCUAAAAGUGGUUGCUAAAUAACAAUAUUUGAAACUUUAAGUAAUUUUCAUGAGUCCUUUUUAUAUUCAGCAACUUGAAUUGGGGGAAAUCCGACUUGAAUUGGCGGUUGAUUUUGGUGAUGUGGCUUUUGGUUUACGCCGGCUUUACAGUGGCGGAAGACUGGAUUUACGGUUGCCGAAUGCUAGGGAUUAUGGUGGUGGUGUAAAUUGACGGAAAAAGAAGGUGUUUUGGUGGCGGCGCAUCUAGGAAGCACUCGUGGGUUGUCGUUUCGUGUGCUGACAACGGGCGGCGAUCAAGGGCUGAAGUUGGUUGGUUUUUGGUCAACGGAGGCCGGCGAGUUUGUUGGUGGAGGUGGUUGGUGGAGAAAGUGGCUGAAUGGUGGUGGGUUGCUUGGUGGAGCCGUGGGUUUGGGUUGGUGAUUUGCGGCUGUUGAGGCAGCGAUGACUGAGGCUUGGUCAACUGUGGCUAGUGAGGUUUGUGGUGGUGUUGGCUGGCUGAUCGGCGGUGGUGGGCGGCGGUGGAGGUUGAUGUGACGGGUUGGGUUUUCAAAUUUGUAAAUUUUGUUUUUUGAUGGAUUUGGUUUGGAUAGGUAUGGUGUAUCUAGGAAAGAUGUGCGAUUCGCACAUAAUCAUCUUGAUACCAAUUGAUGGAGCGAGGCGUAGCGGAAGCAGAAUUGAUAGGGUAAGAAACAUUAGAUAUUGUUCUAGUACUAGACCAAGCCAACGCGAUUAGUUCACGCUCUAAUCGAAGCAUGAUUAGAUAUCGUUAUAAUCCAAAUGACUCAAUGAGAUUUUUAAUAAUGCGUAAUACGAGAUUAGAUGACACUCUAAUCCAAACGACUCUACAAGAGAGAUUUUGAUAAAUAAUCCUAGAGAAAAUUAUAAAAGAGGGGUUUUAUUUAAUAAUUGAACUUGAAGUUAUGAAAAUAAUGACAAGACAUCUUUAUUUUUUUUAUUACAAAUAUCUUUAUUUAUAAUAGAAGAAACCCGCUUUCCUAAGUUAACCUAAAAAGAAAAUUUAAAUCAUAAUUAUAAUGGAAAUAAAAGAUUAAAAUACAUACCAUAAUUAACUCAAACUAAAAUAGAAAAUCAUAAAAUAAUAAAUAUUCUAGAAUUAUAAAUUAUCUAAAAUAACGUUAAUUAACUUCUUAAAUCACUUCUUUGGUGUUAACCAUUUUGCAUCCAACCUCGCUUUAAAGGUUUGAACCAACGUUACCAACAAUAAUGUAUCAAAUUCCAAUCUAACUUAAGAUCCUGAUACAUCUACCGAUGUCCUUGUUUGAUUAGACAAUAAUGAGUCUAUCUCAUCACUUGUUACCUCUUUCUUGAAGGCUGCAUCUGUUGAAGUGAUAGUCUCGUUUAGAGUUUAAAGAUCUUCUUCCAUGUUAAAUAAAAUGGGCAUUUGAUUAAAAAACUUUAUCUCUAUCUCCUUCUAUCAAAUAACGACAACUAUCCGAAGGGAAAAAAAAUUAGAAAAGUCCAUGGGUCACAAUAAUUUAUGGUCUGUUCCCGGACCCCAUUAUCUGCCACUAUCAAUGAUGAAAAUGAAAAUAAAUGGCAUCUUCCCAAAAUGGCAAAAGAUUUUUGGGGGAUAUGGGGGAAUUGUCAAAAGUUCACACAACGCGAAACAAGUGUUACAUCCAAUUUUAUUUCGUCAUAUAAUGAUAAUAUCAAAUAAUGACAACCAUCCAAAAGUAUGAUGGGUCUUCCACAAUUUUGAAAAUGUCGUCAACAUUUAAUCUUCAAUGCUAAAGAAGAUGAAAUGACCAAAAAUGACACGCAGGACCAACUUACAGACUAAAUGGCUCUGACCACAUGUAACAAACUUUGGCUUUAUGUCCUUGCUGAGGCGUUAGACUGUUGGUCAUUUUGAUUGCUUUUUACCUUCCAUUUACGCCAUUGUAGCAUUGUACUAUUCACCAUUUUAGCUGUUUAAAUGAAAUUGUUAUUUUUUUUUCCAAAAAUAAAAUGACACCCUUAAAAUUUUAGAAAAUAGCCAUGUAGAUCCCAAAUUUUUAAUAAAGAACACUAAUAUCAUUUUUGACUAUAGUACUCUUAGUAGAUGGUAACAAAAAAAAAUGACUGCAAAAGUUUUUACUAAAUGUAAAUAUGAUUUAAAUAGUUUAAAUUUUCUAGUAGACUAGUAUGUCUAAUUUAAAUAAUUAAUUUUUAAAAUGUAAUUUAAUAUAUUUAUUUUAAUAAUAUAUUUAUCAUAAAAAUUUUAAACAAAUCCUUGGGUUAAAUAGAUUUUAUAAUUAAUAUAAUAUUUCUCAUGUUUUAAUAAUAUUAAAAUUAUUUGAUAUGAUAUUGAAAAUAAUUAAAACUUUUAUAUAUUUAUUUGAAUAUUAUUUCUCUAUUUAUUAUAAUUUGGUUUAAUAGAAUACGAGAUUGUAAAAUAUUAAAAUAUUUUUAGGUAUUAAAAUUAUUUUAAUAUGUACAUAUUAUUAUAUUUAUUUUAAUAUCCUGCUUAUAUUUAUUAUAAAAUAUUAAAAUUAAUUUUUUUAGUUAAUAAAUUUAAAAAUAUAUAUUAUAAUUAAAAAAAGAGUCUUAUUGUCUGUUAUUUACGAUAUGAGGUUCUACAAAAUUAUUUUCAAAAGGAAAAAUAAGUCUAAGGGUUUCAACAAAUUCUAGUCCUAUCUGCCACUAUGACUAAUGGAAACGACAUUGCAAUUGACAUUGCUUUUUGUAAUAUGACAAAUUUUUGGAGGCAUAUGGGAGAAUCAUCAAAUGUUCACACUACGCGGGAGUUUUGGAUGGGAUCAGGGAGGAUUGUCAAGAGUUCACACCACGAGAAACCAAUGAUAGCCCUAAUUUCGCUGUCAGUUCUUUGUUUAUUUAUUUUAUUUAUUUCAUACAUUGUUGUCUUGUUGGCAUUGUUUUGUAAAAUAAAAGUAAAGUAAACUAUUAGGGUGCUGCUAGGUUAAGUUGUUGUAACUUACAGUCCCUUAAAAAAUAAUGUAAAAAAUUUAACAUGUGGUGGGAUCCACAUAUGUUUGAAGAGGCCGUAAGUUACAGUAGUUGUGACUUAGCAAAAUCCAAAUAUUAGACAAUAACGCACAUUAACAAUGCAUAUAAUUUGGGUUUUAUUUUUUUUUAAUUAUUUGAGUAUUAUCUAUCCUUAAGAUAUUAAUGUGAAUAUAAUUUAAUAUUAAAUAAUCAAAAUCUAUUUAAUCAUAAUAUAUAUUUCAUACAUUGCAUGUUUAAUCAAAAUCUGAUUGCUUUUUACCUUCUAUUUCGCCCACUGUAGCAUUCUACUAUUUACCAUUUUAGCUAUUUAAAUGAAAUUUAUUUUUUUUCCAAAAAUAAAAUGACACCCUUAAAAUUUUAGAAAAUAGUCAUGCAGACGCCAAAAUUUUAAUAAAGAACACCAAUACCCUUUUUGACUAUAGUACUCUUAUGGUAGCCACAAAAAAAAAAUGACUUCAAAUUUUUUUACUAAAUGUAAAUAUGAUUUAAAUAGUUUAAAUUUUCUAGUAGACUAGUAUGUAUAAUGUAAAUAAUUAAUUUUUAAAAUGUAAUUUAAUAUAUUUAUUAUAAAAAUUUUAAACAAAUCCUUGGGUUAAAUAGUUUUUAUAAUUAAUAUAAUAUUUCUCAUGUUUUAAUAAUAUUAAAAUUAUUUUAUAUGAUAUUGAAAAUUAUUUUAUAUGUAAAUCAUAUUUACAUUUAAUAGAAUACGAGAUUGUAAAAUAUUAAAAUAUUUUUUGGUAUUGAAAUUAUUUUAAUAUGUAUAUAUUAUUAUAUUUAUUUUGAUAUCCUACUUAUAUUUAUUAUAAAAUAUUAAAAUUAAUUUUUUUAGUUAAUAAUUUAAAAAAAAAUAUUAUAGUUAAAAAAAAAGAGUCUCAUUGUCCGUUAUUCACGAUAUGAGGUUCUACAAAAUUAUUUUCAAAAGGAAAAAUAAGUCCAGGGCUUUCAACAAAUUCUAGUCCUUCUGCCACUAUGACUAAUGGAGACGCAUUGAAUUGACAAUGCUUUUUGCAAUAUGACAAAUUUUUGGAGGGAUAUGAGAGAAUCGUCAAGCUUUCACACCAUGCGAGAGCUUUAGGUGGGAUAUGGGAGAAUUGUCAAGAGUUCACACCACGAGAAAUUAAUGACAAGCCUAAUUUCGUUGUCAGUUCUUUAUUUAUUUAUUUUAUUGAUUUCAUACAUUAUUGUCUUGUUGGUACUAUUUUGUAAAGAUAUAAAAGUACAAGUAAAAUAUUAGGGAAAGUAAAGUAAAAUAUUGGAGGUGAUGCUAAGUUACAGCUGCUAUAACUUACAGUUCCUUCAAAAAUAAUGUAAAAAAUUUAACACGUGGUGGGACCCACAUUAUGUUUGAAGAGGCCGUAAGUUAUAGCAGUUGUAAACUAGUAAAAUCCAAAUAUUAGACAAUAAUACACAUUAACAAUGCAUAUAAUUUGGGUUUGAUUUUUAAAAAAAUUAUAUGAGCAUUACCUAUCCUUAAGAUAUUAAUGAGAAUAUAUUUUAAUAUUAAAUAAUCAAAAUAUGUUUAAUCAUAAUAUGUAAUUCAUACAUUGCAUGUUAGAUUUGUUUGGAUUUUAAGUUGUUGCUAAUAAAUAUUUAUGUUGUGAAAGUCGAAUUCAAUAGCUACAAAAGCAGAGAUACUGGUAUUUUAUGUAGUUUUUAAGAAUACAAGAAUAAGACCAUAAUGCAUGAGAUAAUGGUAUUUUAUAUUAAAAGACCAUAACACAUGUAUUUGAGCCAUUUAUAUUGAGGACACAUAUAAAGCGAAGAGUGCAGAUCCGGCCGUAACUAUUGUGAAGCUUUCCUCAAGUAUUCUCAUGCACACAGCCCUUAUCUGGUCAAGUUCUCUGAUUCAAUAUAAUCAAUUUCCGAGUAGUACUGACGACAGCUUCUCUGUAAAGCUCUUCAACCACAAGCAUUUCUACAAGGCAAAAGACUAGGACGUAUUGGAAUGAAUAUCAAUAAGGGAAUGUCUUAUGAAUUUAGUUUAUAUCCUAAUAUAAGACAAUCAGUAAAUAUUGGAUGCAAUCUAAGGGCUAACAUUUGAUUGAUCAUUAUACGAAAAAAAAAAAAGGUGCAAAAAUACAAAACAUAGCUGAUUGAUGGCCUCUCACAGUCAGUUAUAUGACAAAGUAGCCACCACAACAAACUUUUUUUUUUGAACUGAUUAAGCAUCAGGUUACUGUAUUACACAUAGAGAUAUAUAUAACUGCUAUGACAGCAAGUCAUUAUACUGAUAUUUACAAUCAGAUAUAUACAUGAGACUUAUAUUAUUACAUUUUUAUUAUAUGAAGUACAUGCCCAUCCAAAUCUCCCUCACGGAGGAGGGAUGUCUCUACUCCACUCACAUUUCGCAAGGGAGAAAGACGUUAUAAGAAGUUUUCACCACAACAAACUUGAACUUGGGUGGAGGUCUCAUUAGUAGUAUACCUCAGAAAUUAAGACAAAGACUUUAAAAUGCAAACUUAUGGAGCAAUUUAAGCACUGAAACUAAUAACAGUACGGUAUUAGCAAUUGACCUCUGCUUUUGCUUAGACAAAGGUUUUCAUCACAAUGGACUCAUUAGUUGCCCUUGCCUCACACGUUUGGAUGCUAAGGGGAAAAAGGAAGCUUGAAUUAGUCAAUCUCAUUUCUAAUGGCAUUCACAGAGAACUUAUAAAACAAAAAAAAAAAAAAAUUAUAAAAAAAAAUUCAUCCAUAAAAAGCUUAGUAACGGAAAAAUCGACUCUUUUAUCUGCCACUGACGAAAAAAAAACUGAAGUAUUAAAUAGAUAAAGAAUUUAAUUUUUUUCUUGGAAAAACUAAUAAUAAAUUAACAAUUAGAUAAUACUAUUAAUUAGAGAUCUUUAAUAUUAAGGUUGUCAAAGAUAGAAUGUGUAUAAAAAUUCUUAAUUAUAAGAUAAUUACUAACUAAAAAGAGGCCUAAAAAAGAAGAUUUGCUAUUAUAAGUAAUACCAAAAAUAAAAAGGGAGACUUCCUAAUUGUGUAAUUGGUUAAAAAAGAGGAUUUGCUAUUAUAGGCCUAAUUUGCCUAUGCUUAAAACCGUUCCUGGAUGUAAAAAAAUAAAAAUUAUUGUUAAAUUCCUGACUAAUAAGGUCAUUGAAAGUAUUCAAAGGACCUGAACUUAUAGGAAAGCCAGCCAUGAUGAACUAUACCACGUUGCAAGUGAGCUCGUAUCUUCACCCCUUGAUCUGCCAUCGGCAUUUCUCUUCCACUCACUAUACCAUCCUUUUCAAUCGAUUUUUAUAGAUCAUAAGAGACCAUGUGGCCCACCUUAUUUUUAUUUUGGAUCCAUAACCCAAAGCUGGCCCAAGUUCUGAUUCCAGAAUCAUUUGUCUACAAAGUGACCUCAUUCCGGCAAUUGGUUUAUGCUAAUAGCACGUGCAAUUUUCAUUUUCUUCUUUUUAUUAAUUAAUUUCAUCAUUAUUAUUUGCUUAUUAUUUUAAAAUUAAAGCUAGCAUUUUUCAAAUUAAUUAAUUAAAUUGUAUUAAUGAAAUUAAUCUUUCAUUUUCUUUUCUCUUUCAAUGCACAAAGCCAAACAACCAUUCUCGCUUCAAAUACCGAAGAGCUCCUGACUACGGCUGUCAAUGCUUCUAUAUUUACGUGCUGUGCUGCAUCACUCUUAGCGAAAGCUUGAAUGAAUGAUUAAAGACAAAAGCUUAUAUAAAAGCAGAUGCCGGAGGCAGUCAAAAAGCAUUUGAGAGAGAAGCUAAACAGCAAAUCAUCAAACGCACUUCAAUGACUUUAUUUUGAUUUUGAUUUUUGUUUCGAAAGAAGUAGAAAAGUCCAUGGGUCACGAUAACUGCUUGUCCUAUGCCGUGACCUCAUUGUCCACCGCUAGUGUCAAAUAGAUUAAUCUUUCUAGUAGAUUAAUAUAAUUUAUAAUUUUAAUUUCAGUAUUAAUUUUUAAAAUGUUAGUUGUUAUAUUUAUUUUAAUAAUAUAUCUAUUUUUAGUAUAAAAAAUUUAAAUGUAUAUUUAGAUUAAAUAGAAUUUAUAAUUAAUAUAAUAUAUCUCAUGUAUUAAUGAUAUUUAAAUUAUUUUAUAUAAUAUUAAGCCUAACUUAGAAUUAUAUAUAUUUAUUUUAAUAUUAUGUUUCUAUAUAUUAUAUAAUAUUAAGCCUAACUUAGAAUUAUAUAUUAUGUUUCUGAGCCUCUCUCUAUAACACUAUAUAGAACCCUAAGCCUAAGUGUCACGGGAUGAGUGUUUUGCGCAGCUAACCCGUGCGGCACUUAGACAACUUUGCCGAAUGUUGCUAAGUAAGCCUAGAGAUUCUCGAACAAGAGAAGAGAGCAAUUGAGCCAAAGAAACUUGUAUUGCACAAAGAGAGAUUACAAUGCUUGUUGGAUACAAAUGCCUAAUGCCAUCCCAUAUUUAUAGGGGAGGCUUUGUCAAACUUGGCCUAACUUUGCCAAACUUUGCCAAACUCUAGAGUAUUCUACAAUUUCCUAGCUAUUUACAUGUGCUGGAAUUGUAUAAAGAAUUCUAGAAUAUUUACAUGUUCACAUGUGCUAGAGUUUCCUAGAACCUUCCGGAAUUGGGCCAAGCUAGCACUCUUGGCUUUGUGUUGGCUCUCUAGCUCGAAAUUGGGGCAAUUGGGCUAGCGAAUUGGGCGGUCCGCAACAACCUCCCCCACCUAUGCUCGCGGCGUCCUCGUCGCGCUCUCAUGCUUGAACCUCUGGAUGUGCUCAGCGAAUUGCCACAAACCAUCUUCACGUUCCCAAGUGGCUUCACUCUCGGGGAGGUUUUUCCAUUUCACCAAGUACUCGCUAUGUGCUGGCACGCCCCUCCUCGAAACCGUGCGGUCCGCAAUGAUGUAGUCCACAUCUUUGUCGAAUGCGGUGACAACGGCAGUUGGUGCGCGCCUUGAUUCUCCGCGACCUGGUUCUCCCAUGUCUUCGUGAUAUGGCUUGAGAAGGCUCACAUGGAAGACCGGAUGGAUCUUGAGUCUUGGCGGAAGUUGGAGUUGAUACGAGACGUUGCCCACACGUCGAACAACUCGGAAGGGUCCCUCGUAGCGCCUCACUAACCCCUUGUGAACUUUCCGCAAUGUCUUGAAUUGUUGGGGUAGGAGCUUGAUCAUGACUUGAUCUCCUUCCUUGUACUCAACAUGCCGUCUCCUUGUAUCCGCCCAUUUCUUCAUUUUCCUCGCGGCUUUGUCGAGGUAGGCUCGCGUGAUGUCCGCUUCCUCAUGCCAUUCGCGGGCGAGCUUGUGUGCCGCGGGGCUUUUCCCUCCGUAAGUCGAGGCUAUGGCAUUGGGAGUCAUUGGCUGGAAUCCCAUGAUGAUCUCGAACGGACUCUUGCCCGUAGCCUCGCUUCGCUGCAAGUUAUAAGAAAAUUGGGCGAUGUCGAGUAGCUUCGCCCAAUCCCGCUGGUGAGCGCUCACAUAAUGCCUCAGAUACAUCUCGAGGAGGCCGUUAAUGCGCUCGGUCUGCCCAUCCGUUUGUGGGUGGAAGCUUGUCGAGAACUUGAGAUCGGUCCCCAACAUCUUAAAGAGUUCCGUCCAAAACCGCCCAGUGAACCAAGGGUCUCGGUCGCUCACAAUGCUCUUCGGAACUCCCCAAAGCUUCACAAUGUGCUUGACAAAUAGGCGGGCUGCCUCAUCCGCUUUGCAAUCCACUGGUGCGGCAAUGAAUGUGGCGUACUUGCUGUGUCGGUCGACAAUGACCAUGAUGCUUCCGCAACCUUCGGACUUGGGCAGCGAUGUGAUGAAGUCCAUGGAGACACUUUCCCAUGGCCUUGUUGCUAGUGGUAGCGGCUCCAACAAUCCCGCUGGAAGUUGAUGAUCCACCUUGUCUUGUUGGCACACAAGACAAGUUCGCACAUAUGCCUCGAUGUCGUCCCUCAUGUGCGGCCAAAAAUACGAGGCUUGAACUAGUGCGGUGGUGCGCUCGAUUCCUGGGUGACCAGCCCACUUGGAGUCGUGGCACUCCUUGAUAACUUCCUUCCGCAAAUUUCCCCACCUUGGCACAAACAGCCGAUCUCCCUUGGUGAGGAGGAUGCCUUCCUCUUGCCAAAAUCGCCUUGUCUUCCCUUCGAGCACCUUCUCCAGCAAAUCCUUUGUUAGCGGGUCUUGUUGGAGGCCUUCCUUGAUGCGUGAGACAAGGUCGGACUUCGGUUGGCUCAUGCUAAGUGUUGCCAAUUCCGCCUUGCGGCUUAGAGCGUCCGCAACGACAUUGGCUUUCCCCGGUUUGUACUCUAGCCGAUAGUCGAAUUCCGCAAGGAAAUCUUGCCACCGUGUUUGCUUCGGACUCAACUUCUUUUGAGUUUGAAAGUAGCUUGUCGCCACGUUGUCCGUUAUGAUCGUGAAGUGUGAGCCAAGCAAGUAAUGUCGCCACACUCUUAGACAAUGGAUGAUGGCUGUCAUCUCCUUUUCUUGCACCGUGUAGCGGCGUUCCGUAUCAUUUAGCUUUCGACUCUCGAACGCUAUUGGGUGGCCUUCUUGCAUAAGGACUCCACCUAUGGCGAAAUCCGAGGCAUCUGUUUGAACUUCGAAGGGCUUGGUGUGGUCCGGAAGAGCGAGGACUGGUUCCUCCGAAAUUGCCUUCUUCAACUCCUCGAAUGGACGUUGGCACUCUUCGGAUCAAUGCCACGUUCUGUUUUUCUUGAGCAUAUCCGUCAAGGGUGCCGCCUUGGCUGAAUAGCCCUUGAUGAAAUGGCGGUAGUAAUUCACCAACCCAAGGAACGAGCGAAGCUCGGGUACUUUCGAGGGAGGCUCCCAAUCGAGGAUGGCCUCUACUUUGUCAUUCUCCAUCAUGAUCUUCCCGCCCGCAAUCUUAUGGCCAAGGAACUCCACCUCUUGUUGGGCAAACGAGCACUUCUCUAGUUUGAGGAAGAGCUCAUUGUCUUGAAGUACUUGGAGGACUUUUUGCAAGUGUUGGGCAUGAUCCUCGAGUGUGGUGCUAUACACCACGAUGUCGUCCAAGUACACGACCACGAAGCGGUCGAGGAAUGGUUGGAGUACCUUGUUCAUGAGUGUGCAAAAUGUGGCGGGUGCAUUAGUAAGGCCAAAAGGCAUCACAAGGAAUUCGAAAGACCCGUACCUUGUUGUGCACGCUGUCUUUGGUUCGUCUCCCUUGGCGAUGCGCACUUGGUAGUACCCGGAGCGCAAGUCAAGUUUGGUGAAGUACCGCGCUUUGCCAAGCUGGUCGAACAAGUCCGCAAUCAAUGGAAUCGGAUACUUGUUCUUGAUGGUGAUCUUGUUGAGCGCUCUAUAGUCGAUGCACAUCCGCAGCGAUCCAUCCUUUUUCUUUUGGAAGAGGACCGGUGCACCGAAUGGGGCCUUUGAGGGGCGAACGUAGCCUGCGUCCAGCAAGUCUUUGAGCUGUCUCCGCAACUCCUCUAAUUCGGGUGGCGCCAUGCGGUAGGGCGCCAAGGCUGGUGGCUUCGCGCCUUGUUCUAGCUCAAUCGCAUGAUCUACCUCUCGCGGAGGUGGGAGCUUCUUCGGAAGUUCUGGAGGCAUCACGUCCUUGUACUCAUUGAGGACGGCUUGAAUUCGCGGAGGGACUUGGCUUGGCGACGUUCCGCUAUUUCCUUCCUCGUUUAGUUCCCGAAUGGAGACCAAGAAGCUUGGGUCCUUCUUGAAAGCCCUCUUGAAUUGCAUGGCGGAGAGUUUCUUCUCCUCGGACUUGCCUCGUUCGGUGGGUACCAUGCAUGCUUUGCUCCCAUCGAGGAUGCUUAGGGAGUUUGUAGCGGGCAGCGGGAAGGCAUGGACUUGGUCGAAGAAUUCCAUGCCAAGGACCAUCUUGAAGUCAUCCAUGGGCACAAUGGAGAAAUCAAGCUUUCCGCUCCAUGUACCGAGUGUGAUGUGCACGCCUUGUGCAAUUCCCGCAAUUGGUUUGGCGGGUGAGUUUACUGCCUUCAUUGUGCCUCCUUCCUUGGUGGCCUUGAGGCCUAAACGCUUGGCCUCGUCUACGGACACGAAAUUGUGUGUUGCUCCCGUGUCUAGCAGCGCGCGAACAGACUGGCCGUUUACCUUUGCGCUAACAUACAUGAGCCCUUUCUUGGCUAGUGCGGGCUGUUGGCGGUUGAGUGCCCCGAGGCGUUGGAGAGAACCCAUGCUGAGUUGGGGUUCCUCCGUGGACAUUGUGGGGUUGCUCUUGAGUUGGGCAGCAAGAACAUUAAGCGACCGCUUCUCCGGACAGUCGCGUACCCAAUUUGGACCGUUGCAUAUGAAGCAUGGGCUUCGCGGCUUUGGCGCCUCCUUCUUGCCCUCCGAUUUUCCUUGCCAACUCUUGUUGCUAGACGGCUUUUUCUGCCCCCAAUCUUUGCGGUUGUUACCCUUGUCCUUGCGACUCUCUCCCCCACCUUUGCCUUGGUUGGCCUUUUUGUCCUUGGAUUGGGUAGAGUAUUCGGUGAGCGACUCCGCAACGGCGAUGGCGUCGUCAAGUGUUUGAACACCACGCCUAUCAAGCUCGGUCUUGGCCCAAUCCUUGAGGCCAUCUUGGAAGUAGAAGAGUGAAUCUUUGUCGGACAUGUCACUUAUCUCCAACAUGAGGGUAGAGAACUCGUUAAUGUAGUCCCGAAUGCUACCCGAUUGCUUGAGGCGACGUAAGCGCGCUCGCGCUUCCUUCUCUGCAUUGCUUGGGGUGAACUGCUUUCGGAGUUCUUGCUUGAAGUCGGCCCAAGUGUCGAUGGUGCAAAUGCCCUUGCCCAUCUCGCCAUGCUUGCGACGCCACCAUAGUUGUGCAGCGCCUCUAAGAUAGGUGGGUGCAGUGCCCACUUUCGAUGCCUCAUCUCGUACACCCAUGGCAUCGAAGUAUUGAUCCAGCCCGAACAGGAAGUUGUCCACGAUUGUGGCAUUGCGUGUGCCAUCGUAGGUGUCGGGCUUUGGCACAUCAAUGCGGCGCGCAUCACUCGAGUUUGCGGAAGCUGGACUUGCGGAGAGUGUGCGCUUGUGCCAUGCCCAAUCCGAGCGGACUUCAUCCACUUCCGCACGGACAGCACGUAGUUCGUCCUGAACAAAACUACGAAGUUUUAGCAACUCAUCAUGGAAAGAAUGAAACUCACCUCGGAGAAUGUUCGCUUGCUCAUGCAUGAGAGCUUUUGUGGCCACCGUGAACUCGGCGUAUUCUCCCUCGAGAUUGUCCACUCUUCUCUCUAAUCCCUCAAGGCUAUCUUGAGUGGCGGACAAGGCUAUUUCGAGAGUGCCUACACGAGGCUCCAAAGCAUCCACGGAUGGGGCCUUGGACUUGCCGCGAUUCUUGCCUUGGGCGCGUUCUCCCUCUCGGCCGCGGCUUGGUUCUGGUGGAACAUCCACACCAACAAAACCCUCUUGUGCUACGUUUGAAGGGUUGGCCAUUGCUUUGUGAGCUAAUUUGCGUGCGUGCAAACCUUAGCUCUGAUACCACUUGUCACGGGAUGAGUGUUUUGCGCAGCUAACCCGUGCGGCACUUAGACAACUUUGCCGAAUGUUGCUAAGUAAGCCUAGAGAUUCUCGAACAAGAGAAGAGAGCAAUUGAGCCAAAGAAACUUGUAUUGCACAAAGAGAGAUUACAAUGCUUGUUGGAUACAAAUGCCUAAUGCCAUCCCAUAUUUAUAGGGGAGGCUUUGUCAAACUUGGCCUAACUUUGCCAAACUUUGCCAAACUCUAGAGUAUUCUACAAUUUCCUAGCUAUUUACAUGUGCUGGAAUUGUAUAAAGAAUUCUAGAAUAUUUACAUGUUCACAUGUGCUAGAGUUUCCUAGAACCUUCCGGAAUUGGGCCAAGCUAGCACUCUUGGCUUUGUGUUGGCUCUCUAGCCCGAAAUUGAGGCAAUUGGGCUAGCGAAUUGGGCAGUCCGCAACAUAAGUCUCACAUUCGCAACCGCCCCACAUAUCAGAACCACAGCGAACUGCCUCCGACCCUUCGGACCCAAAAAAAUGAUUGUAUUCCUGCUCUUUCACUUUAAUAAUUUUUUGUAUUAUUCCAUAUCUUUCACUUUAAUAACCCAAAAGCUUUCCUCUGUUUCAACCCAAAAGCUCAAAUUCCUUUUUUCAAUCGAAAAUUGUGUUUGCCUAAUUUUUUAACCAUUUUUAUAUGUCCGUUAAACUUGACAGCCAAUGUGGUCUAUUCGCUAAACAGAGUAAACGAUAACAAUCAAUGGAAAUUGAAACAAAACCCACCAAUCAACAAAACAGAAUAGCCGAGGAAUCCAAUUUCAGGAAACAGCAGUUUCAAAACUCACCAGAGACAAAUGAUAAAACGAAGCUACGCCGUUCCUCGAUCGGUGAUAACUGGCUACAAGGUUUCUUCGCAUUCGUUGGCCUAAUUUUUUAACCAUUUUUAUAUGUCCGUUAUGCUUGACAGCCAAUGUGGUCUAUUCGCUAAACAGAGUAAACGAUAACAAUCAAUGGAAAUUGAAACAAAACCCACCAAUCAACAAUGUGGUCUAUUCGCUAAAUGGUUAAAAAAUCUAACCUUUGUUCACAAUAAUUGUAUUUGCCUCACUGUUUUUGUUUUAUGAGAUCUAUAAUUGAUCUUGGGAUAUUACUUUCUAGUUCUCAUGCAAGCAAGUUACUACCUUCCCACUGCAUCUCCUCCUUUAUCUGCUAUUCAAGAGUUGCGUGCCAUAAUCUGGUGUUACCUCUGCAAGAUUGUGAAUGAAUAUAACGCCUCUAAAUUUAUUUUAUACAUAAUGCUGAUGCUGAAUAAUAUAUUGUAGCUCCUGUCAUAUUCUACUUUGACUUUUUAUAUUCUGUUUCAUAUAAAAAUCUUAUUCAACUUUAGUUGUUCAUGAGCAAAUGUCACAUGUAUAAGCCCAAAUGAUGUUUAAAGGUAGCGCGGCUACCUUUAGUUUGAGCUGACAAUGGAUGAAAAAGAUAUUGAAACUGAUAUUUUGCUGUUUUUCUGAUUUUUCAAAGUAUUUUAGAUCCUGACUUUUGUUAAGUUGUUUCCAACACCUCGUGCCAAAUGAAAGCACAAUCUUUCUGAUUCAGAUGUCUUGUUAAUUAUGCUUCAUUUUUUCAUUAAAGAUUGGAUGGUUACAUGGAUUGAUGGAGUUGGAGUUCAACCAAUAAUUCUAAUUUUUUGGACUUAAAAUGCCUUUUUCUUCUGUAUAAAAACUUUAGUAAGUGCUAUUGAGUUGACAGAAGUUGCAUACUUACAGGUUGUUUCACACUUUUUAGUAGUUUUACAUAUAUGAAUUUCUGUUUUUUGAAUUGCAGAAAGGAGGUGGAACUAUUGAUUUGGAGCCUUAUCUUACUCACUCAUCGACAACGGAGCCUACCCUCACUCCCAUGGCAGUGGAACGGACAACGACUACUAGGGCUGCAACAUCAGUUGGUUUGGGUCUGUUUUGGGUUUAUUGUCAUUUAUUUGGGUAUGUUUUGAUAGCGAAUUUUGAUAUGUCAAUAGAAUGUGUAAUUGUUUUGGGUUGAGCUGGUAAUUAUGCUGGAUUAGAUUGGUUUGGUUUUGGUGCUUCUCUGAUGGAACACUGCUUUUUUUAGAAAUUUUGAAUGUAAUAUGAGACUACAUUUAGUUUAAUUGAACACUGCAUCUAGUCUAAUUACUAGAAGUGUGGCAUUUGGUUUGGUUUAUCCGAUAUUCUCCAGAAUUUCACUUGCAUCUGGUUUUGUUGCAUAUGUUUGUUUGCUUGCAUUUGAUGGCAGUAGCAGACUGUUUGUUUUUGUGACAUUUGAUGGCAGUUUGGUCUGUUCUUGGUGUUGAUUUAAGAUUCUUCCUGUUGUGCUGAUGUUAAUUGCAGGUGCUUGAAUCAGCUAGGGUUGCUGGUUUAUUCAGAUGGUUGACUCAGGCGUUGCUACUGGUUAAUUCAGGUGGCUGACUCAAGUUGUUCAUUUAAUGUUAGGAAGCAAAUUAGGAAUUAAUGAAGUAUUCAUUUAACUAUAAUUAUUGUAGUUAUUUUAUUUCAUAACUGAAUUAUAAUCUAUGAUACUUGUGAACAAAUUAGAGAAUUUUUAUAUAUGAAUUAUAUAUAUGUGUGUGUAUGUACAUUUUGCUAUUUAUAUAAUAAUUUAAAGAAUAUAUUUCAAUUCCCACAAAAAAAAGGCUCCAAUUUCAAUAAUUCCCGCCAAAUAAUUAAAUUUUUUUAAUUUACCACCAAAAUAUAUCUUAAGUUAUUCUUGCUAGAUUUAACAAAAAUAAUUUGUAGGAUUAACAUUUAAUUAAAAUAAUUAAAUAAUUUUAUUAUUCCAAUUAAAUAUGUCAUGCUUAUACGACAGACAAUAAUCAUGAAUGGGAAGUAUUAGUAACAUAUUCUUCCUUGGGAUUUCAGGCAAAUGAAAAAAAGAUUGAGAAUGAUUUCAAGAGGACAGGUGGAUGAUAAAUAUUCAUUUUUGUAUAUUUGGCUAAUGUCCUCAUUAGUGGAUUUUUAUGGUAUUGAUCUUUUUCUUUUUUUAAAAAAAUUUUCAAUUAGUUGCAGCCCUAGAGGAAGAGCAGGCUGAUCAAAUUGAUUUGUCUUGUUUUUCGGGCAAUCUACGACACGAUGACCGUGAUAAUGCUCGUGACUGCUGGAAACUUUCUGAUGGAAAUAACUUUAGAGUUCGUAGCAAGCAUUUUUGUUAUGACAAAACAAAGGUUCCCCCAUAUUUUGUUUGUUUGUUAUGGUAUUUAUAUAUCCUGCAUAGGCUAGGUAGACAGGUUAUGAUGUAGUUUGGUUGGCUCUUCUUGUGCUUUGUGCAAUUUGUAACUGCAGAUACCUGUGGUAAAACAUUUAAUGGAUCUUGUUGCUGUUGAUUGGUUCAAAGACACAAAGAGAAUGGACCAUGUAGCUAGGCGUCAAGGCUGUGCUGCACAAGUAACUAUUCUUUUCUUUUUAUUUAAAAAAAUAAAACACAUUGCCAACAAGGAUCUCUUCAUUGAACAUGUGUCUAGUUCUGAUAAGCUAGCUGAUGUGCUUACCAAACCUCUGAGUUUUGAUCAUUUUGCCUAUAUGCAAACUAAGGUCAAUGUCUGCCCAUGACCUUGAGCUUACGGGGGCAUUUUAAGAAUAACAUAUGCUGAGUCAUCAAGCCAUGCUGGAAGUCAGUUUUGCAGUUAGUUAGAGAGCUUAUCAGCUUCCCUCCAAAAGUUUGUUAUGUGUAUUAGAAUCUGGGCUCACGAGUUUUGUGAGAUUGUAACCUUGAGAAGAUUCUCACACUACUAUAAAUUGUAUUGUGACUCAAUUAAUAAAAUAAGUUGAAGCUUUGCAUUUUCUCUCAGUCAAAAUUUUCUCUCUAUUUUUCUAAGUAACCAAACAAGAUCUACAGAGCAUUUUGUAUUUUAACUGGAGCGGCUGAUUGGUGCUGUACGUGUUACAUUUUUACUUUUUUAACUCAAGUCUGCUGUUGUCCCAAAGUUGGAACUAGAGAUAUCAUUUCACCUCAACUGUGUUUUUUUUUUAAUUAAAAAAAUCAUUUGUUUUAGGUAUACAUACAUGUAUUUUAAUUCUAUUUUCCUUGUAAUUUCUCCUUUACUUUGAAUGAAAGUCAUUGGUGUUUUCGAAUGGGAAUUUUGCAUUAAAAAAUUAAGAAUAGUUAAUAGGAAAUUUCCUGAUUCUUUAGUUACUAUUUUUGGUAUGAGUGUAAUUAGUAGUAAAGUUGGUUUCUACUCGCAAACAAGUGAACUGCUCGAUUCCCAAGUGCUAUUAACCAGUUUCCAACUUUUUAAUAUACACUAAUUGUUCCUGUUUAAUAGCUACUACUAUUAAAACUCAACAGCUAACAAAAAUACUAAAAAAAAAUGAUUUUUUCUUAUGAUGCUGUGAAAAAAAUUACGGGUUUACUUAUUUCCACGAGAUCUUGUAUAGUGUUCUUGUAUAGUGGAAUUAAGAUUGUCUUCCCGAUGGUGCAAUUCACCCUCUUCCUUUACAGUCACUUGCACUUUGUGCAGCUUUGGUGUGGAUAAGAUUCCCAGGGAAAAAGUCUUCAUGUUCGGACAAUGUGUCACAAAUACUCGUUCCAAUGAUGGGAAUUCAAGAGUGUAAUUCUCCAAACAAAAGCUGGUAAGCCUUGGUAAAUCAUCAAGUUCCAAAAGUUUUAAUUCUUUGAAAGCAAUACGAUUCUCCUUCGUUUCUUCUCCAGCAUGUCCUACGAUUUGUUCUAAUUUUUUGCAGUUCCAUACAUAAAGAUUCACCAGACUAGUAGGAAUUCCAACCUGAAAAUAAGCAGAGAGUGUGUGUGUGUGUUAAAAAAGUAAAAAUGUAAGAGUGUCAUUCAACUAAGCUCAAAGUAUGUUUGAUAAUACAAUUAUACGUUUUAUGAACAUAACAAACUGUGAAAUGUCUACUAGAUAUUUUUUGUUAAACAAAAAACGUAACAAGAUAAAUAAAUAAAUAAAUAAAAGCCAGAUAAACAAAGAUGAUAAAAAUGUAUUUACACUAUUUAGUAUUAGGGACGUAGAAAGAAUUUAAGGCAAUUUCUAAAUAUUUUAGACUUAUUUUGCAUCUUGAUAUAAGUUUUUAAGCAUAAAUUUGCACAUUUCAACUAUUCCUUUAAAAAGAACUCAACUAAAAUGCCUCUUUUUCCCUUUUCCUUGGUCCCCUUUUUUUUAUAUAUAUAUAAAAAUGGAAAAAAAAAUUUGGAAAAGACUUCUUAGUACUGUCAACAAGGGAUUGCUGUAAAGUGGAUCUUUAUUAAGUACUUCCAGACUCGAGGAAAUUUCUUUACAAUCUCAAAAAAAUAGUAAACAAUCAUGAAUUUGUGGUUAAUUAAUGGCAUAAUCAAUUCUUAACUAAACUGGAGAUAUUAAUUAAAUUUGAAGACUUUUUUUUUCCGAUCGAAAUGUGAAGAACUAUGGAACAGAGAAAUAUAUAGAUGAAUUUGUGAACUUAUAAGAUGAGUGACUAUCCUUUAAUUUUUGAAAAUCGUACUUAUUAAGAUAUGAGCAAAAACAAUUAAAUUGAAUUAUAUUAUGCUGUUGAAUCUGUUUAAAAAAAUUAUAUUGUUGAUUCUAAUGCUGGUGAACCUAAAAACUAGACUUAAAACGUAGAUUUCAGAGUGGUGGUUUGAAGUACAAUAUUUGAAAUAAAUAAUUAGUGGCUGAAUAUCAUUUGUAAACACAGAAAUGAUUAAAAAAUUGUUGAAUGUUAUUUGAAAAAAAAAAUCGAAAUGAAUACAGAAACCUUACCAAUGGAGGAAAAAUAUUCAUUAGGUUAUCACACUCUUCUAUCUCCAAAUUCUUCAAUUUCCUGAAAGACUCUGAAGCAAGCUGGUGGUGCCAUAUUGUUCUUAGGUUAUCCAUCCACGCAAUAUAUAAUACCUCCAACCUAGGAAGUCGUACCUGGCAGUUAAAGAUUAAAUAACUAAUUAAUCAAUUAAUGGCAUAAUCAAUUGAUAACUAAAUUAGAGGCGGAUAUUAACUAAAUUUGAAGACUCAAGGAAAAGACAAAUCAAGUAUUGUGACUAAAAUUAUUUUUUUAAUUAAAAAAAAAACCUUUUCAUCAAAGAGAGGAGGAGGUUGCAUUUCAGAAUGAAUGGUAUCUUCUGGUGAGCUCGUAGAGAUGAAUCUUAACAUAUUACUGCAACAACCAAUCAUGAGGUUUAGCAAAGAAGGGAAUUCAACAACUAAAUCUGUAUGAAUAUGUCCCAUAUUGGCAAAGCUACUUAGUCUUGGAAGCCAUUCUAGCUGCAGGGAGUGUAGCUUAGGAAAAACCUUUAAUUCAAUCAACUUUCCUUCAUCUCUUUCUGACCAUCCCGUGGUGUCGACUACCCCUUCCAUUGACUCACAAUAGCUUAUCUCAAGAUGUUGGAGUUGCAAAAGGCUAUUAACCAUAGAAUAUGAAAACAGAUACUUCAGACGAUAACACCUUUCCACAGUCACUUUUGUUAAAUUUUGACAACAGUACAUUCUUUGAUUAUGAUCGGCCCAUAAUUUUUUCAUGUUUCUUAAGUCCCUGAGAUUCAAUUCCUCUAAGCUCGGAAGAAUAACCUGCAAAGAAAACCCGUACAUUUUUGUUCCUUCAAGUACAACCGUCUAGUAUAAUAUUCUUUUGAUGAUCGAAGAUUAAUCGUGAUAAUAAAUUAAUCAAUUAAUUAUUGAACAGAAAAUUAUCACCUUUGGAGCAGGAUCAUCAUCAGCAAUGAGUUCCUUGAAUCCCAAAGAAGUUGUUGGUUUGUCCAUGUCGGGUCCUAUAAACAAACAAAAACAAUAUACAUAAUUAAUCUUUGUCGUUGUCUUUUUUUUAAAAAAAUAAUUGAGGCGAAGUCCAUAAAUCCACCAACACUUAAUUUCAACACUUACCAACAAUCAUUUCCAGAUCAUCGCAAAAAAACACUUCUACCUUUUGAAGCCGCAGUAGGUUUUUGGCCAUGGAGAAUGAGAAAAGAUGCUUCAAUUCGUGACAGUCUGAUACUUUUAUAAUCCUUAAGUUGCUGAAAGAUUGAUCUUCUGUGAGUUGGAUGUCACAUAUUGUCUCCAAAUUGAUCAAACGACGAAGAGACAAUGACUCCAGCAAGGGGAAGACUUUGCGACGAACCCGUCCAACUGAACAGACAAUAUGCAAAAUCUCAGAACAACUUUUUACAGAAAGAUGCUUCAAUCGUGGAAAACCUUCCCCAUCAUCUAAUUCAUGAACAACAUUCUGAACACCCUUCAGUUCUCCUAGAUAGAGAUAUUCAGUUCUCUUCAACAACAGUUUCAUCCUGUAAUUCUGCAAAAGAAUGCCAAACUUUUCUAGCCCCUGGAGCUUCAUCAAUCUUGAUAAUCCAGUUUUAACGGACCAGCUGCUCCACCACUUAUUUCCUAUACAUAUCUUAUAGCUUUGCAAUUCCACAGAGACCAAAUCCUGCGGUAGAAUUUCGGCAUCCCGAACGUGUAUCUCCAAAGUAGUUAGCUUUGACAACCCCUUCAACUCAACAAGACUGGCGUUACUUCCUCCUUCAACCUUCUCCCACAGUGAAAAGCUGUUACCAAUAUAUAGUUCUUCUAAUCGAGAUAAUUUUGAUAUGACAUUUGGAGCUAUCACCACAAGGCUGCUACAAUUGCUCAAAUCUAGCAACUGUAAUCUCGUCAAUUGUCCAAUUACAAGUGGCAACUCCUUAACAUCAGAAUCUCGGAAGCUGAGAAUCUCUAAUUUCCUUAGCUGUCCAAUUAUAGUUAUAUCGUUCAGUCGGCAACCAUCUAAACAUAAUGUUUGAACGUUAAUGAGGCAACCAAGUGAUGAAGGUAAUGAAGAGAAAAAUAUUCCAGUAAAAUCUAAAACUUUGAGUUCUUCUGUCCCUUCAAAAAAGAGGUCUGAAAUUUGCAAAGAGCUAUCACGCUUUGAAAACAACAAAAGAACUCGAGACGGGGACAUUCCAACCUUUCGGGAAGCUCUUGAAUAUCUCUAUAAGGUAAAGAAAUAGCUAUUGGACCUUCCCGUAUUGUCUCUUCCAUCUUUUUCUCCACGUAGGCAACAUUUGGAAUAUUAAACAUGAGCUCCUCUUCUGCAAUUGAUACAGUAACAGCAUGAAUGAUGUCAUGCAUUUUAACUUCAUCUUCGGCAUCACUGUCCAACAAUAAGCACGAAGAUUUGAGUUUGCCGAUCAACGUAUGCACUCUACUCCUUGCUUCUUCCAGUGUGUAAACGUUUUUAAAAUAGCCCAUACCCAUACCAUAUCUCAAUAAGUCAGAAACAUGUAUACCACGACCUUCAUUAUAUAGACCACAAAGAAGGAACAGAGAUUUUGCUUCCUUACUUCCCAGUAAGUCGUAACUCAAUUUUAUGGAGAUGUACACAUUUCUUUCCAUUCCAUCAAUUUCUUUUGCAUUGGAACUUCUUAGCUGACGCAGCACAUCCUUCCAAGUGUCAAGCCUCUCAUUUUUCAAAGCUUUUGCAAGUGUAAUCAGUGCAACAGGCAAUCCUCCGCAUUUUUCAACGAUCUCAUCUGCUAAAGGUUGAAAAGCAGAUGCUUUUGCAGAAUUACACACUAUCUUUCCAAACAAUUGCAAUGCUUCUUCCUUUGAUAAAACUUCAAUUGAGAAAUCCUUCUGAGAUUUCAUAUCAUUGCGCAAUAAAUCUCGACUUCUAGACGUCAAUAUUAUUGUGCGUCUUCUCCGAUCGUCCUCUCUAUCUUUCUCAUCAACAUCCCCAUAAGGAAUUCCAACUGUAUCGAACUCAAGUUUUGUCCAAAUAUUAUCCAGUAUAAUGAGGAGCCGCUUCUCUUGCUUCAACCUUUGACACAGUCGAGAAGCUCUUUGAAAUUCAUUCUCAUUCAAGUCAAAUUCCAUGCCUAAAUCAAAAGCAAGUUUGUCUUGAAUUUUAUGAUGAUCUGGGGUCUGUGUUAUCUCAGCCAUAACGAACUUAUCGAACAACUUAUCUUCCAUCACUUGGUUUGCAACUUGUUUGACCAGCGUGGUUUUGCCCACGCCGCCCAUCCCAUAGACCCCAAUUAUGUUGACUUUGUCAUCCUUCACCGCCUCCACAACAUCUUGAAAUACUUUCAUUCUUGAAUCAAACGCCUCGAAAUCUUUCACUUGCAUAUGUUCUGCCCGCUUUGGAGCAGGACGGUAGGAAACAUUGGAGAAGUUGCCUUUUCCCACGAGACUAGCGGCAGCUUCUGCCGCCUUUGCUGCUUGUUUACUAAGCUUGUAACGAGAAAUCAAGUUUGGGCAUAAUCCUUUGAAGCAGGACUUCUUAGCUCUAUCUUCAUCAUCAAUGACGGAUUUUGCAACCCCUUCACUGAUGAAUUCAUUAACGCUAUGUAGCCAGUCUGUGACACCCUCAUAAAGCUCAUCCCCUUGUAGCCUAGCAUGAUUAACUGGUUGCUGCACCAUUUCUCUCUUAUAUCCCAGCUGCUUCACUUGAACUUUUAGCUCAUCUAUGUAGCUCUGGUACUUGAACACAUAAGAUAUCUGCCGUGUAAUCGGGUUGAACAGUGACUUUGCACCUUCUGAUACACAGUUGGUUAAAAAAGCGAGACACGCUUCUAUAGCCAUUGCCUGUUGCUUAACAAUAUAUAUCUAGUUUUUUGGCUGUUGAAAAAAAAAAAUGGAUUCAAAUAAAUUAAAUGAACUAGCGGGGAAGAAAAAGAAAGAAACGACAACAAACAACUUUUUAGAAAAAGGUUUCAGGGGCCUGAAUGGAAAACCAACAAUUUUUUGAGGAAAGAAAACUUUUUUGGAAGAUGGAUGCAAAUUAACCAUUAAUAAUACUGCAUAAGAACACAGAAGUUGACAAUAAACAGUAACUUAAAACUCAAGAAAAUUAAAUGACAAGAUUAAGACAAACAAGAGAUAGUUUUUGUCGGACAUUAAGAAACAACUGCUAUCAAGAUCAAAGAUUAGAAAUUAUGCUAUUGAAAGAAAUUAUUAAAGUAUUUAGAACAAACGCACCUCUUCAAUUAUCUAGGAUCACGGAGUUUAUGAGCUUCACUCUUGGCCUUCGAUUUAUAAGAAAAAAUUUAAUGAGCAAAAGAUCACUGUUGACUGCAGAAGAAUGUGAGUAAGCAAUACAAUUGAAUUGUAAAAGAACAAGACUUAAAGCGUGCACCCCGUGUUCAUAUAAACAGAACACAUGUUCAUUUUUAACAAAGUGAUCAAUAACUAUAUUCGUUAUUUAAUUGAUAUUGUAACCAAUUCUAAGAGAAUAUAAUAAUAAUCAUUCAAUCCAUAAAUUUAGAAUUAGAUUUUUUUAACUCUUUAUUUAAAUAUAAACCUUAAUGGAAAAUUAUAAAAGUUUAGAGAUAAAAUUUUUCAAUCACCAAACGAAAAAAACAGGGGAAUGAAAACAGAGGAAUCUUGUUUUAACUAUUUUUUUUUCCUCAACUCUUGUUCUUAUAUUAAUAAUCUUGUUUUGAUGAUAGUGCUCGUGACUGCGGGAAAAUUUGUACUGGAAACAACUCAAUUUCGGAAGAAAACUUAAUUUUGCAAGUGAUGAAUUUGAACUCGUUGGAUUGGUUGAUUUAUGAUUGACUGAAUUUCACUUUUGCCCAAAAGAUCUUUAACCAAAGUUUAAUAGCCAUCAUGUACUCCUUAAAAGCAAUUUUUUUUUUUAGAUUUGACUGAAUUUGAACUUGUUGGAUUGGUUGUUUUUAGAUUAUUAAUAUGAGAUAUUACAACGUAAAUAUUUUCAUGUGGUUGAGCCCUAUUCUAAAAUCUGUAUAGUUAGCUUUAGAAAAAGGGCUUUUCCUGCUGAUCUGUAAUCUUCAAAUAAACUUAGAUACAAAUAAUGAAAUAAAAGACAACAAACACGCNNNNNNNNNNNNNNNNNNNNNNNNNNNNNNNNNNNNNNNNNNNNNNNNNNNNNNNNNNNNNNNNNNNNNNNNNNNNNNNNNNNNNNNNNNNNNNNNNNNNNNNNNNNNNNNNNNNNNNNNNNNNNNNNNNNNNNNNNNNNNNNNNNNNNNNNNNNNNNNNNNNNNNNNNNNNNNNNNNNNNNNNNNNNNNNNNNNNNNNNNNNNNNNNNNNNNNNNNNNNNNNNNNNNNNNNNNNNNNNNNNNNNNNNNNNNNNNNNNNNNNNNNNNNNNNNNNNNNNNNNNNNNNNNNNNNNNNNNNNNNNNNNNNNNNNNNNNNNNNNNNNNNNNNNNNNNNNNNNNNNNNNNNNNNNNNNNNNNNNNNNNNNNNNNNNNNNNNNNNNNNNNNNNNNNNNNNNNNNNNNNNNNNNNNNNNNNNNNNNNNNNNNNNNNNNNNNNNNNNNNNNNNNNNNNNNNNNNNNNNNNNNNNNNNNNNNNNNNNNNNNNNNNNNNNNNNNNNNNNNNNNNNNNNNNNNNNNNNNNNNNNNNNNNNNNNNNNNNNNNNNNNNNNNNNNNNNNNNNNNNNNNNNNNNNNNNNNNNNNNNNNNNNNNNNNNNNNNNNNNNNNNNNNNNNNNNNNNNNNNNNNNNNNNNNNNNNNNNNNNNNNNNNNNNNNNNNNNNNNNNNNNNNNNNNNNNNNNNNNNNNNNNNNNNNNNNNNNNNNNNNNNNNNNNNNNNNNNNNNNNNNNNNNNNNNNNNNNNNNNNNNNNNNNNNNNNNNNNNNNNNNNNNNNNNNNNNNNNNNNNNNNNNNNNNNNNNNNNNNNNNNNNNNNNNNNNNNNNNNNNNNNNNNNNNNNNNNNNNNNNNNNNNNNNNNNNNNNNNNNNNNNNNNNNNNNNNNNNNNNNNNNNNNNNNNNNNNNNNNNNNNNNNNNNNNNNNNNNNNNNNNNNNNNNNNNNNNNNNNNNNNNNNNNNNNNNNNNNNNNNNNNNNNNNNNNNNNNNNNNNNNNNNNNNNNNNNNNNNNNNNNNNNNNNNNNNNNNNNNNNNNNNNNNNNNNNNNNNNNNNNNNNNNNNNNNNNNNNNNNNNNNNNNNNNNNNNNNNNNNNNNNNNNNNNNNNNNNNNNNNNNNNNNNNNNNNNNNNNNNNNNNNNNNNNNNNNNNNNNNNNNNNNNNNNNNNNNNNNNNNNNNNNNNNNNNNNNNNNNNNNNNNNNNNNNNNNNNNNNNNNNNNNNNNNNNNNNNNNNNNNNNNNNNNNNNNNNNNNNNNNNNNNNNNNNNNNNNNNNNNNNNNNNNNNNNNNNNNNNNNNNNNNNNNNNNNNNNNNNNNNNNNNNNNNNNNNNNNNNNNNNNNNNNNNNNNNNNNNNNNNNNNNNNNNNNNNNNNNNNNNNNNNNNNNNNNNNNNNNNNNNNNNNNNNNNNNNNNNNNNNNNNNNNNNNNNNNNNNNNNNNNNNNNNNNNNNNNNNNNNNNNNNNNNNNUAAACUUUUUUUUGGGGGGGGGGGGGGGGAGCAUGCAAAUUUACCAAAAGAAAUAAUAAGAGCACAGGCUUUAACAAUGAAUAGUAACUUAAAACUCAUGCAAAAUAAGUUACAAUAUGAAAACAAACCAGAGAAAAUUUUUUCUUGGAAAGUAGAUGGAACUUAAGAAAGAGCAGAUGUCAAGAUCAAGGAUCAGGGAUUCUACUAUUAAAAAAAAAAAAAAAUUAUUCAAGGAUUUAGAAAACGUGCACCUCUUUAAUUAUCUGGGAUUAGAGAGUUGGUGAGCUUCUCUAUUUGGCCUUCAAUAUUUAAGAACAAGUUGAAAGAGGAAAAAGAUCACUGGUAACUGCUGAGGAAUGUGUGAGAAAAGAGUUGAUGAGAGCAAUAACAAUGACCUGCAAAAGAAAAAGAAUUAGUCACGCACCGCUUUUCUAUAUCAUGUAUUUGGUUAUUGUUGCCCUGUUGACGCAUGUUGAAGAAGAAAGCACUAGUACACAACUCUAUGUUUUCAUAUAUUCUAAAGAAAUAAUUAAGUUUUCAUAGAAUAAUACCUGUUGUGUUUGAAUAAUUUGGUAUCUACAUUGCUUGUGUACUGUGAAAUUGAAAUGAAUAUUGAUUGACAGAGCAAUGUAUAUACCUAAUAAAACAUAAAGCAAAUCCUUGAACGAAUGAUUCGGGACUAAAACUUUUAUAAAAGCAAAUACCGGAAACACACAAAAAGCAUUUAAGAUAGAAACUAAACAGCAAAUAAUCGAAGUAAGAUCAAUAAUAUAUGAUUUGAUUUAUGCAUAUUCAAAAACCAAAAUUUAAAAUAAAAUAAAAAAUAAAGUUUGAUUUAUUCUUUCCACAAAAAACAGGGGAGUGAAAACAGAGGCAGCUUGUUUUACCAAUUUUUUCUUCUUAAUUUCCGGCAAAAAAAAAAAUUCAAUAAACAGGGGAAUGAAAACAAAGGAACGAAAACAGAGGAAACUUGCUUUUCAGGCUAUCUUGUGACAUGAUGAUAUUGCUCGUGAAUGCAUGAAAAUUUCUAAUGCAAACAGCUCAAUUUGGGAUGAUAAGCUUAAGUUUGCAAGUGAUGCAAGUAAAUAAGUUUUUGCGGUUAAUUGAAUCUUUAAUACUCUGGGCCCUAUUCUAAAAUUUGUAGGUUGCUUCAGAAGAAAGGGCGGUUCUCACUCAUCUUUAAUCUCCAAGUAAAAUUAGAUACAAAGCAAAUCUAAUAAAAUGACAAACAAACAAACAAAACAAAGAAAAGACAGGAGGCAAACAACAUUGAUCUUAAGCCAACUGAUAUUUAAACAGAGAAUUCUUUUCUUUUAUUUUUUUAACCACCUUUUGCUCAAGGAUUAGAGUUUUUAUAUUAACAGAAAGGUUUCAGGGGUCUGAAUAAAAGCCCACAAUUUCUCUAAUUGUUUUUUUUUUUUUUUUUUUGGGAAAAAUGGAUGCAAAUUAUCCAAAGCUAAUAAUAAGAACACAGACAUUACAAAUGAACAAUAACUUAAAACUCAAGCAAAAUAAAUGACAAGAUGAAAACAAACAAGAUAAAUUUUUUCUUGGAAAUUAGAUGGAAAUUAAGGACUGCUAGUAAAAGAUAUUAUUAGAUGAUUUAGAACAUGUGUACCUCUUUAAUUGUCUGGGAUCAAAGAAUUGAUGAGCUUCUCCAUUCGCAUUGAAUAUUAAGUAAGAACGGGUAUUCAAAGAAAUUAUUAGGAAAAAUUUUAAUGAGUAAAAGAUCACUGUUAACUGCAGACGAAUGUCCUAGUAAAAUGUUGAUUUGUGUAAUAACAAUGAAUUGCAAAAGAAGAAAACUUAAUCAUGCACCCCUUUUAUACCCGAGUUUUAAGAUUUAAUUUUUGAAGUUCAGAAUCAAGACCAAAAGCCGAAGCUUUAACAAGGCAUGCAGUGAGAUACAAGAAAUGGAUCGGGUAAAAUACUUUAAAAAAUGUUGUUCAACUCAAUUAACUUGAAGAAAGCACUAAUUUCAUAUGUUCUAAUGAAAUAAUCAAGUUAAAAGUUUUCAACGAAUAAAUACCUGUUGCGCUUGAAUAAUUUUGGCAUAUACAUUACUUGUAUCCUGUGAAAUUGAAAAGAAUAUUGAUAUGCAGAGCUUAUUAGUAGAGAGAAAGCUUUGUAAGAUGCCUGAUAAAAGAGAAACCAAAAGCUUGAAUGAGGAAUGACAUCUUAGAAAGAAACUAAACAUCAAAGUAGGAUCAAUAAUGACUUGAUUUAUGCUUUUUUGUUAUUUCAUUUGUUCUGUCAACAAAUGAUGCCUCGUUAUUACGAGUUCCAACCUGGACGUUAUGCACAAAUUGUUUUUAUGUUUAACAGAAAAAAAUGAAAGCAGGUCACCAUACAAAAUUGCAUGAACAAAUCUUCAAUUUAAUGAUUAUAAAAUAAAAUAAAUUUUAUUAAUAGAUUAUGGGUAUGUUAACGUUAGGGAUUUGAUCAGAUGAUCAUAUGAUUUACUAAACGCUUUAACAAGAACAAGAAAAAGAAUUAAUGGGUUAAAAAAAAUUUAAAAAUAAAAUAAGAGAGAAGUAAAGAACUUAUUUGCAAUUACCAAACUGAAAAAAUGCGAAAUGAAAACAAGGGAGCCCUGUUUUUCCUCACAUUUUUUUUCUCUCUUUUUCAAGUGGUGAGAAUGAUAGCAGAAAAUGCGAGCUCACUAUUUUCAUUUGUUGGCCUAAAAGCCUUCCUCCAAGAGAUGCAUAAAUUUUAUUUGUACAUUUGUUCCAUUUUAAGUACACAUUGUUGCAUGCAUUUUGAACUGUAUUAUCAAUCCUUUUUGUUUUCAGUUGGUUAGUUCAUAAUAACAAAUGAAUUAUAUUAUUUUGCAUGGAUCGAAAUUUAACUUUCCCUCUUUAUUUGUCCCACAACUAAAUAGUCUCAUCUUUUGUAGUAAGCUCGCAGUACGUACGGGGAACUACUGUAUGGGUGCUUUAGCCUAAAAUGAAGAUCUAUUAAAAAUUUCCCUAAUAUCAUGAUAUUAAACAUUAAAUAAUAUCAACAUUUUGACUUCCAUUUUGUUUUUUGGAUGGAGGAUGUUCCAUCUUCUAUUUUAGGUGCUUUGUAAGACUUUUAAUUGAACAAUUGAUGCAAUCAGUAACAAAGGCUUUACUUACAUAUGCAAGUAAAAUUUGCAGGUUGCUUCAGAAGAACGGGCAGUUCUCACUCAUCUUUAAUCUCCAAGUAAAAUUAGAUACAAAGCAAAUCUAAUAAAAUGACAAACAAACAAACAAAACAAAGAAAAGACAGGAGGCAAACAACAUUGAUCUUAAGCCAACUGAUAAUUAAACAGAGAAUUCUUUUUUUUUUUAACCUUUUGCUCAAGGAUUAGAGUUUUUACAUUAACAGAAAGGUUUCAGGGGUCUGAAUAAAAGCCCACAAUUUCUCUAUUUUAUUUUUAUUUUUAUUUUUUGAAAGGAGCUUCACUAUUGGCCUUGAACAUAUAAGAAUAAGCAAAAGAUCAAUGUCAACUGCAAAGGAAUGUGAGUAUGUCAAAGUCAUGGGCGGUUUGGCACCAUUAACAUAUUUCAAAAUGGCCACCCUAAUUGAAGGAAAUUAAAGGCCAAGUAGAUGCCGCCCAAGGAAAGAAACAAAAGAGAAUGAAGAAAAAGAAGAAAGAGAGAAGAAAAAGAGAUGUCGGGCCGAAGAAGGAAAAGAAAAGAAAAAUUAAUAAAAUAAUAAUAAUAAUUAAAUAUUAAACAAAUAGUAGCUAAUUUUGGCUAUAAAACCGCUAGCUCCCUUCAUUUGUAAAUCAUCUAGUUCUUCAGUUCUUUUCUUUAUUUAGAGAGCGAUUUUAAGAGUCUAGUGAUUUGAGAGUUUAGGUGUAUUGGGAUUUUGGGUAGUGAGCUAAAAUACCACAAUACUUGUAACUUCUUUUCACUAGUAAAAUACUUUCCUUCUGUUUUCACCUGUGAACGUAGGCUAAAAGCUGAACCACGUAAUUUCUUGUGUCUAUUUUUUGUACUUGUUCUUUAUUUUCUUCCAAUUUCACUUUAGCUGCGUGUUUGCUUCACUCACCAAUUUUGUAAUAGUGAAUCAGAGCUAUUAGUUGUAUUUUUUGGAGUCGGGUACUGUUCACGUAAGGGGUACUAUUCACGUAUAUGGCACUGUUCACGUAUACGGUACUAUUCACGUAAAACGAUGGGAGGAUCCAAGAAUUUUGCGGUGCAAAGCAGGGAAUAGUGGUGUGAGUAAAACAACUGUGUGGUUUUGUACAUGUCUAGGAAAGUUCUAUCACAAAGGCGAUAAGAGCUUAAGGAGUCUGGGUUUUAAGUGGGACCAUUGUGACCCCUCCAAUGUUUCCUGGGAACUUUCUUGGUGUGCAUUCUCACACAUACUCACAACUAUUCAAGGUGGUACACUUGCUUGUGUGCGGUAUUUAUCAAUAAAAUGGCGGCAAAGUAUGAAAUUGAGAAAUUUAACGGAAACAAUUUUUCAUUGUGGAAAAUGAAGAUGAAAGCUGUAUUGAGAAAAAAUAAUUGCUUAGCAGUAAUUGGAGAAAGGCUUUUGGAGAUAACUGAUGACAAGUGGAACGAGAUAGAUGGCAACACCAUUUCUGAUCUACACUUGGCACUUGCAGAUGGAGUAUUAUCUAGUGUGGCAGAGAAAAAUACAGCGAAGGAAAUAUGGGAUACUCUCACAAAAUUGUAUGAGGCUAAGUCACUACACAGCAAAAUCUUCUUAAAGAGGAAACUUUAUACUCUUCGAAUGGUGGAAUCUACAAUGGUGAUCGACCACAUCAACACCUUGAAGACUCUAUUUUCACAACUCACAACGUUGGGUCAUAAUAUAGAGGAGAAUAAACAUGUAGAGCUUGUACUUCAAAGUCUACCAAAUUCGUAUGAUCAACUCAUCAUCAACCUAACGAACAACAAUCCAGCGGAUAGUCUAGUUUUCGACGAUGUUGCAGCUUUCCUAUUAAAUGAGGAGAGCAGGCGAAAAAAUAAGAAAAACAGACAAGCAAUUUCGCAGCAAGCGGCGGUGCUAUCGGUGACGAGAGGGAGAUCAACGGAACGUGGCCCUAGUGGGAGUCAAAAUCAUAGUAAAUCAAAAUCCAGAAGUAAGAAGAAUGUUAAAUGCUACAACUGUGGCAAGAAAGGACACGUCAAGAAAGAGUAUUGGAGUAACUAGAAGAGAAAAGAGGAUAAAGAACCUGAGUCAUCAAAUGCUCAGGGGUGUGUAGCAAGUACCUCAGAUGAUAGCGAAAUUCUUUACACUGGGGCAAUAACUAUUUCAGAAGGCAGAAAACGACUAUCUAAUGUCUGGCUUAUAGACUCAGGAGCUACCUGGCACAUGACGGAGAGAAUGGUUCUAGACAUAUGAACCUAUCUCAGGAGGAUCUGUAUAUAUGUGAGAUGAUCAUGCCUUGGAGAUCGCUGGUAUUGGUACUAUCAAAAUAAAAAUAUUUGAUGGUACAAUUCGCACAAUUGGGGAGGUACGACAUGUCAAUGACCUGAAGAAAAAUCUAUUGUCUUUGGGACAAAUAGGCAGUUAUGGGUGCAAAACUCAUGUGGAGAAUGGAAUUAUGAAGAUUGUUAAAGGAGAGCUUGUAUUGAUGAAGGCAGAAAAGAUCGGUGCUAAUCUAUUCAUGCUUAAAGGAGAGUCACUACAGGAGGCUGAUGCGUGUGUCGCAUCAAAUGGAGAAGAGUUAAUGAUGAUGUGACAUCUCAAACUUGGCCACAUGUCGGAACAUUGUUUGAAGAUUCUCUCUGAGCGAAAAUUACUUCCAGGGCUUAAAUCGGUAAGUUUACCUUUUUGCGAGCAUUGUGUUACCAGUAAGCAGCAUAGAUUAAAAUUUAGUAGAUCUAUUCUAGAAGUAAAUAUAUUCUAGACUUGAUUCAUUCUGAUGUUUGGAAAUCACCGGAUAUAUCCAUGGGAGGUGCAAAGUACAUGGCGACUUUCAUUGAUAAUUAUUCCAGAAGAUGUUGUGUGUAUCUAAUUAAGAAAAAGUUAGAUGUAUUUCCAGUGUUUAAAGAAUACAAAGCGCGGGUGAAACUUGAAUCUGGUAAAAAGAUUAAGUGCUUGAGGACGGAUAAUGGUGGAGAGUAUACAGACGGCGAGUUUCUUGCUUUCUGUAAGCAAGAAGGUAUUUAGAGACAGUUCACCAUAGCAUACACUCCUCAACAAAACGGAGUGGCGGAGCGGAUGAACAGAACUCUUACAGAAAGAAUAAGAGCUAUGUUGAGGACUGCUGGUCUACCUAAUUCAUUCUGGGCAGAAGCAGCCAAAACUGCUUGUUAUAUAGUAAAUCGGUUGCCAUCUACAGCUAUUAGGCUAAAGACAACGAUGGAGAUGUGGACUGGAAAGCCAACUGAUUAUUCCUACCUACAUGCAUUUAAAUGUCCUGUGUACGUGAUGUACAAUGCCCAAGAAAGAACAAAGCUGGAUCCAAAAUCUAGAAUAUGUAUCUUCUUGAGAUAUGCUGAUGGAAUAAAGGGGUAUCGUCUGUGGGACCCCACUGCCCACAAGAUCGUUAUCAGCAGAGAUGUUAUCUUCAUAGAAGAUCAACUGCAAAGGAAAGAUGAAGAUGAUAGUAGUGUAAAAGAAAAGUCAGAGACUAUACCGGUAUAUGUGGAAAAUAAUCCAUAAGAUUCAGAUUCUUCUGAAGCAGAACCAGAGCACGAGCAACAAAAACCAGUCGAGUCUGAGGCUCCAGAAGUUCGUCGGUCAACUCGUGAGAGACGACCGCCAAUGUGGCACUCGGAGUAUGUUACAGAGAUCAACGUUGCAUACUGUCUUCUAAUAGAGGAUAGAGAGCCUUUAACUUUCCAUCAAGCUUUAGAAAGCUCAGAUGUUGCUUUGUGGAUGACAGCAAUGCAGGAAGAAAUAAAGCUCUACAUAAUAACAAGACAUGAGAACUUGUACCACUACCACGUGGAAGAAAAGCCAUUGGAAACAAAUGGGUCUACAAAAUCAAACGUGAAGGCAAUGACCAAGUAGAGCGGUGUCGUGCGAGAUUGGUGGUGAAAGGAUAUGCUCAGAAAGAAGGUAUUGACUUCAACGAGAUAUUUUCGCCGGUGGUUUGCCUCACGACGGUCAGAGUAGUCUUGGCAAUGUGUGCUACAUUUGACCUACAUUUAGAGCAGUUAGAUGUGAAAACUACAUUUCUUCAUGGAGAACUUGAAGAAGAAAUAUAUAUGCUCCAACCAGAAGGUUUUGCAGAAACAGGAAAAGAGAACUUGGUUUGCAGGUUGAACAAAUCUUUAUUCGGUCUCAAACAGGCGCUGAGGUGUUGGUAUAAGAGAUUUGAUUCCUUUAUCAUGAGCCUUGGAUACAACAGACUCAGUUCAUACCAUUGUGCAUAUUAUAAAAGGUUUGCAGAUAAUGAUUUCAUUAUUUUACUAUUGUAUGUGGAUGACAUGUUGGUAGCAGGCCCUAACAAAGAUCGAAUCCAAGAAUUGAAGGCACAGUUGGCUAGGGAGUUUGAAAUGAAGGACUUGGGACCAGCAAACAAGAUUUUAGGAAUGCAAAUUCACCGAGACAUAAAUAACAGGAAGAUUUGGCUUUAGCAGAAGAAUUACUUGAAGAAAAUCUUGUGGCGCUUCAACAUGCAAGAUUGUAAGUCAAUUUCUACCCCACUUCCUGUUAAUUUCAAAUUAUCCUCAAGUAUGUGUCCUAGCAAUGAAGCAGAGAGGAAGGAGAUGUCUCGAGUACCGUAUGCAUCAGUAGUGGGAAGUUUAAUGUUCGCUAUGAUAUGUACUAGACCAGACAUUGCACAAGUAGUGGGAGCAGUCAGUCGAUACAUGGCGAAUCCCGGUGGAGAGCAUUGGAUAGUUGUGAAGAGGAUUCUGAGAUACAUCAAAGGAACCUCAGAUGUUGCAUUAUGUUACGUAGGAUCAGAGUUUACUGUCAAGGGCUAUGUGGAUUCAGAUUUUGCAGGAGAUCUUGAUAAAAGAAAAUCCACUACUAGUUAUGUGUUUACACUUGCGGGAGCAGCUGUAAGCUGGGUUUCGAAACUGCAGACUGUUGUGGCUUUAUCUACAAUAGAAGCAUAAUACAUGGCAGCUACACAAGCUUGCGAGGAAGCUAUUUGGAUACAAAGAUUAUUGGAGGAGCUCGGGCACAAACAAGAGAAAAAUUAUGUGUUUUGUGACAGUCAGAGUGUCUUUCACAUUGCAAGAAAUCCAGCCUUUUAUUCCAAGACAAAGCAUAUAGGAGUUCAGUAUCACUUCGUUCGAGAAGUAGUGGAAGAUGGAAAUAUGGAUUUACAGAAAAUCCAUACGAAGGAGAACCUAGCAGAUGUUUUGACUAAGCCGAUAAAUGCUGACAAGUUUAUCUGGAGUAGAUCUUCUUGUGGCCUAGCAGAAACGUAGGCAACAUGAUUAUGGCGAAGCAGAAAGGAUGUUGUGGACAUUGAUUGAUUCUCAAUCUAAUCUCCAGGUGGGAGAAUGUCAAAGUCAUGGGCGGUUUAGCAUCAUUAACAUAUUUCAAAAUGGCCACCCAAAUUGAAGGAAAUUAAAGGCCAAGUAGAUGCCGCCCAAGGAAAGAAACAAAAGAAAAAGAAGAAAAAGAAGAAAGAGAGAAGAAAAAGAGAUGUCAGGUCGAAGAAGGAAAAGAAAAGAAAAAUUAAUAAAAUAAUAAUAAUAAUUAAAUAUUAAAUGAACGGUAGCUAAUUUUGGCUAUAAAACCGCUGGCUCCCUUCAUUUGUAAAUCAUCGAGUUCUUCAGUUCUUUUCUUUAUUUAAAGAGUGAUUUUAAGAGUCUAGUGAUUUGAGAGUUUGGGUGUAUUGGGAUUUUGGGUAGUAAGCUAAAAUACCACAAUACUUGUAAAUCAUUUUCACUAGUAAAAUAUUUUCCUCAUGUUUUCGCCCGUGGACGUAGGCUAAAAGUCGAACCACGUAAUUUCUUGUGUCCAUUUUUUGUGCUUGUUCUUUAUUUUUUUUCCAAUUUCACUUUAUCUGCAUGUCUGCUUCACCCACCAAGUUCCUAACAGAGUAAAGAUUUCAUCAGAGUAAGUAAUACAAAUGAAUUGUAAAAGAACAAGACUUAAGCGUGCACCCCGUGUUUUGUUUUAUUCGUAUAAACAUAACAUGUUCAUUUUUAACAAAGUGGUCAAUAACUCUAUUCGCUAUGAAAAUGAUAUUGUACCCAAUUUUAAGAGAGCAUAACAAUAACCAUUCAAUGCAUAAAUUUAGAAUUUUUUUUUUGUAAUUCUUUAUUUAAAUAUAAACGUCGAUGGAAAAUUAUAAAAAUUUAGAUAUGAAAUUUUAAGUCACCAGACAAAAAAAAAAAAAAAAAAAAGGGGAACAGAAAUAGAGGAAUCUUGCUUUACCUUUUUUUUUUUUUCCUUUAACUCUUGUUCUUAUAUAAAUAAUCUUGUUUUGAUGAUUGUAACUCGUGACUGCGGGAAAUUUUCUAAUGGAAACAACUAAUUUCGGAAGAUAAGCUUAAUUACGCAAGUGAUGAAUUUGUUCAAUUGACUCUGUACUUGAACUAGUUGGAUUGGUUGAUUGAUGAUUGACUAAAUUUGAAUUAAGUUUAAUAGCUAUGAUGUGCUCCUUAAAAGCAAACGUAAAUCUUUUUUAGAUUUGACUGAAUUUGGGAACCUGUUGGAUUGAUUGUUUUUAGAUCAUUAAUAUCGGUUACUACAACGUAAAUAUUUUAUUGUGGUUGAGUCCUAUUCUCAAAUCAGUAGGUUGCCUUAGAAAAAGGGCUUUUCUCACUGAUCUUUUUUUUUUCUUUAAUUCACACGCACUUGAUUAUUGACUUCUUUCAUGAAGAAAUAAACUUGUAAUGACUUAAAGAUUUAAUUUCAAGUUAGAAUCAAUACCAAAAGACGGAGGUUUAACAAAGCCGUUUAGUGUGAUAAAAGUACUUUAAAAAAUGUUGUUCGACCCAAUUAAGUUGAAGAAAUAACAAAGUUUUCAUGGAAUAAAUACCGGUUGUGCUUUAAUGAUUUUGGCAUAGACAUUGCUUGUGUACUGUGAAAUCGAAAUGAAUUACUGUGAAAUUGAAAUGAAUAUUAAGUGACAGCGCGAUGUAUAUGCCUAAUAAAAGAUCAGCAAAAGCUUGGAUGAAUGAUUGAGGACCAAAACUUUUAUAAAAGCAUUUUUGAGAGAAACUAAACACCAAAUUAUCAAAGUAAGAUCAACAGUAUAUGAUUUGAUUUAUACAUAUUCAAAAACAAAAUAAUGAUUAAUAAUAAAGUUUGAUUUUGUAUUGCCAACGAUGCUUUUUUGUUGUUUCAUUUGUUCGACGUGGCCUUAUUUACAAAUUGGUUUAUGUUAACAGAAACAUAAAAUUCACAUCACACAAAAUUCCACGAACAAAUAUUAAGAGAACGUAAUAAUAAUCACUCAAUGCAUAAGGGUAAAUUUAGAAUUACAUAUUCUUUUUUAUUUAAUAAAAUCCCAACGGGAAGUCAUAAAAAUUUAGAUAUAAAAUUUUCAAUCACCAAACAAAAAAACAGGGGGAAUGAAAACACAGAAAACUUAUUUUAACUUUUUUUUCAUCUAACUCUUGUUCUUAUAUAAUAUUUUCCCUAGUAUUUCAGGCAAAAAAAAAAAAUCAAUAGAGAGCAAGUUGCUCAAAUUGAUUUAUCUUGUUUUUCAGGCAAUCUUGUGAUAUGAUGAUAAAGCUCAUGAAUGCUAGAAAACUUCUAAUGCAAACAACUCUAUUUGGGAUGAUAAGCUUAAUUUUACAAGCGAUAAAUAUAAAUAACUUUUUGUGGUUAAUUGAAUUUGUAAUUACUCUUAGCCCUAUUCUAAAAUUUGUAGGCUGCUUCAGAAAAGAAAAAAAAAAAUUCUUACUCAUCUUUAAUCUUCAAGUAAAAAGCAAAUCUAAUAAAAUGAAAAACAAACAAACAAGUAAAAGACAGCAAACAAACAACAUUUAACCAACUGAUAUUUAAACAAGGAAUUCUUUCUUCUUCCUUUUUCUUCCCCCCCCCCCCCCCCCCCCCGGGGCUCAUGGAUUAGAGUUUUUGCUAUUAACUGAAAGGUUUCAAGGGUCUGAAUAAAAUCCCAGACUUUUUUUUUUAAUUAACCAAAGCCAUAUAAUAAGAUCACAGACUUUAACAAUGAACAAUAAUUUGAAACUCAAGCAAAACCAAUGACAAGAUUAAAACAAACCAGAGAAAUUUUUUCUUGGAAAGUAGAUGAAAACUAAGUAAGAACUGCUAUUAAAGGAUAUUAUUAAAGGAUUUAGAACAUGUAUACCUCUUUAUUUAUAUGGGAUCAGAGAGUCGAUGACCUCCUCUAUUCGCUUCGGAUAUUAAGUAAGAACUGCUAUCAAAAGAAUGAAUUGAUGAGAGAAAUAACAGUGAAUUGCAAAAGAGGAAGACUUAAUCACGUACCCCUAUUAUACCCGAUUUUUAAGAUUUAAUUUUGAAGUCCAGAAUCAAGACAAAAGACGAAGCCUUAAAAAAUAUGCAGUGAGAAUAAUUAAGUUGAAGAAAGCACUAGUUUAUGGCUCAGUGUUUCAUAUGCUGUAAUGAAAUAAUUAAGUUGAAGUUUUUAACGAAUAAAUACAUGUUGUGCUAGAAUAAUUUUAGAAGAAUAUUGGCUUAUAGAGCAUAUUAGUAGGGAUAAGAUAGAAUAAAUGAAAUAAUAAAAAGCAUAACUGAUCAAGUCAUUAUUGAUCUUACUUUGAUUAUUACAUUGCACAUUAGUUUCUUUCUAAAAAUGUCAUUCUUCAUUCAAGCUUUUGCUUUAUCUUUUAUCAGGCAUCCUACUGUUGAUGCCCAAAUCUGAUCUAGUCUAUUAGUGACUUAAUAUCAGACUUCUACACUAGCAUUAGAUUUAUUUGGUAGAGAAUCGAUUGGUCAAUUGUCAAGAUGUCCUGCAACCACUAGCGAUUAACCUGCGAAUACCUGAAAUCAUAGAAGACGGUCAGAGGCGCUGGAAGUUUUUCCGGCGUGAACCCUCUAACGCUCAAGUCAGUUUCUGGGCCUUUGCCAAAAAACUUGUGCCACCACUCAUAUGGCUUAAUAAACAUUAACUUAAAAACCAAAAGCUUUUUGAGUAACUUGCAGAAAAAUGAAAUAGAGUGUAAAAGAAAGGAUUUUCCAUGAGAAGAAGAGAGAAAAAGAUGCCUUACAGACCCCGAAAAAAUAAAUAAAUCCUCCUUUUAAGGUCACGCCCCACUCCCCUCUUUUCCCCUUUGUUCUCCUCCACUUACGGAAGUUAAGGAUGAGUAAAAGUAAUGCCUCUACUCUCCAUUUUUUUCUCCUUUUUCCGUUACCAAACACUAGUCCCCCAGUUUCUAGUGUUGAGAGUUUUAACGAAUCAAGACUGGAAACUAUAUGAAUUUUAAAGUGACCUUGAUGUGGUUGGCAUAAAUCGGCUCGGGAUUGCUAAAAUUAACCUUACUAUUUGCAAAAAAUUUCAAGUUUUAAACUUUUACAUGCCUUUAAAUAUACCAUUUUCCUACUUGCAUAAUCAUGUAAAGCAGGUUUCAUAAGUUCACGUAUUUAUCUCACCUAAAGUAGGUUUUGAGACUUAGUCAUUUAUCUGCUUUAGAAUAUUUUUCACUCAUAUAACUCUUGCUCGCCUAAUCUUGGUCGGGCAAGAGCAGGCAAACUUUGACUUCAUCUCACUGCGAGGAGGUUUAAAGACUGUAAGCCUUUUACUUGAAGUACCCUUUGUUUUUUUUUUUUUUAACUUUCUGCUCGCCUUCACAUGGUUGAGCAGAUUCUGGCAAGCUUGAUUUCUUAUCUCGCCAUCGAGCAGACUUUGAGACUUUAAAGUCUUUUGUGUGCCUUAGAAACUUUCUUGGGAUUUUUGUUCUCUGCUCGCCUUUACAUGGUCGAGCAGAUUCUGGCGAGCUUGGCUUCCUGUCUCGCCAUCAAGGAGGCUUUGCGACUUUGGAGCCUUUGCUUGCCUUAGAAACUUUUUUGGAACUUUUGUGGUCUGCUCGCCUUCGCUUAGUCGAGCAGAUCCUGGCAUGCUUGGCUUCCUGUCUUGCCAUAAAAUAGGCUUUGAGACUUUGGAGCCUUUGCUUGCCUUAGAAACUUUUUUGGAAUUCUCAUUUUUUGCUCGCCUUCACAUGGUCGAGCAGAUUCUGGCGAGCUUGGCUUCCUGUCUCGCCAUUGAGGAGGCUUUGAGACUUUGAAGCCUUUGCUUGCCUUAGAAACUUUUUUGGAACUUUUGUGGUCUGCUCGCCUUCGCUUGGUCGAGCAGAUCCUGGCAUGCUUGGCUUCCUGUCUCGCCAUAAAAUAGGCUUUGAGGCUUUGGAGCCUUUGCUUGCCUUAGAAACUUUUUUGGAACUUUUGUGGUCUGCUCGCCUUCGCUUGGUCGAGCAGAUCCUGGUAUGCUUGGCUUCCUGUCUCACCAUAAAACAGGCUUUGAGACUUUGGAGCCUUUGCGUGCCUUAGAAGAUUUUUGAAACUUUUUUGGUCUGCUCGCUUUCGCUUGGUCGAGCAGAUCCUGGCAUGCUUGGCUUCCUGUCUCACCAUAAAACAGGCUUUGAGACUUUGGAGCCUUUGCGUGCCUUAGAAGAUUUUUGAAACUUUUUUGGUCUGCUCGCCUUCGCUUGGUUGAGCAGAUCCUGGCAUGCUUGGCUUCCUGUCUCGCCAUAAAACAGGCUUUGAGACUUUGGAGCCUUUGCGUGCCUUAGAAGAUUUUUGAAACUUUUUUGGUCUGCUCGCCUUCGCUUGGUCGAGCAGAUCCUGGCAUGCUUGCUUCCUGUCUCGCCAUAAAACAGGCUUUGAGACUUUGGAGCCUUUGCGUGCCUUAGAAGAUUUUUGAAACUUUUUUGGUCUGCUCGCCUUCGCUUGGUCGAGCAGAUCCUGGCAUGCUUGCUUCCUGUCUCGCCAUAAAACAGGCUUUGAGACUUUGGAGCCUUUGCGUGCCUUAGAAGAUUUUUGAAACUUUUUUGGUCUGCUCGCCUUCGCUUGGUCGAGUAAAUGUGGCUUCCUGUCUCGCCAUAAAACAAGCUUUGAGACUUUAGAGCCUUUGCGUGAUGAUGGGUGUCGAAGCCAACAAAAAUAAAUUCCUACUCUAAAUAAAUUGUGUAUAGUGAUUGAGCAGGGUCGUGUCCACAGAGAUCGGUAAUUAUUUAAAUCCUUUUGAAACGUAAAAAUAAAAUGGGGGUUUUGUUGACAAUAAUAAAAAUCAAAUUAAAAUAACGAGAAUGCAAAUUAAAGUUGUAAUUCAAAUUGGAGAAAGCUCUGGUUGAAGGAAUUAACUCAGCUUGAUUCGACUACUGAUCAUUGAUUCAAAUAAAGAUUAUUAUUACUUAUGAAUAGACCGGUUAUAGCUAUUGAGACCCUCUAAUAGCCAAUCUCUCCUUAACUAGUCGAUAACCAAGGUACGACCGUUGGAUAUUUCCCUAAUCAAAUAGACAACCCUAGAUACGAUCAUAAGAUUUAAUCAAUUGACAGCCUGAAAAACCAGAGAGACCCAAAUCCUAAUCAACACAUAUGAUGAUUCAUUUAAAUUAGAUUGUUUAUUCUCACAACACAACUCUCUGCUAUGUUAUUUGUCACAAAUAUUAAAUUCUUCAUACGAUGAAUCCUUUAAUUGACAAUAGAUUAAGUUGAUAAUUAAAUAGUGGCCAAUUACCUAAUUAACAAACAUAAUCAUGAAACUAAUUCAGAGAAUAAACAAAUACCCAAAGAGCAAUAAAACAAUUAAAGCACAAGAAAGAUCUCACAGUAGUGAUGAAUCAAAGCUUCAUUAUCCUUCAACCAGAAAAUAAGUUUAGUUCUCCAUAGAGAGAAGAGAAAAAUUAGCUCUAGGGUUUCUUUCUUUUUCUCCAAUCCCAAAAAAUCCCCCUUUUCACAAUAGAUUCCUCCCUUAAAUACUCUCUCUCUCUUCUCUUUUAGAGUUCUAUUUAAAAUAAAAUACUAAUAUUUGAAAUAUUAAAUUCGUAAUAAAAAAAUAGCCAAAAAUACAAAACACGUUAAACUAAAAACUGCAAGUCCGCAGUUGACAGCACGCGCCCACGCCUUAUCAACAAAGUUCUUCUGCCGCUCAUAAUUUCUCCAAGAAAACAAUCAUCCUUAAACAUCAUCUUAUAGCUCAAUUUUAUCACCAAUCAAUAGAAUUGCACCUACAAAAGUAAAACACAAGUAAAUCACUAUUAUUAAAUGCAAAACAUCGAUAUUAAGGGAAGUAAACAAUGCAAAACUAGUGCAUAAAUUGCACUCUAACACGUGCCUUCAAUGUGCUCUUAUUUGAGGUUUUUGCUUUAAAUCCUUACAUAUGGAUAACCAUCAAAAAUUUAAUUUCGGACUUGUAACUUAUAACUUGUCCAGAAAAUAGCUCUCAUUUACAACUUGCGCUUUAGCUAUUUAUAUAUGUUUGGGCCUUUGAUGGAUAAACAUCCUUGGUGUUUUUAUUACCAUCUAUAAUAUUUGGUUAGCAAUAUUAUUAAAGACCUUUGCUAAAGGUGCAGAGCACCAUUUACCAACACUAAAGAUAUUAAAAUUUAUAUAUAAAAUAAAUCAUAUUAUAUAAAAUAUGUAAUCAACAAAUAAAUGGUACCAUAAAAGUUUAAGCAAAGUCAUAUCACUGUAUCAAGGAAAUACGAUCUCAUGCUAACCCAAGUUCCAUCAAUCCUUCGGUCAAGCAUGUUGUGUGCUAAUAUAUGACUAUGCUAUAUAUUCUAUAAUAUGUAAUCUUAACUAUUUUCUAUUAACGACUUAAUAAGUCAAAACCCCAUCCAUCAGAUUUUUGAAGUCAAGUAGUGGAUUUAAAGGAUAAAUAUAAAACUGAGGUAUUAGAACAAGUGCACCUGAGAUUGUGCUCUGCAUUAUUUCAUUAGUACUUCAUCAAACAAAUCUCGAGCUUGACUCUGCUUUGCUCCCUUCUUAGAAUUAUUCUUGCAAUAUUUUAACAUGGGCACAAAACGGAUAAAAUAUGAAGGAAACAAAAAUCCAACUUCAUCAAUUCUUUGAAGCUUGAAGACAUGCCUAUCAAGCAUAUAUGUAGUGUAUGUAGUGUAAUCAGCAACAAACUCACUUUUGAACUUUCAUAUCCCUUGAGGCGAUUUAACGAAUAGCUCCUGAUUUGAAUUUUAACAAUUCGGCCUCAACUUGUAAUGAACCGAGUUUCAUACCAGAAUUGUCUAAAUACUUUCCCUGCAUAUUCUUCACAUGAAAACUAGCAGCAUGAUUGAUUGAUGGGGUGUAAAACCAGCAGGAAAUAUCUUGAAGAAACCACAGAUCCGUGGAUUUUUUAUGCUUACCACCAAAUGAAUUUAACAAUUUGUGUGAUCUUUAUUUUAAGAAAUUGAACAUUGCUAAUACCGCAAAUCGAUUGCUCUUUUGAACAGACUUUAUAUCUUGAGUUCGAUGAAAAGAGAACAAUCAAUCAAGAAAUAUAAAUACAUCAGCAAAAUAAUGAUGGUAGCAGCAUUACACAUCUAAUUAGCCAUAACGAAGCUGAAUAAUUAGCCAUAAUAAAUCUGAAAUGUUAACAUUAUGUCAAGCAUGUUGUUGGAAAAUACUAAAUUAAUUCAUUUGCAAGUAUAAUAGCAUGUAAUCUUGAAUUAUGAAUGAAGCCCAUUCUAACAAGCUAAUUUUGUGAAGGAACAUUAUCAACGAAUUCCAAGGGAUAAUAUUCAAUUUCAGCAAAUAUAUCAUGCACGGUAUUGAAACAUGCAUGUUAUUAAAGAAUUUCCAAGCAUCUCUCAGUUGAUAAAUCAAUCAUCAUAGCAAUUGGAAAUUGAAUUUUAAUGACAAUAUACUUAAAGCAAUAAAUAAGCCAAAACCUUUACAGGUAAGCAUUCCAUCCAGCCUUGAUUGGCUUCCGUGUUUGAGCCAGCUUAUCAAUUUGUGCAUGAUAAUAUUAUGCCUUUGGCUUGGCCGGAUGCAAAAUUGGUAGAGACAAGAAGUUGGCUUUUUGUAUCGAUUCCCCACAGACGGUGCCAAAUGUUGAUGCCCAAAUCUGAUCUAGUCUAUUAGCGACUUAAUAUCAAACUUCUACACCAGCAUUAGAUUUAUUUGGUAGAGAAUCGAUUGGUCAAUCGUCAAGAUGUCCUGCAACCACUAGCGAUUAACUUGCGAAUAUUUAAAAUCAUAGAAGACGGUCAGAGGCGCCGAAAGUUUUUCCGGCGUGAACCCUCCGACGCUCAAGUCAGUUUCUGGGCCUUUGCCAAAAAACUUGUGCUACCACUCAUAUGGCUUAAUAAACAUUACCUUAAAAACCAAAAGUUUUUUGAGUAAUUUGCAGAAAAAUGAAAUAGAGUGUAAAAGAAAGGAUUUUCCAUGAGAGGAAGAGAGAAAAAGAUGCCCUGCAGACCCCGAAAAAAUAAAUAAAUCCUCCUUUUAAGGUCAUGCCCCACUCCCCUCUUUUCCCCUUUGUUCUCCUCCACUUAUUGAAGUUAAGGAUGAGAUAAAAGUAAUGCCUCCACUGUCCAUUUUUUUUCUCCUUUUUCCGUUACCAAACACCUACAAAUCUUAUCCCUACUAAUAUCCUCUAUAAGCCAAUAUUCUUCUAAAAUUAUUAAAUGCCAUUCUUCAUUCAAGCUUUCAUGGACAUUAUUUACAAAUUGUUCUUGUAUUUGACAGAAAAAUGAAAACGCCUCGUCAUACAAAACUGGAUGAACAAAUCUUCUGUUUAAUUGUGAUAAAAUAAUAAAUUCCAUUAACAGAUUCAGCUGUAUGUUAAUGUGAGGGAUUUGAUCAGAUGAUCAUAUAAUUUACUACACGCUUUAAGAAGAACAAGAAUUGAUGACUUAAAAAUUAAAAAAUAAACAAAUAAAGAGUAGAUACAAAGAAUGUUAUUUGCAAUCACCAAACUGAAGAACAUGGGAAUGAUAACAGAGGACGGUUGAUGCAACAUUAUGAAGUCAAAAUUAAGAAAGGCCUUUUUUCCUUUUUUUUUUUUACAUUAUUCUAUUUAAUCUUACAUAAGGCGCACACUACGAAUAUAAAUUAAAUUCAUAAUUAAGAAUAAACGAUAAACCCUAACAAUCAUCUAGCAAGUACCGUGUAGACUGCAUCAAAAAUUUAGAUUUAAAUUUUUACAAUCACCAAAUGGAAAAACAGGGGACUGAAAACAAAGGAGCCCUGUUUCCAGAAACCGGGGAGUUUCCGGGUUUCUGGAAACAAACUCAGAAACGAAUGAACUGGCUGCCGGCGGUACUUUCUAGAUAAAUCGCUUGGUGUAUAUAAGCUUUCAUGGUCUGGUUUUAGUCUGGUUAGGUUCAGCCACUGUGACUGUUAGGGAUUCUCGUAAACUGAAUUUAAAGUUGCGGCUUAAAGUGUUUACCAACUUAAAACCAGAGCUAUAAAGUGUUUGAUGAAUUAUUUUUUAAUUUAAAAAAAAAAAACUGAUUUAGCGGGAUAAAAUAAUGCUCCAUUCCGUUUAGUAUGUGAAGUCCAGAGUAUUACCUACUACUAACUAAAUCCGCUUGAUUCACAAGACUACCAAGAGAUAACUGAAUCUUCAAUGUAAUAAAAUAAUAAUCAGCCUCACAGGAUACAUAAAAAGCUCAUUUAUCACAAUCAUAUCCUAGUGCAUCAUAAAUUUAGAUUAUUUACUUUUACUAUUAGGAAACCUACUUAUAUAAGGCGCAAACCACAAAUUCUAAAUUAAAUACCUAACUAGGAAUAAAAGAUAAACCCUAACAGUCAUACACCAGGUGCCGUGUAGCCUGCAUCAUAAAUUCUGAUUUAAAUAUUUGCAAUCACCGAACAGAAAAACAGGGGAACGAAAACAGAGGAGCCCUAUUUUUCCAUUUUUUUAACCCUUAACUCUUGCUCUUCUAAUUAUAUUUUUCCUUGGAAUUUCAAGUAUGAGAUGAAUUUGGAGAAAGUAAAUAAAUUUGAAUUACGUGAAAAAUUCUAAUUUUUUUAACCCUUAACAGUUGGUAUAUUUUUUUUAGGUCAUAUAUUAAUAAUUUCUUUUAAAAAAAAUUUAUAAUAUCAAUUAAUAUUAUAACCUACAGAUUAAUACAGAUAAAAAUAUGAUUGAUUUAUCUCCACCACCUAAGUCUUAGCCAAAUUUAAUUAAAGAUUAAUUUAAUAAAUUACCGAAAAUAAUAAAGUAAACGAAAAAUAAAGCACGCAAUUAAGUAAUCAUGCUUCUAAAGGGCUAAUUAACCAUAAUAGGCAUAGGUAUUAAUUUGACUUCUAUGAAAGUCCCUUCUAGUUUCUCAAAAUUCAAAAAUUACAAUAAAAAGCCAAAGAAAAAGUCAAUGCUUCUAAAGUAGAAAAGUUUGAGUACUAGAUAGGCUGCCCAAAAUACAUUUUCAUUACUCACAUAUCUCUAUAGAAAGUAAUUUUUUUAAUAAAAACAACCUAUUUGGCUAAUAUUCAGUCGUCUUUUUUGUUGAUGGAAUUAUCCUCUUAACAAUAUUUUAAAAAGUUUACAUGAAUAUUCCUUUUUUUUUAAAAAAAAGAAUUAAUAACGUGUAUUGUUAGGAUAAAAAUGAUCAUCAAUACGUAUGUAUAUAGGCACAAAUAUAUGAAAAAAAAUCAAGUUUAAGUACAAUGUAUAGGUCAAUGCCUAAGAGUCAAGCCUAAAUUAGGGCAACAUAUAACUACAAAAUACAAUUUCGUACACUACAAAAUUUUGAUAUCAGCAGUAGGGGUAUAAAAAAAUCAUUGUUGCCAAAAAUCCAAAAGCUAACUAGAGGUUUGGUUUUGUUUCAAAAAUUAAAAAAACAAGUCAAUUCGUAAAAUCAAAAACAGAAAAAGAAAAACAAAAUAUAGAGGAAUUUACAGUUUAAAAAGAAAAACCAAGCCAAAACGAAAUUGAAUCGAAAGUCGAACCAACUCAGUUCAGUUUGAUUUGAAUUUUAUUUUAUAAAAAAAAAUGAUCGGAACCAACUAAACUGUAUUAUGUUAUAAAUUAUUAUAUAACAUAAAUUUUUGAAUACCUUUGUGACGAGCACAAUUUAAAAUUUUAUGAUUUUAAAUUUUAACAUUAAUGGAGAGUUAAUACUCCACCAUUUUCCAAUUUUUACAAUACAUAUUACUAGUUUAGAUAUGCUGUAUAUUAUUGUUAUAAUUUUUCGAGCAAGAUAAUAUUUGUCAAUUGGUGUUAUGACAUCAAAAUACUUGGUAUUAGUUAGUGCUAAGUGCUUCUUUUUCUUAAAAAAAGCGGUUCCUUAGUUUUAAAACAAAAAUCAUUAUCCUGAAAUUCUCCAUUUGCUUUGUUAACAGAUAUAACAAAAUAAAGUGAUAAAAGUUUAAUUUAUAAAACUUCGGCAUUUAUAUCUAUCAGAUUCAACACUUUAGUGUCAUAGAUUUAUUUCGGUGGAGCACGAUGUGGGUCGGGCCAGGCUUAGAAUUUUAAGCACGAGAGCCUUAAAAAUAUGAUAUGAUUAGAGAUGGACUGAGCACAGCACGAUGAAAAUGCCCACAAUAAGCACAUUAUAUUUUUUUUUUAUUGAAAAUAAACUUAAAAUUUUAUGUUUUAUAAAUAACUUGAAGUUGAAUUUUUUAAAUUCAUUUAAUUCUUAGUUUAAAAAAAUAUUAUAAUUAAUUUAUAUUCAUAAUUUAUUAAAUAAAUAAUUGAUAUCAUGAUUUUAAUGAAUAAAAUUAUAAAUAUCACGAUUUUAUAAAUAUGCAUUAAUAUUAUUGUGAACUAUGAUCUAUGACUCUAUGUAACUCUAAGUUAACAAUUAAGUUAGCCCUUAAGAAAAUAUUAUUAUUAUUGUUGUUGUUGUUGUUGUUGUUGUUGUUGUUGUUGAGUAUUAAAAAAAUUAUAAUACUAAGAGAUCAAACUUAGUAAUUAAUAUUAAAUUUUCUUACUAUUAUUAGUUUAUUAUUAUUGAAUAUAAACUUGAGUUUUGAUUUUUUGAUUCUAUUAAAUUUGAAUAAAAGUAUAGACCUAAGAAAAAUAUAUAGACUUGAAAAAAAUAUGCCAACAGUUUAGUAUGCCCCUUAAAAAAUUUAAAAAAAAAAAGAAAAAAACUUAGUGAGCUUUUUUUCUUAGGCAUGGCACGGCAUGUAUCGGCAUGUGUGCUAGGCCGAACCUAAACAAAAAAAUAAAUAAAUAAAUCUUGACACGACACAACACAAGCAUAAGCACGCAUGGGCCUUACUUACCGCCCGACCCAUUGAGCAUCUCUAACUGUAUCUAUCUCCGCCAUAAUAAAUUAAACAUCGGGUAACUACUAGACUAGGCAUUAGCACAUAAACUAACUAACUAUAGUACCAAAAAGAAUGAUGCGACAUUGUAAAAGAGAUGGGGCAAAGGGCAGAAUGGGAAACGAAUGAACCAAAUAAUAGUAUAUAAUAAUAUGAAUUUGGUAAAAAUAAAAAAUAAAUAAAGUAAAGUGGUGACACGUACCUCCUUUUAUUUCUCGAUCGAGUAGUGCAGAAAGUGGAGUGUGUGUGUGUGUGUUAAUUGUGAAAUGUCAGCCAAUUUUUUCUCUCUCAUUCUGAAACAGCUCAGCAGGAAUGGUGUACACUAGAGACGUCUGUCUGUCAGUCAGAACUGCCAAAAGAGCAAAACGGGUGCACGUACAAAUUAAAGCAGCCAAUCAGCGAUAUAUUUCAGUUACUUAAAGCUAGCACAGAGGGAACAAGCAAUGUGCAGGGCCAAAAGAGAUGAGACCCCUGAACCCGAACCCUCCUGAAUGAUCUGAUCACAUCUGAUUCGAUGUCUCGAGUCAUUAGAUUUAACAUAUUUUAAAAAUAUUUCUCAGUUAAUAUGUGAUUUAAUUAAAGGUCAAGUUUACAUCUGAAACUGAACUUAUUAAAAAUUAAUUUGAAAUAACAUCUAAGCUAUCUAUUUGUUUAUAAUAAAAUUUAAUUGUCAUAUCAGAAUUAUUUUCCGUUAGACUUUACAAUAAGUUAAUCCCAAAUAAAUUGACAAUUUCAAUUUUAAAGUUAGUUUGUAACUUUAAAAUAAUUUUCUAAUAAAAAUUUAAUCUGAAACAUCUGCAAUAAUAUCAAGUAUUUUGAUGUCAUAACACCAAUGUUUCACAUGCACACACAAGUCAUAUAUAAGUUAAUAAAAACAUCAUUUGUUAUUAACAAAAUCAUGUUAAUUUUUAAUUCUUAAAUUAACUCCCUGUUAAAUUUUGGCUAAAUCAUUAUUGCAAUUUAUAAAUUAAUAUUUAUAAAAAAUUAUGAAUCAUCCAAAAAGCUGCUUGAUAUAGAUUAAUUUCAUGGUCAUCAAUUUUUUUUUUAUUUAUACACCUUUAAAUUAUCACUUGUAUCAUAUGAAAAGACUAUAUUACCCCUCUAACAUCAUCAUAUUUAAACGGCAACUAAGCUAUGGUGAACGACAUUAUAUUUUGUCAACUUAAGAUGAAUGACUGAUAUACGCUAAAAGUAUUGUAGUAAAUUUGAUAAUAAAGUAUACAAUUGAUAAUUUUCCUAUUUAUAAUUUAUCCCCUUAAUUAUGAGUAAUUUUGUUUUUGUCUUCAUUUGUCCCUUUCCUACAAAACCAUUACUAAUGUACAAGUUACAUAUAUAAAACAUUCUUCUUUAAUCAAGUUUGGAAUAUUUUCAUCCUUAUGUAAAAUUAUGCAUAUAUCUUUUGAGUUUCUCAAUUGUACUUGAAAAAAAAAAUUACAUUUAAUCACGGUUGGUUAUCCAUAAAAAAUUUUAGGUGGAAAGUUCACGCGUUUUAAAAUUUAAUUGUGGAAUUAUAUUACAUUUAUUAUUUAGUUUCAAUUUAAUCAUGUAUCAAAUUCAUGUUUUAAAACAUGUGGAAAUUUAUAAUAUAUAAUGAUUCUAUGUAAAUAUAUUAUCUCAUUUCUUCAUUCUUUUGUUAUUAGUUCUCCUCCACUGCAUUAGAUAUAUUUUGAAGUUUUCUAAUGUAAAUGUUACUAACAAAUACGCAUUGAAUAAUUAUCGGGUAGUUUAUAUUAUAAUUUAAUAAUAGCCACAACAUAAAUGUACAAUUUGGUGAUAGUAAAUGACAUUACAUGAAAAUGAAAUCAUCAUGUUGCAAACAAGAUGCAACCAAGGGAUUGCAAACAAUGUUAAGUUACUAUUGGGUCACUUGAACUCCUGGGCUCUCUCCUGUGUAAUUUAUAUUAGACUGUCGCGUACAAAACGCAGACAUAUAUAUACAUACAAGUAGUGCUUUGGCAACAGACACAAUAACCAAGAAGCAGCCCUUGUUUUCAAAUUCAUUCAAAUGCCAGCCUGCAGUUUUGAAUCCUUCAAAUGCCAGCCUGCAGUUUUGAAUCCUUCAAAUUGUGCUCCACCUUUUGAGGGGACGAUGAAGAGUGAAAGAAGAGACAAAUGGCAGAAUAUCAUCCAUUGCAAUGCCUCGUUUCUUAUAUUUCCAUGCCCGAACAGCAAAUUCCACCAAUCUUUUUGCUGCCUUUUCCCUAUCCACUACUGAAGAAACAAUCUCCACCGCCUCUUGGUUCGAAAUCACAUCCCAAACCUGAAGAACAAUCCAUAAUUGAUCUUUCAAACAUUGACAUUAGUUCAGAUCAAAAGAUAAUUCCAAUAUGUGGAUACGUACCCCGUCCGAUGCCAGAAUGACAAAUUGGUCUCGUGUUGUUAUGUUUCUUUGCGUUACAUGGAGCACGGAGAUUAGGCCAUAGUCCUUGACACAGUAAUCACCCAAGGCUCUUGAUAUGGCUAGUCCCGGAGUCUCACCAUUCGGCAUCCAGACUCUGUAUACGCCCGGCUCAUCAUUUAAGCAAAACACAAGCCCUUUGGACUGCGUUAUUCGCUCCGCUUCCUCUGUAUAGGCCAGUGAAGACAAGAACCCGUACGCAGACCUUAAAACACACCCAUAUAUACACCUACACGAGGCAGAAAUAUUUAAGAGAAGAUGAGAUAAUUGAGAUCUGAUUGGUAAAAUAUUGUUAAUUAGUAAAAAAUAAUUAAUAUACUUGCUAUUUAAGUAUUUUACUAAUAUUUUAAACAUCGGUAUUCAAUGAUGUUAAUAUGUGAUUUUAAUAUUAAAUUUAUGUUCUCAUUUAUAACAGUAUGGUCAUCAGUAUUCACAACACAUCAUAUAUUAAUGUAUGGGUUUAUUAAUAUUAACAAACAUUUAUUUCCAAAUAAAUAUGGUAGCCUUAGUAUUUAAGAAUAUUCUUUAUUGUCUAGUCGUCUGUCCAAGGAAGAACGGGCCAUCAUCAAAUUUAUCAAGGGCCUUCUCUAAGUAAUCAAAAGCAGGACCUGUGACAAAUUAAAACUUUUUCCGUGAGUUCAGCACAUAUAUAUACAUAUUCAAAAUGCAUUCUAUUAUAAACAAGUAAGCAAGUUUCAAAUCCUACCAGCUUGUUUUGCUGGGUCUCCUUUGAAUGAAGUAUACACAUCGUUGGUGAAGGUAUCGAUGUGGGAAAACAGUUCAUCAGCAAACUUUCGUUUCUCAGGAUCCUACAAUAUUUUCACAACAUUACUUUACUCAAAGUUGAGAGAGAGAGAGAGAGAGAGAGAAGCUUUUAUUAAAAGCAACAAUGUAAUCAGCAAAAUCUUACAUCAGGUAAAAGUGAAGGCCCUUCAAAAUUGCUGUCAACAUAUUUAAUCAAAUCAAGAGAUUCUCCAAUAACUUUGCCAUUGUGCUCCAGUGCUGGAACCUGUAAAGAAGAACUCUAAUAGGUAAAUAUACUUCAUAACUCCAGCAAUGAUCUCUAAUCUUGCACGAAAAUGUAACAAUCAGUUUAACUCUUUCGUUGUGUUUUCUUGCAAGCAAGCAACUUGCUCAAAUCAGAAUAUGUUAAGAUUUUACUAGGCACACAAAGCACAAAGACACCAUUCCAAUUUUAUUCAGGAACUCCUCCGCACAGAUUACAAGCAUUUCAAUUUCAAAGAUGGGGCAUAAGUGUUGGAGAAUUAACAAAUAAAACACACAAAAAACACACUAUUUUAUUUCUUCAACAACACUCCUCACCAAUUACAACUCUUAUCUUUCACUCUCUACACCUUAGAGAUUUUGCUACUUCACUUGAUGAUUAAACCAAAGGGGAGAGGGGGUAUUUAUACAUGAAACAAACUAAUCACAACCAUUCAUUUAUUCAACUAAUACACAAAUCCUCACCAUCCAUUAAAACCUACCACUCACCUACUUCACCAACCACACCUAACACACCUAACACAAAUAAUUCAAACCUCACCAACCAUACCUACUCAUGGAACCUUCCAUGAGUUGGGCUUGAUUUGGAUCAAGUUUAUGAUCCAACACCUCCCCUUAAACUUGAUCCUGUGACACCAAGCAAACUUCUGAAUCUUAUAAAGUCUUCUUGCUUGAGUGGCUUAGUGAAGAUAUCAGCUGUUUGAUCAUGUGAUUUUACAUACUUGAUUUGCACUUCUUUUGUUGCAAUACACUCUCUUAUAAAAUGAUAGCGAGUGUCUAUGUGUUUACUUCGAUCAUGAAAGACUGGAUUCUUGGAUAGGGCAAUUGCUGAUUUGUUAUCAACACAAAUCUCGGUUGGCUCUUCUUGUGCCAAACUCAACUCCUUCAGCAAAUUUCUGAGCCAAAUUGCAUGACAAACACUUGAUGUGGCAGCUACAUAUUCAGCUUCACAGGUGGAUAGCGUGACAAUUGGUUGCUUCUUUGACAUCCAUGUGAAAGCAGUAUCUCCCAUGAAGAACACAAAUCCUGUGGUGCUCUUUCAAUCAUCUACAUCUCCACCCCAAUCGCUAUCGCUAUAUCCAACAAGCUUAUAGUCAUUAGAAAAUGAGUACAGCAAGCUGAAAUUAGUUGUACCUUUGAUGUAGCGAAGGAUUCUUUUUGCAGCUUUAAAAUGGGUGGUCUUUGGAUUCUCCAUGUAUCGGCUCACAAGUCCAACAGCAUAAAGGAUAUCUGGUCUUGUGCAUGUCAAAUAACGUAGGCUUCCAACCAAACUUUUAAAGAAUGUUGGAUCUAUAUCUUCGCCUUCAUCAAGUUUGGAUAACUUGACUCCGCAUUCCACUGGCGUGCUUAUAGGCUUGCAAUAAUUCAUCUUGAUCCUUUUGAGAAUCUCCUUUGCAUAGCUUUCUUGGGAGAUAAAUAUGUCUUCUUCCUUUUGCUUGACUUCAAUGCCGAGGUAAUAUGCCAUCAGUCCGAUGUCAGUCAUCUCGAACUCUUUGAUCAUCACUCUCUUGAACUCUUCAAACAAGCUUGGAUUACUUCCAGUAAAGAUGAGAUCAUCCACACACAGGCACACAAUCAAAAUAUCUCCAUCUUUUUCUUUGACGUAGAGAGCAUGUUCAUAUGGGCAUUUAGUGAAGCCUUUCUCUUGAAAAUACUUGUCAAUUCUGCUAUUCCAUGCCCUUGGUGCUUGCUUUAACCCGUAGAGAGCUUUCUUCAAUCUCAAAACUUUGUCUUCAUGUCCUUUCACCACAUAGCCUAUUGGUUGUUCGAUGUAAACUUCUUCUUCAAGGAAUCCAUUCAAGAAAGCAGACUUCACAUCCAUUUGAAAAAUCUUCCAUUUGUUCUGAGCAGCCAAAGAAAUAAUAAGUCUAAUAGUUUCAAGUCGAGCUACAGGAGCAAAUACCUCGUCAUAGUCUAUGCCAGCCUUUUGACUAUAGCCUUUUGCAACUAGCCUUGCCUUGUGCUUUUCAAUUUCUCCCUUCGCAUUUCUUUUUGUUUUAUACACCCAUUUGACACCGAUCGCCUUGUGACCUUUUGGAAGAGUAGUAAGCUCCCAAGUAUCAUUCUUCACAAUGGCUUUGAUUUCUUCAUCCAUUGCAGUUCUCCACUUCUCAUCUAGUAUAGCUUCUUAGAAGUUGACUGGCUCACAAUCAGCAAAGAGGCAAAAGAGAGUGAGAUUAUCAUGUCUCUCAGUUACCUCAUAGAGAUCUUGAAGACUCCUUGUACGUUCUUCGAUUCUUUCAUUUAAGAAAGACGGCGGUGAAUCUCUGCAUGUGGUUGGUGCUGGUGAGAUAGGUGGAGUAGCAAGCUAUUGUUGUUCGUCUACUUGUUUUAUCUGUGUAUGAUCAUUUUCUUCAAUGGGAAAGAAGUUGAAGUCAUCCACACCAGAGCCAAAAUCCCAUUCUCCUUCUUCAUCAAAAAUUACAUCUCGACUGAUCACGAUCUUCCCGUUGUUUGGAUUGUAAAGCUUGUAUCCUUUGGAGUUGUUGUCGUAGCUGAUGAAGAUGAACUUCUCACUUUUGUCAUCCAGCUUGGCUCUACUUUCGUCUGGUACAUAUACAUGGGCAAUGCUUCCGAAAACUCUUAGAUGGGUGAUGCCGGGUUUUCUUCCACUCCAAGCUUCUUGUGGCGUCUUGCCCCACACGCUUCUUGUUGGAGAUCGAUUGGAUAAGUAGACUGCACAUGCAACUGCUUCAGCCCAAAAUUCUUUAGGUAGCCUCUUACUCUUAAGCAUGCUUCUUGCCAUGUCGAGGAUGGUUCUGUUCUUCCUUUCUGCAACACCAUUUUGUUGGGGGGAUCUUGGAACUGUCAAAGGGCGUCGAAUUCCAUUUGCUUCACAAAACUCUAAAAAUUCUUUGGAAGUGAACUCACCACCUCGAUCAGAUCUCAUGGCUUUAAUCUGGUAUCCACUUUCUUUUUCCACUGCAGCUUUAAACUUCUUGAAAGCUUCAAAGACUUCUGAUUUUUGCUUCAAAAAAUACACCCAAGUUUUUCUUGAAAAAUCAUCUAUGAAGAGAAGGAAGUAGUUACUUUUACCAAGGGAGUUUGGCUUGAAUGGACCGCACACAUCAGUAUGAAUAAGCUCGAGUGGCUUCUGAGCUCUUGAGUUUGACUCCUUUGGAAAGCUCUUUCUGAACUGCUUGCCAAGUAAACAUCCUUCACAAAGUUGAUCAGGGUGAUUGAUGUAUGGUAAGCCUUUCACCAUGUUCUUCUUAGAUAGUAGCUCCAGUCCUCCAAAGUUGAGAUGCCCAUAUCGAAGAUGCCAAGUCCAGGAUUGAUCUUUGUGACAGGCUUUGAGACAUUUUGCAACAUCAUUUUGAAUAUUUAAUGGAAACAUUCUAUUCUUUGACAUUUUCACCUUUGUAAUUAGAUUUCCUUUAUCAUCUCUUAGGAAAAGACUAUAAUCUUUUAAGUGAAUAUCAUAGCCUUUUUCAAAAAGUUGACCCAAACUAAGAAUGUUGCUUUUCAUAUUGGGCACAUAGUAAACAUUCGAAAUUAUUUGGUGACUACCAUCUUUUGCACGAAAAAGAAUGUUACCUCUACCCUUCACUGGUACUUUUGAAUCAUCUCCAAAAGCAACACUGCCAUUCACAGAUUCACUUAGCUGCACGAACAUGCUUUUGUUCCCACUCAUAUGAUUGCUAGCACCUGUGUCAAGAUACCAUGUAUUUUCUUGACCCCCACUUGUGUCAUUGCGUGCUAGUAAAAGUGUGCCAUCUUCACCAUUUUUCUCUUCAGCAUAGUUCACUCUCUCCUCAAUUCUAGUGCUUGGAGCUCUGCAUUCUGAAGCAUAAUGCCCAAACUUUUGACAAUUAUAGCACUGUACUUGAGAUUUGUCAUACCCUCGAUCUUGGAUUGCCUCUGCCUCGUCCUCUGCUUGAGCUUUCUCCUUUUGGCCAUAAUUGGAGUUGUUAUUGAAAUUCCCAACCCUCGUCCAUGACCCACGACCUCUACCUCGUCCCUCGACCUCUACCUCGGACAUAGUGUCUUCUCUCGUUGUCGGAGCUUUCUUCUCUUUUCUUUGGAUUGACUUCCAUCUUGAGAAGUUGUUCUUCGAUUCCCUGCUUCUUUUUUUGUUUCUCUUCAUAGGCUUGUAACCUUCCUUAAAGUUGCUCGAUCGUCAUAUCUUCCACGAACCUUCUUUACUUGCUCCGCUCCUUUGUAAGAGGUCUCUAGUUUCUCCCAUGCUUCUUUUGAGGAGGUUGUACCAGCAAUCUUUUCAAAAGCAUCUUCAUCUAAUGAUUGAAAGAUGAGAUACUUUGCUUUAUUCUCUUUCUUCUUCAAGUCUUUUAAAUUCUCCUUCUGCGCCGCAGUUAAAGUGGCUUCAUUUUCUGGCACAAUAAAGCCUUUCUCCACGACAUCCCAUACGUCAUGUGCACCCAAUAGAGCUUUCAUUUUAAUACUCCAAUUGUCAAACUUACUUCCCUUUAAUUGUGGAACUUAAAAUGACAUCAUACCAUUGUUUGCCAUAACUCACAAAUUGAGUGAAAAUUUGGAGAUUCUGAAAGCACAGAUGGAUCCGGCACGUCGAAAAACCUUGGGAAGGACUCGAGUCAACUUUCAGUCAACGGUCAACGUCGGUCAACGGUCAACACCGGCUUGGUAGUCUUGGUUUGGUCCGGAUUGGUUCAGCUCCAGUUGGCUCGGUUCGACUCGGCUCGGUUCAGCUCGGCUCGGCUUGGUUCAGUUCGGCUCAGCUUGGUUCAACUCGGUGAGUCGACUCAGCUUCAGGACAGAAAACUUCCGAUGGCAAGUGUGGGUGCGUUCGGUCUCGGAUCGGGAUGAUUUUUGCGGCGUCACGUUCCUCUCGUCAAGAUCUUCGAUUUGAUAUGCUAUAUGACUAUAUAUAGCAUCAAACACUAGCUCUGAUACCACUUUGUUGGAGAAUUAACAAAUAAAACACACAAAAAACACACUAUUUUAUUUCUUCAACAACACUCCUCACCAAUUACAACUCUUAUCUUUCACUCUCUACACCUUAGAGAUUUUGCUACUUCACUUGAUGAUUAAACCAAAGGGGAGAGGGGGUAUUUAUACAUGAAACAAACUAAUCACAACCAUUCAUUUAUUCAACUAAUACACAAAUCCUCACCAUCCAUUAAAACCUACCACUCACCUACUUCACCAACCACACCUAACACACCUAACACAAAUAAUUCAAACCUCACCAACCAUACCUACUCAUGGAACCUUCCAUGAGUUGGGCUUGAUUUGGAUCAAGUUUAUGAUCCAACAAUAAGGACACAGAGUCACAUAAUUAGGCUAUUUGGUAUUGAGGUGCUGUAGUUUUUUUAGCUACAGCUGCCACGGACCCAAAAAAAAAAAACUGUAACUAUAAAAUAAAAGUUAAAAAUGCGUAAUAAAUAUGAAUUUUAAAUUAAGAUUUUGACAAAAAUAGUAGAAAUAUUAUAAUUUUACAAAACACUUUUAACUCUAUACCUUUUAAUCCACGGCCGCCCUACCUCAAUACCNNNNNNNNNNNNNNNNNNNNNNNNNNNNNNNNNNNNNNNNNNNNNNNNNNNNNNNNNNNNNNNNNNNNNNNNNNNNNNNNNNNNNNNNNNNNNNNNNNNNNNNNNNNNNNNNNNNNNNNNNNNNNNNNNNNNNNNNNNNNNNNNNNNNNNNNNNNNNNNNNNNNNNNNNNNNNNNNNNNNNNNNNNNNNNNNNNNNNNNNNNNNNNNNNNNNNNNNNNNNNNNNNNNNNNNNNNNNNNNNNNNNNNNNNNNNNNNNNNNNNNNNNNNNNNNNNNNNNNNNNNNNNNNNNNNNNNNNNNNNNNNNNNNNNNNNNNNNNNNNNNNNNNNNNNNNNNNNNNNNNNNNNNNNNNNNNNNNNNNNNNNNNNNNNNNNNNNNNNNNNNNNNNNNNNNNNNNNNNNNNNNNNNNNNNNNNNNNNNNNNNNNNNNNNNNNNNNNNNNNNNNNNNNNNNNNNNNNNNNNNNNNNNNNNNNNNNNNNNNNNNNNNNNNNNNNNNNNNNNNNNNNNNNNNNNNNNNNNNNNNNNNNNNNNNNNNNNNNNNNNNNNNNNNNNNNNNNNNNNNNNNNNNNNNNNNNNNNNNNNNNNNNNNNNNNNNNNNNNNNNNNNNNNNNNNNNNNNNNNNNNNNNNNNNNNNNNNNNNNNNNNNNNNNNNNNNNNNNNNNNNNNNNNNNNNNNNNNNNNNNNNNNNNNNNNNNNNNNNNNNNNNNNNNNNNNNNNNNNNNNNNNNCUGGAAAGAGCUCAAGCUAAUUAAUUGAUUUUUAUCUUUUGGAUGCACUUAAUUGUAAUUAACCGGAUCAAAUUUUGAAACCAAAAUAAUUCACGGGGCAUUCUAGCUUCUAGCUAAUUCAUCCAAAAAAAUAUAAAAUUAUAUAAAAAUAAUAAAAAUACGUGUGAUGUCAGCUUGAUGCGUACAUUCAAAGUUCCAAUUGAAAACAAAUAGAUAUUCAUUUUUCUUGUCAAAUUAUUGAAAGAGACAUCUCUUAAUUUCUUCCAUCACCAGCAACGGUUGAGUGACCUUGUCUUACAUUGUGCAGCAGCCUCCUCGAAGUUAAAAAAAAAAAAAAAAAAUAGCCCAUUAUCUUGGCUUUUGGCUGGAUCCAAAUUUUUGUUAAAUACAAAUAAAUAUAAUAUCAACUUAAAUAUUCCAAUAAACCUUCUAAUAUCUUCUUUGAACAGUUUUAUUUUUAUUUUAUGAGGAGGGAAGAGUAAACCAUUAAAACUAUAAUUCAUCAUAAAUUUAUUGUACCAAUUUUUUUUUUAAAUCCAUAAUUUUGUGAAAUAUAAAUUUUAAGAAUUGAAAAAUAUCAUUAUAGCUUUCAUAUCCAAAGUUAAUUUUGAUAUUUUUGUACAAUUACAUAAUCUUCAAAUGUGGAUAAUGUAAAAGAUGAAAAUUGUCAAAUUAUUAGAUAAUUGUUUUUACAAAAUUUUAACGAUCAGAAAAAUCUUAAUUUAUAUGUCUUAGUUUAAAGAAUUGGUAUUAUCAAAUGUUACUUAAAUGUAAAUAUAAUAUAAAUAUUUUGUGUAUUUAUAUGUUACGUUUAUGAUUUGAUCACUGUUUAUCUAAAUUUUAAUAAAAUCAGACAUAUUUAUGUAAUUUACUCAUAAAAAAAUAAUCCAUGAUUUAAUUUGCAAUGAUCAAAUUGUUGUAUUUUGUCAUAUCAAAAUACAUAUUUUUGUACAAUUACCCAUAAAGUUUAUGCUACAAUCAAGCUAUUUAUAAUAUAAGUGUGAUUUUUGAAUUUAAUAUUGAUAUUAGUAUUAAAUAUGAUAAUAGAAAAAUAUUUUAUUAGAUAUUAAUUGGGUCAUUUGUGUUAUUGUUUUUAAAAAUUAAUGACCUGCAACAUUAAUUGUCAAUAAUGGGUUUUUUUAAAACAUGCUGGUGCCCGGAUGUAAAUGCCGGUACCUCCCAAGUCAGUAGCCUUAUUAUAACAGUGUAUUCCCGUCAGCAUAUUGGCCUGCCCCUGUACCAUUACUCCAAUUGAUGCUGAAAAUAUAACAACAUCAGUGACCGCGUUGUCGUUUCCCGUGAUGUUUAUUCCGAUGCCGGAGAAAUCCUUUUCGCGAUCAUCCCCGCCGAUGUUGAUGUGUUGGCCGAUGAAGGAAUUUCUUAUAUACGUUUCGUGGCCAUCUUGGAUGGAAAUGCCAGCGGUAGUGAAAUGCGAAAUGUAACAAUUGUCCACUGUGGUUCUUAUUGAAUUUAUAAUGGCAAUGCCGCCACCCCUAAAAUUGGAGUCCAACAUAAGCUCCUUCAAAGUAAUGUAUUCGUAUAAUGACGAUGAUGAUGACGAUCUUAACUCUAUGAGAUGUCCGUUGCCCGAAAAAUCAUCCGAUGCUCGGAGGGACCCACCGUGUACCUAUGUAUACAUAUAUAGAUGUUAAAAGUAAGAAUUAAAGUAAGAAUUAAAUUUUAAAUUAAUAUGUGAUUUGGUAUGAUUCCUAGUUACAAAAUUUUGGCAUUUUGUAUUCGGUUUUGUAGUCCUUCAUAAGACUGGCAAAAAUCAUUAUCAAUUAAACAUUAUGUUGUUAUAUUUUUUUAAUGAUCUUUAUUUUAUUUGCUUUAAACAAUAUCUAUUUUUCAAAAACAAUACUUUUGACAAGCAAACCCUAAAGUGGGAUUGAAGCAGAGAUGAAAGAGAAAGCAUGCAUUUUGCACAUGUUUAUAAAAACAAGAGAGUAUAUUUAAUCUCAAUCUGUAAUUCUGUAUAAUGUAUUAUUCUUAAGUUUGAAUCAAAUUAUUCUUGAUUCCAUCUGCCAAUCCAUCUCGGGCCAUUGAAUUAUGCAUAGCUAUUAUGGUAAUGGUCUCUUUAUUCUCCUCACAAUCAAUUAAUUGUGAUGACCAUACUGUUCUCACGAUUCUCAACCGCAAAAAAUUUAAAUAUUGUAUUGUACAUUUUUAUAAACAAAUUUUAUGUCAUCUCCAUUAUUGUGGAAUUUUAAUAUCCUAAUACAAUAUUAUGAUAGUAAUUGGGUCAAUAUGGGUAUUGGGUCAUAUUAUCGUUAUAAAUAUUAAUUUAUUAUAACUGAGUGUGUAAAGUAUCUUUUUUUAUUGUUGUACCAUAUUUAACUUUUGGCUGCAAAUAUAUAUAUACUUAGCAUUAUUUAUAUCAAUAAGUUAAUAUAUAUAUCCUUUUCUUUAGCAUCAAAUUUAAGUUUUUAAAAAGUUAUGAUAAUUCACUAAUUUGGUAUUUAGGAAAUUAAAUCCAUAUCAAUUUAUUAGAUAUCUUAAACCGUAUGUAAAAAUAGAAUAUUGACCAUUAUUCUAUUAGUAAUAUAUCCAUUAAAGAUUUUGACGUGCUAUGGUCUAAAAAAAUUAACUUGGCGGGAUGUUAUGAUUAUAUUCAAGGUGAUAGGCAAGAAAGUUAUGAGGAGACCCCAUUGAAGCCUAUAUAUUAUAGUAUGCAUAAAGACUCAAAAAGUGCACUUGAAAUAACAGUUGUCACUGACAGGUUAAGAUAAGCUACCAAAUUGGCACUUAAAGGAAGAAAUUCUAGUAUUAGUGUCAUAUUUUAUGCCAUAUUAUGUAAUGCAUAUUAGUAAUGAUUUCUUCAUAAUAUCGCAUAUAUAUAAAAGUUCAUCCUAGCUAGAUGCAUUGUAGAUUUUGUAAGAAUUAUUUUACUCUGUCCAAAUGAGUUCACAUUAUUAUCCAAUUUUCCUUUUUUUAAGUUGAUUUAUGAAAGAAAAAAAAAAAUGACACCAAUGUUUUCCACGUCGCCGCAAGUCUCAUCGAUAAAAGUCCAUCUACAAAUUAGUUCAUAAUUCUUUUUGUAACUUCGCUAAAAGCUAGUCAAGUCAUUGCUAGCAAGCCUCAAAAGCACGAAGUACGCGAAUCACGGCGAUAACUGAUAAUAACUUGGUUGUCCGGUUUCGCAUACUAAUUAGCUUGAUUGAAAAUCGUGAAGUAUGGGGCACGACUAACGCAACGCAUACGUCUCAUGCAUUAGGCAAAUAUUGUACGCGACCCAUGUUGAGAGCACAAAUCCACUAUCUACAAGUACUAUAUAUAGAGCUGCAAUGCGUGCUUCAAGUAUUCACAACUUACCCCCAGCUGGCUAGCUAGCCUCUAUAAUUUGAAGGGAAAAAAAAAAAAAAAAAACCUUGUUCAACUUGCAAAUACCUACCAAUUAUUAUGGAGAAAAGCUUUGAUAUCAUUGCCCUGUCUAUGAUCAUUCUGGUGACUUAUUCAUCUAAAAUGGUGUCGGUCGCCGGCCGGUCGCUGCAUGAACCAUCCAUUGUUGAGAAGCAUGAAAAAUGGAUGGCUGAGCAUGGGCGCACUUACAAGGACGACCUGGAGAAGGAAAAGCGGUUUAAGAUAUUCAAAGAAAACCUUGAAUACAUUGAGAAAGCCAAUGAGGAGGCGAAUCGGACGUACAAGUUAGGCACCAAUGAAUUUUCAGACUUAACUAAUGAGGAGUUUCGUGCUUCAUAUACAGGAUACAGGGUGCCAAGCCAGUCAUCUUCAUCACGGCAAUCCACAACAGCAUCCUUCAAGUAUCAAAACCUGACUGACGUUCCAACUAGCAUGGACUGGAGAGAGAAAGGAGCUGUCACUCCUAUUAAGAACCAAGGUCAAUGUGGUAAGUAAAUCGUAUACUAAAUAUUUAUGAAGUAACUAUAAUAGAUUAUUUAGCCUCCAACCUCUUUCAGAACUCAAACUCAGUUGACCAUCAGCUAAUUAAUAAAAACAGCUUGACAACCGUCUGCCAAACCCCUGCUGGGGCAUGUUUCAUGUAACUUAAUCAAGCCUUUUUUUUUUUUUUUUCCCUUAAUAUGUACGAUGCAGGAGACUGUUGGGCAUUUUCAACUGUGGCGGCGGUGGAAGGGGUGACUGAGAUUAGUAGUGGUAAUCUUAUUCCACUUUCGGAGCAGCAAAUACUAGACUGCUCAAUAGAUGGUAACCGUGGAUGCGGUGGCGGUUGGAUGGACAAUGCCUUUAAAUAUAUUAUAAAAAACCAGGGUAUUGCCUCAGAAGCGGAUUAUCCAUACAAGGAAGUCCAAGGGACUUGUGAAGACGCACAGGUCAAGGCAGCUGCUAAAAUUAGUAACUUUGAAGAUGUAAAACCCAAUGAUGAGCAGGCUUUACUCCAAGCUGUAGCCAUGCAGCCAGUAUCAAUUUGCAUUGAAGGAAGUGGACCAGACUUCCAGAGUUACAAAGGCGGUAUUUUUAACGGAGGAUGUGGAACUCAGUGUUCUCAUGCUGUUGCUAUCGUUGGAUAUGGGGCAACUGAAGAUGGAAUGAAGUAUUGGUUAAUUAAGAAUUCAUGGGGGGAGAGCUGGGGUGAGGCCGGCUACAUGAGGAUUCUCAGAGAUGUUGAAGCACCUGAAGGUCUCUGUGGCAUUGCCACUAAACCUUCCUACCCAGUUGCAUGAGUAGCAGUAUUUUAUAUUAUAAUAUUAUUAGCCGCCUCUUAGUAAUGAUGUCUUCAAGCCUACACAUGCAUUAGCCUCGAAAGGCUUAUACGAACCGUAUGAAUCGUAUGAUUCUGUGGUUUUACCUAUGUUGAGUAUUUCAUAAGUUGUAAUUGAACGCCAAUAUUUGGUAUUAGUUAAUGUUAAAUCUCUCGUUUAAAUAUAAGUUUGAUCUUUGCAGUAAUUAGUCAUUUACAUUUAAUGUCACGGAUACUCAAUUCGACCAAGAAAUACAUAGUUUAUAUCUUAGUUACUCUGAUAUUUUAUGUGGCAUGUUAUAUGUAGUUCAUUGAUCAAGUUGUAAGAAUAGUAUGUAAAUAAUUAAUAAUAAAUUUAUUUAUUAUCAUUUAUGAGACAAUAAAUGAUUAGUGGAACAUUAAUUAAAAUACAAACUAUUAUUAUUUAUUUAAGAAAUAUAUAUUGGUCAAUGAAAUUAAUGCAAGACAAAAAGUAACUGAAUUUUGAUUACACGCUUGAUGUCUGGAAGUACAAUGAUUAUGAAUUUGUGUUUAAUUAGGUCAAAGUUUUAAGUUAAAAUAAUCAAACCUAUAUACUCACACUAACUUUUAAAGUUUGAGUGGAAUUUGCCCGCUUUAAUUGGGGUCUCAUACAGCAAAAAAUUUUUGGCCAUCUUGAAUUUCUUUUUCUAUUUACUUAUAAAAAUUUAAAGGCUUGGUAAUUUCCCUCCCCCAAAUUCUGUCUUUAUUCCUAAGUAAAUUAGUUAGUCAUUAUUUCAAUAAUUAAAAUUAUUCUAAGUUCUAAAUUUUGGGCGUGGAGGGAAAGUUAAGCGCAAGUAGCCGUGACUGAUUAAUAUUAAACAAUAUAAUUUAAUGCAUUUUUUUCUUCAUCUAUUUUUUUAAUAUUAGUUUUUGAACAAAAUAGUAGAACGAUAGUUAGAAUUUAUUAAUCAAAUUUUUUUACUUUCAUAUCCAUAUUAUAUUGUCAAUAAUAGUGUCAUGUAAUUAUAAUUAAAAGUAUUUGCAAAUAAUUUUGAAAGUCGACCGCCUCAUCAAAAACUCAGGAUGGCCGAGUGGUCUAAGGCGCCAGACUCAAGUCUGGUCUUCGAAAGAGGGCGUGGGUUCAAAUCCCACUUCUGACAAUGUAAUUUUUUAUUUUUUAUUCAUUUUUUUACAACGUUACGACUAAACGACGUCAUUUUCAUUAAACGGCAAGUCGUUUCAGUCGUCUUCUUUAACGGAAUAAAAAAUAUCUAAACCGAAGACCAAUGUUUCCAAACCCGCUAUAAACCCUACAGAUAACCCUCAUUGCCACUCGCAUCACUGAGUUCUUAACCUGAGUUAAAAUGGCCGAGUCCGCAUCCGAACUCAGUGAGUUCCGGAUUUUUCCGGCGGACUCACCGCCACCACAACCGAAUUCAACCGGAGUUCCGGUUCAUAAUCUAACACCAGAGGAGCUCGUGGCCAAAGCCAUAGCUCCAGUUAAGAAACAGUUUCUUCGUCAUUAAAUUCCAAAAUAAAUUUUAACAUAAUAAUUAAUUCUUUUAAUAGAUAAAAUUUUCUAUAUGCACGAUUGAAUUCAGCCCCAAAAUGUUAAUUAAAAAACAAUUAUCCAAUAUUCAAGAUAGUUUGAAUCGUCAUUCUCAUAUCGUUAUAAUGUCAUGAAAUAAUUGUACAAAAACAAAUGACCAAUAAAUUCACAAACGUAUAAUAUUGCCUAAUGUAAAUAACUUAUUAAUUAAUAUUGAUAUAUUAUUAAUUACUUAAUGUUUUACCUUUUUAUAAAACAUAAAAUUAUGUUUACUUCCAUUCAAGAUAUCCCAAAAAAAUUAAUCUUUUUGGAUGAUUCAUAAUUUUCAAGAGGAUGUUUUUACACCAUACCAUCGUCAAAUUGAUAAGGGCCAUGUUAUUUUUUAUUUAAUUGAUUUAAAUUUCAACUAGAGAGCUAUUGGAAUCGAUCACUGUAAAAGUUAAGUUGUGAUGUAAUCACACAAUCUUGAGAUCUGCUAUUAGAAAAAUAAUUGAAGAACCAAAUCCCAAUGAAAAUACAUCCAAAAUGAUGUCGUUUUGAAUUUGUUCCCAAAAAAAAAAAAAAAUUAAACUCACUAAAAAACAACAUGUGUGUUUUUGUUAACCUUUUAUCGAAUUGUAAUUUAAAUAUUUAUCAUGUACUUUUAUAUUCUAUUCAGGGCUGGCUCAACCAUAUUUGAGGCCUUAGGCAAAUGGUUUUAAUUAGUUUUUCUUAAAAUUUAGGACAAAAAAUAUGUUUAUUAGUUAUGAGUGAUGAUACAGCCACAAACUCUUGUACAAACUGACGUGGUAUUAAUUCAUUGGUUGAAUGAAAAUAUAAAAUAAUAAAAACAAAUCACGUGAGCCAAGUGAUAUUUAAUUCAACCAAUCUUAUCAUGCCACAUCAGUUUGUACAAGAGUUUGUGGUUAUAUCAUUACUCAUUAGUUAUAUAAUAUUUAUUGAAAAUCAAUUCUUUAAACACUCUCUAAAAUGUAAAAUUAUUAAAUAAAAUUAUAUUACACUAUUGUCAAUCCUUGAAAUUUUAAUUCAAUUAUAAUAUUUUUACUUUUUUUUUUAACUCAAAUUACAUCUUUUAUACUACUUCUUUUCUACAUUAAAUUAAUUUUUUUAUUCUUCUAUUUUCUAAAGUUUUUUGAUAUAGUUAUUUAUUUCACAAUAGAAAAAAAAAAGCACACAAAAAAUAGUAGAUGAAUAAAAGAAUGUAUUAAAAAGAAAUAAGAACACAUAAAUAAUACGAUUAAUUAAGAGAAUAAUAAAAAAUAAAAUCUGAAAUUUGAAAUUUGAGAUGAAAUCAUAAAUUAACUUUAUCUUUAUAUUAAUUAUUUGAAGAUUUGAGUAAUGACUAAUAGCCAUAGAGAAUAGAAAAAAACUAUUAGAUUUUUUCUUUUUUUUCUUGAGUGGAAAGUAGAGGAAGCAAGAUUUUUUUUCCCCUCUCUCUCUUUCUUGCUCUCAAAAACGAAGAACAUAUGCUGUCUUCAUUGUUAGAAGAAAAAUUUAAUGGAUAAGUAAUAAAAUGUGGGGCUUUUAUAGAGGUUUAAAAUGAAUAUAAAACUUUUAUAUAAGUUGUUAAUUCUAACAAUGAAAUAACGAAUUUAUAGGAUUGAAACUAUUAAUUUAUCGGUUUUGUAGGAAUUAAAACUACUAAGUACUACAUUAAAUAAACUUUAUAGGAACUCGGUAGUUUAUUUGAGAAAAGAUAAUUACAAAAUAAUAAUAAAUUAGAUGCAUGAUAAUGACUUUUAAAUUCACUUUCCUCUUUUAUAUACAAAAUAAUCAUCUUAUAGGAUUUUCUUGUAAAGUAGGGCUCUAAGCAACCGCCUAAGUUGUCUAGAGAUCGAACUGCUACUGAUUCUAUUACUAAUUUUGAAAUUUUCAGACAUAUUUAAGCUCCACUAUUUUAUUUUUUUAAUCAAAAUAGUAUGUUUAUUAAUAAUGAUUAUAAAAAAAAGAUAAUGAUUCAAUAAUGUUGUUUAUAUAUAUUGAAUCAACUUUAAAAGUCAACAUUUACUUUACACACUCGUAUAAAUGCUAAAAUAACCCUUUAUUUAUGUAUUUUUUAAGGCUGUAGAAUGUAUUCAUUACAAAGAUACAGUACAUUUAAUUUGUGGUAUUCAAAAUUUGAUGAUUACCAUUUUUGAGUUGAUGGUCUUAUGCUUCAUAUUUGCAUUAAUUUUAUGUUUAAUAGUAUGACAGUGAUUUCAUGUAAAGUUUUAUUUCCUAAUUACAAUUUUAAAUUAAUGUUCCUAAAUUUCAUAUUAUCAUUAGUUUCAUAUAUCUUUUAUGUUCAAUAUUAAUGAUUUCAUGUAAUACUCCAAUGAAUUCUAGCUUAAUUAUUACAAUUGUAAGUAGAUGAUCAUAUUAUUUUAUGCUUAAUUUUAUAAUUAAAUUAACGAAUGAAACUGUUGCUACCUUUUCAUAAUUAUUUAUUUUCCAGGAAUCAUUUUUUAGCACUUCUCAAUGUCAUUAUUUGAAAAUUAAAUGAGGGGUUGGGUUUGUAUUCAUUACAUCGGAUGAUUUAUAUUUAAAUAAAUUAUUUCAAUCUCAUAUCGUUAUAUUAUGGGUGAUUUUAUAUCCACAUUUAAAUUUUUAAAGUUGUUAUCUUAACUUUUUAAAAUCAGAGUUGUGUUUAUUUAUCAAUUUAAAACGUCAAUAAUCUACUAUUGGCGUAACAAUUGAUAUUCUCAUUUUGGAAUCAUCAAGAAUCUUAAAAUUUUCAAAGCCACCAUGCUCAAUUUAUACACGAAAAAGAGGAGGGGGGGGGGGGGGGGUAAGAUGCAUGAUCAGAAAUGAAUUUGGCAAGUAUUUGAUUGAGUUGAGAGGUCACUAAUCUCACUUAAUUUGCGAAUCACAAUAUGAUUGUUUUCAAUCGGCACCAAAACGAAGGGCUGGUUUUGGUUAUUAUAGUGCCUUGUUCUAUGAAGGAUUUUGGUUACCCACAUAUGGGAUUGAUCUUUGCUUCUACUCAGUAUAAAUUCUUGAAUUAUACUAUAUAUAUAAAAAAAUAAAAAUUAUAGAACAUGCUAUAAGCGUAUAAAUUGAGACUUUCGUUAAAUUUUAAUUUAUAAUAUUUUUCCGGAGAAAAGUAAUUAGCAUGAAACACAACAGCGGUGAAUCAUCUCAUUUUUCAAGAAAUAAUAUUUGUCAGAGCUUUUUUUUUUAUAUUAGUUUAUAAUUAACUUUAAUAUGUAAUAAUAUAGCAUAUUCUGGGAAACCUGUUGGGAUAAUUGUUUUUAAUAUUAUUAUGAUAUUACACAUGAUUGGCAGUCGCAACUCAUCAUCAUCAUCUGAAACCAUAUUAACAAACAUUUAUUUAACAAUAUUCUUUAUGUAAACAGGAUUACCCUAAACCCAAUUAAUAUCUGCAGGGAUCAGACGACUGUUAGAACAUAUGUUAAAUUUGUAUAAUAUAUGAUUUAAAAAUUUAAAAAAUAAAUUUUUCUUUUUUGGAGAUAACAGUUGGUAUAUUUAGGAUUAGUAAAACUAAAUGUUUUAUUUUUAUUCUAUGUGCUCCAUCAUGGCAGUAGUUAUUUUUUUGCGAUUAAACAUACUAUUUUGAUUUAAAUGGAUUACAAAAUGGCACAUUUUUUUAACCCUUAACAGUUGGUAUAUUUUUUUUUAACCCUUAACAGUUGGUAUAUAUUUUUUAAUAAGAUUAUUAAUGCAUCAAGUAAUCUUGUUUUGAUGAUUGUAACUCGUGACUGCGGGAAAAUUUCUAAUGGAAACAACUCAAUUUCGGAAGAAAACUUGAUUUUGCAAGUGAUGAAUUUGAACUCGUUGGAUUGGUUGAUUUAUGAUUGACUGAAUUUCACUUUUCCUCAUAAGAUCUUUAACCAAAGUUUAAUAGCUAUCAUGUACUCCUUAAAAGCAAUUUUUUUUUUUAGAUUUGACUGAAUUUGAACUUGUUGGAUUGGUUGCUUUUAGAUUAUUAAUAUGAGAUAUUACAACGUAAAUAUUUUCAUGUGGUUGAGCCCUAUUCUAAAAUCUGUAUAGUUAGCUUUAGAAAAAGGGCUUUUCCUGCUGAUCUGUAAUCUUGAAAUAAACUUAGAUACAAAUAAUGAAAUAAAGGACAACAAACAAGCAAUACUGAUACAAAGCCAACAGAUCAGAGUUUUUGGUACAAAUCCAAUAAAAGACAAUAAACUUAGGACCUUUUUUUCUUGCUUUCUUUUGUUGAAGGAUUAGAGUUUUUGGUAUUAUCAGUAAAGGUUUCAAGGAGUAAAAGCCUAUAAACUUUUUUUUUGGGGGAGCGCCGCCGGGGGGGGCGGGGGAGAGCAUGCAAAUUAACCAAAAGAAAUAAUAAGAGCACAGGCUUUAACAAUGAAUACUGACUUAAAACUCAUGCAAAAUAAGUUACAAUACUAAAACAAACCAGAGAAAUUUUUUUCUUGGAAAGUAGAUGGAACUUAUGAAAGAGCAGAUGUCAAGGAUUUAGAAAACGUGCACCUCUUUAAUUACCUGGGAUUAGAGAGUUGGUGAGCUUCUCUAUUUAAGAACAAGUUGAAAGAGGAAAAAGAUCACUGGUAACUGCUGAGGAAUGUGUGAGAAAAGAGUUGAUGAGAGCAAUAACAAUGACCUGCAAAAGAAACAGAAUUAGUCAUUCACCGCUUUUCUAUAUCAUGUAUUUGGUUAUUGUUGCCCUGUUGACGCAUGUUGAAGAAGAAAGCACUAGUUCACAACUCUACGUUUUCAUAUAUUCUAAAGAAAUAAUUAAGCUUUCAUAGAAUAAUACCUGUUGUGUUUGAGUAAUUUUGGUAUAUACAUUGCUUGUGUACUGUGAAAUUGAAAUGAAUAUUGAUUGACAGAGCAAUGUAUAUGCCUAAUAAAACACAAAGCAAAUACCGGAAUUCCCCUUUUAAGGUGAAGGCCUUACUCAAUUCCUAUUGGAAUUGCAACGAAUGAUUCGGGACUAAAACUUUUAUAAAAGCAAAUACCGGAAACACACAAAAAGCAUUUAAGAGAGAAACUAAACAGCAAAUAAUAGAAGUAAGAUCAAUAAUAUAUGAUUUGAUUUAUGCAUAUUCAAAAACCAAAAUAUAAAAUAAAAUAAAAAAAUAAAGUUUGAUUUAUUCUUUCCACAAAAAACAGGGGAAUGAAAACAGAGGCAACUUGUUUUACCAAUUUUUUCUUCUUAAUUUCCGGCAAAAAAAAAAAAUUCAAUAAACAGGGGAAUGAACACAAAGGAACGAAAACAGAGGAAACUUGCUUUUCAGGCUAUCUUGUGACAUGAUGAUAUUGCUCGUGAAUGCAUGAAAAUUUCUAAUGCAAACAGCUCAAUUUGGGAUGAUAAGCUUAAGUUUGCAAGUGAUGCAAGUAAAUAAGUUUUUGCGGUUAAUUGAAUCUUUAAUACUCUGGGCCCUAUUCUAAAAUUUGUAGGUUGCUUCAGAAGAAAGGGCAGUUCUCACUCAUCUUUAAUCUCCAAGUAAAAUUAGAUACAAAGCAAAUCUAAUAAAAUGACAAACAAACAAACAAACAAAACAAAGAAAAGACAGGAGGCAAACAACAUUGAUCUUAAGCCAACUGAUAUUUUAAACAGAGAAUUCUUUUCUUUUAUUUUUUUUAACCACCUUUUGCUCAAGGAUUAGAGUUUUUAUAUUAACAGAAAGGUUUCAGGGGUCUGAAUAAAAGCCCACAAUUUCUCUAAUUGUUAUUUUUUUUUUUAUUAUUGAAAGGAGCUUCACUAUUGGCCUUGAACAUAUAAGAAUGAGCAAAAGAUCAAUGUCAACUGCCGAGGAAUGUGAGUAAAGAUUUCAUCAGAGUAAGUAAUACAAAUGAAUUGUAAAAGAACAAGACUUAAGCGUGCACCCCGUGUUUUGUUUUAUUGUACGUAUAAACAUAACAUGUUCAUUUUUAACAAAGUGGUCAAUUACUCUUUUUUUUUUUGGUACAAAGACGUGCCUAGCAUAGACUAGGGCAAAACAAAACGGGGGUGUGAAACCCCAAUACAAUUAUGACGAAUCCAAAACCCAGCCCCUAAAGGAAGAGAAUUGAAAAUGUGCAAUCCAACAGGGAGUGAAAGAGCAGAGUUUGCAAGAAAGUCAGCUGCAAAAUUUGAUUCUCUGUAAACAUGCUUGACCUGCACUUGCCAGGUUUUGUUAAGCAAUUCCUUAAUACCCCUGACAAGAGAAGCAUGUGCAUUUGGCCUAAUCUCGUCAUCCGCCACCAAAAGAGUAACACAAAGGCUGUCAAUCUCCACAUGAAGCUGCCGAAUUCCAUUAUCCCAAGCCAGACAUAACCCUUGAUAAAGGCCCCAUAACUCAGCACCAGUGAUGGUACCCACACCAAUAUUCAUUCCAAAACCAAUUAUCCACUCUCCAUAACAGUUUCUAAUCAAGCCAUCUGCACUAGACAGACCAGAACUUUUACGAGCUCCAUCUGUGUCGAGUUUAAACCAAGGCCAAGUAGGUGCCACCCAUCCAAAAUAUUCUCAAUCUUCAUGGCAGCAGGAACCAAACAACUCUAAUUAAUCUUUUGAAUUUCUUCUGUACGGAUCUUAAUAUCCAUUACAACAGUACUCUUGCUGUUGCUGGUAAAAACACCAUUAUGCAGAUUUUGGUUACGCCAAAACCAAAGCCUCCAAACUGUGACCCCAAAAAGACACGGCCAGUCAAACAUACCAUCAUACUUCCACAAGUUCCUCAAAUUAUAUAACAUCCAAUCUCGGAGAUUCAAACUAAAAAAUUAAUGACUAAUCCCAUGGGGUAUCAAUGACGACCAGACAUGCUUAGCACUGGGGCAAUCCCGUAGCACAUGAAGAGUAUUUUCAACAACACAGCCACACUUUGCACAGCUCAUAUCAUCAACAAUAUGUCUCCGGAAAAGUUCUGCUUUAGUUUUAAGUCUAUUUUGACCCACCACCCACAGAAAGGUUUUGAUACGUUGGGGACCUCUCCACUGCCAAAGAAUGCGCCAAAAUGAUUCUUCAUUGUGAACCUCCAUUUUUGACAAAGCCCUAUAUGCUGAAUUAGUAGUGAAAUCUCCUGACUUAGAAUAUGCCCAGUUCAUGUAAUCAUCCUCAUCAUUUACACUGGGAGGCUUGGUGGCUGCAAUUUUGAGAAGUAAAUGAUGGGGCAAUAAAUUCUCAAAAAGCCGCCAAUUCCAAGUACCCUCAACAGUGAUAAACCUCACCACGCACUCCUCAAGCUGCUCUAAAGGUAUCGGCUGCAAAGCGAAAGUAUACAAAGGGUAUUCCUCUGUUACCCAAUUAUCCCACCAAAAUCUAACUCGGUUGCCAUUUCCAAUGUCCCAUUUGAUCCCUUUUAAAACCUCAUGCCAAAUGCCUCCCACAGCCUUCCACAUGUAAGAGCCACAUUUCGUAGGUAAUGUGCUGGGGAGAGCAUUAGGAGCCAGCCCAUACUUAGACAAGAGAACCUUCAACCAUAAACUAUUUGGAGAAGCAAUUAAACCGCCCCCAAUCUUCAUGAGCAGAGCAUCAUUCAUUAAAUUAAGCUGCUUAAGACCAAGGCCUCCGCUAGGUUUCGGUUGACAUAUUGUAUCCUAUUUCACUAAACUGAUUUUCUUCUUGUCUGCUGUCCCGCUCCAAAUAAACCUCCUACAAGCCUGAUCAAUUUUCUCCCGAAUACCAAACGGAAUCCUCGUGGUCUGCAUUGCAUAAAUAGGAAUCGCCUGGAUUACCGAUUGAGUGAGAGUGAUCCUACCCGCCAAGGACAAAUGUAUCGCAUUCCACCGCAACAAAUGUUGGUUCACUUUGUCCAAAAUUCCCUGAUAAGUUAGCUUAUUAACCCGUGAAUGAAUAAUUGGCAUUCCUAAAUAUUUCCCUAGGUUUUUUGUGACAGAAAAACUGAAGGAAUCACCAAUUUCCUUAGCCUCAGCAAACUUUACGUUGUGGGAGAAAAAAACUUAUGUCUUUGUUUUACUAACUUUCUCUCCAGAGCUCAUACAAUAAACAUUCAACACUUCAUUUAUAACCAUUGCUUGCCUAGAGGAAGCCUCUGCAAGCAAGAUAAGAUCGUUAGCAAAAAAUAAGUGAGAUAAAGAGGUACCUGCACGAGACAGUUUAAUAGGUUUCCAGUACCCUCUCUUCACAGUGUCAUUUACUCCAUGGCUUAACCUUUCUAUACAUAACACAAAGAUAUAUGGGGAAAUGGGGUCUCCCUGUCUAAUACCCCUAGAAGGGGUAAAACUCUCCGUAAUUUCUCCAUUCCAUAGAAGUUGCAUAGUCGCCGUUGUAAUACAUUCCAUAAUAAGCUGAACCAAAACAGUAGGCAAUCCAAACUCCCUCAAGGUUUCAUAAAUAAAAUCCCAGCUUAAACGAUCAUACGCCUUUUCCAAAUCCACCUUAAUGGCCAUCUGCCCAAUCCUCCCUUUCUUACGUCUCAUCUAAUGAAUAACUUCCUGAGCAACCACUAUGUUUUCCGUUAUGUGUCUCCCCGGGAUAAAACUAGUCAGGGUAGGAAUGAGGUCAGGCAAGAUAGAUUUCAGCCGGUUAGCUAAUAACUUAGUGAUAGUUUUAUAGAUAACCGGGCAAAGACUAAUCGGACGAAAAAGCUUAAGGCUAAUAGGAUUAUCCGACUUAGGAACCAACACAAUCAGAGUUUUGUUCAGCUCCUUAAGGAUCUCGUUGCCAUUAAAAAUACCUUUUAUAAGACUACAGACAGAUUUUCCCACUACAUGCCACUGGGUCUGGUAAAAGAGAGCAUGCAACCCGCCUAUUCCAGGGGCUUUCAAAGCCUUCAUGCUGAAGAUCACAUUCUUAAUUUCCUCAUCCUCCACUGCUUGUCCCAAAGCUUGCAUUCGACUUUCCUCAAGGACUGGGAAGGCGUUAACAACAUGGUAUGGAUGAUAGAUUGCAUCCUCUUUGGGAUAGAGCUUUGAAAAGAAGGACACAGCAUAAUCUCUAAUCUCAUCAUUAUUCAACAACCAAUAACUCUAUUCGUUAUGAAAUUGAUAUUGUACCCAAUUUUAAGAGAGCAUAAUAAUAACCAUUCAAUGCAUAAAUUUAGAAUUAGGUUUUUUUUUGUAAUUCUUUAUUUAAAUAUAAACUUCAAUGGAAAAUUAUAAAAAUUUAGAUAUAAAAUUUUAAAUCACCGGACCAAAAAAAAAAAAAAGGGGAACGGAAAUAGAGGAAUCUUGCUUUACCUUUUUUUCCUUUAACUCUUGUUCUUAUAUAAAUAAUCUUGUUUUGAUGAUUGUAACUCAUGACUGCGGGAAAAUUUCUAAUGGAUUUGUUAUGCAAGUGAUGGAUUUGUUCAAUUGACUCUGUACUUGAACUAGUUGGAUUGGUUGAUUGAUGAUUGACUAAAUUUGAAUUAAGUUUAAUAGCUUAGCUAUCAUGUACUCCUUAAAAGCAAACGUAAAUCUUUUUUAGAUUUGAAUGAAUUUGGGAACCUGUUGGAUUGAUUGUUUAUAGAUCAUUAAUUUCAGAUACUACAACGUAAAUAUUUUCUUGUGGUUGAAUACCGGUUCUGCUUUAAUGAUUUUGGCAUAGACAUUGCUUGUGAACUGUGAAAUUGAAAUGAAUAUUAAGUGACAGCGCGAUGUAUAUGCCUAAUAAAAGAUCAGCAAAAGCUUGGAUGAAUGAUUGAAGACCAAAACUUUUAUAAAAGCAUUUUUGAGAGAAACUAAACACCAAAUUAUCAAAGUAAGAUCAACAGUAUAUGAUUUGAUCUAUACACAUUCAAAAACAAAAUGAUGAUUAAUAAUAAAGUUUGAUUUUGUAUUGCCAACGAUGCUUUUUUGUUGUUUCAUUUGUUCGACGUGGCCUUAUUUACAAAUUGGUUUAUGUUAACAGAAACAUGAAAUUCACAUCACACAAAAUUGCACGAACAAAUAUUAAGAGAACGUAAUAAUAAUCAGUCAAUGCGUAAGGGUAAAUUUAGAAUUACAUAUUCUUUUUUAUUUAAUAAAAUCCCAACGGGAAGUCAUAAAAAUUUAGAUAUAAAAUUUUCAAUCACCAAACGAAAAAACAGGGGGAAUGAAAACACAGAAAACUUGUUUUACCUUUUUUUUUUUCAUCUAAUUCCUGUUCUUAUAUAAUAUUUUCCCUAGUAUUUCGGGCAAGAAAAAAAAAAUUCAACAAAGAGCAAGUUGCUCAGAUUGAUUUAUCUUGUUUUUCAGGUUAUCUUGUGAAAUGAUGAUAAUGCUCAUGAAUGCUAGAAAACUUCUAAUGCAAACAACUCUAUUUGGGAUGAUAAGCCUAAUUUUACAAGCGAUAAAUAUAAAUAACUUUUUGUGGUCAAUUGAAUUUGUAAUUACUCUUAGCCCUAUUCUAAAAUUUGCAGGCUGCUUGAGAAAAAAGAAUAUUUCUCACUCAUCUUUAAUCUUCAAGGAAAAAACAAAUCUAAUAAAAUGACAAACAAACAAACAAACAUAUAAAAGACAGCAAACAAACAACAUUGAUCUUAUGCCUACUGAUAUUUAAACAGAGAAUUCUUUCUUCUUUUUCUCUUCAUGGAUUAGAGUUUUUGCUAUUAACAGAAAGGUUUCAAGGGUCUGAAUACAAUCCCAGACUUUUUUUUAACUUUGUUUUUUGUGGGAAAAUGGAUUCAAGUUAACCAAAGCCAAUAAUAAGAUCACAGACUUUAACAAUGAACAAUAACUUAAGCAAAACCAAUGACAAGAUUAAAACAAACCAGAGAAAUUUUUCUCGGAAAGUAGAUGAAAAGCAAGUAAGAACUGCUAUUAAAUAUUAUUAAAGGAUUUAGAACAUGUAUACCUCUUUAAUUAUAUGGGAUCAGAGAAAUGACCUUCUCUAUUCGCUUCGGAUAUUAAGUAAGAACUGCUAUUAAAAGAAUGAAUUGAUGAGAGUAAUAACAAUGAAUUGCAAAAUAGGAAGACUCAAUCAUGCACCCCUUUUAUACCCGAUUUUUAAGAUUUAAUUUUGAAGUUCACCAAUCAAGAACAAAGAAAAAACCUUAAUAAAGAAUGCAGUGAGAAUAAUUAAGUUAAAGAAAGUACUAGGUUAUGGCUCUGCGUUUCAUAUGCUGUAAUGAAAUAAUUAAGUUGAAGUUUUUAACGAUUAAAUACCUGUUGUGCUAGAAUAAUUUUAGAAGAAUAUUGGCUUAUAGAGCAUAUUAGUAGGGAUAAGAUUUGUAAGAUGCCAGAUAAAAGAUAAAGCGAAAGCUUGAAUGAAGAAUGGCAUUUAAUAAUUAUAGAAGAAUAUUGGCUUAUAGAGCAUUUUAGUAGUGAUAAGAUUUGUGGACAGAAUAAAUGAAAUAAUAAAAGGCAUAACUGAUCAAGUCAUUAUUGAUCUUACUUUGAUUAUUACAUUGCACAUUAGUUUCUUUCUAAAAAUGCCAUUCUUCAUUCAAGCUUUCGCUUUAUCUUUCAUCAGGCAUCCUACAAAUCUUAUCCCAACUAAUAUGCUCUAUAAGCCAAUAUUCUUCUAAAAUUAUUAAAUUCCAUUCUUCAUUCAAGCUUUCAUGGACACUAUUUACAAAUUGUUCUUGUAUUUGACAGAAAAAUGAAAACUCCUCAUCAUACAAAACUGCAUGAACAAAUCUUCAAUUUAAUUAUGAUAAAAUAAUUAAUUCCAUUAAUAGAUUAUGUUGUUUUUUUUUUUUUUGUCUUGACCACAAGGUAUCCUGGGAAGGGCCCCAACUGUGGGAGGCAUUUUUAAGCCCGUACCACAACCCAUACUAGAAGUCCCCACUCGAACCGGGAGGCACAAGUUCUCCCAACAAAGGCGACUUCCCUGCAAUUCGAACUGGGGAGCAAACCCAGUCAAUCCACUUAAGGGGACUCCAUUGCCAGUGGAGCCAACACUUUGUUGGUUAUGUUGUAUGUUAAUGUGAGGGAUUUGAUCAGGUGAUCAUAUAAUUUACUAAACGCUUUAAGAAGAACAAGAAUUAAUGAGUUAAAAAUUAAAAAAUAAAUAAAUAAAGAGUAGAUGGAAAGAAUGUUAUUUGCAAUCACUAAACCAAAGAACAGGGGAAUGAUAAGAGAGGACGGUUACUGCAACAUUAUGAAGUCAAAAUUAAGAAAGGCAUUCUUUUUUUUUUCACAUUAUUCUAUUUAAUCUUUCAUAAGGCGCACACUACGAAUCUAAAUUAAAUUCAUAAUUAAGAAUAAAAGAUAAACCCAAACAAUCAUCUAGCAGGUGCCGUGUAGACUGCAUCAAAAAUUUAGAUUUAGAUUUUUACAAUCACCAAAUGGAAAAACAGGGGAAUGAAAACAAAGGUGCCGUGUUUGUAGAAACAGGGGAGUUUCCGGGUUUCUGGAAACAAACUCAGAAACGAAUAAAUCUCUUGGUGUAUAUAAGCUUUCAUCAUCUGGUUUUAGUUUGGUUAGGUUUAACUACAUUUCCUGGGUAGCAUUACUUAUGCUAGUAUAUUCAUUUCUACCCAAGCCACAGUGACUGUUAGGAGUUCUCGUAAACUGAAUUUAAAGUUGCGGCUUAAAGUGUUUACCAACUUAAAACCAGAGCUAUAAAGUGUUUGAUGAAUUAUUUUUUCAUUAAAAAAAAAAAAACUGAUUUAGCGGGAUAAAAUAAUGCUCCAUUCCGUUUAGUAAGUGAAGUCCAGAGUAUUACCUACUACUAACUAAAUCCGCUUGAUUCACAAGACUACCAAGAGAUGACUGAAUCUUCAAUGUAAUAAAAUAAUAAUCAGCCUCACAGGAUACAUAAAAAGCUCAUUUUUCACAACCAUAUCCUAGUGCAUCAUAAACUUGAUUAUUUAAUUUUACUAUUAGGAAACCUACUUAUAUAAGGCGCACACUACAAAUUCUAAAUUAAAUUUUCAACUAAGAAUAAAAGGUAAACCCUAGCAGUCUUCCACCAGGUGCCGUGUAGCCUGCAUCAUAAAUUUUGAUUUAAAUCUUUGUAAUCACCGAACAGAAAAACAGGGGAAUGAAAACAGAGGAGCCCUCAUUUUUUUAACCCUUAACUCUUGUUCUUCUAAUUAUAUUUUUACUUGGAAUUUCAGGCAAACAACAAAAAAUAGUGACAACUAUUCAGAGAGAACAGGUGGAUGAUAGCAAAAAUAUUUUUAAUUAAUAUGCAUGAUUAACUCUUGUUCUUCAUUAUUGGUAGUCUCUGUGGGCUCAUUUCGUCUCCAGACCUGAUAUUGUAUAUCUCUUUUUGAAUAUGCAUGCUGCUGAAUAAAGAUGAUUACUUCCAAAUUUUUGUUGCUUUUUUUUUUUUUUUUUGGGCUUUGGUGCAUGAAGAAUGUGGAAAUAGAAAUAGCUUUCGAAGUUUAAUGGCUUGCUUCAUUAGUAAAGAAAGACAAGGAUAUCUGUCCCUUUUUGUUACUGAAUUAUUGAUCAAUUGACGGUUGAAGUUGGUUAUAUUAAUUUGUUGUACAAGAAUUGAAGCUUAUAUCUUAGCCGUUUCGUGAAGUGUCAAAUAUGUUCUUUCCUUGCAAUUGUUCAAAAUAUGUUAUUCUUUUGAAGUCACUAUUACAUAAAGGGUGUUGUAAAAUAGGGAAAGGCGGGUUUAUGAUUAGAUUUUAAUAUGUUUAAUUCAAGGAUUAACCGAAGCUAUUAACCAACGGCUACUAACCGAAAACCGAAUUUAACAAUAAACACUAACUCAGAAUUCAAGAAAAUUAAAUGACAAGAUUGAGACAAAUGAGAGAUAUUUUUCUUGGACAUUAAGAAAGAACUACUACCAAGAUCAAGGAUUAGAGAUUAUAUAUGCUAUUAUUAAUAGAAAUUAUUAAAGGAUUUAGAACAAGUUCACCUCGUUAAUUAUCUGGGAUGAUGAGUUUCUAUAUUCACCUUGAAUAUAUAAUAACAAUUUUAGUGAGCAAAAGAUCACUGGUAACUGCAGAGGAAUGUGUGAGUUUAAGAGCUUAUUAGAGUAAGCAAUACAAAUGAAUUUUCAAAUUAUGUACUUGGUCAUUGUUGUCCUACUGACGCACGUUUUUUUUCAUGAAUAAUUGCCAGAUCAGAAAAGAAUAAAUUCGGUUGAUUGAAAGAUUGCUGAAGUAAGUAAAACAAUCUUCAUAUCGAACAUGAUUCCAAUUAAAUUAAUCUUUUUAUAAGAUGACUAAUAAAAGAUAAAAGUAGAAGCUUUGAUGAAUGAACGAUGACCAAAACUUUUGUAAAAGCGGAUGCCGAUAAAAUAAACAAAAGGCACUUUAAAAAGAAACUAAAGUGCGAUCAUCAAAGUAAGAUCACUAAUGAUGCUUCGCUAUCACAAGGUCCGCAUGGACAUUAUUUACAAAUUGUUCUUAUGUUUCACAGAAAAAAAUGAAACACUGUUCAUCAUACAAAAUUGCAUGACCGAAUCUUCAAUUUUUAUAAUUAUAAAAUAAUGGAUUAUGGGUAUGUUAAUGUUACGGAUAUGAUCAGAUCAUCAUAUAAGUUACUAGAAGCAUUAACAAGAACAAGAUCUAAUGAGCUAAAAGUUUUUUUUUUAAAAAAAGUUAAAUAAAUAAAGAGUAAAAGUAAAAAAAUGUUAUUUGCAAUCACCAAAAUGAAAACAGAGGAGCCCUGUUUUUCCUCUUGUUUCUACUUCUCUCUUUUUCAAGUAGUAGAAAAUGAUAUCAGAGUAUGAGAGCUCACUGCUUUCAUUAGUUGGAAAGUGUCGCCUAAAACACUUCCUCUGCUGGGUGGAAUUGUUGGCUUGAAGAGAUGAGUUCUUGUCACGAGCACAAAUUUUAGCUGUACAUUAUUUCCUUUUAAAUGCACCAUUGUUGCACAGAUUUGAACCAUAUGAUCAUUAGUUUUUUGUUUUGAUUUGGUUAGUUCGUGAUGACAAAUGAAUUAUUUUCAUCACAUUGUCAUUAUGGUAAAAAGUUGCCCUCUUUGUUACUUCCACAGCUAUUUAGUUUAAUAUUUUGUAAUAAGAUCACAAAGUGCGUGGGAACUAUUGUUCGGGUACUUUAGCCUAAAAUGAAGAUCUAUUAAAAAUUUCCCUGAUGUCAUGAUAUAAAACAAUAAAAGGUACCAACUUCAGCUUAAAUUCAUAUAAAAUUAAACCUUACCACAUACUGUAUUGAAACAAAUUACUCAUCUUUAUUGGUAACAUCAUCACCUUCAUAAAAUAUAUGGUAUCGUACAAAGUUCUUGCGCUGGGUUCGGGCAUCUAACAACGAGGACACAGCAACCUAUUCGCUAGGUUAGAGACCAAAUAGCCAACAGCAAAAUGUGCACGACGCAUGUCACUAUCAUGAAAACAACAUUCUUUUUCUUUUUUUUUUUCCCCUCAAUAAUUUCAGAUAUAAUAUUUUAACUAAGUUUGUAACACUGUUGAUUGAAAUUAUCAAGUACGAAUGUGUGUAGAUUUUAACAUGUGCACUCAUAAUUAUUAUUGUGCAGUUUUAGACUUGGUUGGGUAUUGAGGUGCUAAAACUUUUGCCGUAAGAAAAAAAAGUUUUGCAAAAGUUUUAAGUAUAAAAUAAAAGUUAAUAGUAUAUAAUAAAUUUAGUUUUUUUAAUAAUAAUUUUGAUAAAAUUAUAAAAGAUAUAAUAAAUUUUUUAUCAUAUAAGUGUAAAAUCAAAUCAUCUUAACUUUUAAACUACAACAACUAUAACAUUUUAACUGUUCAAUCUCAAUCCUAAAUAGACCCUUAAUUUAUAAUUAGAUUGUCACUAAAAGAUUUUAAGUAUGUAUUUUAGAAUUUAACGAAUACACUUUUAAACUACCUUUGUCAGAUGAAAUGUUGGGAAAUUUUUAUUAAGCUCCAAAAGUGUUUGAAAUAAAUUUAUGUUUUUAUGAUACCAAAAAAAAAAAGAUUUAUGAACAUUUUUGUGAAGCUUAGGCGAAAAUUUUUGUUAGGCUCUAUUGGGCUAGAUGAGCAGCUCGGGCAGUUAAUUAUCGCCCAAAAAGCCCAACCCAGAUUACAACAAGCUGGGAUUUGGUUAGCUCGUUGACGGCCAUUUGGGUAUGCAUGAAUUGGGUGGAUGAUUAAUAAAUACGAUUUAUUAAUUAUUUCGCCGAUUUGAAUAUUCUCCUAAUUUAAUCUUUUCUAAUAUUAUAAUAACGAGAUUUUGACAUGUGUUAUACCUGUGUUAUUUUAAUAAUCCAAUAGAUAAUAUCUACUUUAUUUUUAUCUUUCGUUAUUAAAUACAAAAACACUAAUAGAAAAAAAAAAUGACUUAACUCUUUUUAUAUUUUUAAUUUUUAUUUAUUUCCGUUUAUUGCUUUCCUAGCAAUGUUCAUCUUUUUACUCUACAACAUCCAUAACCUUAACUUUGGAAAUAAAAGAGAAUAUGCGAAAGUAUAAGUAGGAGAAAGACUUCAUUGAAAUCAAACGAAUUGGGCAACGUUAGAUUUUUCUUUAAAAUUCUCAUGCGAUAUUAAUUAGUAGUAUUAUCGUUGUUGCCUGCCUACUUCUAACCUCAACCAAUAUAUGAUCAAUGCUUGAUUUGGUCAAUCUAAAUAAUUAUAAUCGAUGAUAGGAUAUUGUUGAAGGGCGGCCCUAAGGAUGAGAGAGGGAAUGCGUGUGCAAGCCACAUGUGUGAAGAAAAAGAAAAACGCAAGAGUGAAGAUGACGGCGAUUAAGAUCGUGUUUGAUUUCUUUUCCUGUUUAAUUUUAGUUAAUAUGCUGUUGUUAGUUCCAAAAUUUGAGUUAGCAACAAAAUGACAUGUUUUUGUGUUUAAUAAGGAAAAAGUAAAUAAUAGAUUUUCUAUAGGAUUCUUGGAAUGGAUUAGAUUAGACUAUGGAGAGAAAUAUAUUUGAAAAUAUUAGUGUUGAGUCAUUCUAAUGUCUUUAAUAGUAAAUUCAAUUAAGAAUAUUUUAGUAAUAUAAUUUUUUAUUAAAAUUAGAGUGUUCAAAGUUAGUAAUAAAAAAUUCAUAUAACUCUGGAUUUUUUUAUUGAAUUUAUAUAACUCUGGAUUCUUUUUUUUUUUUUUUUUUCCAACACUGAUAUGGUUCUGUUCUGUGUAUUUAUAUACAAUUUAAUGUUUACAUACAAGUUAAAUUAUAUACAAUCCUUCAAGUCGUAACUCAAUUUUAUGGAGGUUUAUACAUCUUUCAACGAUCAAUUUAAUAUUUAUAUACAAACCUCCGCAUCUUUCAACGAUCUCAUCUGCUGAUUUUUUGUAUUCCUGUUCUUUCACUUCAAUAAUUUUUUGUAUUAUUCCAUAUCUUUCACUUUAAUAACCCAAAAGCUUUCCUCUGUUUCAAUCGAAAGAAAACCCUAGCUUAAACUAAGAGAAAAUUUACAUAUUAAAGCUAAUUAGUACUGAAUUUUUUCUGGUGGUGCGACCAGAGGUGGAAACAGGGUAUGAAAAUGCGUUACUGGUGAGGUUGCUGCUUAAGAUGAGAAUGCAUUCUUUUCAAAAAUCCUUGGUAGGUGUUAUCUAAUUAUCUUUGAUGGAAUAUUAAAUGGCUAAAAAUCUGUCAUACGUUCAAACUUUGUUUUUGUUUAGAAGAAUGGUGUUGACUGUAUAUUCGUUUGGAAGAAUGGUGUUGAUUGUAUAUUCAUUUGCUUAGCCUUUUGACAGAUGGAUUUGGAACUGACGACAAAUGUGAUUCAAUUUACAAGGUUUUCGAGGGGCUCACCGUGGAAGGGAUAUUGAAGAACUGGUCUAAGAUAAAGCCUAUGAUUGUGAAAGAUUGGAGUGAGAAUAUAGAUGCUCUUUUUCAUCUUUUUGGCAAGGUCAGAGAUGAAUGGAUAGAUAAGGAUUUAUUUGACUACUUGGACUGGUGCUAAUAGGUAUUUUAGGCAAGCUUUUUGAGAUAACACUGAGCAAGUUAUACUACUAUUUUGCACAUGAUGAUCUCGAAAAGUAAAAUAAAAUAAAUUAUUAACUUUUACUUUCAUCUUUUGCAUAGCAAUCAAUGUGGUGCUUGUUCUGUGACAACUUUGAUAAUCUACUUAAUUAUUGGUUAGCAUUUGGACCAAAAAAGUUCUUAUGAUUUACAUGUUUUGUAGAAAUGCAUGAACCUUAAAUGUGCUGAUCAGGGAGUUUAAUUAUUGCACCUUGAAAUUCAUUUAUUGUUAACUAAUUGGCUUUCCUUUGCAUAAAGCCACUUAUAAGGCUUGAGUGGACGUCUUUAUGGGCAUAUUAUUUGUAUUUCUAUAUGCAUGCCUUUAUCAUUUAAUGUGCUGCUUUUAUUUCUUUAUGCAUGCCUUUAUCAUUUAAUGGCCAGCUCCCUCUCCUCUUUUGUAAUUUGAAUAGUAGUAUGGGCCUCCAUUUUACAAAUCUUUAACAUCUUUUGCUGUAAAUUAAUUUUUCUUUCAAAUAUUCACUACUAGAAAAAUAGUCUUUACUGACUUUACAAUAGUAUCAGAAAUUACUUUCACUGACACUUGUUAAUUGUGUCAGUAAUCUGGGAGUCAGAAAAAUAGUGACACUUAUAAGUGGUGUCAGUGAUUACUAUUACUACAGUAUCACCGAUAUUAUGACACCAUAGUGUUAGUAGUUAUUGAUAUUUUAUUAGUGUCUAUAAUUACUGUUACCAUGGUAUCACUAAUUAAUAUAUUUUUUUAAAAAUAAAAAAUUGAAUUGGAUCAUUGCCUAUUGAUUUAUUUGUAAAAUUAAAAGCACCACAAAAUAACAAAAAGAAAUUGAUUUAUAUCACAAAAUCUUUCAUUUCACAUUUAAAUAUUAUUAGUAUAUAACUAAAUAAUCCAAAUUCAAUACAUAAAAAUUUCUACCAUCCAAUCAAAUGCCUACUACUUGUGGCUAAAUUUAUAAAUCUAGAAGUUAAAUUGAGAAUGAUGACUGUCUUUCACUCUUUGAAUAUGAGUAGUAUAAUUGCGUUAUCACACCAGCAGCUUCUCCAUUUAAUAAACUGUAUGGGUUAUGAUACAAGUGAAGUUGAGGAAUAAACACUUCAAACACAUUGAGCAAAUAUGCAUACAUGGAAAAGGGAGAAAAAAUUAGCUGCCAAUUCCCAACCAUUAGAGAAACAAUGGUUAAUAUAAAUAAAUCUAUUUUGUUCUAAAGAAAAAAUAUUCAUACACUAUUUAUAAGUAAACUCAAUUAUUUCUAAUGGUGGAGCACAUAUGUGUGAACAACAGAGCAUCACAUAGCUCAAAGUACAUUAACUGUUCUGUGUCUUAUUCAUUUUUCACUUUAGCUUUUAUUUUAGCAAUUUUUUGAGAAUAAGCUCCAACUCAGAAGGUGAAAUCCAACUUCCAUAUGUAGACAUUCUUGCAGCUGACAGCAAUUAGUUUGGGACUACGGCUUUUUUGAGCAUCUGGCAUGGAUUACAUUGAGAUAUACAAUUUACAUACAAACAUUAAAGAACUAAAACAUUAUUUAUAUUUAGAGACAAUUCAAAUGUCAGCAAACAUUAUUUAUAUUGGUUUAGCAAGUGGCACGACAAUUUUUUAGAUAGAAAUGUACAGAAACUAUAAAGGAAAAACAUUAUCAAGACACCAUUAAAGAAUCAUAGAGUACCUUUACCGGAUUUGUUUGCUUUGCAGGUGGGCUGUGAUGAUGAUGAGCAUAAAGCAUUUUCAUUUAAGCGGACAAGUGCCUUAGCUUCUUUACUUACUACAGACCACGUGUUCUCCCCAUCUAGCCUUGCACUUCCAAAAUCAUGAAAUCCAUCUUUGUGGAAUGUCUUAAUGCCAGGAGUGCGUGAAAAUUCUGGGAGUGCAUUGGCCUUCUAAAUAAAAAGAAACUCGUAAAUAAUUCUUGUGUCAAGUAACAAGGACAAAAAUUUACUUGGAAGCAGCGCAUCCAUGAAAAGAUAGACGCAGAUAGCUACAGAGACACAGUCAACACAUAAUAGCUAAUCCUAAACCUUAUUGGAUAUAAUACCUCAUUAGCAGAGAUUGCUUCGUCAUCUGAGGUACAUGUUGAUGCCUUCCUUGGCGAGAAGAUAAAACCAACCUCAUCAGGAAAUUCAGGCGUUUCAACCUCGUCUUCCACAAAGACACUUAUUUGCUUCUGUUACAGCGACAUACACAAAUGUCAGUUUCUCCUAAGAAAACUGGUCGGAACCUGAAAAUUCUAUUCAAAUUUAAUCACUUGCCUUUGGUGAUAAACUGCCAGCAAUCCUUCCACAAGUUUCUCCAUGAGUACCUGUAUGUCAGAAACCAAAUCUGUGCUUUGGAACCUAAACAUGAAUAUCGAUGAACAACACCCUCAACAAUCUCAUUAGCGUCAAAAACAUUUUAUUACAAAAUAAUACUACGGUUUCGGAGCGCACCUUUCAGUAUGUCUAGUCGCGAUUGAAGUUGCACUACUUCCUAUCAAUUUACAAAAAUCAUAGCAUGAAUAAAUAAAACAAUUGCCUCUAAAUUUACAAAAUCAACGUCAUCACAUCAAUUACGUGAUGGAUAACAAUUUAAGUAAAUUUUAAUAAAAAAUUAUUCAACAAUUAAAUCGAAUGACAAUUAAAUUAGUAAAUUGAAUACUGACCUCUUUCUCCGAUGGCCCACCCAACGAAACACAAUUAUCUCGUAAAUCGACGUUAAAAUCUUCCUCAUCUGCAAAUCAAAAAAUUUGAAAAACAGAGAAAUGCUUAAAACGCGUACAGUGUUUAGUGUAUACAUAACAUAAGAGUAUUUAAAAAAUAAUGGCAACCCUGUAUGAAAUGUCAAUCAAAUUACCAGAAAUGCUUUGAUCAGAAUCUUCAUCUCCCUGAAAGCGCAUAAGAUCCCGGCAAAAUGAAAAGAAAAAAAUAAAACGAAUUAUCAUCUACAAAAAAAAACAACUUUAGUUGGUUAAAAUCUACAAACUAAGUGCGGCUCGGAUAGCAGAAUAUGACUAGAAAAACAAAAACAUUAUUGAGUAACCAGAACAUCUAACAUCGCAUAUGGGCACCAGAACAAAAUUCAUGCAAAAAUAUGGAAGUUGAAAAAUCAGCAAAUGCCGCUAACCGAGUUAAUGGAAUGCGAAACCUGCCUAGAUAGUGGAGGAGUUCCGGUAAAGGAGGACCAUCAAGCACAGCUAAGGAGGAAGAAUGCAACUUAAAAUAGUUAUAGUUUCAUUACGAAUUAAAAAAGUUUAAUCCUCUAAUUUUCAAUACAAUGGCAUCUCCUAUUCAUGCGCAUGCAUCAGCAGCAUUGUUAUUGAUAGAACUGAAAAAUUGGCACUCGGAUAAUCAUAUGGUUGUAGACACUGCUCCAAAAUAAUCAUUAAACAUGGAAACUAAUAAGGCCACAGGUUCUGGAAUGCCAAAAGCUGCACGCAUAUAUAUGGGUCAGUCACGAAUAAAAAGAAACGAAUUAUCAUAACCUCGACACGAAUGGGCGUAGUCACUAUAGGAUCAGAGCGGCACAGCCCUCAGCCACUAUAGGCAGGGGUUAUAUUAAUGGUUGUGAAUGAAUAAAUUCAAAUAUCAACUUUAGUAAUCAACUUAUUAAUUUACAAGUAUUUUUUUAUAUUAUGAUAUCGUAUACUCUACUAAUUGUAUUUAAAAUAUACACACACACAUACAUACAUAUAUACCAACUUAUAAUUGUGAGGUAAGCUAAGACUCGAAGCUAUUCCUUAACAAUCUAACACUCUAUAUAAUCUCAAGUGUGGAAAACCAGCAGAGAAACCAAGUUGCUUAAACUCUUGUUCAGUCAUGUGUUUACCUUUGGCCCUGUAGAUGGUCAUAACAAAAAUGUCCCCUUCUAAGAGAGCACGAGUCCUCUGACUUUCAUUUGAAUCAUCAGGCAGCACAGGCUCGCAAGCAAUCAGUUUUCCUCCUGCAGGAAUAGCCUUGUAACAAUUCUCCAUUAUCAGCUUGCAUUCAUCAUCAGUCCAUGUAGUUAAAACCCACUUCAUAAAGAUAGCAUCAGCGGCAGGAAUGGACUUAAACAUGUCCCCACCAAUAUGGGUCACUCCAGGGAUACUUGGAGCUUCGGCAACAACCUCAGGCAAAUCAAAAUUGAUCCCUUCACAUAUAAAACGAUGUUUCUAUAAUAUCAUCCUCAGGCAAUCACCUGCACUCCCACCCACAUCAACCAAUCGCUUCACACCUUUGAACCCAUCGUAACCGUCCAAAAUGGACGUCAUGAACGGCACGGACACUCCCGACAUGGCUUUUCGCAUCAAGCCGUUCAUUUCAGGCAUCUUCCCAUAAUAACUAUAUGUCGGCUCGCCAUGGACUUUCACAAAUGGCUCAAUAGUUGGGUCCAGAAUGGCCUCGUGCACCAAAGGCCACGCGCUCAUAAGCGCGUCCUGGUGAUGCUGGAGCACGUAGGGCGCGUACGAUUGACCCUCGGCAUCAGUAACGAGGGAUUUCCCAAUCUCGGUGAGGCUGUACUUCCUUUCGCCUCCAAAUUCGCGAUGCUCCGAGAACACGCCGUAGUUGGUGAGCAAGCGGAGGAUACGUUGCAAGUUCUCGGCGUCCCCACCGCCGGAUGGGAGGAUACGUGUCAAGAUCUGGGAGGCGGAGAGAGGGGUGUUGGCCAGUCUUCCCUUCUUCCCGCCAUCUCUGCACUCGUUAUCUUCCAUUACUGCUUACUGACCUUUGAUUUCGCAGCACCAUGCCGGCCAAACAAAAAGAUAAGACCUGAGCACUUUUUGACAAUUUGAAUGUUAGGGAUUUUUCAGAUGUGGGGAGCUUAGGAGGGAACGAAUACUUUGGUAGAGGGAGUUGAAAAGUUGUAUUUUGGAUAAGAUAAAGAUUUGUUCAUUUGUUUUGUUUUUAUCCACUCAAAAAGUACAAAUUCUAAAAAAAUUAAAAAUAAUUCGUAGUCUAGUGGUCUUUUGAUUCAAUGUAGAAGUUCUAGGUUUAAGCAGUCUUGGGUUCGAAUUCAGACUAAAACAAAAUUAGAAUGAUAAUUUUUAAUUACUGAUACUUAAGCGUCAUUGAUCGCUAUUACUAAAGUUAUUGAUACUUCAGUAUUAGUAAUUAGUGAUACAUAUCUGUUAAACGCGGAAAAUAAUCUAAAUAUAUGUAUAUAUUGAUACUUUUAAAUAAAGUGUCAGAACACAAGUAUCAGUAAAGACCAUUUUUCUAGUAGUGAUUUUGGAGGUCAUUGGAAUUCCUGUAGGUCUAUUUACCAGAUUUUAGUAAGUUUAAGGUUUUAAUUUUGCUUAGACUUUAAUUUUUCUGAAAGAUUGUAGUAUUGAUCCUUAAAGAAAGAUCAUGCUACUUCAAAUUAUUUUGAAGUGUUGCUAGUUAUAGCCUUACAUAUAAAAUUCCAUUUGUCUGGAAAUUUAUUGAUAGCUGUUACAGCAGCAUAUUUUAUGACUCUACUUCUUAGUUAUGUAAGUUCAUUAUGUUUAGGUCAGAGGCAGUCAGCUGUGGGGAAUUGAUAUAUACACAGAUGACUUUGAUCUUGUUGCCGGUAUGUGGUUCUAUGAAUAAUUGUUCACAAUAAUUGUGUUUGCCUCACUGUUUUUGUUUUAUGAGAUCUAUAAUUGAUCUUGGGAUAUUACUUUCUAGUUCUCAUGCAAGCAAGUUACUACCUUCCCACUGUAUCUCCUCCUUUAUCUGCUAUUCAAGAGUUGCGUGCCAUAAUCUGGUGUUACCUCUGCAAGAUUGUGAAUGAAUAUAAUGCCUCUAAAUUUAUUUUAUACAUAAUGCUGAUGCUGAAUAAUAUAUUGUAGCUCCUGUCAUAUUCUACUUUGACUUUUUAUAUUCUGUUUCAUAUAAAAAUCUUAUUCAACUUUAGUUGUUCAUGAGCAAAUGUCACAUGUAUAAGCCCAAAUGAUGUUUAAAGGUAGCGCAGCUACCUUUAGUUUGAGCUUACAAUGGAUGAAAAAGAAAUUGAAACUGAUAUUUUGCUGUUUUUCUGAUUUUUCAAAGUAUUUUAGAUCCUGACUUUUGUUUGGACUUGAUGGUUAUAGAUUGUGUCUAGAUUUGUUAAGUUGUUUCCAACACCUCGUGCCAAAUGAAAGCACAAUCUUUCUGAUUCAGAUGUCUUGUUAAUUGAAGAGAGCUCAUUGUGCUGAGUUAAAACAAGAAAGGAAGCCAGCAGUCAAGAUUCUUCAGCAAUGCCAUGUCAGUGCUGAGUCAGCUGAUUCUGUUAAGGAUUGUUGAAAGCUCACGUGACUAUUAGUUAGUUAAUUAGCUUUUAGUUAGUAAUGCAGGAUUCUGAUUGGUUGAUUAAUUGCAAUGCUUAUUUGAUCAAUUGUAGCUUGGAAAUAAACUGUAUAUAAACAGAGUCUAUAACGAUUGCUUCAAUUAAUGAAAAGAAAAUAUUCCAGAGAGUUCAUCUAUUUUCUCAGUAACCAAACAAGCAUUUAGCUUAAUUUGCUAUUAUUUUACAUGGUAUCAGGGCCACAAUAUGGCAAGCUCAAGCAAUCCAAACGGAAAUUCAAACACAAUCACUGCAAAUCAAUCAAUACAAACCACAUUCUCCUUCAUAUCACCAAUCAAGUUAGAUCGAUCUAACUACAUGCUCUGGCGAAAUCAAGUUCUAGCCUCUAUAAGAGGAAACAGACUUGAAGGUUACAUUAAUGGAGAGAAGGUUGCUCCCAAUCAGUUUAUCACAACUGGAGGAUAUGCUGGAGCAGCAGGUAGUUCUACUCAACAGAAAGAAAAUCCAGAAUAUACAGUCUGGAGAUCACAAGAUCAGACAUUACUAAGCUGGCUGUUGAGCUCAGUCACUGAAGGUAUUCUCCGCCUUGUUCAUUCUUGCAAUACUUCAUAUGAUAUAUGGAAAACAUUGGAGAAAAAGUUUGGUGCAAAAUCUGAAGCAAGAGUACUUCAACUUAGAUAUGAAAUGAGUGUUUUAAGAAAAGAUUCACUGAAUAUAGAAGAUUAUUGUUUGAAGAUGAAACAAAUAGCAGAUAAACUAGCAUGUGCUGGUAAUCCAGUUUCAGAUAAAGAUUUGCUGCAACAAAUUCUAAAUGGUCUUGGACAAGGAUAUCUUGAUUUAGCUACAUUCAUAACAGCAAGUAAACUUGAUUAUGAUGAUGCAUAUGCACUACUACUUACUCAUGAAACAAGACUUGAACAGAGUAUGAAUGAAAAACAGAUGUUCAAUGCAAAUUUUGCCAAUUUUACUCCUAAUAACAGUGGAUAUGGUAUGAUGAAUGCCUUUUAUGCACAAGCAAGAGGCAAUGCUCGAAGAGGUGGAUAUAAUGGAGGUUUUCACAGUGGCAAUCAAGGAGGAAGAAAUAAUUUUCAUACUGGAAGGGGAAUGUUUGUUAACUCUCAUCCAAGAGGUUUUCCCUCUGGAACUGGAAAUUUUGGUAACAGUCAUGGUAGAGGUCAGAUGAUUGGUAAUAAUAAACAGAUGCAAUUUAUGAGAGGUCAAUACAGUAGUAACUCUGGUAUGCCAAACUCUGAUGGUAAUGAUGAGCAAAGUGUUGUAUGUCAAAUUUGUUUUAAAUCUGGGCAUACAACAACAGAAUGUUGGCAUAGAUUUGAAGAGAAUUAUGUACCACAAUACAUGAAGAAAUGAAGAAAUUAGAGAUGAGCUUAUAUGGCAUAUUAUGAUGCACCAACUGAAAAUUCAUGGUCAACUGCUUGUUCAGGAAUGCCUCAAAUGCACAAUCCAUCAUUCACCCCAUACAUGUCUGAUUCAGUGAACUUGUUAGGAGCUGGAGCUGGAGCUGCCUAUGUUGCUAAUUUUGAAGGUCCAGCAGAUGAAGGAUGGUAUCUUGACAGUGGGGCUACACAUCAUUUGACAAACAACAUGGCAAAUAUGCAUGUCAGAGAUGAAUUCAAUGGUAAUGACAAGCUGAUUAUUGGCAAUGGUAAAGGUCUGUCAAUCACACACAUUGGUAGCACUACUUUUUCAGUUCAAGGUUCUAAGUCACAAGCUGCACGUAAAUGCAUUACACUUAAAGAUAUACUGCUUGUUCCUUCUAUCACAAAGAAUUUAAUAAGUGUUUCUAAACUUACUGCUGAUAAUAACCUAUCUAUUGAAUUCUUUGGAUGUAUCUGUUAUGUGAAGGAUUCACUGGAGGGGAAGGUUCUGCUACAGGGUAUUGCUGAGAAAGGUCUAUACAAAUUGCUGAUCAAAUCAUCUUCAAAAUCAUCACUACAACCUACAUACACCUCUUUUCUUUCUCAAAGCUCAAUAAAUCAACCUUUGUCUAUGUUGUCUCUCUGUCAUUUCAGUUCUGCAACUAAUAAUACUUGUUCUGCAAAUUGUUUUCAUUCAAAUAAAAACUCUUGUACUGAUUCAUCAUCAAAUAAAAUGUCUCUAUUUCACAGAAGAUUUGGUCAUCCCAAUGCUCAAAGUUUCAUUCACUUACUUAUACUUGUGCAUCCUAACUUGUUAUCUACAAAUAUGCUUAAUCAAGUAAUAAAGCAUUUAUGUGAAGCAUGUCAGCUGGGCAAAUUUCAUAGACUUCAUUUUCCUAUAACUGAUAUUAAGUCUAAAUCAGCACUAGAACUAAUCCAUACUGAUCUAUGGGGCCCUUCACUAAUAUGUUCUAGAGAAGGUUAUAGAUAUUAUAUUAGUUUUGUGGAUGAUCACACUAGAUACACCUGGAUAUACCCUCUGAAAUUAAAAUCAGAAGCUCUAGAAGUGUUCAAAUUGUUUAAACUUCAAGUUGAAAAUCAGUUUCAAACCACCAUCAAAGCUCUACAAUCUGACUGGGGGGGAGAGUAUAGACCAUUCACUACUUUUCUAAAUGAAUGUGGUAUUCUUUUCAGACACUCUUGUCCCUACACACAUUAUCGAAAUGGCCUUGUUGAAAGAAAACACAGACAGAUUAUAGAAUUAGGCUUAACACUUCUAGCACAAGUUAAACUUCCAUUCCAGUUUUGGUGGGAUGCUUUUCAUACCUCGGUUUAUCAUAUUAACAGACUUCCUACCUCUGCCCUUAAGAUGUCUAUUCCAUAUGAAAAAUUAUACAGACAUAAAGCUGAUUACAACAUGCUGAAAUGCUUUGGUUGUGCUUGUUAUCCAUACUUGAGAGAUUACAAUAAGCAUAAAUUUGAUUAUCAUACAACCAAGUGCAUCUUUCUUUGUUAUAGUCCUUUUCAUAAAGGUUUCAAGUGCUUUCAUCCCUCUGGUCGUGUGUAUAUUGCUAGACAUGUCAAUUUUGAUGAAACUUCAUAUCCAUUCUUUUCAGAUCCUGAUUUUCAUUCUUUGAAUAAAUCUCAGUCCAACUCUUAUGAUUCCAUUACACCUAUACAAGUAUUUCAAUUGUCUACCUUACCUGUCAUAUCAGUUUUUUUGAAUAACAGCAAUGAGUCUCUUUCUCAAGCAUAUACCAGUAGUGAUAACUUUCCUUCAGCAGUAGAUUCAACACAAGUACAUGUCUCAGAUCAACAACUCUCAAACACAAACAAUGUCUCAGAUCAACAACCAAUUUUACCUGCACCUACAACAUUACCUUCUCCAGAUGAAAUUCCACAAACUCAACCUAUUCUAAACUCACCAUCUCUAAACCACCAUCCUAUGAUUACUAGAGGAAAGGCAGGUAUCUUUAAGCCAAAGCUAUGUACUGCAGUUUUGUUGUACAAAGAACCAAAAACUAUUCAGGAGGCUCUCAACAAUGAAAGGUGGUUUCAGGCAAUGAAAGCUGAAUAUAAUGCAUUGAUAUCAAAUGGCACUUGGACAUUGGUACCAAGAACAGAAAAUCAUAAGCUUAUUGGUAACAAAUGGGUUUUCAGAAUAAAAACCAAUACUGAUGGAAGUGUUGAGAAAUAUAAGGCAAGAUUGGUUGCUAAAGGAUUUCAGCAGAUUGAGGGUGUUAACUACUUCGAGACUUUCAGUCCAGUGGUAAAAUCAGCAACAGUUAGAGUGAUCUUAAGUUUGGCAGUGAUGAACCAGUGGCAAAUACGACAAGUUGAUGUGAAUAAUGCAUUCUUAAAUGGAGAUCUAACUGAAGAAGUUUAUAUGAGACAGCCAGAAGGAUUUGUUGAUCCACAAAGACCAGACUCUGUAUGUAAACUGCACAAAGCUCUUUAUGGCCUGAAACAAGCUCCUCGUGGUUGGUUUGACAAACUGAAAAGUAGUCUUAUACAAUGGGGAUUCAAGAAUUCUAAGUCUGACACAUCUCUAUUCUUGAGAAGAACCAAGAGCUCAAUCAUUAUAAUUCUGAUAUAUGUAGAUGAUAUAUUGAUUAUAGGAUCAGAUUGUGUUGAGUUGGAAGAGUUUAUUAAGUUGUUCAGCUCUACAUUUGCAUUAAAGGAUCUGGGGAGACUAUCUUACUUUCUGGGUAUAGAAGUAUUAUAUGGUCAUGAUAGUAUAUACCUGUCACAAAAGAAGUAUAUCCGAGACUUGCUUGCAAAAGUUGACAUGCUUGAAUGCAAGGGAACAAACACACCAAUGAGUAGCAGUAAAGAUUACAGAUUGCAGAAGAGUGUUGAGGGAGAAAUGGGCUAUUAUAUUGAAGAUCCCACUCAUUACAGAAGCAUAGUUGGAGGACUGCAGUAUUUGGUUUUAACUAGACCUGAGAUAGCUUAUUCUAUUUACAAACUAAGUCAGUAUGUGUCUUCACCAACUCUUCAACAACUUAUGGCAUGUAAACGAGUGCUAAGAUAUUUGAAGGAAACACAAGAAUAUGGUCUAAAGUUUGUUAGAGAAGGUGACAUGAAGCUUACAGCAUUUACAGAUGCUGAUUGGGGAAGUGAUCUUGAUGACAGAAGAUCAGUUGGAGCUUAUUGUGUAUACUUGGGAAACAAUUUAAUCUCAUGGUCCUCAAAGAAACAAUCAGUGGUUACCAAGUCAUCAGCUGAAAGUGAAUACAGGGCUCUUGCUGCAGCUGUUUCUGAAAUAACAUGGCUAAAGUCAUUGUUCCUUGAAAUUGGUUUAUGUUGUGAUGAAAGCCAAUCAUAUGGUGUGACAAUGUGAGUGCUGCUGAACUUGCUCGCAAUCCAGUAUUUCACUCAAGAACAAAACACAUAGAAAUUGAUCUACACUUUAUCAGAGACAAGGUUUUGGCUGGAGACUUGAAGAUACUAUAUGUUCCCAAUGCAGAGCAAAUAGCUGACAUAUUAACUAAGCCACUGAACUCUUCUCAAUUCAAACCUAAGGCUCAAACUCAAUGUGGAGCUAUGUCCCUUGAGUUUGAGGGGGGCUGUGAAGAGAGCUCACUGUGCUGAGUUAAAACAAGAAAGGAAGCCAGCAGUCAAGAUUCUUCAGCAAUGCCACGUCAGUGCUGAGUCAGCUGAUUCUGUUAAGGAUUGUUGAAAGCUCACGUGACUAUUAGUUAGUUAAUUAGCUUUUAGUUAGUGAUGUAGGAUUCUGAUUGGUUGAUUAAUUGCAAUGCUUAUUUGAUCAAUUGUAGCUUGGAAAUAAACUGUAUAUAAACAGAGUCUGUAACGAUUGCUUCAAUUAAUGAAAAGAAAAUAUUCCAGAGAGUUCAUCUAUUUUCUCAGUAACCAAACAAGCAUUUAGCUUAAUUUGCUAUUAUUUUACAUUAAUUAUGCUUCAUUUUUUCGUUAAAGAUUGGAUGGUUGCAUGGAUUGAUGGAGUUGGAGUUCAACCAAUAAUUCUAAUUUUUUGGACUUAAAAUGCCUUUUUCUUCGGUAUAAAAACUUUAGUAAGUGCUAUUGAGUUGACAGAAGUUGAAUACUUACAGGUUGUUUCACACUUUUUAAUAGUUUUACAUAUAUGAAUUUCUGUUUUUUGAUUUUCAGAAAGGAGGUGGAACUAUUGAUUUGGAACCUUAUCUUACUCAUUCAUCGACAACGGAGCCUACCCUCGCUCCCAUGGCAGUGGAACGGACAACGACUACUAGGGCUGCAACAUCAGUUGGUUUGGGUCUGUUUUGAGUUUAUUUUCAUUUAUUUGGCUAUGUUUUGAUAGCGAAUUUUGAUAUGUCAAUGUAGGGUGCGUUUGGGAUUGAGGUGCUGUAGCUUUUAAGCUAUAGCCACUGUGAAAAAAAAGUUGUAAUUAUGAAAUAAAAGUUAAUAAUAUAUAAUAAAUAUAAAUUUUAAAUAAUAAUUUUAUUAAAAUUAUUAAAGAUAUAAUAAAUUUUAUAUUAUACAAGUGAAAAAUUAUAUCAACAUAACUUAAAAGCUACAGCAGUUAGUGUUUACCAAACACUUUAGUGCUGUAGCUUUUAAGCUACAGCUGGCCAACCUCAAUCCCAAACGCACCUGUAAUGUGUAAUUGUUUUGGGUUGAGCUGGUAAUUAUGCUGGAUUAGAUUGGUUUGGUUUUGGUGCUUCUCUGAUGGAACACUGUUUUUUUUAGAAAUUUUGAAUGUAAUAUGAGACUACAUUUAGUUUAAUUGAACACUGCAUCUAGUCUAAUUACUAGAAGUGCGGCAUUUGGUUUGGUUUAUCCGAUAUUCUCCAGAAUUUCACUUGCAUCUGGUUUUGUUGCAUAUGUUUGCUUGCAUUUGGUGGCAGUAGCAGACUGUUUGGUUUUGUGACAUUUGAUGGCAGUUUUGUCUGUUCUUGGUGUUGAUUUAAGAUUGUUCCUGUUGUGCUGAUGUUAAUUGCAGGUGCUUGAAUCAGCUAGGGUUGCUGGUUUAUUCAGAUGGUUGACUCAGGCGUUGUUACUGGUUAAUUCAGGUGGCUGACUCAAGUUGUUCAUUUAAUGUUAGGAAGCAAAUUAAGAAUUAAUGAAGUAUUCAUUUAACUAUAAUUAUUGUAGUUAUUUUAUUUCAUAACUGAAUUAUAAUCUAUGAUACUUGUGAACAAAUUAGAGAAUUUUUAUAUAUGAAUUAUAUAUAUGUGUAUGUACAUUUUGCUAAUAAUUUAAAGAAUAUAUUUCAAUUCCCACAAAAAAAUGGCUCCAAUUUCAAUAAUUCCCGCCAAAUAAUUAAAUUUUUUUAAUUUACCAGCAAAAUAUAUCUUAAAGAAAUUUUAGUUAUUCUUGCUAGAUUUAACAAAAAUGAUUUGUAGGAUUAACAUUUAAUUAAAAUAAUUAAAUAAUUUUAUUAUUCCAAUUAAAUAUGUCAUGUUUAUACGACAGACAAUAUUCAUGAAUGGGAAGUAUUAGUUACAUAUUUUUCCUUGGGAUUUCAGGCAAAUGAAAAAAAGAUUGAGAAUGAUUUCAAGAGGACAGGUGGAUGAUAAGUAUUCAUUUUUGUAUAUUUGUCUAAUGUCCUCAUUAGUGGAUUUUUAUUAGGGAUGGCAAUGGGGAGAGGAGGGGAGGGGACCAAUCUCCCCGUACCCAUCCCUGAUAUUUUGCGUAUGUCCCCGUCCCCUCUCCAUCCCCAUCAAAAUUAUUUAAGAGAAUCCCCAUCCCCUCCCCGAAUAAUAACAGGGGAUCCCCGAGGGUCCCCGAUCCCCGAAUAACUAAUACAUUUUUUUUAUUUUCGAUUUUGAGUUAAUCAUAUUAAAAUAAAAAAUUCAAAUAAAAGUAAAGUUCAAAAUAUAUCUUACAUUAAUAUCCAUUACAAAAGUCACAUACAUUAAAUUAGUAAGUAACGCAGCAUGCAAGAGAUACAAACUAUCAUGAACAAAUUAAUAGCCUAAUACAAAAUUGUUACAAAUAAAAUCAAAUUUAGAUUAAAAAUUAACUUUUCAAUGGUGGCGUGGGCACUUUAUAAAUGUGGACUAUUCCCUUUACAUCACAAUAGUUAAGUCGAAGCAAAUCAAGAGUAAAUAUUAGAUUAGAUUAUAUAUUAAAAUUGUGAUUUGCUGUGGGCAAUUAUAACAUCUAAAAAAAAAUAGAUUUAAGAUAAAUAAAAAAUAGAUUUAAGUUUAAAAUAUUUAAUGAAUAUUAAAAUUAAAACAAAAGUUUUGGGCUAAUAGAAUCUGUCCGGUCUUUUUAAUGUCCUAAAUAAAAAUUUAGGACUUUAAUUAGUUAAUUAGGCCUAAAAAUUUAAUAAUAUAAAUAUUUUGAUAUUUUUUAUUUUUACCAAUACUUAUAAUUUUAUAAUUCAAAUUUUAUUAUUUAUUUACUAGUAAUUUUAAAAAAUAAAAAUUAAAUUAAAAAUUAAAAUGGGGAAAUGGGUAGGGGAUGGGGAUUCCACCUCAUCCCUGUCCCCUCCCCGAAUAAGAAAUUGGGUACAAAAAUUUCCCCGUCCCUUCCCCGAAUAAGAAAUUAGGUAUGAAAUUAUCCCCAUACCCUCCCCGAAUGGGGAAAAUCCCCGAGCGUACCCGUCCCCGUGGGAAUUUUUGCCAUCCCUAAUUUUUAUGGUAUUGAUCUUUUUUUUUUUUAAUUUUCAGUUAGUUGCAGCCCUAGAGGAAGAGCAGGCUGAUCAAAUUGAUUUGUCUUGUUUUUCGGGCAAUCUACGACAUGAUGACCGUGAUAAUGCUCGUGACUGCUGGAAACUUUCUGAUGGAAAUAACUUUAGAGUUCGUAGCAAGCAUUUUUGUUAUGACAAAACAAAGGUUCCCCCAUAUUUUGUUUGUUUGUUAUGGUAUUUAUAUAUCCUGCAUUGGCUAGGUAGACAGGUUAUGAUGUACGUGUUUCUCAUAUAGAACUCAAGUCUGCUGUUGUCCCAAAGUUGGAACCAGAGAUAUCAUGACUCUGGUUUCAUUUCACCUCAACUGUGUUUUUUUUUUUUUAAUUAAAAAAAUAUUUGUUUUAGGUAUACAUACAUGUAUUUUGAUUCUAUUUUCAUUGUAAUUUCUCAUUUACUUUGAAUGAAAGUCAUUGGUGUUUUCGAAUGGGAAUUUUGCAUUAAAAAAUGAAGAAUAGUGAAUAGGAAAUUUCUUGAUUCUUUAGUUACUAUUUUUGGUAUGAGUGCCAUUAGUAGUAAGGUUGGUUUCUACUCGCAAACAAGUGAACUGCUCGAUUCCCGAGUGGUAUCAACCAGUUUCCAACUUUUUAAUAUACACUAAUUGUUAGUGUUUAAUAGCUACUGCUAUUAAAAUUCAACAGCUAACAAAAAUACUUAAAAAAAAUGAUUUUUCUUAUGAUGUUGGGAAAAAAAUUAUGGGUUUACUUAUUUCCACGAGAUCUAUAACAUGGUCUUGACUUCACGAAAUUCUUUUAAUUUAAAGCGUGCUGGUGUGAGAAGGUCAGUUUGACGGAUUAAUUCUUUUCAACAGUGGUCAAGAUAAUUUUACUAUACUAAAAAAUAUUCUUAUUCUGAUAAUGCCACAAAUGUUAUGCUGUUUUCUUCGGCUAAUGAUCUUCUAUUAGGAGAGGUUAGAAAUCAAAUGCUUAAAAGACCAAUUGAACGAAUAAUACAGAAAUUUAGGCAGAAUCUAAUCGAAUAUUGCAUGAAACAUGAAACAUCAAUUCAAGUCUUUUCUUAAACGGAGAAUGCAUCAAACAAAAUCCAAAGUGUCUUGCAAGUCUGUAGCAUGAGCAAAAAAUUGUAAAUAUGUUGAACCAAAUUAUUCAAGUACAGAAGAACGAGCAAGCUAAAUCAUGUAUAAGAGAUUGGCCUGGUUCGGGAUAGCUUCUUCACUGUACCUGAAGGGUUGGCUCAAUCUCUUCUUUAGAAUUCUGCAGAUUUUGUAAUUACUCGUGUAAGCAAGCAUACAUUGCCACCAUAAGAAUAAUAAAGCUAGAGUAAUGAUAUGACCACCACCUCUUGUGCACAAACAAUAUUGUAUAAACUAAUGCGACAUAAUAUGAUUGGUUAAACAAAAACAUUACAUGGCCCUCAUAAUUUAUUUAUUUAUUAUUAUUAUUAUAUAUUUUCAGUCAACCAAUCAUAUUAUAUUACAUUAGUUUCUAUAAAAUAAUUUGCUAAAUAGCACCAAAACUUAAUUGAUACUCACCAUUUCAUUGAACAAUUUUUUCAUGGUGUCAUUGAGAUUGCCUUCCCAACAUCCUUUAUCAUCAUCUUUUUCUUCUUCGGUGACGUUCACUUUGUUUAGCAUUGGUGUGUCUAAGACUCCUUGAGAGAAGAUCUUCAUUUUUGGACACUGUCUCACAACUACUUGUUUCAAGGACGGGAAUUCAAGAGCGUAAUUACCUAAACAAAAGCUUGUUAGGCUUGGCAAACAAUCAAGUCCCAAGUACUUCAAUUUGUUGAAAACAAUGCAAUCUUUCGAUUCUUCUCCAACCUGCGACUGUAUGAUUUCUUCCAUCAUUUUGCAAUCAGUUAUCUUCAUUCUUCUGAGAUUAACCAGAUUUUUAGAUGCUGAGAGCGUCAACACAUUUAUCAACCCGUGACACUUCGAUACUUUCAAAACCUCAAGGUUUUCCAAAUGCCACGAAGGUGGUACUAAUUUUUGCAACUUACCACAUUCCGAUAUUUUUAGACUUUCCAAAUUUGCAAAUACUUUGUUGGAUUCGGCAUUUUCCUUCCAGAGAUGCUGCAAUUUGUGUAAUCCAGACAACUCUAACCCCCACAAUUGAGGGAAAGCAACCUGAAAAUCAACAAAAUUAAGUUGUAAAUGAAAAUAUGUAUCCAAUCUCUGCAGUCUUCCUCUGCAUAUUUUAUGGACAAGAUUAAUCACGGCAUUUUAUAUUUUAUUUUCCAAAUUAGUAUGCUUUGCAGUAGGAUCCCAAAUAUAAGUAUCAAAUCGAUUACUCUUUGAAACACAUAAAUGAAAUCUGAUGCUAAAUCCAAUAUGAAUUAGCUAGGAAAACAGAGAUGUUACACACAUAAUUAAUAUAGUUCAUCACCUCGUGUUACCAGGCAUCCAAUUAAUUUCUGACAUUUUUAUAAUUCAUACUAUAAAGUUAGUUAAUAACGGAGGUUAUAUUGUUAAAUCAGAUAUAAAUUAAGACGACAUGCAAAAAGAUGAGUCAUUAAAUUUGAUUUGAUUCUAAUGAAAUUACAUCUGUGCGAAUGAAAGUGAAGGGAAAAAUAAUAAUAAUGAUUACCUUUUCAUCGAAGAGAUGUUGUAUUUGAUUAGCUACCAAGAGGUUCUCUUCUGAUUUUAAUUUUUGAGCUUCCUUAUUAUCUGCUGUCAUGUGCAGUACAGAUGUAGAAUUGGAUAUGAAUGUUUCCAUAUCAGGGCAAUUCUCAAUAGUUAGAUAACUCAGCAGUUCAAUUAUAUUCCCAGUGAAGUUGCAGAAUCUUUUGAGUUUUGGAAGAUCAAUGAGCCUUAGGUUGGAAAGCUUAGGAAACAGGGGGCCUAUAUGUUCUUUGUCAGCAUUAAUUAGCUCUUCCAAAUGGAGCACCUCUUCUAGUGAAUCACAAUUCGUCACUGCCAGGCAUUCCAAAUUGUUCAAGCACCGUAGCAGAUUGGCAGGAAUAGCACUCGACAUAUUCGUGCAGUCAUCCACUUCCAGCUUUCUUAAAUUGUUGAAGAAGCUGACAGGCAGUUCUUGGCCAUGCCAUAUUUCUUUCAAACGUGGAAAACGUGAGAGUUGCAAAUACUCUAUAUCACGAAAUCCAAUCUGCACAAACCAAAACAAUUGCACUGGAUAUAUACAAUUUUUUUUUAAAGGCAUUAGAUAUAUAUAUAUAUAUAUAUAUACACACACACACACACACACACAUUAAACUUACAUGUUUUGUGUUUUAACUUCUAAAACUACAUAUACAAGGUAGGUGUAUAUGUUUAAAUGUGCAAGCGUAGGGGAGAUGCAUGAACAAUUUGGGUGAAUCGAUUAACACAGACCAUCUUUUUGUAACAUAUUUUUAAAUGUGCAAGUGCAAGGGAGAUGCAUGAGCAAUUUGGAUGAAUUGAUGAGCACAUACCAUUUCUUUGUAACACUUCUGUAUAGUGGAAUUAAGAUUGCCUUCCCGAUGGUACAAUUCACUGUCUUCCUUUUUACUAACUUGCACUUUGUACAGCUUUGGUGUGGAUAAGAUUCCCUGGGGAAAAGUCUUCAUGUUCGGACAAUGUGUCACCGAAACUCGUUCCAAUGAUGGGAAUUCAAGAGUAUAAUUCUCCAAACAAAAGCUGGUAAGCCUUGGUAAAUAAUCAAGUAUCAAAACUUUUAAUUCGCUGAAAGCAAUACGAUUCUCCUUCACUUCUUCUCCAACAUGUCCUACGAUUUCUUCUAAUUUUUGGCAAUUCGAUACAUUAAGAUUCACCAGACUACUAGGAAUUCCAACCUGAAAAUAAGCAAAAGUGUGUGUAUAUUAAAAAAGUAAAAAUGUAAGAAUAUCAUUCAACUAGCACCACAACAGAAAUGGCUUUUUGCAACAAAAAGAUUUUGUUGCCUAAAGUGCCAAUUUUGUUGCCAUAGGUUAUUGCUACAAAAACAAGCUUGUCGGCCCGGUCGUCGGCCUAGCACUGUCGCCCUCUAUGUUUAACAACAUAUCAAAACAUUUCUCGCCUCAAACUUCCUUUCGCAACAAAACAGAUUCGUUGUGAAGGAGUCUUCAACUUGUUUAGAGAAUAAUUUGGCAACAAACAUUUUUGUUGCGCUAAACAGUUUUACACAACAAACUAAUUUUGUUUCUAUAUAGUUAUUUACUACAAAACUAAUUUGUUGCUAAGAAAUAAAGUACAUUUUAUAAAAAAAACGUGUACCAACAAAGGUGUUUGUUAGCUAAGAUCAUUUUAGGCAACAAAACUACUUUGUUUCUUUAUGUUGAAAAUUUUACAAAUUUGCAAUAAAUAUUUAUAUAUUUUUAGAAACAAAUCAAUUUUGUCAUUAAAAAAUAGUACAAUUUUUUUUUAAUAAUAUCAUGGUAUAAAAGGAAGCAAACCAAGUUCGUUGGGAAAGAUACCAAUUUUUUCCCCCACCAUGACAAUAAUAAACUAGAAAUAUAUGUUGAGAAAUCUAACAAAAAAAUCAUUAAUGUCAUUGAACUAAUUUAAAAGUUAAAGGCCCAUUCAGUAUCCAAGCUAUAUAUAUAUAUAUACAAAACUGACUUUAAGAAUCACAUAUGAUAGUCAAAUACAAAAGUGGAUUGUCAUCUAUCCCAAAAAUGUAAUGAGCAAAAAUUAUAAACGAUCUCUAAUUACAACUACUCCAAACUCCAAAUACUUAAAGAUAUGACAUGCACCAGCAGUAACCAAAAAGAUCAAGUGAUGACCAAUUCAAAAUACUAACAAGUUCAAGAUACUCUAAGGACAUCAUUGAAAUGAGUAAUCAUUGAGUAGCUGAAUCUGUAAAGCAAAAAGUGGAUCCUUGAGAAGAAAAAAAUUGCUGCAUCAUACCCUCAAAUUGGGACAAUCUGGACUCCAAUUGAUCAAUAGUCUUCUUUUGUUCUUGAAGCUCAACAUCUUGUGAAUCCAAUCUACUUUGUUGUGAAGAUAUAAUACCAUGCAAUCUGUCAGCCUCAGAAGUAUCAACACCAUGGUUUGAAGUUGGGCGUGGUCCGUUGCCAAGUCCUCGAAAAUAGCCUGUUUUCUUUCCAAGUACUUCAAUGCAUAUUUCCUUUUGAGUUAGUGGUUUUGCUUCUUGAGGAUCUAUUUGUUGCUGUUGUUGUAUCUCUACCAUUUGGUCCUAUACAUAAAGCUUUGUUAGUAAAUGAAGGAAGAAAAAAAAGAAUUUUAUUAAUUAAAUAGUUGAAAUUUAAUCCAUUGGUCAUGGAAUUAAUUUGUAUUAAGGCAUAAAUUGAAAAAAAAAAAAAAGAAACUUGCUGUUAUACUUAUAAAUCUAAUUAUUUGAUAUUUCAAAUAAUAAAGUUAAUUAGAGCAUGAAAGAAAAAUUAAGAAAAAAAAACUCAAUGAGUAAACUUUCAUCAACAGUAUGUAGGUGAUAAGAAAUAAUAAAAUUAAAAAUUUUGUUUCCAACAAAGCAUCUUACAUGGUUUAAGUGUGCCAUCUCAUUCACCCAACCUUUUGUCUUGCUGAAAUGAUUGACGCGAAAUAAUUCUAUUUCACCAUCAACCAUGUCAUCCUCAAGAUAAUUAACAAAAGGUCUUGAUCCCCCACAAUGGACAUAUGGGAGCUUAGCACGAUUAGCUUUGUUUUUGGUAGAUUGAGUCUACAUUAAAAAAAUAUAACAGUGGAAAAUAAGAUACAUAUACAAGCAUAUUGACAACUAGUUGGACAAUUUAAAGUUCAUAAUAUGAAUAUCAUUGGACCUGGAAACUUGCGGAAUUGUAAAUGUUAUGACAAAGCCAAGCCCAAUCAUCUGGACAUAUGCCUGGAUAUGAAUGCUUAAGUGCCUCUUCAAAGGAUGGAUAAUCCAAGUAAUGAUCAUACAUCCAAUGUCUCAUAUCAUGAUAUCUCCCACCCAUAAUGUUAUUCACACAUCGACGAACAUGUGGUACGUUCAAAUCAAUCUCAAACUUUGACUGAAUUUAGGAAAAAAAAGAUAUCUCAGUUUAUAAUUAAAAAAAAUGACAUAUGAAGAAUAUUAAUAAUCAUAAGUACUUACUAAUAGUCGAUCAAACAAAACCUACCAAUUAAACUCUUUAAAUACCAAAUUCUAGAGUUGUAACAACACCUUGCACAAACUCUUGGCUGGGCAUAACAGGCUAAGAUUGGGGAAUUGUAGAUGCGACAACAAUUUCUGCUCUUACACGUUUGGUAACUCUAUGUCCAGGACCCAUCUAGUAAUUAUUAAAAAUAUACAUUAGAGUUUAUUAAUAAUCAACAUAAAAAUAAAUCAAGAUAACUAUAAUUUUGUCAAAGAAAUUAUAACAUGAAAGAUCCUAUUACUGGGCAUAGAUCCUAAAUUCAUUUGACUAUUGUCCACAAACUCAGGUUCUUCACCAUGAAAAACCCAUGAAAAAUCCAUUAACUUUAAUUUAACAAAUUAAAAAUUGAAACAAAGACCCACUUAAUAAAUAAUUAAAGCAAAACCCACUAAACAAAAUCAAACUCAACAGGCCAAUAUAUAAAAUAAAACUAAAUUUACUUGAAGAAAUCGUUGUCUUGAGUGGUGCCUUCCAAGUACAACUCUUCAAUGGCUUAAAGCUUGGGCAGAGAGAAUGACUCCAAGGCAGGGCAAAAGAAACAAGCGAAGAGUAAAGUGGAAAUAUUCUAGAAGCAAUAUUUUAAUUAAGAAAAAAUUGGAGAUGGAAACUUUACUUCGGUUAGCACGCGGUUUAUUAAAUAAAGGGCGCGGAAAUAAAAAAUUAAAAAGCCUCCCACAAAGUCAUGUUUGCUUUUAUAUUAUCUUUAUAUUUUCAUUUAUUAAUUUAAUAUUUUUGUUAACCUUUGCGCAACAAAAUUAAUCUCGUUGCAAAAAACUCUGAGAGUACAAAACAAAUUUUCUCGCUAAUCACAACCUUUUGCAAUAUUUCAUUUGUUGCAACUGAUUUAAGUGUUUGUUGUGGAAAAACUUGAGCAACGAAACAUAUUUUGCCUUCAUUAAGCUUGUUAGGCAACAAGAACACUUUUGUUGCCAAACAUAGCGUAGGGCAAGAAAAUAUUUUGUUGCCAUAUAUUCUAAUUUUCUUGCCUAUUCCACAUCAUUAAGAAGAAUAAAAUCUGUUUAGCUAUAGCGAUAAAGACUAAUUUUUGUUGCAAGAUAUGAAUUUUAGCAAUAAAGUAAGUUUUGUUGCAAUAGAAUUUGUAGCCAAUACUCUAUUUUCUUGUGGUGUAGGUUCAAAGUAUGUUUAAUCAUACAAUUAUACGUUUUAUAAACAUAACAAACCAUGAAAUGUCUACUAGAUAAUUUUUUGUUAAACAAAAAAAGCAACAAGAUAAAUAAAUAAAUAAAAGCCAGAUAAACAAAGAUAAUAAAAAUGCAUUUACACUAUUUACUAUUAGGAAUGUAGAAAGAAUUUAAGGCAAUUUCUAAAUAUUUUAGACUUAUUUUGCAUCUUGAUAUCAGUUUUUAAGCAUAAAUUUGCAAAUUUCAACUAUUCCUUUUGGGGAAAAAAAAAUCAACCAAAAUGCCGCUUUUUCCCUUUUCCUUGGUCCCUUUUUUUUAUGUACAUUUAAAAAUGGGAAAAAAAAUUGGAAAAGACUUCCCAAUAUUGUCAACAAGGGACUGCUGCUGUAAAGUGGAUCUUUAUUAAGUACUUCCAGACUCAAGGAAAUUUCUUUACAAUCACGGGUCAGUUGUAAAUAAUCAUCAAUUUGUGGUUAAUUAAUGGCAUAAUCAAUUCGUAACUAAACAAGAGAUAUUAAUUAAAUUUGAAGACUUUUAUUUUCUUUUUUUUCUUUUUCCAAUCGAAAUGUGAAGAAUUAAGGAAAAGAGAAAUAUAUAGAUGAAUUUAUGAACCUAUAAGAUGAGUGACUAUCCUUUAAUUUUUGAAAAUCGUACUUUUUAAGAUAUGAGCAAAAACUAUUUAAUUGAAUUAUAUUAUGCUGUUGAAUCGUGUUUGAAAAAUUUAUAUUGUUAAUUCUAAUGCUGACGAACCUAAAAACCGGACUUAAAACGUAGAUUUCAGGGUGGUGGUUCGAAGUACGAUACUUGAAAUAAAUAAUCAGUGGCUGAAUAUCAUUUGUAAACAAAAAAUGGUUAAAAUAUUGUUGGAUGUAAUUUGAAAAAAAAAAAAAAGAUUCGAAAUGAAUACAGCGAACUUACCAAUGGAGGAAAAAUAUUCUUUAGGUUAUCACACCAAUUUAUCUCCAAAUUCUUCAAUUUGCUGAAAGACUCCGAAGCAAGCUGGUGGUGCCAUAUUCUUCUCAAAUUAUCCAUCCUCCCAAUAUCUAAUACCUCCAACCUAGGAAGUCGUACCUGGCAGUUAAAGAUUAAAUAACUAAUUGAUCAAUUAAUGGCAUAAUCAAUUGAUAACUAAAUUAGAGGCGGAUAUUAACUAAUUUUGAAGACUCAAGGAAAAGAAAAAUUAAGUAUUGUGACUAAAAUUAAUUUUUUUUAUUAAAAAAAAAACUUUUCGUCAAAGAGAGGAGGAGGUUGCAUUUCAGAAUGAUUGGUGUCUUCUGGUGAGCUCGUAGAGAUGAAUCUUAACAUAUUUCUGCAACCACGAAACUUGAGGUUUAGCAAAGAAGGGAAUUCAACAACUGAAUCUGAAUGAAUAUGUCCCGUAUUGGCAAAGCUUGUUAGUUUAUAAAGCCCAUAGAGCUGUAGGGAGUGUAGUUUAGGAAAAACCUUUAAUUCAAUCAACUUUCCUUCAUCUCUUUCUGACCACCCCGUGGUGUCGACUACCCUUUCCAUUGACCAACAAGUGGUUAUCUCAAGAUGUUGGAGUUUCGCAAGACUAUUAACCAUAGAAUAUGAAAACAGAUACUUCAUACGAUGACAACUGACCACGUGCAGCUUUGUUAGAUUUUGAUAACAGUACAUUCCUUGAUUAUGAUCGGCCCAUAAUUUUUUCAUGUUUCUUAAGUCCCUGAGAUUCAAUUCCUCUAAGCUCGGAAGAAUAACCUGCAAAGAAAACCCGUACAUUUUUGUUCCUUCAAGUACAACCGUCUAGUAUAAUAUUUUUUUGAUGAUCGAAGAUUAAUGGUGAUAAUAAAUUAAUCAAUUAAUUAUUGAACAGAAAAUUAUCACCUUUGGAGCAGUAUCAUCAUCAGCAAUGAUUUCGUUGAAUCCCAAAGAAGUUGUUGGUUUCUCCCUGUCGGGUCCUAUAAACAAACAAAAACAAUAUAUACAUAAUUAAUCUUUGUUUUUUUUUGGUCCAAAAUAAUUGAGGAGAAGUCCAUAAUCACACCAACACUUACCAACAAUCAUUUCCAGAUCAUCGCAAGAAGCCACUUCUACCUUUUGAAGCUGCAGUAGGUUUUUGGCUAUGGAGAAUGAGAAAAGAUGCUUCAAUUCGCGACAGGAUUUUACUUCGAUAAUCCUUAAGUUGCUGAAAGAUUGAUCUUCUGUGAGUUGGCUGUCACAUAUUGUCUCCAAAUUAUUCAAAUAGCUAAGAGACAAUGACUCCAGCAAGGGAAAGACUGUCCAAUGAACCCGUCCAACUGAACCAACAAUAUGCGAAAUAUCAUAACAAUAUUCUACACGAAGAUGCUUCAAUCGUGGAAAACCUUCCCCAUCAUCUAAUUCAUGAACAACAUUCUGAACACCCUUCAGUUCGAUUAGAUGGAUCUCUUCAGUUAACUUCAGCAACAUUUUCGUCCCAUAAUUCUCCCAAAGAGUGCUAACAUUUUCUAACCCAUGGAGCUCCACCAAUCUUGAUGUUUCAGAAUUAACGCGCCACCACGCUUCUCCUAUACAUAUCUUAUAUCUUUGCAAUUCCACAGGGACCCAAUCCUGCGGCAGAAUUUGGGCAUCCCGAACGUGUAUCUCCAAGGUACUUAGCUUUGACAACCCCUUCAAUUCAGCAAGACUGGCGUUACUUCCUCCUUCAACCUUAUCCCACUGCGAAAAACUGUCACCCAUAUAUAGUUCUUCCAAUCGAGAAAAAUUUGAUAUGACAUUUGGUGCUAUCACUACAAGGCUCCUACAAUGUUGGGUGCAAGCGGAAGUGCAGAAAAAUUUUUAUUUAAGAACAGAGUAUUUUGCUGGAAAUUUCUGAAACUUUAUUGCUUAAUUCAUUUUUUUCGUUUCUCUCUUCCUUUUCAUACAACCAGAGUUCUAUAUUUAUAUGCAUUAUAGACAACUCUAGAGAUUACAUUAAUCAUGCUUUACAUUUCCAAAGCUACAUUGCAAACAUCAAUUCUACCCUUUACUUCAUGUUGAAAAACAAACCAAAUAACCCUUCAAACUUCUUGCUCAAUUUACUAGAUUAUUAAUUAUAUCUCAACACCCCCUCUUAAUUAGUAAUCUUCAAUUGCUUCUUGAAUUUUUCAAACUUCUCAAUGUUGAUUGCUUUGGUCAGAAAAUCUGCUGGCUGCUCAUUAGUGCUGAUAAACUCCAUAUUAACUUCUCCUUUGUUUACUAAGUCACGGAUGUAGUGAUAACGCAGCUCAAUGUGCUUAGAUUUAGCAUGAAAUACGGGGUUCUUUGUUAGAGCAAUGGCUGACAUGUUGUCACAAUAAAUUGUUGUUGCAGCAUCUUGAUUGAAUUGCAAAUCCUUGAGAAUUCUUCUAAGCCAAACGGCUUCACAAGCUGAUUCAGUUGCUGCAAUGUACUCUGCCUCGGCUGAGGAUAAAGCUACUGACUUCUGCUUCCUUGAGCUCCAUGAAAUCACAUUUGUACCAAGACAAAAUAAAUAACCUGAUGUGCUUUUUCUGUUAUCAAGGGAACCAGCCCAGUCACUGUCAGUAAAACCAACAAGCUUGCAAUUGUCUUCUUUUUCAUACAUGAUCCCCUGCUUUUUUGUUCCUUGAAGAUACCUUAAGAUUCUCUUUGCUGCAAUAUAAUGGGACUUCCUUGGAUCAUUCAUAAAUCUAGAAAGAACACUAACUGAGUGCAAAAUGUCAGGUCUUGAGUUGGUUAGAUAAAUCAAUGAACCAACCAAGCUUCUAUAGAUUCUUGCGUCAGCCUUUUCUUCUUUUUCAUCAUGUUUCAAUUUUUCAUUCAAACCCAUAGGAGUAGGUGCUGGUUUGCAUUUGAACAUGUGGAAUUUCUUCAACAAAUCUUCUACGUAUUUUUCUUGACAAAAGAAGAUUUUACCUCUGGCUUGCUUCACUUGAAUGCCAAGAAAAUACAUCAUUAAGCCCAAGUCAGUCAUCUCAAAUUCAUCUAGCAUGCUUUUUUUAAACUCUUCCACCAUUUUCAGAUUAGUGCCACAAUAAAUUAGAUCAUCAACAUAAAGGCAAACAAUAAGGAAAUCAGUACCUUCCUUUUUGACAUAAAGAGAAGGUUCACUUGAGCUUCUGUCAAAUCCAUUUUUAACAAAAUAUCUAUCAAUUCUACUAUUCCACGCUCGAGGGGCUUGCUUCAAGCCAUACAAGGCUUUUCGGAGUCGAUAAACUUUGUUUUCUUCACCUUUUACUUCAUAUCCUUUAGGCUGCUCAACAUAAACCUCUUCUUCAAUUUCACCAUUUAGAAAUGCCGAUUUUACAUCUAGCUGAAACACAUUUAAUUCCAUUUGGGCUGCCAAGGCAAGAACAGUUCGAAUAGUCUCCAUUCGAGCUACGGGAGCAAACGUUUCUGUAAAAUCAACUCCAGGCAGCUGAGAGUAUCCUUUGGCAACGAGCCGCGCCUUAUAUUUUUGAACUGAACCAUCUUCAUUGUACUUGAUUUUGAAGAUCCAUUUCAGCCCAAUUGUUUCUUUUCCAUUUGGCAAAUUAACCAUCUCCCAAGUUUUAUUUUUCACAAUGGUGGCCAUUUCCUCGUUCAUUGCUUUGAUCCAAUCUUCAUUUCUUGAGGCCUCCUCAAAGUCUUGAGGCUCACAAGAAAAUAAAGCAAGUUCACAUGACUCAUAAAUUUCUCUCAUUGACUUUAUCUUCCUUGGAGGGCUUUCAUCAUCCGAAGAAACUUUCUGCUGCUGAAUUUNNNNNNNNNNNNNNNNNNNNNNNNNNNNNNNNNNNNNNNNNNNNNNNNNNNNNNNNNNNNNNNNNNNNNNNNNNNNNNNNNNNNNNNNNNNNNNNNNNNNNNNNNNNNNNNNNNNNNNNNNNNNNNNNNNNNNNNNNNNNNNNNNNNNNNNNNNNNNNNNNNNNNNNNNNNNNNNNNNNNNNNNNNNNNNNNNNNNNNNNNNNNNNNNNNNNNNNNNNNNNNNNNNNNNNNNNNNNNNNNNNNNNNNNNNNNNNNNNNNNNNNNNNNNNNNNNNNNNNNNNNNNNNNNNNNNNNNNNNNNNNNNNNNNNNNNNNNNNNNNNNNNNNNNNNNNNNNNNNNNNNNNNNNNNNNNNNNNNNNNNNNNNNNNNNNNNNNNNNNNNNNNNNNNNNNNNNNNNNNNNNNNNNNNNNNNNNNNNNNNNNNNNNNNNNNNNNNNNNNNNNNNNNNNNNNNNNNNNNNNNNNNNNNNNNNNNNNNNNNNNNNNNNNNNNNNNNNNNNNNNNNNNNNNNNNNNNNNNNNNNNNNNNNNNNNNNNNNNNNNNNNNNNNNNNNNNNNNNNNNNNNNNNNNNNNNNNNNNNNNNNNNNNNNNNNNNNNNNNNNNNNNNNNNNNNNNNNNNNNNNNNNNNNNNNNNNNNNNNNNNNNNNNNNNNNNNNNNNNNNNNNNNNNNNNNNNNNNNNNNNNNNNNNNNNNNNNNNNNNNNNNNNNNNNNNNNNNNNNNNNNNNNNNNNNNNNNNNNNNNNNNNNNNNNNNNNNNNNNNNNNNNNNNNNNNNNNNNNNNNNNNNNNNNNNNNNNNNNNNNNNNNNNNNNNNNNNNNNNNNNNNNNNNNNNNNNNNNNNNNNNNNNNNNNNNNNNNNNNNNNNNNNNNNNNNNNNNNNNNNNNNNNNNNNNNNNNNNNNNNNNNNNNNNNNNNNNNNNNNNNNNNNNNNNNNNNNNNNNNNNNNNNNNNNNNNNNNNNNNNNNNNNNNNNNNNNNNNNNNNNNNNNNNNNNNNNNNNNNNNNNNNNNNNNNNNNNNNNNNNNNNNNNNNNNNNNNNNNNNNNNNNNNNNNNNNNNNNNNNNNNNNNNNNNNNNNNNNNNNNNNNNNNNNNNNNNNNNNNNNNNNNNNNNNNNNNNNNNNNNNNNNNNNNNNNNNNNNNNNNAACUUGAUGGUGACUGCCUUUUCGGACCUUGAAAUUCUUGUUUUAGGAUUUCCCAAGCAUUUUUGGCCUUUUUGACACCAAAUAUUCUGGGGAAAAUUGACUUACUAACACCUUGCUGGAUAUAUCGAAGUGCCGUGGCAUUUCUCUGUAUGUUUUCUUUGUACUGCUGUUGAUGUGCUGGAGUCCAAUCUGAAGAACUUGCUGAUUCUGGUGGUUCAGCAUAUCCAUCUUCAACAACAAGGUGUUGGGUGCAAGCGGAAGUGCAGAAAAAUUUUUAUUUAAGAACAGAGUAUUUUGCUGGAAAUUUUUAUUUACAAUUGCUCAAAUCUAGCAAUUGUAACCCCGUCAAUUGUCCAAUUUCAAGUGGUAACUGCUUAAUGUCGGAAUAUCGAAAGCUAAGAAUCUCCAAUUUCUUUAGUUGUCCAAUUGCCGCUACAUCUUCUAGUUGGCACCAGUCUAAACACAAUGUUUGAAGGUUAAUGAGGCGACCGAGUGACGAAGGUAAUGAAGAGAAAGGAAUUCUAGUAAGACUUAAAACUUUGAGUUCUUCUGUCCCUUCAAAAAAGAGAUCUGAAAUUUGCAUAGGGCCAUUACCCUUUCUAAACAACAAAAAUAACUGGAGAUUGGGACAUUGCAACCUUUCAGGGAGCUCUUGAAUAUUUCUCUGGGGUAAUGAAAUGGCAAUUGGAUCUUUCCGUAUUGUCUCUUCCAUCUUUUUCUCUAAGUCGGCAACAUUUGGAAUAUUAAACAUGCGCUUCUCUGCGGCAAUUGAUACGGCAACAACAUGAGUGACGUCAUGCAUUUUAACUUCAUCUUUAGCAUCACCGUCCAACAAUAAGCAUGAAGAUUUGAGGUUGUCGAUCAACCGAUGCACUCUACUCCUUGCUUCUUCCGAUGUGUAAACAUUUUCAAAUAAACGCCAACCCACACCAUAUCUCAAUAAGUUAGAAACUUGUAUGACAUAACCUUCACUGUAUAGACCACAAAGACGGAACAGAGAUUUUGCCUCCUCACUUUCCAAGAAGUCAUAACUCAAUUUUAUGGAGGUGUAAACAUUUGCUUGCAUGCCAUGAAUUUCUCUUGCAUCCGAUCUUCUUAGCUGAUUCAAUGCAUCUUUCCAAAAGUCAAGCUCCUUAGUUUUCAGAGCAUUUGCAACUGUACUCAGUGCAACAGGCAAACCUCCGCAUCUUUCAACGAUCUCAUUGGCUGUACUUUGAAAAGCAGAUAUUUUAGUUGAAUCACCCACUAUCUCCUCAAAUAACUGCAAUGCUUCUUUUGGUGGCAAAGCAUCGAUCUGGAAAUUUUUCUGAGAAUUCAUAUCAAUGCGCAAUAAAUCUUGCUUUCUAGACGUCAAUAUUAUUGUGCAUCUUCUCUGAUCAUCCUUUCUAUCUUUCUCAGCAACAUCCCCGGUUGGAAUUCCAAAUUUAUCCAACUCAAGUUUUGUCCAAAUAUUAUCUAAUAUAAUGAGGAGCUGCUUCUCUUUCUUCAAUCUUUCAUGUAAUCGUUCAGCUCUUUGGAAUUCAUUCUCAUUCAGGCCAAAUUCCAUGCCUAAAUCAAAAGCAAGUUUGUUUUGAAUUUUAUGAUGAUCUGGGGUCUGUGUUACCUCAGCCAUAACGACCUUAUCGAACAAGUUUUCUUCCAUCACUUGCUUUGCAACUUGCUUGACUAUCGUGGUUUUACCCACGCCGCCCAUCCCGUGGACCCCAAUUAUGUUGAGCUUAUCAUCCCUCAACGCCUCCAUAACAUCUUGAAAUACUUUCAUUCUUGAAUCAAACGCCUCGAAAUCUUUCACUUGAAUAUGUUCUGCCAGCUUUGGAGUAGGACGGUGGGAAACAUUAGAGAAGUUGCCUUUUCCCACGAGACUAGCGGCAGCUUCUGCGGCCUUUGCUGCUUGUCUACUGAGCUUGUAACGGGAAAUCAAGUUUGGGCACGAUCCUUUGAAACAGAACUUCUUAGCUCUAUCUUCAUCAUCAGUGAUGGAUUUUGCAGCGCCCUGAGUGAAUUCCUUGACACUAUUAAGCCAGUCUGCAACAUCCUUAUAAAUCUCAUCUCCUUGUUGAGUAGCCUGAUGAACGGGUAUUUCCACCCUUUCUCUUUUGUGUUCCAGCUGCUUCACUUGAUCUUUUAGGCCAUCUAUGUAGCUCUGGUACUUGAACACAUAAGAUAUCUGCCGUAUAAUCGGUUUGAAUAGUGACUUUACACCUUCUGAUACGAUGCUGGAAAAAGCAGCCAGACCCACUUCUGCAGCCAUUGCCUGUUGCUUAACAGUAUAUAUAUAUAAAUAUAUAUAUAUAUAUAAAGUGAAUAAAAAUGUCAAAUAAAGGAAUACAAAUAAAUUAAAAUGAACUAGAGGGAAAGACAGAGAAAGAAUAGACCGCAAACAACAUCACGAUAUUGAUCUUGAACCAACUGAUACCUAAGUGGAGAAUUUCUUUUUCUAUCUUAAGGAUCAGAGGUUUCGCUAUUAACAGAAAGGUAUCCUUCAAGGAAAGUUGAUGGAAAUUAAGAAAGAAUGGCUAUCAAGAUCAAGUAUUCUGCUACUAAAAAUAAAUGAUAUGAUUAAGAAAAACCAGAGAAUUUUUUCCUAGGAAAGUUGAUGGAAAUUAAGAAAGCACCGCUAUGAAGAUCAAGUAUCAGAGAUUCUGCUACUAAAAGAAUAUUACAGGUUUUAGAACAAGUGCACCUCUUUACCUGUCUGGGAUCAGAGUUGAUGAGCUGCUGUAUUCACCUUGAAUAUAGAAGAAAUAUUACAGAUUUUGACUAAAGAGGAAUGUGAGGAACGAGUUGAUGAGAGUAAUAACAAUGAAUUUCCAAAAGAAGACGACUUGAGCAUUAAGCAUGCACCCCCUUUUUCAAUCAAAUAUUGGUACGUAUGUACGUAGGGACCAUUAUGCGUAUAUGAAGUCCAUUAGUUGCAAUCAGAAACCCUGGACCAAUUUAAAUGACACUCGAUUUUUGAUAAGAAGAAGGCAAGGAUAAGGACAAAGUCAAUCAAUCACCAACAGUAAUUACUUCAAUCUUUGUCAAUCUACUUAAAUUGUCGAUCAACAUGAAAAUUGUUUAAAUUGAUAUUUGUAAAUCAAUCAAUUUUCUAGUUACUAUGAUUAUAGCGUUUCACCUUUCAUAUUGGAUUUUAUCUUUUCGAAAGUUUUCAAAUAUGAGUGUCAAUAAUUAUUGAGACUCCAAGCCGUGCUCUCAAGAUCGUGCUGACACAUCACUAUUAACUUUAUUUAUGCAUAUUUCAAAGAAAAAAAGUUAUGGUUUUGUAUUGCCAGCCCUGCUACUUUUUGUUUUUUUUCAUUUGUAUUAUUUACGAUUUUUUUUUAACAGAAACAUGAGAACUCAUCAUCGUACAAAAUUGUAUGAAAAAAUCUUCAAAUUUAUAAAAGUAAAUUUCAUUGACAGAUUGUGGAUAUGUUAGCAAGAAUAAGGAUAAGAAUGAGUUAAGAAAUUAAAAAGAAAAAAAAUAUAGUGUAAGUAAACAAUGUUUUGGUACAUUUGGUAUUGUUUUCAAAAUAUUUUGAAAAGAAAAAUUUUCAAUCAUCCACCUAAAAAUUAUUUUAUUAUCCAAAAGUUAUGAAAAUUUAAAUAUACUUAAUUUUAUACCCAUUAUUACAAUGUGUAUCAACUGUUUACUAAAAAAAUAAAGUUACUCCUAAAACGUAAUCACCACUACAAUUUUAUGUUCGCUUCUAUUUUGUCACUUUGAACGAAUAACUUUGAGUAAAUGACUGAUAAUUUCUCUUUUAUAAGCUACAAGAAGUUAAAAAAAGAAAAAAGAAAAAAUAGGAUGAUAAUUUCUCUUUUAUUUGCCUCAGAUGAUUUAUUGUUUCGGGUCUAAGAUUUUAAAUAUUCAACUUAAAAGAUUAAUAUAUUAUAAAUUAAUUAAUUAAAUAAUCAUUAAGCAAAUAAAUUGUGUCCCUGGAUGUCAAUUCCUUUAAUAUUGACGCAACUAUUUUUUUCUGGCAAAUAAUUAUUAAUGCACUUACGGAACUUUGCAUAUCUACACAGCGAUUUUAAAUAUUACUGGUAACUGCUAAGAAAUGUGCGAGAAAGGAGUUGAUGAGAGUAAUAACAGCGACUUGCAAAAGGAAAAGACAGAAUCAUUCACCCCUUUUUGUAUCACGUAUUUGGUUACUGUUUCCCUGUUGACGCAUGUAUAAAUUUGAGUGGUUUUUCUCCACGUUUUUGAGUGGUCUUUCUGCACUUUUUAACAAUAUGAUAAUUGACAGGUUAAUUAUUUUAUAUCUUUUAUAAAAUUACUAUUAAAGGAGAUUUUCUGCACGCAUGUAUAAUAUUUUAUAUCUUUAUUUAUAUUACUAUUAAUUUUAAAUUAAAAUUAUUUAUAUUUAUUCAUAUUCAAAUAUUUAUUAUUAGUUAUAUUAACUAUAAUAUAAUUAAAUAAUACAUUAUUUAGUUAUAUUUUCAAUAUAAUAAAAAUUAAUAAUAUAAUAAUAAAAUUUAUUUAAACAUUUAUUAACAUGUAAUAAAUUUUGUUUUUGUGUACAAUACAAUAAAUUGAUAACUAAAAUAAAUAUUAUUAACAUUAUUUUAUUAUUUUAUUACCUCAAUAUUAUUAGUAAUUAUAAGAAUUCCUUGAAAGUUAAUGAUUUUACUUUUUUGAUUAAUAAGGAUAAUUUUAUAUUUUUAUAGUAUGUAUGACGGCUUGCCUCCUGCAUGCGUCUAAGUGCAACCUUCCUAUAUAAUCGGUUGCUUUGCUUGUGAAACUACAUCAAACCCUAAUCCUGAUCCUGAUCCUGCUGAGAUGAGUGUUAUAUAUGCUGAAGCAAAUUAAACACGCACAUCAUCAAUUUGAUUCGAUAUGCGCACCGUCUUACGUAUAAAUACCAAAAGAAAUCAUAAUAUACAUCUUAGUACUGAUAGUCGUGAUCACAAAUUAGGAACACAAUAUAUACACAUGCAUAAUAUAAAGAAAACACGAGGUAAAUUAAAAGCGUGUAAAUAUUCAUUUUUUUCAAAUAUUGAGAUGUAGCUAUAAAAGAAAAAAUAAAUUAAAAAAUUUUAAAUUUUAAUAUGGCCAUCGUAGAGUUAGAAUCCCCGCUCCAACCCAAUUUGGAGAUGUGCUUGGUCUAUUUAUGUUUUGGAAAAAGAAAAACCAAAGGAAAAAAAAAUACACACACGACCAAAUCAAGCAAUUCAUCAAAUAAAAAAUAAAAAAAGGAAAGAAAUUUAAUGACUUGCAUGCAAUUUUGGAUCUGAAAUUAAAAUUACAUAAAAAUUAAGGAUUACCUACCUUAAUAUUUACAGCUUAUUUGAUGGACUCAACAGGUUUAAGCAACAUCAAAAUGUUUGUGGCUCCUUAAAUGAGCCCCCGACAUGGUGCAAAUGACAACAUCGACUUGUUUGACAGCUCCAACAAGGCUACGAUGAUCAGAAAAUGAGCCCUCAAUCAACAAGCUAAGAUUGGCUUCUCUAUCCUCUUCUCCCCACAACCAGCGCCUUGCUCUUUGUCAUUUUUCCUCUUGUUAGUUUUCUUCUACAUAUAAUUAUUACACUGGGAAGUACACACCCCUCUUUUCUUUUUAUAGUACCUUACUAUUAUAUCUUUACAAAACAAUAUCACCCUAAGACAGAUAUGUAUGAAAUAAAUGAAAUAAAUAUAUAAGGAACUGACGAAAUAAAAUUAUCAUGACCAUAGACUUUUCUAAUUUAUUUUUUCCUUUAAAAAACGACAAGGAUAAGUUUGGGAAAAUGAUUAUAUUUUUAAUAAAAGAAUUCUUUUUUAUUAUAAGGAUCCACCUACGUUACAAUAGUGAUACCAUACUACAGUUUUUGUCUUUAUUUAGUUGAGUCGUUGGAUGUUUUACUGGUCAAUCUAAUGGCUGAAAUUAAUUAUUAGAUAAUUGAUGCGGCAACCUGCAACCGUUGGAGCCGGUUGCGUUUUAAUGUAAUGUAAUAUCAUUUGCGAGCUUGUGCUGAGAAAGUUUGUUGUACUGCAUCAAUGGAACUGAUUUGGUCAGGAUUUAUGGAUAUAGAGAAAGAGGAGUGUUAGAAAAGAAAACGGUGCAGAAGAUUGUCCCUUCAUCCAUUUGGCCUUUGGUAGGGGCUUCCUUUGAUUUUCACCUGGACUUCAUAAAUUCCUCAAAUUUCCUUCUUGAUAACAGUAAUCCUGCAUUCGGAGAGAGGUAAGUCACCAUGUUUCGUCACAAACGUGGCCAUCUCUUCUCCAUUCGAUUGGUUGCUUUUUAAAUCCAAUGGUUAUAUUAGAUGAGGACAAAAAUUGUGGUAUGGUACCACUGUUGUAACAUAAGUGGAUCCUUAUUAUAAUACUUUUUGUCUUAAUUAAUUUAAAAAUAUUGACUCUUAUAUUUUAAUAAAUAUAAAUAUAAUAUUAUAAUAAAAUAUAACAAUAUAUACAAAUAUUUAAAAAAUUUAAGAUUUUAUUAAAAUAAAUUUUAUAAUAAAUACAAAUAUAUUAUUAAUAUAAUUAUAAUAAUUUGCAUUUUAAAAAGUAAUACUGCUAUAAAUUUUUUAAAUUAUAUUACUCUACCAAAAAAAUAAACUAUUAAAUUAUAUUGAUAUUUAUUAAAAAAUUUGCAAUUAAUUCUUAUUAUAUUUUUAAUUGGAAUUUUUUUCUUGUGAUAUAACAACAAUUGCUACAGUUUUUUCCCUAAAUAAAGAUGGAGUUAUAAAUUAUUUGUAUAAGUGUCAUGAAAGUAAUAGUUGAAUAACAAUAAUGGGGCUUUAGGCAAUUUUUUUAUGAGGUCUUCUUACAAUUUCAACACUUAAACAGACUUGUCCUUGAUCCCAAUUUAUUUACUGCAUUUGGGCCCACGAUGAGAUAAAUAUAUUCCUGUGAGAUGAAAAACAUCAGGAGAAGAAAAUGUUUUAUUAUAAUAAAAAAAAAAGUGGUCCAUAUGUUACCUGUUACCUGCAGAGGAAUGUGAUUAUAGAGAGCUUAUGAGAGUAACGACAAUGAUUUGCAAAAGAAGAAGACUUAAUCAUGCAGCCCUUAGUAUUUAUCAAAUGAUUAGUGAUCAUUUCUUUUAUAAAUAAAAUGCCAACAGCAAAAAGAAAAAAAAAAGGUUAAAUUUAUUAAGUCUUAUUUUAAUUUUAAUUUCUUUUAUUUUCAUUCGCCGAAGAGGGAAUCUCUUUUCCUAAUGUGACAUAAUUAAAGCAAUCUAUAAAUAAUACAAUAAUCAGAUAAUAUAAUAAUUAAAAAGACGCACAUGUUUAUAAUAAUAAUGAUGGGAUCCAUAUGUUUAUACUGAUUAAAUUGGUGGACCAGAAUUUAUUUGACCUUACUUGUUUUCUAUUUAAUUAAAAAUUGAAACGACAGAGAAAAAAUGUCGUACUGAUGGUUUCGAUUGUGGAGUUCCGCUGUGGAUAGCACAUCCAAUAGUGAAAAAUGAAGCUUUCGUCAACUAUCUCACAUCCACGCGUACCAUCAUGCAUAAUUGGAUAUUGCAUUAUUUCUUUAGAAAAGCAAGAUUAAUUCUUUUAACAAGCAAACGCAUAUACAUAGAAUAAUUAUAUGUAUUUGUUGGUUCAAGAAACUUAACUGACAAGAUUGAGACAAACAGGAGAUUUUAAUUUUUUUUGGACAUUAAGAAAUAACAGCUGUCAAGAUCAAGGAGAUUAUGCUAUUAACAGAAAUUAUUAAAGGAUUUAGAACAAGUUAACCUCUUCAGUUAUCCGGGAUCAUACGGUUGAUGAGCUUCUCUGUUUGGCCUUGAAUAUUUAAGAAUAAUUUUGAUGAGCAAAAAGAUCACUGGUAACUGCUGAGAAAUGUGUGAGAAAAGAGCUGAUUAGCGUAAUAACAAUGAAUUGCAAAAGAAAAAGACUUAAGGGUAAUUUUUGGAAACCUCCCCUGAGGUUUGCCCUUGCUACACUUAGAGAGAAUGUAUGCAUAUAUUGACAUAUAGCACCCCUGACCGUGUAUGAGCGUUAGAGUGCCGUUUGGUUGUUAAGGGCAAUAACGUAAUUGCAAAAAUAAAGAGGCUGACUGCAGAAAGAACGCAAUAGCUUUUGCUUCCUCUCCAUGUCUUCGUUCUUGUUCUUUCUCUCGCUCUCAAAAGAAUUUGGAGGCAGAAAAGGAAAAAAAAAAAAUUCUUCUUUUCUUUCUCUUUUCCCCCCUUCCUCUCCACCCAUUUCGUUCUUUUAUCAGUAAAGCUGAAAAACAAAGGCCACUAUUCCUGCAUCACCACCAGUUUGUCGUAUUGCUUUGCUAGUCAACAAAAAUUCUAACCCCAUGUUAAAAAAUAACAUCAAUAUUAAUGCUUCUUCUUCUUAUGAUUCUUUCACCUCUUUAGAAAAUGGUGCACUAGUUAUUCAUAACAAAAGAGAAAGAAAACCAGCAGGCACCCCAUGUAGCUUUCUUUUUCAAUUUUCUUUUGUAUAUGGGUUAAAUUCUUUUAAGGCGAAUUGCAAGUUUUAAUUUUUGUUUUUCCGUUUUUUGUUUGAUACGCACACACGCAUAAAUCCAGAUGAGAGGUGGUUUUUAUAUGCUGUUCAAUCUAAUUAUAAAGCACAUCUAAAAAAUUGUGGUACUAGAGGCCAUUCUUCUGACUGUGGCCGAGUGUUUUCCAGGUUCUUCUCUUUCUCCUAAAUUUACUCCCUUUUUUAUUCUUUCAACAAAAAUGAGAUUCUUUGCUCCUUCAAGUGGAACCUCGGGGGCAAAUUACCUCCACAAAUUGACCCACGGGCCACGGCUACUAGAUUUGGAGGGGAGAGAGAGUGACCUACGGCUGCUGGAAUUGGAGGGGGGAGAGAGUGACCCACGGCGGCUGGAAUUGAAGGGGGGAGAGAGAGUGAACCGUGCGUUUUGUGCUAGAUUUGGAGAUCCGAGGGGAGAAAGAGAGUGUGACCCGUGACCCACAACUGUUGGAUUUGGAGGGGAAAGAGAGUGAGAGCUGUCGACGGAGCGUGGUGAGGAAGAAUGGGAAAUUGGUGGCUUGGUAAGAUUAGUGGCAUGAGCUGUGAGGGAGAGCGAGAGAGGGUGUGCUGCGAACGUUGCGUGUGUGUUGCAAAUGGUGUUGCACAGUUCUUUCAAUCAAACCCUAAGAUCCUCACAAAAUCAUGCCAAAAUAUUGAUUCACCAGGCCUUUUAAUUAAGUUAAAAGCUUCUGUUUUGUUAUCUUCUGCAAUGAAAGAAGCAUCGUCAAGUCUGCAACUCCACGUUGCUGCAAGUAUUGUCAGUUAUUGAACUGUGCAGUGAAGGGCAUUAUUGUACUUUCGGUAACAGAGCAAACGGCAGUCUAACACUGAUACACGGUCAGGGGUGCUAUAUGUCAAUAUAUGCAUACAUUCUCUCCAAGUGUAACAAGGGCAAACCUCAGGGGAGGUUUCCAAAAAUUACCCAAAGACUUAAUCAUGCACCCCUUUUCAUAUCACGUAUUUGGUUACUGUUGCCUUGUUGACAUAUGUGUAUAAUAAGGGUCCGCCUAAGUUACAGCUAAUGUAAGUUGAAGAAAGCACUAGUUCACGACUUUACCUUUGGAUAUAUUCUAAAGAGAUAAUUAAGUUUGAUAAAAGAUAAAGCAAAAGCUUGAAUGCAUGAUUGAGGGCGAAGACUUUUAUUAAAGCAGAUGCCGAAAGCACACGAAAAGCUUGAAUGUUGUGGCUCCUUAAGUGAGGCCCAGACAUGGUGCAAAAGACAAAAUCGACUUGUUUGACAGCUUCAACAAGGCUACGAUGAUCAGAAGAUGAGCCCUCAAUCAAGAGAGCUCCCUGCCUCUUAAAUGAUAAAUUAAAAGCAAUUGUAGCUUGUCGACAUCAGGCCAAUUUCAGGCCUUUGAAGAGCACAAAUGACAUGGCCUUGACCAAAGAUUGCCUUCUCUAUCCUCUGCCGACACAUCCACUUCUCUCCACAACCAACGCCUUGCUCUCUGUCAUUUUUCCUCUUGUUAAUUUUCUUCUACAUAUAAUUAUUACGCUGGGAAGCAUACACACACCUCUUUUCUUUUUUUUCUUUUUUUCAAACUACUAAAUAUUAUGGGAAAAUGAUCGAAACCCUUUUUUUUUUUCUUUCUAGUUAACAUUAUCAGGUGUAUUUUUGGCUUUUCACACUUGCAUAAAAAAUUGAUAAAAAUUUGAAACAUAAAAUUCACUUUAUUACCUUUUACUUUUGUAAAUAAACUAAAAGAUAUUUUAGUCUUUUCAUAUAUUUGCCAAACGUUUUUAUAAAUUAAAUGGUGAAAUUGUUUAUAUAGAUUACAAAUAAACAGUAUAAUUAAUUAUAUUUUGUAUGUAUAAAGCAUUAAAUAAUCAGAUAUUUGUGGCUUUUAAAACUCAAGAAAACUCAAGAAAAUUAAAUGACAAGAUUAAGACAAACAAGAGAUAGUUUUUGUUGGACAUUAAGAAACAACUACUAUCAAGAUCAAAGAUUAGAAAUUAUGCUAUUGAAAGAAAUUAUUAAAGUAUUUAGAACAAACGCACCUCUUCAAUUAUCUAGGAUCACAGAGUUUAUGAGCUUCACUCUUGGCCUUCGAUUUAUAAGAAAAAUUUUAAUGAGCAAAAGAUCGCUGUUAACUGCAGAAGAAUGUGAGUAAAGAGUUUAUGGGAGUAAGCAAUACAAUUGAAUUGUAAAAGAACAAGACUUAAAGCGUGCACCCCGUGUUCAUAUAAACAGAACACAUGUUCAUUUUUAACAAAGUGAUCAAUAACUCUAUUCGUUAUUUAAUUGAUAUUGUAACCAAUUCUAAGAGAAUAUAACAAUUAUCAUUCAAUCCAUAAAUUUUGAAUUAGAUUUUUUUAACUCUUUAUUUAAAUAUAAACCUUAAUGGAAAAUUAUAAAAGUUUAGAGAUAAAAUUUUUCAAUCACCAAACGAAAAAAACAGGGGAAUGAAAACAGAGGAAUCUUGUUUUAACUAAUUUUUUUUCCUCAUUUCUUGGUCUUAUAUUAAUAAUCUUGUUUUGAUGAUAGUGCUCGUGACUGCGGGAAAAUUUCUACUGGAAACAACUCAAUUUCGGAAGAAAACUUAAUUUUGCAAGUGAUGAAUUUGAACUCGUUGGAUUGGUUGAUUUAUGAUUGACUGAAUUUCACUUUUGCCCAAAAGAUCUUUAACCAAAGUUUAAUAGCUAUCAUGUACUCCUUAAAAGCAAUUUUUUUUUUAUAGAUUUGACUGAAUUUGAACUUGUUGGAUUGGUUGUUUUUAGAUUAUUAAUAUGAGAUAUUACAACGUAAAUAUUUUCAUGGGGUUGAGCCCUAUUCUAAAAUCUGUAUAGUUAGCUUUAGAAAAAGGGCUUUUCCUGCUGAUCUGUAAUCUUCAAAUAAACUUAGAUACAAAUAAUGAAAUAAAAGACAACAAACAAGCAAUACUGAUACAAAGCCAACAGAUCAGAGUUUUUGGUACAAAGCCAAUAAAAGACAAUAAACUUAGGACCUUUUUUUCUUGCUUUCUUUUGUUGAAGGAUUAGAGUUUUUGGUAUUAUCAGUAAAGAUUUCAAGGGUCUGAGUAAAAGCCUAUAAUCUUUUUCUAAACUUUUUUUUUGGGGGUGGGGGGGGAGCAUGCAAAUUAACCAAAAGAAAUAAUAAGACCACAGGCUUUAACAAUGAAUGCUAACUUAAAACUCAUGCAAAAUAAGUUACAAUAUUAAAACAAACCAGAGAAAAUUUUUUCUUGGAAAGUAGAUGGAACUUAUGAAAGAGCAGAUGUCAAGGAUUUAGAAAACGUGCACCUCUUUAAUUAUCUGGGAUUAGAGAGUUGGUGAGCUUCUCUAUUUAAGAACAAGUUGAAAGAGGAAAAAGAUCACAGGUAACUGCUGAGGAAUGUGUGAGAAAAGAGUUGAUGAGAGCAAUAACAAUGACCUGCAAAAGAAACAGAAUUAGUCAUUCACCGCUUUUCUAUAUCAUGUAUUUGGUUAUUGUUGCCCUGUUGACGCAUGUUGAAGAAGAAAGCACUAGUUCACAACUCUACGUUUUCAUAUAUUCUAAAGAAAUAAUUAAGUUUUCAUAGAAUAAAAUGGUAAGACUUUUAAUUGAACAAUUGAGUGCAAUCAGUAACAAAGGCUUUACAAAUGCAAGUAAAAUUUGUACGUUGCUUCAGAAAAAAAGGGCAUUUCUCACUCAUCUUUAAUCUGCAAGUAAAAUUAGAUACAAAGCAAAUCUAAUAAAAUGACAAACAAACAAACAAAACAAAGAAAAGACAGGAGGCAAACAACAUUGAUCUUAAGCCAACUGAUAAUUAAACAGAGAAUUCUUUUUUUUUUUUUUAACCUGUUGCUAAAGGAUUAGAGUUUUUAUAUUAACAGAAAGGUUUCAGGGGUCUGAAUAAAAGCCCACAAUUUCUCUAUUUUAUUUUUAUUUUUAUUUUUUGAAAGGAGCUUCACCAUUGGCCUUGAACAUAUAAGAAUGAGCAAAAGAUCAAUGUCAACUGCCGAGGAAUGUGAGUAAAGAUUUCAUCAGAGUAAGAAAUACAAAUGAAUUGUAAAAGAACAAGACUUAAGCGUGCACCCCGUGUUUUGUUUUAUUGUACGUAUAAACAUAACAUGUUCAUUUUUAACAAAGUGGUCAAUAACUCUUUUUUUUUCGGUACAAAGACGUGCCUAGUAUAGACUAGGGCAAAACAAAACGGGGGUGUGAAACCCCAAUACAAUCAUGACGAAUCCAAAACCCAGCCCCUAAAGGAAGAGAAUUGAAAAUGUGCAAUCCAACAGGUAGUGAAAGAGUAGAGUUUGCAAGAAAGUCAGCUGCAAAAUUUGAUUCUCUGUAAACAUGCUUGACCCGCACUUGCCAGGUUCUGUUAAGCAAUUCCUUAAUACCCCUGACAAGAGAAGCAUGUGCAUUUGGCCUAAUCUCGUCAUCCGCCACCAAACGAGUAACACAAAGGCUGUCAACCUCCACCCGAAGCUGCCGAAUUCCAUUAUCCCAAGCCAGACAUAACCCUUGAUAAAGGCCCCGUAACUCAGCACCAGUGAUGGUACCCACACCAAUAUUCAUUCCAAAACCAAUUAUCCACUCUCCAUAACAGUUUCUAAUCAAACCACCCGCACUAGACAUACCAGAACUUUUACGAGCUCCAUCUGUGUUGAGUUUAAACCAAGGCCAAGUAGGUGCCACCCAUCCAAAAUAUUUCUCAAUCUUCAUGGCAGCAGGAACCAAACAACUCUGAUUAAACUUUUGAAUUUCUUCUGUACGGAUCUUAAUAUCCAUUACAACAGUACUCUUGCUGGUAAAAACACCAUUAUGUAGAUUUUGGUUACGCCAAAACCAAAGCCUCCAAACUGUGACCCCAAAAAGACAUGGCCAGUCAAACAUACCAUCAUACUUCCACAAGUUCCUCAAAUUAUAUAACAUCCAAUCUCGGAGAUUCAAACUAAAAAAUUGAUGACUAAUCCCAUGGGGUAUCAAUGACGACCAGAUUGCUUAGCACUGGGGCAAUCCCGCAGCACAUGAAGAGUAUUUUCAACAACACAGCCACACCUUGCACAGCUCAUAUCAUCAAAAAUAUGUCUCCAGAAAAGUUCUGCUUUAGUUUUAAGUCUAUUUUGACCCACCACCCACAGAAAGGUUUUGAUACGUUGGGGACCUCUCCACUGCCAAAGAAUGCGCCAAAAGGAUUCUUCAUUGUGAACCUCCAUUUUUGACAAAGCCCUAUAUGCUGAAUUAGUAGUGAAAUCUCCUGACUUAGAAUAUGCCCAGUACAUGUAAUCAUCCUCAUCAUUUACACUGGGAGGCUUGGUGGCUGCAAUUUUGAGAAGUAAAUGAUGGGGCAAUAAAUUCUCAAAAAGCCGCCAAUUCCAAGUACCCUCAACAGUGAUAAACCUCGCCACACACUCCUCAAGCUGCUCUAAAGGUAUCGGCUGCAAAGCGAAAGUAUACAAAGGGUAUUCCUCUAUUACCCAAUUAUCCCACCAAAAUCUAACUCGGUUGUCAUUUCCAAUGUCCCAUUUGAUCCCUUUUAAAACCUCAUGCCAAAUGCCUCCCACAGCCUUCCACAUGUAAGAGCCAUAUUUCGUAGGUAAUGUGCUGGGGAGAGCAUUAGGAGCCAGCCCAUACUUAGACAAGAGAACCUUCACCCAUAAACUAUUUGGAGAAGCAAUUAAACCCCACCCAAUCUUCAUGAGCAGAGAGCAUCAUUCAUUAAAUUAAGCUGCUUAAGACCAAGGCCUCCGCUAGGUUUCGGUUGACAUAUUGUAUCCCAUUUCACCAAACUGAUUUUCUUCUUGUCUGCUGCCCCGCUCCAAAUAAACCUCCUACAAGCCUGAUUAAUUUUCUCCCGAAUACCAAACGGAAUCCUCGUGGUCUGCAUUGCAUAAAUAGGAAUCGCCUGGAUUACCGAUUGAGUGAGAGUGAUCCUAUCCACCAAGGACAAAUGUAUCGCAUUCCACCCCGACAAACGUUGGUUCACUUUGUCCAAAAUUCCCUGAUAAGUCAGCUUAUUAACCCGUGAAUGAAUAAUUGGCACUCCUAAAUAUUUCCCUAGGUUUUUUGUGACAGAAAAACCCAAGGAAUCACCAAUUUCCUUAGCCUCAGCAGACUUUACGUUGUGGGAGAAAAAAACUUGUGUCUUUGUUUUACUAACUUUCUCUCUAGAGGUCAUAGAAAAAACAUUCAACACUUCAUUUAUAACCAUUGCUUGCCUACAGGAAGCCUCUGCAAGCAAGAUAAGAUCGUUAGCAAAAAAUUAGUGAGAUAAAGAGGUACCUCCACGAGAUAGUUUAAUAGGUUUCCAGUGCCCUCUCUUCACAGUGUCAUUUAUUCCAUGGCUUAACCUUUCUAUACAUAACACAAAGAUAUAUGGGGAAAUGGGGUCUCCCUGUCCAAUACCCCUAGAAGGGGUAAAACUCUCCGUAAUUUCUCCAUUCCAUAGAAGUUGCAUAGUCGCCGUUGGAAUACAUUCCAUAAUAAGCCGAACCAAAACAGUAGGCAAUCCAAACUCCCUCAAGGUUUCAUAAAUAAAAUCCCAGCUUAAACGAUCAUACGCCUUUUCCAAAUCCACCUUAAUGGCCAUCUGCCCAAUCCUCCCUUUCUUACGUCUCAUCGAAUGAAAAACUUCCUGAGCAACCACUAUGUUUUCCGUUAUGUGUCUCCCCGGGAUAAAACUAGUCUGGGUAGGUCCAAUGAGGUCAGGCAAGAUAGAUUUCAGCCGGUUAGCUAAUAACUUAGUGAUAGUUUUAUAGAUAACCGGGCAAAGACUAAUCGGACGAAAAAGCUUAAGGCUAAUAGGAUUAUCCGACUUAAGAACCAACACAAUCAGAGUUUUGUUCAGCUCCUUAGGGAUCUCGUUGCCAUUAAAAAUACCUUUUAUAAGACUACAGACAGAUUUUCCCACUACAUGCCAUUGGGUCUGGUAAAAGAGAGCAUGCAACCCGUCUAUUCCAAGGGCUUUCAAAGCCUUCAUGCUGAAGAUCACAUUCUUAAUUUCCUCAUCAUCCUCCACUGCUUGUCCCAAAGCUUGCAUUCGACUUUCCUCAAGGAUUGGGAAGGCGUUAACAACAUGGUAUGGAUGAUAGAUUGCAUCCUCUUUGGAAUAGAGCUUUGAAAAGAAGGACACAGCAUAAUCUCUAAUCUCAUCAUUAUUCAACAUUCAAUAACUCUAUUCGUUAUGAAAUUGAUAUUGUACCCAAUUUUAAGAGAGCAUAAUAAUAACCAUUCAAUGCAUAAAUUUAGAAUUAGGUUUUUUUGUAAUUCUUUAUUUAAAUAUAAACUUCAAUGGAAAAUUAUAAAAAUUUAGAUAUAAAAUUUUAAAUCACCAGACCAAAAAAAAAAUAGGGGAACGGAAAUAGAGGAAUCUUGCUUUACCUUUUUUUCCUUUAACUCUUGUUCUUAUAUAAAUAAUCUUGUUUUGAUGAUUGUAACUCGUGACUGCGGGAAAAUUUCUAAUGGAAACAACUCAAUUUCGGAAGAUAAGCUUAAUUCUGCAAGUGAUGAAUUUGUUCAAUUGACUCUGUACUUGAACUAGUUGGAUUGGUUGAUUGAUGAUUGACUAAAUUUGAAUUAAGUUUAAUAGCUUAGCUAUCAUGUACUCCUUAAAAGCAAACGUAAAUCUUUUUUAGAUUUGACUGAAUUUGGGAACCUGUUGGAUUGAUUAUUUUUAGAUCAUUAAUAUCAGAUACUACAACGUAAAUAUUUUCUUGUGGUUGAGUCCUAUUCUCAAAUCAGUAGGUUGCCAUAGAAAAAGGGCUUUUCUCACUGAUCUUUUUUUUUUUCUUUAAUUCACACGCACUUGAUUAUUGACUUCUUUCAUGAAGAAAUAAACUUGUAAUGACUUAAAGAUUUAAUUUCAAGUUAGAAUCAAUACCAAAAGACGGAGGUUUAACCAAGCAUGCAGUGUGAUAAAAGUACUUUAAAAAAUGUUGUUCGACCCAAUUAAGUUGAAGAAAUAACAAAGUUUUCAUGGAAUAAAUACCGGUUGUGCUUUAAUGAUUUUGGCAUAGACAUUGCUUGUGUACUGUGAAAUUGAAAUGAAUAUUAAGUGACAGCGCGAUGUAUAUGCCUAAUAAAAGAUCAGCAAAAGCUUGGAUGAAUGAUUGAAGACCAAAACUUUUAUAAAAGCAUUUUUGAGAGAAACUAAACACCAAAUUAUCAAAGUAAGAUCAACAGUAUAUGAUUUGAUUUAUACAUAUUCAAAAACAAAAUAAUGAUUAAUAAUAAAGUUUGAUUUUGUAUUGCCAACGAUGCUUUUUUGUUGUUUCAUUUGUUCGACGUGGCCUUAUUUACAAAUUGGUUGAUGUUAACAGAAACAUGAAAUUCACAUCACACAAAAUUGCACGAACAAAUAUUAAGAGAACGUAAUAAUAAUCAGUCAAUGCGUAAGGGUAAAUUUAGAAUUACAUAUUCUUUUUUAUUUAAUAAAAUCCCAACGGGAAGUCAUAAAAAUUUAGAUAUAAAAUUUUCAAUCACCAAACAAAAAAACAGGGGGAAUGAAAACACAGAAAACUUGUUUUACCUUUUUUUUUUCAUCUAAUUCCUGUUCUUAUAUAAUAUUUUCCCUAGUAUUUCAGGCAAGAAAAAAAAAUUCAAUAAAGAGCAAGAAAACUUCACAAGCUCAGAUUGAUUUAUCUUGUUUUUCAGGUUAGCUUGUGAAAUGAUGAUAAUGCUCAUGAAUGCUAGAAAACUUCUAAUAUAAACAACUCUAUUUGGGAUGAUAAGCCUAAUUUUAUAAGCGAUAAAUAUAAAUAACUUUUUGUGGUUAAUUGAAUUUGUAAUUACUCUUAGCCCUAUUCUAAAAUUUGUAGGCUGCUUCAGAAAAAAAGAAUAUUUCUCACUCAUCUUUAAUCUUCAAGUAGAAAGCAAAUCUAAUAAAAUGACGAACAAACAAACAAAUAAAAGACAGCAAACAAAGAGAAGGGUUUCUUUCUUCUUUUCUUCCUCUCCCACACCCCCCCCCCCAACCCCCGCCUCAUGGAUCAGAGUUUUUGCUAUUAACAGAAAGGUUUCAAGGGUCUGAAUAAAAUCGCAGACUUUUUUUAAAAAUUUUUUUUUUUGGGAAAAUGGAUUCAAAAUAACCAAAGCCAAUAAUAAGAUCACCGACUUUGACAAUGAACAAUAACUUUUUCUCGGAAAGUAGAUGGAAACUAAGUAAGAACUGCUAUUAGAGGAUAUUAUUAAAGGAUUUAGAACAUGUAUAACUCUGUAAUUAUAUGGGAUCAGAGAGUCGAUGACCCCCUCUAUUCGCUUCGGAUAUUAAGUAAGAACUGCAAUUAAAAGAAUGAAUUGAUGAGAGUAAUAACAAUGAAUUGCAAAAGAGGAAGACUUAAUCACGCACCCCUUUUAUACCCGAUUUUGAAGAUUUAAUUUCGAAGUUCACCAAUCAAGAACAAAGAAAAAACCUUAAUAAAGUAUGCAGUGAGAAUAAUUAAGUUAGAGAAAGUACUAGGUUAUGGCUCUGCGUUUCAGAUGCUGUAAUGAAAUAAUUAAGUUGAAGUUUUUAACGAUUAAAUACCUGUUGUGAUAGAAUGAUUUUAGAAGAAUAUUGGCUUAUAGAGCAUAUUAGUAGGGAUAAGAUUUGUAAGAUGCCAGAUAAAAGAUAAAGCGAAAGCUUGAAUGAAGAAUGGCGUUUAAUAAUUAUAGAAGAAUAUUGGCUUAUAGAGCAUUUUAGUAGGGAUAAGAUUUGUGGACAGAAUAAAUGAAAUAAUAAAAGGCAUAACUGAUCAAGUCAUUAUUGAUCUUACUUUGAUUAUUACAUUGCACAUUAGUUUCUUUCUAAAAAUGCCAUUCUUCAUUCAAGCCUUCGCUUUAUCUUUUAUCACGCAUCCUACAAAUCUUAUAUACAAACCUCCGCAUCUUUCAACGAUCUCAUCUGCUGAUUUUUUGUAUUCCUGUUCUUUCACUUCAAUAAUUUUUUGUAUUAUUCCAUAUCUUUCACUUUAAUAACCCAAAAGCUUUCCUCUGUUUCAACUAAGCGAAAAUUUACAUAUUAAAGCCUGGCUCAAAUUCCUUUUUUCAAUCGAAAUAAAACGUAGCCACAAAACCCUAAUUCACCACACCAAUUUAUCUCUGCCCGGUAUUCAUUUAAACCCUACCUCGCGGUUCAAUGUCAUUCUAUACGAUUGCAGAUGCCGUUUCAACUUGUCAUUUAGUUAGCGCCAUCCAGUUCUCUAUGGUAAGCCUUAACCCUAACAACUAAUCGACUGUGGUAGCACGUUGCUUGUUAGGAGUGGGGAUACAUUAUUUGAAUAUACGAAUUGGGUGAUGUUAGUGAUUCAUUCCCCUAUUUGUCGUGAAUUGAGAUUUGUGUAUAAUGCUCGUAAGAUUGCUAAAAAUUUCAUAUUUUGUAUUGUUCCAGUUGAAUUUCUUGCUUGUGGAAGAUAGAACAAAAGUUCAAUUUCAUGUUGAUUUAAUUCUUCUUUUUCAUCUUUUUUUUUUCUUCUUUAUAGUCACGCUCUGGCUGGUGCUAUGCUUAGUGCAGUCUAUGGUUUCAAGAUUAAGUCACGUUUAUUUGAUGGCGUCGACUCCAUCAUUAAGAAGCUCUUCUUAUUUUAUCUCAGUUUCAAUUUUCUUUUAUUAUCUGCCUCUACCUGAAAAUGGACGUGUUUUACUAGUAAGCAGACUUUUUUUAUUUAAUUGAUAUUUUAAUUUUAUGUAUAAGAAUGGAGGUUUAUUUUAAAAAAAAAAGAAAUAAAAAAAUAGACUCUGUUGAAGCUAAUUAGUACUGUUUUUUUUUGGUGGUGCGACCAGAGGUGGAAACCGGGUAUGACAAUGUGUUACUGGUGAGGUUGCUGCUUAAGAUGAGAAUGCAUUCUUUUCAAAAAUCCUUUGUAGGUGUUAUCUAAUUAUCUUUGAUGGAAUAUUAAAUGGCCAAAAAUCUGUCAUACGUUCAAACUUUGUUUGUGUUUAGAAGAAUGGUGUUGAUUGUAUAUUCAUUUGCUUAGCCUUUUGACAGAUGGAUUUGGAACUGACGAUAAAUGUGAUUCAAUUCACAAGGUUUUCAAGGGGCUCACCGUGGAAGGGAUAUUGAAGAGCUGGUCUAGGAUAAAGCCUAUGAUUGUGAAAGAUUGGAGUGAGAAUAUAGAUGCUCGUUUUCAUCUUUUUGGCAAGGUCAGAGAUGAAUGGAUAGAUAAGGAUUUAUUUGACUACCUGGAUUGGUGCUAAUAGGUAUUUUAAGCAAGCUUUUUGAGAUAACACUGAGCAAGUUGUACUACUAUUUUGCACAUGAUGAUCAAAACUCUCGAAAAGUAAAAUAAAAUAAAGUAUUAACUUUUACUUUCAUCUUUUGCAUAGCAAUCAAUGUGGUGCUUGUUCUGUAACAACUUUGAUAAUCUACUUUAUUGGUUAGCGUUUGGACCAAAAAGGUUCUUAUGAUUUACAUGUUUUGUAGAAAUGCAUGAACCUUAAAUGUGCUGAUCAGGGAGUUUAAUUAUUGCACCUUGAAAUUCAUUUAUUGUUAACUAAUUGGCUUUCCUUUGCAUAAAGCCGCUUAUAAGGCUUGAGUGGACGUCUUUAUGGGCAUAUUAUUCGUAUUUCUUUAUGCAUGCCUUUAUCAUUUAAUGUGCUGCUUGUAUUUCUUUAUGCAUGCCUUUAUCAUUUAAUGGCCAGCUCCCUUUCCUCAUUUGUAAUUUGAAUAGUAGUAUGGGCCUCCAUUUUACAAAUCUUUAACAUUUUUUGCUGUAAAUUAAUUUUUCUUUCAAAUAUUUUGGAGGUCAUUGGAAUUCCUGUAGGUCUAUUUACCAGAUUUUAGUAUGUUUAAGGUUUUAAUUUUUCUUAGACUUUAAUUUUUCUGAAAGAUUGUAGUAUUGAUCCUUAAAGUAAGAUCAUGCUACUUCAAAUUAUUUUGAAGCGUUGCUAGUUAUAGCCUUACAUAUCAAAUUCCAUUUGUCUGGAAAUUUAUUGAUAGCUGUUACAGCAGCAUAUUUUAUGACUCUACUUCUUAGUUAUGUAAGUUCAUUAUGUUUAGGUCAGAGGCAGUCAGCUAUGGGGAAUCGAUAUAUGCACAGAUGACUCUGAUCUUGUUGCUGGUAUGUGGUUCUAUGAAUAAUUGUUCACAAUAAUUGUGUUUGCCUCACUGUUUUUGUUUUAUGAGAUCUAUAAUUGAUCUUGGGAUAUUGCUUUCUAGUUCUCAUGCAAGCAAGUUACUACCUUCCCACUGCAUCUCCUCCUUUAUCUGCUAUUCAAGAGUUGCGUGCCAUAAUCUGGUAUUACCUCUGCAAGAUUGUGAAUCAAUAUAUUGCGUCUAAAUUUAUUUUAUACAUAAUGCUAAUGCUGAAUAAUAUAUUGUAGCUCCUGUCAUAUUCUACUUUGACUUUUUAUAUUCUGUUUCAUAUAAAAAUCUUAUUCAACUUUAGUUGUUCAUGAGCAAAUGUCACAUGUAUAAGCCCAAAUGAUGUUUAAAGGUAGCCCGGCUACCUUCAGUUUGAGCUUACAAUGGGUGAAAAAGAAUUUGAGACUGAUAUUUUGCUGUUUUUGUGAUUUUUCAAAGUAUUUUAGAUCUUGACUUUUGUUUGGACUUGAUGGUUAUAGAUUGUGUCUAGAUUUGUUAAGUUGUUUCCAACACCUCGUGCCAAAUCAAAGCACAAUCUUUCUGAUUCAGAUGUCUGGUUAAUUAUGCUUCAUUUUUUCGUUAAAGAUUGGAUGGUUGCAUGGAUUGAUGGAGUUGGAGUUCAACCAGUAAUUCUAAUUUUUUGGACUUAAAAUGCUCUGUAUAAAAACUUUAGUAAGUGUUAUUGAGUUGACAGAAGUUGAAUACUUACAGGUUGUUUCACACUUUCUAAAAGUUUUACAUAAAUGAAUUUCUGUUUUUUGAAUUGCAGAAAGGAGGUGGAACUAUUGAUUUGGAGCCUUAUCUUACUCACUCAUCGACAACGGAGCCUACCCUCGCUCCCAUGGCAGUGGAACGGACAAUGACUACUAGGGCUGCAGCAUCGGUUGGUUUGGGUCUGUUUUGAGUUUUAUUGUCAUUUAUUUGGCUAUGUUUUGAUAGCGAAUUUUGAUAUGUCAAUAUAAUGUGUAAUUGUUUUGGGUUGAGCUGGUAAUUAUGCUGGAUUAGAUUGGUUUGUUUUGGUGGUUCUCUGAUGGAACACUGCUUUCUUUUAGAAAUUUUGAAUAUAAUAUGAGACUACAUAUAGUUUAAUUGAACACUGCAUCUAGUCUAAUUACUAGAAGUGUGGCAUUUGGUUUGGUUUAUCCGAUAUUCUCUAGAAUUUCACUUGCAUCUGGUUUUGUUGCAUAUGUUUGCUUGCAUUUGAUGGUAGUAGCAGACUGUUUGGUUUUGUGGCAUUUGAUGGCAGUUUGAUCUGUUCUUGGUGCUGAUUUAAGAUUGUUCCUGUUGUGCUGAUGUUAAUUGCAGGUGCUUGAAUCAGCUAGGGUUGCUGGUUUAUUCAGACGACUGACUCAGGCGUUGUUAUUGGUUGAUUCAGGUGGUUCAUUUAAUGUUAGGAAGCAAAUUAAGAAAUAAUGAAGUAUUCAUUUAACUAUAAUUAUUGUAGUUAUUUUAUUUCAUAACUGAAUUAUAAUCUAUGAUACUUGUGAACAAAUUAGAGAAUUUUUAUAUAUGAAUUAUAUAUAUGUGUGUAUGUACAUUUUGCUAUUUAUAUAAUAAUUUAAAGAAUAUAUUUCAAUUCCCACAAAAAAUGGCUCCAAUUCCAAUAAUUCCUGCCAAAUAAUUAAAUUUUUUAAAUUUACCACCAAAAUAUAUCUUAAAGAAAUGUUAGUUAUUCUUGCUAGAUUUAACAAAAAUAAUUUGUAGGAUUAAUAUUUAAUUAAAAUGAUUAAAUAAUUUUAUUAUUCCAAUUAAAUAUGUCAUGUUUAUAUGACAGGCAAUAGUCAUGAAUGGGAAGUAUUAGUUACAUAUUUUUCCUUGGGAUUUCAGGCAAAUGAAAAAAAGAUUGAGAAUGAUUUCAAGAGGACAGGUGGAUGAUAAGUAUUCAUUUUUGCAUAUUUGGCUAAUGUCCUCAGCAGUGGAUUUUUAUGGUAUUGAUUUUAUAAUUUUCAAUUAGUUGCAGCCCUAGAGGAAGAGUAGGCUGAUCAAAUUGAUUUGUCUUGUUUUUGGGGCAAUUUGCGACACGAUGACCGUGAUAAUGCUCGUGACUGCUGGAAACUUUCUGAUGGAAAUAACUUUAGAGUUCGUAGCAAGCAUUUCUGUUAUGACAAAACAAAGGUUCCCCCAUAUUUUGGUUGUUUGUUAUGGUAUUUAUAUAUCCUGCAUAUGCUAGGUCGACAGGUUAUGAUGUAGUUUGGUUGGCUCUUCUUGUGCUUUGUGCAAUUUGUAACUGCAGAUACCUGCGAGAAAACAUUUAAUGGAUCUUGUUGCUGUUGAUUGGUUCAAAGACACAGAGAAUGGACCAUGUAGCUAGGCGUCAAGGCUGUGCUGCACAAGUAACUAUUCUUUUCUUUUUAUUUUUCCUUUUCCAUUGAUGCGUUAGGAGAAAAUACUGCCUGUGAGAUACUACAAUGUAAAUAACUUCUUAUGGUUCAUUGAAUCUAUAACACACUGAGCCCUAUUCUAAAAUAUGUAGGUUGCUUCUGAAAAAGGACUUUUCUCACUGAUCUUUAAUCGUCAAGUAAGUUUGUUUCAUUUCAGAAGGUAUAAGUUUCAAACUUAUUGUAUUGGGAGGUUGUAUAGUUGUAACCUAAGCAUCUGCAGCUUCCUGGUUCAACACAUUAUAGUAUGGUAUUUUAUUUUGUCACAAGGUAAUUGGUUACGGGAUCACUUUUGCGACGGUUUGUUGAUGGCGAUGAUGAAUUUCGCAAUAGUAGGUUGAAACUUAUUCCAUCUGUUCCUAAGGUAUCCAUCUUGGCCUUCAUGUAUUAGGACUAUAUUAAUGUAUACUUACCCUUUACUACACGGUACACUUCAAUUUGUACAAAGAAGGCAUGCAUUUAGGUGUAAAUGUACUGAUGGGUUGUAUCUUCAAUCUUCAUGUCCUUUUUACCCUCUUGAAUUUGUUUUGCACUUGUUCUUGAUUUGAAGCACUGAAUCAUGCAGGGGUCAUGGAUCGUGCGCCAUAGUGUUGGAAGCACCACUUGUUUAUUAGGGAAAGCGGUUGAUUGUAACUAUCUUCAUGGUCCCAAGUACUUAGAAGUAAAUGCUCUUGGAAUUUCUUUAGUACACGAGAUGUUCCCCUUUCAAAUAGUGUCCGAUAUCAUUAACAUGGUUUAACAUUGUUCAUCUUUCUGUAGAUUGAUGUUGACAUCGGUUCUUCUACUGUUGCUAAUGGAGUUUUGGGCCUUGUAAAUGGUGUAAUUACGACAUUGGUGGUUGACAUGGCUUUCCUUGUACAGGUAUGUAUGAUUGUUAUUUUAUUUUAUUUUAUUUUUUUACCCCCACUUCUAAAUGGACACAAGGGAAAAGACAUGAUUUUGAGAUAUUGCCCUACAAUUUGCAUUUUUGCAUACUUGAAUGUUCUCAGAAUGGUAUAAAUAAUGCUUCGAGUGUCUCUUCUUUAUCUUGCUUUUUUGUAUGCAGGCAAACACUACAGAUGAAUUACCAGAGCGACUGAUUGGAGUUGUACGUGUUUCUAGUCUGCUAUUGUCCCAAAGUUGGAACCAGAGACAUCAUCAUGACUGUGGUUUCAUUUCACCUCAACUGUUUUUUUUUUUAAUUGAAAAAAAAAAUCAUUUGUUUUAGGUAUACGUACAUGUAUUUUGAUCCCGUUUUCAUUGUAAUUUCUCAUUUACUUUGAAAGAAAGUCAUUGGUGUUUUCGAAUGGGAAUUUUGCAUUAAAAAAUGAAGAAUACUUAAUAGGAAAUUUCAUGAUUCUUUAGUUACUAUUUUUGGAAUGAGUGUAAUAGUAUUAAAGUUGGUUUCUACUCGCAAACAAGUGAACUACUCGAUCCCAACUGCGACCACGCUAAUUGUCAUUGUUUAAUAGCUACUACUUUUAAAACUCAACAACUAACAAAAAUACUAAAAAAAAAAUGAUUUUCUUAUGAUGCUGUGAAAACAUUUAUGGGUUCACUUAUUUCCACAAGAUCUAUAACAUGGUCUUGACUUCACGAAAUUCUUUUAAUUUAAAGGGUGCUGGUCUGAGAAAGUCAGUUUGACGGAUUAAUUCUUUUUAAUAAUGGUCGAGUUAAUUUUACUAGACUCAUAAAAUUAUUCUUAUUCUGAUAAUGCCACAAAUGUUAUGUUGUUUUCUUCAGCUAAUGAUCUUCUAUCAGGACUAGUUGGAAAUCAAAUGCUUAAAACACCAAUUGAAUGAAUAAUGCAGAAGUUUAAACAGUAUCUAAUUGAAAAUUGCAUGAAACUUGAAACAUCAAUUCAAGUCCUUCCUUAAACAGAGAAUGCAUCAAACAAAUCCAAAGUGUCUUUCAAGUCUGUAGCAUGACUAAAAAAUUGUAAAUGCCUUCAGAACCAAAUUAUUCAAGUACAGGAGAACGAGCAAGUUGAAUCAUGUACAAGAGGUUGGCUUGGUUCCAGAUAGCUUCUUCACUGUACCUGAAGGGUUGGCUCAAUCUUUUCUUUAGAAUUCUGCACAUUUUGUAAUUACUCAUGUAAGCAAGCAUACAUUACAACCAUAAUAAUAAUAAAGCAAGAGUAAUGAUACGACCACAACCUCUUGUGCACAAAUAAUAUUGUACAAACUAAUAUGACAUAAUAUGAUUGAGUAAUGAUACGACCACAAUCUUUUGUGCACAAAUAAUAUUGUACAAACUAAUAUGACGUAAUAUGAUUGAUUAAACAAAAACAUAACAUAACCCUCAUAAUUUAUUUAUUAUUAUUUUAUAUUUUCAAUCAAGCAAUCAUAUUAUGCCACGUUAAUAGCUAUAGAAAUAAUUUGCUAGAUAGUGCAACACUUCAUUGAUACUCACCAUUUCAUUGAACAAUUUUUUUAUGGUGUCAUUGAGGUUUCCUUCCCAACAUCCUUCGUCAUCACCAUCUUCUUCUUCGGUGGGUUUCACUUUGUUUAGCUUCGGUGCGUCUACGACUCCUUGAGAGAAAAUCUUCAUUGUUGGGCACUGUCUCACAACUACGUGUUCCAAGGACGGGAACUCAAGAGCGUAAUUACCCAAACAAAAGCUUGUUAGGCUUGGCAAACAAUCAAGUCCCAAGUACUCCAAUUUCCUGAAAACAAUGCAAUCUUCCGCUUCUUCUCCAACCUGCGAUUGUAUGAUUUCUUCUAUCAUUUUGCAAUCAGCUAUCUUCAUUCUUUCGAGAUUCACUAGAGUUUUAGAUGUUGAGAGCGUCAACACAUUUAUCAACCCGUGACACUUCGAUACUUCUAGUUCCCACAGAUUUUCCAAAUGCCACGAAGGUGGUACUAAUUUUUGCAACUUACUACAUUCCGAUAUUUCUAGACUUCCCAAGUUUGCAAACGCUUUGCUGGAUUCGUCAUUUUCCUUCCAGAGAUGCUGCACUUUGUGUAAUCCAGAUACUUUAACUCUAUCAAUUGAGGGAAUGCAACCUAAAAAUCAACAAAAUUAAGUUGUAAAUGAAAAUAUGUAUCCAAUCUCUGCAGUCUUCCCCUGCAUAUUUUAUGGACAAGAUUAAUCACAGCAUUUUAUAUUUUUUUUUCCAAAUUAGUAUGCUUUGCAGUAGGAUCCCAAAUAUAAGUAUCAAAUCGAUUACCCUUUGAAACACAUAAAUGAAAUCUGAUGCUAAAUCUAAUAUGAAUUAGCUAGGAAAACAGAGAUGUUACACACAUAAUUAAUAUAGUUCAUCACCUCGUGUUACCAGGCAUCCAAUUAAUUUCAGACACUUUUAUAAUUCAUACUAUAAAGUUAGUUAAUAAUUGCGGUUAUAUUGUUAAAUCAGAUAUAAAUUAAGACGACAUGUAAAAAGAUGAGUCAUUAAAUUUGAUUUGAUUCUAAUGAAAUUACAACUGUGCGAAAGAAAGUGAAGGGAAAAAUAAUAAUAAUGAUUACCUUUUCAUUGAAGAGAUGUUGUAUUUGAUCAGCUACCAAGAGGUUCUUUUCUGAUUUUAAUUUUUGAGCUUCCUUAUUAUCUGCUGUCAUGUGCAGUACAGAUGUAGAAUUGGAUAUGAAUGUUUCCAUAUCAGGGCAAUUCUCAAUAGUUAGAUAUCUCAACUUAGGCAGUUCAAUUAUAUUCCUAGUGAAGUUGAAAAAUCUUUUGAGUUUUGGAAGGUCAGUGAGCCCUAGCUUGAAAAGCUUAGGAAACAGGGGGCCUAUAUGUUCUUUGUCAGCAUUAAUUAGCUCUUCCAAAUGAAGCACCUCUUCAAGUGAAUCACAAUUCCUCACUUCCAGGUAUACCAAAUUGUUCAAGCACCGUAGCAGAUUAGCAGGAAUAGCACUCGACAUAUUCGUGCAGUCAUCCACCACCAGGUCGAAUAAAUUGUUGAAGAAGCUGACAGGCAGUGCUUGGCCAUGCCAUAUUUCUUUCAAACGUGGAAAAUGCGAGAGUUGCAAAUGUAUUAUGUCACGAAAUCCAAUCUGCACAAACCAAAACAAUUGCACUGGAUAUAUACAAUUUUUUCUUUUUGAAAGGCAUAGAUAUAUAUAUACAUUAAACUUAUAUGUUCAAAUGUGCAAGUGCAAGGGAGAUGCAUAAGUAAUUUCGACGAAUCGAUUUAACACAUACCAUUUCUUCGUAACACUUUUGUAUAGUGGAAUUAAGGUUGCCUUCCCAACGGCGCAAUUCACCCUCUUCCUGUUAAGAAUAGAAUUAGUUAGUUAAUGAGUAUGCUGACAUGGCAGCUGAGUCAGCUAAAGGUUGUUAUAGAGGUUGUUAGUAGUAACCUGUGCGUGUGUGCAAUGUGUGUAGAAUCUUCUAUGCACAUAUAAAAAGGCUUGUAAUUUCCAGAUUCAUUAGAUCAAUAAUAACAGAAUUCUCAGCUUACAGAAGUUUUCUUUCUUCCUAUUUUCUUAGUAACCUAACAACAUCACAGUUUCAUAUAAAACUUAAUACUUCCUUUUACUCACUUGCACUUUGCAUAGCUUUGGUGUGGAUAAGAUUCCCUGAGAAAAAGUCUUCAUGUUCAGACAAUGUGUCAUAGAAACUUGUUCCAAUGAUGGGAAUUCAAGAGUGUAAUUCUCCGAACAAAAGCUGGUAAGCCUUGGUAAAUAAUCAAGUUCCAAAAGUUUUAAUUCGCUGAAAGCAAUACGAUUCUCCUUCGCUUCUUCUCCAACAUGUCCUAUGAUUUCUUCUAUUUUUUCACAGAGUGAUACAUUAAGAUUCACUAGACUAUUGGGAAUUCCAACCUGAAAAUAAAGAGUAGCAUUCAACUAGAUUCAAAGUAUGUCAAAAUCAUACAAUUGUUUUAUGAAAAAUAACAAACCAUGAAUGUCUACUAGAUAUUUUUUGUUAAAGAAAAAAAGGAAAAAAUUAAAACAAAAAUAAAUAAAUAGAAGUCCAGAAAAACAAAGAUAAUGAAAAUGCAUUUACACUAUUUAGUAUUAGGAACGGAGAAAGAAUUUCAGCUAAUUUUUAAAUAUUAUAAAUUCAUUUUUCAUCUUGAUGCUAGUUUUUAAAAAAUUUUAAUUUUCAAACAUGCCUAUUUUUAAAAUAACUAAACUAAAACGCUGUAUUUCCCAUUUUUUUUUCCCGAUAUUCAUGCUUUUAAAAAUGGAAAACAUUUCUGGAAAACACUUCCCAACGCCAUCAACAUGGGACUGUUAUAGAGUGAAUAUUUGAGGAAUUUUUUUAAUCAACGGUCGAUUCAAAAUGACCAUCAUGAAUUUGUGCUUAAUCAAUGGCGUAAUCAAUUCAUAACUAAACUAGAGAUAUUAACUACAUUUGAACACUUUUUUUUUUUAAAUAGAAAUCUAAAGACCCAAGGAAAAGAGAAAUAUAUAUGAAUUUGUGAACUUAAAAGCUGAGUAAUUAAGUAUCUUUUAAUUUCUGAAAAUCUUAUUUAUUAGGAUUUAAGAAAAAAAAACAAUUAAAUUGAAUUAUAUUAUGCUGUUAAAUCGUGUUUAAAACAAUUAUAUUGUUGACUUUAAUGCAGGUGAACCUAUAAAUUAGAUUGAAAAUGCAGAGUUCAGAAUGGUGAUUUGAAGUUCAAUACUUUUGUUCCCUCCAGAAGUUUGAAGUACAAUACUUGCAAUAAAUAAUUUGUGAAUGAAAAUUAUUUGUAAACACAAAAAUGAUUAAAAUAAUUGUUGAAUGUUAUUUGAAAUAAAAAUUCAAAAUGAAUAUAGCAAUCUUACCAAUGGAGGAAAAAUAUUCAGUAGAUUAUCACACUCAGAUAUCUCCAAUUUUUUCAAUUUGCUAAAAGACUUCGAAGCAAGCUGGUGGUGCCAUAUUUUUCUCAACUUAUCCGCCUCACUAAUAUGUAAUACCUCCAGACUUGGGAGUCGUACCUGAAGUUAAAAAUUCAAUGCAAUUAGAGAUGUAUAUUAAUUAAAUUUGAAGACUCAACGAAAAGAGAAAUUAACUAUUGAGAAUAAAAUUAAUUUAAAAAAAAAAAACCUUUUCAUCAAAGAGGGGUUGAGGUUGCAUUUCAGUGUGAAUGACGUCUUCUGGUGAGGCAAAGCUACAUAGUUUUGGAAGACCAUCGAGCCGCAGGUAGUGUAGUUUGGGAAAAACCUUUAAUUCAUCUCUUCCUCCUAACCCCCCCGUGGUGUCGACUACCCCUUCCAUUGACUCACAAUCCCAUAUCUCAAGAUGUUGGAGUUGCCCAAGACUAUUAACCAUAGAACAUGAAAACAGAUACUUCACACAAUGACACCUUUCCACAGUCACUUUUGUUAAAUUUUGACAACAAUACAUUCCCUGAAAUUGAUCGAGCCAUAAUUUUUCGAUGUUUCGUAAAUCGAAAAGUUUCAGUUUCUCCAAACGUGGAAAAGAAACCUGCAAAGCAAAACCGUACAUUUUUGUUCCUUCAACUACAACUUCUAAUAUAAUAUUCUUUCGAUGAUUGAAGAUCAAUCGUAAUAAUAUAUUAAUUAAUUAAUUAUUAAACAGAAAAUUAUUACCUGUUGAACAGGAUCAUCCUCUGCAUUGAUUUCUGUGAAUCCCUGAGUAGUUGUUGGUUUCUCCAUGUCGGGCCCUAUAAAUGAACAAAAACAAUAUGUAAUAAACAUCCGUGUUUUUUUUCACCAAAAAAAGAAAAAGAAAAAGAAAAAAAGAAUGAGUCAAUGUCAAUAAUCCUACCAAUAAUUAAUUUCAAUACUUACCAAUAAUCAUUUUCAAAUCAUCGCAGUUUUCCACUUCUACUUUUUGAAGCCGCAAUAGGUUUUUGGCCAUAGAGAAUGAGAAGAGAUACUUCAAUUUUGGACAGCAAUCUACGUUUAUAAUCCUUAAGUUGCUGAAAGAUUGAUCUUCUCUGAGUUGGCUGUAGCAUAUCGUCUCCAAAUUAGUUAAAAACAUAAGAGACAAUGACUCCAGCAAGGGAAAGACUUUGCAACGAACCCGUCUAACUGAACCGACAAUAUGUAAAAUCUCAGAACAACUUUUUACAUGAAGAUGCUUCAAUCGUGGAAAACCUUCCCCAUCGUCUAAUUCAUGAACAACACUUUGAACACCCUCCAAUGUUUCUAGCCAGAGACCUUCAGUUCUCUGCAGCAACAUUUUUGUCCCAUCAUUCUCCUGAAGAAUGCUAACUUUUUCUAGCCCCUUGAGCAUCAUCAAUCUUGGUGCUUCAGAUUUGACGAGCAAUGGGUCAAACUCAUCUUCGGACUCAUCUCCUAUGCGUAUCCUAUAUCUUUGCAAUUCCACAGAGACAAAAUUCGGCGGCAGAAUUUCGGCAUCCGCAACUUCUAUCUCCAAAGUAGCUAGCUUUGUCAACCUCUCCAACUCGACAAGACUGGCAUUACUUCCUCCUUCAACCUUCUCCCACCCUGAAAAGCUGUUACCCAUAUACAAUUCUUCUAAUUGAGAUAAUUUUGAUAUGACAUUCGGUGCUAUCACCUCAAGCAACCAACAAUUGCUCAAAUCUAGCAACUGUAACCGCGUCAAUUGUCCAAUUUCAAGUGGUAACUGCUUGAUAGUGGAACGUGCAAGGAUGAGAAUCUCUAAUUUCUUUAGCUGUCCAACUAUUGCUAUAUCUUUUAGUCGGCAAUAGUCUAAACACAAUGUUUGGAGGUUAAUGAGGCAACCAAGUGAUGAAGGUAAUGAAGAGAAGUGAAUUCGAGUAAAAUUCAAAACUUUGAGUCCUUCCGUCCCUUUAAAGAAGUGAUCUGAAACUUGCAUAGAGCCAUCACCCUCCGUAUGCAAUAGCUCAAGACAGGGACAUUGCAACCUUUCAGGAAGCACUUGAAUACCUCCAUAAGUUAAAGAAAUAGCAAUUGGAUCUUUUCGUAUUGUCUCUUCCAUCUUUUUCUCCAAGUCGGCAACAUUUGGAAUAUUAAACAUGCGCUUCUCAAAUAACUGCAAUGCUUCUUUUCGUGGCAAAGCAUCGAUCGGAAAAUUUUUCUGACAACUCAUAUCAAUGCGCAAUAAAUCUUGCUUUCUAGACGUCAAUAUUAUUGUGCAUCUUCUCUGAUCAUCCUUUCUAUCUUUCUCAGCAACAUCCCCAGAAGGAAUUCCAACAACAUCCAACUCAAGUUCUGUCCAAAUAUUAUCCAAUAUAAUGAGGACCCGCUUCUCUUUCUUCAAUCUUUCACGUAAUCGAUCAGCUCUUUCGAAUUUAUUCUCAUCCGAGCCAAAUUUCAUGCCUAAGUCAAAAGCAAGUUUCUUUUGAAUUUCCUGAUGAUCUGGGGUCUGUGUUACCUCAGCCAUAACGACCUUAUCGAACAACUUAUCUUCCAUAACUUGCUUUGCAACUUGCUUGACUAGCGUGGUUUUACCCACGCCGCCCAUGCCGUAGACCCCAAUAAUGUUGAGCUUAUCAUCCUUCAACGCCUCCACAACAUCUUGAAAUACUUUCAUUCUUGAAUCAAAGGCCUCGUAAUCUUUCACUUGCAUAUGUUCUGCCCGCUUUGGAGCAGGACGGUAGGAAACAUUAGAGAAGUUUCCUUUUCCCAGGAGACUAGCGGCAGCUUCUGCGGCCUUUGCUGCUUGUUUACUAAGCUUGUAACGAGAAAUCAAGUUUGGGCACAAUCCUUUGAAGCAGGACUUCUUAGCUCUAUCUUCAUCAUCACUGAUGGAUUUUGCAACCCCUUCACUGAAUUCAUCAACUUGAUUUAGCCAGUCUGUGACACCCUCAUAAAUCUCAUCCCCUUGUAGUCUAGCAUGAUUAACAGGUUGUUGCACCGUUUCUCUUCUAUAUCCCAGCUGCUUCACUUGAUCUUUUAGGCCAUCUAUGUAGCUCUGGUACUUGAACACAUAAGAUAUCUGCCGUACAAUCGGUUUGAACAGUGACUUUGCACCUUCUGCUACGAUGCUGGAAAAAGCAGCCAGACCCACUUCUGCCAUCGCCUGCUGCUUAACAAAUCUAAUAAUAUGUCAAAGAAAGGAAUACAAAUAAACUAAAAUGAACUAGAGGGAAAGACAAAAAAUGGAAAAGACAGCAAACAGUAUCGCAACAUUGAUCUUGAAUCAACUGAAACAUGAACAAAGCAUUUUUUCUUCUUUCUUAAGGAUCAGAGUUUUUGCUAUUAACAGAAACGUACUUCAAGUGUCUAAAAAAAAUUAACUAUAAAUGAACAAUAACUACAAAACUCAAGCAAAACAAGCCAUAAAAUUUUUAUCUUGGAAAGUGGAUGGAAAUUAAGAAAGAAAUGGUAUAGAGAUCAAGCAUCAGAGAUUAUGCUAUUAAAAGAAAUUAAUUGAAGGUUUUAGAACAAGUGCACCUGUUUAAUUAUGUGGGAUCAGAAAGUUGAUGAGCUUAUGUAAUCGCCUUGAAUAUUUAAGAACAAUUUCAAUGAGCAAAAAAUUUCUGUUACCUGCAGAGGAAUGUGAUUAUAGAGAGCUUAUGAGAGUAAUGACAAUGAUUUGGAAAAGAAGAAGACUUAAUCAUGCAGCCCUUAAUAUUUAUUGAAUGACUUGUGAUCAUUUCUUUUAUGAAUAAAAUGCCAACAGCAAAAAGAGAAGAAAGGGCGAAAUUUACUAAGUCUUAUUUUAUUUUUAAUUUCUUUUAUUUUCAUUCGGCGAAGAGGGAAUCUCUCCCUCUUUUUGUUUUUUUACGGGGAAUCUCCUUACCUAAUGUGACAUAAUGAAAGCAAUCUGUAAAUAGUAAUAUAAUGUAAUAAUUAAAAAUACCCACAUAUUUAUAAUAUUAAUGAUGGGAUCCAUAUGUUUAUACUGAUUAAAUUGGUGGACCAGAAUUUAUUUGACCGUACUUGUUUUCUAUUUAAUUAAGAUUGAAACGAUAGAGAAAAAUUUGUCGUAUUGAUUUGUUUCGAUUGUGGAGUUCCAACACUGAAAGUGAAGAUUUCAUCAACUUUCUCACAUGGACACGUACCGUCAUGCAUAUUGCAUUAUUUUCCUAGAAAAGCAAGAUUAAUUCUUUUAAUAAGCAAACGCGUAGGUGGGAAUCCAUUCAUGAAACAAGUGGAACGACAAUAUCAAACCAAUGAUAAUUCAAAAUCUGAAUCCGCCUGAUGGACGGCAACUAAUCUGAACCAUUCUCCUUUAGUAACAGGGGAAUGAAAUUAUAUCGAUGAUAGAUAAUUUCAAAACAGGGGAAUGAAAACAGAGGAACCUGUUUUUCCUUCCUUUUCUUCUUUCCCCCAACUCUUCUUCUAUUUAUAUUUUCCUUGGAAUUUUCGGCAAACGAAAAAAAAUUGGGAAUGAUUUCAGGAAAACAGGUGGAUAAUAACUAAAAUAUUUAUUUUUAUAUUUUUGAUAAACACACUCACUAUUAAUAGAAUUCAUUAGAUAUCAUAACUUAAAUAACUUCUUGUGAUUAAUUGAGGGUACAUUUGGGAUUUCUUUUAUUUCCCAAUAAUUAGCUUCUAUGUUGAUUCUCAGAAAAUUAAUUUUACGAAUAAUUUAGUAGGGUGUUUGGUAAAUGAUGAUUAUUUGACAACCAGUUUUCAAAUAAUCUACUAUACAAAUUUGAUAAGUAAAAAUUAGAAGUGUAAUAUUCAAGUGCAAAUGUGCAAUGAUAAAAAUGUAAUUGUUUGUUUAUUUGUAGUUUAUUUAGAAUAUUAUUACUAACAUCAUUUUUUUAUUUACUGGAUUUUUAAAGAGUAUAUUCUAUUUUCUUUAUUACAUAUCUAUAUCAAUUUUUUAUUAACUAUUUUAAUUUGUAAUAAAACUAACUUUAAUUUUUUUUAACUAAAAAAUUUGUUAUGCAGUUUGUUAUAUUAAAAAAAAAAUUCGGACGGUGUCUAAACAUGGUCACCAGUGAUUGUUAUAUUAAAAAAAAAUCUAUUCAAUUUUUUCUCUGAUUUUGUGUCGAUAUCUUUCUUACGUAUGUUGAUAUCAUAUUAAAGUGAAUUCAAGACCCUAUAUUAUUUUGCAUAACAUCAAAAUUUAGCCGAAUGGUAAUUAAGAAUUUCCUUUUUUGUUUGUCCCACAAUUAUAUAGUCUCAUUUUUUACAAUAAGCUCACAAUAUGCACGGAAAUGAAGAUCUAUUAAAAACUUCCCUAUAAUAUUAAACACUAAACAAUAUCACCAUGUUAUGCAUAUGGUGCCUCGUCAACAAUUUGAUGUUUAUUUUGUUUCUCGGGUGAAUAUGACUACUUGCGUUGCGAGUCCAUGCUUUUGUCGUUUGGAUGGAGGACGUGCCAUCUUUUUAUUUUAGAUGGUUUGUAAGACUUCUGAUUUAAUGAUUGAAUGCAGUCAAUUAACAAAAGCUUACAUAUUAUGUAGGUGCUGAUAUGUCUGUUCUUGAUAAAGUAGAUUUAUUUACAUCCAAGCCAACGGAGCCAAAGACAUUUCGUUAAUAAAAUACACGAUAAUUAUUUUUGUUAAACUGAUUUCUGGUUAAUAAGACCUAUAACAGCAUUCAAGGAAGCCACCGAACUCAAAGGAAAGGCAUGGUUAAAUAUACUGCGAAGCAUGUGAGUUCGUUUUUUAAUCUCUUGAUCACUCAUAAGCUUUUCUAUACCACUCACUGUAUCAUCCUUUUGAAUCGAUUUUGAUUGAUCAUCAGAGAUCAUGUACCCCACCUUAAGAUGAUUGAUCACAAAUUUGGCAUUGUAAUGUUGGUCACCUCUAAUUGGCCAUGCUAAAAUUGGGACUCGACAACCAAUUGCUUUUACUGUUGAAUUCCAUCCACAAUGAGAUAAAAAUCCACCCGUGAUUGAUGACUCAAUAUCAAUAAUUGUGGCGCCCAUCCAUCUAUUAUCAAAUCCUUUUUACCGACUUUAUUAUCCAAACCACUACGAAAAUAACUGCCUUCAGCUGGUUUGUCCAAAUGACGUAGAGGAUCCAAUCUACCUGCACCACCUUGAAUUACCCAAAUAAACGAUCGAUUUGAUGCUUCUAAAGGAUUAGCUAGUACUAAGUACUCAUCUAAGGUCAGAUCCACUUCAGUACCAAAUGACACAUAUAACACAGAUCCGCGUGAUUUCAAAUUCAACCUUUGAACGAUCUCAUCUUCCGUCAUAUUAGAACUCCGCCGGUUGGUUCUCAUCUCAUGAUCAUCAAGCACUGAACCGGCCGAUUUGUAAAAUUGUUCAGGUAAUAGUGGGCCCACUCCCCACAUCGGCUUUCCCAAUUCAUUGGCUAAAUAAUUAAUAAAUGGUCCCUCAAGACCAUCACACGUGUUGAACAUCAACGCCAUUGAUCCCUCCACUUCCUUCAUCCAGUGUGGUUGAUCACCGGCUUCUGGUGGACCUAUUUUCUCGGAACCGGGUGCACCUCUCAGAGGUGGUGGACCACCAGGAGGGGGCCCAUGAGGCCUGUGUUUUAGGUCCGAUUCAAAUAAAGCCAUAUCCUCGGGUAACCGAGGAAGUAAACGGGCCUCUCCCGGUUUGACAUCUUGGAUGCGAGCCUGCCACAUGGCACACUCCGCAGCUGCCGAGCAAGCACCAGAAGUGAAGAACCCAACAAUGGGAACUUCAAAAAUCUUGAAAACAUCAGCCGUCCAGCCCAUCAUAACGUCGAUGACUGCACAAACGGGUCGGCUUUUGGGUUCCCGGGUUGAAAGGAGGUUUCGAACUUCGAAGGCCUUGAAGCAUUUGGCUGUGCAUGGCAACAUGAGGGUGAGGAGGCGAAGGAGGGUAUUUCAGUAACUUCAAAGAGAGGGUAUUGGUGAAACGAGGAAGGGAUGAUGCUGGGGGCGGAAAUGUGAGAGGGAAUGAUGAGGGUAGAUUUGUAAUUACGAGUAGCGAUUUGCUUGCAUAAUUCAAUGCAUGGAAACAGAUGUCCCUGACCGAAGAAUGGGACAAUCCAAACCUCGGCCUCAGCAGCAGUAGCAACAGAGCUUGACAUCUUUUUGAAUUAUUUGAUACUUAAUUGUUACUGUUUGCUUUUACAUCUUUCAUAAAACACUCUUUGUUAUAUAUAAAGAGAUGACUUAAUGGAGAAGUAAGUGUUUUAGUUUUACAGUUUUACUAGUAGGUGAGCUCUGAGUUUGAUAAUUUGAUUGUUAGUUUUAGUUGGUUAGUUAUGAGAAAGCAUCUUUUAGAAAAUUCAUUCCAGUUUCAACUAAAAUUAAUAAUAUUGUUCAAAUUAAUUACUCGAUAAAUAAAUAAUUAGAGAUAAAUCUAUCCCUAAUCUCACAUUUAUAAAAUAAGGAUUGAAAUAAGUUCUUGUGGAUUCGAACUCAAGCCCUCAAGCCGAGUGGCUGGAUCUUGACUACUUUGACUUAAUUAUUAUUAUUAUUAUUAUUAUUAUUAUUAUUAUUAUUAUUAUUAUUAUUAUUAUUAUUAUUAUAUAUAUAUAUAUAUUUCAUUCUUUCAUUGAACAUCUUUUGUUAUAUAAUAAAGAAGAUAAGUUGACGGAGAAGAGUUUUACUUUUACUAGUAGAUGAGCUUUGAGUUGAGAACGUUAGUUUUAGUUGAUUAAAUAUCUACCAUCCAAAUCAACAUUCCUUAAACUAUUAUUCAAGUGAGAUGUCUGAGUAACAUACGCUUGAGUUAGUUGGUGCCUAACAAUUCGUGUGAUACAUGAAACCAACCAAUAUGAAAACCAAAUCAAGUUGGUAGGAUUACAUUAAUUUAAAUUAACUUUCAAGUUCCAACAUUAUAAGAUAAAUAAAUAGCAUAAACUAAUUUUUUUUUUCAAGUAAAUAUGUUUAUCGUUUAAAAAUUAUUUUUUCUUGCGGUAAAUGCAACACUAAAUAAGGAGUGAAGAGGGUAUUUUGUAGGGUAUACCCCCACCUUUUAUUUCAUUUCAUUAUUAAAAAAUAAAGGCUUGAUUCAACAUUCAAGUAAAAUUAACAAUUCCAUGAUAAAAUUGCUUGAGAAUAAGAAUUAAAAUAAAAAAAGAAAACAGCAACUCAAAAACGACAUACAAAUACCGCAUAGAGGUUUUUCGUCACGAGAUAUUUUUGGGUUGAGACAACAGUUGUAUAACAGAGCAUACAGACUGAAUGACGGUGAGAAUAAGAAGGAAAACGGCGCCACACACCGAAAUGCCAGCCCAUGGAGUAUUGAAGUAAUUUUGUUUCAAGUUUGCCCUCCAUUUGUAGCACGUUCUUUUGCAGUGAUCAUUCAAUCCUUUGCAUAGCCCAGAAAAAUAGAAGCUAUUAGACAGCAGAGUAGUACCUCUAGAAAGGAACACAUAAUCAUUUAUGUAACACAUAAUCAUUUAUGUAAUUCUCUGAGUAAUGCCGUUGUUCAAAGGCAAUGAGAUUACGAAAUAAGGAUUCUGUUUCUAGCUGUAGCUUCAGUUUCGGAAUAUGCGAUGUCCUGUUUUUGAAUUCUAUGGCGAACAAAUCAUUGCUCUUGCUCAAACUGAAGUGGACUCCAGCUUGGUGGAGAUUAGUCACACUUGGUGCGGUUUUACCUUUGUGGUAUUGCUGACCUUCUUGUUUUUCCUGAUUCCUCGAUGAUGGGAGAUGGCAAAUCCUUAGAAAAUCAAGGAAAUGCUCUACCCUAGCCUUAGUGUAAGGAGGGAAUUUUUGCUGAUUACCUUGUACUACCUCUAAACCCUUGAAAUACUCGUAUGUGACUGUGAUGAUGGUUGGAUUUUCAUGUUGGUCGGGGAUUUCAAUUGCCGCUAGAGCAAAAAGAUCCUCAAGAAUGAAGAAAGGAAGCUGAUUCUCAAGCAACCACAUAUCAUACCGUAUAUCCUCUAUUAAAUAGGGUUUAUGAAAUAUAUGAUCAUCUUUUUUUUGAAGUUGACGGAAAUGAUACCUCAAUAAGAGUUCAAUGAUGAAGGCAGCAUCCAGCAGAAUCAUUUCAACAAAUUUAUCACUACUUAGUUCGACUUUUUCUGCAUAAGAACCUCGUAAUUCUGCUUCUCUGAACUUUAUAAUUUGAACAAACUCGUCAAAGCUUAUUUGGGUCCGUUGAAGAAAGUAAUGCAGGUACCGCUGUUUAUGUUCUUCCAUGAACUGUAAGUUUGCUUUGCCAUGCUGAAGAGGGCCAAUUGAGACUACCUGAGGUGUAUGUACCUUUUCAUUUAUCUGACGUAAUCGCUCUGGAACUCUGUAGAUGCAGCAGUUUGAGGGCAAUGGUGAUAAUUUUUUCAACUUAACUUGCAAGCAUUCUUCCAUGUUAUAAACUGAAAACAUGGCGCGAAAUUUAAUCAAUUCAACACUUAAUAAGGCAUAGUAAUUAAAAAAGAAUUAAAAAAAAAAACCAAAUACAAGAGCAUUCUUACACGUACAGAAGCACCUCAAUCCCUACUAUUUGCAGAGCUGUAGCCAGGAGUCAAUGAUAGACCAGACUGAACUAAAAGGAACAACUUUCUUAGGAAUAUGUUAUCGGUAUUUUCUCUGGCCUCAGGCCAUCAACAAAGCAGUUUCAGUGCUUCUUAUAUAAUUCCAUGGAUUAUUCCUUGCCUUUACAGAUGAUAUAAGUCACAAUUCAUAUAUUAAUUUCUCCAGAUUCCGUACAAGUGGACCAUAACUAUGGAAAAAUUCAAAGAAUGCAACAGCCAUUUGAUUGGUCCAUGUCAGAAGUUAAUCUGGGGAAAGAAGCUUGAUCUAGCAGUAAAAUUCUCUCCUUCAAUCAGUCAGUUUGGGGCAGCAACAAGAUCAAAGCCACCACGCAAACAUUUACUAAAGUUUAUAUAAUAUUCACUAGUUUAUAUAAUAUUCUUGAAACUCAUCUUAAGUAAAGCAACAAAAGCCUUCACUGUUUCUUAACAACUUUAUUGCUCUAACACGUAGCAUAACACUUUUAAAUUUGCAUAAAGCACAAUAGUACUUUAGUUUGUAACAACAGCACAGAUAAUAAAUCGCAUUUUAUAGCUUUAACAAAAGCAUACAAAAUUCUUAAACCUUGUUUCAAGCAAUUCAUUAAUGCCACAAGGAUGUCUUUUUGCUUCCUACAGUUUUUAUUGAAAUUCAUAUAUUCUUCUUUAUCAAAUUAAGUAAUUUUCCUUUUUCAAAAAAUCAAGAAGGUUUCGACUGCAUGGAAAUACAGCACACAAUUACUACUAUUCCCGGAGUAAGAAAUUCAUAAAUGCAAUAUAAACAUACAUUUUCAUAAGACAUCAGAAUCAAAGAAUCAUCAAUGCAUCAAAUCUGUACACCCAAAAAAGUUGAAAGCAUCAAGAGAAAAUUAUACCGCAUGGACCCUUUACAACCCUUAUAACGAGUUCAGACAGCCUAAUCCAAUUUAAUAGAUUUGAGGACAGCUACAAUGUGCAAUACAAAAUUUCCCAAUACUAUUUAGAACAAAGUCUAGAAAAUAAAACCUAUAUAUUGUACAAAAUCACGAAAACCAGAAAUGACGAAAAACCUGCGAAUGUAAUUUUUGGGUUUCUUCAACAUAUCUUCCAUCCAAAUCAAACAAGAAUCGAUAAAUCAACAACAUUCAUCUUUAAACGACAUAUUACCACAAUAAAAUUGUCAACCAAGCCUCAUAUAAACCUUUUUUGUGUUUUUUGGUAAAUAUAUUUGUUAUUCUCUAAGAAUACUAGGGAAAAAAGAAACCCACUUUCUUAAUCAAGAAUCAAAUAGUAUAUAUGAAUCUAAGCUGAAGUAAGUCUUGGGUUUGAUGAAAAAGCUUGCAUUGUGAUUUAGAUUGGAAAGGAAGUUGAUUUUUGCUGGUUGAGAGAGAGAGAUUUGAGACUUAAGGAGUGUUGCUAAUCUUCGAUCGUGUAAACAAGGGUAACUGGGUCAUAGUUCAAAAUAAGGGUCCAAAAUUUACUAAAGCUAUUAAGGAGCCCAAAACUCAUAAUGGCUUCCCCAAAAUAAAUAAAAUUUUCUAGCAUUAAGUUUUUGUUUCUUCUUGAGAUUUCCUUGUCGUACUUACCCAUAUUUCGAUAUUGCCUCCAAGUAAACUUAUAUAUAUUGAUUAACAAUAUAAACAAGCACUAUGAAGUUUUAGGCCUGAAAAAACAUUGAGGUUGAAAUGAAAACCAUCUAUUUAAGUAACAAAAUCUUCUGAUAAUUUGAUGCUUAAUAAAUAGAGCAGAGAUGACAUAUUAAUCACGCUAUGAUGUGGAAGUUAUGAUUAUAUUCAUCUUAAGAAUAAGAUCUUUCAAACACUGGCAGAUUAGUAUCAAAAUACUCAGCAUAAGACCUACAAACUAGAAAUCAUGAACCAAUUAUUGAACUCAGUACAUAAGUUGAUCUUUUAUAAGCUAUAAAACAAAUCUGCUAUAACAUAAGAAAGUGGGAUUUAUCACCAGACAAAUAUUUUGGUGAAACUCAAGAUGACGGAAGGAUAUCCAAAACAACCUCCUUAAGGGAAGGCAUCACUUCCUGCUGAUGCAAACAUAUAUAUUUAUUACUCACUUUCUUGAGGACCUUCCAGGAACCUGGGUAGCAUCUAACAGAAAGUGGAAAAGAAUAAAAUGUAAAAUAUAAGUUAAACAGCAGGAAAACAGUGAGUGAUACUAGGCAAGCAUUAAUAGGUUGCCGCAGGAAAAGUGUCAGUAACUAGCUAGCAAACCUGAAAAGGGUUCCUCCAUUGCGACCCUUAAAAUUGUGAAUGUAAUAUAUGGUCUCCAUCACAGGAAAAAGUGUAUUGGAUAGUGCAGCCAGCUUAGUGUUGCGGACCGCCCAAAUUCGUAGCCCAAUUUAUUCACCAAGAGCCCAACACAAGGCCAAGAGUGCUACCUUGGCCCGAUUCCGGAAAAUUCUAGGCAACUCUAGCACAUUGAGCUUGUAAAUACUCUAGAAUUCUCCAUAGAAUUCCAGCACAUGUAAAUAGCUAGGAAAUGGUAGAAUUCUCUAGAAUCUCUAGAGCUUGGCAAGCCUCCCCUAUAAAUAUGGGAUGGCAUUAGGCAUUUGUAUCCAACAAACACUACAACAAGCAUUGUAAGCAACUCAAGCAAUGUAAUUCUCUCUUUGUGCAAUACAAUUUCUCUUAUUCGGCUCUAUUGCUCUCUUCUCUAGUUCGAGAAGCUCUAAGCUUACUUAGCAACAUUCGGCAAAGUUGUCUAAGUGCCGCACGAGUUAGCUGCGCAAAAUACUCAUCCCGUGACAAGUGGUAUCAGAGCUAAAGUUUGCACGCACGCAAAUUAGCUCACGAGCAAUGGCCAACCUUUCAAACGUAGCACAAUAGGGUGUUGUUGGUGUGGAUGUUCCACUGGAACCAAGCCGCGACCAAGAGGGAGAACGCUCCCAAGGCAAGACUCGUGGCAAGUCCAAGGCCCCAUCCGUGGAUGCGUUGGAGCCUCGUGUGACUACUCUCGAAAUCACAUUGUCCGCCGCUCAAGAAAGUCUCGAGGGAUUGGAGGAACGAGUGGACGGUCUCGAGGGGGAAUACGCCGAGUUCACGGUGGCAACAAAAGCUCUCAUCCAAGAGCAAGCGAACACUCUCCGAGGUGAGUUUCGUUCUUUCCAUGAUGAGUUGCUCAAACUUCGUAGCUUUGUUCAGGAUGAACUACGAGCUGUCCGUGCAGAAGUGGAUGAAGUCCGCUCGGAUUGGGCAUGGCACAAGUGCACAGUCUCUGCUAGUCCAGCUUCCGCAAACUCGAGUGAUGCGCGCCGCAUUGACGUGCCAAAGCCCGACACCUACGAUGGCACACACAAUGCCACCAUCGUGGAUAAUUUCCUCUUUGGGCUCGAUCAAUACUUCGAUGCCAUGGGUGUCCGAGACGAGGCAUCGAAAGUGGGCACUGCACCCACCUAUCUUAGAGGCGCUGCACAACUAUGGUGGCGUCGCAAGUAUGGCGAGAUGGGCAAGGGCAUUUGCACCAUCGACACUUGGGCCAACUUCAAGCAAGAACGCCGAAAGCAGUUCGCCCCAAGCAAUGCGGAGAAGGAAGCACGAGCGUGCUUACGUCGCCUCAAGCAAACGGGUAGCAUAUGGGACUACAUCAACGAGUUCACUACCCUUAUGUUGGAGAUAAGCGACAUGUCCGACAAAGAUUCGCUCUUCUACUUCCAAGAUGGCCUCAAGGAUUGGGCCAAGACUGAGCUUGAUAGGCGUGGUGUUCAAACACUUGACGAUGCCAUGGCCGUUGCGGAGUCGCUCACCGAAUACUCUAUCCAAUCCAAGGACAAAAAGGCCAACCAAGGCAAAGGUGGGGGAGAGAGUCGCAAGGACAAGGGCAACAACCGCAAAGAUUGGGGGUAGAAAAAACUGCCUAGCAACAAGAGCGAGCAAGGAAAAUCGGAGGGUAAGAAGGAGGCGCCAAAGCCGCGAAGCCCAUGCUUCAUAUGCAAUGGUCCUGAUUGGGUACGCGACUAUCCGGAGAAGAGGUCGCUAAACGCUCUUGCUGCCCAACUCAAGAGCAACCCUACAAUGUCCACAGAGGAACCCCAACUCAGCAUGGGUUCUCUCCAACGCCUCGGCGCACUUAAUCACUAACAGCCUGCACUCGUCAAGAAAGGGCUCAUGUAUGUAAGCGCAAAGGUAAACGGUCAGUUCGUUCGCGCGCUGCUAGACACGGGAGCGACGCACAACUUUGUGUCCGUAGACGAGGCCAAGCGCUUAGGCCUCAAGGCCACCAAGGAAGGAGGCACGAUGAAAGCGGUGAACUCACCCGCCAAGCCAAUUGCGGGGAUCGCACAAGGCGUGCACAUUAUGCUUGGAACAUGGAGCGGAAAGCUUGAUUUCUCCAUCGUUCCCAUGGAUGACUUCAAGAUGGUCCUCGGCAUGGAAUUCUUCAACCAAGUCCAUGCCUUCUCGCUGCCCGCUCCGAACUUCCUAAGCAUCCUCGACGGGAGUAAGGCAUGCAUGGUUCCCACGGAACGAGGCAAGUCCGAGGAGAAGACACUCUCUACCAUGCAAUUUAAAAGGGCUUUCAAGAAGGACCCAAGUUUCUUGGUCUCCAUUCGGGAACUAAACGAGGUAGGAAAUAGCGGAAUCUCGCCAAACCAAGUCCCUCCGCGAAUUCAAGCCGUCCUUAAUGAGUACAAGGACGUGAUGCCUCCAGAACUUCCGAAGAAACUCCUACCUCGACGAGAGGUUGACCAUGCAAUUGAGCUGGAACAAGGCACGAAGCCACCAGCCUUGGCGCCCUACCGCAUGGCGCCACCCGAAUUAGAGGAGUUGCGGAGACAACUCAAAGACUUACUGGACGCAUGCUACAUUCGCCCCUCAAAGGCCCCAUUCGGUGCACCUGUGCUCUUCCAAAAGAAAAAUGAUGGAUUGCUGCGGAUGUGCAUCGAUUAUAGAGCGCUCAACAAGAUCACCAUCAAGAACAAGUAUCCGAUUCCCUUGAUCGCGGACUUGUUCGACCAGCUUGGCAAAGCGCGGUACUUCACCAAACUCGACUUGCGCUCCGGGUACUACCAAGUGCGCAUCGCCAAGGGAGACGAACCAAAGACAGCGUGCACAACAAGGUACGGGUCUUUCGAAUUCCUUGUGAUGCCUUUUGGCCUUACUAAUGCACCCGCCACAUUUUGUACGCUCAUGAACAAGGUGCUCCAACCAUUUCUCGACCGCUUCGUGGUCGUGUACUUGGAUGACAUAGUGGUGUAUAGCACCACGCUCGAGGAUCAUGCCCAACACUUGCGACAAGCCCUCCAAGUACUUCGAGACAAUGAGCUAUUCCUCAAAUUGGAGAAGUGCUCGUUUGCCCAACGAGAAGUGGAGUUCCUUGGCCACAAGAUUGCGGGCGGGAAGCUCAUGAUGGAAAAUGCCAAAGUGAAGGCCAUUCUCAAAUGGGAACCUCCCUCGAAAGUGCCCGAGCUUCGCUCAUUCCUUGGGCUGGUGAACUACUACUGCCACUUCAUCAAAGGCUAUUCGGCCAAGGCAGCACCCUUGACGGAUAUCAGAACGUGGCAUUAGUUCGAAGAGUGCCAACGCGCAUUCGAGGAGUUGAAGAAGGCAAUUUCAGAAGAACCUGUCCUCGCUCUACCGGACCACACAAAGCCCUUCGAAGUCCAAACAGAUGCCUCAGAUUUUGCCAUAGGUGGAGUCCUUAUGCAAGAAGGCCACCCCAUAGCGUUCGAGAGUCGAAAGCUAAAUGAUACGGAGCGUCGCUACACGGUGUAAGAGAAGGAGAUGACAGCCAUCAUACAUUGCUUGCGUGUGUGGCGACAUUACUUGCUAGGCUCACACUUCACGAUUAUGACGGACAACGUGGUGACAAGCUACUUUCAAACUCUAAAGAAGUUGAGUCCGAAGCAAGCACGGUGGCAAGACUUCCUUGCGGAAUUCGACUAUUGGCUCGAGUACAAACCGGGGAAAGCCAAUGUCGUUGCGGACGCUCUAAGCCGCAAGGUGGAAUUGGCAACACUUAGCAUGAGCCAACCGAAGUUCGACCUUAUCUCACGCAUCAAGGAAGGCCUCCAACAAGAUCCGCUAGCAAAGGAUUUGCUGGAGAAGGUGCUCGAGGGAAAGACAAGGCGUUUUUGGCAAGAGGAAGGCAUCCUCCUCACCAAGGGAGAUAGGCUGUUCGUGCCAAGGUGAGGAAACUUGUGGAAGGAAGUUAUCAAGGAGUGCCACGACUUCAAGUGGGCUAGUCACCUAGGAAUCGAGCGCACCACCGCACUAGUUCAAGCCUCGUAUUUUUUGCCACACAUGAGGGACGACAUCGAGGCAUAUGUGCGAACUUGUCUUGUGUGCCAACAAGACAAGGUGGAUCAUCAACUUCCAGCGGGAUUAUUAGAGCCGCUAUCGCUAGCAACAAGACCAUGGGAAAGUGUCUCCAUGGACUUCAUCACAUCGCUGCCUAAGUCCGAAGGAUGCGGAAGUAUCAUGGUCGUUGUCGACCGAUACAACAAGUAUGCCACAUUUAUUGCCGUACCAAUCGAUUGCAAAGCGGAUGAGGCAUCUCGCCUAUUCGUCAAGCACAUUAUGAAGCUUUGGGGAGUUCCAAAGAACAUUGUGAGCGACCGAGACCCUUGGUUCACUGGGCGUUUCUGGACGGAGCUCUUCAAGAUGUUAGGGACCGAUCUCAAGUUCUCGACAAGCUUUCACUCACAAACGGAUGGGCAGACCGAGCGCAUUAAUGGCCUCCUCGAGAUGUACUUGAGGCAUUAUGUGAGCGCUCAUCAGCGAGAUUGGGCGAAGCUAAUCGACAUCGCCCAAUUUUCUUAUAACUUACAGCGAAGCAAGGCUACGGGCAAGAGUCCGUUCGAGAUCAUCAUGGGAUUUCAGCCCAUGACCCCCAACGCCAUAGCCUCGACUUACGGAAGGAAAAGCCCCGCGGCACACAAGCUCACCCGCGAAUGGCAUGAGGAAGCGAACACCACGCAAGCCUAUCUCGACAAAGCCGUGAGGAAAAUGAAGAAAUGGGCGGAUACAAGGAGACGACAUGUUGAGUAUAAGGAAGGUGAUCAAGUUAUGAUCAAGCUCCUACCCCAACAAUUCAAGAUGUUGCGGAAAGUCCACAAGGGGUUAGUGAGGCGCUACGAGGGACCCUUCCGAGUUGUUCGACGUGUGGGCAACGUCUCGUAUCAACUCCAACUUCCGCCAAGACUCAAGAUCCAUCCGGUCUUCCAUGUGAGUCUUCUCAAGCCAUAUCACGAAGACAUGGGAGACCCAAGUCGCGGAGAAUCGAGGCGCGCACCAACUGCCGUUGUCACCGCGUUCGACAAAGAUGUGGACUACAUCAUUGCGAACCGCGUGGUUUCGAGGAGGGGCGUGCCAGCACAUAGCGAGUACUUGGUGAAGUGGAAAAACCUCCCCGAGAGCGAAGCCACUUGGGAACGUGAAGACAAUUUGUGGCAAUUCGUUGAGCACAUCCAGAGGUUCAAGCACGAGAGCGCGAUGAGGACGCCGCGAGGUUAGGUGGGGGAGGAUGUUGCGGACAGCCCAAAUUCGUAGCCCAAUUUGCUCGCCAAGAGCCCAACACAAGGCCAAGAGUGCUAGCUUGGCCCGAUUCCGGAAAAUUCUAGGCAACUCUAGCACAUUGAGCUUUUAAAUACUCUAGAAUUCUCCAUAGAAUUCCAGCACAUGUAAAUAUCUAGGAAAUGGUAGAAUUCUCUAGAAUCUCUAGAGCUUGGCAAGCCUCCCCUAUAAAUAUGGGAUGGCAUUAGGCAUUUGUAUCCAACAAACACUACAACAAGCAUUGUAAGCAACUCAAGCAUUGUAAUUCUCUCUUUGUGCAAUACAAUUUCUCUUAUUCGGCUCCAUUGCUCUCUUCUCUAGUUCGAGAAGCUCUAGGCUUACUUAGCAACAUUCGGCAAAGUUGUCUAAGUGUCGCACGGGUUAGCUGCGCAAAAUACUCAUCUCGUGACAUUAGGGUAGAAGAAUGACGGAUAAUCUUUAGCUCAUUUAAGGAAAUCCUCUCUGAUCCUUUCAUUGCACAUUCCAAAACAACUCUACUACAACCAAGUUACCAAUUCUUUUUGUUAAGUCAUUGUUAUUUGUUAAAAAAAAAAAAAGUCUUCCUUGCAACAUUUUAUUGAAAGAUAUAACAUGAUCAUCCCUAUUAAUUCCCUUUUAGAUUUCUGUGAGUGAAUUUCAAAUUAUUGUAUUCAAAAAUAGAAGCAAAAGACCCACUUUACUUUCAAUUUCUGCAACAAGAUACCAAUUGAAGGACCAAAAAGUUGUAAACAAGCAAUUCAAUGGGUGGGCAUCUAGAAACUGCUAAAUAGCAUCAAAAUCAUACUAAAUUUACAGAAAGUACAAUAAUAAUGAAAGAAUGGUGAAGGAUACACCCAGACCUUAUCCGGUCAAGUUCUCUAUUGAAUAUAAUCAGUUUCUGGGCAGUAUUGAAGACAGCUUCUUUGUAAAGCUCUUCAACGACAAGCAUUUCUACAAGACGAAAGAAAAGCAAAAUUAAUUACCUUAAGGAAUGAAUAUCAAUAAGAAGACAAGGUGUAAGACUACCAUUGACAUUAAAAUAUGGAUAGGCGACUAGAAACAAUUCAUCUUCUGGCUUCACACGGUCUGCCAUUUUAACCUUCUCAGUGAAUCCAAAAUCCUCAAAGAAUGAAGGUUUUGUUAGAUAGUCCAACUUAAAUAAUGAUCCUUCAAAGACCGAUUUUCUUGCAUAUUUGACUUCAUUUGCCUCUGGGAAAAACUAAAAACCAAAUGACAGACCAAGAUCACGAAACGAAUCAUGAACAUAGAUAUCAGAUAAUCAGAAAUGGGCAUUAAACAGACUACUAACAAGUAGGAAAUGCAUACAGAAAACAUUAUUCAUACACCUUAUGCACAUGAAAUAUAUAUGCAGAGGGAUCCUCUUGUGAAUUUAGUUUAUAUCCUAAUAUGAGACAAUGAACAAUUGGAUGGCAUCUAAGGGCUAACAUUUGUUUGAUUAUUAUAUGAAAAAAAAAAACAAAACAGAGUUGAUUGAUGGCCUUUGAUGGAUUGCCUACACUCUUAAAGUGCAGAGAGCCUGAUUAAUUGCUUUACCUGCCCCCCCCCCCCACACACACUUGGUUUUAUUAUCUCUCUUUUCAAAUAUAUAAUCAUUGGCUGUCUUUCAUCCUGAUCCGGCUCUCCUUCCAGGCCCCAGCUGUGUUUUCUUCAAUUCAGUGAAACAUUCACAUUCAGGUAAGAAUAAACUUGUCCUUCCUCAAAAAUCAGCUUCUCACCAUGAAGCUUUCUUUUUUAAACCAAUUACUAGUCUAGCAUAACGCAUCUAAUUGAAGACAACUCAGAAUUGAAAAAGCCAUACUUUAAUGUCUGUUGUUGGGACCUCAAGACCAGGAACAAAAAGCUUCUUUCUAACAGUUGGAUUAACAAGUAGAAAUAGCUUUUUUUCUGAAGGACCCAACAUUGCAUUGAAAAAUUCAACAAAAGGAAUGGCAUCAUAUUUAGUCCUGCUAGAAUUUUGUGCACUUAACACAAUGGUUAAUAAUUGGCCCAGCGGACACUUUGUCGAACUAUUGGCAACCUUGACUGUGGAAAUGCAUAUUUCAAAUGUUGGCAGGCUCUAGCUUCUUGAUGUACUGUUGAUAGAAAUGCCUAUUUCAAAAGUUGGCAGGCUCAAACUGCCGAGACUUUGGUUUCUUGCAUUUCAAACCCACAAAUAAAACUUUGGCAGAACCCCAGAAAGAGCUACACCUCCCAAAUUUGAUGACAAAUGAAGAGACCAUGCCUAGUGCUUAGUUCGGCAAAUGAGUAAGUUUGAAAGAAAUUAAGGGAAACCUUUCCCACAGAGAGUCAUAUUGAAGGUUACAAUUUGAAGACUUUGUCCCCUGUCGCCCACAACCUUCUUUGAUCUCUUUGCUUAGUCAUAAAUAAUCAAACAUAUGUUAGUCGUUGGAUGCAAUCCACUCACUGACAUCUCAUGUCCACAAUCAAUCAACCAUAUUUUAAUAGAAAUGAAAACAUUUUAAUUAAAAAAGAAUGAGAUAGGAACAAAAUGAAACUUGGCAGACAUGGGUCUAUGAGAUUUUAAAGAUGCUUGGUGAAAGUCGUAUUCAAGAGUUCAACAGUCAGUUCUAUCACCUAUGGCAAAGUAACCACCAUAACUAAAGCAAUUACAAAACAUCAAGAAGCUUGAACUUGGCAAGAGGUCUCAUUAACAGUAUACCUCAGAAAUUAAGACAGACUUAAAGUACAAGCUUUUGGAUUUAUUUAAACACUGAAAAUAAUAUGGGUAGAAGCUCCUAUGGUCACAGCAAACAAUUACAAAGCACAAAACCCAAAAAAUAGAUAUGCAAAAAGCUGCAAAAGAACAUUAUUAGCAAUUGACAUCUGCUUUGCUCAGACAAAGGUUCUCAUAACAAAGGACUUAGUGAUUAUCUUUCAUAUGUUUAUGUUAAGGGGAAAAAGGAAGUUUGUUUUAGUCAAUCUCAUGUCUAAUGGCAUUCAUAAGGAGCCCAAAAAUAAAAGAAAAAAUAAAGAGUUAGUAGGUGUUUCUCGCAGUAUAAAGAAAAUUUAUCAUCCAUGAAAAACUUAGUAUGGAAAAAGCUAACUCAUUUAUCUGCCAAUGGAGAAAAACUUGUUGUCCACCCACUAAGGACCCACCAUUGGGAGAUGGAUCCCAUGGAUGGGAACCACAAAUAUUUUAUUCUAAAUGAAAUGGGUAUUGUACCAUAUCAUUUAAUUUGUAGAUUCCACUGAUGGAACUCAUCAAACUUUUCAAAUGGUAGGUCCUUCAUGGGUAGGCGCAUCACUUCAGCAUCCUUCUCCACCGAUGACUAAAUCUGGACUCAUUUAAAAAGAAUACAAAGCAAAACUAAUUGACACAAAUUGCAUAGAGGUCUAGGAGCCAAAUCAAUGUUGUUAACUCAUCCAAUUAAUACAUUCUCUUAGAGGUCAUACCUUGGUAACUCAUUUCAAAAGAAAUUAAAAGAAAAACGACUGCACAAAUUGUACUGAGCUCAAGAAGACCUGUUCAAGGUGUUCACUUGUCCAACUAAUAAAAGUCAUCAAGGAUUGUAUCGGGGACUUGGGACCAAUCCUGCCUUAACUAGAGAAAGGGAAUUUAGGAUGAAGAAGAUAACCUCUUCUCCUAGAGCCCUUUUGGACAAAAAUGAAUUCCUACUAAUUCUGAGAAUAAAACCAUAGACAUCUAACUUCUGAUAUCUAGUCAAUCUGGUAAAAUCUUGUCAGUUGCACUUGGGGCAGAAAUUAGUUCCACCUUGGUUUACAGGACAGAAAUUCGUCAUAUGCAUGUAUUUAUUUAUGUUUUAUACACAAACGCAUACAUGUACACACAAACACUACCUUCACUUUGAAGAAAAGAUUAAAAUAACACUGCUCACAUACACAAUACUUACUAUUCUAGUUCGUGUAACUUUCUCUGGAGUCACAAACAGGUCACAGAAUUCACGUAUUAACCGCAUACUUCCAGUCAUUUCUAUUCCUCCUUCACCAUCACCUGUCCCACAAUUACAAAAAGUGAGAGGUAAUAACCAACAUAUUUGGGUUGCUCUUCGGUAAGGGGUGGGAGGUAAGGGUUAGUUGUGGAGGGCACCUGGUACAGAAUCAAGGCCAGCUGUUGGGAAUUCGAUCUCUUGUAACAUAUACUUGUUCAUCAUAAACUAUAUACUUAUUCUGCAGUCGAUGUGUGCAUAUAGCUCUUCAAUUAUCCAGUAAUAACUCACCAUCAACUUCCUACCAUCCUUCAUGGCUAAUUCAGCAGCCAUUUUUGCCUGUUUAAAGGUCAAAAGCCCAAACUAAGCAGAUGCUCCUACUCCGAUACUUAUUAUCUAACUACUACAGAACAGAUGAUACACAUCAAGUUGUAUCAAGAGAGACACCAAGUUGUGUUUUCCAAGAGGUUCCAAAGAGGAUCUGUUUCUUUGUGUAAUUUUUAGACUGCUUUGACAACUCAUCUUAAAGGUGCCACUCAUCCAAUAUGAUGUGGUGACAGUAGUUUAGAGUUUUAAACUAAAUGCAGAGCUAAUAGUAUUUUGGAAAUAUAAUCAUCCUAAGAUACUAUAACACAAGGAUUCUUACACAAAAACAACAACUUCGAUGUAGAGAGAAGAUGAUUUCACAAAAGCAGAUGUUUUGAUUUAAGUCUCCAAAACCCCCACCAAGAAAAUGUUCAACGGAUAUAGAAAUAUGAUCCACAUAUCUGUAACUUAAACUGUAAAAGUUGUUGAUGUUGUUCUAAAAUUGCCACAAUCUAUCUACCCCAUGAAUGUUUUUGGAUAAAACAAGAAGCAGGACCCAAUGCCUGUUUUCUAAUAGCUUCAAAAAGGCCAAAUUGGUUUUGAAAUGUCUCCAGCUUUUCAUUUAACAAGUUUAAGGAUCCCUUCGGCAUUGCAAUUGGGGAGCUCAGAUAUAUAAAAGUGCCUGGUAAACUCUUACAGCCGCAGCUUUUGAGCAAAAAUAAUUUUAUCUCAUAAUUGUUUGACUAAAAACAUAUAUCACCUUUUAUCAGUUUUGUAAAAAAUAUUAUUUAUAAGUCAUAUUUACCAAACACAGUCAACUUUUACAUCACAACUAUAGCUUUUUUUUUUUUUUCACCACACAUAUAUAGUUAAAAACUACAAGAACUCGAUAUCAAACAGAUCCUAAAGCGUAAUCUAAUAAAAAGGUAAAUAAACAAAUGCAGAAGCCAGCGUACUUGAUCAAGAAGCUCUGAAUAGUCACUGGGAAAGGGAAUAUCGACGUUAAUGGGGUUAUUGCCAUCGCUUGAAACCGAAUUGGUGAGACAAUUGCGUUUUCUUCUGUACGGCGAAAAUGUGACGAUUGAGUAACAACUUAUAUCGAACUUUAGGUUAAAAUAAUUACUAUGGAAUAUUGGAAUACGAGAUUAUUAGCAUUUGAGUGCUUGAGUGGGAAUCAAGAAAACUUAAAAUAGUUCAGUUAACCCAAAAAGAAAAAGGGGGGAAAAAACCCAUGGAAAGUGCGAUGAAUGUAAAUCCACUUUAAAACUUUAAUCAUAAAUGGUUAACUAAUUUUAAGUAAUUUGGAUUAACUUGACAAAUUGAAAAACCAUGCACUAGAGGAAAAUGUUCAUAUUUGGAGGUCCGAAUUUAUCUACCAUUCAACCCUAUUUUCAGCUCCUGCAUGGAGGAUAAGUUAGUUUGGUGAAUCUACCACUAGCUAAUUAGCUAAUUUUUUUUUUUGAAGAUAGCUAAUUAGCUAAUUAAGAGAGCAUUAACGUUGAUAAUUUGUCCUAUCUAAAAUGAAAAGUAAGAAAUUUACACUAGUAAAUUUUACACAAUCACAGUUGGAAUUUCAAAGAAACAAAAACGGAUCAAUAGUGCAAUUGUAAUUCAAAUUUGCACUUUAGGCCACACGUUCGGCCCAGUUCUUGUAUUAACACUUCAAUACUUGACAUGUGGCCAUUUUUUUAUUCGUCCACGUUCUUUGCAUUCUCAUGGUAGUACUCGAACAAGACAAAAUUUCACGAAUAUUCAGUUGAAUUGUUGUUGAAACAUGUAUAAGAAAUCAAAUCUCGUUAGUUUUGAAUAUUACCAGCAACUCAAAUUAUUUUAACCUAAAGUUCAAUAUAAGUUGUUGUUGGGGGUUAACGGCAUUUUGAACCACAAAGUAAAGAGAGAGAGAGAAGAAACGCUCCCCUUUCAAAUACCGUGCUCUUUUGUACCUGGGAAUUUAAUAAUUCAUGCGAAUAAAAAAAUUAUAAAUUUAGUAAAUUAUUUAUUAAAAAAUAUUGAGAGGUUGUGCAUUAUUUUAUUAGUAAUGACAUAGUAAUCAUCAAAUUAGUUGAAUUAAAAUAGUUGUUGACUCACGUAAUUUAUUUUUAUUAUUUUUAAAAAAAAUGGUCUGCGUUAAUAAGGUUAAGGGUGACAACUGGGAUCAAUAUACAGUUUAUUCGGGUGCUUAAAACCUAAUAAAUAUCCACUAACUCAUAUAUAGUUAAAAUAUAAUUAUUUUUAAAUAAAAAAUUUAAUAUAAACUAAACAAAUUGAUCGGAUUUUGUUUCUCAAGGUACAUCAUUAGAACGUUACUUUUAAUUGAACAAAAGCACACAUAACUAGCACAUUCGCCACAAAAGCCUCGGCUUAGUGGUCGGCUUAUUAAUUAUCCUAAUAAAAUCAUGGUCAUAAAUUUGAGUCCCCGUAGGUUAGGUAGCUUUUUUAGACUACACUAUAAAUACAUGUAUUUUACUUCUCGCGGGUAUUGCUUCUAGUAGUUAUCCAUCCGAGUAUAGAGCUUUGUAGCUUUCUUCAUGACCUUCCCCAAUUUCAAUGCUUGUUAAACAAUCUCCACAGAAAAUGUGAUAGAAAUGUCCCGCUGCCACUUGUUGUGCAUAGUCCAAAUCUGCAAUUUAAGGUCAUCAUUUCAUUUAAUUUUCCGUUAUAUAUAUUCAUCUUUCUUAGAGGCCAAGAAGUCUUCGACAGAAAUGUGAUCUUUUUCUAGUAGCCUCCCGGUGAUGAGCUUCUCCCAAGUUUCAAUUAAUUCGCUUUGAGUGAGGAUAUUUUCUGGUGGCCUCAAAUACAAUGUUUUGUUCAGCACUCGAGGAGCAUCUAUUCUCUUAAUAGUAUAUAUGGCAACAUCAUCGAUAUGCACCAUAGAAAAAAAGAUAAUCAUUUUGUUUAAUAUGAACAUAAAUUCUUACAGUCUAACUCAUAUUAUAGUGAACGAUGUUGUUGUGUGGUGCGUGCAUGCACUAUCUAUAGUUUUAAUAUUAUUAAUAAAGAGUUAAAAGUCUUGAUUUAAUUUUAAAUUGUCAUUCCUCUAACUUCACCGUCUUCAUAGAUCCAGACUUUAUCUUUUGAAGGGCGAGGGUAGCUAUAUUUGAGAGAGGUGUCCGGGGAACCAACCAGCAAAAAACAGCUAGCAGAAACAUAAAUGACAGGGAUUUGAGCAGCCUUGAUUGCCCUUCUCACACAUGUGCUCUGCGUUCUCCCUCUCGCUCUCACUCACUCACGCCCAAAUCUCACCUCACUCACGCCCAAAUCUCACCUCACUCACGCAUCUCUCCUUCUGACCGGUGGUUUUCUCUCUCUCGCCGUGGGUCUCUAGGCUGGCAGGGAUUUCUCGACUUGACUACUAAAACAUAAUCCAAAAACUACUAAGAGAUGUAUAUAUUACUCUGAUAUACACAAUAUGAAGAAACUGCAGUUAUAUUUCAAAUAUUAUAUGAAGGAAGAGGCUGUAUGGAUUAUCCAAAGGUGCUGAAAUUAAGAGACCCACACCAACCGACAGACCCCCGGUGAUAGAGAGAAAGUCGACCGUGAGAUGCAUUCAAGACGGGGGAAGAGUGAGAGAGAAAACUGCCCGGUCAGAAAGAGAGAUGCAUGAUUGAGGUGAGAGAUUUGGGCGUGAAUGAGUGAGGAGUGAGGGAGAGGGUGCCGCGUGUGUGGGAUGCGUACAGUGACAAUUUAUACUUACAUCAAAACGCCGAGUUCGGUGCCAUGUGUAGGGCUAACUGUGGUUUGAAUCUCACUUUGGUAACGGAAAUGACUUUGCAAUUGACAGUUUUUGUCAAAAGUUCGCACUGCAUGAAACUAGUGUUAAUAUAAUUUAAAAAAUUAAUUUCAGUAUUAAUUUUUAAAAUGUUAAUUAUUAUAUUUAUUUUAAUAAUAUAUUUAUAUUUAUAAUAAAAAUUUUAGUUAAAUAUUUGUGUUAAAUAGAAUUUAUAAUUAAUAUAAUAUAUCUUAGGUAUUAAUUAUUAUAAUUAUUCUAUAUGCUAUUGAAAAUCAUUUAAAUUUUUAGAUGUUUAUUUUCAUACUAAGUUUCUAUUUAUUUUAAAAUUUAGUUUAAUAUAAUAUAAGCAAGUAAAGUAUUAAAAUAUUUUUUAGUAUUUUUAAAAUAUUAAAAUUAUUUUAAAAUAUAAGUCAAUUUUUUAAGUUAAUAGAACUAAUAUUUACAGUUUAUUUGAUGGCCUCAACAAGCUAAAGCAGCAUCAAAAUUAUGUGGCUCCUUAUUUUAUUUUUUCCCUUUCAAAAAGGGAAAAGGAUAAGUUUGGGAGAAUGUUUAUAUUUUUAAUAAAUUCUUUUUUAUUAUAAUACUUUUUGUCUUUAUUAAUUUAAAAAUAUUGACUCUUAUAUUUUAAAAAAUAUAAAUAUAAUAUUAUAAUAAAAUAUAACAAUAUAUAUCAAAUAUUUAAAAAAAAUUUAUAAUUUUAUAUUAUAUUAAAAUAAAUUUUUAAUAAAUAAAAAUAAUCUAUUAAAAUAAAGUACAAAAAUUUAAAUUAUUUUCAUUAUCAUCUAAAAUAAAUUUACUAUUAUUAAUGCAUGAAAUAUAUUAUAGUAAUUGUAAAUUUCAUUUAACUCAAAGAUUUAUUUAGAAUGUUUAUAAUAAGUCCAAAUAUAUUAUUAAAAUAAUUAUAAUAAUUUACAUUUUAAAAAUUAAUACUGAUAUUAAUUUUUAAAUUAUAUUACUCUACCAGAAAAAUUAAACUAUUAAAUUAUAUCAAUAUUUAUUAAAAAAAUUGAAAUUAAUUCUUGUUAUAUUUUUAAUUGGAAUUUUUUCAUGUGAUAUAACCACAAUUGCUACAUUUUUUCCCCUGAAUAAAGAUGGAGUUAUAAAUUAUUUGUAUAAGUGUCUGUGUGGAAACUAAUGUGACAUGAAAGUAAUAGUUGAAUAACAAUAAUGGGGCUUUAGGCAAUUUUUUCAUGAGAUUUUCUUGCGAUUUCAACACUUAAACAGACUUGUCCUUCAUCCCAAUUUAUUUACCCCAUUUGGGCCCGUUAUGACAUAGACAUAUUCUUGUGGAAUGAAAAACUUCAUGAGAAGAAAUUGUUUUAUUAUAAUAGAAAAAAGUGGUCCAUAAGUCUAUUCAUUACUUUUUUUAUUCAAUAUAAAUGGCUAACUUUAAAAAUGGUAAAAAUCACAUAACGCGCAAGCGAAAUCUAAGAUUUAUAUUUUUUAAUACUCUCCAAGUCUCUCUUUCUCUUUUUCUUUUUUUAAAUAAAUGUCAAUAUAAAAUUAGAAAAAUUUUAGAUAUAAAAUUUGGCGAUGACCAAACAAAAAUUGUAGAGGAAACCUUGAUAUCAUUGAAAUACUGAUCAUAGACACUACAGUAUAAAUAACUUAUUGUGAUCCACUCAACUUGUAACACUUUAAUCCAUAUUCUAAAAUUUUCAUGUUUGUUAGGAUUUUUAUUAUUGAUACUACUGUAUCAAUAAAAUUAUAAUUUAUUCAUAUGGAAUGAAAACAUCAAGAAAGGACCUCUGAUUUUUAUUAUAACAGAAAAAAAUGGUCCAUAAGUCUAUUAAUUAUUUUAUUUAUUCAAUACAAAUGUCCAACUUUAAAAAUGGUAAAAAUCACACAAUGCACAAGUAAAAUAUUACAAUUACAUUUUUUAACUCUCUUUGAGUCUCUCUCUCUCUCUUUAAAAAAUAAACCUCACUAUAAAAUUAGAAAAAUUUUAGACAUAAAAUUUGACAAUCACCAAACAGAAAACAUAGGGAAAUGAAAAUGGAGGAGCCCUAUUUUCAUUAGAAUAUUGAUCAUAGAUACUAUAAUGUAAAUGAUUUGUUGUGGUUCAUUCAACUUGUCACACUCUAAGCCAUUUUCUAAAAUUUGUAAGGUUUAUAGUAUUUUUAUUAUUGCCAUCAUUGUAUCAAUAAUAUUAUAAAUUAUAUAUUCUAUUGUAAUGAAAAUUUGUGUAAUCUUAGGUAUUUAUUAUAUUAAAUUGUGUGGAUUAAUUAAGAAUAUUUUUGGAGACAAAAGAAGUGUGUGUACGUAGGAUUAAUGAUAAAAAAUUUCUAAAUAAAGAUGAUUGCUUCAUUGACAAGCACAUAUUUAUAUUCCUCUAUUAAUAUUUGGGUUGUAAACUCUAUAAUAAAGUUGGUUGGUGUGAGUGGUUCGGCACUCUCACUCCUUAAGAAAGAUCAGGGGUUCAAGCCUCGCUCUCGUAUGGAGUCACCACUUUGGCCAGCACUUUACCUCUUACGGGCCGACCCGAUGCGAGCAUGAAUUAGUAUGAGUUGUGGUACGGGCUUAAAGGUGCCUCCCAUAGUUUGGGCCCACUUAGGAUCACCUCGUGGUUCAAACAAAAAAAAAGUGAAUAUAUUGUGGUAAGCGAUGUGGGCAAUAUCGGUUGCGAAAUAUUGAGAGAUCAUUAAUGCAUAUAAUUAUUGAAGAUGCAUAUAGAGGGAAGAGUGUAGAUCUGGCUGUAACAAUUAUGAAGCUUUCCCCAAGUAUACUCAUGCUUCCUUAAUUGUUCCGAAGUAUUUUUCAUAGUGUGCAGAUUUACUUUAUGGUGUCUUAAUUCGUCUUAAAUGAUUACUUUAGUUGUUUUGGGAUUUAAUGUCAUUUAUUGUGUUAAUUUUAAACAAUAGAAAAAAUAAGUAAUGGUAACGAAAGACUAAUUUGUGAUAUUGAAGCAUACGGGCUUAACUCAAUCCAAAAAUUAGUAAGUUAGCUCAAGAGUUAAGAGUUGUCCAAAUCUUAUAUGCUGAAUCCAAGUUUAAUACACAAUUGAUGCGGGAUGUUAUUCCUAACACCUUCCAUCAUGCGUAGGAUUGGCAAAAAAAUUCGGGUCAGUCCCACCUAAACCUGCAGGCUUUAUGCAUGGCUCGCAUGAUGAAGUUACGGAUAUUAACCUAAAAAUUUGAAACUUACUAUGAAUGGCCUUGCUUAAAGACUUUUGCAACUUUAAUUUAUAACAAGUAUGUAUAUAUACACACACAUAAGCUUAGAUUGCAUUUGGAUGGCUUUUUUAAUCAAUUCAAACAAUUUGAAAUUUAUCGGAUUAAUCUGAAUCUUAUCUGUAUCCGAUUUUGUCCGCCCCUACUAUUUAUAAGCCCAGGUGACUCUCUUUUACUAAUUAAUAAGAGAAUUUUUGACCUUAUAUCCUUGCUGUGGUGUUAGACUGUUGGUCAUUUUGAUUGUUUCCUACCUUCCAUUUACGCCAGCUAUAACAUUGUAUUAUCACCAUUUUAGCCAUUUAAAUGAAAUUUUAUUUUUGUCAAAAAUAAAAUGACACCCUUAAAAUUAAAAAAGAAAUAGUUAUGUAGACCUCAAAUUUUUAAUAAAGAAUGCCAAUACCCCUUUUAACUACAAGAUUCUUAGUAGAUGAUAACUAAAAAAAUUAACUUCAAAAAUUUUCACUAAAUGUAAAUCUGAUUGAAAUAGUUUAAAUUUUUCUAGUAGACUAAUAUAUAUAACUUAAAUAAUUAAUUUCAUUAUUAAUUUUUAAAAUGUUAACUAAUAUAUUUUUAAUUUAUUAUAAAAAUUUUAAAUAAAUUCUUGGAUUAGAUAGAUUUUACAAUUAAUGUAAUACUGUUGAUUUAUUAAUAAUAUUAAAAUUAUUUUAUAUGAUAUUCAAAAUAAUUUAAACUUUGAUAUAUUUAUUUUAAUAGUAUGUCUAUUUAUUAUAAUUUGGUUUAAUAUAAUACGGGAUUGCAAAAUAUUAAAAUAUUUUUCAAUAUCAAAUUAUUUUAAUAUGUAUAUAUCAUUACAUUUAUUUCAAUAUCGCAUUUAUAUUUAUUAUAAGAUAUAAAAUUAAAGAGUAUUGCAAUAAAGUAAAAAAAGAAAAAAAAAAGUCUUAUUAUCCCUUAUUCACGAUAUGAGGUUCUAUAAAAUUAUUUCCCCAAACGGGUGUCCUUUUCUUAUUUUCAAAAGAAAAACUAAAGUAAGAAUAAGUCCAUGGGUUUCAAAAGACUUAUAGUCCUAUCCCGGAACCUACAUUAUCUGCCACUAUGACUAAUGACAAAUUUUUGGUGGGAUAUAGGAAAAUUGUCAAAAGUUCAUGCUGCGUGAGAGUCUUUGGUGGGAUGUGGAAGGAUUGUCAAAAGAUCACACCACGUGACAUAACCACAAUUGCUACAGUUUUUUUUUUUUAAAAUAUUGAUGGGAGUUAUAAAUUAUUUAUAUAAAUUUGCGUAGACUGAUGUAACAUAAAAGAAGUAGCUGAAUAACAAUAUUUGGUGCUUUAGGUAAUUUUCAGAUGGGCCUUUCUUUUAUUUAGCGACUUUAGUGCUUAAACAAACUUGUGCUCGAUCUUAAUUUAAGCCUAUGAUGACAUAAACAUAUUCUUUUGUGACGAAAACAUCAAGAGAAGACAUCUCAUGUUUUAUUAUAACAGAAAAGAAGUGGUCCAAACGUCUAUUCAUUAUUUUAUUUAUUCAAUAUAAAUGGCCAACUUUAAAAAUCACACAACGCUCAAGUGAAAAUUUAGAAUUACAUUUUUUAAUACUCUCGGAGUCUUUCUCUCGUGCCCCCUUUUUUUCUAAAAAAAUAAACCUUAGUGUAAAAUUAGAAGAAUUUUAGAUAUAAAAUUUAACAAUCGCUAAACAGAAAAGCAGCGGAUUGAAAAUAGAGGAGCUCUGUUAUCAUUGGAAUAUUGAUUAUAGAUAAUAGGGUAUUUUUUAAUUGAGUCCUCAUUAUUUCUAGAAAAAAAUUCAGAGACCAGAAAUUUACUAAAUGAAUUAAUUAAAUCCUUUCAAGUACAAAUUAAUAUCAUUCAAGUCCAUAACUUAACUCUUCAGUUAGAAAUAUUAACAACGUUGAGGACAUUUUAGUAAAAGAACAAUUGAACCCUUCCUCAUUCUUUUAUUUUUGACAGGUGGCAAUAGUUUGCUUACAGGUGGCAAUAGUUUAAAGCAAAGUCAAUUCACCUAACCAAGUUAAAGUUCUUUCAAGCGGAAAAAAAAAAAACCUCUAGAAGAAACUGCCGUAUUCUUCGUGUGAGAGGAGGGAUUGAGAGAACGUGGGAUGGCGUCAAAAAUGUUAUAUAAAUAUACUGUAAUUUUGACCAAAGCUUUGUUAGCAUUGGUUGAGUUCAAGUAUUGGAGAGAAGCCGAGCUUAAAGGUUAGUAACUCUAAUUUUUAAGUGAUUUUUGCAAGUAUUUUCUGAUAAAAUUGUUUCCAUAUUUAGUGAUCUUUGUGAAAAAUUAUGUUUUUCAAGUCUAUUUUUCUAAAUGACAAACUAUGUUUAAUUAUUGGUGGAUUUUUUUAUUGAAUGUUGUAUUUUGUUAAUAUACUUUUUUUAAUUUGCUCUUUAUAUAAUAAUUAGACCAAAUACACCAUAUUUAUAUAUGUAUUUAUUGAACUUAUUUUGCCUAUUUUAUAGGCUUUCUUGAGUUGUUGUAUAUGUACAAUAUUUCAUUUCAACCAAUUGGUAUCGUUAUAUUAAUAAGAUUGAAUUCAUUGUAUUUGCUUUUUUGUUCAUGUAAAAUUGAAUUCUAUGUGUUAUUAUGAGUGGUAAUUUUUAUAUAUAUUAGACUAAAUUCUCUAUAGUUGUUGGGUUAUUUUUUCUUUUCAGUUUUUAUUUUUAUAUGUAUUAGAUUGAAUUUUCUUUUAUACUUUUUUUAAUCGAAUUACAUGUAUAUUUCAUUUAGGUUGAGUUUUUUAUUCUUUGCUAAAUAAAAUUGUAUUAGUUUAGCCAUUUUUUGAUGCAAUACUUUUUUGUUUUAAAAUUGAUGCAGGUAGUCAUGUUACCUUUUUUUUUGUUGGUUAAAAUUAAUGGGGCGGUGUAUGAGAUAGGAUAUAGGGACCCAGAGGAAUAUAAGAUUAUUAGGUUGUUUCAUGAAAUUCUAGAAGUCAUGGUUAAGUAUGGACACAAUGAAAUGGAUUUGAUUGAAAUUUUUGUUGUGUUGCCAUGGACUACAAGUAGGCAGAGGAAGCUAAUUUCAAAUGAUAGUGAAUUGUAUUCGGUUUUUGAGGAGUUUUUUUACUAAUAGUUGUCAUGUUAUUGAGUUUGAGGUGCACACUGGGUUAGGUGGUCAAUCAUGUCAUGAAAGUGUUGUAAUAGGAUCUGAAAAUCCUGUCAAUAUAGGUGUUAGUAUGGGUAGUGAUAAGUUUGAAAAACUUAGUGAGGAUGGCUUUAUCGGAGGGCACUUAUCUGAUGAAGAGAAUGGUCUCUUACAUAUGUAUGAAUCCAUUGUUGAUAAUGAGUGGAAACCAAAUCUAAAUGGUUCAGUUAGUCUAAAAGUAGGAAAUACCUUUGAAUCUGUUGCAUUAUUAAAAGAGGUUAUGGUGAAAUAUGCAAUCCAAGAGGGUUUUGAGUUAAAUAGGAUUAAAAAUGAUGGUGUUAGGUAUACUUGUUGUUGUGUUAAUCCAAAAUGCACUUGGAAACUUCAUGCUUCAUCGAUGGUUGAUGGGAUAACUUUUAAAAUUAGGUAUAUUAAAGGGAAACAUGAUUGCCAGAUUAAAUCAAUUAACAAAGAUGCAACAGCACCUUGGAUAGCUAAAGUUUGUGCUGGACUUAUUCAAACUAACCCAGGAGUUGGUGUAAAUGUCAUAAGAAGUGAGUUAAAAGAUAAACAUGGGAUUGAAUGUGACAAACAAAAACUAUACAGGGCAAAAAAAAUUGCAUUAGAAAACCUAGGUGCUGACCACAUUGCUUGCUAUGGAAAGCUUUUGAAAUAUGCUCACAUUCUAAUGAAAAUGAAUAGAGGUGCUUGUGUUAAGGUAAAGGUUAAAAGGCCAUUGUCAAAUAGCCCAGUUUUUCAAAGGUUUUUUUUGUCAUUUCCUGCACUUAAAGUGGGGUACCUAACUGGGUGUAGACCUUUCAUAGGAUUGGAUGGGUGUCACUUGAAGGGGCCAUACAGGGGAGUAUUGUUAUCUGCUGUUGCAUUAGAUGAUGAUAGUGGAAUUUUUCCAUUGGCUUUUUGCAUAUGUGAGGUAGAGAACUAUGAUAGUUGGAGUUAUUUUUUAUCUUUGCUGUAUGAAUUCAUUGGGGCUGAUGAUCAUAGGUCUGUAACUAUUAUUAGUGAUAGACAAAAAGGUCUUUUAUGGGGAUUGGAAAAAUAUUGGCCUAAUGCUAGUACUAGAUAUUGUGCUAGGCAUAUCUUUGCCAAUUUGAAGUGUAAGUUUCCUGGUUUGAAUGUCAUGGGGUUAUUUUGGAAAGCUUGUAGGGCUGCAAAUCAGUAUGACUUUGAGAGGGCAAUGAGUCAAAUUAGGGCUAAAGACCAAAAUUGUUAUGAAUGGUUGAGAAAAAUACCACCUGCACAGUGGUCUAGAAGCGGGUUUGAUCAUCAUGUGAAAUCUGACCAUGUUACAAACAACAUGACUGAAUCUUUUAAUAAGUGGGUGGAUGAGGUUAGGGAUAAGCCUGUCCUAACCAUUCUUGAGCAUAUUCGUAGACAACUAAUGGUGAGAAUGUUGAAAAAAUAUCAGCUAGGUGAAACUUGGCAAGACCAUUUGACCCCAUAUGCUAGAGAAAGACUAAAUCAAUCCUCAAAUGAGGCAAGGAGAAUUAAGGUCUUUGGAGGUAGAGGGGAGCUGUUUGAAUGUUGUCAAGCUGGCUAUAGAAACAUCCUGGUACAUAUUACAGAUGGUACAUGUGAAUGUGGGAUGUGGCAAGUUAGUGGAGUGCCUUGCAAACAUGCAGUAGCUGCUAUUCUUCAUAAAGGAGGGCAACCUGAAAAUUAUGUGCAUCAUUAUCUGACCAAGGAAUCUUUUAUGAUGACAUACAUGGGGACUAUAAAUCCUAUUCCUGAUGAGUGUGCUUGGCCUGAAGUGGAAGCUGAACCUUCCCCUGAUGUUGUGGUGCCUGUGAAGGUUGGACCACCUGACAUAAAGGCUCCAGUUGGUAGACCGAAAAAGAAAAGAACAAAAGAACCUGGUGAGACCAAACUAACUAGUAAAAGGUUUACUAUCAAAUGUAGUGCUUGCAGAUGUCUUGGGCACAACAAAAGGGGUUGCCCUAAUUUUCCAAAAACCACAAGAACUAUAGAGGUAUAACAUAAGAGUCAUUUUUGUUUUUUAAAUUUCAUUUGGUGAAGCUAACAAAUAUUGAUCUUGAUGUUGUGCAGGGAAGCAAUAGGACUUCAUCAAGUGCACAGGUUUAAUUUAAUUAUACAAUUUUAAUUCAAAAGGAUUUUUUUUUCUUUUGCACUAGAUAUUGCUUAAAACUUGGUGAUAUUGGUUGUGUGCAACGAAGAAAUAAGGCUUAAUCAAGUGGACAUGUUUAAUCUAGUUCUGAAAAUUUAAUUCUAAAGGAUUUUUUUCGUUCUUUUUCAUUAAAUUGCUUAAAACUUGGUGAUUUUUUUUGUGCGCAGGCAAGCGAUAUCACUUCAUCAACUGCACAGGUCUGAUUUUGUAAUUGAAUCUCCUUAUAUAUGUUUUGUUAUGUUAUCAAAUGGAUUAAUAACUUGGUACUAUAUAUGUUUGAUUUGAUCAUGGAAUUAUAUUGAAUAGAUUGAUUCUUUUUUUUUUAUUAAAUGAAAUUGAUGUCUUUUUUUUUUUCUUUUUGGACAGCAUGGAACUAACCCACAAUCUCAAGAAGUAGAUGUCAAUGAUCAAUCAAUUGGCAAUAGUUCUGAACAAGCUAGUUAGGCUUCAAUCAAUGUCACUCAACCAGUGGGGCUGUAUACACAACUAUUGUGGACUGUACUUCAACCUCAAAAUGAAGAAAUUAUCACUGUUAACAAGGAGUAGGAUAAUACAAUUUCACCUUGGGUUGACAUUUAAUUCUCCAUUAUAGAAUUUAGAAGACAAUUAACUAUUUUUUGUGUUUAAAUUUCAGUUUACCUUAGUAUUGUUAAGGUAUUUGUUAGUUUGAAUUUAAUUGACUUUCAUACUUUUAAUUUCAUUUUUAGACCGAAUGUUAUUGUGAUUUUUUUAAUAUUAUAUUCAAUACAUAUGUUAUUUAGUUUAACAAUUAUUAUAUUUUUAUAGAUGUGAUGAAAUUAUAUGGAUAGCAAAUUACAUUUUCAUGUAUAAUUCACUCAAAUUGAUAAAUAGGCUGUUAGAUUGAAAAAAAAAAGUCCAAGGUUAAAAUUGUACUUUAAAUCACUAAUAUGAUUAUAGGGGUAUACCUGUCUUUUAUGUUUAACUUAACAUUUUCACUAAUUUUUUUAACGGAAGAAUUGGGUUAAGGGCUUGAAUGACAUAAAUUUACAGUUGAAAGGAUUUAAUUGAUUCAUUUAGUAAACUUCUGGUCUCUGAAUUUUUUUCUAGAAAUAAUGAGGACUCAAUUAAAAAUUACCCUAGAUAAUAUAAUAACUUGUUGUGGUUCAUUGUAGCACUCUGAGCCAUAUUUUAAAAUUUACUGGUUUGUUAAUGCUUUUAUUAUUGACAUUAUUGUGUCAAUAUUAUUAUAAUUAAUUUAUUCAUUUUAUUGUAAUGAUAAUUUGUCUAGUCUUAGGUACUUAUUAUAUUAAAUUAUGUAAAUUAAUUGAGAAUACUUUUAGAGACAAAAGAAACACGUGUAUGUAGGAUUAAUAAGCGAAGAGUUGUAAAUGAUGGUGAUUGCUUCAUUCAGAGGCAUAUUAAAUAAUUAUGGAGAGUUGCUCUAUUUCGGAAGCAUAUAUUUAUACUUCCCUACCAGGAUUUGGGGUAAGCGAAGUGCUUUAUGUAUUGCAGUAAGGAAAUGUGGGCAAUAUCAGAGCCGAAAUAUUAAAAGAUCAUAACGCAUAUAAACAAUUAGUAUAUUCAAGACACAUAUAGAGGAAAGAGUGCAGAUCCGGCCGUAACUAUUAUGAGGAUUUCCUCAAGUAUUCUCAUGCUUCCUCAACUGUUCUGAACUAUAUAUUCUUCAUUGUGGGCUGUUUUGCUUAAAUACCAACACAAUGAUUCAAUACUUCAAAGGUCAAGGAAAUGUCAAAAUAUGAAAUGAAAAUACUUAAAUAGCCUUCUACCUAACAAAACUUAGUACUUCUAACUGCCUUCGCAGAGAAUCUAUAAAAUAAAAAAAAAAUCAUCCAGGAAAAGUUUCGUAACAGAAAAACCGUCUUUCAAAAAAUAAAAAUAGAAAAACCGACUCAUUUAUCUGCCAAUGAACCAGUCGGGACUCAUUUAAAAAAGAUUAAAAAGCAAAAGUAAAUGACACAAAUUGCAUAGAUAUCUCGGAGCCGCAUCAAAGGACAAAGGUGUUAAUUUGUCCAAGUAAUAAAUUCUCCUAGGUCAAAAGCAAUUAACGAUGAAAACUUUCUUCAUUAAGGGUCUGGCCUACGUAAAAAAAAAACAGAAAAACCACCCCAAGGUCAAAGCACAACCAUAAGUUUUGAGUUGCAGUUUUUAAAUUUUUUUUAUAAUAAAUCAACGUGUAUAAAAAAUAGAUAAUGAUUUUGAAUAAUCUUUUUGAUAAAUAUAGACAUAAAAUUUUAAAAUCACCAAACAGAAAAACAGGGAAUUAAAAGAGAGCCCUUGUUUCUCCUCUAUUUUGUUUGUUUGUCCUCUAUUUUAGCAGGGCAGCUAAAAGGGUUUGGAAGUUGACUGAAUUUUAUGAGGAUGUAAAGCAAUUAGCUCGGCAAGACAUGUUGAGUGUGCUGCAGGAUUUAACUGUGAAGAGAAAAAAGAAUGAGCUGGAGCUUGUUGUUGCGGUGUGCUGGGCCAUCUGGUACUCUAGGAAUCGUUUGGUGUUUGAAGGAAAGGAUGAAGAUCCAAAAAAUUCAGUGGCCAGAGCAAUUGCUAUGGUGGAAUCAUACAGGCGAAUAAAAGUUCCAAAUGAACAAAAUUCUCCAGGCCAUAGCAGAAUCAGUCAACUAGAAUGGGCAAAUCCUCCAAAGGGGUGUUAUAAAGUCAACGUUGAUGCUCCAAUCAAUGUUUCAAACCAAAAGGCAGGGUUGGGGGUAGUCAUUAGAAACUCUGUGGGUAAGGUUGUUGCUGCAGCAGUCCAAGGAACUCCAUAUAGGGGAGAUGUGGCGUGUAUGGAGGCUGAAGCUGUUCUGUUUGGUCUUCAGAGUGCCCAACAAGCAGCUGUUUCCCCAAUAAUUAUUGAGUCAGAUUCAAAGGAAGUGGUGGACCUAUCCUUAAAGAAAAAGAUCAGCAAGACUGAAAUUGAGUGGAAAAUUGCAGAAAUCCAAGCAAAUCUGGAAAAUCAGAAUGUGUCCUCGCUGUCAUAUGUCCCUAGAAACUGUAACUCUAUUGCUCAUUCUAUUGCAAAGAUAGCUCUAGGUUUUGAAAGUCAAGUCUUUUGGCUGGAAAACUUUCCAGAACAUAUCAGGUGUACUCUUGCUAAGUUCAUCAAUUGAAAAGCUUUACUUUUCUCAUCAAAAAAAAAAAAAUAGGGAAAUGAAAAGAUCGUAGGUGGAAAUUUUUUUUCUGCGUUGUAUCUUCUCAAUGCUGCAUGCAUUCAAAUUGUCAUAUUGCGAAAAUCCCUUUUCAAUGUUUCAAUUGCAAUGUCAUUGCCAUUAUUCAUAGUGGCAGACAAUGGACAUCACGGGACAUGGCUAGAAGUCUAUGUUACGGCUUCUGUAAGUAACAGCAGCCAAUGGGGAACUUCCACGGGUGCUAGAGGAGAGAGAAAGAGGUCCCAAUGCAAGGUGAUGGAAAUAGGGAUGGCAAUUGUACCCGCAAACCCGCAAACCCGCCCAAACCCACCCGCCAAAACCCGCCCGUUGCGGGUAAUUUUACCCGUUGCGGGCGGGUUUAGUAUUAUAAAUUAAAACCCGCACAUGGAUGCGGGUGGGUUUGGUAUUAACCUUAUAUCCGGUGGAUACCCGCAUGGAUAUCCACCAAACCCGCAAUAUUUUUUUUCAAAUAUUUUUAAUUUAAUUUAAAUAUAAAAAUGUAUAAAGAAAAUAAUGUCAUUAAUCAAAUUACCAAAUAGACAAAUGCUCAAAGUUGUGUAUGUGUGUAUGUGACCCAUCUCUUAUUCUAAAGUCAUAAGCUAAAGAAAACUAAAGGCAUUACCCUUCGAAUUAGUAUUUGAAAAUAUUAAUCUUAAUUAUUAUUAUAGGCAUUGUGUUGGAUGGGUGCUUAUGGUGGUGAAUGAAAUGAAUAUAUUCUCUUGGAUCUUGUUUUAAAUGAUAAUAUGAAAUGUAAUUAUUAUUUUUAGAUACUAGUUUGUGUUUUUUAAAUAGAUUUGUGUAAUUUAUACUUAAAUUUGAGAAUUUGUAUUGAAUUGAUGUGGAAAUUUUAAUUUUUCAUUGACAUUGUUUAAAUAUAAAAUUGAGUAUGCUAUAUGGAAUUUGAGGUUAUUAUUAUAAAUUUAUAUAUUAAAUAUUUGUGAUUUUAAAUACGGAAACCCGCAAAAAAUCCGCCGGAUACCAUUGCGGGUUUGGUAAUUGUUAAAACCCGCUGCGGGUGGGUUUUUUUAAAAAAAUUAAAACCCGCUGCGGAUUGCGGGUGGAUUUGGUGAUUUAAAUUUUGUGCGGGUUUGGGUUUGAUAAUGGCAAACCCGCUGCGGGCGGUGCCCAUUGCCAUCCCUAGAUGGAAAUGGGAAAGUUCAAAGCUGUUACUUUCAGCUUCUGCACCGUAGCCAUGUCCCACGGGACAAGGCUAGAAGUUAUCAUGACCAUAGACUUUUCUAAUUUAUUUUUUCCUUUCAAAAAGGGACAAGGAUAAGUUUGGGAGAAUGAUUAUAUUUUUAAUAAAAGAAUUCUUUUUUAUUAUAAUACUUUUUGUCUUUAUUAAUUUAAAAAUAUUAACUCUUAUAUUUUAAUAAAUAUAAUUAUAAUAUUAUAAUAACAUAUAACAAUAUAUACAAAUAUUUAAAAAAAAUUAAGAUUUUAUUAAAAUAAUUUUAUAAUAAAUACAAAUAUAUUAUUAAUAUAAUUAUAAUAAUUUUCAUUUUAAAAAGUAAUACUGAUAUUAAUUUUUUAAAUUAUAUUACUCUACUCAAAAAAUUAAACUAUUAAAUUAUAUUGAUAUUUCUUAAAAAAGUUGCAAUUAAUUCUUAUUAUAUUUUUAAUUGGAUUUUUUUCCCGAGAUAUAACAACAAUUGCUACAGUUUUUUCCCAAAUAAAGAUGGAGUUAUAAAUUAUUUGUAUAAGUGUCUGUGUGGAAACUAAUGUGACAUGAAAGUAAUGGUUGAAUAACAAUAAUGGGGCUUUAGGCAAUUUUUUUAUGAGGUCCUCUUGCAAUUUCAACACUUAAACAGACUUGUCCUUGAUCCCAAUUUAUUUACCCAUUUAGGCCCACGAUGAGAUAAAUAUAUUCCUGUGAGAUGAAAAACAUCAGGAGAAGAAAAUGUUUUAUUAUAAUAAAAAAAACAAGUGGUCCAUAAGUCUAUUUAUUACUUUUUUUAUUCAAUACAAAUGGCCAACUUAAAAAAUGAUAAAAAUCACAUAACGCACAAGCGAAAAUUUAGAUUUACAUUUUUUAGUUCUCUCCGUGUCUCUCUUUCUCUUUUUUUUUUAAAAAAAUAAAUAAAUGUCAGUGUAAAAUUAGAAAAAUUUUAGAUAUAAACUUUGGCGAUGACCAAACAAAAAUUGAAAUACUGAUCAUAGACACUACAAUAUAAAUAACUUGUUGUGAUCCACUCAACUUGUAACACUUUAAUCCAUACUCUAAAAUUUGUAUGUUUGUUAGGAAUUUUAUUAUUGACAUUAUUGUACCAAUAAAAUUAUACUUUAUUCAUAUGGAAAGAAAACAUCAAGAAAGGACCUCUGAUUUUUAUUAUAACAGAAAAAAGUGGUCCAUAAGCCUAUUUAUUAUUUUAUUUAUUCAAUACAAAUUGCCAACUUAAAAAAUGGUAAAAAUCACAAAAUGCACAAGUAAAAUUUUAGAAUUACAUUUUUUUAAUUCUCUUUGAGUCUCUGUUUCUCUCUUUAAAAAAUAAACCUCACUGUAAAAUUAGAAUAAUUUUAGACAUAAAAUUUGGCAAUCACCAAACAAAAAAUGUAGGGAAAUGAAAAUGGAGGAGCCCUAUUAUCAUUAGAAUAUUGAUCAUAGAUACUAUAAUGUAAAUGAUUUUUUGUGGUUCAUUCAACCUGUCACACUCUAAGCCAUUUUCUAAAAUUUGUAAGGUUUAUAGGAUUUUUAUUAUUGGCAUCAUUGUAUCAAUAAUAUUAUAAAUUAUAUAUUCUAUUGUAAUGAAAAUUUGUGUAAUCUUAGGUAUUUAUUGUAUUAAAUUGUGUGGAUUAAUUAAGAAUAUUUUUGGAGACAAAAGAAGUGUGUGUACGUAGGAUUAAUGAUAAAAAAUUUCUAAAUAAAGGUGAUUGCUUCAUUGACAAGUACAUAUUUAUAUUCUCUAUUAGUAUUUGGGUUGUAAACUUUGUUUAUAAAGUGAAUAUAUUGUGGUAAGCGAUGUGGGCAAUAUCGGAUGCAAAAUAUUGAGAGAUCAUUAACGCAUAUAUUUAUUGAAGACGCAUAUAGAGGAAAGAGUGUAGAUCCGGCUGUAACAAUUAUGAAGCUUUCCCCAAGUAUUCUCACGCUUCCUUAACUGUUCCAAAGUAUUUUUCAUAGUGUGCAGAUUUACUUUAUGGUGUCUUAAUCCGUCUAAAAUGAUUACUUUAGUUCUUUUGGGAUGAAAGGUCAUUUAUUGUGUUAGUAUUAAACAAUAGAAAAAAUAAGUAAUGGUAACGAAAGACUAAUUUGUGAUAUUGAAGUAUACAUGCUUAACUCAAUCCAAACUUAGUAAGUUAGCUCAAGAGUUAAGAGUUGUCCAAAUCUUAUAUACUGAACCCAAGUUCAAUACUCAAUUGAUGUAGGAUGUUAUUCAUAACACCGCCCGUCAUGCGUAGGAUUGGCAAAAAAACUCGAGUCAAUCCCACCUAGACCUGCAAGCUUUAUUUAUGGCCAGCAUAAUGAAGUUACAGAUAUUAACCUAAAAAUUUGAAACUUACUAUGAGUGGCCUUGGUUAAAGACUUUUGCAACUUUAAUUUAUAACAAGUAUGUACACACACACACACACACACACACACACAUGUUUAGAUUGCAUUUGGAUGACUUUUUUUUAUCAAUGCAAACAAUAUCAAAUUUAUCGGAUUAAUUUGAAUCUGAUCUAUAUCCGAUUUUGCCUACCCCUACUAUUUAUAAGCCCAAGUGACUCUCUUUUACUAAUUAAUAAGGGAAUUUUUUGACCUCAUGUCCUUGCUGUGGCAUUAGACUGUUGGUCAUUUUGAUUGUUUCCUACCUUCCAUUUACGCCAGCUGUAACAUUGUAUUAUUCACCAUUUUAGCCAUUUAAAUGAAAUUUUAUUUUUGUCAAAAAUAAAAUGACACCCUUAAAAUUAAAAAAAAAAUAGUUAUGUAGACCUCAAAUUUUUAAUAAAGAAUGUCAAUACCUCUUUUAACUACAAGAUUCGUAGUAGAUGAUAAAAAGAAAAUUAACCUCAAAUUUUUUCAUUAAAUGUAAAUCUGAUUGAAGUAGUUUAAAUUUUUCUAGUAGACUAAUAUAUAUAACUUAAAUAAUUAAUUUCAUUAUUAAUUUUUAAAAUGUUAACUAAUAUAUUUUUAAUUUAUUAUAAAAUUUUUAAAUAUUAUCCUUGGAUUAAAUAGAUUUUACAAUUAAUGUAAUACUUCUUAUUUUUUAAUAAUAUUAAAAUUAUUUUAUAUGAUAUUCAAAAUAAUUUAAACUUAUAUAUAUUAAUAUUAUGUCUAUUUAUUAUAAUAUGGUUUAAUAUUAUACGGGAUUGUAAAAUAUUAAAAUAUUCUUCAAUAUCAAAUUAUUUUAAUAUGUACAUAUCAUUACUUUUAUUUUAGUAUCGCAUUUAUAUUUAUUAUAAAUAUAAAAUUAAUAAAAUUAAAGAGUAUUGCAGUAAAGUAAAAAAAAAAAGUCUUAUUAUCCCUUAUUCAUGAUAUGAGAUUCUACAAAAUUAUUUCCCGAAACGGGUGUCCUUUUCUCAUUUUCAAAAGAAAAAAUAAAGUAAGAAUAAGUCCAUGGGUUUCAAAAACUUCUAGUCCUAUCCCGGGACUACAUUGCUGCCACUAUAACUAAUGGAAAUGACAUUUCAAUUGACAUUGCCUUUCGCAACAUGAAAAAUUUUUGGUGGGAUAUGGAAGAAUUGUCAAAAGUUCACGCCGUGUGAGAGUUUUUGGUAGGAUGUAGGAGGAUUGUCAAAAGAUCACACCAUGUGAUAAAACCACAAUUGCUAUGGUUUUUAUUUUUUAAAUAAUGAUGGGAGUUAUAAAUUAUUUAUAUAAAUUUGCGUAGAAACUAAUGUAACAUAAAAGAAAUAGCUGAAUAACAAUAUUUGGUGCUUUAAGUAAUUUUUAUAUGAGCCUUUCUUUUAUUUAGCGGCUUUAGUGUUUAAACAAACUUGUUCUCGAUCUUAAUUUACUGACCCCAUUUAAGCCCAUAAUUAAACAUAUUCUUUUGUGACGAAAACAUCAAGAGAAGACAUCUCAUGUUUUAUUAUAACAGAAAAAGAAGUAGUCCAAACAUCUAUUCGUUAUUUUAUUUAUUCAAUAUAAAUGGCCAACUUUAAAAAAAUGAUAAAAAUCACACAACGCUCAAGUAAAAAUUUAGAAUUACAUUUUGUAAUACUCUCUGAGUCUCUCUCUCCUGCCCCCCCCCCCCCUUCCUUUUAAAAAAAAUAAACCUUAGUGUAAAAUUAGAAGAAUUUUAGAUAUAAAAUUUGGCAAUAGCUAAACAGAAAAGCGGCGGAUUGAAAAUAAAAAAGCUCUAUUACCAUUGGAAUAUUGAUUAUAGAUAAUAUAAUAACUUGUUGUGGUUCAUUGUAGCACUGUGAGCCAUAUUCUAAAAUUUAUAGGUUUGUUAAGGCAUUUAUUAUUGACAUUAUUGUGUCAAUACUAUUAUAAUUUAUUCAUUUUAUUGUAAUGAUAAUUUGUCUAGUCUUAGGUACUUAUUAUAUUAAAUUAUGUAAAUUAAUUGAGGAUACUUUUAGAGACAAAAGAAACACGUGUAUGUAGGAUUAAUAAUCGAAGAAUUGUAAAUGAAGGUGAUUGCUUCAUUGAGAGGCAUAUUAAAUAAUUAUGGAGAGUUGCACUAUUUCGGAAGCACAUAUUUAUACUUCCCUAUCAGGAUUUGGGAUAAACGAAGUGCUUUAUCUAUUGCAGUAAGCAAUGUGGGCAAUAUCAGAGGCGAAAUAUUAAAAGAUCAUCCAUGAAAAGCUUCGUAACAGAAAAACCGUCUUUCAAAAAAAAAUAAAAUAAAAUAAAAAUAAAAACAGAAAAACCGACUCAUUUAUCUGCCAAUGAACCAAUCAGGACUCAUUUAAAAAAGAAUACAAAGCAAAAGUAAAUGACACAAAUUGCAUAGAUAUCUAGUAGCCGCAUCAAAGGACAAAGGUGUUAAUUUGUCCAAGAAUAAAUUCUCCUAGGUCAAAAGCAAUUAACGAUGAAAACUUUCUUCAUUAAGGUUCUGGCCUACGUAAAAAAACAGAAAAAAUCACCCCAAGGUCAAAGCACAACGAUAAGUUUAGAAUUGGAAUUUUUAAUUUUUUUUAAUAAAUCAACGUGUAUCAAAAAUAGAUAAUAAUUUUGGAUAACUUUUUUUGAUAAAUAUAGACAUAAAAUUUUAAAAUCGCCAAACAGAAAAACAGGGGAAUUAAAACAAAGUCCCUGUUUAUCCUCUAUUUUGCUUGUUAUUAAAAAGGGAAAUGAAAAGAUUGCAAGCCGAAAUUUUGUUUCUGCGUUGUCUCUUCUCAAUGCUGCAUGCAUUCAAAUUAAACCUUACAUAUGCUAGCAAACUAGCUACUCUGCAUGUAAGUUCUCGAUAAGUCCAAAUAAUAGAAUAAUUGUAAAAUGUUCAAAUUCAGUAAUUAAUUAUACAUAUUUAUUUAUUCAAAAAUUAUUAUUAUUACUAAUUAUUGUCAAUAAUAUAUUAAUAUACUAAUUAAUUGUAAAAAAAUUUAUCAUUCAUAACAAUAAUGAUGAUGAUGAUAAUAAUAAAAAUUCAAAAUAUAUUAAUUAAUUAUAAUAAUAUAUUAAUUAUUUAAUAAUAAUAUAUUUAAAAUAUAUAAAUUGAUUAGAAUAGUUAUAUUAAUAAAUUAUAAACAUAUAUUAAUUAAUCAUAAUAAUUUUUUAAUUGAUGACAAAAUAGAUAUUUUAUAGUUUGUGAGAGGGGGCAAAAUGAUCAAUCUUGGGAAUGGGGGAUUGAUUCCCACCACCUUCCUUAGGAAUCAAUCUUCCAUUCCUCAUUCCUAAUUUGGGUGGUCCCCAUAGUUCUUAUUCGGAUCCCAGCCUCUAUUUUGUGAAGUAAACAUCAUUAAUGAUUUCGAUUUCGGAUUCCGAUUCUCCAAUCCAAGAAGUAAAGGCACCAUUAUUGUUAAUUGGUUCAAACACACAAAGAGAAUGUACCAUGUAGCUAGGCGUCAAGGUUGUGUGGCACAAGGUUGUGUGGCACAAGUAGGGAUGGCAAUUCAACCCGCACCCGGCCCGGACCCGGAUGAAACCCGGAUUUUCCAGUCCGGGUUUAACCCGUACCGGAUUAAAUAAAAUCCGGAUCCGGAUGUCAUUUUAAAAACCCGCAUGUACCCGGGUCCGGUUCCGGGUUUAAGUAAACCCGUACAUCCGGAACCCGGACCCGGAUAUAUAUUAAUUUUAAAAAAUUAUUUUUAAUAUAAAUAGAAAGCAAAAAAAACCCAAAUGGUGCCCUAGAAGCUCAUUACACUUUCCCAGCCGCACAAACAUUUCCUCUCUUAUUCCCUCUUCAGCUCAUCUUCAUCUUCAUCAAAUCAUCGUCGCAUCACUUGCCCAUCUUCGCGGCUGUUCAACUUCAACAUCAUCAUCAUCAUCAUCAUCAGCCGUCGUUUCCUUUCUUUUUCUGCGGCGACCGGUAACUAGCUGUGAUACGGGUUGAACGCCGCCUUUGCCAAUCGCAACCGCGGCUGUGUUCAUCAUCAUCAACCGCCGUCACUUUCAAGAACGAUACUCGAAAAUAUUUUGAUGGGAAUCUUGUUUUUGGUCAUUUUAGUAACAGUGUGUGCAAGUGCGAGUGAGAGAGAGAGAGAACGUGGCUUACUCGAUGCCACUUAUCAUGCUUUCAUCUUUUUUCAUCCAGUGCGGGGUCUGUCUUUGUUGGCUUUUUGGAAAACUUGUUGCUUUUAAUGGUGUAUUACUUCUUUUGAAUAUCCAAUCAAUGUAAACUUAUUUACAUUACCCCUCCAGUUUUCCCAUCACCAUUAAAAGUGCUUUGGUUGCUCCUUGACUGUGCUUUGGUUGCUCCUUGACUCCUGACUUCCUGCUCGCAACAAAAGCUAGUUCUUUAGCUCUCUUUACUAAUUGAACGAGUCACCACAUUGGGUUGCUGAUUCUGGGCAGCCAAACAAAAUUGUUGUUUUUGUUAAUUAGUUUCCAGAUGAAAUAAUUUUUCUUUGAUUUGCUGAAAUCCUGGAUAUGUAUUUCUAUUUGAUUUUUUUAGUCGAAUUUAGUUUUUUUUUUUAAAUUGGAUUCAUCAAUCCGGGUUGGAAACCCGCAGUCCGGAAACCCGGAUUUUUCCGGGUUGAACCCGUACCGGACCCGGAGUGGAAAAAUGCGGGUUUAUUUCCGGGUCCGGUACAGAAAAUAUUCGUCCGGGUCCGGAUCCAGAAUGACUAAACCCGGACCCGGACCCGGAUUUUGCCAUCCCUAGGCACAAGUAACCUUUUUCUUUUCUUUUUAUUUUUUUUUGUUUUCCUUAACGGAUCAGAAGAAAUCGGUGCCUUUGAGAUACUACAAUGUAAAUAAGUACUUGUGGUUCAUUAAAUCUGUAACACUCGGUACCCUAAGGUUUCUUUUGAAAAAGGGCUUUUCUCACUGAUCACCAAUAUCCAAGUAAGUUUGUUUCAUUUCAGAAGGUGCAAAGUUUCAAACUUUUUGUAUUGGGAUGUAACAAACUUUGGCCUUAUAUGCCUGCUGUGACGUUAGACUGUUCAUUUUGAUUGUUUCAUACCUUUCACUUGCGCGCACUGUAGCACUGUAUUAUUCAUCAUUUUAGCUGUUUAAAUGAAAUUUUAUUUUUGUCAAAAAUAAAAUGACACCAUAAAAAUUUAGAAAAAUAAUCAUGUAGAUCCCAAAUUUUUAAUAAAGAAUACCAAUAUUCCCCUUGACUACAAUACCCUUAGUAGGUGGUAAUCAAACAAAUUGACUUAAACUUUUUUACGAAAUGUAAAUAUGAUUUAAAUAAUUUAAAUUUUCCAGUAGACUAAUAUAUAAUUUAAAUAAUUAAUUUCAAUAUUAAUUUUUAAAAUGUAAAUUAAUUUAUUUGUAUUUAUAAAAUAUUUGUAAUUAUUUUAAAAUUUUAACUAAAUCCUUAGGUUAAAUAGAUUUUACAAUUAAUAUAAUAUUUCUCAUGUAUUAAUAAUAUUAAAACUAUUUUAUAUGAUAUUGAAAAUAACCUAAAUUUUUAUAUAUUUAUUUGAAUAUUAUGUCUCUAUUUAUUAUAAUUUGGUUUAAUAGAAUACGAGAUUGUAAAUUAUUAAAAUUUUUAGAUAUUGAAAUUAUUUUAAUAUGUACAUAUUAUUAUAUUUAUUUUAAUAUCCUACUUAUAUUUAUUAUAAAAUAUUAAAAUUAAUUUUUUUAGUUAAUAAAUUUAAAAAAUAUUAUAAUUAAAAAAAAGAGUCUUAUUGCCUGUUAUUCACGAUAUGAGGUUCUACAAAAUUAUUUUCAAAAGGAAAAAUAAGUCCAGGGGUUUCAAUAAAUUCUAGUCCUAUCUGCCACUAUAACUAAUGGAAACGACAUUGCAAUUGACAUUGCUUUUCGCAAUAUGACAAUUUUUUGGAGGGAUAUGGGAGAAUCGUCAAAUGUUCACACUAUGCGGGAGUUUUGAAUGGGAUCGGGGAGAAUUGUCAAGAGUUCACACCACGAGAAACCAAUGAUAGCCAUAAUUACGCUGUCAGUUCUUUGUUUAUUUAUUUUGUUUAUUUCAUACAUUGUUGUCUUGUUGGCAUUGUUUUGUAAAUAUAUAAAAGUAAAGUAAACUAUUAGGGUGCUGCUAAGUUAAACUGUUGUAACUUACAAUCCCUUAAAAAAUAAUGUAAAAAAUUUAACACGUGGUGGGAUCGACAUAUGUUUGAAGAGGCUUUAAGUUACAGUAGUUGUGACUUAGAAAAAUCCAAAUAUUAGACAAUAACACACAUUAACAAUGCAUAUAAUUUGGGUUUGAUUUUUUUAAAAAUUAUUUGAGUAUUAACUAUCCUUAAGAUAUUAAUGUGAAUAUAAUUUAAUAUUAAAUAAUCAAAAUCUGUAUAAUUAUAAUAUAUAUUUCAUACAUUGCAUGUUUAAUCAAAAUCGGAUUGCUUUUUACCUUCCAUUUACGCCCACUGUAGCAUUGUACUAUUCACCAUUUUAGCUGUUUAAAUGAAAUUUUUAUUUUUUUUCAAAAAUAAAAUGACACCCUUAAAAUUUUAGAAAAUAGUCAUGUAAACCCCAAAAUUUUAAUAAAAAACACCAAUACCCUUUUUUACUAUAGUACUCUUAUGGUAGCCACAAAAAAAAAUGACUUCAAAAUUUUUUACUAAAUGUAAAUAUGAUUUAAAUAGUUUAAAUUUUCUAGUAGACUAGUAUGUAUAAUUUAAAUAAUUAAUUUUUAAAAUGUAAUUUAAUAUAUUUAUUUUAAUAAUAUAUUUAUUAUAAAAUUUUAAACAAAUCCUUGGGUUAAAUAGUUUUUAUAAUUAAUAUAAUAUUUCUCACGUUUUAAUAAUAUUAAAGUUAUUUUCUAUGAUAUUGAAAAUAAUUUAAAAUUUUAUAUAUUUAUUUUAAUAUUAUGUCUCUAUUUAUUAUAAUUUGGUUUAAUAGAAUACGAGAUUGUAAACUAUUAAAAUAUUUUUAGGUAUUGAAAUUAUUUUAAUAUGUAUAUAUUAUUAUAUUUAUUUUAAUAUCCUACUUAUAUUUAUUAUAAAAUAUUAAAAUUAAUUUUUUUAGUUAAUAAUUUAAAAAAAUAUUAUGGUUAAAAAAAAGAGUCUCAUUGUCCGUUAUUCACGAUAUGAGAUUCUACAAAAUUAUUUUCAAAAGGAAAAAUAAGUUCAGGGGUUUCAACAAAUUCUAGUCCUAUAUGCCAUUAUGACUAAUGGAAACGAUAUUGAAUUGACAUUGUUUUUUGCAAUAUGACAAAUUUUUGGAGGGAUAUGGGAGAAUCGUCAAGCGUUCACACCAUGCAAGAGCUUUAUGUCACGGGAUGAGUGUUUUGCGCAGCUAACCCGUGCGGCACUUAGACAACUUUGCCGAAUGUUGCUAAGUAAGCCUAGAGCUUCUCGAACAAGAGAAGAGAGCAAUUGAGCCAAAGAAGAAACUUGUAUUGCACAAAGAGAGAUUACAAUGCUUGUUGCUUACAAAGCUUGUUAGAUACAAAUGCCUAAUGCCAUUCCAUAUUUAUAGGGGAGGCUUGCCAAGCUCUAGAGAUUCUAGAGAAUUCUACCAACUAUCUAGAAUUUACAUGUGCUGGAAAGUCAUAGAGAAUUCUAGAGUAUUUACAAGCUCACAUGUGCUAGAGUUUCCUAGAACUUUCCGGAAUAAGGUCAAGCUAGCACUCUUGACCUUGUGUUGGCUCUCUACCCCGAAAUUGUGGGCAAUUGGGCUAGUGAAUUGGGAGGUCCGUAACAUCCUCCCCCACCUAAGCUCGCGGCGUCCUCGUCGUGCUCUCAUGCUUGAAGCGUUGGAUGUGCUCAGCGAAUUGCCACAAAUCAUCUUCACAUUCCCAAGUGGCUUCACUCUCGGGGAGGUUUUUCCACUUCACUAAGUACUCGCUAUGUGCUGGCACGCCUCUCCUCGAAACCGUGCGGUCCGCAAUGAUGUAGUCCACAUCUUUGUCGAACGCGUUGACAACGGCAGUUGGUGCACGCCUUGAUUCUCCAAGACUUGGUUCUCCCACGUCUUCGUGAUAUGGCUUGAGAAGGCUCACAUGGAAGACCAGAUGGAUCUUGAGUCUUGGUGGAAGUUGGAGUUGAUACGAGACGUUGCCCACAUGUCGAACAACUCGGAAGGGUCCCUCGUAGCGCCUCACUAACCCCUUGUGAACUUUCCGCAAAGUCUUGAAUUGUUGGGGUAGGAGCUUGAUCAUGACUUGAUCACCUUCCUUGUACUCAACAUGCCGUCUCCUUGUAUCCUCCCAUUUCUUCAUUUUCCUCGCGGCUUUGUCGAGAUAGGCUCGCGUGAUAUCCGCUUCCUCAUGCCAUUCGUGGGCGAGCUUGUGUGCCGCGGGAUUUUCCCUCCGUAAGUCGAGGCUAUGGCAUUGGGGGUCAUGGGCUGGAAUCCCAUGAUGAUCUCGAAUGGACUCUUGCCCGUAGCCUCACUUCGCUGCAAGUUAUAAGAAAAUUAGGCGAUGUCAAGUAGUUUCGCCCAAUCCCUCUGAUGAGCGCUCACAUAAUGCCUCAAGUACAUCUCGAGGAGGCCAUUGAUGCGCUCGGUCUGCCCAUCCGUUUGUGGGUGGAAGCUUGUCGAGAACUCGAGAUUGGUCCCCAACAUCUUGAAGAGCUCCGUCCAAAAAUACCCAGUGAACCGAGGGUCUCGGUCGCUCACAAUGCUUUUUGGAACUCCCCAAAGCUUCACAAUGUGCUUGACGAAUAGGCGGGCUGCCUCGUCCGCUUUACAGUCGACGGGUGCGGCAAUGAAUGUGACAUACUUGUUGUAUCGGUCGACAACAACGAUGAUGCUUCCGCAACCUUCAGACUUGGGGCAGCGAUGUGAUGAAGUCCAUGGAGACACUUUCUCAUGGCCUUGUUGCUAGCAGUAGCAGCUCCAACAAUCCCGCUGGAAGUUAAUGAUCCACCUUGUCUUGUUGGCACACAAGACAAGUUCGCACAUAUGCCUCGAUGCUGUCCCUCAUGUGCGGCCAAAAAUAUGAGGCUUGAACUAGUGCGGUGGUGCGCUCAAUUCCUGGGUGACCAGCCCACUUGGAGUCGUGGCACUCCUUGAUAACUUCCUUCCGCAAGUUUCCCCACCUUGGCACGAACAGCCGAUCUCCCUUGGUGAGGAGGAUGCCUUCCUCUUGCCAAAAUCACCUUGUCUUUCCCUCGAGCACCUUCUCUAGCAAAUCCUUGGCUAGCGGAUCUUGUUGGAAGCCUUCCUUGAUGCGUGAGACAAGGUCGGACUUCGGUUGGCUCAUGCUAAGUGUCGCCAAUUCGGCCUUGCGGCUUAGAGCGUCCGCAACGACAUUGGUCUUGCCUGGUUUGUACUCAAGCCGAUAGUCAAAUUCCGCUAGGAAAUCUUGCCACCGCGCUUGCUUCGGACUCAACUUCUUCUGAGUUUGGAAGUAGCUUGUCGCUACGUUGUCCGUCAUAAUCGUGAAGUGAGAGCCUAGCAAGUAAUGUCGCCACACGCGCAAGCAAUGUAUGAUGGCUGUCAUCUCCUUUUCUUGCACUGUGUAGCGGCGUUCCGUAUCAUUAAGCUUUCAACUCUCGAACGCUAUAGGGUGGCCUUCUUGCAUGAGGACUUCUCCUAUGGCAAAAUCCAAGGCAUCCGUUUGGACUUCAAAGGGCUUUGUGUGGUCCGGGAGAGUAAGGACAGGUUCCUCCGAAAUUGCCUUCUUCAAAUCCUCGAAUGCGCGUUGGCACUCUUUAGACCAAUGCCACGUUCUGUUUUUCUUGAGCAUAUCCGUCAAGGGUGCUGCCUUGGCCGAAUAGCCCUUGAUGAAGCGGCGGUAGUAGUUCACCAAACCAAGGAAUAAGCGAAGCUCGGGCACUUUCGAGGGAAGUUCCCAUUCAAGGAUGGCCUUCACUUUAGCAUUCUCCAUCAUAAUCUUCCCGUCCGCAAUCUUGUGGCCAAAGAACUCCACCUCUUGUUGGGCAAACGAGCACUUCUCUAGUUUGAGGAAGAGCUCAUUGUCUCGAAGUACUUGGAGGACUUGUCGCAAGUGUUGGGCAUGAUCCUAGAGCGUGGUGCUAUACACCACUAUGUCAUCCAAGUACACGACCACGAAGCGGUUGAGGAAUGGUUGGAGCACCUUGUUCAUGAGCGUACAAAAUGUGGCGGGUGCAUUAGUAAGGCCAAAAGGCAUUACAAGGAAUUUGAAAAACCCGUACCUUGUUGUGCACGCUGUCUUUGGUUCGUCUCCCUUGGCGAUGCGUUCUUGGUAGUACCCUGAGCGCAAGUCGAGUUUGGUGAAGUACCGCACUUUGCCAAGCUGGUCGAACUAGUCUGCGAUCAAGGAAAUCGGAUACUUGUUCUUGAUAGUGAUCUUGUUGAGUGCUCUAUAGUCGAUGCACAUCCGCAGCGAUCCAUCCUUUUUCUUUUGGAAGAGGACCGGUGCACCGAAUGGGGCCUUUGAGGGGCGAAUAUAGCCUGCGUUCAGCAAGUCUUUGAGUUGUCUCCACAACUCUUAUAAUUUUGGUGGCGCCAUGCGGUAGGGCGCCAGGGCUGGUGGCUUCGCGCCUUGUUCCAGCUCGAUGGCAUGAUCUACCUCUUGUCGAGGUGGGAGCUUCUUCGGAAGUUCUGGAGGCAUCACGUCCUUGUACUCAUUGAGGACGACUUGAAUUCGCGGAGGGACUUGGCUUGGCGAAGUUCCGCUAUGUCCUUCCUCAUUUAGUUCUCGAAUAGAGACCAAGAAGCUUGGGUCCUUCUUGAAAGCCCUUUUGAAUUGCAUGGCGGAGAGUGUCUUCUCCUCGGACUUGCCUCGCUCCGUGGGUACCAUGCAUGCUUUGCUCCCGUCGAGAAUGCUUAGGGAGUUUGUAGCGGGCAGCGGGAAGGCAUGGACUUGGUCAAAGAAUUUCAUGCUGAGGACCAUCUUGAAGUCGUCCAUGGGCACAAUGGAGAAGUCAAGCUUUCCGCUCCACGUACCGAGUGUGAUGUGCACGCCUUGUACGAUUCCCGCAAUUGGCUUGGCGGGUGAGUUUACUACCUUCAUUGUGCCUCCUUCCUUCGUGGCCUUGAGGCCUAAGCGCUUGGCCUCAUCUACGGACACGAAGUUGUGCGUUGCUCCCGUGUCUAGCAGCGUGCGAACGGACUGGCCGUUUACCUUUGCGCUAACAUACAUGAGCCAUUUCUUGACGAGUGCGGGCUGUUGGCGAUUGAGUGCGCCGAGGCGUUGGAGAGAACCCAUGCUGAGUUGGGGUUCCUCCGUGGACAUUGUAGGGUUGCUCUUGAGUUGGGCAGCAAGAGCGUUAAGCGACCUCUUCUCCGGACAGUCGCGCACCCAAUGGGGACCAUUGCAUAUGAAGCAUGGGUUUCGCAGUUUUGGCGCCUCCUUCUUGCCCUCCGAUUUUCCUUGCCCGCUCUUGUUAUUAGGCGGCUUUUUAUGCCCCCAAUCUUUACGGUUGUUGCCCUUGUCCUUGUGACUCUCUCCCCUACCUUUGCCUUGACUAGACUUCUUGUCUUUGGAUUGGGUAGAGUAUUCGGUGAGCGAUUCCGCAACGGCGAUGGCGUCGUCAAGUGUUUGAACACCACACCUAUCAAGCUCGGUCUUGGCCCAAUCCUUGAGGCCAUCUUGGAAGUAGAAGAGUGAAUCUUUGUCAGACAUGUCGCUUAUCUCCAACAUAAGGGUAGUGAACUCAUUGAUGUAGUCCCGAAUGCUACCCGAUUGCUUGAGGCGACGUAAGCGCGCUCGCGCUUCCUUCUCCGCAUUGCUUGGGGCGAACUGUUUUCAGAGUUCUUGCUUGAAGUCGGCCCAAGUGUCGAUGGUGCAAAUGCCCUUGCCCAUCUCGCCAUGCUUGCGACACCACCAUAGUUGUGCAGCACUUCGAAGAUAAGUGGGUGCAGUGCCCACUUUCGAUGCCUCAUCUCGUACACCCAUGGCAUCGAAGUAUUGAUCCAGCCCGAAUAAGAAGUUGUCCACGAUUGUGGCAUUGCGUGUUGUUGUGCAAAUUUUAAUGUACUCGCAAGCGCACGAAUCUAUUAUAGUAUAGAUCAAUGGUGACGAGUGUCGAUCCCACGAGAAGGUGGAUUUUAAUUGUGUAUAGAAUUAAUUUUGCAAAUGGUUGAUUGGAUUUGUGGUGGAAAUGAUUUGGAAUAUGCUAAAACUUAAAUUAAAAUGGCGAGAAUAAAUUCUGAAAUUGGAAUUGAAAUGACGAGAAUAAAUUGAAGAGAAUUCUAUUGAAAUGACGUACUUGGGUAUCUGGAUCCGUAUCAACAUGCAUCAUGGGCUAAAUAAUCCGUAUUAAUGCCAAUUAAAUCAUGAGGGGGGAAUCCACACCUCAUGAACCACGCUCUAAUCAAUAUGGUGCUAAGGGCUUAUCGUGCCAAAUAAUAAUAACCUUGUACUAGAGAGCCGGUGUAACCAAGGCGGUAUCUAGACAAGAUCAGUAUUAUUUGUCGACGAUAAGUCAAAUCAUCCACAAAAACUAGAGGGGAAAAGAAAAUAAAUUUACCAAAUAAAGCCCAUGACACAUGUUGAGACUUCACCUUCAACCCAAGCUUGAAAGAAAAUUAGCCACUCAUAAUUGAACUAAGGGCAAAAUGGGAAUUUAUUAAAAUACAAAGAAAAUACAAGAUGGAGAAGGAAUUACAGAAAAUGGAUCCCAAAAAUGGAUUCAGAGAUAUCAAAUUAGGGGGGGGAGGCCCCCUUUUUAUAGAUACAUGGAGUAAAUCAUGGCCAUCGGAUUAAAAACAGUUUGGACGCUCAGGAUUGCGCCACGUCAUCAGUCAACAGUCCACGGUUUGACCACGCGGAUGAACAGUAACACGGUUUGACCUGGAUGAACAGUAACGCGGUUUGGUUGACAAUAAUCCUGUGUGAUGCAUGCACCGUACGCGAGAUUUUUCGUCCACUGAUAUGCUGCCACGUCACCAUCAACAGUACAUAAGAUUUUAGUCCAACAGGAUCGUGACACCUCAUCAGUCAAUGCCACAUCAUCGGUCAAUGCCACAUCAUCGGUCAAUGCCACGUCAUCGAUCAAUGCCACGUCAUCGAUCCGUCUAUGUGAACAGUGUCGUGAACAGUAACGUAGACAGUACCGUAUACGUGAAUAGUACCGUACAUGUGAAUAGUGCCAUUUUUCCUUUUAUGCUCCUCCUAAGGUUUUCGACCGUCCUGAGUUCAAAAGUGAUGUCCGUUUUGCCAUCUGAUCUCUCCUUUAUUGUGAAAUGACUAUAAUGCCCCUAAAAUACAUAAAAUACUUAAUUAAAAUAACACACACGUAAUUACAUCACAAGAAGGUUAAAUACAUAAAAGUAAGGGUUGUUAGUAAGACUUGAAAUGUAAAAUGACGGUUUUCUCCUUUAUAAAUAUGCAUUUUCUAACACUCAACACACCCCCCAACCAGCUUAUUGCUAGUCCCUAGCAAAUAAAGCGAAAACAAAAUUCAAAUUCAAAUUUUUUUUUUUUUUUUUAGAAACACUCGUGUUUAUUCAAUCAGAUUAAUGAUAGCAAUCAAAUAAAAGUAUAAGCAUUAUCUCCAGUCUAAAGCAAUAUCACACCCACAUCAACCAUCCACAUGAAUCGGCCCAGUAGAUUUUGUUAUAGGUACUUUCAAGAAUGACAUGUCAAACCCCAAAAUCUCACUGGAAGUAAUGACACUCUCACAAAUAAAUUAAACCCAAUAAAAAUAGUCACUCCAAUGAAUGGUAAUUGAGAGAGAAAAUAAUAAAGAAGUGAUAUCACAUGCUCUCACCAAGAUGAAAUAAAUAUGCCCUUAGCUUAGAAAUAAUACGAUCUCAAGUCAAAUAAAAUGUUAGUCAACCCACUUUAUAUAUCUUUUUUUUUUUUUAUUAUGCAUCACUACAUCUUUUUAGCCCAUAUAACUAGCUUCUACUUCAAACUAUAGUUCCCUAAAAUCAAGAAGGACUUUUAUUAGGACGUAACGUAGGCUAGGGAUAUGGCUAAUAAAGAAAGGAAAUAAGGAAAACAAAGUGUAUGUUUGAGAAAAAUGCAGAAAUAAUUUUUUUUUUUUUUUGAAGUUGCAAGGUAGAUUUCACCUAUUAUUGUUAUUUUAUUCUUUUGAAACAACAACUUUUGUUUUUAUUUUAAUUUUUUUUUUUACUUUUAUUUGGCAUAACUUCACUGAACAACAUAAUUAUUUACAUUUUCUCAAACAUAAAUAGGUGAUGGAACUUAAAAGACAUUGGGUAAUACUCCAAAUCGGAGUGGGUCAAGAUGAUAAGUUGACAAAGAAAAUGUUUUUUUUUUUUUUUUUUUAAAGGCUCAAAAGGGGUAACUAUGGAUAUUUAAUAACAGGGAUGGCUAGAAAGGCUCAAACGGAUCAAAGAUGGUCUUUCCAUCGUUUUUUAGGGCUCUAAAUAAUUAUCCAUAUCUACUAGUUAAAUGGGCAUCCCAAUAUAGCAACACACAUUUUUUUCUUUUUUCUUUUUUUUUUUACCAUUUUUUUUUAAAGGGUUAACUCAAAAGAAAUCUAGAGAUCGUGUAUAAAAUAAUAAACUGCUAAGUUGUAUAGAGAAUGGGCAAAAGGGUUACUCUCCAAGAAAAUGAUAGGCUCAACUACUCACUUGGCACUUAUUUAUGACAUGUUCAUUCCUUCAAGCAACUCAUAUUUGUCUCCGACAUCAACAUGUAAAGUAGCAAACAUAGCGUAACAUCACUUAAGACCAAAGAUAAUACAAAUACUAAAAUUUGAAAUUAAUCAUGUCAUCCAAUGUUAAAACAAAUAACACAAUUUUUUUUUUUUAAACAACAUUCUACCCCCCAACCUAUUCUAAACAUGAAAGGAAAAUAUGCAUGCAGAAAUGUGAAAAUGAUGUAGAAAAAUUAAUUAGAAAAAGAAAUUUUUUUUUUUUAAACUAAGAAGAUGCGUUUCUAGAGGCACUACACUCCAUAUUCAGCCAUCUUCGACUCAAAAAUUUGAAACUACAUAUUUAUAAAGGAGAAAGAGGAAGAAAACAGGUUUUUUUUUUUUUUUUUUUUUUUUUAAACGAUGAAGAUGCGUUUCUAGAGGCACUACACUCCAUAUUCAGCCAUCUUCAACAUAAAAUGUUAGCAACAGUUAGUUUCUACAACAAAAAAUCAGUAAAAACUUAACCAAGAUUCCACAAUUGUCGACUAUUCCCUCCCCCCAACCAGAACGAAACAUUGUCCUCAAUGUUUUAAAGGAAAGAAGUAGAGUUUAGAAGACAUCACCUGGGUGGUGCAACACAGAAGAAAAUAUUUACAGGCGGAGAGUUAAAUCUAAUUUGUACUUCUUACUGCGGCUACUGUUACCAUCAUUAUUUGGUCGCUCCAACACAAAGGUCCAGGGGUCUGGCUCCGGUUUAUAAGCUUGUAACAUAUCAAGUAGCUCAUUAGCAGUGUGAGCACAAAUAAAGAGUUUUUUCACAUUAGAAGGAAUGAAAUAGUUUUUUAUUGCAUGGUUAAGAAAUGCGAUAAAGCCAUCAUAAAAGUUAUUGACAUUUAACAAACCGAUGGGUUUCUGGUGGAUGUGCAGAUGGGCCCAAGAUGCUAGUGUCAUAAGUGCCUCUAGUGUUGCAAGAUCUCCUGGAAGGAAAAUAAAAGCAUCAGCAUGAUUAAGCAUUUCAGUUAUUCUUUCUUGCAUACCUGAGACGACUAACUCUUCUCCAGUUGAUGAGUCAGACGAACUGCCCAAUGGUUUUAGGAUUCUUGGGAUGAUGCCUAACACUUGACUUCCUCUGAUAAAAGCUGCUUCUGAGACCAUUUUUGAUAACCCUCGGUUACCUCCUCCAUACACCAAAUGUAAUUUUCUCGCUGCUAUGCUUCGACCAAGAUCUAUGGCUGCCUCCACGAACUCUUUAUGUUUGCCAUAGGUAAAUCCAGAAAGCACACAAAUGUUCUUGAAUUGUCUAUUAGGAGUAGCUGCCAUUGUGAUACUUCUCAAAAAUAAUUUGUGAGUGCUUGACAAAAGAUAAAUCACAUUUAAGAAUCUUGGUGACAGUGGAUCACAGCUGUGAAUAAGGUAACAUGUCAGUGUCAAAUAACGCGUAAAGCACGUGGCUCGCGAGUCAAAAAGGAAACAGUAAAAAGGAAAAAGCAAACAGUAACAAAAUUAUUAAAGACAAUAAUGCAAACAAUAAAACAACAGUGAAAUGAAAUAAAAUAACAGUAAAGUAAAAGGAUAUUUACACGUAGUUGCGACUGUGGCUCACAUCUUCCUCUGGUUUUACGUCCAGAAACGGCUUGAACGCCCUCUAUGGGUCGAGGAUAGGCUUCCUAUCCAGUUUUCUUAUAAACUGGCAAACAGGGUCGUUUAUAGUCAGAUUCCCAAGACUAUAUUGUGUAUGCUCUUUCUGGAAUAAUGGCCAUAACUGGAGAAUCGCUCCUUGCACAUAUCCACUGGGAUGCGUUUCAAGAGACAAAAGGAUAUCAUCCAAUGACUCCUUAUUCAAGCCAUCCCUAAUGAAUUGAAUCUUAUCUUCUCUGUUAUCAGACACCAUUCCUAAAGAACAUGGGUUUCUAUCGCAACUCAUUCUGGCACACUUGUGACAAGCAACAGAAAUUCUUCGAGCUCGUCGUUUUCUUGCGUAAUUUCCUUUACCACAACCAGGCAUGUAUGCAAUAAAUUUAGGAGGUAACUCACCUGCCAAUCGUACUUUAGCCUCGAUUAACCAACGGAUGUCUGCAGGUAUGUUAUUCCUCAUGAGCAAUCGCAUGCGUUCAGACCGGGCUUUAUAGAUUGUAAGGAGGGCAUUCUGAGGAAGUGAAGGGAAUCGCUUGUGAAGCUUUGCUAGAAUCUCGUUUCUAUCCAUACCUUCGCCUCAGAAUAUCAGUUAUUAUGGGAAACUGAAGUAACCGACUUGAUUGUCACGGAGUACCGUUAUCCGCCACUUCACCGGGGUAACAAACUAAAGCACACAAAUAGAAAAACAAAUCAAAACACACAAAGAAAAUUAAAAUCGUCCUCUUAUUGAAUUUACCUCAAGCUCCAACUGGAUGUCGUAAACACUUCUCUCAAUGUCUCUGAGUUGGCGUUCUAAACCCUCAACAUAGGCUACUAACUCUGGUGGUUGUAGAGCCCAAAUGCGUUGUGUUUUACAAAAUNNNNNNNNNNNNNNNNNNNNNNNNNNNNNNNNNNNNNNNNNNNNNNNNNNNNNNNNNNNNNNNNNNNNNNNNNNNNNNNNNNNNNNNNNNNNNNNNNNNNNNNNNNNNNNNNNNNNNNNNNNNNNNNNNNNNNNNNNNNNNNNNNNNNNNNNNNNNNNNNNNNNNNNNNNNNNNNNNNNNNNNNNNNNNNNNNNNNNNNNNNNNNNNNNNNNNNNNNNNNNNNNNNNNNNNNNNNNNNNNNNNNNNNNNNNNNNNNNNNNNNNNNNNNNNNNNNNNNNNNNNNNNNNNNNNNNNNNNNNNNNNNNNNNNNNNNNNNNNNNNNNNNNNNNNNNNNNNNNNNNNNNNNNNNNNNNNNNNNNNNNNNNNNNNNNNNNNNNNNNNNNNNNNNNNNNNNNNNNNNNNNNNNNNNNNNNNNNNNNNNNNNNNNNNNNNNNNNNNNNNNNNNNNNNNNNNNNNNNNNNNNNNNNNNNNNNNNNNNNNNNNNNNNNNNNNNNNNNNNNNNNNNNNNNNNNNNNNNNNNNNNNNNNNNNNNNNNNNNNNNNNNNNNNNNNNNNNNNNNNNNNNNNNNNNNNNNNNNNNNNNNNNNNNNNNNNNNNNNNNNNNNNNNNNNNNNNNNNNNNNNNNNNNNNNNNNNNNNNNNNNNNNNNNNNNNNNNNNNNNNNNNNNNNNNNNNNNNNNNNNNNNNNNNNNNNNNNNNNNNNNNNNNNNNNNNNNNNNNNNNNNNNNNNNNNNNNNNNNNNNNNNNNNNNNNNNNNNNNNNNNNNNNNNNNNNNNNNNNNNNNNNNNNNNNNNNNNNNNNNNNNNNNNNNNNNNNNNNNNNNNNNNNNNNNNNNNNNNNNNNNNNNNNNNNNNNNNNNNNNNNNNNNNNNNNNNNNNNNNNNNNNNNNNNNNNNNNNNNNNNNNNNNNNNNNNNNNNNNNNNNNNNNNNNNNNNNNNNNNNNNNNNNNNNNNNNNNNNNNNNNNNNNNNNNNNNNNNNNNNNNNNNNNNNNNNNNNNNNNNNNNNNNNNNNNNNNNNNNNNNNNNNNNNNNNNNNNNNNNNNNNNNNNNNNNNNNNNNNNNNNNNNNNNNNNNNNNNNNNNNNNNNNNNNNNNNNNNNNNNNNNNNNNNNNNNNNNNNNNNNNNNNNNNNNNNNNNNNNNNNNNNNNNNNNNNNNNNNNNNNNNNNNNNNNNNNNNNNNNNNNNNNNNNNNNNNNNNNNNNNNNNNNNNNNNNNNNNNNNNNNNNNNNNNNNNNNNNNNNNNNNNNNNNNNNNNNNNNNNNNNNNNNNNNNNNNNNNNNNNNNNNNNNNNNNNNNNNNNNNNNNNNNNNNNNNNNNNNNNNNNNNNNNNNNNNNNNNNNNNNNNNNNNNNNNNNNNNNNNNNNNNNNNNNNNNNNNNNNNNNNNNNNNNNNNNNNNNNNNNNNNNNNNNNNNNNNNNNNNNNNNNNNNNNNNNNNNNNNNNNNNNNNNNNNNNNNNNNNNNNNNNNNNNNNNNNNNNNNNNNNNNNNNNNNNNNNNNNNNNNNNNNNNNNNNNNNNNNNNNNNNNNNNNNNNNNNNNNNNNNNNNNNNNNNNNNNNNNNNNNNNNNNNNNNNNNNNNNNNNNNNNNNNNNNNNNNNNNNNNNNNNNNNNNNNNNNNNNNNNNNNNNNNNNNNNNNNNNNNNNNNNNNNNNNNNNNNNNNNNNNNNNNNNNNNNNNNNNNNNNNNNNNNNNNNNNNNNNNNNNNNNNNNNNNNNNNNNNNNNNNNNNNNNNNNNNNNNNNNNNNNNNNNNNNNNNNNNNNNNNNNNNNNNNNNNNNNNNNNNNNNNNNNNNNNNNNNNNNNNNNNNNNNNNNNNNNNNNNNNNNNNNNNNNNNNNNNNNNNNNNNNNNNNNNNNNNNNNNNNNNNNNNNNNNNNNNNNNNNNNNNNNNNNNNNNNNNNNNNNNNNNNNNNNNNNNNNNNNNNNNNNNNNNNNNNNNNNNNNNNNNNNNNNNNNNNNNNNNNNNNNNNNNNNNNNNNNNNNNNNNNNNNNNNNNNNNNNNNNNNNNNNNNNNNNNNNNNNNNNNNNNNNNNNNNNNNNNNNNNNNNNNNNNNNNNNNNNNNNNNNNNNNNNNNNNNNNNNNNNNNNNNNNNNNNNNNNNNNNNNNNNNNNNNNNNNNNNNNNNNNNNNNNNNNNNNNNNNNNNNNNNNNNNNNNNNNNNNNNNNNNNNNNNNNNNNNNNNNNNNNNNNNNNNNNNNNNNNNNNNNNNNNNNNNNNNNNNNNNNNNNNNNNNNNNNNNNNNNNNNNNNNNNNNNNNNNNNNNNNNNNNNNNNNNNNNNNNNNNNNNNNNNNNNNNNNNNNNNNNNNNNNNNNNNNNNNNNNNNNNNNNNNNNNNNNNNNNNNNNNNNNNNNNNNNNNNNNNNNNNNNNNNNNNNNNNNNNNNNNNNNNNNNNNNNNNNNNNNNNNNNNNNNNNNNNNNNNNNNNNNNNNNNNNNNNNNNNNNNNNNNNNNNNNNNNNNNNNNNNNNNNNNNNNNNNNNNNNNNNNNNNNNNNNNNNNNNNNNNNNNNNNNNNNNNNNNNNNNNNNNNNNNNNNNNNNNNNNNNNNNNNNNNNNNNNNNNNNNNNNNNNNNNNNNNNNNNNNNNNNNNNNNNNNNNNNNNNNNNNNNNNNNNNNNNNNNNNNNNNNNNNNNNNNNNNNNNNNNNNNNNNNNNNNNNNNNNNNNNNNNNNNNNNNNNNNNNNNNNNNNNNNNNNNNNNNNNNNNNNNNNNNNNNNNNNNNNNNNNNNNNNNNNNNNNNNNNNNNNNNNNNNNNNNNNNNNNNNNNNNNNNNNNNNNNNNNNNNNNNNNNNNNNNNNNNNNNNNNNNNNNNNNNNNNNNNNNNNNNNNNNNNNNNNNNNNNNNNNNNNNNNNNNNNNNNNNNNNNNNNNNNNNNNNNNNNNNNNNNNNNNNNNNNNNNNNNNNNNNNNNNNNNNNNNNNNNNNNNNNNNNNNNNNNNNNNNNNNNNNNNNNNNNNNNNNNNNNNNNNNNNNNNNNNNNNNNNNNNNNNNNNNNNNNNNNNNNNNNNNNNNNNNNNNNNNNNNNNNNNNNNNNNNNNNNNNNNNNNNNNNNNNNNNNNNNNNNNNNNNNNNNNNNNNNNNNNNNNNNNNNNNNNNNNNNNNNNNNNNNNNNNNNNNNNNNNNNNNNNNNNNNNNNNNNNNNNNNNNNNNNNNNNNNNNNNNNNNNNNNNNNNNNNNNNNNNNNNNNNNNNNNNNNNNNNNNNNNNNNNNNNNNNNNNNNNNNNNNNNNNNNNNNNNNNNNNNNNNNNNNNNNNNNNNNNNNNNNNNNNNNNNNNNNNNNNNNNNNNNNNNNNNNNNNNNNNNNNNNNNNNNNNNNNNNNNNNNNNNNNNNNNNNNNNNNNNNNNNNNNNNNNNNNNNNNNNNNNNNNNNNNNNNNNNNNNNNNNNNNNNNNNNNNNNNNNNNNNNNNNNNNNNNNNNNNNNNNNNNNNNNNNNNNNNNNNNNNNNNNNNNNNNNNNNNNNNNNNNNNNNNNNNNNNNNNNNNNNNNNNNNNNNNNNNNNNNNNNNNNNNNNNNNNNNNNNNNNNNNNNNNNNNNNNNNNNNNNNNNNNNNNNNNNNNNNNNNNNNNNNNNNNNNNNNNNNNNNNNNNNNNNNNNNNNNNNNNNNNNNNNNNNNNNNNNNNNNNNNNNNNNNNNNNNNNNNNNNNNNNNNNNNNNNNNNNNNNNNNNNNNNNNNNNNNNNNNNNNNNNNNNNNNNNNNNNNNNNNNNNNNNNNNNNNNNNNNNNNNNNNNNNNNNNNNNNNNNNNNNNNNNNNNNNNNNNNNNNNNNNNNNNNNNNNNNNNNNNNNNNNNNNNNNNNNNNNNNNNNNNNNNNNNNNNNNNNNNNNNNNNNNNNNNNNNNNNNNNNNNNNNNNNNNNNNNNNNNNNNNNNNNNNNNNNNNNNNNNNNNNNNNNNNNNNNNNNNNNNNNNNNNNNNNNNNNNNNNNNNNNNNNNNNNNNNNNNNNNNNNNNNNNNNNNNNNNNNNNNNNNNNNNNNNNNNNNNNNNNNNNNNNNNNNNNNNNNNNNNNNNNNNNNNNNNNNNNNNNNNNNNNNNNNNNNNNNNNNNNNNNNNNNNNNNNNNNNNNNNNNNNNNNNNNNNNNNNNNNNNNNNNNNNNNNNNNNNNNNNNNNNNNNNNNNNNNNNNNNNNNNNNNNNNNNNNNNNNNNNNNNNNNNNNNNNNNNNNNNNNNNNNNNNNNNNNNNNNNNNNNNNNNNNNNNNNNNNNNNNNNNNNNNNNNNNNNNNNNNNNNNNNNNNNNNNNNNNNNNNNNNNNNNNNNNNNNNNNNNNNNNNNNNNNNNNNNNNNNNNNNNNNNNNNNNNNNNNNNNNNNNNNNNNNNNNNNNNNNNNNNNNNNNNNNNNNNNNNNNNNNNNNNNNNNNNNNNNNNNNNNNNNNNNNNNNNNNNNNNNNNNNNNNNNNNNNNNNNNNNNNNNNNNNNNNNNNNNNNNNNNNNNNNNNNNNNNNNNNNNNNNNNNNNNNNNNNNNNNNNNNNNNNNNNNNNNNNNNNNNNNNNNNNNNNNNNNNNNNNNNNNNNNNNNNNNNNNNNNNNNNNNNNNNNNNNNNNNNNNNNNNNNNNNNNNNNNNNNNNNNNNNNNNNNNNNNNNNNNNNNNNNNNNNNNNNNNNNNNNNNNNNNNNNNNNNNNNNNNNNNNNNNNNNNNNNNNNNNNNNNNNNNNNNNNNNNNNNNNNNNNNNNNNNNNNNNNNNNNNNNNNNNNNNNNNNNNNNNNNNNNNNNNNNNNNNNNNNNNNNNNNNNNNNNNNNNNNNNNNNNNNNNNNNNNNNNNNNNNNNNNNNNNNNNNNNNNNNNNNNNNNNNNNNNNNNNNNNNNNNNNNNNNNNNNNNNNNNNNNNNNNNNNNNNNNNNNNNNNNNNNNNNNNNNNNNNNNNNNNNNNNNNNNNNNNNNNNNNNNNNNNNNNNNNNNNNNNNNNNNNNNNNNNNNNNNNNNNNNNNNNNNNNNNNNNNNNNNNNNNNNNNNNNNNNNNNNNNNNNNNNNNNNNNNNNNNNNNNNNNNNNNNNNNNNNNNNNNNNNNNNNNNNNNNNNNNNNNNNNNNNNNNNNNNNNNNNNNNNNNNNNNNNNNNNNNNNNNNNNNNNNNNNNNNNNNNNNNNNNNNNNNNNNNNNNNNNNNNNNNNNNNNNNNNNNNNNNNNNNNNNNNNNNNNNNNNNNNNNNNNNNNNNNNNNNNNNNNNNNNNNNNNNNNNNNNNNNNNNNNNNNNNNNNNNNNNNNNNNNNNNNNNNNNNNNNNNNNNNNNNNNNNNNNNNNNNNNNNNNNNNNNNNNNNNNNNNNNNNNNNNNNNNNNNNNNNNNNNNNNNNNNNNNNNNNNNNNNNNNNNNNNNNNNNNNNNNNNNNNNNNNNNNNNNAUGAACUAUCAGAAAUUGGGUAAAUGAUACCUGCGUCUAAUAGCUUAAGGACUUCUGUUCUAACAACUUCUUUCAUAUUAGGAUUUAACCGACGUUGCAUUUCCCUAGUAGAUUUAGCAUUUUCAUCAAGGUGAAUGUAAUGCAUGCAGUCUACUGGAUUUAUACCUUUGAUGUCUGCUAUGGUCCAUCCUAAUGCCCCUUUGUGCUCUUUUAAAACAUCCAACAACUUACCUUUUUGUUCGUCAUUUAGGGAUGAUGAGAUGAUUACCGGCAGAGUACUUUCUUCUCCCAAAAAUGCAUAUUCCAGAGUGUUGGGUAAUGGUUUGAGCUCGAGUUUCGGUGGUGAUUCUGAUGAUGGAAUGAGUUUCUUCUCUGAUGGUGCUAGUUGUUCAACUCUUGACUUCCAUUUAUUAGUGUCCAUGGAUGGUGCUGAGUCAAGUAGGGCGUUGACCUCUUCGACCGAUCUGUCAAUAUCAAAAUCCAAACCAAAGUGAGUUAAACAUGUUUGUAAAGGAUCAUCACUAAGGUUUGAAAGAAAAGUAUUAUCAACUAUUGUUUCUAUUAAAUCCACAUCAACAAUUCCAUCAUCUGCACUGUGAGGUUGUUUGGCAAUGUUGAAGAUGUUUAGCUCCAUAGUCAUGUUGCCGAAGGACAAUUGCAUAUUUCCGGUCCUACAUUGAAUAUGAGCAUCUGCAGUUGCCAAGAAAGGUCGGCCUAGAAUAAUGGGGAUGUGCUUCCUUGAGUCCUGUAUUGGUUGAGUGUCAAUUACAAUGAAAUCAACAGGAAAAUAAAACUUGUCUACCUGGAUAAGCACGUCCUCCACAAAACCACGAGGUAUUUUUGUGGACCGAUCUGCAAGUUGUAACACCACUGGAGUUGGGUGUAAUUCUCCCAGUCCAAGUUUCACGAAUACAGAGUAAGGCAACAAAUUUACACUAGCUCCUAAAUCCAACAAAGCAUUCUCAAUUGUGUGGUUCCCUAUACUACAUGAGAUAGUGGGGGAGCCUGGGUCUUUGCAUUUUAAAGGAAUUUUAUGUUGGAGUAUAGAACUAACGUUUUCUGUUAAAAAUGCCUUCUUUUGAACAUGCAUAUUUCUCUUUUUAGUACAAAGGUCUUUAAGAAACUUGGCAUAAGAUGGAACUUGCUUUAUAGCAUCAAGUAAAGGGAUGUUAACACUUACCUGUUUGAAGAUUUCGAGAAUCUCACCUGUGGAUUUUCCUUUCUUGCCUUUCGCUAACCUCUGAGGAAAUGGAGCUUUCGGAACGUAUUCUCGUGGGUUGGUUUCUUCUUUCUCCUCCGGUGGUGAGUCUUCAACAUUCACAGGUACAAUUUGAUUUUCUUUUGUCACCGGCAUCUCCACUUUGUUGUCGACUUCCUUUCCUUUUCGCAAGGUCAUGACUGCUUUGACCUCUCCAUGCUGUUGUGGUGAACUGGUACUUGCUUCAUGUACUCCUUUAGGAUUAGGCACUGGUUGACUUGGAAAUUUUCCUUUCUCAACAGUCAUUGCCAAGGUCUGAACUGAAGAAGCAAGUUGUCCCACCAUCUUCUCGAGGCUUGAAACUGAUUGAGCUUGUGAGUUGAAGCCUGCUCUCAACUCAUUUCGUAGUCCAUCAAUGGUGCGGUUCUGUUGCUCAAUCGUAGAGUGAGUAGCAUUCUUGAAAUUCUGGAAUGAAUCCUCCCAUGGUCUGGGUUGAGAGUAGUUUUGGUUCUGAUUGAAUGGUCUAAAUGGGGGCUGAGAGGCUUGAGGAUUUUGAGGAAUUUGUUGCAUUGGUGGAGCUGCUGGUCCAUUCUGUUGGAAUCCUUGAGACCAUGAAAAAUUGGGGUGGUCUCUCCAUCCAGGAUUAUAUGUGUUGGAGUAUGGGUUGUAAUUCGAUGGUUUUCUCAUUACACCUAUGGCAUUGGCUUGAUCUGAGUAUGAGUCAUGGUCAUGUGAUUCUGUUGAUUUAGCAGUCGAUAACGAUGCUAUUUGUCGAGCAAGACCUUCAACCAUCUCCUUGACUUCUUUGAUUUCCGAAGUUGACUCGCCAAUUUGAACCUCAUUUACUCCCUUAAUUCUUCUAGUAUUCCUGAGUGAUCGACUCCGUUGUUGGGAAUUAUCCGCUUGUCGCUGGAAGAAUUCCCAAAUCUCUGAUGCACUUUUUGACAUUAGCUCUCCUCCACUUGUUGCCAUUAGCCAUUCUUGCACAUUUGGUAGUAAUCCCUCCAAAAAGUAUUGACAUUGGUGCCAUUUUUCGUACCCAUGAUGUGGACACUUCAAGAGUAGCCCAUUGAAUCGCUCCCAUGUUUCGAAAAACUGCUCGUCCUCUCUCUGUGUAAACUCUGAAAUUUCCCUGCGAAUAGCAUUGGUUUUAUGCACUGGGAAAUAUUUAUUCAAAAAUUUUGUAACCAUUUGUUCCCAUGAUGCAAUGCUAUUAGCAGGCAAUGUAUUAAGCCAUGAACGAGCUCUAUCCUUUAAAGAAAAUGGGAAUAAUCUGAGUUUAACAUCAUCGUCUGAAAAAUUCUCAUAUUUGAAUGUUUGACAAAUGGCAUGAAAAUCAUUCAAAUGAUUAUAUGGGUCCUCAUUUUCUAAGCCAUAGAAUGUGGGGAGACAAUUUAGCACACUAGGUUUUAAUUCAAAACUCCUAGCAGCUACAUUUGGGUAUCUUAUGCAUGACGUGCUCAAAUUAGCUAAGGGACUAAAAUAGUCCUUAAAUGGCCUCUCCUGUGGUGCUUGUAAAUCUAUUUUAUUUUUAACGUGUUUGUGUGUGCGAAGUGUUUUUUCUAAUUCAAGGUCUAUAGGUUCAAGAUUUGGUAAUAAUGACCUACGACCAUGCAUGCAAAAUAAAUAAAAUAAAAAUAAAGAUGGGAACAAAAACAAAUAAAAAUAAAGAAGAGGGAGAAAUUACGAUACUAACCUUAUUGCGCUAUUACAACCUUUCUAUAAAAAUACACAAAAACAAAUACGUGAAAUAAAUUAACUAAAAAUUAAAUUAAUAAAAUAAACAAAAAUUACAAAGAAAAAAAAUUAAAAAUUAAAUUACAGAAUUUUAAAGAAGAGAAAAAGAAAAGAAAUAAUAACCUUUAAAUGUAGAUUUACUUUUUUUUUUAAUAAAAAAUACAAGAAAACAAAUAAAAGAAAUUAUUCACAAAAAUUAAUUCUAUGAAUUAAAAUUACUUACCUCCCCAGCAACGGCGCCAAAAACUUGUUGUGCAAAUUUUAAUGUACUCGCAAGCGCACGAAUCUAUUAUAGUAUAGAUCAAUGGUGACGAGUGUCGAUCCCACGAGGAGGUGGAUUUUAAUUGUGUAUAGAAUUAAUUUUGCAAAUGGUUGAUUGGAUCUGUGGUGGAAAUGAUUUGGAAUAUGCUAAAACUUAAAUUAAAAUGGCGAGAAUAAAUUCUGAAAUUGGAAUUGAAAUGACGAGAAUAAAUUGAAGAGAAUUCUAUUGAAAUGACGUACUUGGGUAUCUGGAUCCGUAUCAACAUGCAUCAUGGGCUAAAUAAUCCGUAUUAAUGCCAAUUAAAUCAUGAGGGGGGAAUCCACACCUCAUGAACCACGCUCUAAUCAAUAUGGUGCUAAGGGCUUAUCGUGCCAAAUAAUAAUAACCUUGUACUAGAGAGCCGGUGUAACCAAGGCGGUAUCUAGACAAGAUCAGUAUUAUUUGUCGACGAUAAGUCAAAUCAUCCACAAAAACUAGAGGGGAAAAGAAAAUAAAUUUACCAAAUAAAGCUCAUGACACAUGUUGAGACUUCACCUUCAACCCAAGCUUGAAAGAAAAUUAGCCACUCAUAAUUGAACUAAGGGCAAAAUGGGAAUUUAUUAAAAUACAAAGAAAAUACAAGAUGGAGAAGGAAUUACAGAAAAUGGAUCCCAAAAAUGGAUUCAAAGAUAUCAAAUUAGGGGGGGAGGCCCCCUUUUUAUAGAUACAUGGAGUAAAUCAUGGCCAUCGGAUUAAAAACAGUUUGGACGCUCAGGAUUGCGCCACGUCAUCAGUCAACAGUCCACGGUUUGACCACGCGGAUGAACAGUAACACGGUUUGACCCGGAUGAACAGUAACACGGUUUGGUUGACAAUAAUCCUGUGUGAUGCAUGCACCGUACGCGAGAUUUUUCGUCCACUGAUAUGCUGCCACGUCACCAUCAACAGUACAUAAGAUUUUAGUCCAACAGGAUCGUGACACCUCAUCAGUCAAUGCCACAUCAUCGGUCAAUGCCACAUCAUCGGUCAAUGCCACGUCAUCGAUCAAUGCCACGUCAUCGAUCCGUCUAUGUGAACAGUGUCGUGAACAGUAACGUAGACAGUACCGUAUACGUGAAUAGUACCGUACAUGUGAAUAGUGCCAUUUUUCCUUUUAUGCUCCUCCUAAGGUUUUCGACCGUCCUGAGUUCAAAAGUGAUGUCCGUUUUGCCAUCUGAUCUCUCCUUUAUUGUGAAAUGACUAUAAUGCCCCUAAAAUACAUAAAAUACUUAAUUAAAAUAACACACACGUAAUUACAUCACAAGAAGGUUAAAUACAUAAAAGUAAGGGUUGUUAGUAAGACUUGAAAUGUAAAAUGACGGUUUUCUCCUUUAUAAAUAUGCAUUUUCUAACACUCAACNNNNNNNNNNNNNNNNNNNNNNNNNNNNNNNNNNNNNNNNNNNNNNNNNNNNNNNNNNNNNNNNNNNNNNNNNNNNNNNNNNNNNNNNNNNNNNNNNNNNCACUGGAGUUUGCGGAAGCUGGACUUGCGGAGAGUGUGCGAUUGUUCCAUGCCCAAUCCGAGCGGACUUCAUCCACUUCCGCACGGACAACGUGUAGUUCGUCCUGAACAAAACUACGAAGUUUUAGCAACUCAUCAUGGAAAGAUCAAAACUCACCUCAGAGAGUGUUCGCUUACUCAUGGAUGAGAGCUUUUGUGGCCACCGUGAACUCGGCGUAUUCUCCCUUGAGACCGUCCACUCUUCCUUCCAAUCCCUCGAGGCUUUCUUGAGCGGCGGACAAUGCGAUUUCGAGAGUGCCUACACGAGGCUCCAACGCAUCCACGGAUGGGGCCUUGGACUUGCCGCGAAUCUUGCCUUGGGCGCGUUCUCCCUCUCGGCCGCGGCUUGGUUCCGGUGGAACAUCCACACCAACAACACCCUCUUAUGCUACGUUCGAAGGGUUGGCCAUUGCUUCGUGAGCUAACUUGUGUGCGUGCAAACCUUAGCUCUGAUACCACUUGUCACGGGAUGAGUGUUUUGCGCAGCUAACCCGUGCGGCACUUAGACAACUUUGCCGAUUGUUGCUAAGUAAGCCUAGAGCUUCUCGAACAAGAGAAGAGAGCAAUUGAGCCAAAGAAGAAACUUGUAUUGCACAAAGAGAGAUUACAAUGCUUGUUGCUUACAAAGCUUGUUAGAUACAAAUGCCUAAUGCCAUCCCAUAUUUAUAAGGGAGACUUGCCAAGCUCUAGAGAUUCUAGAGAAUUCUACCCACUAUCUAGAAUUUACAUGUGCUGGAAAGUCAUAGAGAAUUCUAGAGUAUUUACAAGCUCACAUGUGCUAGAGUUUCCUAGAACUUUCCGGAAUUGGGUCAAGCUAGCACUCUUGGCCUUGUGUUGGCUCUCUAGCCCGAAAUUGUGGGCAAUUGGGCUAGUGAAUUGGGCGGUCCGCAACAUUUAGGUGGGAUAUGGGAGAAUUGUCAAGAGUUCACACCAAGAGAAAUUAAUGAUAGGCCUAAUUUCGUUGUCAAUUCUUUAUUUAUUUAUUUUAUUUUUUUAUACAUUAUUGUCUUGUUGGCAUUGUUUUGUAAAGAUAUAAAAGUACAAGUAAAAUAUUAGGGGAAGUAAAGUAAAAUAUUGGAGGUGUUGCUAAGUUACAGCUGCCGUAACUUACAGUUCCUUAAAAAAUAAUGUAAAAAAUUUAACACGUGGUGGGACCCACAUUAUGUUUGAAGAGGCCGUAAGUUAUAGCAGUUGUAAAUUAGUAAAAUCCAAAUAUUAGACAAUAAUACACAUUAACAAUGCAUAUAAUUUGAGUUUGAUUUUUAAAAAAAUUAUGUGAGUAUUACCUAUCCUUAAGACAUUAAUGAGAAUAUAUUUUAAUUUUAAAUAAUCAAAAUCUGUUUAAUCAUAAUAUGUAAUUCAUACAUUGCAUGUUAGAUUUGUUUGGAUUUUAAGUUGUUGCUAAUAAAUAUUUAUGUUGUGAAAGUCGAAUUCAAUAGCUACAAAAGCAGAGAUAAUGGUAUUUUAUGUAGUUUUUAAGAAUACAAGGAUAAGACCAUAACGCAUGAGAUAGUGUUAUUUUAUAUUAAAAGACCAUAACACAUGUAUUUGAGCCAUUUAUAUUGAGGACACAUAUAGAGCGAAAAGUGCAGAUCCGGCCGUAACUAUUGUGAAGCUUUCCUCAAGUAUUCUCAUGCACGCAGACCUUAGCUGGUCAAGUUUUCUGAUUUAAUAUAAUCAAUUUCCGCGCAGUACUAACGACAGCUUCUUUGUAAAGCUCUUCAACCACAAGCAUUUCUACAAGGCAAAAGACUAGGACGUGUCGGAAUGAAUAUCAAUAAGGGAAUGUCUUAUGAAUUUAGUUUAUAUCCUAAUAUAAGACAAUCAAUAAAUAUUAGAUGCAAUCUAAGGGCUAACAUUUGAUUGAUCAUUAUACGAAAAAAAGGUACAAAAAUACAAAACAGAGCUGAUUGAUGGCCUCUCACAGUCAGUUAUAUGACAAAGUAGCCACCACAACAAACUUGAACUUGGCUGGAGGUCUCAUUAGCAGUAUACCUCCGAACUUAAGACAAAGACUUUAAAAUGCAAACUUAUGGAGCAAUUUAAGCACUGAAACUAAUAACAGUACGGUAUUAGCAAUUGACCUCUGCUUUUGCUUAGACAAAGGUUCUCAUCACAAUGGAUUCAUUAGUUGCCCUUGCCUCACACGUUUGGAUGCUAAGGGGAAAAAGGAAGUUUGAAUUAGUCAAUCUCAUUUCUAAUGGCAUUCACAGAGAACCUAUAAAGCAAAAAAAUAAAUAAAAAUUUUCAUGUUGCAAGUGAGCUCGUUUUCAAUCGAUUUUUAUUGAUCAUAAGAGAUCAUGUGGCCCACCUUAUUUUUAUUUUGGAUCCAUAACCCAAAGCUGGCCCAAGUUCUGAUUCCAGAAUCAUUUGUCUACAAAGUGACCUCAUUCCGGCAAUUGGUUUAUGCUAAUAGCACGUGCAAUUUUCAUUUUCUUCUUUUUAUUAAUUAAUUUCAUCAUUAUUAUUUGCUUAUUAGUUUAAAUUAAUUAAUUAUAUUGUAUUAAUGAAAUUAGUCUUUCAUUUUCUUUUCUCUUUCAAUGCACAAAGCCAAACAACCAUUCUUUCUUCAAAUACCGAAGAGCUCCUGACUACGGCUGUCAAUGCUUCUAUAUUUAUGUGCUGUGCUGCAGCACUCUUAGCGAAAGCUUGAAUGAAUGAUUAAAGACAAAAGCUUAUAUAAAAGCAGAUGCCGGAGGCACUCAAAAAGCAUUUGAGAGAGAAGCUAAACAGCAAAUCAUCAAACGCACUUCAAUGACUUUGAUUUUGAUUUUUGUUUCAAAAGAAGUAGAAAAGUCCAUGGGUCACGAUAACUGCUUGUCCUCUGCCGUGACCUCAUUGUCCGCUGCUAGUGUCAAAUAGAUUAAUCUUUCUAGUAGAUUAAUAUAAUUUAUAAUUUUAAUUUCAGUAUUAAUUUUUAAAAUGUUAGUUGUUAUAUUUAUUUUAAUGAUAUAUCUAUUUUUAGUAUAAAAAUUUAAAUAAAUAUUUAGAUUAAAUAGAAUUUAUAAUUGAUAUAAUAUAUCUCAUGUAUUAAUGAUAUUUAAAUUAUUUUAAAUAAUAUUAAUCCUAACUUAAAAUUUUAUAUAUUUAUUUUAAUGUUAUGUUUCUAUAUAUUAUAAAAUUUAGUUUAAUAUAAUAUAAGAUUGUAAAGUAUUCAAAUAUUUUUUAAAUAUUAAAAUUAUUAUAAAAUGUAUAUACUGUUACAUUUUUAACAUUGAAGUCAAUCUUUUUUAAGUUAAUAGAGUGAAAAGAUAUAAUAAUAAAAGGCUAUGUAAUCUUUCACUUGCACAUAUUCUGUACUCUCUGGAGCACGACGGUAGGAAACAUGAUUACAGAUGUUAAAUUCGCCUUUUUUCACAAGUUUAUCAGCUUCGUUUGCGGCCUCUGCUGCUUGUUUACCAAGCUUGUAACGAGAAAUCAAAUUUGGGCACAACCCUUUGAAGCAGAAUAUCUUAGCUCUAUCUUUAUCAUCAAUGAUGGAUUUUGCAACCCCUUCACUGAAUUCAGCAACUCUAUUUAGCCAGUCUCUGACACCCUUAUAAAUCUCAUCUCCUUGUAGAGUAGCCUCUCUAACCAGUGUUUGCACCCUUUCUCUUAUAUAUUCCAGCUCCUUCACUCAAUCUUUUAGCCCAUUUAUGUAGCUCUGGUACUCGAACACAUAAGAUAUGUGCCGCAUAAUCAGUUCGAAUAAUGCUUUUGAACAUUGUGAUACAAUGCUGGAAAAAGCAGGGAGACACCCUUCUGCAGCCAUUGCUUGUUGCUUAACAAUAUAUAUAUAUAUAUAUAUAUACAAGUGUCAAAGAAAGGAAUACAAAUAAAUUAAUAUGAACUAGAGAGAAAGAUAGAGAAUGAAAAGACCGCCAACAAUAUCGCUAUAUUGAUCUUGAACCAACUAAUAAUUAAAUAGAGAAUUUCUUUUUCUUUCUUAAGGAUCAGAGGUUUUGCUAUUAGCAAAAAGGUACUUCAAGGGUCUGAAUAAAAAACCAACCAUAAAUUAUCAAAAGCUAGUAAGAACACAGACGUAAACAAUGAACAAUUACUUAAGCCAAACAGACCAUGAUACAAAGCAAAUCUAAUAAAAUGACAAAGAAAGAAAGAAAGAAAAUACAACAAACAGUAUUGAAGUGUUGAUCAUGAGCCAACUGAUAUUUAAACAGAUUUUUUUUUUAAUUUUUAGUCUUUUCUAAAAGGAUUAGAGUUCUUGCUAUUAAUAGAAAGGUUUCAAAGAUCUGACACUAUUAGAAAAGUAUUAAAUAAUGACAAAAAUUUUAUGACAUAUAUGGUUGUAUCUCGAAUGUGUCAUAAAAUUAUGAUAGAUUCAUAAUAUGUAUUCAUAUGCCCAGAAUAUAUGAUAUAUUCAUGACUUAUAACUUAACCGUAGUAAAUAAAUGAUACAUAUAAGUCAUGAUUAAGUUUUGUGACCUUAUAAGAUUGUAAAACAGUGUCGUUUAAAUUAACGACACCGUUCUGUAUAACUUAAAACACAUCAACACUUCAGCCAAAUUUUGGCGGGUAAAAACCCAUUUAGUCCCUAUAUUUUAAGAUUAGUAUACAUUUAGUCCCUAUAUUUUUAAAAAUGCCUCGAAACGUUCCUGCCGUUAAAGUAUUGAUACCCCUACUGUUACUUUUUAUUUCUUUUGGCUUACUUUUACAAUAUUAUAAAAGUGUAAUAUUGUAAAAGUAAGCCAAAAGAAAUAAAAAGUAACAGUAGGGGUAUCAAUACUUUAACGACAGGGACGUUUCGAGGUAUUUUUAAAAAUAUAGGGACUAAACAGACACUAAUAUUAAAAUAGAGGGACUAAAUGAAUUUUUACCCAAUUUUGACUAAGCGUUGAAUAAAUCCCUCUCUCUCCACUGGCGACUACAACCUAAAAUGAAUCAACUCUGAGCCUCUCUCUAUAACACUAUAUAGAACCCUAAACCUAAGAGCAUCUCCAAAAGGCUUUAUAAAUUUUACUCUUUAAAUAUUUAUUUGCUUACCUAUGUGGCUAAUAGAAGAGUGAAAAAAUAUAUUAUCUCUAAAAGACUUUUCAAAUAUAAAUGAGUUAAUAUUAUUUUAAUUAAAUAAUUAUUUUUUAAAAUGAAAAGUCAAUAAUAAUUAAAUCAUCUCUCUCUUUUUCCAACAAAAAUAAUAAAAUAUAAAUUAAAAAGAAAGAAAUCAACUCUCUAAAUUUAAAGAGAUAGAAUAAUUUUUUAUUUAAAAAAUUUUAAUUAAAAUAUUUUAUAAAACUUUAAAUGUUGACUUAACUUUUCAGACAGCUAAUAAAAUAAGAAAUAAAAUCUUAUUUGAAAAGUGUUUUCCUUAUAUUUUAAGUCUCACAUUCGCAACCGACGAAGCUGAAAAAGUUCCCCACAUAUCAAAACCACAGCGAACUGCCUCCGACCCUACGGACCCAAAAAAAUUUAUUGUAUUCCUGCUCUUUCACAUCAAUAAUUUUUUGUAUUAUUCCAUAACCCAAAAGCUUUCCUCUGUUUCAACUAAGCGAAAAUUUACAUAUUAAAGCCUAGCUCAAAUUCCUUUUUUCAAUCGAAAUAAAACGUAGCCCCAAAACCCUAAUUCACCACACCAAUUUAUCUCUGCCCGGUAUUCAUUUAAACCCUACCUCGCGGUUCAAUGUCAUUCAAUACGAUUGCAGAUGCCGUUUCAACUUGUCAUUUAGUUAUUGCCAUCCAGUUCUCUAUGGUAAGCCUUAACCCUAACAACUAAUCGACUGUGGUAGCACGUUGCUUGUUAGGAGUGGGGAUACAUUAUUUAACUAUAUGAAUUGGGUGAUGUUAGUGAUUCAUUCCCCUAUUUGUCAUGAAUUAAGAUUUGUGUAUAAUGCUAGUCAGAUUGCUAAAAAUUUCAUAUUUUGUAUUGUUCCAGUUGAAUUUCUUGCUUGUGGAAGAUAAAACAAAAGUUCAAUUUCAUGUUGAUUUAAUUCUUCUUUUUCUUCUUUUUUUUUUUCUUCUUUAUAGUCACGCUCUGGCUUUGGUGCUAUGCUUAGUGCAGUUUAUGGUUUCAAGAUUAAGUCACGUUUAUUUGAUGGCAUCGAUUCCAUCGUUGAGGAUUGGAUUGUUGAUCAAAUGCACAUAGUAAGCUCUUCUUAUUUUAUCUCAGUUUUAAUUUUCUUUUAUUAUCUGCCUCUACCUGAAAAUGGACGUGUUUUACUAGUAAGCAUAGACUUUGUUUAUUUAAUUGAUAUUUUAAUUUUAUGUAUAAGAAUAGAGGUUUAUUUUGGAAAAAAAAGCAAUAAAAAAACAGACUCUGUUGAAGCUAAUUAGUACUGAAUGUUUUUGGUGGUGCGACCAGAGGUGGAAACAGGGUAUGAAAAUGUGUUACUAGUGAGGUUGCUGCUUAAGAUGAGAAUGCAUUCUUUUCAAAAAUCCUUGGUAGGUGUGAUCUAAUUAUAUUUGAUGGAAUAUUAAAUGGCUAAAAAUCUGUCAUACGUUCAAACUUUGUUUGUGUUUGGAAGAAUGGUGUUGACUGUAUAUUCGUUUGGAAGAAUGGUGUUGAUUGUAUAUUCAUUUGCUUAGCCUUUUGACAGAUGGAUUUGAAACUGACGACAAAUGUGAUUCAAUUUACAAGGUUUUCGAGGGGCUCACAGUGGAAGGGAUAUUGAAGAACUGGUCUAAGAUAAAGCCUAUGAUUGUGAAAGAUUGGAGUGAGAAUAUAAAUGCUCGUUUAAAUCUCUUUGGCAAGGUCAGAGAUGAAUGGAUAGAUAAGGAUUUAUUUGACUACUUGGACUGGUGCUAAUAGGUAUUUUAGGCAAGCUUUUUGAGAUAACACUGAGCAAGUUAUACUACUAGUUUGCACAUGAUGAUCAAAACUCUCAAAAAGUAAAAUAAAAUAAAUUAUUAACUUUUACUUAUCUUUUGCAUAGCAAUCAAUGUGGUGCUUGUUCUGUGACAACUUUGAUAAUCUACUUAAUUAUUGGUUAGCAUUUGGACCAAAAAAGUUCUUAUGAUUUACAUGUUUUGUAGAAAUGCAUGAACCUUAAAUGUGCUGAUCAGGGAGUUUAAUUAUUGCACCUUGAAAUUCAUUUAUUGUUAACUAAUUGGCUUUCCUUUGCAUAAAGCCGCUUAUAAGGCUUGAGUGGACGUCUUUAUGGGCAUAUUAUUUGUAUUUCUAUAUGCAUGCCUUUAUCACUUAAUGUGCUGCUUUUAUUUCUUUAUGCAUGCCUUUAUCAUUUAAUGGCCAGCUCCCUCUCCUCUUUUGUAAUUUGAAUAGUAGUAUGGGCCUCCAUUUUACAAAUCUUUAACAUUUUUUGCUGUAAAUUAAUUUUUCUUUCAAAUAUUUUGGAGGUCAUUGGAAUUCCUGUAGGUCUAUUUACCAGAUUUUAGUAUGUUUAAGGUUUUAAUUUUGCUUAAACUUUAAUUUUUCUGAAAGAUUGUAGUAUUGAUCCUUAAAGAAAGAUCAUGCUACUUCAAAUUAUUUUGAAGUGUUGCCAGUUAUAGCCUUACAUAACAAAUUCCAUUUGUCUGGAAAUUUAUUGAUAGCUGUUACAGCAGCAUAUUUUAUGACUCUACUUCUUAGUUAUGUAAGUUCAUUAUGUUUAGGUCAGAGGCAGUCAGCUGUGGGGAAUCGAUAUAUACACAGAUGACUUUGAUCUUGUUGCUGGUAUGUGGUUCUAUGAAUAAUUGUGUUUGCCUCACUGUUUUUGUUUUAUGAGAUCUAUAAUUGAUCUUGGGAUAUUACUUUCUAGUCCUCAUGCAAGCAAGUUACUACCUUCCCACUGCAUCUCCUCCUUUAUCUGCUAUUCAAGAGUUGCGUGCCAUAAUCUGGUGUUACCUCUGCAAGAUUGUGAAUGAAUAUAAUGCCUCUAAAUUUAUUUUAUACAUAAUGCUGAUGCUGAAUAAUAUAUUGUAGCUCCUGUCAUAUUCUACUUUGACUUUUUAUAUUCUGUUUCAUAUAAAAAUCUUAUUCAACUUUAGUUGUUCAUGAGCAAAUGUCACAUGUAUAAGCCCAAAUGAUGUUUAAAGGUAGCGCGGCUACCUUUAGUUUGAGCUUACAAUGGAUGAAAAAGAAAUUGAAACUGAUAUUUUGCUGUUUUUCUGAUUUUUCAAAGUAUUUUAGAUCCUGAGUUUUGUUUGGACUUGAUGGUUAUAGAUUGUGUCUAGAUUUGUUAAGUUGUUUCCAACACCUCGUGCCAAAUGAAAGCACAAUCUUUCUGAUUCAGAUGUCUUGUUAAUUAUGCUUCAUUUUUUCGUUAAAGAUUGGAUGGUUGCAUGGAUUGAUGGAGUUGGAGUUCAACCAAUAAUUCUAAUUUUUUGGACUUAAAAUGCCUUUUUCUUCUGUAUAAAAACUUUAGUAAGUGCUAUUGAGUUGACGGAGGUUGAAUACUUACAGGUUGUUUCACACUUUUUAAUAGUUUUACAUAUAUGAAUUUCUGUUUUUUGAAUUGCAGAAAGGAGGUGGAACUAUUGAUUUGGAGCCUUAUCUUACUCACUCAUCGACAAUGGAGCCUAUCCUCGCUCCCAUGGCAGUGGAACGGACAACAACUACUAGGGCUGCAACAUCAGUUGGUUUGGGUCUGUUUUGAGUUUAUUUUCAUUUAUUUGGCUAUGUUUUGAUAGCGAAUUUUGAUAUGUCAAUAUAAUGUGUAAUUGUUUUGGGUUGAGCUGGUAAUUAUGCUGGAUUAGAUUGGUUUGGUUUUGGUGCUUCUCUGAUGGAACUCUGCUUUUUUUAGAAAUUUUGAAUGUAAUAUGAGACUACAUUUAGUUUAAUUUAACACUGCAUCUAGUCUAAUUACUAGAAGUGUGGCAUUUGGUUUGGUUUAUCCGAUAUUCUCCAGAAUUUCACUUGCAUCUGGUUUUGUUGCAUAUGUUUGCUUGCAUUUGAUGGCAGUAGCAGACUGUUUGGUUUUGUGACAUUUGAUGGCAGUUUGGUCUGUUCUUGGUGUUGAUUUAAGAUUGUUCCUGUUGUGCUGAUGUUAAUUGCAGGUGCUUGAAUCAGCUAGGGUUGCUGGUUUAUUCAGAUGGUUGACUCAGGCGUUGUUACUGGUUAAUUCAGGUGGCUGACUCAAGUUGUUCAUUUAAUGUUAGGAAGCAAACUAAGAAUUAAUGAAGUAUUCAUUUAACUAUAAUUAUUGUAGUUAUUUUAUUUCAUAACUGAAUUAUAAUCUAUGAUACUUGUGAACAAAUUAGAGAAUUUUUAUAUAUGAAUUAUAUAUGUGUGUGUAUGUACAUUUUGCUAUUUAUAUAAUAAUUUAAAGAAUAUAUUUCAAUUCCCACAAAAAAAAAUGGCUCCAAUUUCAAUAAUUCCCGCCAAAUAAUUAAAUUUUUUUAAUUUACUGCCAAAAUAUAUCUUAAAGAAAUGUUAGUUAUUCUUGCUAGAUUUAACAAAAAUAAUUUGUAGGAUUAACAUUUAAUUAAAAUAAUUAAAUAAUUUUAUUAUUCCAAUUAAAUAUGUCAUGUUUAUACGUCAUACAAUAGUCAUGAAUGGGAAGUAUUAGUUACAUAUUUUUCCUUGGGAUUUCAGGCAAAUGAAAAAAAGAUUGAGAAUGGUUUCAAGAGGACAGGUGGAUGAUAAGUAUUCAUUUUUGUAUAUUUGGUUAGGGGAUUUUUAUGGUAUUGAUCUUUUUUUUUUUUUAAAUUUUCAAUUAGUUGCAGCCUUAGAGGAAGAGCAGGCUGAUCAAAUUGAUUUGUCUUGUUUUUCGGGCAAUCUACGACACGAUGAUCGUGAUAAUGCUCGUGACUGCUGGAAACUUUGUGAUGGAAAUAACUUUAGAGUUCGUAGCAAGCAUUUUUGUUAUGACAAAACAAAGGUUCCCCCAUAUUUUGUUUGUUUGUUAUGGUAUUUAUAUAUCCUGCAUAGGCUAGGUAGACAGGUUAUGAUGUAGUUUGGUUGGCUCUUCUUGUGCUUUGUGCAAUUUGUAACUGCAGAUACCUGCGGGAAAACAUUUAAUGGACCUUGUUGCUGUUGAUUGGUUCAAAGACACAAAGAGAAUUGACCAUGUAGCUAGGCGUCAAGGCUGUGCUGCACAAGUAACUAUUCUUUUCUUUUUAUUUUUCCUUUUCCAUUGAUGCAUUAGGAGAAAAUAUUGCCUGUGAGAUACUUCAAUGUAAAUAACUUCUCAUGGUUCAUUGAAUCUAUAACACACUGACCCUCUUCUAAAAAACGUAGGUUGCUUCUGAAAAAGGGCUUUUCUCACUGAUCUUUAAUCUUCAAGUAAGUUUGUUUCAUUUCAGAAGGUAUUAAGUUUCAAACUUAUUGUAUUGGGAGGUUGUAUAGUUGUAACCUAAGCAUCUGCAGGUUCCUGGUUCGACACAUUAAAGUAUGGUAUUUUAUUUUGUCACAAGGCAAUUGGUUAUGGGAUCACUUUUGCAACGGUUUGUUGAUGGCGAUGAUGAGUUUCGCAAUAGUAGGUUGAAACUUAUUCCAUCUGUUCCUAAGGUAUCCAUCUUGGCCUUCAUGUAUUAGGACUAUAUUAACGUAUACUUACCCUUUUCUGCAUGGUACACUUCAAUUUGUCCAAAGAAGGCAUGCAUUUAGGUGUAAAUGUAUUGAUGGGUAGUACCUUCAAACUUCAUGUCCUUUUUACCCUCUUGAAUUUGUUUUGCACUUGUUCUUGAUUUUAAGCACUGAAUCAUGCAGGGGUCAUGGAUCGUGCGCCAGAGUGUUGGAAGCACCCCUUGUUCAUUAGGGAAAGCGGUUAAUUGUAACUAUAUUCGCGGUUCCAAGUACUUAGAAGUAAAUGCUCUUGGAAUUUCUAUAGUACAUGAGAUGUUCAUCUUUCAAAUAGCGUCCGAUACCAUUAACAUGGUUUAACAUUGUUCAUCUUUUUGUAGAUUGAUGUUGACAUUGGUUCUUCUACUGUUGCUAAUGGAGUUUUGGGCCUUGUAAUUGGUGUAAUUACGACAUUGGUGGUUGACAUGGCUUUCCUUGUACAGGUAUGUAUGAUUGUUUUUUUCCCCCACUUCUAAAUGGACACAAGGGAAAAGACAUGAUUUUGAGAUAUUGCACUGCAAUUUGCAUUUUUGCAUACUUGAAUGUUCUCAGAAUAGUAUAAUGCUUCGUGUGUGUCUUCUUUAUCUUGCUCUUCUGUAUGCAGGCAAAUACUACAGAUGAAUUACCGGAGCGGCUGAUUGGUGCUGUACAUGUUUCUCAUAUAGAACUCAAGUCUGCUGUUGUCCCAAAGUUGGAACCAGAGAUAUCAUGACUCUGGUUUCAUUUCACCUCAACUGUGUUUUUUUUUUUUUUAAAUUAAAAAAACAUUUGUUUUAGGUAUACAUACAUGUAUUUUGAUCCCAUUUUCAUGGGAAUUUUGCAUUAAAAAAUGAAGAAUAGUGAAUAGGAAAUUUCUUGAUUCUUUAGUUACUAUUUUUGGUAUGAGUGUAAAUAGUAGUAAAGUUGGUUUCUACUCGCAAACAAGUGAACUGCUCGAUUCCUGAGUGGUAUCAACCAGUUUCCAACUUUUUAAUAUACACUAAUUGUUAUUGUUUAAUAGCUACUACUAUUAAAACUCAACAGCUGACAAAAAUACUUAAAAAAAAUGAUUUUACUUCUUUCCACGAGAUCUAUAACAUGGUCUUGACUUCACGAAAUUCUUUUAAUUUAAAACGUGCUGGUGUGAGAAGGUCAGUUUGACGGAUUAAUUCUUUUUUAACAGUGGUCGAGAUAAUUUUACUAUACUCAAAAAUAUUCUUAUUCUGAUAGUGCCAUAAAUGUUAUGCUGUUUUCUUCGGCUAAUGGUCUUCUAUCAAGAGAGGGUAGAAAUCAAAUGCUUAAAAGACCAAUUGAAGGAAUAAUACAGAAAUUUAGGCAGAAUCUAAUCGAAUAUUGCAUGAAACAGGAAACAUCAAUUCAAGUCCUUUCUUAAACGGAGAAUGCAUCAAACAAAAUCCAAAGUGUCUUGCAAGUCUGUAGCAUGAGCAAAAAAUUAUUCAAGUACAGAAGAAUGAGCAAGCUAAAUCAUGUAUAAGAGAUUGGUCUGGUUCGGGAUAGCUUCUUCACUGUACCUAAAGGGUUGGCUCAAUCUCUUCUUUAGAAUUCUGCAGAUUUUGUAAUUACUCGUGUAAGCAAGCAUACAUUGCCACCAUAAGAAUAAUAAAGCUAGAGUAAUGAUAUGACCACCACCUCUCGUGCACAAACAAUAUUGUAUAAACUAAUGAGACAUAAUAUGAUUGGUUAAACAAAAACAUUACAUGGCCCUCAUAAUAAUAAUAAUAAUAAUAAUAAUAAUAAUAAUAAUAAUUAUUAUUAUUAUUAUUAUUAUUAUAUAUUUUCAGUCAACCAAUCAUAUUAUAUCACAUUAGUUUCUAUAAAAUAAUUAGCUAAAUAGCACCAAAACUUAAUUGAUACUCACCAUUUCAUUGAACAAUUUUUUUAUGGUGUCAUUGAGGUUGCCUUCCCAACAUCCUUCAUCAUCAUCAUCUUCUUCUUCGGUGACGUUCACUUUGUUUAGCAUUGGUGUGUCUAAGAGUCCUUGAGAGAAGAUCUUCAUUUUUGGACACUGUCUCACAACUACUUGUUUCAAGGACGGGAAUUCAAGAGCGUAAUUACCUAAACAAAAGCUUGUUAGGCUUGGCAAACAAUCAAGUCCCAAGUACUCCAAUUCCUUGAAAACAUUGCAAUCUUUCGCUUCUUCUCCAACCUGCAAUUGUAUGAUUUGUUCUAUCAUUUUGCAAUCAGCUAUCAUCAUUCUUCCGAGAUUCACUAGAUUUUUAGAUGCUGAGAGCGUCAACACAUUUAUCAACUCGUGACACUUCGAUACUUUCAAAGCCUCAAGAUUUUCCAAAUGCCACGAAGGUGGUACUAAUUUUUGCAACUUACUACAUUCCGAUAUUUCCAGCCUUUCCAAGUUUGCAAACGCUUUGUUGGAUUCGUCAUUUUCCUUCCAGAGAUGCUGCACUUUGUGUAAUCCAGACAGUCUUAAAUUCCCCAAUUGAGGGAAAGCAACCUGAAAAUCAACAAAAUUAAGUUGUAAAUGAAAAUAUGUAUCCAAUCUCUGCAGUCUUCCCCUGCAUAUUUUAUGGACAAGAUUAAUCACGGCAUUUUAUAUUUUAUUUCCAAAUUAGUAUGCUUUGCACUAGGAUCCCAAAUAUAAGUAUCAAAUCGAUUACCCUUUGAAACACAUAAAUGAAAACUGAUACUAAAUCCAAUAUGAAUUGAUAAUCAAUACUAUAAAGUUACCAGUUCAUCACCUCAUGUUACCAGUCAUCAAAAUAAUUUAGGACUUUUUUAAUUUAUACUAUAAAGUUAGUUAAUAACUGCGGUUAUAUUGUUAAAUCAUAUAUAAAUUAAGACGACGUGCAAAAAGAUGUCAUUAAAUUUGAUUUGAUUAUAAUGAAAUUACAUAUGUGCGAACGAAAGUGAAGGGAAAAUAAUAAUAAUGAUUACCUUUUCAUCGAAGAGAUGUUGUAUUUGAUUAGCUACCAAGAGGUUCUCUUCUGAUUUUAAUUUUUGAGGUUCCUUAUUAUCUGCUGUCAUGUGCAGUACAAAUGUAGAAUUGGAUGUGAAUGUUUCCAUAUCAGGGCAAUUCUCAAUAAUUAGAUAUUCCAACUUAGGCAGUUCAAUUAUAUUCCCAGUGAAGUUGCAGAAUCUUUUGAGUUUUGGAAGAUCAAUGAGCUUUAGGCUUAAAAGCCUAGGAAACAGGGGGCCUAUAUGUUCUUCCUUAGCACUUAGCUCUUCCAAAUGAAGCACCUCUUCUAGUGAAUCACAAUUCCUCACUGCCAGCCAUUCCAAAUUGUUCAAGCACCGUAGCAGAUUGGCAGGAAUAGCACUCGACAUAUUCGUGCUGUCAUCCACCACCAGCUCCGCUAAAUUGUUGAAGAAUCUGACAGGCAGUGCUUGGCCAUGCCAUAUUUCUUGCAAGCGUGGAAAAUGCGAGAGUUGCAAACGGUUUAUAUCAAGGAAUCCAAUCUGCACAAACCAAAACAAUUGCACCAGAAAUAUACAAUUUUUUUUUUUGAAAGGCAUUAUAUAUAUACACAUUAAACUUACAUUUUUUGUGUUUUAACUUCUAAAAAUAUAUAUACAAGGGAGGUGUAUAUGCUUAAAUGUGCAAGUGAAGGGAGAUGCAUGAUGAACAAUUUGGGUGAAUUGAUUAACACAUACCUUUUCGUCAUAACACUUUUGUAUAGUGGAAUUAAGGUUAUUGCCUUCCCAAUGGUGUAGUUCACCCUCUUCCUUUUCAGUCACUUGCACUUUGCAUGGCUUUGGAAUGGAUAAUAUUCCCUGAGAAAAAGUCUUCAUGUUCGGACAACGUAUCAUAGAAACUCGUUCCAAUGAUGGGAAUUCAAGAGUGUAAUUCUCCAAACAAAAGCCGGUAAGUGUUGGUAAAUAAUCAAGUAUCAAAACUUUUAAUUUGCUAAAAGCAAUACGAUUCUCCUUCACUUCUUCUCCAACAUGUCUUAUGAUUUCUUCUAUCUUAUCACACCACGAUACAUUAAGAUUCACCAGACUACUAGGAAUUCCAACCUGAAAAUAAGCAGAGAGUGUGUGUGUGUGUACGUUAAAAAAGUAAAAAUGUAAGAAUAUCAUUCAACAAGGUUCAAAGUAUGUUUAAAUCAUACAAUUAUACAUUUUAUAAACAUAACAAACCAUGAAAUGUCUACUAGAUAAUUUUUUGUUAAACAAAAAAGGCAACAAGAUAAAUAAAUAAAUAAAAGCCAAAUAAACAAAAGAUAAUAAAAAUGAAUUUACACUAUUUAGUAUUAGGAACAUAGAAAGAAUUUAAUGCAAUUUCUAAAUAUUUUAGACUUAUUUUGCAUCUUGACGCCAGUUUUUAAACAAAAUUUGCAAAUUUCAACUAUUCCUUUUGGGAAAAAAAAAAUCAACCAAAAUGCCGCUUUUUCCCUUUUUCCUUGGUCCCUUUUUUUUUAUGUAUAUUUAAUUUUGGAAACAAAAUUAAAGUGGAUCUUUAUUAAGUACUUCUAGACUCGAGGAAAUUUCUUUACAAUCAAGGAUCAGUUGUAAAUAAUCAUGAAUUUGUGGUUAAUUAAUGGCAUAAUCAGUUCGUAACUAAACAAGAGAUAUUAAUUAAAUUUGAAGACUUUUCUUUUCUUUUUUUCUUUUUCCAAUCGAAAUGUGAAGAAUUAAGGACAAGAGAAAUAUAUAGAUGAAUUUGUGAACCUAUAAGAUGAGUGACUAUCCUUUAAUUUUUGAAAAUUGUACUUAUUAAGAUAUGAGCAUAAACAAUUAAAUUGAAUUAUAUUAUGCUGUUGAAUCGUGAUUAAAAAAAUUACAUUGUUGAUUCUAAUGCUGGCGAACCUAAGAACUGGACUUAAAAUGUAGAUUUGAGAGUGGUGGUUCGAAGUACAAUACUUGAAAUAAAUAAUCAGUGGCUGAAUAUCAUUUGUAAACCCAAAAAUGGUUAAAAUAUUGUUGGAUGUAAUUUGAAAAAAAAAAAAAAAGAUUCGAAAUGAAUACAGCAACCUUACCAAUGGAGGAAAAAUAUUCAUUAGGUUAUCACACCCAAUUAUCUCCAAAUUCUUCAAUUUGCUGAAAGACUCCGAAGCAAGUUGGUGGUGCCAUAUUCUUCUCAAAUUAUCGAUCGACCUAAUAUGUAAUACCUCCAACCUAGGAAGUCGUACCUGGCAGUUAAAGAUUAAAUAACUAAUUAAUCAAUUAAUGGCAUAAUCAAUUGAUAACUAAAUUAGAGGCGGAUAUUAACUAAAUUUGAAGACUUAAGGAAGAGACAAAUAAAAUAUUGUGACUAAAAUAAAUUUAAAAAAAAAAAAAACCUUUUCGUCAAAGAGAGGAGGUUGCAUUUCAAAAUGAAUGGUGUCUUCUGGUGAGCUCGUGGAGAUGAAUCUUAACAUAUUACUGCAACUCUGAAUCUCGAGCUUUAGCAAAGAAGGGAAUUCAACAACUAAAUCUGAAUGAAUAUGUCCCGUAUUGGCAAAGCUUGUUAGCUCUGGAAGCCAAUAGAGCCGCAGGAAGUGUAGUUUAGGAAAAACCUUUAAUUCAAUCAACUUUCCUUCAUCUCUUCCUAACCACCCCGUCGUGUCGACUACCCCUUCCAUUGACUUACAAUCCCAUAUUUGAAGACGUUGGAGUUGCAAAAGACUAUUAACCAUAGAAUACGAAAACAGAUACUUCAUACGAUCACAACCGAACACGUGCAGCUUUGUUAAAUUUUGACAACAGUACAUUCCUUGAUUAUGAUCGGCCCAUAAUUUUUUUAUGUUUCUUAAUCUCGUGAGAUUCAAUUUUUCUAAGCUCGGAAGAAUAACCUGCAAAGAAAACCCGUACAUUUUUGUUCCUUCAAGUACAACCGUCUAGUAUAAUAUUCUUUUCAUGAUCGAAGAUUAAUCGUGAUAAUAAAUUAAUCAAUUAAUUAUUGAACGGAAAAUUAUCACCUUUGGAGCAGGAUCAUCAUCAGCAAUGAUUUCGUUGAAUCCCAAAGAAGUUGUUGGUUUCUCCCUGUCGGGUCCUAUAAACAAACAAAAACAAUACACAUAAUUAAUCUUUGUCGGUUUUUUUUUUUCAAAAUAAUUGAGGCGAAGUCCAUAAAUCCACCAACACUUAAUUUCAACACUUACCAAAAAUCAUUUCCAGAUCAUCGCAAAGACUUAUUAAUACUUUUUGAAGCCGCAGUAGGUUUUUUGCCAUGGAGAAUGAGAAAAGAUGCUUCAAUUUGUGACAGGAUUGUACUCCUAUAAUCCUUAAGUUGCUGAAAGAUUGAUCUUCUGUGAGUUGGCUGUCACAUAUUGUCUCCAAAUUGUUCAAAUAGCUAAGAAACAAUGACUCCAGCAAGGGAAAGACUGUACAAUGAACCCGUCCAACUGAACCGACAAUAUGCAAAAUCUCAGAACAACUUUCUACACGAAGAUGCUUCAAUCGUGGAAAACCUUCCCCAUCAUCUAAUUCAUGAACAACAUUCUGAACACCCUUAAGUUCGUAUAGAUUGAUAUCUUCAGUUUCCUUCAGUAACAUUUUCAUCCCAUAAUUCUCCAAAAGACUGCUAACAUUUUCUAGCCCAUGGAGCUUCAUCAAUCUUGAUGUUUCAGAAUUAACGGGCCAGAUGUCCCACACUUCUCCUAUGCAUAUCCUGUAUCUUGACAAUUCCACAAAGACCAAAUCCUGCAGCAGAAUUUGGGCAUCCCGAACUUGUAUCUCCAAAGUAGUUAGCUUUGACAACCCCUUCAACUCAGCAAGACUGGCGUUACUUCCUCCUUCAACCUUAUCCCACUGCGAAAAGCUGUCACCCAUAUAUAGUUCUUCCAAUCGAGAAAAUUUUGAUAUGACAUUUGGUGCUAUCACCAUAAGGCUGCUACAAUUGCUCAAAUCUAGCAACAAUAACCUCGUCAAUUGUCCAAUUUCAAGGGGUAACUGCUUAAUGUCGGAAUCUCGAAGGCUGAGAAUCUCUAAUUUCUUUAGCUGUCCAACUAUUGCUAUAUCUUCUAGUCCGCAACUAUCUAAACACAAUGUUUGAAGGUUAAUGAGGCGACCAAGUGAUGAAGGUAAUGAAGAGAAAGGAAUUCUAGUAAGACUUAAAACUUUGAGUUCUUCUGUCCCUUCAAAAAAGAGGUCAGAAAUUUGCAUAGAGACGGGCGCCAUGCCCCUUGCUAUUAACAAAAAUAACUUGAGUUGGGGACAUUCCAACCUUUCGGGAAGCUCUUGAAUAUCUUCGUAAGGUAAAGAANNNNNNNNNNNNNNNNNNNNNNNNNNNNNNNNNNNNNNNNNNNNNNNNNNNNNNNNNNNNNNNNNNNNNNNNNNNNNNNNNNNNNNNNNNNNNNNNNNNNGCAUUGAUACAGCAACAUCAUGAAUGAUGUCAUGCAUUUUAACUUCAUCUUCAGUAUCGCCAUCUAACAAUAAGCAUGAAGCUUUGAGAUUGUCGAUCAAUGCAUCCACUCUAUUCCUUGCAUCUUCCAAUGUGUGAACAUUUUUAAACAAACCCAAACCCAUACCAUAUCUCAACAGGGAAACAACUUCUACAGGAUUACCUUCACCAAACAGAGUACAAAGAAGGAACAAAGAUUUUGCUUCAUCACUUUCCAAGAAAUCGUAACUCAAUUUUAUGGAAGAAUACACAUAUGCAUCCAUACCACGAAUUUCUCUUAGAUUGGAACUUCUUAGCUGAUUCAAUGCAUCCUUCCAAAUGUUAAGACUCUUAUUUUUCAGAGCACUUGCAACUGUUCUCAGUGCAACAGGCAAUCCCCCGCAUUUUUCAACGAUCUCAUCUGCAGUGGGUUGAAAAUCAUAUGUUUUUUUUGAAUCACCCACAAUCUUCUCAAAUAACUGCAAUGCUUCAUCUUUGGAUAAAGCAUCGAUCCAGAAAUUUUUCUGAGAAUUCAUAUCAUUGCACAAUAAAUCUCGACUUCGAGACGUCAAUAUUAUUGUGCGUCUACUCCGAUCGUCCUCUCUAUCAUAAGGAAUUCCAACUUUAUCGAACUCAAGUUUUGUCCAAAUAUUAUCCAGUAUAAUGAGGAGCAGCUUCUCUUGCUUCAACCUUUGACACAGUCGAGAAGCUCUUUGAAAUUCAUUCUCAUUCAAGUCAAAUUCCAUGCCUAAAUCAAAAGCAAGUUUGUCUUGAAUUUUAUGAUGAUCUGGUGUCUGUGUUACCUCAGCCAUAACGACCUUAUCGAACAACUUAUCUUCCAUCACUUGCUUUCUAACUUGCUUGACUAGCGUGGUUUUACCCACGCCGCCCAUCCCGUAGACCCCAAUUAUUUUGAAACUAUCAUCCUUCAACGCAUCCAAAACAUCUUGAAAUACUUUCGUUCUUGAAUCGAACUCCUCGUAAUCUUUCACUGGCAUAUAUUCUGUACUCUUUGGAGCAGGACGGUAGGAAACACUAGAGAAGUUGCCUUUUCCCACGAGACUAGCGGCAGCUUCUGCGGCCUUUGCUGCUUGUUUACUAAGCUGGUAACGAGAAAUCAAGUUGGGGAACAACCCUUUGAAGCAGGACUUCUUAGCUCUAUCUUCAUCAUCAAUGAUGGAUUUUGCAACCCCUUCACUGAUGAAUUCAUCAACUUUAUUUAGCCAGUCUAUGACACCCUCAUAAAUCUCAUCCCCUUGUAGUCUAGCAUGAUUAACAGGUUGUUGCACCGUUUCUCUUCUAUAUCCCAGCUGCUUCACUUGAUCUUUCAGGCCAUCUAUGUAGUUCUGGUGCUUGAACACAUAAGAUAUCUGCCGUAUAAUCGGUUUGAACAGUGACUUUGAACCUUCUGAUACAAUGCUGGAAAAAGCAGCCAGACCCACUUCUGCCAUUGCCUGCUGCUUAACAAAUCUAAUAAUAUGUCAAAGAAAGGGGAAAGGAAUAGAAAUAAAUUAAAAUAAACUAGAGAGUGACAAAAAAGGAAAAGACAGCAAACAGAAUCGCAAAAUUGAUCUUGAAUCAACUGAAACAUGAACAGAGCAUUUUUUCUUCUUUCUUAAGGAUCAGAGUUUUUGCUAUUAACAGAAACGUGCUUCAAGUGUCCCAAAAAAAAAAUGAUAAAUGAACAAGCCAUAGAAAUUUUAUCUUGGAAAGUGGAUGGAAAUUAAGAAAGAAAUGGUAUAGAGAUCAAGCAUCAGAGAUUAUAUUAUUAAAAGAAAUUAAUUGAAGGUUGUGGAAAACCUGUUUAAUUAUGGAAAGUUGAUGAGCUUCUGUAAUCGCCUUGAGUAUUUAAGUGCAAUUUUGAUGAGCAAAAAGUUACUGUUACCUGCAGAGGAAUGUAAUUAUAGAGAGCUUAUGAGAGUAAUGACAAUGAUUUGCAAAAGAAGAAGACUCAAUCAUGGAGCCCUUAAUAUUUCUUUUAUGAAUAAACUGCCAGCAGGAAAAAUAAAAAAAAGUGGUAAAUUUACCAAGUCUUAUUUUAUUUUUAAUUUCUUUUAUUUUCAUUCGCCGAAGAGGGAAUCUCUUUUUUUUUCGUAAGGGAAAUAUCCUUUCCUAAUAUGUCAUGAUUAAAGCAAUCUAUAAAUAAUACAAUAAUCAUAUAAUGUAAUAAUUAAAAAGACCCACAUAUUUAUAAUAUUAAUGAUGGGAUCCAUACGUUCCUACUGAUUAAAUUGGUGGACCAGAAUUUAUUUGACCUUACUUGUUUUAUAUUUAAUUAAAAAUUGAAACGACAGAGAAAAAUUGUCGUAAUGAUGGUUUCGAUUGUGGAGUUCAGCUGUGGAUAGCACUUGCAAUACUGAAAAAGAAGCUUUCGUCAACUUUCUCACAUGGACGCGCACCAUCACGCAUAAUUGCAUAUUGCAUUAUUUCUCUAGAAAAGCAAAAGCAAGAUUUAUUCUUUUAAUAAGCAAACGCGUAGGUGGGAAUCCAUUCAUUAAACAAGUGGAACAGCAAUAUAUUAAACCAAUGAUAAGCAUUCUUAAGUGGGAAACCAAUUAUGACGGAUAGUUCAAAAUCUGAAUCCGCCUGAUGGACGGGUUUGACCGCAGAGCUCAAGAUAAUCUGAACCAUUCUCCUUUCGUAACUUAUAGAUAAUUUGAAAACAGGGGAAUGAAAACAGAGGAGCCCUGUUUUUCCUUCCUUUUUUUUUUUUUUUUUUCUUACCCAACUCUUCUUCUUUUGUAUAUUUUCCUUGGAAUUUUAGGUAAACCAAAAAACUUUGAGAAUGAUUUCAAGAGAAUAGGUGGGUAAUAACUAAAAUAUUUAUCUAUAUAUUUAUAUAAAGUUGGGACUACAAGAGAUGAUGUGGCAUCACCAUUUCUAAUUUUUGUAUAUUCUCUAUUAUCUAACAAAUAGAGAAAUUUUCUUUCAGAUUUUAUUUUUCAUCUUUUCAUAAUUAAUUUGACUGUUAUUAUACAAUCAAUAUGUAACAGUUCAUCAAAAGACCCACUAUCUUCUUUAAUUGAAACCUUCUUGAUCAGGACUACAAGAAGUAAUGUGGCACUACCAUUUCUCAUCUUUGUAUAUUCUCUAUUAUCUAACAAAUAGAGAAAAUUUCUUUUAGAUUUGGCUUUUUAUCUUCUCACAAUUAAUUUGACUGUUAUCAUACAAUUAAUAUGUAACAGUUCAUAAAAAAACUCACUAUCUUCUCUAAUUGAAGCCUUCUUGAUCAUAAAUUAAGCAAUAAUUUAUAAAUAUUUUUAAUCACUCUUCUCCUCUGACUCACCUAAAUUUAUAAAUAACAACAAAAAAUAUGAUAUCUCAUGUAAAUAUAAAAGAAUAGAAAAUAGCAAUAGCUCUAAAACAUUUUUUUUUUCAUUUUGGCCCUCACUUGCCUGAUCAUGGCAAAUAUUACAAAUGCAACCAGUAGGAAUGAUUGCCUCAACAACAAUAUGAAACCAGGCUACAAUCUUGCAACAAGACUUGAAGUUAGUGGAGGCCAAAUGGAGUGUUGGAACGUGUUAAUGGAGCUGAAAUCAUGCUCAAAUGAGAUUGUUAUAUUCUUCAUUAAUAGUCAGGCUGAUAUUGGCCCUGACUGUUGUCGCACUGGCCUGCAAUGCUCACCUCUCUCGGAUUCACGGCUGAAGAAGGGAACAUACUGAGAGACUACUGUGAUGCAUCUUCUGCUCCUUCUCCAGGUGGCCUCGCGGUGAUAUAUCAGCUUCAGGUUUCCAAGGUUUUUUGGCUUAGACAGGGUGCAUCUAUGGUACUUCAUAAUUAAAAAAAGUCUUUUUGGUUUUAUCUUUUCUUUAUUUUUUUAUUUUUUUUUUGGAAGUCUUGCCUCUUAAUCGAAUAGAAUAAAUUGUUAAAAUUAGAAUAAGAAAAAAAGGAUAAUAUUAUUUUUUUUCAAAGCCGCGCAAAGGGCGGUUCUAUUUCCUAGUUUUUAUAUAUUUGAUAAGCACGCUCACUAUUAAUAAAACCCAUUAAAUGCUAUAACUUAAAUAACUUCUUGUAGUUGAUUGAGAGUAUGUUUGGAAUUUCUUUUACUUCCCAAUAAUUAAUUUUUACCUUGAUUAUCAGAAAAUUAAUUUUAUGAAUAAUUUAGCCGGGUGUUUGGUAAAUGAUGAUUAUUUGACAAUCAGUUUUUAAAUAAUCUAUUAUAUAAAUAUAGUAAGUGAAAAUUAGAAGUAUAAUGUUCAUGUAGAAAUGACAAAAAUGUACUCAUUUACUUAUUUGUAAUUUAUUUAGAAUAUUAUUAUUUAAAUAAUUUUUCUUAUUCAUUGGAUUUUUUAAGAGCAUAUUCUAUUUUCUUGAUUACACAUUUAAAUAACUUUUUAUUAACUAUUUUAAUCUGCAAUAAAAAUUAACUAUAUUAUAUUUAACUAAAAAAUUUGUUAUGUAGUCCGUAAUAUACACAAAUACUUGAAUUUAUUAAUAAACUUAACUGCAAAAAAGAAAAUGCAUUACAUAUAUCUAAUUUCUUAUUUUCAACGAUUGAAAGAUGUUAUUUAGGAAACUUGUACGAGAUAAUUUAAUUUUGGACUAUUGACAUUAUAUUUACUUAGAAGUGGAAAUAGUGGGUGGAUAAAUUUAAUUUUUCAUUAAUUGCUCAAGAAGCAAGAGGAUUAGUGAUGGAUGGAGAGUUAGUGUAGAAUUGUGAGGCCAUUUGAUUACUGCAAGCAUUAUAAAUUUCUUGUUGCUGAGAUUAAUCUAAUUGAAUUAAUGACUCCAUGAUAGACUUAACAAAGGAUUCUUGUGGCAAGAUUUCUAUUUAUGAGGCCAUUUGAUUACUGUAAGCAUUAUAAAUUUCUUGUGGCAAGAUUUCUAUUUAUGACUCCAUGAUAGACUUAAGUUUUAGUGAGACAAUUGCUGCCUGUUGCAGACAUGAUACCUCUAGUACUUCAGAAGAUAGCAUAUCACGAAACACAUCCAGACUAUACUGAGGUUACAUCGAAAAUUCCUUGGCCCAUCGUGCGAGUGUGUGACAUCCCGCAACAAAAAUUAGGGUAUGUACUAUAUAUAUAAUGUGUUUUGAACAUAAUAAUAAGAAUGCUGAUUUUUAACAAUUAAUUUAUUUUACUUUUUUUAGUGGUGAUUGUGGAGAAUUUUUGUUGCGGUACUUGGAGGUCCUAACCCAUGGACUUGAUGUCAAUUCAUAUUGCAAACAAGAUCAUGUUAUACAAUUUCGAAAAGCCUUGGUUGUCAAAUUAUUUGGGCAUAGGUCAUGGAAAAAAACUUUGUAGUGUACUACCCUUAAAAACUUUGUUGGUGUGUCAUUUUUGGACCAUGAGAUGUGAUAGUUAUAAUGAGGAUGUUGUUGAUAUUUGAUGUCAUUAAAGAUAACUUGACAUCAUUAAUAUGUUUUAUUUCUUUGUUAACUAUAUUAAUGAUAGUGAAGAUAGUUUGUACAAUCUAUGUAAUGUAACAGGAUUGCCAUAUAUGCUCAGGGAAUACUCUGUAAGAAAAUACACGACUGCUGUUAGCUAUUUGCACGGAUACAUGACUGCAGUCGAGUAUUUACAAAUAUACAUGACUAGCUCUCUGUAAGAAAAUACUCGACUGCAAUUGGGUAUUUACACAGAUACACGACUGCAGUCAAGUAUUUAUAAUUGUACAUAACCAGCUCUCUAUAAGAAAAUACUCGACUGCAUUCGGGUAUUUACACAGAUACACGACUGCAAUCGAGUAUUUAUAAUUAUAUUUGACCAGCUCUCUGUAAGAAAAUACUCGACUGUAGUCGGGUAUUUGCACAGAUACACGACUACAGCCGAGUAUUUACAAUUAAAUAUGACUAGCUCUCUAUAAGAAAAUACACGACUGCAGUCGGGUAUUUGCACAGAUACACGACUGCAGUCGAGUAUUUGUAAAUAAACAUGACCAGUUCUGUAACAGCCAAAAUACACGAUUGUACUCGGGUAUGUGGACACGGAAUAAAAAAUCAACUAAAACAUUCAUUAUAUUGAUGACACAAUCAAUAUAAACUUUAACAUAUUAAAUUUCAAAUAAAUGAAACUAACUGUAGUCUGGUUGCCUAUCAAACAACAUAAAUCCAAUACUUAUUCGAAUCGUAAAUAAGUCAUAAUACAAUAAAAGUUGUUUAACAAUCAUCAUAAUUUUUUUGCAUUUUCAACCCAAACACUCGGUCCAUAUUUUAUAAGCCUCUAGUAAUUUGGUUGCCUAUUAAAUAACCCGAGAUACUAUUUCUAUCAAUUGUGCAUACGUUGUAGAAUAGGGCACUAUGAUCCCUCUUGCCUUUGUACCAUUAAAUCUAUAAUGGCCGUUUUGCUCAAUCCAUUCACCACAAAACAUAAUUGGCACACGUACUGAAGUCAUUUCCUGUAAUAAUACAACGGUUGAUUAUACAACAAAUACAAAAAUAAAAAUCAAGCAAUGUAUAUAACGAAGUGUGGAUCUGUCUGCCUAUUUACAUGACUCACGUCGUGUAAUUGGUAGUUUACACGACAAUAGUUAUGUAACUUGCUAAAAUACACAACUAUAGUUCUAUAAACAGUCAGAUGAUAUAUUUAGUAAAAAAAGCUGUAAUCUUUGUACUAAUCGAAUGGUAGGUGUCAUAACAGCUACUAUAUCUUCCAAACUUGCACGAUUGUUGUCGUGUAAAUUCAUACAUACAUGACAAAAGUCGUGUAAGUUGCAAAAAUAUAUGACUCAAUAAAUAAUCAGAGGACAUAUUUCUUCUUAAAAAAAUAUUGGGAUCUGAUAACAAUUGGAACAUUUUACAUAUAUACACAAUUAUAGUAUGUAAGUUCAUACGUACACGAUAGUAGUCGUGUAACUUAUUAACACACACGACUAUAGUCCAGUAAUAGUAAAAGGAUAUAUAUAGUGAAAAAAAAAAUAUUUUUUGCACCAAUAGAAUGAUAAAGUGUCAUGAUAAUUGGAAUCUUUUGCACAUUUGCACGACUACAGUUAUGUAAAUCCAUACAUACAAGACUGAUGUCGUGUAUGUCGGGUGCAGAAAAAAAUUUUGGCAACAACUUCAGGUUUUAACGAAUGUAGUUAUAAAAUCCAUCAAAUAACAGUCAUAUGAUGCAAAUGUAAUGAAAUAUGAGUUGCUUUAGUGUUUAUCACAAACCAAACAAAACCCUAAAAAUAAUAUAAUGUCAAUUAAAUGAAUAAAUAACACAAAAUAAAAAAAAAUUUCAAAUACCUUAUUCAUGGGAUGAAUAAUGCACCCAGCUGCAAAUUAAAAUCUCAAUGCAUUAGCUGUUUGUGAGUGAUUUUGAGUAUGGAGUGAGUUUUCGUUGUGUGGAGUUAAAAAAAGUGAGAAGUAAAGAGUGUUAGAGACGAGUUGUGUGUGUUUUAUAUAUUUUUUUAAGGAUAUUUUAAACAAUGUAUCACAUAAAAAGGUAUAUCUAGAUAAUUUUCAAGCAUGUGAUAUAUUUAACUAAAUACCCUACUUUUAAGGUAUCUUUAAUUAAAAACCCUCUUAUAGUUGAUUGAGGGUAUGUUUGGAAUUUCUUUUACUUCCCAAUUAUUAAUUUUUACCUUGAUUAUCAGAAAAUUAAUUUUAUGAAUAAUUUAGCCGGGUGUUUGGUAAAUGAUGAUUAUUUGACAAUCAGUUUUUAAAUAAUCUACUAUAUAAAUCUGGUAAGUGAAAAUUAAAAGUAUAAUGUUCAUGUGCAAAUGACAAAAAUGUACUCAUUUACUUAUUUGUAAUUUAUUUAGAAUAUUAUUAUUAAAUAAUUUUUCUUAUUCAUUGGAUUUUUGAAGAGCAUAUUCUAUUUUCUUGAUUACAUAUUUAAAUAAUUUUUUAUUAACUAUUUUAAUUUGCAAUAAAAAUUAACUAUAAUAUAUUUAACUAAAAAAUUUGUUAUGUAGUCCGUAAUAUACACAAAUACUUGAAUUGAUUAAUAAGCUUAACUGCAAAAAAGAAAAUGCAAAAAUUUAAUCUCUAUAUAAACUUUUAUGUACACAAAACUAUUGUAAUAAAGUAAUUCAUAGAAAUAUAAUAUUAUAUACAUGUGUAAAGAAAUAUAUAACUAUAAUAUUAUCCACUUGUAGCACUAUUAUUUUUCAAUCUCUCCAUCUCUUGAUCUUCAAGAACGUUAGUACCAUGAUCUGCUUCUUGAGUUCGACCUCCAUUUCCACAGCAUCAACAAGGCAAUCAAUUUGCCGUGAAAGCCUUACAGCUCCUCCCACUUUCCUCCUUUUUGUAGCCACUCUUUUUCCCUUUCUUUAUUUAGUAGCUUCUAUGGAAAUGUUGUGAAAAUUUUAAUAUACUCGCAAGCGCACGAAUCUAGAAAUAGAAUAGUAGUAACGAGGUCGAUCCCACAGGGAUUGUUAUAAAUUAAAAAGUCUAAUUUAAAUCUAAAAUUAAUAUUAAUUCUAACCUAGUUGAGCAAAUUGAGUUUUUAAGAAAAUUAAACCAAUAAAACUAAGGAAGCAAUUAAAAUAAAGGAGAAUUCAAUAAGAUAAGAAUUACCAAGGUUUUAGAAUCCACCACUAUUCAACUAGUAAUUAUCUAAUUAUUAAUUAAUCCCCAAUUUUGGAGUGACAACUCGAAAUCAAUCUAUGUCAUCUCAUGGAUAUAACAAUUAAGCCCAAGUAAUUAAAUCUAAUGUAAGUUCUUUUUCUGCUUAAUAAUAUGACAUCUAAGAAUCUCAUGUAAACAUAUUGAAUAACAAAGAGUCAAAGUUUUCCUAAGCACUCUAUGUAAACAAUUUAAUGAAAGACAUAGAAUCAAAGAUAAUCAUGUAUAAACUUUAUAAAUUCAAGCAUAGAUUUAAUUGAAUAUUAAUCCUAACAAUCAAUAAUGCAUGACAGAAUUGAUGAAAAGAUUUUAUUAAUAUCUAAUUAAUCAUGUGAAAUAAAAACCAUAAUCAUCAAAGAACAUAUAUAGGGAAUUAAUUAAAUAAAAAGAUAAUUAUUUCAUUGAAUAGGGUUUCAUCCUUAACCUCAGUAUAAGAAAAUUAGUUAGACAUACUUGAAUUGAGAGCAACAAAAUAAAUAAAUUCAGCCAUGGGGAAGCCGAAUUGCUGCAGAUUUUCUUCUCUGUCUUGAAUCCUUGCGUCUCCAGUUCUCCCUUCUGACGGCUCUCUUGCCUUUAUAUAAUGUUACUAACUUGCUUAAUCCUUAUUGGAUUCUAAUUGCAUUAAUUCUUCUCCACCGACUUAUAAAGCCCACUCACCAAGGCCUUUUAAAAUUAUUUCCUUACUAAACUUUGAAAGCAAAGCACACGUUUGACCACAAAAGCAAAAGGCCAAUUAAUGAUUUCUUCUUUUAAUGCCCAGCACAUGCAUUCCAAAUUGCCAAAUCUUUGCUUUCCAAAUGCAUGCCCACCGUUCAUCCUUUGAAGAGAUUGACUUCCAAUUUUGGUCUUCUUGACUUCCAUUAAUUCUUGGUUGCAUUUUUGUCUUCCAAUUUAAUCUUUAUUCCUUCUCAAUUUGAAGUGUUUUCAUGCCCUUUUUAUCAACAAUCUCCAAUUAAUUCCCUAUUCAAUAAAACAAUUCAAUUAAUUAAAAAUAACAAAUAAAUAUAACUAGCAAUUAUAUUAUUAAGGGUAAAAUAUGUAUAUAAAUUAUGCUCAUCAGGAAACAAACUCAUCGAACUACCAGUACAUUUUUCAAUUAGAUAGGACUGAUAGUAGAUAUUCAGUACUCUCAGAUGGUGUGCAAACAUGAUCAUCAGUGAUUGUUGUCUUAAAAAGCAUUCUAUUUAAUUGUUCCUCUGACUCUGGCAUGCAAAAUUUCUUGAUUCACGAAUUUCCUACGUAUGUUGAUAUCAUAUUAAAAUGAAUUCAAUAUCACAUNNNNNNNNNNNNNNNNNNNNNNNNNNNNNNNNNNNNNNNNNNNNNNNNNNNNNNNNNNNNNNNNNNNNNNNNNNNNNNNNNNNNNNNNNNNNNNNNNNNNGCAUGUUGUGAGCUUAUUACCAAAAAUGAGACUAUAUAUUUAAGCCGAAUGGUAAAAAACUUCGGAUGGAGGAUGUGCCAUCUUUUUAUUUUAGAUGCUUUCGGAUGGAGGAUGUGCCAUUUUUUUAUUUUACAUGCUUUGUAAGACUUUUAAUGAUCGAGUGCAGUCAAUUAACAAAAGCUUACAUAUUAUUUGUUGAAAAUUGAUUUUAAAAAAAGAAGUCAAAAUGAUGGGUGGUUGAGCCUGUUGGGGAAAAAUCAGGUUUUUAAAUUUUUAUAAAACCUUUUGAAGAUCGCUCUCAUAUAAUAUAUAAGAAUUCGUAUUCUAGAAAUCGUACCUUGUAAAUCUGAGUUUGCUUUUUCCGCUGAAGUGAUUUAGGCUCCUAGAUCACGAUCCGCCACCACCACUCCUGUUAGAUCACGAUCCGUCACCACCACGCUUGUUAGAUCACGAACUGUCUCCAAUGAUCUUCCAGGUUAUGACUCAGGUUCGAUCUGCACUUGACGUGUGGGCGCCUUUAUCACUACCAAAGCAACUAGCACGAGAAAAUUUUUCUCUCAAAAAUGGAGAGAAAAAUCUUAUUCUCUGAUUUGUAUAAAGUGGCUUCUCCACUUUUUCUUUAGAGAAAAAUAAGCCUUUUAUAUCACUCUUUAGUGAAAACCCUAGGCUCCAAAUAAAAUAAAAUCAAAACCCACGUUAUUUACUUUUUCAAUAGGGGACCCACCUUGUAAAAUAACAUAAGGCCCGUUAUACAAAAGCUAAUUAAAUGGAGCCUCCCACUAAAUGAUAUAUUUAGGCUUUUGACCCAAAUUGCUAGUUAUCUUACUUAUUAGUCCAGUAGUGGUGCAAUCAAUUAAAUGAGCUAACCCGGGGAUCAUUUGGGAACAUACAAUAGUGGCUACAAUAAUUAGGCAUGUAAUUAAACUAGCCCAAUUAUUUAAUUCCAAAUCUACUCCACUAAAAGAUUGGAACUGACUUCCAUAAUUGUAUGCUCGAAUAAUAAUUCGUCCCAAGCCACAUUGAUUUCUUUACUGCACAAUCCUUUGUACCACAUCGUUAAUUAAAUUGAUAUCUCAACUGUCCAAUCAAUUUAAUAACAUCUUAUUCCUUGAUCCUUACUGGUUUUCUCUAAUGAUCAUUUUCAACAUACUAAAUAUGUUGACACACUCUGGCCAGAGAAUUCUAUGAUCAAGUACCGAAAACCUAUCAAGAGAUGUGUUGUACAAAUUCUAUAUUGUUAAUCCAUAACUCCAAUACUCAUAAUUGCUCCCACCAAGAUACCGGGUAAUCUUGACCACAAGGAUGUGUCGUGCCCAUUGGUAACUCAAAUGGAAUAACAAUCACAAUCAUGAAAUCAUAAUUAACUCAAGAUUAAGAUUACAGUAAAAUCAAUGCCUAUGAGAUUUAAUAAGUCUGACAGUUAUUACAAAGUUAAUUAAAUCUCAUAUGUGAUCCUGUUCAAUGUAGUCGUACUACAUCAAUAAAUUCAUACAUGAUUAAGACAAAUCAUUCAAUGAAUUUAUUACAGUCUAUACCUAAAUAAAGUGCCCAACUUUAUUUAUCAACUGCGAACUAAAUUUAUUUAAUCAUAAGAUAACUUGUAUUUAUGUCUUCUGUGAAUCCACAUGGUGAUCACAUAAAUACAUAUAAUAUGAUUAAAUGGACUUUAAUACAAAUAUUAAUGCAAUUAAGAUAUUUGAAUAAAAUACCUCAUUAAUUUUAUUAAUCAGAAAAAAUGUUUAUUACAAUUAAAUAAACACAUAUGCUUUUAAAGAGCAUAUUUUCCCAACAGAGCCAUCAUCUUUGAAUUCAAAGAUGGUGGGUGGCCAAGUUAGCCACCAUCAUUGAACAAGAAAAAAUGGGUGGGUGCCGCCCAUGCAAUGAAGAAAAGGGAGAAAAUGAAGCCAAAGUUUGGCUAUAAAUAGAGGGGUUCUCCCUCUCAUUUUUGUAUCCCAGAGAAGAAAUCCCAAAAUUUGAGAAGCAAGAAUAUGUAAGAGAAGCAUUGAGAGCUUCCAACAUGGGAGAGAAAUAUUCUUAAGCAUGUAUUUAUAUUGAAAGAGCAUUUGGCUCCUCAAUAUGGGUAUUACGGGUUUGAUUUGUUAAGGAAUAUUUCUCGCAAUUAUGUAUUUGGGGCUUGGGUGAGAGAAAAUUAUUUAUGAGAGUGUGGUUGUAAUAAUUUUCCACAUAGUGAAAUUUUUUUUUUCUGGUUGUCUCUUGACAACGGCUAUGGUUUUUCUCCGGAUUUGGAGUUUUCCACGUAAAUCUUGUGUUGUGUGAUUGUUGUAUUCUCCAUUUAAAUUUUUUGUUAAUUUGUUGCUUGACAAAUUGCUUGGAGUGAUCUUGGAAGGAAACUCAAUUUCCUAACAGUGGUAUCAGAGCCAUUGAUUGAAGUUUUGAUGUCGAGGUACUGUUCACGUAGACAUUACUAUUUCACGUAUACGAUAUUGUUCAUGUAUACGGUAUUGUUCAUGUGAAGCAGUGGGAGCCAAUCUAAAUUGUCCGUGGUGAAGAGUAUAGGGUCAUUAUAAAGCAAAUAUGUCAGUAGCUGGUAUUUUUCAAACUUGGUGGAGUUUGAUGUUGUUCAAAAAUUAAUGGGAGAAUGAUUUUUUGUUGGCUUGUGGAGAAUUCAAGUCAAAGGUGUAUCCAAUCUGGUAUGCACAAAGAUUUGAAGGUGUGGACAAUUUUGGCACCUCAAGAAAAUUGUCAAGAAGGUGGAGCGGGCUCGACAAAUUACUCCAGAAUCAGUAAAAGAAAUACUGAUAUUUCUCGCAGAUGGUGAAUUUGUUUUUGAUAAGAGAUUGGAUUAGUUCUUUUGGCAUGUAGAUCUCCAAGUUACCAUAAAAGAGAACAUGUUAUUAUCAGUGGGGUCCACAAGUUUGCACGAGGGCAUUGGCUUGGUAUAAAUGCAAGGUGUGUGGUGGAAAAGUUAUGUCAUGGCUGAAGAAUUCUCAGUGAAACCAAGCAUGAGAAUUGCACUAUAAAUUUCAGCAGGAUAUUUUGAUAUGUGCCGAGAAAAAUCUUAGAAUAGUUGAUUCUAAGUGGUAUACUCAUUAUGGUGUAGUGUGAUAAUUCUUUAUAUUGAGAAUUAUAACUAUUGGUGAAGACAAUGUUUUGUAGUAGUGACUAUGAAAUUCUUUUUUUUAAUCAUGGUAGAGAUUGUUGAAAAUUGAUUUUAAAAAAAGAAGUCAAAAGGAUGGGUGGUUGAGCCAUCAUCUUUGAAUUCAAAGAUGGUGGGUGGCCAAGUUAGCCACCAUCAUUGAACAAGAAAAAAUGGGUGGGUGCCGCCCAUGCAAAGAAGAAAAGGGAGAAAAUGAAGCCAAAGUUUGGCUAUAAAUAGAGGGGUUCUCCCUCUCAUUUUUGUAUCCCAUAGAAGAAAUCCCAAAAUUUGAGAAGCAAGAAUAUGUAAGAGAAGCAUUGAGAGCUUCCAACAUGGGAGAGAAAUAUUCUUAAGCAUGUAUUUAUAUUGAAGGAGCAUUUGGCUCCUCAAUAUGGGUAUUACGGGUUUGCUUUGUUAAGGAAUAUUUCUCGCAAUUAUGUAUUUGGGGCUUGGGUGAGAGAAAAUUAUUUAUGAGAGUGUGGUUGUAAUAAUUUUCCAAAUAGUGAAUAUUUUUUCUUUGGUUGUCUCUUGACAACGACUGUGGUUUUUCUCCGGAUUUAGAGUUUUCCAUGUAAAUCUUGUGUUGUGUGAUUGUUGUAUUCUCCAUUUAAAUUUUUUGUUAAUUUGUUGCUUGACAAAUUGCUUGAAGUGAUCUUGGGGUGAAACUUAAUUUCCUAACAUUAUUUAGGUGCUGAGAUGUCUGUUCUUGAUAAAGUAGAUUUAUUUACACCCAAGCCAACGUAACAAAAGCCUAAUAUACACAAUAAUUAUUUUUGUUAGACUGAUUUCUAGCUAAUGAGAUCUUUGAAAGCAUUCAAAGAAGCCACAGAACUCAUAGGAAAGCCCUGAUAAAAUAUACGGCGAAGCAUGUGAGCUCGUUUUUUAAUCUCUUGAUCACUCAUAAGCUUUUCUAUACCAAUGACUAUAUCAUUCUUUUGAAUCGAUUUUGAUUGAUCAUUAGAAAUCAUGUACCCCACCUUUAGAUGAUUGAUCACCAAUUUGGCAUUGUAAUGUUGAUCAUCUCUAAUUGGCCAUGCUAAAAUUGGAACCCCACACCAAUGGCUUCUACCAUUGAAUUCCAUCCACAAUGAGAUAAAAAUUCACCCAUUGAUUGAUGAUUCAAUAUCAAUAAUUGUGGCGCCCAUCCAUCUAUUAUCAAUCCCUUUUUACUGGCUUUACUACCCAAACCACUAUGAAAAUAAUUGCCUUCUGCUGGUCUGUCUAAACCAGUUAAAUGACACGGAGGAUCCAAUCUACCAGCACCAGUUUGAAUUACCCAAAUAAAUGGUUCAUUUGAUACUUCUAAAGCAUUGGCUAGUACUAAAUACUCAUCUAACUUGGACCCACUUCGAUACCAAAUGACACAUAUAACACAGAUCCUCAUGAUUUCAAAUCCAACCAUUGAAUGAUCUCAUCUUCGUUCAUGUUAGAACUCCACCGAUUGGUUCUCAUCUCACGAUCACGAAGCACUGAACCCGCCCCAUUUGUAAAAUUGUUCAAGUAAUAAUGGGCCUACUCCCCACAUUGGCUUUCCCAUUCGAUUGACUAAAUAAUGGGAGAUUGCCAAUUUUCCCCUACUAUAAUCAAUAUAUAUCAUUUAUUCAUUUACUAUUUUUAUAAUGGUCAAAAAUCCCCUUGACAGUAUAAGUUUAUAAUAUUACUUUUAUUUUUAAUUGCUCUUUUAUUUAUAUUUAUUAUAAAUAAAAUAAAUCACAUGAAUAAAAAAUAAAUAAAUAAUUAAGUAUUAAAAACAAGAAAUAUAUGUUUUAAUAUGAGCAAAAAAUUUAAUAAUAAAUUUUUCUUGUAAUUAUUUAUUUUGUGAAUAUUUUCUUAUAAUAAACAUUUAUAAUAUUUUAAAAUUAAAUGUAAAAAGAAUAGGCAAAAUAUUUUAUUAUUUAUCUUAUAAUAAAUUUUUAUUUGUCAUUCAAGUUUUCUUAUAAUAGUUUUUUAUCAUUUUAUAAUAAUUUUCUUAUAUAUUUAUUAUAAGAAAAUUUUCAAAAAAUAAAUAAGUACAAGAAAAAAUUACAUUAUUGAUUUUUUUGCUCAUAUCAAAACAUAUAUUUGUUAUUUUUAAUGCUUAAUUUUUUAUUUAAUUUAUAUUCAUGUGAUUUAUUUAAUUUAUAAUAAAUAUAAAUAAAAGAGUAGUUGAAAAUAAGGAUAAUAUUAUAAACUUAUGUUAUCAGGAAGAGUUUUUGGUCAUUAUAAAAACAGGAAGGAGGUAAAUGGUAUAUAUUGAUUACAAUAGGGGGAAAAUUGGUAAUCUCCCCUAAAUGAUUAAUAAAUGGUCCCUCAAGAUCAUCACAGGUGUUGAACAUCAAAGCCAUCCAUUCCUCCACUUCCUUCAUCCAGUGUGGUUGAUCACGGGGUUCGAUGGACUCAUUUUCUCUGAACCGGGCGCACCUCGCAAAGGUAGUGGACCACGAGGAAGGGGCCCGUGAGGCCCGUAUUUAAGCUACGAUUCGAAUAAAGCCAUAUCCUUGGGUAACCCAGGAAGUAAAUGGGCCUCUCCCGGUUUGACAUCUUGGAUGCGAGCCUGCUACAUGGCACACUCCACGCUGCUGAGCAAGCACCAGAAGUGAAGAACCCAACAAUGGGACCUUCAAAAUUCUUGAAAACAUCAGCCGUCCAGCCCAUCAUAACGUCGAUGACUGCACAAAUGGGUCGGGUUUCGGGUUCCCGGGUUGAAAGGGGUUUUGAAGGCCUUGAAGCAUUUGACUGUGCAUGACAACAUGGUGGUGGUGGUGGCAGUGGUGGAGAUGAGGAGAGUAUUUCAGUAAUUUCGAAUAGAGGGUAUUGGUGAAGAGGGGAAGGGAUGAUGCCGGUGCCGGAAAUGUGAGAGGGAACGAAUAUUUUAACAGGGACGGAGCCAGCGUGGGACGAGGUGGGGCACAGGCCCCAGCUGGCUUUUAAUUUUUUUUUAUAAUUAUACUAAAAUAUGUAUUUUAUUUGUUAUUUAUGAAAAAUGUCUCAGCUGAAUUGUAAAAUUUAAAAUUGACUCCAGUAAUUUUAAAAUAUUUCAUACUGUCCCUAAUUUAUAUUUUUAAUUAUAAAUUAUUUAAUUAGUUAUUAACAUUUCAUGAAACUUUAUUAAAGACACGAGAACAAAUAUUAAAAUAAAAAAUAAUCAUAACAAAAUGUUAGUAUAAUGGUUAAUGGACUAGUUUUUAAUCUUUUUAUUUUUUAUUCAAGUAAAAUUAAUUAUUUAGUCUUUCAACACUGACCAUAAGUUGUAAGUCUUCCUAAUUCUAAUUUAUAAUUUUCUAAUUAAUCUUUUAUCUAGUUUUAAAAUUUAUAAUUUUAUCAUGCAUUUCAUAUUUGUUCUGUGUGUUGCAAUAUUUGAAUAUUUUUGUUAUUAUUAAAAGAUUUUAAGAGCAAAUUAAGUAAUAACCUAGUCUUGUAUAUUGAAAAAUAUAUUUUUGCUUAUAUUGAUAAUUCAUUAUUUUCAACUCAUAAAAUCCCAUUGAGGAGAUUUCGCGGAGAACCAUUGUAAUAAGUAAAUUUAUUAUCAAUGAAUAUUAUAGUUGUAAUGCUAUUUAUUGAUAUCUAAAUUUUUAAAAAUGUAUUAUACUUUAAAUAUGCUUUCAAUUAGAUGCAUACAGACGCACUCUAUAAGAAGUACAAUUGUACAUGUAGCAAGCUCCCAUUUAGAGUUUAUAGGGCCCACAAUACAGUUUCUCAAAUGACGACUUAUCACACGAGCAAUCGUACAUUCGAGUCAUCUUUAAUUUUAAAUGUGCCCCAGCUCUAUCAAAAUCCUGGCUACGUCCCUGGGAACGAUGAGGGUAGAUUUGUAAUUACGUGAAGCGAUUUACUUGCAUAAUUCAAUGCAUGGAAAUAGAUGUCCCUGACCGAAGAAUGAGACAAUCCAAAUCUCAGCCUCAGCAGCAUUAACGACAGAGCUUGACAUAUUUUAUUAAUCAUUUGAUACUUAAUUAUUACUGACUGCUUUUGCCACCUUUCGUAAAACAUUCUUGGUUAUAUAUAAAAGAGAUGAUUUGAUGGCGAAGUGUGUGUUUUACUUUUACAGUUUUACUAGUCGGUGAGCUAUGAUUUUGAUAAUUUGAUUGUUAGUUUCAGUUGGUUAGUUAUGAGAAAGCAUCUUUCAAAAAAUUCAUUACAGUUUCAACUAAAAUUAACAAUACUAUUCAAAUUAAUUACUCGAUAAAUAAAUAGUCACAGAUAAAUCUAUCCCUAAUCACACAUUUAUAAAAUAAGGAUUGAAAUGAGUUUCUGUGGCUUCGAACCCACGCCCUCAAGCCCAGCGGCUGGAUCUUGACUACUUUGACAUAAUUAUUAUUAGUUUUUGUCCAUCUUUCACCAGGCAUCUUUUGUUAUAUAAUGAAGAAGAUAAGUUGACGGAGAAGAGUUCUACUUUUACUAGUAGAUGAGCAUUGAAGGUUAGUUUUAGUUAGUUAAAUAUCUACCAUCCAAACCAAAGUUCCUUAGACUAUUAUUCAAGUGAGAUGUUUGAGUAACAUAUGCUUGAGUUAGUCGGUGCCUAACAAUUCAUGUGAUACAUGAAACCAACCAAAUGAAGUUGGUAGGAUUAGAUUAAUUUAAAUGAAAAUAAAAAUUAGUUUAUGCUAUUUAUUUAUCUUAUAAUGUUGAAACUUGAAAGUUAACUCUUCAACCUGUCAAUUGGUUCAUGACAUGAUCAAAUAUUCAAGUAAAUAAAUUUAUCGGUUAAAAUUAAUUUUUCAUGUGGUAAAAGCAAUACUAAAUAUGGAGUGGAGAGAAUCAUUUGUAGGUUAUACCCCCACCUUUUAUUUCAUUUCAUUUAAAAAAAAAAACAACAACAACAACAAAGGCUUGGUCAACAUCCAAGUAAAAUUAACAAUUCCAUGAUAAAAUUGCCUGAGAAUAAAAAUUAAAAAAAAAAAAAAACAGCAACUCGAAAACGAGAUACAAAUACCGCACAGAAGUUUUUCGUCACGAGAUAUUUUUGGGUUGAGACAACGCUUGUAUAACAGAGCAUACAGCUUGGAUGACGGUGAGAAUAAGAAGGAAAACGGCACCGCAGACCGAAAUUCCAGCCCAUGGAGUAUUGAAGUAAUUUUGUUUCAAGUUUGCCCUCCAUUUGUAGCACGUUCUUUUGCAGUGAUCAUUCAAUCCUUUGCAUAGCCCAGAAAAAUAGAAGCUAUCAGACAGCAGAGUAGUACCUCUAGAAAGGUUAUUUAUAAGCGUUGACGCUGCCUCUUUAUCCGGCAACCAGUUCUCAAUGAUUCCGUUCUGAACAAGCAACUCGACGUCCUUCGCUGUGUUCACGAGAUUAUGAAUAAGGAACACGUAAUCAUUUAUGUAAUUCUCUGAGUAAUGCCGUUGUUCAAAGGCAAUGAGAUUACGAAAUAAGGAUUCCGUUUCCAGCUGUAGCUUCAGUUUCGGAAUAUGCAAUGUCCUGUUUUUGAAUUCUAUGGCGAACAAAUCAUUGCUCUUGCUCAAACUGAAGUGGACUCCAGCUUGGUGGAGAUCAGUCACACUUGGUGCGGUUUUACCUUUGUGGUAUUGCUGACCUUCUUGUUUUUCCUGAUUCCUUGAUGAUGGUAGAUGACAAAUCCUUAGAAAAUCAAGGAAAUGCUCUACCCUAGCCUCAGUGUAAGGAGGGAAUUUUUGCCGAUUACCUUGUACUGCCUCUAAACCCUUGAAAUACUCGUAUGUGACUGUGAUGAUGGUUGGAUUUUCAUGUUGGUCGGGGAUUUCAAUUGCCGCUAGAGCAAAAAGAUCCUCAAGAGUGAAGAAAGGAAGCUGAUUCUCAAGCAACCACAUAUCAUACCAUAUAUCCUCUAUUAAAUAGGGUUUUAUGAAAUAUAUGAUCAUCCUUUUUUUGAAGUUGACGGAAAUGAUACCUCAAUAAGAGUUCAAUGAUGAAGGCAGCAUCCAGCAGAAUCAUUUCAACAAAUUUAUCACUACUUAGUUCGACUUUUCUGCAUAAGAACCUCGUAAUUCUGCUUCUCUGAACUUUAUAAUUUGAACAAACUCGUCAAAGCUUAUUUUGGUCCGUUGAAGAAAGUAAUGCAGGUACCGCUGUUUAUGUUCUUCCAUUAACUGUAAGUUUGCUUUGCCAUGGUGAAGAGGGCCAAUUGAGACUACCUGAGGUGUGUAUACCUUUUCAUUUAUCUGACGUAAUCGCUCUGGAACUCUGUAGAUGCAGCAGUUUGAGGGCAAUGGUGAUAAUUUUUUCAACUUAACUUGCAAGCAUUCUUCCAUGUUAUAAACUGAAAACAUGGCGCGAAAUUUAAUCAAUUCAACGCUUAAUAAGGCAUAGUAAUUAAAAAAGAAUUAAAAAAAAAAAAUACAAGAGCAUUCUUACAAGUACAGAAGCACCUCAAUCCCUACUAUUUGCAGAGCUGUAGCCAGGAUUCAAUGAUAGACCGGACUGAACUAAAAGGAACAACUUUCUUAGGAAUAUGUUAUCGGCAUUUUCUCUGGCCUCAGGCCAUCAACAAAGCAGUUUCAGUGCUUCUUAUAUAAUUCCAUGGAUUAUUCCUUGCCUUUACAGAUGAUAUAAGUCACAAUUCAUAUAUUAAUUUCUCCAGAUUCCGUACAAGUGGACCAUAACUAUGGAAAAAUUCAAAGAAUGCAACAGCCAUUUGAUUGGUCCAUGUCAGAAGUUAAUCUGGGGAAAGAAGCUUGAUCUAGCUGUAAAAUUCUCUCCUUCAAUCAGUCAGUUUGGGGCAGCAACAAGAUCAAAGCCACCACGCAAACAUUUACUAAAGUUUAUAUAAUAUUCUUGAACCUCAUCUUAAGUAAAGCAACAAAAGCCUUCACUGUUUCUUAACAACUUUAUUGCUCUAACACAUAGCAUAACAUUUUUAAAUUUGCAUAAAGCACAAUAGUACUUCAGUUUGUAACAACAGCACGGAUAAUAAAUAGCAUUUUAUAGCUUUAACAAAAGCAUACAAAAUUCUUAAACCUUGUUUCAAGCAAUCCAUUAAUGCCACAAGGAUAUCUUUUUGCUUCCUACAGUUUUUAUUGAAAUUCAUAUAUUCUUCUUUAUCAAAUUAAGUAAUUUUCCUUUUUCAAAAAAUCAAGAAGGUUUCGACUGCAUGGAAAUACAGCACACAAUUACUACUAUUCCCGGAGUAAGAAAUUCAUAAAUGCAAUAUAAACAUACAUUUUCAUAAGACAUCAGAAUCAAAGAAUCAUCAAUGCAUCAAAUCUGUACACCCAAAAAAGUUGAAAGCAUCAAGAGAAAAUUAUACCGCAUGGACCCUUUACAACCCUUAUAACGAGUUCAGACAGCCUAAUCCAAUUUGAUAGAUUUGAGGACAGCUACAAUGUGCAAUACAAAAUUUCCCAAUACUAUUUAGAACAAAGUCUAGAAAACAAAACUUAUAUAUUGUACAAAAUCAUGAAAACCAGAAAUGACGAAAAACCUGCAAAUGUAAUUUUUGGGUUUCUUCAACAUAUCUUCCAUCCAAAUCAAACAAGAAUCGAUAAAUCAACAACAUUCAUCUUUAAACGACAUAUUACCACAAUAAAAUUGUCAACCAAGCCUCAUAUAAACCUUUUUUGUGUUUUUUGGUAAAUAUGUUUGUUUUUCUCUAAGAAUACUAGGGAAAAAAGAAACCCACUUUCUUAAUCAAGAAUCAAAUAAUAUAUAUGAAUCUAAGCUGAAGUAAGUCUUGGGUUUGAUGAAAUAGCUUGCAUUGCGAUUUAGAUUGGAAAGGAAGUUGAUUUUUACUGGUUGAGAGAGAGAGAUUUGAGACUUAAGAGAGUGUUGCUAAUCUUCAAUCGUGUAAACAAGGGUAACUGGGUCAUAGUUCAAAAUAAGGGUCCAAAAUUUACUAAAGCUAUUAAGGAGCCCAAAACUCAUAAUGGCUUCCCCAAAAUAAAUAAAAUUUUCUAGCAUUAAGUUUUUGUUUCUUCUUGAGAUUUCCUUGUCGUACUUACCCAUAUUUCGAUAUUGCCUCCAAGUAAACUUAUAUAUAUUGAUUAACAAUAUAAACAAGCACUAUGAAGUUUUAGGCCUGAAAGAACAUUAGGAUUGAAAUGAAAACCAUCUAUUUAAGUAACAAAUUCUUCUGAUAAUCUGAUGCUUAAUUUAGAGAAGAGAUGACAUAUCAAUCACGUUAUGAUGUGGAAGUUAUGAUUAUAUUCAUCUUAGAAUAAGAUCUUUCAGGCACUGGCAGAUUAGUAUAAAAAAUACUCAGCAUAAGACCUACAAACUAGAAAUCACGCACCAAUUAUUGAACUCAGCACAUAAGUUGAUCUUUUAUAAGCUAUAAAACAAAUCUGCUAUAACAUAAGAAAGUGGGAUUUAUCACCAGACAAGUAUUUUGGUGAAACUCAAGCUGACGGAAGGAUAUCCAAAGCAACCUCCUUAAGGGAAGGCAUCACUUCCUGCUGAUGCAAACAUAUAUAUUUAUUACUCACUUUCUUGAGGACCUUCUAGGAACCUGGGUAGCACCUAACAGAAAGUGGAAAAGAAUAAAAUGUAAAAUAUAAGUUAAACAGCAGGAAAACAGUGAGUGAUACUAGGCAAGCAUUAAUAUGUUGCCGCAAGAAAAGUGUCAGUAACUAGCUAGCAAACCUGAAAAGGGUUCCUCCAUUACGACCCUUAAAAUUGUGAAUGUAAUAUAUGGUCUCCAUCACAGGAAAAAGUGUUUUGGAUAGUGCAGCCAGCUUAGGGUAGAAGAAUGACGGAUAAUCUUAGCUCAUUUAAGGAAAUCCUCUCUGAUCCUUUCAUUGCACAUUCCAAAACAACUCUACUACAACCAAGUUACCAAUUCUUUUUGUUAAGUCAUUGUUAUUUGUUAAAAAAAAAAAAAAGUCUUCCUUGUAACAUUUUAUUGAAAGAUAUAACAUGAUCAUCCCUAUUAAUUCCCUUUUAGAUUUCUGUGAGUGAAUUUCAAAUUAUUGUAUUAAAAAAUAGAAGCAAAAGACCCACUUUACUUUCAAUUUCUGCAACAAGAUACCAAUUGAAGGACCAAAAAGUUGUAAACAAGCAAUUCAAUGAGUGGACAUCUAGAAACUGCUAUAUAGCAUCAAAAUCAUACUAAAUUUACAGAAAGCACGAUAAGAAUGAAAGAAUGGUGAAGGAUACACCCAGACCUUAUCCGGUCAAGUUCUCCAUUGAAUAUAAUCAGUUUCCGGGCAGUAUUGAAGACAGCUUCUUUGUAAAGCUCUUCAACGACAAGCAUUUCUACAAGACAAAAGAAAAGCAAAAUUAAUUACCUUAAGGAAUGAAUAUCAAUGAGAAGACAAGGUGUAAGACUACCAUUGACAUUAAAAUAUGGAUAGGCGACUAGAAACAAUUCAUCUUCCGGCUUCACACGGUCUGCCAUUUUAACCUUCUCAGUGAAUCCAAAAUCCUCAAAGAAUGAAGGUUUUGUUAGAUAGUCCAACUUAAAUGAUGAUCCUUCAAAGACCGAUUUUCUUGCAAAUUUGACUUCAUUUGCCUCUGGGAAAAACUAAAAACCAAAUGACAGACCAAGAUCACGAAACGAAUCAUGAACGUAGAUAUCAGAUAAUCAGAAAUGGGCAUUAAACAGACUACUAACAAGUAGGAAAUGCAUACAGAAAACAUUAUUCAUACACCUUAUGCACAUGAAAUAUAUAUGCAGAGGGAUCCUCUUGUGAAUUUAGUUUAUAUCCUAAUAUGAGACGAUGAACAAUUGGAUGCCAUCUAAGGGCUAACAUUUGUUUGAUUAUUAUAUGAAAAAAAAAAAAAACAGAGUUGAUUGAUGGCCUUUGAUGGAUUGCCUACACUCCUAAAGUGCAGAGAGCCUGAUUGAUUGCUUUACCUGCCCCCCACACACACUUGAUUUUAUUAUCUCUCUUUUCAAAUAUAUAAUCAUUGCCUGUCUUUCAUCCUGAUCCAGCUCUCCUUCCAGGCACCAGCUGUGUUUUCUUCAAUUCAGUGAAACAUUCACUUUCAGGUAAGAAUAAACUUGUCCUUCCUCAAAAACCAACUUCUCACCAUGAAGCUUUCUUUUUUAAAACAAUUACUAGUCUAGCAUAAUUGAAGACAACUCAGAAUUGAAAAAGCCAUACUUUAAUGUCUGCUGUUGGGACCUCAAGACCAGGAACAAAAAGCUUCUUUCUAACCGUUGGAUUAACAAGUAGAAAUAGCUUUUUUCUGAAGGACCCAACAUUGCAUUGAAAAAUUCAACAAAAUGACUGGCGUCAUAUUUAGUCCUGCUAGAAUUUUGUGCACUUAACACAAUGGCUAAUAAUUGGCCCAGCGGACACUUUGUCGAACUACUGGCAACCUUGACUGUGGAAAUGCAUAUUUCAAAUGUUGGCAGGCUCUAGCUUCUUGAUGUACUGUUGAUAGAAAUGCCUAUUUCAAAAGUUGGCAGGCUCAAACUGCCGAGACUUUGGUUUCUUACAUUUCAAACCCACAAAUAAAACUUUGGCAGAACCCCAGAAAGAGCUACACCUCCCAAAUUUGAUGACAUAUGAGGAGACCAUGCCUAGUGCUUGGUUCGGCAAAUGAGUAAGUUUGAAAGAAAUUGAGGGAAACCUUUCCCACAGAGAGUCAUAUUGAAGGUUACAAUUUGAAGACUUUGUCCCCUGUCGCCCGUAACCUUCUUUGAUCUCUUUUCUUAGUCAUAAAUAAUCAAACAUGUGUUAGUCGUUGGAUGCAAUCCACUCACUGACAUCUCAUGUCCACAAUCAAUCAACCAUAUUUUAAUAGAAAUGAAAACAUUUUAAUUAAAAAAAAUGAGAUAGGAACAAAAUCAAACUUGGCAGACAUGGUCUAUGAGAUUUUAAAGAUGCUUGGUGAAAGUUGUAUUCAAGAGUUCAACAGUCAGUUCUAUCACCUAUGGCAAAGUAACCACCGCAACUAAAGCAAUUACAAAACAUCAAGAAGCUUGAACUUGGCAAGAGGUCUCAUUAACAGUAUACCUCAGAAAUUAAGACAGACUUAAAGUGCAAGCUUUUGGAUUUAUUUAAACACUGAAAAUAAUAUGGGUAGAAGCUCCUAUGGUCACAGCAAACAAUUACAAAGCACAAAACCCAAAAAACAGAUAUGCAAAAAGCUGCAAAAGAACAUUAUUAGCAAUUGACAUCUGCUUUUGCUCAGACAAAGGUUCUCAUAACAAAGGACUUAGUGAUUAUCUGUCAUAUGUUUAUGUUAAGGGGAAAAAGGAAGUUUGUUUUAGUCAAUCUCACGUCUAAUGGCAUUUAUAAGGAGCCCAAAAAUAAAAGAAAAAAUAAAGAGUUAGUAGGUGUUUCUUGCAGCACAAAGAAAAUUUAUCAUUCAUGAAAAACUUAGUAUGGAAAAAGCUAACUCAUUUAUCUGCCAAUGGAGAAAAACUUGUUGUCCACCCACUAAGGACCCACCAUUGGCAGGUCUGAUGGAUCCCAUGGAUGGGAACCGCAAAUAUUUUAUUCUAAAUGACAUGUGUAUUGUACCCAUAUCAUUUAAUUUGUAGAUUCCACUGAUGGAACUCAUCAAACUUGCCAAAUGGCAGGUCCUCCGUGGGUAGGCGCAUCACUUCAGCAUCCUUCUCCACCGAUGACCAAAUUUGGACUCAUUUAAAAAGAAUACAAAGCAAAACUAACUGACAUAAAUUGCAUAGAGAUCUAGGAGCCAAAUCAAUGUUGUUAACUCAUCCAAUUAAUACAUUCUCUUAGAGGCAGGGACGGAGCCAGCGUGGGACGAGGUGGGGCACAGGCCCCAGCUGGCUUUUAAUUUUUUUUUAUAAUUAUACUAAAAUAUGUAUUUUAUUUGUUAUUUAUGAAAAAUGUCUCAGCUGAAUUGUAAAAUUUAAAAUUGACUCCAGUAAUUUUAAAAUAUUUCAUACUGUCCCUAAUUUAUAUUUUUAAUUAUAAAUUAUUUAAUUAGUUAUUAACAUUUCAUGAAACUUUAUUAAAGACACAAGAACAAAUAUUAAAAUAAAAAAUAAUCAUAACAAAAUGUUAGUAUAAUGGUUAAUGGACUAGUUUUUAAUCUUUUUAUUUUUUAUUCAAGUAAAAUUAAUUAUUUAGUCUUUCAACACUGACCAUAAGUUGUAAGUCUUCCUAAUUCUAAUUUAUAAUUUUCUAAUUAAUCUUUUAUCUAGUUUUAAAAUUUAUAAUUUUAUCAUGCAUUUCAUAUUUGUUCUGUGUGUUGCAAUAUAUGAAUAUUUUUGUUAUUAUUAAAAGAUUUUAAGAGCAAAUUAAGUAAUAACCUAGUCUUGUAUAUUGAAAAAUAUAUUUUUGCUUAUAUUGAUAAUUCAUUAUUUUCAACUCAUAAAAUCCCAUUGAGGAGAUUUCGCGGAGAACCAUUGUAAUAAGUAAAUUUAUUAUCAAUGAAUAUUAUAGUUGUAAUGCUAUUUAUUGAUAUCUAAAUUUUUAAAAAUGUAUUAUACUUUAAGUAUGCUUUCAAUUAGAUGCAUACAGACGCACUCUAUAAGAAGUACAAUUGUACAUGUAGCAAGCUCCCAUUUAGAGUUUAUAGGGCCCACAAUACAGUUUCUCAAAUGACGACUUAUCACACGAGCAAUCGUACAUUCGAGUCAUCUUUAAUUUUAAAUGUGCCCCGGCUCUAUCAAAAUCCUGGCUACGUCCCUGCUUAGAGGUCAUACCUUGGUAACUCAUUUGAAAAGAAAUUAAAAGAAAAACGACUGCACAAAUUGUACUGAGCUCAAGAAAACCUGUUCAAGGUGUUCACUUGUCCAACUAAUAAAAGUCAUCAAGGAUUGUAUCGGGGACUUGGGACCAAUCCUGCCUUAACGAGAGAAAGGGAAUUUAGGAGGAAGAAGAUAACCUCUUUUCCUAGAACCCUUGAGAAAAUUAUUGAAGAAAUAUGUAUCUCCUUUUCUUAUUUUUACAAUAGGGUUACACAAUACAUAUAUAUAUAUUCUAAACUACAUAAUGUGCUAGAGUAGGAAAGUAAACAACUAACUGCAGACCAAGAAACUAGGAAACAAACUCUAUCUAAAAAACUGAAAUUCUAUCCCUAUCUUUUUUCUUUUCUAUCCCUAUCUUUUUUCCUUAAAAACAGGAUAGAAAACAAGUGACUUUUCCACACUCCCCCUCAAGCUAGUUCGAAGAUAUCAAUCAUUCCCAGCUUGCUAGUUAGUGACUCAAAGCUUGAUUUAUGAAGUCCUUUAGUAAGAAUAUCAGCUAGCUGCUUUGUUGUUGGAACAAAGGUCAUGCAUAUCAAACCACUUUCUAUUUUCUCCUUGAUAAAAUGACGAUCCACUUUGUUGAGUGUUAGAAAAUGCAUAUUUAUAAAGGAGAAAACCAUCAUUUUACAUUUCAAGUCGUACUAACAACUCUUACUUUUAUGUAUUUAACCUUCUUGUGAUAUAAUUACGUGUGUUUUAUUUUAAUUAAGUAUUUUAUGUAUUUUAGGGGCAUUAUAGUCAUUUCACAAUAAAGGAGAGAUUAGACGGCAAAACGGACAUCACUUUUGAACUCAGGACGGUCGAAAACCUUAGGAGGAGCAUAAAAGGAAAAAUGGCACUAUUCAUAUGUACGGUACUAUUCGCGUGUACGGUAUUAACUACGUUACUGUUCACAACACUGUUCACAACACUGUUCACAUAGACGGAUCGAUGACGUGGCAUUGACCGAUGAUGUGGCAUUGACUGAUGAGGUGUCACGAUCCUGUUGGGCUAAAAUUCUUAUGUACUGUUGAUGGUGACGUGGCAGCAUAUCAGUGGAUGAAAAAUCUCGCGUACGGUACAUGCAUCACACAUGAUUAUUCUCAACCAAACCGUGUUACUGUUUAUCCGAGUCAAACCGUGUUACUGUUCAUCCACGUGGUCAAACCGUGGACUGUUGACUUAUGACGUGGCGCAAUCCUGAGCGUCCAAACUGUUUUUAAUCUGAUGGCCAUGAUUUACUCCAUGUAUCUAUAAAAAGGGGGCCUUCCCCCCCUAAUUUGAUAGCUCUGAAUCCAUUUUUGGGAUCCAUUUUCUGUAAUUCCUUCUCCAUCUUGUAUUUUCUUUGUAUUUUAAUAAAUUCCCAUUUUGCCCCUAGUUCAAUUAUGAGUGGCUAAUUUUCUUUCAAGCUUGGGUUGAAGGUGAAGUCUCAACAUGUGUCAUGGGCUUAAUUUGGUAAAUUUAUUUUCUCUUCCCCUCUAGUUUUUGUGGAUGUUUUGACUUCUCGUCGACAAAUAAUAAUAAUCUUGUCUAGAUACCGCCUUGGUUACACCGGCUCUCUAGUAUAAGGUUAUUAUUAUUUGGCACGAUAAGCCCUUAGCACCAUAUUGAUUAUAGCGUGGUUCAUGAGGUGUGGAUUCCCCCCUCAUGAUUUAAUUGGCAUUAAUAAAGAUUAUUUAGCCCAUGAUGCAUGUUGAUACGGAUCCAGAUACCCAAGUACGUCAUUUUAAUAGAAUUCUCUUCAAUUUAUUCUCGCCAUUUCAAUUCCAAUUUUAGAAUUUAUUCUCGCCAUUUUAAUUUAAGUUUUAGCAUAUCCCAAAUCAUUUCCACCACAAAUCCAAUCACCCAUUUACAAAAUUAAUUCUACACAAUUAAAAUCCACCUCCUCGUGGGAUCGACACUCGUCACCAUUAGUCUAUACUACAAUAGAUUCGUGCGCUUGCGAGUACAUUAAAAUUUGCACAACAAGUUUUUGGCGCCGUUGCCGGGGAGGUAAGUAAUUUUAAUUCAUAGAAUUAAUUUUUGUGAAUAAUUUCUUUUAUUUAUUUUCUUGUAUUUUUUUUUAUUAUUAAAAAAAAAAGUAAAUCUACAUUUAAAGGUUAGUAUUUCUUUUCUUUUUCUCUUCUUUAAAAUUCUGUAAUUUAAUUUUCAAUUUAUUUUUCUUUGUAAUUUUUUUUUGUUUAUUUUAUUAAUUUAUUUUUAGUUAAUUUAUUUCACGUAUUUAUUUUUGUGUAUUUUUAUAGUAAGGUUGUAAUAGCGCAAUAAGGUUAGUAUUGUAAUUUCUCUCUCUUCUUUAUUUUUAUUUGUUUUGUUCCAUCUUUAUUUUUAUUUUAUUUAUUUUGUAUGCAUGGUCGUAGGUCUUUAUUACCUAAUCUUGAACCUAUAGACCUUGAACUUGAGAAAACACUUCGCACACACAAGAACGUUAAAAAUAAAUUUGAAAUGGAUUUACAAGCACCACAGGAGAGGCCAUUUAAGGACUAUUUUAGUCCCUUAGCUAAUUUGAGCACAUCAUGCAUAAGAUACCCAAAUGUAGCUGCUAGGAGUUUUGAAUUAAAACCUAGUGUGCUAAAUUGUCUCCCCACAUUCUAUGGCCUAGAAAAUGAGGACCCAUAUAAUCAUCUGAAUGAUUUUCAUGCCAUUUGUCAAACUUUUAAAUAUGAAAAUUUUUCAGACGAUGAUGUUAAACUUAGAUUAUUCCCAUUUUCUUUAAAGGAUAGAGCUCGUUCAUGGUUAAAUACUUUGCCUGCUAAUAGCAUUGCAUCAUGGGAACAAAUGGUUACAAAAUUUCUAAAUAAAUAUUUCCCAGUGCAUAAAACCAAUUCUAUUCGCAGGGAAAUUUCAGAGUUUACACAAAGAGAGGACGAGCAGUUUUUCGAAACUUUGGGAGUGAUUCAAUGGGCUACUCUUGAAGUGUCCACAUCAUGGGUAUGAGAAAUGGCACCAAUGCCAAUACUUUUUGGAGGGAUUAUUGCCAAAUGUGCAAGAAUGGCUAAUGGCAACAAGUGGAGGAGAGCUAAUGUCAAAAAGCGCAACAGAGAUUUGGGAAUUCUUCCAGCGACAAGCGGAUAAUUCCCAACAACGGAGUCGAUCACUCAGGAAUACUAGAAGAAUUAAGGGAGUAAAUGAGGUUCAAAUUGGCGAGUCAACUUCGGGAAUCAAAGAAGUCAAGGAGAUAGUUGAAGGUCUUGCUCGACAAAUAGCAUCGUUGUCGACUGCUAAAUCAACAGAACCACAUGACCAUGACUCAUACUCCGAUCAAGCCAAUGCCAUAGGUGUAAUGAGAAAACCAUCGAAUUACAACCCAUACUCCAACACAUAUAACCCUGGAUAGAGAGACCACCCCAAUUUUUCAUGGUCUCAAGGAUUCCAACAGAAUGGACCAGCAGCUCCAGCUCCACAAAUUCCUCAAGUUCCUCAAGCCUCUCAGCCCCCAUUUAGACCAUUUAAUCAGAACCAGAACUACUCUCAACCCAGACCAUGGGAGGAUUCAUUCCAGAAUCUCAAGAAUCUUACUCACUCCACGAUUGAGCAGCAGAACCGCACCGUUGAUGGACUACGAAAUGAGUUGAGAGCAGGCUUCAACUCACAAGAUCAAUCAGUUUCAAACCUCGAGAAAAUGGUGGGACAACUUGCUUCUUCAGUUCAGACCUUGGCAAUGACUGUUGAGAAAGGAAAAUUUCCAAGUCAACCAGUGCCUAAUCCUAAAGGAGUGCAUGAAGCAAGUACCAGUUCACCACAGCAGCAUGGGGAGGUCAAAGCAGUCAUGACCUUGCGAAAAGGAAAGGAAGUCGACAACAAAGUGGAGAUGCCGGUGACAAAAGAAAAUCAAAUUGUACCUGUGAAUGUUGAGGACUCACCACCGGAGGAAAAAGAAGAAACCAACCCACGAGAAUAUGUUCCUAAAGCUCCAUUUCCUCAGAGGUUAGCGAAAGGAAAGAAGGGAAAUUCCACAGGUGAGAUUCUCGAAAUCUUCAAACAGGUAAGUGUUAACAUCCCUUUACUUGAUGCUAUAAAGCAAGUUCCAUCUUAUGCUAAGUUUCUUAAAGACCUUUGUACUAAAAAGAGAAAUAUGCAUGUUCAAAAGAAGGCAUUUUUAACAGAAAACGUUAGUUCUAUACUCCAACAUAAAAUUCCUUUAAAAUGCAAAGACCCAGGCUCCCCCACUAUCUCAUGUAGUAUAGGGAACCACACAAUUGAGAAUGCUUUGUUGGAUUUAGGAGCUAGUGUAAAUCUUUUGCCUUACUCUGUAUUCGUGAAACUUGGACUGGGAGAAUUACACCCAACUCCAGUGGUGUUACAGCUUGCAGAUCGGUCCACGAAAAUACCUCGUGGUAUUGUGGAGGACGUGCUUAUCCAGGUAGACAAGUUUUAUUUUCCUGUUGAUUUCAUUGUAAUUGACACUCAACCAAUACAGGAUUCAAGGAAGCACAUCCCCAUUAUUCUAGGCCAACCUUUCUUGGCAACUGCGGAUGCUCACAUUCAAUGCAGGACUGGAAAUAUGCAAUUGUCCCUCGGCAACAUGACUAUGGAGCUGAACAUCUUCAAUAUUGCCAAACAACCUCAUAAUGCAGAUGAUAGAAUUGUAGACGUGGAUUUAAUUGAAGCAUUAGUUGAUGAUACUUUUGUUUCAAACCUUAGUGAUGAUCCUUUACAAACAUGUUUAACUCACUUUGGUUUGGAUUUUGAUAUUGACAGAUCGGUCGAAGAGGUCAACGCCCUGCUUGACUCAGCACCAUACAUGGACACUAAUAAAUGGAAGUUAAGAGUUGAACAACUAGCACCAUCAGAGAAGAAACUCAUCCCAUCAUCAGAAUCACCACCGAAACUCGAGGUCAAACCAUUGCCCAACACAUUGGAAUAUGCAUUUUUGGGAGAAGAAAUUACUUUGCCGGUAAUCAUCUCAUCAUCCCUAAAUGACGAACAAAAAGGUAAGUUGUUGGAUGUUUUAAAAGAGCACAAAGGAGCAUUAUGAUGGACCAUAGCAGACAUAAAAGGUAUAAACCCAGUAGACUGCAUGCAUUACAUUCACCUUGAUGAAAAUGCUAAAUCUACUAGGAAAAUGCAACGUCGGUUAAAUCCUAAUAUGAAAGAAGUUGUUAGAACAGAAGUCCUUAAGCUAUUAGACGCAGGUAUCAUUUACCCAAUUUCUGAUAGUUCAUGGGUCAGUCCUGUACAAGUUGUCCCCAAAAAGUCAGGAGUCACAGUAGUUACGAAUGCUGAUAAUGAAUUGAUACCCACUAGAGUAACUACAGGAUGGCGUGUAUGCAUUGAUUAUAGAAAGUUGAAUUCUGUCACACGUAAAGACCAUUUUCCUUUACCAUUUAUUGAUCAAAUGCUUGAUAGAUUAGUAGGCCAUGAAUUUUAUUGCUUUCUAGAUGGCUACUCAGGAUAUAAUCAGAUUCCCAUAGCACCAAAAGAUCAGGAGAAAACUACUUUCACUUGCCCUUUUGGCACAUUUGCAUAUAGGAGAAUGCCAUUUGGAUUAUGUAAUGCACCUGCUACAUUUCAACGAUGCAUGUUGAGCAUUUUUUCUGAUAUGGUUGAACAAUUCCUUGAAGUCUUUAUGGAUGACUUUUCUGUUUUUGGUAACUCGUUUGAUCAAUGUUUACAUCAUCUAACGCUAGUUCUGCAGAGAUGUAUCGAGAAGAAUUUAGUCUUAAAUUGGGAGAAAUGCCAUUUUAUGGUAAAACAAGGUAUUGUUCUCGGUCACAUCAUUUCGAGCAAAGGUAUUGAGGUUGACAAAGCCAAGGUGGAUCUCAUUUCUAAUCUUCCUCCACCUAAAACAGUCAGAGAAGUACGAUCUUUCCUUGGACAUGCUGGUUUCUAUAGACGUUUCAUUAAAGAUUUUAGCAAAGUUUCUAGACCCUUAUGCAAUUUACUUGCUAAGGAUGUACCUUUUAUCUUUAAUGAUUCAUGUCUCAUGGCGUUUGAAAAAUUAAAGCAAUUGUUGACAUCAUCACCCAUCAUUCAGGCCCCAAACUGGAGCUUACCAUUCGAGCUCAUGUGUGAUGCAUCUGAUUAUGCAGUAGGAGCAGUAUUAGGACAAAGAGUUGAUCGAAUUCCCCAUGUUAUUUACUAUGCUAGUAUGACAUUCAAUGAUGCACAGUUGAAUUAUUCAACUACUGAAAAAGAAAUGCUAGCAGUAGUGUUUGCAUUAGAAAAAUUUCGAUCUUAUCUCAUUGGUUGUAAAAUAAUUAUAUUCACAGAUCAUGCUGCUCUUAAAUAUCUUCUCACAAAGAAAGAUGCAAAAGCUAGACUAAUUCGUUGGGUAUUACUUUUGCAGGAAUUUGACUUGGAAUUCAAAGAUAAGAAAGGCACAGAAAAUGUCGUGGCGGACCAUCUCUCUCGUCUCCAUUUUGACACAAUUACAGAGCCAUUAAUAUUAAAUGAGUCAUUUCCAGAUGAACAAUUAAUGAGUGUGGAAGUAUUACCUUGGUAUGCUGAUAUAGUUAAUUAUCUUGUUACAGGUAAACUUCCAGAGCAUUGGACCAAGCAAGACAAGGCUAAAUUCUUUGCGGAAAUAAAGAAUUUCUUUUGGGAUGACCCAUAUUUGUUCAAGUAUUGUGCAGACCAAAUUGUUAGACGAUGUGUCCCUGAAAAUGAAAUUCAGAAUAUUCUUUCAUUCUGCCAUGAACAAGCUUGUGGAGGCCAUUUCAGUGCUAAGAAAACAACGACUAAAGUUUUACAAUGUGGUUUCUAUUGGCCAACUAUAUUUCGAGACGCUUACACUUUCUGUUCUUCAUGUGAUAGGUGUCAACGAAUGGGGAGCAUUACACGAAGGAACAUGAUGCCACUAAAUCCAAUUUUAGUGGUUGAGAUUUUUGAUGUAUGGGGUAUCGACUUCAUGGGACCCUUUCCCUCUUCUUUUGGCCAUCAAUACAUAUUGGUUGGUGUUGACUACGUCUCAAAAUGGGUAGAAGCAAUUCCAUGUAGAACCAAUGAUCACAAAGUGGUGAUAGGAUUUUUGAAAAGCAACAUUGUCUCACGCUUUGGAUUCCCUCGAGCAAUAAUCAGUGAUGGUGGUGCCCACUUUUGUAACAAAGCAUUCAAAGCUCUUUUGACAAAGUAUUCAAUCACACACAAAGUGGCAACCCCUUAUCAUCCGCAAACCAGUGGCCAAGUUGAGAUCUCCAAUCGAGAAAUAAAGCAUAUAUUAGAAAAGACGGUGAGGCCAGACAGAAAAGAUUGGUCAUUAAGACUUGAUGAUGCAUUAUGGGCAUAUAGAACGGCUUUCAAGACCCCGAUUGGGAUGUCACCCUACAGGCUAGUGUAUGGAAAAGCUUGCCACCUACCUGUGGAACUCGAGCAUCGUGCAUAUUGGGCCAUCAAGAAAUUCAACUUUGACAUGCAGCAAGCCAGCUCAGAAAGAAGAUUACAACUGGCAGAACUUGAAGAAAUUCGCAAUGAUGCAUACGAAAAUGCCAAAAUUUACAAGCAACGAAUGAAAGUCUUUCAUGACAAGCACAUUAUGAGAAAAUCGUUCACUCCAGGUCAGAAAGUGCUUUUAUUCAAUUCUCGCUUGCACCUAUUCCCAGGUAAGUUACGCUCUCGAUGGUCUGGUCCAUUUAUUGUUCAUACUAUUUUUCCACAUGGGGCAAUUGAAAUUAAGGACCCAAAGAACGGUGUCACGUUUAAAGUUAAUGGUCAAAGAUUAAAGCCAUAUCUUGAGUACCAACCACAUGGAGAAGACACCGAAAUAAAUUUGAGUGACCCACCAGAUUUGAAUUGAUUUUUUUUCUUUUUGUUGAUUUGAUUUUUCUUUCUUUUUAUUAUUCUUUUGCUAAUUGAAAUUAUUUUUGCAUAAGUGUGUUUGUUUUACCAUUAAGUUUUCUUUUCUCUUAUCAUUGUUAAUCAUGAGUACCAUACUUAGACCGUUCCUCCUGAACAUUCUUAAACCACUUCAACGUGUCAAAACUCAUCUCAAAAAGCAGAUUCAAUUUUGUAAAACACAACGCAUUUGGGCUCUACAACCACCAGAGUUAGUAGCCUAUGUUGAGGGUUUAGAAUGCCAACUCAGAGACAUUGAGAGAAGUGUUUACGACAUCCAGUUAGAGCUUGAGGUAAAUUCAAUAAGAGGACGAUUUUAAUUUUCUUUGUGUGUUUUAAUUUGUUUUUCUGUUUGUGUGUUUUAGUUUGUUACCCCGGUGAAAUGGCGGAUAACGGUACUCCGUGACAAUCAAGUCGGUUACUUCAGUUUCCCAUAAUAACUGACAUUCUGAGGCGAAAGUAUGGACAGAAAAGAGAUUCUAGCAAAGCUUCACAAGCGAUUCCCUUCACUUCCUCAGAAUGCCCUCCUUACGAUCUAUAAAGCUCGGUCCGAACGCAUGCGAUUACUCAUGAAGAAUAACAUACCUGCUGACAUCCGUUGGUUAAUCGAGGCUAAAGUACGAUCGGCAGGUGAGUUUCCUCCAAAAUUUAUUGCAUACAUGCCUGGUUGUGGUAAAGGAAAUUAUGCAAGAAAACGACGAGCUCGAAGAAUUUCUGUUGCUUGUCAUAAGUGUGCUAGAAUGAGUUGCGAUAGAAACCCAUGUUCUUUAGGAAUGGUGUCUGAUAACAGGGAAGAUAAGAUUUAAUUCAUUAGGGAUGGCUUGAAUAAGGAGUCAUUGGAUGAUAUCCUUUUGUCUCUUGAAACGCAUCCUAGUGGAUAUGUGCAAGGAGCGAUUCUCCAGUUAUGGCCAUUAUUCCAGAAAGAGCAUGCACGAUAUAGUCUCGGGAAUCUGACUAUAAACGACCCUGUUUGCCAGUUUAUAAGAAAACUGGAUAGGAAGCCUAUCCUCGACCCAUAGAGGGCGUUCAAGCCGUUUCUGGACGUAAAACCAGAGGAAGAUGUGAGCCACAGUCGCAACUACGUGUAAAUAUCCUUUUACUUUACUGUUAUUUUAUUUCAUUUCACUGUUGUUUUAUUGUUUGCAUUAUUGUCUUUAAUAAUUUUGUUACUGUUUGCUUUUUCCUUUUUACUGUUUCCUUUUUGACUCACGAGCCACGUGCUUAACGCGUUAUUUGACACUGACAUGCCACCCCAUACACAGUUGUGACCCACUGUCACCAAGAUUCUUAAAUAUGACUUUUUGUUAAGCACUCACAAAUUGUUUCUGAGAAAUAUUCCAAUGGCAGCUACUCCUAAUAGACAAUUCAAGAACAUUUGUGUGCUUUCUGGAUUUACCUAUGGCAAACAUAAAGAGUUCGUGGAGGCAGCCAUAGAUCUUGGUCGAAGCAUAGCAGCGAGAAAAUUACACUUGGUGUAUGGAGGAGGUAACCGAGGGUUAUCAAAAAUGGUCUCAGAAGCAGCUUUUAUCAGAGGAAGUCAAGUGUUAGGCAUCAUCCCAAGAGUCCUAAAACCAUUGGGCAGUUCGUCUGACUCAUCAACUGGAGAAGAGUUAGUCGUCUCAGGUAUGCAAGAAAGAAUAACUGAAAUGCUUAAUCAUGCUGAUGCUUUUAUUUUCCUUCCAGGAGAUCUUGCAACACUAGAGGCACUUAUGACACUAGCAUCUUGAGCCCAUCUACACAUUCACCAGAAACCCAUCGGUUUGUUAAAUGUCAAUAACUUUUAUGAUGGCUUUAUCGCAUUUCUUAACCAUGCAAUAAAAAACUAUUUCAUUCCUUCUAAUGUGAAAAAACUCUUUAUUUGUGCUCACACUGCUAAUGAGCUACUUGAUAUGUUACAAGCUUAUAAACCGGAGCCAGACCCCUGGACCUUUGUGUUGGAGCGACCAAAUAAUGAUGGUAACAGUAGCCGCAGUAAGAAGUACAAAUUAGAUUUAACUCUCCGCCUGUAAAUAUUUUCUUCUGUGUUGCACCACCCAGGUGAUGUCUUCUAAACUCUACUUCUUUCAUUUCAAACAUUGAGGACAAUGUUUCGUUCUGGUUGGGGGGAGGGAAUAGUCGACAGUUGUGGAAUCUUGGUUAAAUUUUUACUGAUUUUUUGUUGUAGAAACUAACUGUUGCUAACUUUUUAUGUUGAAGAUGGCUGAAUAUGGAGUGUAGUGACUCUAGAAACGCAUUUUCAUCGUUUAAAAAAAAUUAAAAAAAAACUAAAAAAAAAUUUCAGACAGUUUCUUUUUUUUUUCUUUCUUUAUUCUGUUUUUAUGUUUAUUUUUCUUCUUUUUAAUUUCUCCUCUAUAAAUAUACAUUUUCCAACUUGUGAGUCGAAGAUGGCUGAAUAUGGAGUGUAGUGCCUCUAGAAACGCAUCUUCUUAAAAAAAAAAAAAAAAAAAACCCAUUUUCUUUUUCUAUCAUUUUACGUGUAACUUUUCUAAUUAGUUUUUAUGCAUCAUUUUCACAUUUCUGCAUGCAUAUUUUCCUUUCAUGUUUAGAAUAGGUUGGGGGGUAGAAUGUUGUUUAAAAAAAAAAAAAUUGUGUUAUUUGUUUUAACAUUGGAUGACAUGAUUAAUUUCAAAUUUUAGUAUUUGUAUUAUCUUUGGUCUUAAGUGAUGUUACGCUAUGUUUGCUACUUUACAUGUUGAUGUCGGAGACAAAUAUGAGUUGCUUGAAGGAAUGAACAUGUCAUAAAUAAGUGCCAAGUGAGUUGUUGAGCCUAUCAUUUUCUUGGAGAGUAACACUUUUGCCCAUUCUCUAUACAGCUUAGCAGUUUAUUAGUUUAUACACGAUCUCUAGAUUUCUUUUGAGUUAACCCUUUAAAAAAAAAUGUGUGUUGCUACAUUGGGAGACCCAUCUAACUAGUAGAUAUGGAUAAUUAUUUAGAGCCCUAAAAGACGAUGGAAAGGCCAUAUUUGAUCCGUUUGAGCCUUUCUAGCCAUCCCUUUUAUUAAAUAUCCAUAGUUACCCCUUUUGAGCCUUUUUUUAAAAAAAAAAGAGAACAAAAACAUUUUCUUUGUCAACUUAUCAUCUUGACCCACUCCGAUUUGGAGUAUUACCCAAUGUCUUUUAAGUUCCAUCACCUAUUUAUGUUUGAGAAAAUGUAAAUAAUGAUGUUGUUCAGUGAAGUUAUGCCAAAUAAAAGCAAAAAAAAAAAAAAAAAAACAAAAGUUGUUGUUUCAAAAGAAUAAAAAUAACAAUAAUAGGUGAAAUCCACCUUGCAACUUCAAAAAAAAAUAUAUAUAUUUCUGCAUUUUUCUCAAACAUACACUUUGUUUUCCUUAUUUCCUUUCUUUGUUAGCCAUAUCCCUAGCCUACGUUAUGUCCUAAUAAAAGUCCUUCUUGAUUUUAGGGAACUAUAGUUUGAAGUAGAAGCUAGUUAUAUGGGCUAAAAAGAUGUAGUGAUGCAUAAUAAAAAAAAAAAAGAUAAAUAAAGUGGGUUGACUAACAUUUUAUUUGACUUGAGAUCGUAUUAUUUCUAAGCUAAGGGCAUAUUUAUUUCAUCUUGGUGAGAGCAUGUGAUAUCACUUCUUCAUUAUUUUCUCUCAAUUACCAUUCAUUGGAGUGACUAUUUUUUUAGGUUUAAUUUCUUUGUGAGAGUGUCACUACUUCCAGUGAGAUUUUGGGUUUUGACAUGUCAUUCUUGAAAGUAGUUAUAACAAAGUCUACUGGCCGAUUCAUGUGGAUGGUUGAUGUGGGUGUGAUGUUGUUUUAGACUGGAGAUAAUACUUAUACUUUUAUUUGAUUGCUAUCAUUAAUCUGAUUGAAUAAACACGAGUGUUUCUAAAAAAAAAAAAAAAAAUUAUUUUGAAUUUGAAUUUUGUUUUCGCUUUAUUUGCUAGGGACUAACAUUAAGCUGGUUGGGGGGUGUGUUGAGUGUUAGAAAAUGCAUAUUUAUAAAGGAGAAAACCAUCAUUUUACAUUUCAAGUCUUACUAACAACUCUUACUUUUAUGUAUUUAACCUUCUUGUAAUAUAAUUACGUGUGUUUUAUUUUAAUUAAGUAUUUUAUGUAUUUUAGGGGCAUUAUAGUCAUUUCACAAUAAAGGAGAGAUCAGGCGGCAAAACGGACAUCACUUUUGAACUCAGGACGGUCGAAAACCUUAGGAGGAGCAUAAAAGGAAAAAUGGCACUAUUCAUAUGUACGGUACUAUUCACGUGUACGGUAUUAACUACGUUACUGUUCACAACACUGUUCACAUAGACGGAUCGAUGACGUGGCAUUGACCGAUGAUGUGGCAUUGACUGAUGAGGUGUCACGAUCCUGUUGAGCUAAAAUUCUUAUGUACUGUUGAUGGUGACGUGGCAGUAUAUCAGUGGAUGAAAAAUCUCGCGUACGGUACAUGCAUCACACAGGAUUAUUUUCAACCAAACCGCGUUACUGUUCAUCCGAGUCAAACCGUGUUACUGUUUAUCCGAGUCAAACCGUGUUACUGUUCAUCCGCGUGGUCAAACCGUGGACUGUUGACUUAUGACGUGGCGCAAUCCUGAGCGUCCAAACUGUUUUUAAUCCGAUGGCCAUGAUUUACUCCAUGUAUCUAUAAAAAGGGGGCCUUCCCCCCCUAAUUUGAUAGCUCUGAAUCCAUUUUUGGGAUCCAUUUUCUGUAAUUCCUUCUCCAUCUUGUAUUUUCUUUGUAUUUUAAUAAAUUCCCAUUUUGCCCCUAGUUCAAUUAUGAGUGGCUAAUUUUCUUUCAAGCUUGGGUUGAAGGUGAAGUCUCAACAUGUGUCAUGGGCUUAAUUUGGUAAAUUUAUUUUCUCUUCCCCUCUAGUUUUUGUGGAUGUUUUGACUUCUCGUCGACAAAUAAUAAUAAUCUUGUCUAGAUACCGCCUUGGUUACACCGGCUCUCUAGUAUAAGGUUAUUAUUAUUUGGCACGAUAAGCCCUUAGCACCAUAUUGAUUAGAGCGUGGUUCAUGAGGUGUGGAUUCCCCCCUCAUGAUUUAAUUGGCAUUAAUAAAGAUUAUUUAGCCCAUGAUGCAUGUUGAUACGGAUCCAGAUACCCAAGUACGUCAUUUUAAUAGAAUUCUCUUCAAUUUAUUCUCGCCAUUUCAAUUCCAAUUUUAGAAUUUAUUCUCGCCAUUUUAAUUUAAGUUUUAGCAUAUCCCAAAUCAUUUCCACCACAAAUCCAAUCACCCAUUUACAAAAUUAAUUCUACACAAUUAAAAUCCACCUCCUCGUGGGAUCGACACUCGUCACCAUUAGUCUAUACUACAAUAGAUUCGUGCGCUUGCGAGUACAUUAAAAUUUGCACAACACACUUCAACAUGUUUAGUUCUGUCAUGAUGAAUAGGGUUAUGAGCAAUGUUUAUUGCUGCCUUGUUGUCACAAUACAACUUCAUAGGAACAUCAAUGAUAAUCUUCAAUUCUUCAAGUAGCUUCUUUAACCACAAAAGUUCACAAAUACCAUAUGCUACUGCUCUAAAUUCAGCUUCAGCACUGCUUCUUGCAACCACUGAUUGCUUCUUACUCCUCCAAGUUACCAAGUUUCCUCCCACAAAUGUGCAAUACCCUGAAGUUGACCUUCUAUCAAUAAUAGAUCCAGCCCAAUCUGCAUCAGUAUAUACUUCAACUUGCAUAUUGUUAUUUUUCUUGAAUAGCAGGCCUUUUCCUGGAGUUUUUUUCAGGUACUUGAGAACCUUGUAAACAGCUUCUAAGUGCUCUUUACAUGGAGAGUGCAUAAAUUGACUAAUAACACUUACUGCAAAGGCUAUGUCUGGCCUAGUAUGAGACAAGUAUAUCAACUUACCAACCAACCUUUGGUAACUUUCUCUAUCCACUGAUUUUCCUUCAAUUGCAUAUCCCAAUUUGUGAUAAGGAUCAAUAGGAGUGUCUCCAGGUUUGCAUCCCAACAUGCCAGUUUCCUUGAGUAAGUCUAAAGUAUAUUUCCUUUGAGAAACAAAAAUGCCUUUACUGGAUCUUGCAAUUUCCAUGCCCAAAAAAUAUCUUAAGGGGCCAAGGUCCUUCAUCUCAAAUUCUCUAGCAAGAACCUUCUUGAGAUUUUCCAUUUCUAUUACAUUGCUUCCAGUCAAGAUGAUAUCGUCUACAUAUACAAUGAGGAUCACAACACUACCAUCAGUGAAGUGUUUAAAAAACAUUGUAUGAUCUGCUUGACUCUGUAAAUAUCCAAAGCUAUGAACAGAUUUGGUAAAUCUGUCAAACCAAGCUCGAGGAGAUUGUUUUAAGCCGUAAAGUGAUCUCUUCAGCUUGCACACUUUUUCAAUACCAUAUUCAUUCUCAAAACCUGGUGGCAGAUCCAUAUAUACCUCUUCUUCAAGCUCUCCAUUAAGAAACGCAUUCUUAACAUCUAAUUGUUGUAGUUGCCAUCCUAAGCUUGCUGCAAGAGACAACAAAACCCGAAUGGAAUUCAUUUUUGCCACGGGAGCAAAUGUUUCUUGGUAGUCAAUGCUAUAUGUUUGUGUAAAACCUUUCGCGACAAGCCUAGCUUUGUACCUCUCAAGUGACCCAUCUGCUCUGUAUUUAACUGUAAAAAUCCACUUGCAACCCACUGGUUUUUUUCCUUCUGGUAAUUUAACUAGUUCCCAAGUUUUGCUUUUUUCUAGAGCUCUCAUCUCUGCAUACCCAGCAUCUCUCCAUUCUGGAAUAGAAAGAGCAUCUUGUACAGAUUUUGGAAUUGCUAUGACAGACAGGUUAGCUGCAAAAGCUCUAAAAGAUGGAGAUAAUCUAUGAUAUGACACAUACUUAGAAAUUGGAUGAAGAGUACAAGACCUAGUUCCUUUUCGUAGUGCAAUUGGAACAUCUAGAUCAUUUGUAGUUUCUAAAACAGAUUCUGAAAUAGGAUUAGAAUGAAUGUUACCUGCAAGUUCCAAGUUGCCUGUGUUUGGAUCCGAGUCUUGGCAGUGAGGAGAGGAAUGAUGAUUUGACCUUUUCGAAUUCCGUCGUGUGUAGACUUGAAGCUAUGGUUCUGGAACUCUCUCUAAUGAUUUUUCAUUAUUCAUAAUUGAUGGCAUUGUAGAAGGAACAUGAGGUACACAAGACAUAAUAGGCAUUGGAAGAGAUAAUUCCCAAAAAUGAUCUUCCGGAGUAUGAUUCUCCCCCUGAAGAGAAGUUUUGGGAAAGAAAGAUCUAUUUUCAAAAAAUGUGACAUCCAUUGUGAUGAAGAAUUUUUUAGACAAUGGAUCAUAACAUUUGUAGCCUUUUUGAGUAGGAGAAUAGCUAAGAAAUACACAUUUUAAAGCUCUAGGAUCAAGUUUGCUCAUGUUCUAUGUAUGAAUGUGAACAAAAGCAAUGCACCCAAAAAUCUUGGGUGGUAAAGAUGUGAAAAACUUAGCGGUAGGAUAGAAUUUUGUGAAAACAUUUAAUGGAGACUGAAAAUUAAAGAUUCGGGUAGGCAUGCGAUUUAUCAAGUAUGAUGCUGUGAGAAUGGCUUCACCCCAAAACUGUUUUGGCACCCUAUUUGUGAACAUAAGAGAGCGUGCAACUUCUAACAAGUGUUGAUUUUUCCGUUCAGCAAUACCAUUUUGCUGAGGAGUAUCUACACAAGAGGAUUGGUGCACAAUGCCAUUUUCCAUGAAAUAAUGACCAAGGGCAGUAGAAAAAUAUGCUCUCCCAUUGUCAGUUCUAAAGACUUGGAUUUUUGCUUGAAAUUGUGUUUGAAUCAUGGUAUGAAAGGUUUUAAAAACUGUUGCAGUUUCUGAUUUUUCUUUAAGCAAGUACACCCAACAAACACGAGUGUGGUCAUCAAUAAAAGUUAUGAACCAUUUAGCCCCCGAAAUGUUUGUAACAUGAGAGGGUCCCCAAAUAUCACUGUGUAUGAGAGAAAAAUGUUCAGAUUUUUUAUACGGCUGUGAAGGAAAAGAUACACGAUGAUGUUUGGACAAUACACAAAUUUCACACUGAAACAAAGAAGGAUUUUUAUUCUUGAACAACAAAGAAAACAAGUGUUGUAAAUAAGAAAAACUAGGAUGACCUAAUCGGAGAUGCCACAACAUUAUUUUAUCUUUAAUAGAGAAAGUUAGUUCAUUAUUUGUUGCCUGAGCUUCUCCACACAAACUAACAUCCUCCUCGAAGUAGUACAAACCAUCUACCUCUCUAGCACUGCCAAUUUUCUUCCCUGAACACAGGUCCUGAAAUUCACAAUAGGAAGGAGAGAAUUUAGCAAUGCAAUGAAGAUCCUUGGUAAUUUUGCUAACAGAUAAAAGAUUACAAGACAAAUUAGGAACAUGAAGAACAGAUGUUAACACCAAAUUUGUAGAGAUAGGAAUAGAUCCUUUUCCUGCUGCAGAAGAUAGUGAACCAUCAGCAAUUUUAAUUUUUUGACUACCAGGACAUGGAAUAUAUGAAUAAAAUAAUUUAGAAUGGCUAGUCAUAUGAUCGGUUGCUCCUGAAUCGAUGAUCCAUGGAUCUUUUUUCUCAUAAACAACUCCUAAAGCACUGAAAUCAUUACCUUUCUGGGCUAAAGAACUAGAAGAUGAAGGAUUUGGGAGAGAUUGUGACUGAUUAAGAAACUUGUACAGUUGCUCUAACUGUUCUUUAGUGAAGAGUUGAGAUUCGGAUUCUCCAGUGUUGAUUGUCGGCUGAUUCUCCCCAAAAACUUGAAAACCUCGACUAUGUUUACCAGAGAAUUUAUUGUUUUUCAAAUUUGGAGGUUUUCCAUGAAGCUUCCAACAUGCAUCUCUGGUAUGUCUUGGCUUGUGACAAUAAUCACACCAAACUCUGUCCUUCUCAUCACUCUUCUUCAGGUUUUUUGUUCCCCCAAUCAGUGGAGCUUCUGGUGUAACAGAGAUCAAGGCUGAGUUCUCUGCUGAAGAACCUCCCAUCAUCACAUUCUUUCUACUUUCCUCUCUUUUUACAUAAGAAAACACUUCCCUGGUAGAAGGAAGAGGUUCCUUGCCAAGUACUCGCCCACGGACUUCAUCAAGGUCUGAACUCAAACCUGCUAAGAAUUCAAAUACACGCUCUUUUUCUAACAUCUUCUUGUAUUUAGCACUAUCAGCAGCACAUUCCCACUCGCCAUCAUAGUACUGAUCUAACUCUUGCCAUAAGCCCUUCAAAAUAUUGUAGUAUUUAGUCACUCCUUGACUACCUUGUUUGGUUUCUCGAAUUCUGGUUUUCAGAUCAUAAAUCUGAGCAGAAUUUCCCAAAUCAGAAUAGGUCUCGGUGACAGCAUCCCACAAAUCCUUUGCUGUUGGCAGAAACAAGUAAGUUUGACCUAUCUCCGAUUCCAUUGAAUUCACUAACCAUGACAUGAUCAUUGAGUUGUCAGCAGCCCAAGUAUGAAACUUUGGGUCUUCUUCAGUUGGUUCUUUAAUUGAACCAGUAAGGUAACCAAUCUUCCCUUUACCUCUGAUAAACAUCUUCACAGAUUGGGACCACUGAAGAAAAUUUUGACCAUUCAAUUUAUGGAUUGUGAUCUAAAGUGAUGGACUAUCAUUAGAAACAUAACUUGAUAGUUGUAGAUGUCGUUGCAAUUGCUCUGAAGAUAACUCAGAAGUUUCUUGCUCGCUAUACUUUGAUAUUGGUAUUCAAAUAGAAUUGAAAACUAAAUCCAAGAAUCAAAGAGCGACUCUGAUACCAUGAGAAAAUUAUUGAAGAAAUAUGUAUCUCCUUUUCUUAUUUUUACAAUAGGGUUACACAAUACAUAUAUAUAUAUUCUAAACUACAUAAUGUGCUAGAGUAGGAAAGUAAACAACUAACUGCAGACCAAGAAACUAGGAAACAAACUCUAUCUAAAAAACUGAAAUUCUAUCCCUAUUUUUUUUCCUUUCUAUCCCUAUCUUUUUUCCUUAAAAAUAGGAUAGAAAACAAGUGACUUUUCCACAGCCCUUUUGGACAAAAAUGAUUUCCUGCUAAUUUUGAGAAUAAAACCAUAGACAUCUAACUUCUGAUAUCUAGUCAAUCUGGUAAAAUCUUGGCAGUUGCACUUGGGGCAUAAAUUAGUUCCACCUUGGUUUAAGGACAGAAAUUCGUCAUAUGCAUGUAUUUAUUUAUGUUUUAUACACACACACAUGCAUGUACACACAAACACUACCUUCACUUUGAAGAAAAGAUUAAAAUAACACUGCUCACAUACACAAUACUUACUAUUCUAGUUCGUGUAACUUUCUCCGGAGUCACAAACAGGUCACAGAAUUCACGUAUUAACCGCAUACUUCUAGUCAUUUCUAUUCCUCCUUCACCAUCACUUGUCCCACAAUUACAAAAAGUGAGAGGUAAUAACCAACAUAUUUGGGUUGCUCUUCGGUAAGGGGUGGGAGGUAAGGGUUAGUUGUGGAGGGCACCUAGUACAGAAUCAAGGCCAGCUGUUGGGAAUUUGAUCUCCUGUAACAUAUACUUGUUCAUCAUAAACUAUAUACUUAUUCUGCAGUCGAUGUGUGCAUAUAGCUCUUCAAUUAUCCAGUAAUAACUCACCAUCAACUUCCUGCCAUCUUUCACGGCUAAUUCAGCAGCCAUUUUUGCCUGCUUAAAGGUCAAAAGCCCAAACUAAGCAGAUGCUCCUACUCCGAUACUUAUUAUCUAACUACUACAGAACAGAUGAUACGCAUCAAGUUGUAUCAAGAGAGACACCAAGUUGUGUUUUCCAAGAGGUUCCAAAGAGGUUUUGUUUCUUUGUGUAAUUUUUAGACUGCUUUGACAACUCAUCUUAAAGGUGCCACUCAUCCAAUAUGAUGUGGUGACAGUAGUUUAGAGUUUUAAACUAAAUGCAGAGCUAAUAGUAUUUUGGAAUAUAAUCAUCCUAAGAUACUAUAACACAGGGAUUCUUACACAAAAACAACAACUUCGAUGUAGAGAGAAGAUGAUUUCACAAAAGCAGAUGUUUUGAUUUAAGUCUCCAAAACCCCCACCAAAGAAAUGUUCAACAGAUAUAGAAAUAUGAUCCACAUAUCUGUAACUUAAACUGUGAAAGUUGUUGAUGUUGUUCUAAAAUUGCCACAAUCUAUCUACCCCAUGAAUGUUUUUGGAUAAAACAACAAGCAGGACCCAAUGCCUGUUUUCUAAUAGCUUCAAAAAGGCCAAAUUGGUUUUGAAAUGUCUCCAGCUUUUCAUUUAAUAAGAGAGAGAGAGAGAGAGAAGAAUCGCUCCCCUUUCAAAUACCGUGCUCUUUUGUACCUGGGAAUUUAACUAAUUCUUGCGAAUAAAAAAAUUUAUAAAUUUGGUAAAUUAUUUAUUAAAAAAUAUUGAGAGGCUGUGCAUUAUUUUAUUAGUAAAGAUAUAGUUAUCAUCAAAUUAGUUAUAUUAAAAUAGUUUUUGACUCACGUAAUUUAUUUUUAUUAUUUUUAUAUAUAUAUUUAAUUAAUAAAUUUAUGUUAUAUUCAUUUGUAUAAAAAUGUACAGUUCUAUCCUCACUCUUAUUUUAUUUUUAUUAUUUUUUCAGAAAAUGGUAUGCGUUAUUAAGGUUAAGGGUGACAACUGGGAUCAAUAUACGGUUUAUUCGAGUGCUUAAAACCUAAUAAAUAUCCACUAACUCAUAUUUAAUUAAAAUAUAAUUAUUUUUAAAUAAAAAAAUUUAAUAUAAACUAAACAAAUUGAUUGGAUUUUGUUUCUAAAGGUACAUCAUUAGAACGUUACCUUUAAUUGAACAAAAGCACACAUAACUAGCACAUUCGCCACAAAAGCCUCAGCUUAGUGGUCGGCUUAUUAAUUAUCUUAAUAAAAUCAUGGUCAUAAAUUUGAGUCCCCGUAGGAAUUAUUAGGUUAGGUAGCUUUUUUAGACUACAAAAGCUUUUUUAGACUACUCAUUCAUUUAAUUUUCCGUUAUAUAUAUUCAUCUUUUUUAGAGGCCAAGAAGUCUUCGACAGAAAUGUGAUCUUUUUCUAGUUGCCUCCCGGUGAUGAGCUUCUCCCAAGUUUCAAUUAAUUCGCUUUGAGUGAGGAUAUUUUCUGGUGGCCUCAAAUACAAUGUCUUGUUCAGCACUCAAGGGUCAUCUAUUGUCUUAAUAGUAUAUGUGGCAACAUCAUCAAGAUGCACUAUAGAAAAAAAGAUAAUCAUUUUGUUUAAUAUGAACAUAAAUUCUUACAGUCUAACUCAUAUUAUAGUGAACGAUGCUGUUAUGUGGUGCGUGCAUGCACUAUCUAUAGUUUUAAUAUUAUUAAUAAAGAGUUAAAAGUCUUGAUUUAAUUUUAAAUUGUCAUUCCUCUAACUUCACCGUCUUCAUAGAUGCAGACUUUAUCUUUUGAAGGGUGAGGGUAGCUAUAUUUGAGAGAGGUGUCUAGGGAACCAACCAGCAAAAAACAGCUAGCAGAAACAUAAAUGACAGGGAUUUGAGCAGCCUUGAUUGCCCUUCUCACACAUGCGCUCUGCGUUCUCCCUCCCGCUCUCACUCACUCACGCCCAAAUCUCACCUCACUCACGCAUCUCUCCUUCUGACCGGUGGUUUUCUCUCUCUCGCCGUGGGUCUCAAGGCUGGCAGGGAUUUCUCGACUUGACUACUAAAACAUAAUCCAAAAACUACUAAGAGAUGUAUAUAUUACUCUGAUAUACACAAUAUGAAGAAACUGCAGUUAUAUUUCAAAUAUUAUAUGAAGGAAGAGGCUGUAUGGAUUAUCUAAAGGUGCUGAAAUUAAGAGACCUAUUGAAAAGUCAUGCAUGUGGUAAUUUUUCAAAGAGCUACCAAACAUUUGAAGAAAAAAUGGAAAGUUGGCAAAUUUGUCAAAUUUGCCAAAUGGACACCAUUGACUAUUGGCUUAGGUUAGGUGGAAUGGUAAAGGGGUUGGUGCAAUAGUGCCAUUAUUUUUCCUAUAAAUAGAUGGCACUUUUUCCAUUCUUUUGCAUCCCAAAAUUGUUAAGCUUAUAAGUUUCUAAGCUUUUGAGAGAAGUGAGAGAAGUGUGUCUGGGGAAUUUAUCUUUCCUGCAGAGUGUGAGAGUACUGGGUAUAUUUUGGGUUUCUGGGAAGUGAGAUUCGUUACUCAAAUAUUGUACUCUAUUAAUUGUUAAAUAAACAAUUAUUCUUUCUUGCCUCCGUGGAUGUAGGUUUAAUUACCGAACCACAUAAUUCUUGUGUCCUUUAUUUUUUCUAUAAUUAUUUGGUGCGCUUGAUUCCGCAUUCCAAGCACAACAAGUGGUAUCAGAGCCGAAGGUUCGUACUUGGGGGGAUACGGUACUGUUCACGUAUACGGUACUAUUCCCAUAUACGGUACUGUUCACGAAUACGGUGGAGACGGCCAUUUGUACUUGGGAGACAGUCUAUUGUAAGUAGUGUGUAUUUUUGCAUGUUUAGGAAAGUUCUGUCAACAAAGGCGAUAAGAGUCUAAGGAUUCUGGUUUUUAAUUGGGACCGAGUUCCCGUCCAGUUUCUUGGGAACUUUCCUGGUGCAUUUAUUCAUGCGAAAUUAACAUCAUAGAGACUGUUUUUCAAGUGGAAAUAGUUCGUUGAGAAAAUGGUAGAAGGUGAAACUUCCAGAAUUGGGGAGAGAUCUACCGAGACUAUUUCAGGAGACACUUCAGGUGGGAGACGAGAUUUGUCAAAUCGCUAUUCAGCACCUGUUAUAGGAGGUCAGAAGAUCGAUGUUGAAAAGUUUGAUGGGAAAAUCAACUUCGGCAUGUGGUGGCGCGAAGUUAUGGAUGCCCUUAUUCAAAUCGAUCUCGAUGUUGUUCUGAAAAAUAAAAGACACUUGUAUGAUGAAGAAAUUUGGGAUCGUAUGAAUGAAAAAGCUUGUGGUUAGAUCAGAUCUUGUUUGACCAAGGAGGUGAAAUACUUGGUGAAAGAUGAGGAGUGUGCGGUAACUUUGUGGCGUACAUUAGAGGAAAAGUACUUGGUGAAAAGUCCUGAAAAUCGCCUUCAUGCAAUGAGCCAAGUAUAUGGUUUUCGAAUGAAGCCUGGGGUGUCAAUGCACGAUCAUGUUUCAAGAUUUGAAAAGUUACUUGCUGAUUUGAAGAAUCUUGAUGAAGAUAUUAAGGAUGAAGUCAAGGCUAUGAUUCUGUUACACUCACUACCAGAGGAAUAUAGCCAUUUUGUGACUACUUUGAUAUAUGGGAAGAGUGUGAUCGUCUUCAAAGAUGUUUGCACAACAUUGACUAGCUUAGAGAUUCGGAAUAAUGAUAAAAAUUCUGAACGAGCAUCGUCUGAAGCUUUAGUGAGCAGAGAUUGGGCGAUGGAGAAACAGAAGAAGCGUGGUGGAAAGAACUCUCGAUCCAAAUCGAGAAGCAGAAAUAUAGCUCGAGAUGAGUGUGCCUUUUGUCAUGAAAAGGGCCAUUAGAAGAAAGAUUAUCCAAAUGCUCAAAAGAGAGAUGGGAAGAAACCAGCAGCAGCAAACAUGGCACGGAAAGAUGAGGGAUCUGAUUAUUCACUAAGUAUUACUCCUGCAGCAUACGUGGCUAGUUCGAGCGAGUGGAUACUUGAUACUGGAGCAACCUAUCAUUUGUGUCCCAUUAAGGAAUGGUUUACGGAUUUCAACGUAUUGGAAUCUGGUGCAGUUGUGAUGGGGAAUGAUCAACCUUGUCGCACAAUGGGGAUAGUAACAAUUCGGCUCAAAAUGUUUGAUGGAAUGGUCAGAGAACUCAAAAAGGUUAGAUUUGUUUCAGCUUUAAAGAAAAAUCUAAUUUCUGUGGGUGCUUUAGAAGCUAAAGGCUACAAGGUUACCAUUGAAGAUGGUAUAAUGAAGUUUACACAUGGGGCUAUGGUGAUUCUGCAAGGGGUUCGGCGUCACAAUCUGUACUAUUUGAAGAGAGGUACAACUGAUGAAGCAAAUGUUGUUGAGGCACACAGUGACACCACCAAGCUAUGGCAUGUACGACUAGGACAUGCUAGAGAGAAGUCUUUGCAAACUCUGAUAAGGCAUGGACUCUUAAAAGGUACCAAAACCUGUAAAUUAAAUUUUUGUGAGCAUUGUGUAGUAGGCAAGAAAACAAGGGUUAAGUUUGGUACAGCUAAUCACGAUACUCGUGAGAUCCUUGAAUAUGUUCAUAGUGAUGUAUGGGGACCAACCAAGACUGCAUCAAUUGGUGGAAGCCAUUAUUUUGUUACAUUUGUUGAUGAUUUCUCUAGAAGUGUGUGGGUGUACACCAUGCGAGCAAAUGAUGAGGUUCUAGAGAUUUUCGUGAAAUGGAAGAAAUUGGUGGAGACUCAAACUGGAAGAAAGAUCAAAGUAUUACGAUAUGAUAAUGGGGGUGAAUAUACUUCUGAUCCAUUCUUGCAAGUAUGCCAGAACGAGGGUAUUAAAAGACAUUUCACAGUGAGACAUACUCCGCAACAGAACGGUGUGGCUGAGCGUAUGAAUCGUACUUUACUGGAGAAGGUAUGGUGUAUGUUAUCUAAUGCUGGUUUAGAUAAAAAGUUUUGGGCUGAAGUUGUGAGCUACGCAAGUCACUUGGUAAACCGGUUGCCUUCUGCUGCAAUUGGAGGUAAAACUCCUAUGGAAAUGUGGUCUGGAAAGCAUGCACAAGACUAUGAUUCCCUUCGUAUAUUCGGGUGUCCAGCUUAUUAUCAUGUCAAAGAUGGUAAACUAGAUCCUCGUGCUAGAAAAGCUAUCUUUGUGGGAUUCAAAGGUGGAGUAAAGGACUUCAAGCUUUGGGAUCUCGAAGAUAAAAAGUUUGUGUGUAGCAGAAAUGUCACAUUUGAUGAAGCUUCAAUGAUGAAAGCUUCAAGUUCUCAGCAGGUGGAGAACAAGACCAAAGAGGUAUUGCUGCGGGUGGAGUUUGAUGCAACUCCAUAUGUACCAGUUAGUUCUACAUCAAAGAAGAGUUCAACUAUAGAGGUGACACCUAGAGUUGAAGAAGAGGUUGUUUCUUCUGAUGUCCCACAAAAUGAAGAAACAAUUGAUAAUGUAGAUAAUGAUGAUUUUAUAGCAACAAGGAGGCUAAGAAGAGAGAUAAAGAAACCCGGAUGGCUUACUAAAGAUAUGGUGGUAGCCUAUGCACUUCCAGUUAUUGAUGAUGACAUCCCCAACACUUUCGGUGAAGCAUUACGCAGCAGUGAAAGUGAUCAGUGGAAGUUAGCCAUGGAGGAAGAGAUGAAAUCUCUCCAUCAAAACCAGACUUGGGAACUUGUAAAGUUACCAAAAGGGAAAAAGGCUAUUGGCAAUAAAUGGGUCUACACCAAAAAGCAAGGAUCUCCGAAUAAAAUAACUCCUCGAUACAAGGCAAGGCUCGUGGCAAAAGGUUUUGCUCAAAAGGAAGGUAUUGACUACAAUUAAGUUUUCUCUCCAGUUGUAAAACAUACUUCCAUUCGUAUCCUACUUGCCUUAGUUGCAGAAUAUGAGUUAGAGUUGGCUCAAUUGGAUGUUAAGACCGCGUUCAUACAUGGAGAUUUGGAGGAGGAAAUCUAUAUGAUUCAGCCUUGUGGUUUCAAAGUUGCUGGAAAAGAGAAUCAUGUGUGUAGGUUGAUUAAAUUUUUGUACGGACUGAAGCAAUCGCCAAGGCAGUGGUAUAAAAGAUUUGAUCAAUUUAUACAAGGGCAGAAAUUCACCAGAAGUGAACACGAUCAUUGUGUUUACUUUAGAAGACUACCAGAUAGAGCUUUCAUCUAUUUGUUACUCUAUGUCGAUGAUAUGCUUAUAGCUUCGAAGAAUAGAGAUGAGAUCGAAAGAUUAAAAAAGCAACUGGCUUCUGAGUUUAAGAUGAAAGACUUGGGUGAUGCACAGAGAAUACUUGGGAUGGAGAUUCGUAGAGACAAGAAGAAUGGGAGCGUAUGGUUGACUCAAAAGUCUUAUUUGAAGAAAGUGCUAGAAAGAUUCGGUAUGGAUGACAAAACUAAACCAGUAUGUACACCUCUAGCUUCUCAUUUCAAAUUAAGCUUUUCUUCAUGUCCUAGAUCUCAAGAGGAGCGUGAUUAUAUGGCUCGUGUUCCAUAUGCUAGUGCUGUGGGUAGUCUUAUGUAUGCUAUGGUAUGCACAAGGCCCGAUAUAUCUCAAGCAGUGAGCAUGGUUAGUAGAUACAUGCAAAAUCCGGGUAAAAAUUAAUGGCUUGCGGUAAAGUGGAUUCUCCGAUAUCUGUAUGGGACAGUUGAUGUUGGGUUAUUGUUCAAGAAGGAUUGUGGUCAACAAUGUGUUGGGUAUUGUGAUUCUGAUUUCGCUGGAGACCUUGACAAGCGAAGAUCAACAACGUGCUACGUAUUCACAUUGGGUGGAGGUCCGGUUAGCUGGAGGUCGAUUCUACAAUCGACAAUUGCUCUGUCCACUGCGGAAGCAGAGUAUAUGGCAGCAACUGAAGCUAUAAAAGAAGCUAUCUGGUUGAAAGGUUUAUUAGGUGAUUUGGGAGUAAUCCAGGAGAACAUUGCGGUCUUAUGUGAUAAUCAAAGUGUGAUAUUCCUUGCGAAGAAUCAAACAUAUCACGCUCGGACGAAGCACAUAGAUGUGAAAUAUCAUUAUGUGAGAGAGAUUAUCGAGAGCGGUGUUGUGUUGUUGAGAAAGAUCGAUACCAAAGAUAAUCCAUUAGAUAUGUUGACGAAGGUAGUUUCUGGAGUUAAGUUUCAACAUUGCUUGAAAUUAAUUCAAAUCCUUCGAUUGUGUUAAGAUAUGUCCUUCGGGAAUUUUGAACUACGGUUGGCUUGAUCCCAAAUUUUGGGUACGUAGGCAGUCAUAGAGAUGCAGCCACUUUGGGGAUGAUGAUUGGUUGGUAGUCGGCUCAGAUUUGGACAAAUUUUCACCGAGGUGGAGAAUUGUUGAAAAGUCAUGCAUGUGGCAAUUUUUCAAAGAGCUACCAAACAUUUGAAGAAAAAAUGGAAAGUUGGCAAAUUUUUCAAAUUUGCCAAAUGGACCCCAUUGACUAUUGGUUUUAUGUUAGGUGGAAUAGUAAAGGGGUUGGUGCAAUAGUGCUAUUAUUUUUCCUAUAAAUAGAUGGCACUUCUUCCAUUCUUUUGCAUCCCAAAAUUGUUAAGCUUAUAAGUUUCUAAGCUUUUGAGAGAAGUGAGAGAAGUGUCUGGGGAAUUUAUCUUUCCUGCAGAGUGUGAAGUACUGGGUAUAUUUUGGGUUUAUGGGAAGUGAGAUUUGUUACUCAAAUAUUGUACUCUAUUAAUUGUUAAAUAAACAAUUAUUCUUUCUUGCCUCCGUGGAUGUAGGUUUAAUUACCGAACCACGUAAUUCUUGUGUCCUUUAUUUUUUCUAUAAUUAUUUGGUGCGCUUGAUUCCGCAUUCCGCGCACAACAAGACCCACACCAACCGACAGACCCCCGGUGAUAGAGAGAAAGUCGACUGUGAGAUGCAUUCAAGACGGGGGAAGAGUGAGAGAGAAAACUGCCCGGUCAGAAGGAGAGAUGCAUGAUUGAGGUGAGAGAUUUGGGCGUGAGUGAGUGAGGAGUGAGGGAGAGGGUGCCGCGUGUGUGGGAUGCGUACAAUGACAAUUUAUACUUACAUCAAAACGCCGCGUUCGGUGCCAUGUGUAGGGCUAACUGUGGUUUGAAUCUCACUUUGGUAAUGGAAAUGACUUUGCAAUUGACAGUUUUUGUCAAAAGUUCGCACUGCAUGAAACUAGUGUUAAUAUAAUUUAAAAAAUUAAUUUCAGUAUUAAUUUUUAAAGUUUUAAUUAUUAUAUUUAUUUUAAUAAUAGAUUUAUAUUUAUUAUAAAAAUUUUAGUUAAAUAUUUGUGUUAAAUGGAAUUUAUAAUUAAUAUAAUAGAUCUUAGGUAUUAAUAUAUUAUAAUUAUUCUAUAUGCUAUUGAAAAUCAUUUAUAUUUUUAGACGUUUAUUUUCAUAUUAAGUUUCUAUUUAUUUUAAAAUUUAGUUUAAUAUAAUAUAAGCAAGUAAAGUAUUAAAAUAUUUUUUAGUAUUAUUUAAAAUAUUAAAAUAAUUUUAAAAUAUAAGUCAAAUUUUUAAGUGAAUAUAACUAAUAUUUACAGCUAUUUGAUGGCCUCAACAAGCUAAAGCAGCAUCAAAAUUUGUGGCUCGUUAAUUUAUUUUUUCCCUUUCAAAAAGGGAAGAGGAUAAGUUUGGAAGAAUGAUUAUAUUUUUAAUAAAUUCUUUUUUAUUAUAAUACUUUUUGUCUUUAUUAAUUUAAAAAUAUUGACUCUUAUAUUUUAAAAAAUAUAAAUAUAAUAUUAUAAUAAAAUAUAACAAUAUAUAUCAAAUAUUUAAAAAAUUUAAUAUUUUAAUAUUUUAUAUUAUAUUAAAAUAAAUUUUUAAUAAAUAAAAAUAAUCUAUUAAAAUAAAGUACAAAAAUUUAAAUUAUUUUCAAUAUCAUCUAAAAUAAUUUUACUAUUAUUAAUGCAUGAAAUAUAUUAUAGUAAUUGUAAAUUUCAUUUAACUCAAAGAUUUAUUUAGAAUGUUCAUAAUAAGUCCAAAUAUAUUAUUAAAAUAAUUAUAAUAAUUUACAUUUUAAAAAUUAAUACUGAUAUUAAUUUUUAAAUUAUAUUACUCUACCAGAAAAAUUAAACUAUUAAAUUAUAUCAAUAUUUAUUAAAAAAUUUUGAAAUUAAUUCUUGUUAUAUUUUUAAUUGGAAUUUUUUCAUGUGAUAUAACCAGAAUUGCUACAAUUUUUUUCCCUAAUUAAAGAUGGAGUUAUAAAUUAUUUGUAUAAGUGUCUGUGUGGAAACUAAUGUGACAUGAAAGUAAUAGCUGAAUAACAAUAAUGGGCCGAUUUCAAUUCUUAAACAGACUUGUCCUUCAUCCCAAUUUAUUUACCCCAUUUGGGCCGGUUAUGACAUAAACAUAUUCUUGUGGAAUGAAAAACAUCAUGAGAAGAAAAUGUUUUAUUAUAAUAGAAAAAAGUGGUCCAUAAGUCUAUUCAUUACUUUUUUUAUUCAAUAUAAAUGGCUAACUUUAAAAAUGGUAAAAAUCACAUAACGCGCAAACAUAUUUUAGAUUUAUAUUUUUUAAUACUCUCCGAGUCUCUCUUUCUCUUUUUCUUUUUUUAAAUAAAUGUCAGUAUAAAAUUUAAAAAAAAUUUAGAUAUAAAAUUUGGCAAUGACCAAACAAAAAUUGCAGAGGAAACCUUGAUAUCAUUGAAAUACUGAUAAUAGACACUACAGUAUAAAUAACUUGUUGUGAUCCACUCAACUUGUAACACUUUAAUCCAUAUUCUAAAAUUUUCAUGUUUGUUAGGAUUUUUAUUAUUGAUACUACUGUAUCAAUAAAAUUAUAAUUUAUUCAUAUGGAAUGAAAACAUCAAGAAAGGACCUCUGAUGUUUAUUGUCAUAGAAAAAAGUGGUCCAUAAGUCUAUUAAUUAUUUUAUUUAUUCAAUACAAAUGGCCAACUUAAAAAAUGGUAAAAAUCACACAAUGCACAAGUAAAAUUUUACAAUUACAUUUUUUAAUUCUCUUUGAGUCUCUCUCUCUCUUUAAAAAAUAAACCUCACUGUAAAAUUAGAAAAAUUUUAGACGUAAAAUUUGACAAUCACCAAAUAGAAAACAUAGGGAAAUGAAAAUGGAGGAGCCCUAUUUUCAUUAGAAUAUUGAUCAUAGAUACUAUAAUGUAAAUGAUUUGUUGCGAUUCCUUCAACUUGUCACACUCUAAGCUAUUUUCUAAAAUUUGUAAGGUUUAUAGGAUUUUUAUUACUGCCAUCAUUGUAUCAAUAAUAUUAUAAAUUAUAUAUUCUAUUGUAAUGAAAAUUUGUGUAAUCUUAGGUAUUUAUUGUAUUAAAUUGUGUGGAUUAAUUAAGAAUAUUUUUGGAGACAAAAGAAGUGUGUGUACGUAGGAUUAAUGAUAAAAAAUUUCUAAAUAAAGGUGAUUGCUUCAUUGACAAGUACAUAUUUAUAUUCCUCUAUUAAUAUUUGGGUUGUAAACUCUAUAAUAAAGUUGGUUGGUGUGAGUGGUUCGGCACUCUCACUCUUUAAGAGAGGUCGGGAGUUCAAGCCUCGCUCUCGUAUGGAGUCACCACUUUGGCCAGCACUUUACCUCUUAUGGGCCGACCCGGUGCGAGUGGGAAUUAGUAUGGGUUGUGGUAUGGGCUUAAAGGUGUCUCCCACAGUUGGGGCCCACUCAGGACCACCUCGUGAUUCAAACAAAAAAAAAAAGUGAAUAUAUUGUGGCAAGUGAUGUGGGCAAUAUCGGAUGCGAAAUAUUGAGAGAUCAUUAACGCAUAUAUUUAUUGAAGAUGCGUAUAGAGGAAAGAGUGUAGAUCCGGCCGUAACAAUUACGAAGCUUUCCCCAAGUAUACUCAUGCUUCCUUAACUGUUUCGAAGUAUUUUUCAUAGUGUGCAGAUUUACUUUAUGGUGUCUUUAAUUCAUCUUAAAUGAUUACUUUAUUGUUUUAGGAUGCAAUGUCAUUUAUUGUGUUAAUUUAAACAAUAGAAAAAAUAAGUAACAGUAACGAAAGACUAAUUUGUGAUAUUGAAGCGUACGGGCUUAACUCAAUCCAAAAAUUAGUAAAUUAGCUCAAGAGUUAAGAGUUGUCCAAAUCUUAUAUGAUGAACCCAAGUUUAAUACACAAUUGAUGCGGGAUGUUAUUCCUAACACCUCCCGUCAUGUGUAGGAUUGGCAAAAAAACUCGGGUCAGUCCCGCCUAAACCUACGAGCUUUAUGCAUGGCUCGCAUGAUGAAGUUACGGAUAUUAACCUAAAAAUUUGAAACUUACUAUGAAUGGCCUUGCUUAAAGACUUUUGCAACUUUAAUUUAUAACAAGUAUGUAUAUCUACACACACAUAAGCUUAGAUUGCAUUUGGAUGGCUUUUUUAAUCAAUUCAAACAAUCUGAAAUUUAUCAGAUUAAUCCAAAUCUUAUAUGUAUCCAAUUUUGCCCGCCCCUACUAUAUAUAAGCCCAAGUGACUCUCUUUUACUAAUUAAUAAGAGAAUUUUUGACCUUAUAUCCUUGUUGUGGCGUUAGACUGUUGGUUAUUUUGAUUGUUUCCUACCUUCCAUUUACGCCAGCUAUAACAUUGUAUUAUCACCAUUUUAGCCAUUUAAAUGAAAUUUUAUUUUUCAUUUUAUUGUGUCAAUACUAUCAUAAUUUAUUCAUUUUAUUGUAAUGAUAAUUUGUCUAGUCUUAGGUACUUACUAUAUUAAAUUAUGUAAAUUAAUUGAGAAUACUUUUAGAGACAAAAGAAACACGUGUAUGUAGGAUUAAUAAGCGAAGAGUUGUAAAUGAAGGUGAUUGCUUCAUUGAGAGGCAUAUUAAAUAAUUAUGGAGAGUUGCUCUAUUUCGGAAGCAUAUAUUUAUACUUCCCUAUCAGGAUUUGGGGUAAGCGAGGUGCUUUAUGUAUUGCAGUAACCAAAUGUGGGCAAUAUCAGAGCCGAAAUAUUGAAAGAUCAUAACGCAUAUAAACGAUUAGUAUAUUGAAGACACAUAUAGAGGAAAGAGUGCAGAUCCGGCCGUAACUAUUAUGAGGAUUUCCUCAAGUAUUCUCAUGCUUCCUCAACUGUUCUGAACUAUAUAUUCCUCAUUGUGGGCAGAUUUACUUAAAUACCAACACAAUGAUUCAAUACUUCAAAGGUCAAGGAAAUGUCAAAAUAUGAAAUGAAAAUACUUAAAUACCCUUCUACCUAACAAAACUUAGUACUUCUAACUGCCUUAGCAGAGAAUCUAUAAAAUUAAAAAAAAAAAUUCAUCCAUGAAAAGCUUCGUAACAGAAAAACCGUCUUUCAAAAAAUAAAAAAUAAAAAAUAAAAACAGAAAAACCGACUCAUUUAUCUGCCAAUGAACCAGUCAGGACUCAUUUAAAAAAGAUUACAAAGCAAAAGUAAAUGACACAAAUUGCAUAGAUAUCUCGGAGCCGCAUCAAAGGACAAUGGUGUUAAUUUGUCCGAGUAAUAAAUUCUCCUUGGUCAAAAGCAAUUAACGAUGAAAACUUUCUUCAUUAAGGUUCUGGCCUACGUAAAAAAAAAAAAAAAAAACCACCCCAAGGUCAAAGCACAACGAUAAGUUUAGAAUUGCAGUUUUUAAUUUUUUUUAAUAAAUCAACGUGUAUAAAAAAUAGAUAAUAAUUUUAAAUAAAUUUUAUUUGAUAAAUAUAGGCAUAAAAUUUUAAAAUCACCAAACAGAAAAACAGGGGAAUUAAAACAGAGUCCCUGUUUAUCCUCUAUUUUGCUUGUUAUUAAACAGGGAAAUGAAAAGAUCACAAGCGGAAAUUUUGUUUCUGCGUUGUCUCUUCUCAAUGCUACAUGCAUUCAAAUUAAACCUUACAUAUGCUAGCAAACUAGCUACCUGCGUUUAAGUGUUAGAGUGCAAUUUAUGCACUAAUUUUGCAUUGUUUACUUCUUUUAAUAUCGAUAUUUUGCACUUAAUAAUAGUGAUUUACUUGUAUUUUAUUUUUGUAAGUGCAAUUCUAUUUAUUGGUGCUAAAAUUGGGCUACAAGAUGAUGUUUGAAGAUGAUUGUUUUCUUGGAAAAAUUAUGAGUUUCAGAAGAACUUUGUUGAUAAGGCGUGGGCGCUGGCUGUCAACUACGGACCUGUAGUUUUUAGUUUAACGUGUUUUGUCUUUUUGGUUAUUUUUGUAAUCACGAAUUUAAUAUUUAGAUAAUAUUUUAGAUAUUAGUAUUUUAUUUUAAAAAGAACUCUAGAAGAGAAUUUAAGAGGGGAAUCUAUGGUCAAAGGAAAAAAAAGAAAGGAAACCCUAGAUCUAAAUUUUUCUCUUCUCUCUAUGAAGAACUAAACCUAUUAUUCUGGUUAAAGGUUAAUGGAGCUUUGAUUCAUCAUUACUGUGAGAUCUUUCUUAUGCUUUAAUUGUUUUAUUGAUUUUUGGGUAUUUGUUUAUUCUCUAAAUUAUUGUCAUGAUUAUGUUUGUUAAUUAGAUAAUUAGCCAUUAUUUAAUUAUCAACUUAAUCUAUUGUCAAUUAAAGGAUUCAUCGUAUGAAGAUUUUAAUGUUUGUGACAAAUAGCAUAGCAGUUCGUUAUGUUAUGAGAAUAAACAAUCUAAUUUAAAUGAACCAUCGUAUGCGUUUGUUGAUUAGGAUUUGGGUCUCUCUGGUUUUUCAGGUUGUCAAUUGAUUAAAUCCUAUGAUCGUAUCUAGGGUUGUCUAUUGAUUAGGGAAAUAACCAAUGGUCGUACCUUGGUUAUCGACUAGUUAAGGAGAGAUUGGCUAUUAGAGGGUCUCAGUAGCUAUAACCGGUCUAUUCAUAAGUAGUAAUGAUUUAUAUUUGAAUCAAUGAUCAAUAGUCGAAUCAAGCUGAGUUAAUUCCUUCAACCAGAGCUUUCCCCAAUUUUAAUUUGCAUUCUUGUUAUUUUAAUUUGAUUUUUAUUAUUGUCAACAAUUCCCCCAUUUUGCAUUUUGCAUUUUAAAAGGAUUUAAAUAAUUACUAAUCUCUGUGGACACAACCCUACUCAAUCACUAUACACAAUUUAUUUAGAGUAUGUAUUUAUUUUUGCUGGCUUCGACAACCAUCAAUAAGUUCUCGAUAAGUCCAAAUAAUAGAAUAAUUGUAAAAUGUUCAAAUUCAGUAAUUAAUUAUACAUAUUUAUUUAUUCAAAAUUAUUAUUAUUAUUAAUUAUUGUCAAUAAUAUAUUAAUAUACUAAUUAAUUGUAAACUUUUUUAUCAUUCAUAACAAUGAUGAUGAUGAUGAUGAUGAUGAUGAUGAUAAAAAAUUCAAAACAUAUUAAUUAAUUAUAAUAAUAUAUUAAAUAUUUAAUUAUUUAAUAAUAAUAAUAAUAAAUGCACAAUGUAUAAAUUGAUUAGAAUAAUUAUAUUAAUUAAUCAUAAUAAUUUUUUAAUUGAGGACAAAAUAGAUAUUUUAUAGUUUGUGAGAGGGGGCAAAAUGGUCAAUCUUGGGAAUGGGGGAUUGAUUCCCACCACCUUCCUUAGGAAUCAAUCUUCCAUUCCUCAUUCCUAAUUUGGGUGGUCCCCAUAGUUCUGAUUCGGAUCCCAGCCUCCAUUUUAUGAAGUAAACAUCAUUAAGAUUUCGAUUCCGGAUUCCGAUUCCCCAAUCCAAGAAGUACAGGCACCAUUAUUGUUGAUUGGUUCAAAUGCACAAAGAGAAUGUACCAUGUAGCUAGGCGUCAAGGUUGUGCUGCACAAGUAACCUUUUUCUUUUCUUUUCUUUUUAUUUUUCUUAUUUUCCUUAAUGUAUCGGAAGAAACUGGUGCCUUUGAGAUACUACCAUGUAAAUAAGUACUUAUGGUUCAUUGAAUCUGUAACACUCGGUACCCUACAAUUGCUUUUGAAAAAGGGCUUUACUCACUUAUCGCUAAUAUUCAAGUAAGUUUGUUUCAUUUCAGAAGGUGCAAAGUUUCAAACUUGUUGUAUUGAGAUGUAACAAACUUUGGCCUUAUAUGCUUGUUGUGACGUUUGACUGUUCAUUUUGACUGUUUCCUACCUUCCACUUACGCCUGUAGCACUGUAUUAUUCACCAUUUUAGUUGUUUAAAUGAAAUUUUAUUUUGUCAAAAAUGAAAUGACACCAUUAAAAUUUAAAAAAAUAGUCAUGGAGAUCCCAAAUUUUUACUAAAGAACACCAAUAUUCCCCUUGACUAUAAUACCCUUAGCAGGUGGUAAUAAAAAAUUGACUUAAAAUUUUUUGCGAAAUGUAAAUAUGAUUUAAAUAAUUUAAAUUUUCCAAUAGACUAAUAUAUAUAAUUUAAAUAAUUAAUUUCAAUAUUAAUUUUUUAAAUGUAAAUUAAUAUAUUUGUAUUUAUAAAAUAUUUGCAAUUAUUAUAAAAAUUUUAAAUAAAUCCUUAGGUUAAUAGAUUUUACAAUAAAUAUAAUAUUUCUCAUGUAUUAAUAAUAUUAAAAUUAUUUUAUAUGAUAUUGAAAAUAACUUAAUUUAUAUAUUUAUUUGAAUAUUAUGUCUCUAUUUAUUAUAAUUUGGUUUAAUAGAAUACGAGAUUGUAAAAUAUUAAAAUAUUUUAGAUAUUGAAAUUUUAAUAUGUAUAUAUUAUUAUAUUUAUUUUAAUAUAUUUAUAUUUAUUAUAAAUUAUUAGAGUCAAUUUUUAGUUAAUAAAUUUAAAAAUAUUAUAAUUAAAAAAAAGAAUUCUUAUUGUCUGUUAUUCACAAUAUGAGGUUCUACAAAAUUAUUUCUCCAGACGGGUGUCCUUUUCUUAUUUGUAAAAGGAAAAAUAAGUUCAGGGAUCUUAAAAAAUUCUAGUCCUAUCGACCACUAUGACUAAUGGGAAACGACAUUGCAAUUGACAUUACUUUUCGCAAUAUGACAAAUUUUUGGAGGGAUACGGGAGAAUCGUCAAACGUUCACACCACACGAGAGCUUUAGGUGGGAUCGGGGAGGAUUGUCAAGAGUUCACACCACGAGAAAUUAAUGAUAGGCCUAAUUUCGCUGUCAGUUCUUUAUUUAUUUAUUUUAUUUAUUUCAUACAUUAUUAUCUUGUUGGUAUUGUUUUGUAAAGGUAUAAAAGUAAAGUAAAAUACUAGGGGUACCAUUAAGUUACAGCUGAUGUAACUUACAGUGUUUUAAAAAAUAAUAUAAAAAAUUUAAUAGCUGGUGGGAUCCACAUAUUUUUGAAGAGACUUAAGUUACAACAGUUGUAACUUAACAAAAUCCAAAUAUUUGACAAUAAUGCAUAUAAUUUGGAUUUGAUUUUUAAAAGAUUAUUUGAGCACCACCUAUCCUUAUGAUAUUAAUGUGAAUAUAUCUUAAUAUUAAAUAAUCAAAAUUUGUUUAAUUAUUAUUUGUAUUUCAUACAUUACCUAUUAGAUUUGUUUGAAUUUUACGUUCUUGCUAAUAAAUAUUUAUGUUGUCAAAGUCAAAUUCUAAUGAUUAAAAGAGCAACUAUCCCUUAAAUUUUAAUGGUGAAUUGUAUAUAGUUUUUAAGAAAGUAAGGAUAAGUUGGAUAAUUGACUUAAAUUCUAAUGAUUAAAAGAGCAACUAUCCUUUAAAUUAAAAUGUCAAUUUCUUUAAUUAUAAUUUUUUUUUCAUGUGAUAUAACCACAAUUGCUAUAGUUUUUUUAAAUAAUAAUGGGAGUUAUAAAUUAUUUAUAUAAAAUUUGUGUAGAAUCUAAUGUAACCUAAAAGUAGUUGCUGAAUAAUAAUAUUUGAAACUCUAGGUAAUUUUCAUAUGAGCCCUUUUUAUAUUCAGCAUCUUGAAUCGGGGGAAAUCCGACUUGAAUUGGCGGCUGAUUUUGGUGAUGUAGCUUUCGGUUUAUGGUUGCCUUACAGUGGCGGACGACUGAUUUACGGUCGCCGACUGCUAGGGAUUAUGGUGGUGGUGUAAAUUGACGGAAAAAGUAGAAGGUUUGGUGGCGGCGCGUGUAGGAACCACUCGUGGGUUGUCGUUUCGUGUGGUGACUGCGGGUGGCGAUCAAGGGCUGACGUUGGUCGGUUUUUGGUCAACGGAGGGCGGCCAGUUUGUUGGUGGAGGUGGCUGGCGGUGAAAGUGGCUGAAUGGUGGUGGAUAUCUUGGUGGAGCUACGGGUUUGGGUUGGUGAUUUGCGGCUGUUCAGGCGGCGGUUGAGGCAGCGAUAGCUGCGGCUUGGUCGGCGGUGGCUAGCGAGGUUUGUUGUGGUGUUGGCUGGCUGAUCGGUGGUGGUGGGCGGCGGCGGUGGAGGUUGAUGCGGCGGGUAGGGUUUUCAAAUCGGUUUUUGAUAUUUUUUUUUUUUUUUAUGAAUUUGGUGUGGAUGGGUAUAGGGUAAGAAACACUAGAUAUCAUUCUAGUACUGGACCAAGCCAACGCAAUUAAUUUACCAUCUAGUCGAAGGGUGAUUAGAUAUCGUUCUAACCCAAACGAUAAAAUGAGAUUUUUAACAACGCGUAAUACAAGAUUAGAUGAUGCUCUAAUCCAAACGACUCUACAACGACUCUAUAAGAGAGAUUUUGAUAGAUAAAUCUAGGGAAAAUUAUAAAAGAUGGGUUUUAUUUAAUAAUUAAACCUAAAGUUUUGAAAACAAUGACAAGAUAUUUUUAUUUAUAAUACAGGAAAUCUGCUUCCCUAAGAUAACCUAAAAAAGAAAAGUAAAUCAUAAUUAUAAUAGAAAUGAAAGAUUAAGAUACACACCAUAAUUGACUCAAACUAAAAUAGAAAAUCUUAAAGUAAUAAAUAUUCUAAAAUUGUAAAUUAUCUAAAAUAACAAUAAUUAACUUCCUAAAUCAUUUCUUUGGUGUAAAUCAUUUUACAUCCAACCUCGCUUUAAAGGUUUGAACCAGCGUUACCAACAACAAUGUAUCAAGUUCCAAUCUAGCUUAAGAUCAUGCUGAUACAUCUACUGAUAUCUUUAUUUGAUUAGACAAUAAUGAGUCUAUCUCAUCACUUGUUACCUCUUUCUUGAAGGCUGCAUCUGUUGAGCGAUAACCUCGUUGAAAGUUUAAAGAUCUUCCUCCAUGUUAAAUUAAAUGGGCAUUUGAUUAAGAACUUUAUCUCUAUCUCCUUCUAUCAAAUAACAACCAUCCAAAGGGAAAAAAAAAUUAAAAAAAUCCAUGGGUCACAAUAAUUUCUGGUCAGCCCACAAACCCCCCAUUAUCUGCCACUAUCAAUCAUGAAAAUGAAAAUAAAUGGCAUAUUCCCAAAAUGACGAAAGAUUUUGGGGGAUAUGGGGGAAUUGUCAAAAGUUCACACAACGCGAAACAAGUGUUACAUCCAAUUUUAUUUCGUCAUAUAAUGAUAAUAUCAAAUAAUGACAACCAUCCAAAAGUAUGAUGGGUCUUCCAAAAUUUUAAAAAUGUCGUCAACAUUUAAUUUUCAAUGCUAAAGAAAAUGAAAUGCCCAAAAAUGACACGCAAGACCCACUCACAAACUAAAUGGCCCUUGACCAUAUGUAACAAACUUUGACCUUAUGUCCCUGCUAUGGCGUUAGACUGUUGGUCAUUUUGAUUGCUUUUUACCUUCCAUUUACACCCACUGAAGCAUUGUACGAUUAACCAUUUUAGCUGUUUAAAUGAAAUUUUUAUUUUUUUCAAAAGUAAAAUGACACGCUUAAAAUUUUAGAAAAUAGCCAUGUAGACCCUAAAAUUUUAAUAAAGAACACCAAUACCCUUUUUGACUAUAGUACUUUUAGUCGAUGGUAACAAAAAAAAAAAAUGACUUCAAAAUUUUUUACUAAAUGUAAAUAUGAUUUAAAUAGUUUAAAUUUUCUAGUAGACUAGUAGGUAUAAUUUAAAUAAUUAAUUUAAAUAUUAAUUUUUAAAAUGUAAUUUAAUAUAUUUAUUUUAAUAAUAUAUUUUUAUUUAUUAUAAAAUUUUAAAUAAAUCCUUAGGUUAAAUAGAUUAUAUAAUUAAUAUAAUAUUUCUCAUGUUUUAAUAAUAUUAAAAUUAUUUUACAUGCUAUUGAAAAUAAUUUAAAGUUUUAUAUAUUUAUUUGAAUAUUAUGUCUCUAUUUAUUAUAACUUGGUUUAAUAGAAUAUGAGAUUGUAAAAUAUUAAAAUAUUUUUAGGUACUGAAAUUAUUUUAAUAGGUAUAUAUUAUUAUAUUUACUUUAAUAUCCUACUUAUAUUUAUUAUAAAAUAUUAAAAUUAAUUUUUUUAGUUAAUGAAUUUAAAAAAUAAUAUAAUUAAAAAAAGAGUCUUAUUGUCCGUUAUUCACGAUAUGAGGUUUUACAAAAUUAUUUUCAAAAGGAAAAAUAAGUUCAGGGGUUUCAAAAAAUUCUAGUCCAAUCGACCACUAUGACUAAUGGGAAACGACAUUGCAAUUGACAUUGUUUUUCGCAAUAUGACAAAAUUUUGGAGGGAUAUGGGAGAAUCGUCAAAAGUUAACACCACACAAGAGUUUUAUUUAUUUAUUUAAUUUAUUUCACACAUAUAUUGUCUUGUUGGUAUUGUUUUGUAAAGAUAUAAAAGCACAAGUAAAAUAUUAGGGGAAGUAAAGUAAAAUAUUGGGGGUGCUGCUAAGUUACAACUGCUAUAACUUACAGUUCCUUCAAAAAUAAUGUAAAACAUUUAACACGUGGUGGGACCCACAUUAUGUUUGAAUAGUCCGUAAGUUAUAGCAGUUAUAAAUUAGUAAAAUCCAAAUAUUAGACAAUAAUACACAUUAACAAUGCAUAUAAUUUGGGUUUAAUUUUUUUUAAAUUAUUUGAGUAUUACCUAUCCUUAAGAUAUUAAUGAGAAUAUAUUUUAAUAUUGUGAAGCUUUCCUCAAUUAUUCUCAUGCACCCAGACCUUAUCUGGUCAAGUUUUCUGAUUCAAUACUGACGACAGCUUCUUUGUAAAGCUCUUCAACCACAAGCAUUUCUACAAGGCAAAGGACAAGGACGUGUUGGAAUGAAUAUCAACAUGGGAAUGUCUUAUGAAUUUAGUUUAUAUUCUAAUAUAAGACAAUCAAUAAAUAUUGGAUGCAAUCUAAGGGCUAACAUUUGAUUGAUUAAUAUAAGAAAAAAAAAGGGUACAAAAAUGCAAAACAGAGCUGAUUGAUGGCCUUUAACAGUCAGUUCUAUGACAAAGUAACCACCAUAACCAAUGGAAUUAUAAGACAUCAAGAAACUUGAACUUGGCAGGAGGUCUCAUUAGCAGUAUACCUCAGAAAUUAAGACAGAGACUUUAAAAUGCAAGCUUAUGGAGCAAUUUAAGCACUGAAACUAAUAACAGUGAUGCCAAAAAAGGUGCAGGAGUACGGUAUUAGCAAUUGACCUCUGCUUUUGCUUGGACAAAGGUUCUCAUCACAAGGGACUCAUUAGUUGCCCUUGCCUCACACGAUUGGAUGCUAAGGGGGAAAAGGAAGUUUGAAUUAGUCAAUCUCAUUUCUAAUGGCAUUCACAGAGAACCUAUAAAACAAAAAAGUAAAUAAAAAUUUUCAUCCAUGAAAAGCUUAGUAACGGAAAAACCGACUCUUUUAUCUGCCACUGACCUAAUCCGGACUCAUUUAAUUAAAAAAGAAUUCAAAGCAAAACUAAAAGACACAAAUUGCAUACAAGUCUAGGAGCCAUAUCAAAGGCGUUAUAUAACUUGUCCAAUUAAUAAAUUCUCUUAGGGACCAUGCCGUGCUCACUCAUUUCCAAAGCAAUUAAUGAUAAGAACUUUCAUCAUUAAUUGAUAUGGCCAGUGUAGAAAAAAAUGAAAAACCCCUCCAAGAUUAAAGCACAAGGAUAAGUUUAGAAUUACACUUCUUAAAUUUUGGUUAAUAAAUAAACGUCUAUAUGAAAAUAGAAAAUCUUUUUGGAAUAAAUAAACGUCAAAUUUUUGUUUCUAUCUUACUACCUUCUAAAUCCGCAAUCCCAAGUACUUAGAAGUAAAUGCUACAUAGUACAUGAGAUGUUUCCCGUUCAAAUAGCUCGUCCGAUACCAUUAACAUGUUCAUCUCUCUGUAAUUGGUGUAAUUACGAGAUUGGUGGUUGACAUGGCUUUCCUUGUACAGGUAUGUAUGAUUGUUUUUUUUUUUUUUGGCACUUCUAAAUGGAUACUGUUGAAAAGCUUAAAAUUGAACUGAUAAUUUUGUUUGGAAGCUCAGAAAAUUCAUGAGAAAGUGAAAUAGAAUAUGCUGGAUUUCUUUUCUUUCCAUAACAUACAAAUGACAAACGUAGCAGUAUUUAUACUCGUUGCUUACAUCAUAAAAACAGAAUUAAAGCAAGGUACACAACUAUAACAGCAUCAAAAGCGUGCUUAACUAAUUGGCUGAGCUGGCAUAUACUUCUUUAACUAACAAUGCUGCUGACUGGACUUUAGCUCACACAUGCUUAUCGUGCAGCUACUCUUAGUUCACACGUGCUCAGUGUGCUUCCUUAACAGACACAAGGGAAAAGACAUGAUUUUGAGAUAUAACGCUUGAAUGUUCUCGGAAUGGCAUAACGCUUCGUGUGUCUCGGAGCGGCUGAUUGGUGCUGUACGUGUUUCUCAUAUAGAACUCAAGUCUGCUGUUGUCCCAAAGUUGGAACCAGAGAUAUCAUGACUCUGGUUUCAUUUCACCUCAACUGUGUUUUUUUUUUUAAUUAAAAAAAUAAUUUUUUUAGGUAUACAUACAUGUAUUUUGAUCCCAUUUUCAUGGGAAUUUUGCAUUAAAAAAUGAAGAAUAGCUAAUAGGGAAUUUCCUGAUUCUUUAGUUACUAUUUUUGGAAUGAGGGUAAUUAGUAGUAAAGUUGGUUUCUACUCGCAAACAAGUGAGCUGCUCGAUUCCCAAGUGGUAUCAACCAGUUUUCAACUUUUUAAUAUACACAAAUUGUUAUUGUUUAAUAGCUACUACUAUUAAAACUCAACAUCUUACAAAAAUACUUAAAAAAAAUGAUUUUUUCUUAUGAUGCUGUAAAAAAAAUUACGGGUUUACUUAUUUCCACGAGAUCUUGUAUAGUGUUCUUGUAUAGUGGAAUUAAGAUUGUCUUCCCGAUGGUGCAAUUCACCCUCUUCCUUUACAGUCACUUGCACUUUGUGCAGCUUUGGUGUGGAUACGAUUCCCAGGGAAAAAGUCUUCAUGUUCGGACAAUGUGUCACAAAUACUCGUUCCAAUGAUGGGAAUUCAAGAGUGUAAUUCUCCAAACAAAAGCUGGUAAGCCUUGGUAAAUCAUCAAGUUCCAAAAGUUUUAAUUCACUGAAAGCAAUACGAUUCUCCUUCACUUCUUCUCCAGCAUGUCCUACGAUUUCUUCUAAUUUUUUGCAGUUCCAUACAUAAAGAUUCACCAGACUAGUAGGAAUUCCAACCUGAAAAUAAGCAGAGAGAGUGUGUGUGUAUAAAUAUUAAAAAAGUAAAAAUGUAAGAGUAUCAUUCAACUAGGCUCAAAGUAUGUUUGAUCAUACAAUUAUACGUUUUAUGAACAUAACAAACUGUGAAAUGUCUACUAGAUAUUUUUUGUUAAACAAAAAAGGUAACAAGAUAAAUAAAUAAAUAAAUAAAAGCCAGAUAAACAAAGAUGAUAAAAAUGUAUUUACACAAUUAGUAUUAGGGACGUAGAAAGAAUUUAAGGCAAUUUCUAAAUAUUUUAGACUUAUUUUGCAUCUUGAUAUAAGUUUUUAAGCAUAAAUUUGCACAUUUCAACUAUUCCUUUAAAAAAAAACUCAACUAAAAUGCCUCUUUUUCCCUUUUCCUUGGUCCCCUUUUUUUUAUGUAUAUAUAAAAAUGGAAAAAAAAAUUUGGAAAAGACUUCCUAGUACUGUCAACAAGGGAUUGCUGUAAAGUGGAUCUUUAUUAAGUACUUCCAGACUCGAGGAAAUUUCUUUACAAUCAAGGGUCAGUUGUAAACAAUCAUGAAUUUAUGGUUAAGUAAUGGCAUAAUCAAUUCUUAACUAAACUGGAGAUAUUAAUUAAAUUUGAAGACUUUUUUUUUUUCCCAAUCGAAAUGUGAAGAACUAAGGAAAAGAGAAAUAUAUAGAUGAAUUUGUGAACUUAUAAGAUGAGUGACUAUCCUUUAAUUUUUGAAAAUCGUACUUAUUAAGAUAUGAGCAAAAACAAUUAAAUUGAAUUAUAUUAUGCUGUUGAAUCUGUUUAAAAAAAUUAUAUUGUUGAUUCUAAUGCUGGUGAACCUAAAAACUAGACUUAAAACGUAGAUUUCAGAGUGGUGGUUUGAAGUACAAUAUUUGAAAUAAAUAAUUAGUGGCUGAAUAUCAUUUGUAAACACAGAAAUGAUUAAAAAAUUGUUGAAUGUUAUUUGAAAAAAAAAAUCGAAAUGAAUACAGAAACCUUACCAAUGGAGGAAAAAUAUUCAUUAGCUUAUCACACUCUUCUAUCUCCAAAUUCUUCAAUUUCCUGAAAGACUCCGAAGCAAGCUGGUGGUGCCAUAUUGUUCUUAGGUUAUCCAUCCACACAAUAUAUAAUACCUCCAACCUAGGAAGUCGUACCUGGCAAUUAAAGAUUAAAUAACUAAUUAAUCAAUUAAUGGCAUAAUCAAUUGAUAACUAAAUUAGAGGCGGAUAUUAACUAAAUUUGAAGACUCAAGGAAAAGACAAAUCAAGUAUUGUGACUAAAAUUAUUUUUUUAAUUAAAAAAAAAAAACUUUUCAUCAAAGAGAGGAGGAGGUUGCAUUUCAGAAUGAAUAGUGUCUUCUGGUGAGCUCGUAGAGAUGAAUCUUAACAUAUUACUGCAACAACCAAUCAUGAGGUUUAGCAAAGAAGGGAAUUCAACAACUAAAUCUGAAUGAAUAUGUCCCAUAUUGGCAAAACCUUUAAUUCAAUCAACUUUCCUUCAUCUCUUUCUGACCAUCCCGUGGUGUCGACUACCCCUUCCAUUGACUCACAAUAGCUUAUCUCAAGAUGUUGGAGUUGCAAAAGGCUAUUAACCAUAGAAUAUGAAAACAGAUACUUUAGACGAUAACACCUUUCCACAGUCACUUUUGUUAAAUUUUGACGAAAGUACAUUCCUUGAUUAUGAUCGGCCCAUAAUUUUUUCAUGUUUCUUAAGUCCCUGAGAUUCAAUUCCUCUAAGCUCGGAAGAAUAACCUGCAAAGAAAACCCGUACAUUUUUGUUCCUUCAAGUACAACCGUCUAGUAUAAUAUUCUUUUGAUGAUCAAAGAUUAAUUGUGAUAAUAAAUUAAUCAAUUAAUUAUUGAACAGAAAAUUAUCACCUUUGGAGCAGGAUCAUCAUCAGCAAUGAUUUCGUUGAAUCCCAAAGAAGUUGUUGGUUUGCUAAUUGUUGCACCAAAGAAGUAAGAUUUGAAACUUGUUUUUCUAGAGAAGUAGUACUUACCUCAUUGACUCGCUUAGGUGGCGGCAGUAGAUCGUUCCUAGUGUUGAACUGUUGGGAAUUAGCAGCCAUGUUAGCAAUGAGAUUUCGGGCUGCUUCUGGUGUCUUAUCCACGAGUGCUCCUCCACUAGCGGCAUCAAUCAUACUCCUAUCCAUAGGUAGUAGAACCUCAUAAAAGUAUUGAAUAAGAAGUUGAUCACUUAUCUGAUGGUGAGGGCAACUAGCACAUAGCUUUUUGAAUCGUUCCCAAUAGUCGUAGAGCGACUCUCCAUUAUACUGUCGGAUUCCACAAAUUUCUUUUCGAAUGCUGCCAGCUUUUGAUGCUGGGAAAUAUUUCUCCAAAAAUAGCUGACGCAUCUCAUUCCAUGUAGUGACAGUACCGGAGGGAAGAUAGUACAACCAUUCCUUGGCUGAAUCCGCCAAAGAGAAUGGGAAGGCCAUUAGCUUAACUUGCUCUUCAGAAACUCCGGCUGGUUUCAUUGUGGAGCAGACCACAUGGAACUCCUUCAAGUGGUUAUUUGGAUCCUCUCCUGCAAGACCAUGAAAAGUAGGAAGAAGAUGAAUCAUCCCAGAUUUGAGUUCAAAGUUUACUUGAGGGUUUGGAUUCUCAAUGCAUAAGGGUUGUUGGUCCAAGUUAGGAGCUGCCAACUCUUUAAGUGUUCGGUUGUUAUUCUGAGCCAUUGGUUGGGGUUCUGGGCUGCUUGGNNNNNNNNNNNNNNNNNNNNNNNNNNNNNNNNNNNNNNNNNNNNNNNNNNNNNNNNNNNNNNNNNNNNNNNNNNNNNNNNNNNNNNNNNNNNNNNNNNNNNNNNNNNNNNNNNNNNNNNNNNNNNNNNNNNNNNNNNNNNNNNNNNNNNNNNNNNNNNNNNNNNNNNNNNNNNNNNNNNNNNNNNNNNNNNNNNNNNNNNNNNNNNNNNNNNNNNNNNNNNNNNNNNNNNNNNNNNNNNNNNNNNNNNNNNNNNNNNNNNNNNNNNNNNNNNNNNNNNNNNNNNNNNNNNNNNNNNNNNNNNNNNNNNNNNNNNNNNNNNNNNNNNNNNNNNNNNNNNNNNNNNNNNNNNNNNNNNNNNNNNNNNNNNNNNNNNNNNNNNNNNNNNNNNNNNNNNNNNNNNNNNNNNNNNNNNNNNNNNNGCUAGUCCCCGGCAACGGCGCCAAAAAUUUGGUAGUGUCGUUAAGGUGCACCAAAUUUAAAACCUUACCACUAAUAUAAAUAAUUAGUACAGAGCGAGUAAGGAUCGAUCCCAUAGAGACUAUGCUAGUUAUAUUUAUUAUUAACUCCAAAGCAAGAUUUAAAAUAAAAUAAUAGUAAUAGUAAUAAUAAUAUAAAUUAAUCUAACUAAAGAAAAUGCCAAUUAAAAAUAAAAGGGGGGUUUAUGAAUUUUUAACUAAAUAGUAAGAAAUAAAGAAAUUAAAAUUACGAACAAGAAUUUAAUAAAAACUCUAAUUAAAGGAGAAAGAAAUAAUAAUGAUGAAAACUUUGGUUAAAGGAUCAUUCGCCACCACCAAACAUGCACAUAAUAAAUCAAUUCUAUUAUCAAUUUAUAUUGAAACUAUCAACCAUAGACAACAAUAAGCUCUGUUAGUCUCAAUCUUUCCUUAGUGUGUCGUUAGGUAAAAUAAGCUCUUCACCUAAUCUAUAACCAUUAAAUAAUUUAAAACAAGCUCUUUAAAUUUAAGAUAAUGGAAGCAUUAAACAAAGAAAGAAAUUAGGUUGAUCUAGGCAAUAAACACACAAGCUCAGAUUAUUUAACCUAGGUUAUGUUCUCCAAUUGAAAUCAUUAAUUCCAACCUGCUACUAAUGAUUAAAAUAUCAAGACAAUUACGGAUCAAGAAUUUUAAUCUAGCAAUAAAAUUUAUUCAAGUCCUAUCUAAUUGGCCACUCAAACAAAACAAGAAUAAACCAUGAACAUUAAUUAUAGAAGAACAUAAACAAUCUCAAUUAAAUAAAUUGAAUGAUAGAAUUUAAAUUUAAUUGCAUAGCAUGUUUAGGGUUUUGAAUUCACCCUCAACCAAAUAAAAAUCUAGCCUAACAUAAUUGAAUUGGGAAUAAGAGAAUUGACAAAACCAAUCAUAGAGAUUAAUUCAAGCGGCUGCCUUUUUCUUCAAUUGAAUUCCGGCUGCUGAUUUUUUCUUCUUCUUGCGGCUAUUGAUUUUCCUCUUGCUGCCGAAUUGGAUUUGCCCUCCCAAAGUCUCUUGCUGCCCGAAUUCUUUUCCCUCUAUUGCUUCCGCUUGAUCCUAUUUAUAAUGCUUCAAUUGUGGCUUUUUUUAAAUCCUUGCCUGGAAAGAAUUAAAUUCAAAGCUCAAAACCGCCACCUCAUGCUUCAAUUAAUAAGCCAAUAAUGAUUUCCUAAAGCCAAAAGGCUUUAUUCUCUUUCCUUUCACGUGGCAACUUUUGGUUUGCAUCUUUGUUUUCCAAUUUUGCUUUCAUGUGAUGGCUUGGCUUGUUAAUUGGCUUGGCUUCCUUUUUGACUUCCAUUUUCUAAUUUUAGCUCCAUGUGCAACAUUAAUUUUGCUCGGCCCAUACAAGCUUUAAUUAAAUUUAUUUUCUAAUUCCUUCCAAUUCUUGAUCUCUUGUGCACUUUUGUCUCUCAAUCUUCAAUCAAAUUUUUUUUCUUGAAUGCUCCGAUUUAAUUUCUCUUUAAUUCCAGAAUAUACCUAAAAUAACAAAAUAAAUAAAACUAAGAUAAAAAUUAACAAAAUAAAAUAUAAUUUACUAAAUUAAAAAUUAACUAAAAUAACUAGAAUAUUUAAGACCAAAACAAGAAAAAGAUAGAGAAAUUAAUAGCAAAAUAUAUGAAAAAUAUGCACUUAUCACAAGCCUCUCAUUUUUCAAAGCUUUUGCAAGGGUAAUAAGUGCAACAGGCAAUCCUCCGCAUUUUUCAACGAUCUCAUCUGCUAAAGGUUGAAAAGCAGAUGCUUUUGCAGAAUUACACACUAUCUUUCCAAACAAUUGCAAUGCUUCUUCCUUUGAUAAAACUUCAAUUGAGAAAUCCUUCUGAGAUUUCAUAUCAUUGCGCAAUAAAUCUCGACUUCUAGACGUCAAUAUUAUUGUGCGUCUUCUCCGAUCGUCCUCUCUAUCUUUCUCAUCAACAUCCCCAUAAGGAAUUCCAACUGUAUCGAACUCAAGUUUUGUCCAAAUAUUAUCCAGUAUAAUGAGGAGCCGCUUCUCUUGCUUCAACCUUUGACACAGUCGAGAAGCUCUUUGAAAUUCAUUCUCAUUCAAGUCAAAUUCCAUGCCUAAAUCAAAAGCAAGUUUGUCUUGAAUUUUAUGAUGAUCUGGGGUCUGUGUUAUCUCAGCCAUAACGAACUUAUCGAACAACUUAUCUUCCAUCACUUGGUUUGCAACUUGUUUGACCAGCGUGGUUUUGCCCACGCCGCCCAUCCCAUAGACCCCAAUUAUGUUGACCUUGUCAUCCUUCACCGCCUCCAUAACAUCUUGAAAUACUUUCAUUCUUGAAUCAAACGCCUCGAAAUCUUUCACUUGCAUAUGUUCUGCCCGCUUUGGAGCAGGACUGUAGGAAACAUUGGAGAAGUUGCCUUUUCCCACGAGACUAGCGGCAGCUUCUGCCGCCUUUGCUGCUUGUUUACUAAGCUUGUAACGAGAAAUCAAGUUUGGGCAUAAUCCUUUGAAGCAGGACUUCUUAGCUCUAUCUUCAUCAUCAAUGAUGGAUUUUGCAACCCCUUCACUGAUGAAUUCAUCAACGCUAUGUAGCCAGUCUGUGACACCCUCAUAAAGCUCAUCCCCUUGUAGCCUAGCAUGAUUAACUGGUUGCUGCACCAUUUCUCUCUUAUAUCCCAGCUGCUUCACUUGAUCUUUUAGCUCAUCUAUGUAGCUCUGGUACUUGAACACAUAAGAUAUCUGCCGUGUAAUCGGGUUGAACAGUGACUUUGCACCUUCUGAUACACAGUUGGUUAAAAAAGCCAGACACGCUUCUAUAGCCAUUGCCGGUUGCUUAACAAUAUAUAUCUAGUUUUUGGCUGUUGAAAAAAAAAAUGGAUUCAAAUAAAUUAAAUGAACUAGCGGGGAAGAAAAAGAAAGAAACGACAACAAACAACUUUUUAGAAAAAGGUUUCAGGGGCCUGAAUGGAAAACCAACAAUUUUUUGAAGAAAGAAAACUUUUUUGGAAGAUGGAUGCAAAUUAACCAUUAAUAAUACUGCAUAAGAACACAGAAGUUAACAAUAAACAGUAACUUAAAACUCAAGAAAAUUAAAUGACAAGAUUAAGACAAACAAGAGAUAGUUUUUGUUGGACAUUAAGAAACAUCUGCUAUCAAGAUCAAAGAUUAGAAAUUAUGCUAUUGAAAGAAAUUAUUAAAGUAUUUAGAACAAACGCACCUCUUCAAUUAUCGAGGAUCACAGAGUUUAUGAGCUUCACUCUUGGCCUUCGAUUUAUAAGAAAAAUUUUAAUGAGCAAAAGAUCACUGUUAACUGCAGAAGAAUGUGAGUAAAGAGUUUAUGGGAGUAAGCAAUACAAUUGAAUUGUAAAAGAACAAGACUUAAAGCGUGCACCCCGUGUUCAUAUAAACAGAACACAUGUUCAUUUUUAACAAAGUGAUCAAUAACUCUAUUCGUUAUUUAAUUGAUAUUGUAACCAAUUCUAAGAGAAUAUAAUAAUAAUCAUUCAAUCCAUAAAUUUAGAAUUAGAUUUUUUUAACUCUUUAUUUAAAUAUAAACCUUAAUGGAAAAUUAUAAAAGUUUAGAGAUAAAAUUUUUCAAUCACCAAACGAAAAAAACAGGGGAAUGAAAACAGAGGAAUCUUGUUUUAACUAUUUUUUUCCUCAACUCUCGUUCUUAUAUUAAUAAUCUUGUUUUGAUGAUAGUGCUCGUGACUGCGGGAAAAUUUCUACUGGAAACAACUCAAUUUCGGAAGAAAACUUAAUUUUGCAAGUGAUGAAUUUGAACUCGUUGGAUUGGUUGAUUUAUGAUUGACUGAAUUUCACUUUUGCCCAAAAGAUCUUUAACCAAAGUUUAAUAGCCAUCAUGUACUCCUUAAAAGCAAUUUUUUUUUUUAGAUUUGACUGAAUUUGAACUUGUUGGAUUGGUUGUUUUUAGAUUAUUAAUAUGAGAUAUUACAACGUAAAUAUUUUCAUGUGGUUGAGCCCUAUUCUAAAAUCUGUAUAGUUAGCUUUAGAAAAAGGGCUUUUCCUGCUGAUCUGUAAUCUUCAAAUAAACUUAGAUACAAAUAAUGAAAUAAAAGACAACAAACAAGCAAUACUGAUACAAAGCCAACAGAUCAGAGUUUUUUCUUGCCUUCUUUUGUUGAAGGAUUAGAGUUUUUGGUAUUAUCAGUAAAGGUUUCAAGGAGUAAAGCCUAUAAACUUUUUUUUUGGGGGGGGCGCCGCCGCGGGGAGGGGGGGGGGGGGGAGAGCAUGCAAAUUAACCAAAAGAAAUAAUAAGAGCACAGGCUUUAACAAUGAAUACUGACUUAAAACUCAUGCAAAAUAAGUUACAAUAUUAAAACAAACCAGAGAAAAUUUUUUCUUGGAAAGUAGAUGGAACUUAUGAAAGAGCAGAUGUCAAGGAUUUAGAAAACGCGCACCUCUUUAAUUAUCUGGGAUUAGAGAGUUGGUGAGCUUCUCUAUUUAAGAACAAGUUGAAAGAGGAAAAAGAUCACUGGUAACUGCUGAGGAAUGUGUGAGAAAAGAGUUGAUGAGAGCAAUAACAAAGACCUGCAAAAGAAAAAGAAUUAGUCAUGCACCGCUUUUCUAUAUCAUGUAUUUGGUUAUUGUUGCCCUGUUGACGCAUGUUGAAGAAGAAAGCACUAGUUCACAACUCUACGUUUUCAUAUAUUCUAAAGAAAUAAUUAAGUUUUCAUAGAAUGAUACCUGUUGUGUUUGAGUAAUUUUGGUAUAUACAUUGCUUGUGUACUGUGAAAUUGAAAUGAAUAUUGAUGGAAUGACUGAAUUUCACUUUUGCCCAAAAGAUCUUUAACCAAAGUUUAAUAGCUAUCAUGUACUCCUUAAAAGCAAUUUUUUUUUUUAGAUUUGACUGAAUUUGAACUUGUUGGAUUGGUUGUUUUUAGAUUAUUAAUAUGAGAUAUUACAACGUAAAUAUUUUCAUGUGGUUGAGCCCUAUUCUAAAAUCUGUAUAGUUAGCUUUAGAAAAAGGGCUUUUCCUGCUGAUCUGUAAUCUUCAAAUAAACUUAGAUACAAAUAAUGAAAUAAAAGACAACAAACAAGCAAUACUGAUGCAAAGCCAACAGAUCAGAGUUUUUGGUACAAAGCCAAUAAAAGACAAUAAACUUAGGACCUUUUUUUCUUGCUUUCUUUUGUUGCAGGAUUAGAGUUUUUGGUAUUAUCAGUAAAGGUUUCAAGGGUCUGAGUAAAAGCCUAUAAUCUUUUUAUAAACUUUUUUUUUUGGGGGGGGGGGGGGGGGGGGAGCAUGCAAAUUAACCAAAAGAAAUAAUAAGAGCACAGGCUUUAACAAUGAAUAGUAACUUAAAACUCAUGCAAAAUAAGUUACAAUAUUAAAACAAACCAGAGAAAAUUUUUUCUUGGAAAGUAGAUGGAACUUAAGAAAGAGCAGAUGUCAAGAUCAAGGAUCAGGGAUUCUACUAUCAAAAAAAAAAAAAUUAUUCAAGGAUUUAGAAAUCGUGCACCUCUUUAAUUAUCUGGGAUUAGAGAGUUGGUGAGCUUCUCUAUUUGGCCUUCAAUAUUUAAGAACAAGUUGAAAGAGGAAAAAGAUCACAGGUAACUGCUGAGGAAUGUGUGAGAAAAGAGUUGAUGAGAGCAAUAACAAAGACCUGCAAAAGAAAAAGAAUUAGUCAUGCACCGCUUUUCUAUAUCAUGUAUUUGGUUAUUGUUGCCCUGUUGACGCAUGUUGAAGAAGAAAGCACUAGUUCACAACUCUACGUUUUCAUAUAUUCUAAAGAAAUAAUUAAGUUUUCAUAGAAUAAUUUUGGUAUAUACAUUGCUUGUGUACUGUGAAAUUGAAAUGAAUAUUGAUGGACAGAGCAAUGCAUAUGCCUAAAAAAACAUAAAGCAAAUCCUUGAACGAAUGAUUCAGGACUAAAACUUUUAUAAAAGCAAAUACCGGAAACACACAAAAAGCAUUUAAGAGAGAAACUAAACCGCAAAUAAUCGAAGUAAGAUCAAUAAUAUAUGAUUUGAUUUAUGCAUAUUCAAAAACCAAAAUAUAAAAUAAAAUACAAAAUUAAAGUUUGGUUUAUUCUUUCCACAAAAAACAGGGGAAUGAAAACAGAGGCAACUUGUUUUACCAAUUUUUUCUUCUUAAUUUCCGGCAAAAAAAAUCAAUAAACAGGGGAAUGAAAACAAAGGAACGAAAACAGAGGAAACUUGCUUUUCAGGCUAUCUUGUGACAUGAUGAUAUUGCUCGUGAAUGCAUGAAAAUUUCUAAUGCAAACAGCUCAAUUUGGGAUGAUAAGCUUAAGUUUGCAAGUGAUGCAUGAUAAUCAGAUAUUUGUGGCUUUUAAAACUCAAGAAAACUCAAGAAAAUUAAAUGACAAGAUUAAGACAAACAAGAGAUAGUUUUUGUUGGACAUUAAGAAACAACUACUAUCAAGAUCAAAGAUUAGAAAUUAUGCUAUUGAAAGAAAUUAUUAAAGUAUUUAGAACAAACGCACCUCUUCAAUUAUCGAGGAUCACAGAGUUUAUGAGCUUCACUCUUGGCCUUCGAUUUAUAAGAAAAAUUUUAAUGAGCAAAAGAUCGCUGUUAACUGCAGAAGAAUGUGAGUAAAGAGUUUAUGGGAGUAAGCAAUACAAUUGAAUUGUAAAAGAACAAGACUUAAAGCGUGCACCCCGUGUUCAUAUAAACAGAACACAUGUUCAUUUUUAACAAAGUGAUCAAUAACUCUAUUCGUUAUUUAAUUGAUAUUGUAACCAAGAUCAAGGAUCAGGGAUUCUUAUGCCUACUGAUAUUUAAACAGAGAAUUCUUUCUUCUUUUUCUCUUCAUGGAUUAGAGUUUUUGCUAGUAACAGAAAGGUUUCAAGGGUCUGAAUAAAAUCCCAGAUUUUUUUUUAACUUUGUUUUUUGUGGGAAAAUGGAUUCAAAUUAACCAAAGCCAAUAAUAAGAUCACAGACUUUAACAAUGAACAAUAACUUAAGCAAAACCAAUGACAAGAUUAAAACAAACCACAGAAAUUUUUUCUCGGAAAGUAGAUGAAAAGCAAGUAAGAACUGCUAUUAAAGGAUAUUAUUAAAGGAUUUAGAACAUGUAUACCUCUUUAUUUAUAUGGGAUCAGAGAAUCGAUGACCUCCUCUAUUCGCUUCAGAUAUUAAGUAAGAACUGCUAUUAAAAGAAUGAAUUGAUGAGAGUAAUAACAAUGAUUGCAAAAUAGGAAGACUCAAUCAUGCACCCCUUUUAUACCUGAUCAUAUUAAGAAGUCGUUAAAGAAUAACGACUAAAUUAGGAAUUAAUUCUGAAGUUCAGAAUCAAGAACAAAGACGAAGCUUUAAUAACGCAUGCAGUGAGAUACAAGAAAUGGAUCUGGUAAAAUACAUUAAAAAAAUUUGUUCAACUUCAACCUAGUUAAGCUGAUGAAAGCACUAGUUGUUGGCUCUACGUUUCAUAUGUUCUAAUGAAAUAAUUAAGUUGAAGUUUUCAACGAAUAAAUACCUGUUUCGCUUGAAUAGCUUUGGCAUAUACAUUACUUGUGUCCUGUGAAAUUGAAAAGGUUAUUGAUUUACAAAGCUUAUUAGUAGAGAAAAGCUACGUAAGAUGCCUGAUAAAAGAUAAAGCAAGAGCUUGAAUGAAGAAUGACAUUUUAGAAAGAAACUAAAGUGUAAUCAUCAAAGUAGGAUCAAUAAUGUACCACUUUCCUUGCAAAUCUGGUGGGUUUUCUGAAUAGAUUUUUACAUUAUUCUAUUUAACCAUUUUGGGUUUACCCUAAGCAUUCUUGGUUGGCAUUGUCCUGUAAUCUGCGUGCCCUGGAUACGUGUGAGGGAAAGAUGAGGGUAGAUAUGCAAUUUCAAGAAGCGAUUUGCUUGCAUAAUUCAAUGCAUGGAAAGAGAUGUACCUGACCAGAAAAAAAAGGGCACCAUCCAUAUCUGAGCUUGACUUUUUAGAUGGAUAAAUAUUCUUAUUACUGUUGAUAAUGGAGAAGGGUUCUACUUUUACUUUGCCAUCUUUGAUAUAAAACAGCAUGAUUCCUUUUUAUCAAACACUUGCCUAAGUCUAUUUUUUAUUUUUCUUAUUUUCAGAAAGAGAUUAGCUUAAUUUAAAUUAUAUUCAAGUACAAAGUGUUAUACACUCAUAAAACGAGAAAUAGGCAUGUAUUGAUCACGCGCAAUCUAGUUUUUUUUUUUUUUCUUUUUUUUUAAUCCAGUCUUCUUAUUAAAAAAAAAAGAAUUUAUUUGCUUUAUUUUAAAUUAUUUUUUCAUGCGGUAAAUGCAAUACUGAGUAAUGGGUGAGCAAAAUAUUUACAGGCACACCCCCUUUUAAUGAUUUCGUACUAAAAUUAAAAAUUGACGAUUCCAUGAUAAAGUUCAAAGAGUAAAUGAAGACCCAUAAAUGUUUUUUGGUCAUGAGCAAUUUUUGAGUUGGGACAGCACUCGUAUGAAAAAAAAUAGUUUUUUUUUUUCUUUAAGCAUGAGGAUAUUAAUUCUUUUUUUAUAAAUCAGCGUGAAUAUAAAAUUAAAAAAAUAGUUUUGAAUAACUUCUUUUCUUUUUUCAUAAAUAUAGAUAAAAAAUUUUAAAGUCACCAAACACAAAACCAGGAAAAUGGAAAGGAAGCCCCUGUUUCUCCGCUGCUGCAAGCACAAAUUCGGUUUCUACAGGAGUACCUUCUAAAUGCACCAUUUGUAUUGCUUUGUUUCCACGUAAGCUAACGGAAUUUGAUGAAGACAAAAUAGAUAUGAGUCGUGCUAUUCACACCCCUCGAUAAUUCUCUCAAAAUCCCCUUUCUAAUUAUACCGCCUUGAAUAAUUUCAAAACUGACUUUUCCUCUUAUAAUACCACCUUCAAUUCCCUUAAUACCCUUGUUCGCUAUGAAAAUAAGGAAAAUGCCUACAUAAAAAGCUGGCUCUGAUAAUCUACCUGAAUUUACAUUAGAAAAGAGUGGACUUUGAGAAAUAAGAAGACAAUAUAGGGAAUUUUACCAAAAUAAUCCAUUUUUAUAUACAGGGAAUGGUAUUUUCUAAUAUAAGGAGGAGUGGAGAAAUUAAAUUUAGCAAAAUAAAGAACCUCCAUCGAGAAGCAAAAAUGAUGAUAUCUUUGUCGUGAAGAGAUUUCAAUUCAAUUGCAUACAUUGACGAAACAUUAAAUACGGAAAAAACAAAAAAGAAAUAAUAGAACAUGGGGAUUUCGAGAACUUCUAAAGAGAGAAAUGUAUUUAUAAGCAUUGAAAAUUAGCUCAUUAAAUUUGACAGAAUAAUAUACAAUCUCACUGUUGGCCAGAAAAUAAUAGUAAGAACUUGUGAACAUAUAUAAUCAAUUGCUUAUUACUUAAGCUUUUUCUCCGUUAUUUUGAAUGGGUGCAAAGAGGAGAAGUUUUGUACCCAAAUUCCAACUCGAAUUGUGUAGGCUGCUUGCAAGAGCUUCAUUAGAUUUUUAUUUGUCUUUUAAUAGUGCUACUCGAUAAAUACAGCUAGCUAUCUGUCCUUUUUGUUACUGGACUAUAGAUCAAUUGACAGUUGAAGUUAUAUUAAUUUGUUGUACUGGAAUUGAAGCUUGUAUCUUAGCCAUUUCGUGAAGUGUCAAAUAUAUUUUUAAUUUCCUUAAAAUUGUUCAAAAUAUGUUUACACUUUUAAAGUCACUAUUAUACAUGAGUGCCCUAAAAUCAUUUCCUUAAAAUUGUUCAAGUGGGAUCCUAGUUCUCUAUGGCAGUUGAAGAGGUAAAUGCGCAUAGAGCUAUGCUCUAUCAUAGGCCUCGGCCACUAUAAGAAAUUUGAUUUUUUAAGACGAUAUUUUUUACAACAACUUUAAAUUUGGUCACAAAAUGGUAUUUAUUGUGACAAAUUUUUUAAAUCGUAGCUAAUAAUCUUGUCCUAACUUAUAUUUUUUUUUGUAACCAAUUAUUUUUAUUUUGAGACUUGUUCAUUGGUCAUUAAUUAAAUUUUUUUAUACCAAAAAUUAUUUUAGUCACCAAAAGAUAUAUUUUUUUGGCGCAAAAUCUUCCCUCCAAAAGUGAUUAUUUUGAGACAAUAUUUCACUAUUUAUGACAAAAUAAAUAGUCAUGAAAUAUAAUUAUAGGCGACCAAAUUAUUUGGUAACUAAAAGAGGGGUGUAAAAUUAACUAAACAAUCUAUGACACAAAAUAUUAGUAGCCAAAAUUAUUGUUCUUUUGGCAUAUUUUAAGACCAUUUUUUUGGUCAUAUAUAAUUACCUACAGUGACAAAAUUAAAAAAUAGUCGUUGAAUGUUUUAUCUUGAAUAAUUUUAUAUUUGAUAACCAAUUUUUUUUUCUUUUUGAGACAUAUUACUUGGUCCCUAUUUCAACUUCUUUUUGACUAACUUUAUAAUAGUCACAAAAGACAUUUUUUUUUUUUUUGGCAUAAAAAGUCUGUCCAAAGUUAGCUCUUUUGGGACAAUAUAUAAUCUUUUAUGACAAAAUAUAUAGUGGCGAAAUAUAAUUAUUUUUUACAAAGUUAUUUCGUAGCUGAAAAAGAGGUGUAAAUUUAGUUAACCUAUUUGUGACAUAAAAUAUUAGUCUCCAAAACUAUUAUGCUUUUAGCCAAUUUUAAGACCCGAUUUUGUUGUCAUGGAUAAUUACCUAUUUUCAAAAAACUAAGAGAUAGUAAUCAAAAGUUUGUCUUGAUUGACAUUGUAUUUUAUGAGCAAAAUAUUUUGUUUCAGUGACACUUUACUUGGUCUCUGAUUAGACUUGUUUGUGAUGAUCAAUAGAAAUAUAUAAUAACCACUAAAUUUUUUUGGAUUAAAUUUUAUAGAUACUAUUAAUUAAGUUGUUGACGAAAAUGAUCGAACCAAUACUAAUAUGGGAUACCAUCAACAGCCGUAAUACUUAUGAACCGAGAAAUUAUAAUAUGUAGUGAAAAAGUUUUAACAGUAGUCCCUAGUAUUUAGAAUUAUUUUGACUACUUUAUUUAUUUCCAAAACAUAAAAUUCUCAACCCAAAAUUCCCCGCAUUGUGUUUUAUUUUGUCUCCUCACUCAGUUACUCUUAUUAACUCACGGCUUGACAAAAAAAAGAAAAAAAUUCUCACAGCUUGAUGUUCUCCUCUCUUUAAAAAUAAAAAUCCCCAGUUACUCUGCUCAAACUCGUUAAUAUUUGUUUCCACCACCAAAGCAGCCACUCGUAUCUUUUAUUAAGCAUAACGUUUUUCUUAAAACCUAAUUGAUCAUUCUUUAACGUCUCCAGGAUUAUAUUUGGCACGCUAUUUUUCUCCUUCAAUUGAAUAGAAGUCUAGAACCUUUUUUUUUUCGCAAUUCACUUUUGCUGUGUUUCGUGGUUUGGACUAAGAUCAUGACAAUUAUUGAACGAUGGGGAUAAAUAUCAAAGAAGGAGCUUACAUGCCCUAUAUAUCUCUCUUUGGAUGAAUAACGAAUGUGAGCUUUCAAAGUACAGAGAUUUACAUGUUUUAAUUGUCAUUUACAUUGCUGCAUGCCAAUUGCUUGAUAAAAUACUGCAACAAAUACGCAUUCUCGAUUUUCUUAUAAAUUUAUUUUCUUAAUCUGAAAAAAAUUGAAUGUUCAGAGAAUUUUGAAGGUUUUGGUGUAUGCAUUAAUAUUUCGAUUCUAUUUAUGUUGUUUAACUAAUGAAGAUGAUACAUCUAGCCUCUUUUUGCCCCUUGUUGUUUUUAUUCUUGUGCUUUAUAUACGGUUCAAGUGUGAUACACUUUAGUUUUUCUCAAGUGUUUGUUAGUAUUUCCCGAAGCAAAAUUUGUCACAGACUUUGAGUUCAAAAGUUGAAAUCAUAACUAACAUACUUCGAUUUUUUAUUUUCCUUUUUUCUUCGGUAUCCUUCUAUAUGGCAUUGGUUGAGAAAUUGGUGUACUUAGAUCGUAAUAUUCUGUAGAAAUAAGCCAAUAUUUCAUUACGUACAUUGUUUAAUAUGAUGAGUAUUGUAUAGAAGUUUUACAUAUAAGCUCCUUAUAUAUUAUGCAUUAUGUUUUUAUCAUAUUGUUGCUUGGAACUUUGAAGGAUUGGCCACAGGGCUUUAGUCCUACAUGGACAUUUUAUAUUUAAUAGCUGGUUAGGCAUUUUAUUUGAUGUUAUUUGGACUUGUAGGUGUUAAAAGUUUUGUUCAGUAAUUUUAUAAUUCAGAUUCCCAUUGUGAUAAGAUAGCAAUUUUUUGUGUGUCAGAUUCUGUCAACUGAUAUUUAGCUAAAAUAUCUCACUAACCCCUAUUGGUUAGGUAUUAUUUUAAAUCACAUACUUGAUUUUUAUUUUCUUUUUAUCUGUGGAAUCCCAUGUAUCAUUCAUAAGAAACAAGCUAUUAUAUAAUCUAUUCUUUAGAUCCAUUUAUAUGUAGUGAGCACUCUGAUUUCUAUUAUUUGAAUUUUUUGCUACUGUUACUACUCUUUCGGCCCUUCAAAUAGGGGUUAACAGAAAUGGUGAGUAUAUUAAUACAAAUUCAAACUUUCUUUUUCUAAUUUUAUCCAAAAUAACCUACUAUUUUAUUUUAAUUUCAAACUUUUGUCAUAGUCUAAUGGGCAGUUGUCUUGUCAUUAUUUGGUUUCAAGUAAGAAGAGAGAAAGUUAGUGAGAGGAUGAAAAUUUUGCAAAAACUUGUUCAUAGCUAUGGUAAUUAAGUAGUUUGAGUUCUUUUUUUUGUUGUUUUCUAUGUUGGUUUUGGAUCAUUGUAGUUGCUGAUUGUGAUUUAUUGUCGCCUAUGGUUGCUGACUUUUGUUUACUGUGGCUACUUUAUUAAAGCAAUUUUGGAUAUUGAAGUUUAUGGCCAACUUUUAUUAGACACUUCUGACCUUUAUCGAUAUAUUUUCUGAACCUUUACACUUAAGAUGUGUGUGUGUGUUUUUAAAAAAUACAUGUGAAUGAAAUAGUACUUGAAAUAAUAUAUUUUCUCAACUUUUAUUAGAUAUAGUGAAAUAGUACUUGAAAUAAUAUAUUUUCUCAACUUUUAUUAGAUAAUUCAAAGUAUAUCCCACUUAUUAUCGAUAUAUUUGCUCAAGUCUCAUGUGCAACAUGUGAAUGAAAUAGUACUUGAAAUAAUAGAGACUUUGUUUUAUGACUCAUAUUUUUACAUUUCUUUGCAAGGAACCAUACUUAAUUGUACCUAAUAGAAGAGAUAUCUUUUCACUAUAUAGUCUUAGUAUAAAAAGAUACAUCUUCUAUAUAAGGCACAAUUGAUGGGACAUAUCUUUAUACUAAGACAUCAUUCAUAUUUAUCACACAAUAAUAGAAACUGCAAUGGUAGGUGGAAUAUUAUGAAGUCAAAAUUGAGAACGACAUUAAAUCAUGAAUUCUUUAUGUGUUUACUCGAAUGCCUGACAGUAUUUAGUUCAAUUAACACAGAUUGGAAAUCCAAAUGAUUGAAGAGUUGUAUGAGUUCAAGUUCAGUAUUUAAUUACUAUAUAAUUAUACAUAAAUGUGGAUUUUGCAAGCUUGAACCCAUGUGUGUUAGCCCAUUUCGGCCCAAUAAACAUAUUGUUCUGGAUAAAAAAUAUCAGGGGAUCUCUGAUGUUUCUUUGGUUUAACAUAAAUUUAUUCCUAACUCUAUAACCAUGCAUUAUUUAGACAAAAAUUUUUGCAAUCACCAAACAGUAAAACAGAGAAAUAAAAACGGAGGAGCUCUUUUCUAAAACAGAAGUAGGUGUUUUGUCUGAACGUACCACUUUCUGUUUAAUUAUUAUGUUUACGGAAUAGAUUUUUUUUUAUUAUUCUGUUUUAUGUUUCCGUCUUUACCCUAAGCAUUCUUGGUUGGCAUCGCUGCAUUGUCCUGUAAUCUGUGUGCCUUGGUGAGGAGGGGAAUGGAUAACUGUGGUGCUGGAUACGUGAGAGACAAUGAUGAGGGUAGAUUUGUAAUUGCCAGAAGCGAUUUGCUUGCAAUAAUUCAAUGCAUGGAAAGAGAUGCCUCUAACAAAAAAUGGGACUAUCCAUAUCUGAGCAUUAGAGCUCUACGUCUUAGAUAAAUAAAUAUACUUAUUAGUAUUGUUUUUGCAUAUAUCUUUCACAAAAUUAUUGUAUUCGCUUAUAUAGAGAGGACGAUUUAGAUAAGUUUCAACUAAAAAUUGACAAUUCCAUGAUAAAGUUAAAAAUCACCGAAUAAAAAACUGGAAAAUCCCCUGUUUCUCCUCUGCUUUCUUUUGAUUAUUAUUAAAAAGGGGAAUUAAAAAAUGAGUUGCAAGCACAAAUUUUAUUUCUACAGUAGUACCUUCUAAAUGCACCAUUGUUUGAUACAUUAAAAUUAAACAUUACUUAUGCUAGUAUAUCGGUACUUCACAUGUCCGUUCUUCAUUAAUGUAUAUUCAUUUACACCCAAGCUACCUGUCAGUUUUGCGAAAACUGAAUUUAAAGGUGUGGCUUAAAUUAAAAUAAUAAUCAGCCUCAUAGAAUACAGAGAAAAAAGAUAAUUUAUCACAAUCAUAUCCUAAUGCAUCAUAAAUUUAGAUUAUUUAAUUACUGUUAGGAAAUCUGCUUAGAUAAGGCGCACACUACAAAUUCUAAAUUAAAUUCCUAAUUAACAAUAAAAGAUAGACCCUAUUAAUCGUCCACCAGGUACCUUGUAGCCUGCAUCAUAAGUUUAGAUUUAAAUUUUUGCAAUUACCAAACGGAGAAACAGGGGAAUGAAAACAAAGGAGCCCUAUUUUUUCCAUUUUUGUCCCCCUUAACUCUUGUCCUUAUACAAAUAUUUUUCCUUGGAAUUUCAGGCAUACGAAAAAAUAUUGAAAAUUAUUUAAAGCAAACAGGUGGAUGAUAACAAAAAUAUAUUUAAUUAACCAAAUCAAGACACUAUAUUGGUCGUCAAUGUUUCGGCAUCACUGUCUUCUUCAGAUGUUACUUGUUUUUCACAUUUAUUUUGCGCUGUUGUGGAUUAAUAUGGUUCUGCUGGGUGCACAUUUUUACGUGCUACUGUAUUUUCUCUCAGUCCUUUUUAAAAGAACAUACACCCACAUACUAUGUAGAGUGACCUUUUUUAAUGAGGAAUCUGUCAUUUUAAUAAAAUGAAGAAUAAACUAAAAGGUAGAAGUACACGAACUCUAAUGCAAUAUACCUUUUCUUUUCUUUUACCUUUACUAUAAGAUAGGGAAUGAUAUAAUUGAUAAUGGAACUUGGGGUCAGAGCAGCGGUGUAAUUUUGAGAGGAUUUACAAGAUGGUAAGUGCAAUAAUUAACAGGCUCAUUUAAUAUAUCAAACUGCUAGAUAAUUGUACUAGUUAAACAUAAUUUUCAGAGAAUCUUUUUAAGGGUUUAUUUAUUAAUAUUUUGUUUCUUUCCAGCAUGAACACUUUGUUUUGACACGUGCUUAACAACCUUCAACGAACUGGAACAACCUUCAUCACAUGCUUCCUCACGUGAUUACUUAAAUUGAUAUGUAAAACGUGCUCCAUCCAUGUCGUUUCCACUAAAUCGUUUUUUGUUAAGAAUCAGCUGAGCAGCACGUGAGCUAAUGAAGCUUUUACGGCUUCAAAACGCAGCCGUUUCUGGGAACCAAACUUGAUUCAUCAUCUCACAACUACAGAUGAAUUAUCGAAGUGGCUGAUUGGUGCUGUACGUGUUUUUCGUAUUGAACUCAACUCUGCUAUAAUACAUGCGUGCAUCUGAUACAUGCACAAAAACCACCACUCCCACUCCCACUCCCACUCCCACGCCCUCGCGUCACGCGCCUUACCACUCCCUCGCCUCACCUCACCUCUCUUCUUGUUCCACGGCCAUCAACGGCGGCACGAGUCGGCAACGAUCAACUGCGGCUGUAAAUUGACCACAAUCAUCUCUCUCUCUCGGCUUUGCUCAAAUUUGGCCGAUCUAUGCGCUUGCUUAAGCUUGGCCGAUCUAUGCUUGCUCAAUUACUCUUCCUAUAUUCAGUCGGAGUCAACUGUUUGACAAGAGUCGAAGUCCAAGGUUCUUUUUUACAGGAUUUGAGCUACUUCUUUUAUUCUUCUUCCAUGUUCACUGAUACGAAGCUUUGAUGUGGUGUUCUGAGAGCGGGUGGAAUUUGAGAUUCUCCUUUCUUCUCUAUAUGAAGGUGCUUGUCAUGUGUCAAGAAAAAUAAAAUUAUUUACAAAAGAUUAUUUUAAGGAGAUUUAUUAUUAUUCGUGGAUCGGGAAGCUCAAAAAAUUUUCUUAUGUAGACUCAAAUCAUUUCUAUAGGGCGAAGCAUAUGAAUGAUACAUAUUAUCUUUUUUUGGCCUUAUGUAUUGUUAUUUGCAGUGUGAUUUGGUCUAGCUUAAGAGCUUAAGCUUGCAGGCUGGAUUUGUCUGACAUGGAACAAUUUAAUUUGUUCAUCGUGAUGUUUAUAUCCAUUUUGUACUACUAUCAAUUUCAAUCAUGGCUAAUUUUUAUAUGUAUUUCUCGUGGACUCUCAGGUUCAGUGCACAAGAGGAUGAAGACGAUGGACACCCAAAUUUGAUGUGGAGAACAACUAUUGCAAAUGGUCCUUGAUUUACUUCUCCAAUUGACUUGAAUUGGUUUGACGCAAUUUAUAGUGUAUUUUUGUCAUCUUUGUAUGACUGGCAGGUCGUCCUGAUUUGGUACAUGACUGGACACAGGAAUUGGACUCAUAUUUUUCAAACCAGAAUGCCAACAAUCAAGCAUUUUCUUUUGAAAGCACUGGCGUCUUCUUCAGUGCCAAAAAGGUUAGAGAUUUUCUGUAUCCUGUUUUGUAUUUGAUCAGUUUAGCAUGUGGGUGGCAAUCAAGAAAAGUUAUUAUAACAUUUUUGUGUUCCCGAAAAACUGCUGCUGAUGUGUAGUGCAGGAAAUGAAUUGUUUGUGACUUCUUUUUAUUUGUAUUCUUUCUUUUUUCUUUUCUCCCCAACAGAAUUACGUAUUUCUGAAGAGCUUCUUGAAGUUGAUUACCAUGUAUGCCACUUUCUUUACUCUAUGCUCAGGAUGUGAUUUUGUUUAGGUCAGAACCAUCAUCUAAAGUUUACUUAAUGCUGCCGAGAAGCUGUAGUAGAGCAAUGAAGGCUGUUGGUGUUAUGAAGGCCAGCUGUGAAGAAAUAUUUGAACUUGUAAUGAGCAUGGAUGGGACACGAUACGAGUAUGCUUCUUUUCUAUUUUUUAUUUUUAGUUACUUUAACAUAAUCAAGACUAUAUUGGCUGUCUGUGUAAGCUGAGUAUUAUAUUUCCUCUUGUAUGCUGUGAAAUUCACAUUGUCUCCAGUCCCGAUUCUGUAUGUGCCUUUUUGAAUAUAUUUAAUUAAUCUGCAUGGUGCUUUCUAAAGAUUAUUACAAACUUUUGUUGCUUAAGUAUAUGAAGAAUGUGGAAAUGAAAAUAGCUUUUGAAGUUUGAUGGAUUGCUUCAUUAAUAAAGAAAGACUAGGACUCAUUUUUAUAACUUUUCUCCACUUAGCUAAUGGUAUUUGAUGAAGACAAAAUAGAUGUAGCUAUCUAUAUUUUUUGUUGCUGAACUAUAGAUCAAUUGAUGGUUGAAGUUAGUUAUAUUAAUUUGUUGUACUAGAUUAAAGCUUGUAUCUUAGCCAUUUCAUGAAGUGUCAAAUACGUUCUUUCCUCUUUUUUUUUUUUUUCGAAACAUGUUACACUUUUGAAGUCACUAUUACAUAAAAGAGUGUUCUAAAACAGGAGAAGGCGUGCUGCCUGAAAUUACCUGUUUCCUAGCAAAUCUAGCUGGUUUGCGAAUUAGAUUUUAACAAGUCUCUUGGCAAGGUUUGCUAGUAAUGUGUUCAAAUUAUUCUAUUUAAUUUUACUGUCUGUACCCUAAUAAUUCUUGGUUUGCACCAUUGCAUUGUUCCAUAAUCUCUGUGCGUUGGCUUAUAAAGGCCAGCAAGGCUGAUCAUUUGUCGAAUAGUUAUUUCCAUGAAAUUCCUAUCAAUUUGACUCAGUAUUUAGAGGUCUUGAAGAGGGCAGUGUACUAGACAUGGAUUUCUACCUCUUUUGGUUGUACAAUUGUUGUAUUUCUUGGCCAUCAGAUCUUUUUUAUGUACCUUUCUCAAAGUUCUUGCCGCACGUACACCGUUUUUCAUGUUUUGUGCAGGUGGGAUUGUAGUCUUCUGUAUCGCAGCUUAGUUGAAGAGGUAGAUGGUCAUACGGCUAUUCUCUAUCAUAGGCUUCAGCUGGACUGGCUUCCAAUGUAAUAGUCUCUUGAUUCAAUCAUCUCAUUUAUGCUUUGGUCAGAAUAGAACAUUUAUUGUUCUUCUUUCCCCUUUCCUCUCUUCUGAUGUAAUAUGUGAGGAAAUUACCUAAAAUUUCUGUAUCCCAAUGUAAUUGUUGGCAUUCAGAAAUAAAAUAAAUACACCGUCUUGUUUUUCCCUCGGUUCAGUCCUAAGUUCUCUUUGGGCCUUCUGCAAGUUUUUAAACAUACUGUGACAGUAAAAAAUCUAGUGAUUGAGAUCAUUUUGAUGAAUUUAAUUUUAAUUCUUAGCUGAUACUUUUUCUGGAAUUUUUUUCUUAUGUUUCCUCAAUAUGACUUAAAUAUAGGGCUUAGUCAUGGAUCAUGCACCAGAGUGAUGGAAGCACCCCUUGUUUAUUAGGAAAAGCAGUUGAUUGUAACUAUAUCCGCGGUCCUAAGUAGUUAGAAGUAAAUGCUCUUCGAAUUCCUAUAGUACAUGGGAUGUGUUCCCUUUCAAAUAGCUUGUUCAAUACCAUUAACAUGGUUUAACAUUGUUCAUCUUUCUGUAGAUUGAUGUUGACGUGUUCUUCUAGAGUUGCUAAUGGAGUUUUGGGCCUUGUAAUUGGUGUAAUUACGGCAUUGGUGGUUGACAUGGCUUUCCUUGUGCAGGUAUGUAUGAUUGUUUUUUUCCCCCACUUCUAAAUGACACGAGGGAAGAGACAUGAUUUUGAGAUAUUGUACUGCAAUUUGCAUAUUUGCAUACUUGAAUAGUAACUCAAGAAUCAUUUUCAGAAUGGUAUAAUGCUUCGUGUAUGCAGGCAAAUACUACAGAUGAAUUACCGGAGCGGCUGAUUGGAGCUGUACGUGUUUCUUAUAUAGAACUCAAGUCUGCUAUUGUCCCAAAGUUGGAACCAGAGACAUCAUGACUCUGGUUUCAUUUCACCUCAACUGUUUUUUUUUUAAUUGAAAAAAAAAAUCAUUUGUUUUAGGUAUGCAUACAUGUAUUUUGAUCCCGUUUUCAUUGUAAUUUCUCAUUUACUUUGAAAGAAAGUCACUGGUGUUUUCGAAUAGGAAUUUUGCAUUAAAAAAUAAAGAAUACUUAAUAGGAAACUUAAUAAUUCUUUAGUUACUAUUUUUGGAAUGAGUGUAAUAGUAUUGAAGUUGGUUUCUACUCGCAAUCAAGUGAACUACUCGAUCCCCAACUGCGACCGCACUAAUUGUCAUUGUUUAAUAGCCUACUACUUUUAAAACUCAACAACUAAAAAAAUGAUUUUCUUAUGAUGCUGUGAAAACAUUUAUGGGUUCACUUAUUUCCACAAGAUCUAUAACAUGGUCUUGACUUCACGAAAUUCUUUUAACUUAAAGGGUUCUGGUCUGAGAAAGUUAAUUUGACGGAUUAAUUCCUUUUAAUAAUGGUCGAGUUAAUUUUACUAUACUCGUAAAACUAUUAUUAUUCUGAUAAUGCCACAAAUGUUAUGAUGUUUUCUUCAGCCAAUAAUCUUCUAUUAGGACUAGUUAGAAAUCAAAUGCUUAAAACACCAAUUGAAUGAAUAAUGCAGAAGUUUAAACAGUAUCUAAUUGAAAAUUACAUGAAGCAUGAAACAUCAAUUCAAGUCCUUCCUUAAACAGAGAAUGCAUCAAACAAAUCCAAAGUGUCUUGCAUGUCUGUAAAUAAUUGUAAAUGCGUUUAGAUUAUUCAAGUACAGGAGAACAAGCAAGUUGAAUCAUGUACAAGAGGUUGGCCUGGUUCGAGAUAGCUUCUUCACAGUACCUGAAGGGUUGGCUCAAUCUUUUCUUUAGAAUUCUGCACAUUUUGUAAUUACUCGUGUAAGCAAGCAUACAUUACAACCAUAAUAAUAAUAAGGCAAGAGUAAUGAUACGACCACAGCCUCUUGUGCACAAAUAAUAUUGUACAAACUAAUAUGACAUAAUAUGAUUGAUUAAACAAAAACAUAACAUGACCCUCAUAAUUUAUUUAUUAUUAUUUUAUAUUUUCAGUCAAGCAAUCAUAUUAUGCCACAUUAAAUAGAAAUAAUUUACUAGAUAGUGCCAACACUUCAUUGAUACUCACCAUUUCAUUGAACAAUUUUUUUAUAGUGUCAUUGAGGUUGCCUUCCCAACAUCCUUCAUCAUCACCAUCUUCAUCUUCGGUGGGUUUCACUUUGUUUAGCUUUGGUGCGUCUACGACUCCUGGAGAGAAAAUCUUCAUCGUUGGGCAUUGUCUCACAACUACGUGUGCCAAGGACGGGAACUCAAGAGCGUAAUUACCCAAACUAAAGCUUGUUAGGCUUGGCAAACAAUCAAUUCCCAAGUACUCCAAUUUCCUGAAAACAAUGCAAUCUUCCGCUUCUUCUCCAACCUGCGACUGUAUAAUUUCUUCCAUCAUUUUGCAAUCAGUUAUCUUCAUUCUUUCAAGAUUCACUAGACUUUCAGAUGUUGAGAGUGUCAAUAAAUUUAUCAACCCAUGACACUUCGAUACUUCCAGAGUCGCAAGAUUUUCCAAAUGCCACAAAGCUGGUACUAAUUUCUGCAACUUACUACAUUCAAAUAUUUCUAGACUUUUCAAGUUUGCAAACACUUUGUUGGAUUCGGCAUUUUCCUUCCAGAGAUGCUGCACUUUGUGUAAUCCAGAUAGCUUUAACUUCAUCAAUUGAGGGAAUGCAACCUGAAAAUCAACAAAAUUAAGUUGUAAAUGAAAAUAUGUAUCCAAUCUCUACAGUCUUCCCCUACAUAUUUUAUGGACAAGAUUAAUCACGGCAUUUUAUAUUUUAUUUCCAAAUUAGUAUGCUUUGCAGUAGGAUCCCAAAUAUAAGUAUCAAAUCGAUUACCCUUUGAAACACAUAAAUGAAAUCUGAUCAUAAAUCCAAUAUGAAUUAGCUAGGAAAACAAAGAUCUAACACGCAUAAUUUAUGCGAUAUAGUUCAUCACCUCCUGUCACUAGGCAUCUAAUUAAUUUGAGACAUUUUUUUAAUUCAUACUAUAAAGUUAGUUAAUAACUACAAUUAUAUUGUUAAAUCAGAUAUAAAUUAAGACGACGUGCAAAAAGAUAAGUCAUUAAAUUUGAUUUGAUUCUAAUGAAAUUACAUCUAUGCGAAUGAAAGUGAAGGGAAAAAUAAUAAUAAUGAUUACCUUUUUAUCGAAGAGAUGUUGUAUUUGAUUAGCUACCAAGAGGUUCUCUUCUGAUUUUAAUUUUUGAGCUUCCUUAUUAUCUGCUGUCAUGUGCAAUACAGAUGUAGAAUUGGAUAUGAAUGUUUCCAUGUCAGGGCAAUUCUCAAUAGUUAGAUAUCUCAACUCAGGCAGUUCAAUUAUAUUCCCAGUGAAGUUGCAGAAUCUUUUGAGUUUUGGAAGAUCAAUGAGCCUUAGAUUGGAAAGCUUAGGAAACAUGGGGCCUAUAUGUUCUUUGUCAGCAUUUAGCUCUUCCAAACGAAGCACCUCUUCUAGUGAAUCACAAUUCCUCACUUCCAGCCGUCGCAAAUUGUUCAAGCAUCGUAGCAGAUUGGCAGGAAUAGCACUCGACAUAUUCGUGCAGUCAUCCACCACCAGCCGUGCUAAAUUGUUGAAGAAGCUGACAGGCAGUGCUUGGCCAUGCCAUAUUUCUUUCAAACGUGGAAAAUGUGAGAGUUGCAAAUACCAUAUGUCACGGAAUCCAAUCUGCACAAACCAAAACAAUUGCACCGGAUAUAUACAAUUUUUUUUUUGAAAGGCAUUAUAUAUAUACACAUUAAACUUACAUGUUUUGUGUUUUAACUUCUAAAAAUAUAUAUACAAGACCGGGGUAUAUGCUUAAAUGUGCAAUUGCAGGGGAGAUGCAUAAACAAUUUGGGUGAAUCGAUUAACACAUACCAUUUCUUUGUAAUACUUUUGCAUAAUGGAAUUAAGGUUAUUGCCUUCCCAAUGGUGCAGUUCACCCUCUUCCUUUUCAGUCACUUGCACUUUGCAUGGCUUUGGAAUGGAUAAGAUUCCCUGAGAAAAAGUCUUCAUAUUUGGACAACGUAUCAUAGAAACUCGUUCCAGUGAUGGGAAUUCAAGAGUGUAAUUCUCCAAACAAAAGCUGGUAAGCCUUGAUAAAUAAUUAAGUAUCAAAACUUUUAAUUCGCUGAAAGCAAUACGAUUCUCCUUCACUUCUUCUCCAACAUGUCCUACGAUUUCUUCUAUUUUUUGGCACUUCGAUACUUUAAGAUUCACCAAACUACUAGGAAUUCCAACCUGAAAAUAAGCAAAAGUGUGUGUAUAUUAAAAAAGUAAAAAUGUAAGAAUAUCAUUCAACUAGGUUCAAAGUAUGUUUAAUCAUACAAUUAUACGUUUUAUAAAGAUAACAAACCAUGAAAUGUCUACAAGAUAAUUUUUUGUUAAACAAAAAAAGCAACAAGAUAAAUAAAUAAAUAAAAGCCAGAUAAACAAAGAUAUUAAAUGCAUUUACACUAUUUAGUAUUAGGAACGUACGAAGAAUUUAAGGCAAUUUCUAAAUAUUUUAGACUUAUUUUGCAUCUUGAUGCCAGUUUUUAAACAAAAUUUGCAAAUUUCAACUAUUCCUUUUGGGAAAAAAAAAUCAACCAAAAUGCCGCUUUUUCCCUUUUCCCUUGGUCCCUUUUUUUUAUGUAUAUUUAAUUUUGGAAACAAAAUUAAAGUGGAUCUUUAUUAAGUACUUCCAGACUCGAGGAAAUUUCUUUACAAUCAAGGAUCAGUUGUAAAUAAUCGUGAAUUUGUGGUUAAUUAAUGGCAUAAUCAGUUCGUAACUAAACAAGAGAUAUUAAUUAAAUUUGAAGACUUUUCUUUUCUUUUUUUCUUUUUCCAAUCGAAAUGUGAAGAAUUAAGGAAAAGAGAAAUAUAUAGAUGAAUUUGUGAACCUAUAAGAUGAGUGACUAUCCUUUAAUUUUUGAAAAUUGUACUUAUUAAGAUAUGAGCAGAAACAAUUAAAUUGAAUUAUAUUAUGAUGUUGAAUCGUGAUUAAAAAAAUUAUAUUGUUGAUUCUAAUGCUGGCGAACCUAAAAAAUGGACUUAAAAUGUAGAUUUGAGAGUGGUGGUUCGAAAUACAAUACUUGAAAUAAAUAAUCAGUGGCUGAAUAUCAUUUGUAAACCCAAAAAUGGUUAAAAUAUUGUUGGAUGUAAUUUAAAAAAAAAAAGAUUCGAAAUGAAUACAACGACCUUACCAAUGGAGGAAAAAUAUUCAUUAGGUUAUGACACUUAUAUAUCUCCAAAUUCUUCAAUUUGCUGAAAGACUCCGAAGGAAGCUGGUGGUGCCAUAUUUUUCUCAAAUUAUUCAUCCAGCUAAUAUCUAAUACCUCCAACCUAGGAAGUCGUACCUGGAAGUUAAAGAUUAAAUAACUAAUUAAUCAAUUAAUGGCAUAAUCAAUUGAUAACUAAAUUAGAGGCGGAUAUUAACUAAAUUUGAAGACUCAAGGAAAAGACAAAUUAAGUAUUGUGACUAAAAUUAAUUUUAUUUAUUAAAAAAAAAACCUUUUCGUCAAAGAGAGGAGGAGGUUGCAUUUCAGAAUGAUUGGUGUCUUCUGGUGAGCUCGUAGAGAUGAAUCUUAACAUAUUACUGCAAUUACCAAUCUCGAGGUUUAGCAAAGAAGGGAAUUCAACAACUAAAUCUGAAUGAAUAUGUCCUGUAUUGGCGAAGCUUGUCAGUUCUGUAAGCCAAUAGAGCUGCAGGGAGUGUAGUUUAGGAAAAACCUUUAAUUCAAUCAACUUUCCUUCAUCUCUUUCUGACCACCCCGUGGUGUCGACUACCCCUUCCAUUGACUCACAAGACCAUAUUUCAAGAUGUUGGAGUUGCAAAAGACUAUUAACCAUAGAAUACGAAAACAGAUACUUCAUACGAUCACAACUUCUCACGUACAGCUUUGUUAAAUUUUGACAACAGUACAUUCCUUGAUUAUGAUCGGCCCAUAAUUUUUUGAUGUUUCUUAAUUCCGUGAGAUUCAAUUCCUCUAAGCUCGGAAGAAGAACCUGCAAAGAAAAGCCGUACAUUUUUGUUCCUUCAAGUACAACCGUCUAGUAUAAUAUUCUGUUGAUGAUCGAAGAUUAAUCGUGAUAAUAAAUUAAUCAAUUAAUUAUUGAACAGAAAAUUAUCACCUUUGGAGCAGUAUCAUCAUCAGCAAUGAUUUCGUUGAAUCCCAAAGAAGUUGUUGGUUUCUCCCUGUCGGGUCCUGUAAACAAACAAAAACAAUAUACAUAAUUAAUCUUUGUCGUUGUCUUUUUUUUUUCAAAAUAAUUGAGGCGAAGUCCAUAAAUCCACCAACACUUAAUUUCAACACUUACCAACAGUCAUUUCCAGUUUAUUGCAGGAAGCCACUUUGACCUUUUGAAGCCGCAGUAGGUUUCUGGCUAUGGAAAAUGAGAAAAGAUGCUUCAAUUUAUCACAGGAUUCUACUUCUAUAAUCUUUAAGUUGCUGAAAAAUUGAUCUUCUCUGAGUUGGCUGUGGCAUAUGGCCUCCAAAUUGAUCAAUUUAUAGAGAGACAAUGACUCCAGCAAGGGGAAGACUUUGCGAUGAACCCGUCCAACUGAACCGACAAUGUGUAAAAUCUCAGAACACCUUUCUACCCAAAGAUGCUUCAAUCGUGGAAAACCUUCCCCAUCAUCUAAUUCAUGAACAACAUUCUGAACACCCGUCAGUUCCUCUAGACGGAUAUCUUCAGUUAACUUCAGCAACAUUUUCAUCCCAUAAUUCUCCAAAAGAGUGCUAACAUUUUCUAACCCAUGGAGCUGCACCAAUCUUGAUGUUUCAGAAUUAGCGCGCCAGAUGCCCCACGCUUCUCCUAUACAUAUCCUAUAUCUUGGCAAUUCGACAAAGACCAAAUCCUGCGGCAGCAUUUGGGCAUCCUGAACUUGUAUCUCCAAAGUAGUUAGCUUUGACAGCCCCUUCAAUUCAGCAAGACUGGCGUUACUUCCUCCUUCAACCUUAUCCCACUGCGGAAAGCUGUCACCCAUAUAUAGUUCUUCCAAUCGAGAAAAUUUUGAUAUGACAUUUGGUGCUAUCACUACAAGGCUGCUACAAUUGCUCAAAUCUAGCAAUUGUAACUGCGCCAAUUGACCAAUUUCAAGUGGCAACUGCUUAAUGUCGGAAUAUCGAAAGCUAAGAAUCUCUAAUUUCUUUAGCUGUCCAAUUGCCGCUACAUCUUCUAGUUGGCACCAGUCUAAACACAAUGUUUGAAGGUUAAUGAGGUGACCAAGUGAUGAAGAUAAUGAAGAGAAAUGAAUUCCGCUAAGACUUAAAACUUUGAGAUCUUCCGUCCCUUCAAAAAAGAGGUGUGAAAUUUCCAAAUAGCUAUCACCAUUUGCAAGCAACAGUAAUAACUUGAGUUGGGGACAUUCCAACCUUUCGGGAAGCUCUUGAAUAUCUCCAUAAGGUAUAGAAAUAGCAAUUGCACCUUUCUGUAUGAUCUUUUCUAUCUCUUCCUUCAAGUUGGUAACAUUUGGGAUACUAAACAUGAGCUUCUCUGAGGCAAUUGAUACGGCAACAACAUGAAUGACGUCAUGCAUUUUAACUUCAUCUUCAGCAUCGCCGUCCAACAAUAAGCAUGAAGCUUUGAGAUUGUCGAUCAAUGCGUCCACUCUAUUCCUUGCAUUUUCCAAUGUGCGAACAUUUUUAAACAAACCCUUACCAUAUCUCAACAAGGAAGCAACUUGUAUAGGAGUACCUUCACCAAAUAGAGUACAAAGAAGGAACAAAGAUUUUGCUUCAUCACUUUCCAAGAAGUUGUAACUCAAUUCUAUGGAAGAGCAGACAUUUGCAUCCAUUCCAUGAAUUUCUCUUGGAUUAGAAUUUCGCAGCUGAGUCAACGCAUCCUUCCAAACGGGAAGCUUCUUAUUUUUCAGAGCAUUUGCAACUGUACUCAGUGCAACAGGCAAUCCUCCACAUUUUCCAACAAUCUCAUCUGCUAAAGGUUGAAAAGCAGAUGCUUUUGCGGAAUUGCCCACGAUCUUUUCAAAAAAUUGCAAUGCUUCUUCCUUUGAUAAAACUUCAAUUAGGAAAAUCUUCUGAGAAUUCAUAUCAUUGGUCAAUAAAUGUUUACUUCUAGACGUCAAUAUUAUCGUGCGUCUCCUUAGAUCUUGCUUUCUAUCUUUCUCAUCAACAUCCCCAAAAGGAAUUCCAAUUUCUUCCAACCCAAGUUUUUUCCAAAUAUUAUCUAAUAUAAUGAGGACUCGCUUCUCUUUCGUCAAUCUUUGACAAAGUUGUUUUGCUCUGUGGGGUUUGCUAUCAUUCAAGUCAAAGUUCAAGUCUAAAUCGGAAGCGAGCUUGUCUUGAAUUUUCUGAACAUCUGGGUUCUCUGUUACCUCAGCCAUAACGACCUUAUCGAACACCUUAUCUUCCAUAACUUGCUUUGCAAUUUGCUUGACUAGCGUGGUUUUACCCACGCCGCCCAUACCGUGGACCCCAAUUAUGUUGAGCUUAUCAUUCCUCAAUGCCUCCACAACAUCUUGAAAUAAUUUCAUUCUUGAAUCAAAGGCCUCGAAAUCUUUCGCUUGCAUAUGUUCUGUACUCUCUGGAGCAGGACGGUGGGAAACACUAGAGAAGUUGCCUUUUCCCACGAGACUAGCGGCAGCUUCUGCGGCCUUUGCUGCUUGUUUACUAAGUUUAUAACGAGAAAUCAAGUUGGGGCAAAAUCCUUUGAAGCAGGACUUCUUAGCUCUAUCUUCAUCAUCAAUGAUGGAUUUUGCAACCCCUUCACUGAUGAAUUCAUCAACGUUAUUAAGCCAGUCUGCAACAUCCUUGUAAAUCUCAUCUCUUUGUUGAGUAGCCUCACGAACGGGUAUUCCCACCCUUUCUCUUUUAUAUUCUAGCUCCUUCACUUGAACUUUUAGCUCAGCUAUGUAGCUCUGGUACUUGAACACAUAAGAGAUCUGCCGCAUAAUCGGUUCGAACAAUGCCUUUGCACCUUCUGUUACAAUGCCGGAAAAAGUAGUGGAAACCAGGUCUGCAGCCAUUGCCUAGCCUGUUGCUUUCAUACAUACAUACAUACAUAUAUAUAUAUAUAUAUUAGCUGUUGGAAAAAUUAGAUUCAAAUAAAUUAAAAUGAACUAGGGGAAAGACGGAGAAAGAAAUGACAACCAACAACUUUUUAAAAAAAGGUUUCAAGGGCCUGAAUGGAAAACCAACAAUUUAAAAAAAAAAUUGUAAGAUGGAUGCAGAUUAACCAUUGCUAAUAUUACAUAAGAACACAGAAGUUAACAAUGAACAGUACGUAGAAAAUUAAAUGACAAGAUUAAAACAAACAAGGGCUAUUUUUUCUUGGACAAUUGUACCUAUUUAAUUAUUAAAGAGUUAAUGACCUUCACUGCUGGCCUUGAAUAUAUAAGAACGACCAGAAGAUGAAUAUUAACUGCAGACGAAUGUAAGUAAAGAGUUCAUGAGAGUGAGUAAUACAAAUGAAUUGUAAAAGAACAAGACUUAAGUGUGACCCCAUCUUUUGUUUUAUUAUAUAAAUAGAACACAUGAUCAUUUUUAACAAAGUGAUCAAUAACUCUAUGCGUUAUUUAAUUGAUAUUGUAACCAAUUUUAAGGGAAUUUAAUAAUAAUCAUUCAAUGCAUAAAUUUAAAAUUAGAUUUUUUUAAUUCUUUAUUUAAAUAUAAAUCUUAAUGGAAAAUUAUAAAAAUUUAGAGAUAAAAUUUUUCAAUCACCAAGGAAAAAAAAUGGGAAUGAAAACAGAGGAAUCUUGUUUUACCUUUUUUUUUUUUUCCUUAACUCUUGUUCCUAUACAAAUAAUCUUGUUUUGAUGAUAGUGCUCGUGACUAUGGGAAAAUUUCUAAUGGAAACAACUCAAUUUCGGAAGAUAAGCUUAAUUCUGCAAGUGAUGAAUUUGUUCAAUUGACUCUGUACUUGAACUCGUUGGAUUGGUUGAUUUACGAUUGACUGCAUUUCAAUUCUGCCUAAAAGAUCUUUUUAAUAGCUAUCAUGUACUCCUUAAAAGCAAUCAUUUUUAGAUUUGACUGAAUUUGAACUUGUUGGAUUGGCUGUUUUUAGAUUAUUGAUAUGAGAUACUACAAUGUAAACAUUUUCAUGUGGCUGAGCCCUAUUCUAAAAUCUGUAUGUUGCUUUAGAAAAAGGGCUUUUCCUACUGAUAUUUAAUCUUCAAGUAAACUUAGAUAUAAAGUAAAUCAAAUAAAAUGACAAACAAGCAAUAUAAUAAAAGACAACAAACUGGCAAUAUUGAUACAAAGGCAACAGAUAUUAAACUUUAGGACAUUUUUUUCCUAGCUUUCAUUUGUUGGAGGAUUAGAGAUUUUGGUAUUACCGGAAAGCUAAAAGGUUUCAAGGGUCUGAGUAGAAACCUAUAAUCUUUUUAAAAACUUUCUUUUUCUUUUUUCUUUUUUCUUUUUUUGGGGGGGGGGGGGGGGGGGGGGGGGGAAGAAUGCAAGUUAACCAAACGAAAUAAUAAGAGCACAGGCUUUAACAAUGAACAAUAACUUAAAACUCAUGCAAAGUAAAUUCAAUAUUAAAACAAACCAGAGAAAUUUUUUUUCUUGGAAAAUAGAUGGAAAUUAUGAAAGAACAGAUGUCAAGAUCAAAGAUCUACUAUACACAAACACACACAUUAGAGGAUUUGGAAAAUGUGCACCUCUUUAAUUAUCUGGGAUUAGAGAGUUGGUGAGAUUCUCCAUUUGGCCUUGAAUAUUUAAGAACAACCUCAAAGAGCAAAAAGAUCACCGGUAACUGCCGAGGAAUGUGUAAGAAAAGGGUUGAUGAGAAUAAUAACAUUGACUUGCAGAAGAAAAAGCAUUAAUCAAGCACCCCUUUUUUAUAUCAUGUAUUUGGUUAUUGUUGCCCUGUUUACGCACGUAUAGGAUAAUUAUAUGCAAUCUUUUUUUAAAAAUCCACAUGCACUUUAGGGCUUCUUUCAUAAAAGCAGAUACCGGAAACACACAAAAAUCAUUUGAGAGAGAAACCGAACAGCAAAUCAUCAAAGUAAGAUCAACAAUAUAUGAUUUGAUUAAUGCAUAUUCAAGAACAAAACAAAAAUAAAUAAAUNNNNNNNNNNNNNNNNNNNNNNNNNNNNNNNNNNNNNNNNNNNNNNNNNNNNNNNNNNNNNNNNNNNNNNNNNNNNNNNNNNNNNNNNNNNNNNNNNNNNNNNNNNNNNNNNNNNNNNNNNNNNNNNNNNNNNNNNNNNNNNNNNNNNNNNNNNNNNNNNNNNNNNNNNNNNNNNNNNNNNNNNNNNNNNNNNNNNNNNNNNNNNNNNNNNNNNNNNNNNNNNNNNNNNNNNNNNNNNNNNNNNNNNNNNNNNNNNNNNNNNNNNNNNNNNNNNNNNNNNNNNNNNNNNNNNNNNNNNNNNNNNNNNNNNNNNNNNNNNNNNNNNNNNNNNNNNNNNNNNNNNNNNNNNNNNNNNNNNNNNNNNNNNNNNNNNNNNNNNNNNNNNNNNNNNNNNNNNNNNNNNNNNNNNNNNNNNNNNNNNNNNNNNNNNNNNNNNNNNNNNNNNNNNNNNNNNNNNNNNNNNNNNNNCCCCAGGGGAAAAUCUGGAAUUCCUUUUUUUAAUUUUUUUUUUUUUAAAAAAACCCCACCGGAAAUUCUUAAAAUUUGGAAAAAAAAAUUUUGAGUCCCUUAUUCUGGGGGGGGGGGGGGGGGGGACGAAAACAGAGGAAACUUGUUUUACAUUUUUUUGAUCUUAACUCUUGUUCUUAUAUAAUAUUUUCCCUGGGAUUUCAGGCAAACCAAACAAAAAAAAAAAAAUUCAAUAAAGAGCAAGUUGCUCUAAUUGAUUUAUCUUGUUUUUCAGGCUAUUUUGUGACAUGAUGAUAUGUAAUGCUCUUGAAUGCUAGAAAAAUUCUAAUGCAAACAUUUUUGCAAAUGACGAAUGUAAAUAACUUUUUUUGAUUAAUUGAAUCUCUAAUACUCUUACCCUAUUCUAAAAUUUGUAGGUUGCUUCAGAAAAAAAGGGUAUUUCUCACUCAUCUUCAAUCCUCAAGCACAAUUAGAUUAAAAGCAAAUCUAAUAAAAUAACAAACAAAUUAACAAAAAAAAGAAAAAGAAAAAAAACAAUGUUGAUCUUGAGACAAUUGAUACUUAAACAGAGAAUUCUUUGUUCUUUUUUUACUCCCCCUGGCUCGAGGAUUAGAGUCUUUCUUUGCUAUUAACAGAGAGGUUUUAAGGGUCCGAAUAAAAACCCGCGCUUUUUUUAAAAACUUCUUUUUUUUUUUUUAUUGGGGAAGAUAGAUUCAAAUUAACCAAAGCUAGUAAUAAGAACACAGGCCUUACAAAUGAACAAUAACUUACAACUCAAGCAACAUAAAUAAUAAGAUUAAGACAAACAUGAGAUUUUUUUCUUCGAAAGUAGAUGGAAAUCAAGUAAGAACAGCUAUUAAAAGAAAUUACUAGAGAAUUUAGAACAUGUGUACCUCUUUAAUUAUUUGGGAUCAGAGAGUUGAUGAGCUCUCUAUUCGCCUUGAAUAUUAAGAACUGGUAUUAAAAGAAAUUAUGAAGAACAAUUUUAGUGAGCGAUAGAUCACUGUUAACUUCAGAGGAAUUUGUGAGUAAAAAGCUGAAAAGAGCCGUAAUAAUGAAUUACAAAAGAAGAAGACUUAAUCAAGCACCCCUUUUAUACCCGAUUUUUAAGAUUUAGUCUUGAAGUUCACAAUCAAGAACAAAGACGAAGCUUUAAUAAAGCAUGCAGUGAGAUACAAGAAAUGGAUCGGGCAAAAUACCUUACGAAGCGUUUCAUAUUUUCUAAUGAAAUAAUUAAGUUGAAGUUUUCGACGAAUAAAUACUUGUUGUGCUUGAAUAAUUUUGGCAUAUACGUUACUUGUAUCCUGCGAAAUUGAAAAGCACAUUGGUUUAUUAGAGCUUAUUAGGAGGGAAAAGCUUUGUAAGAUACCUGAUAAAAGAUAAAGUAAAAGCUUGAAUGAAGAAUGACAUUUUAGAAAGAAACUAAAGUGCAAUCAUCAAAGUGGGAUCAAUAGUGACUUGAUAUUUCAAUUGUUCUGUCCACAAAUGAUGCUUCGUUAUUACUAAUUCCAGAUGGACAUUAUUAGAAAAUGAUCUUAUGUUUAACAGAAAAAUAAAAACUCGUCAUCAUACAAAACAGCGUGAAGAAAUCUUCAAUUUGAUUAUUAUAAAAUAAUAAGUUUCAUUACUAGAUUAUGCGGACAUUAAUGUUAGAGAUUUGAUCAGAUUAUCAUAUAAUUUACUAAACGCUUUGAGAAGAACAAUAAUUAAUUUUUAAAAAAUUGAAAAAUAAAUUAAAUAAAGAGUACACGCAAAUAAUGUUACUUCCAAUCACCAAACUGAAAAACAGGGGAAUGAUAACAGACGAGUCCCUGAUUAUCCUCUCUCUCUCUCUCUCUUUUUCAAUCUCUCUCUUUGAUAUCCAUAUCUGAGCAUCAGAGCUUGACAUCUUUGAUAAAUAAAUAUGCUUACUGGUACUGUUUUUGCAUAUGUCUUUCACAAAAUCAUUGUAUACGCUUACAUAGAGAAGAAGAUUCAGAUAACUUUCAAAAUCUGAAUCCGCCUGAUGGACAGGCUUGACCACACAGCCCCGAGACAAGGAAGUCCAAGCAACUAAUCUAAACCGUUCUCCUUUAUUAGCUAGAUUUAGUAUUUGGGUUCUUUAUGUAAAACGACACUAUGAUCUUGAAAUUUUGAUUUAAUUAAUAAAUAGUUAAAUUCUUAAUGUUUCAGGAGUAGAUACAUAGACUCUCUUCUAAUUUUAGUCAUUACAAACAAUGCCAUUGUGCGGUUAUACUAUUGCUUCUUUUAUGAAACCAUUCUCACCAUCACAUAGAUCUUGGCAUAUAGAGUCUCAUAAUGUCAUCAAAUAAUUUUUUUUUUUUUUAAAAACAUAAAAUAUGAUACAUGUAUUCAUUUUUUUUCAAAUUAGGGUGUAUUAUUCUUAAAACUUAAGUGUUCUACUUAUAAAUAUCUUGAAGGUGUGAGUGUUUUCUUUUCGUAAACAAACCGUAAAAGAAAAAGAGGAACAAUAAUUUUUUACUUAUCCUUAGAGAUAAGAUUCAAUCGGGAUGUGAGUAAGUGUGUUUUUCUUUUUUUAUUAUGCUAAAUUAUCGAGUCACAAAGCAUAUUGAUUCAAAAGUAUAACUUUAUACUGAUGAUAGAUAAUUUCAAAACAAUGGAAUGAAAACAGAGGAGCUCCCCCCUCCCCCACCCCAAUCCCCGCCCCCCCCCCCCCCCCCCCCCAAAAAAAAGUUCUUCUUCUUUUAUAUAUUUUUCUUGGAAUUUUAGGUAAAAGAAAAAAAAAACUGAGAUUGAUUUCAAGGGAACAGGUGGAUAAUAACUAAAAUACUUAUUUUUAUAUAUUUGAUAUGUGCGCUCACUAUUAAUAGAACUUAUUAGAUACUACAACUUAAAUAACUUCCCAUGGUUGAUUGAGGGUAUGUUUGAGAUUUCCUUUACUUUCCAAGAAUUAAUUUCUACCUUGAUUCUGAACAAAAAAAUAAUUUUACAAAUAAUCUAUUAGGGUGUUUGGUAAAUGAUGAUUAUUUGACAAUCAAUUUUUAAACGGUUUACUAUACAAAUCUGGUAAAUGAAAAUUAAAAGUGUAAAAUGUUCAUGUACAAUGACAAAAAUGUACUUGUUUACUUGUUUGUAAUUUAUUUAGAAUAUUAUUAUUUAAAUCUUUUUUUAUUUACAAGAUUUUUUAAGAGCAUAUUCUAUUUUCUUUAUUACAUAUUUAAAUAAUUUUUUAUUAACUAUUUUAAUUUGCAAUAAAAUUAACUUCAAUAUCUUUUUAACUAAAAAAUUUGUUAUGUAGUUCGUGAUAUAACAAAUACUAACAUAUCAUUAGUUUGAUUAAUAAAUUAAGUGCAAAAAAGAAAAUGCAAAAAUUUAAUCUUUAUAUAAACUUUUAUGUACAUAAAAUCAUUGUAAUCAAACUAGUUCAUAGAAAUAUAAUAUUAUAUACAUGUGUGUAAAAAAAAAAAACAUAUGACCAUAAUAUUAUCCACUCAUUAAACUUGCUGCACUAUUAUUUCUCAAUCUCUCCAUCUCUCGACCUUCAAGAACAUUACUACCAUAAUCUUCUUCUUCUUGAAUCCAACCUCUAUUUCCUCAUCAUCAACAAUGCGACCAAUUUGCCUUGAUAGCCUUUCAACUAGAAUAGAGUUGGCAGUAGAUAUUUUAGUACUCUCAAACUAUGCCCAAACAGGGUCACCAGUGAUUGUUGUAUUAAAAGACAUUCUAUUUAAUUUUCCUCUGACUCUGGGUCGAUACCUUUUAUGCAAAAUCUAUUUACUUAAGGAAUUUUCUACACAUGUCGAUAUCAUAUUAAAGUGAAUUCAGAUCCUAUAUUAUUGACAUUAAAAUUUAGCCGAAUAGUAAAAAAUUUCCCUUUUUGUUUGUCACACAACCAUAUAGUCCCAUUUUUGGUUAUAAGCUCACAAUAUGUAAGGGAAAUGAAGAUCUAUUAAAACUUUCCCAUAAUAUUAAACAUUAAACAAUAUCAACAUUUUGUGCAUAUGGUGCCUCAUCAACAAUUUGAUGUUCAUUUUGUUGCUCGGAGGAAUAUGACUACCUAUUAAUUAAUUAGCAAGAAUUGCGUUGCGAGUCCAUGUUUUUGUCGUUUGGAUGGAGGAUGUGCCAUCUUUUUAUUGUAGAUGCUUUGUAAGGCUUUUGAUUUAAUGAUUUAAUGCAGUCAAUUAACAAAAGCUUACAUAUAUUAUUAUGUAGUUGCUGAGAUGUCUGUUCUUGAUAAAGUCGAUUUAUUUACACCCAAGCCAACGGAAUCAAAGCCUUUUCGUUAAUAAUAUACACGGUAAUUGUUUUUGUUAAAUUGAUUUCUGGCUAACAAGAUAUUUGAAAGCAUUUAGGUAGCGUUUACAUUUUGCGUUGGAGUGAGAAUCGUGAGAAAUGAGAAUCCUGGGAUUAGGAGUGUGGAGUGGGAGUCGAAGUAUGUUGUUUACUUACACUGAAAUGGAAGUAUGGAAUUGAAAUCAGAAUCCAAUUUAUUUGUUUACAUUGUCUUAGAUUGUGAGUAAUGAUUUUAAAUUACAGCUUUACUCUUAAAGAAUUAUAGUUAUUAAUUACAAAAUUAAUAAAAAUUAUAUUUUUAAAUUAAUAAUAAUUAUUAAUAUUCUUAACUAUGUAAAUCACAAUUAUUUUAUUAAUUUUAAUUUUAAUUAUAUAAAUAAAAAAUUAUUAAUAACAACAAUACAAAUGAAACAUUAUUAUUGAUAAUAUAGUACAAAAUUAAUUUUUUUAGAAUAAAAUAUUUAUUAUUAUUAAUUACUAAUAUUAAAUAAAUAUAAUAGUAUUAUUUUUAAAUAAGUAUAAUAAUAUUAUAUUUUCAAAUAAAAAUAGAAUAUAGUAAUAUUAUUAAUUCUUUAUGAAUAUAAUGAUAUUAUUUUUAAGUAAUUUUAACUUAGAAUCAAUGUAAAUUAUUAUUUUUAACCAAAAAAUUAAUAUUAUUUUAAAUAUGUUUAAUAUUAUUAUUUUUAAUAAAUUUAAUUUAUAAAAUAAUAAAAUAUUAUUAUUUAAAUAAAUAUGAUUUUACUUAUUUUAUUAAAUUUAAUAAAAUAAAUAUGUUUAAUAUUAUUAUUUUUAAUAAAUGUAAUUUAUAAAAUAAAAUAAUAAUAUAAGUUAAAUAAAUAUGAUAUUAUUUAUUUUAUUUUAUUAAAUAUAAGGGUGAAAAAGGAAGAGAGGCGAGUGAAUUUCCACUCCCACCUUCCUCCAUGGGAGUGGGAAUCUCACUCCCCCACUCCAAAAUUAGGUGGGAUCCACGGAGUGGAAUUCUCACUUCCCCUUUGAAAAUUGUAAGUAAACACUGGAGUAAGAGGAAUCCACACUCCUCACUCUCACUCCAAAAAGUAAACACUAUAUUAAAGAAGUCAUUGACUUAUAAGAAAGCCAUGAUUAAAUACACGGCGAAGCAUGUGAGCUCGUUUUUCAAUUUCUUUGAUCACUCAUAAGUAGGGGUGGGCAAAAUCGGAUUCGGAUUGGGUUCGGGUUGAUUUGAUCAAUUUCGGAUCAAUCGGGUUGGGGAAAAAAUCAUCCGAACUCAAUCCGAAUUAUUAACCCGAUCCAAUCCGAUCCGAAUAUAAUUCGGAUCGGAUUGGAUCGAAAAUUCGGAUUAAUUCGGAUUAGAUUCAGAUUUAAAAGCAUUCGGGUUAUAUAUCCAUUCUAUAUUUCUGGGUUAAUUUCAGAAGCAAUCAAGUAAAACAAUCAACCUUUUCUCAAGAUAUAGUUUUGUUUUAAGCUUUUUAAAUUAAAUUAUUUAAAACAAUAUAGUCAAUACCACCAAAAACUUGGUGACAGUGAAUGUGGAGGUGAAUUUAGUUGUAGCAGUUGUGGUAACCGGUGAAGCUAGUGGCAGCAAGCGGUAGCAGUCGAGGUGUAGUAGAUUCCAUCGGCACGUUGCGGUUGCAGCGAUGGCUUAGCUUUGAACGAUCGCGUCGGUGACUGAUGGCUGCUGGUUCACGCAGUUGCAUCUCCGAUUUGCUGGCUGCUGCUUCUUGCGGUUGCAUCUCCGAUCUGCUCGCCGCUGCUUCGCUGACAUCUCCGAUCUCCGAUGGUUUGGCUUCGCACGAUCACAUCGGUGAUUGCUGGCUGCUGGUUCGCGGCUUCGCGCGGCCGCAUCUCCGGUCUGCUGGUUGCUGCUUCUUGCGGUUGUAUCUCCAAUCUGUUGGCUGCUGCUUCGUUGUUUGGCAUCUCAACAUUUCCGAUCUCCGAGGCCAAACCUCUAUUUGUGUGUGACCGUGUGUGAUGUGAGUGUGUGUGUGUGCACUUACAGAUUAUUUUAAUUUAGAUCUAAGAUUUGCUUUUUGUGUGGUGUGAAUCCGAUUUUGUUGUGUUUGCCACUUUGUUAGUUUGUUACACAGUUUUUUUUUUAAGCCAACCCGAUCGGGUUUUCGGAUCGGAUCGGGUUUCAUCCGAUCCGAUCAUGAUCCGAUCGGGUUGGCAAAGUUACAUCCGAUUGGAUUUUGUUAACAAUCCGAUCCGAUCUGAACCCGAUAUUUUUUGGGUCAGAUCGGAUCGGAUCGGGUCGGAUAUUUUGCCCAACCCUACUCAUAAGCUUUUCUAUACCACUCACUAUAUCAUCCUUUUAAGUCAAUUUCGACUGAUCAUCAGAGAUCAUGCACCCCACCUUGAGAUGAUUGAUCACCAAUUUGGCAUUGUAACGUUGAUCACCUCUAAUUGCCCAUGCUAAAAUUGAGACCCCACAGCCAAUUGCUUCUACAGUUGAAUUUUAUCCACAGUGAGAUAAAAAUCCACCUAUUAAUUGAUAACUCGGCAUCAAUAAUUGUGGUGCCAUUCCAUCUAUUAUCAAACCCUUUUUACCGGCUUUACUAUCUAAACCACUAUGAAAAUAAGCUGGUUAAAUGACGUGGAGGAUCCAAUCUAUUUACAUCAGUUUGAAUUACCUAAAUAAUCGGUGGAUUUGAUGCUUCUAAAUCAUUGGCUAAUGUUGAAUAAUCAUUUAAGGUGGGACCCAUUUCGGUACCAAAUGACAUGUAUAACACUGAUCCACAUGAUUUCAAAUCUAACCAUUGAAUGAUCUCAUCUUUGGUCAUGUUAGAACUCCGCCGGUUGGUUCUCAUCUCACAAUCACGAAGCACUGAACCGGUCGAUUUGUAAAAUUGUUCAGGUAACAAUGGGCCCACUCCCCACACUAGCAUCAACACCAUCGAUCCCUCCACUUGCUUCAUCCAGUGUGGUUGAUCACUCGGUUCUGAUGGACCUAUUUUCUCUGAACCGGGUGCACCUCACAAAGGUUGUGGGCCACCAGGAAGGGACCCGUGAGGCCUGCGUUUAAGAUCUGAUUGGAAUAAAGCAACAUCCUUGGGUAACCCAAGAAGUAAAUGGGCCUCUCCCGGUUUGGCAUCCUGGAUGCGAGCCUGCCACAUGGCACACUCCACAGCUGCUGAGCAAGCAUCAGAAGUGAAGAACCCAACAAUGGGAACUUCAAAAUUCUUGAAAACAUCAGCCGUCCAGCCCAUCAUAACGCCGAUGACUACGCAAACAGGUCGGCUUUCGGGUUCCGGGUUGAAAGGAGGUUUCGAAGACCCUGAAGCAUUUGGUUGUGCAUGACAACAUGGAGGUAAGAAGGAGGCGAUGGUAGUAGUGGAGAUGAGGAGGGUAUUUCGGUAAUUUCACAUAGAGGGUAUUGGUGAAGAGAGGAAGGGGUGAUGCUGGUGGUGGAAACGUGAGAGGGAAUAAUGAGGGUAGAUUUGUAAUUACGAGAAGCAAUUUGCUUGCAUAAUUCAAUGCAUGGAAACAGAUGUCCCUGACCGAAGAACGGGACAAUCCAAAUCUCAGCCUCAGCAGCAUUCGCAACAGAGCUUGACAUCUUUUAUGAAUUAUUUGAGACUUAAUUGUUAUUGACUGCUUUUGCCAUCUUUCAUAAAACAUUCUUUGUUAUAUAUUCAAGUAAAUAAAUUUAUCGUUUAAAAUUAAUUUUUCAUGUGGUAAAAGCAAUACUAA
RNAcentral lists this long non-coding RNA (449518 nucleotides) under Citrus x clementina. Lineage: Eukaryota; Viridiplantae; Streptophyta; Magnoliopsida; Sapindales; Rutaceae. The record is from RNAcentral.